AUAAGUUUGAAAUUCUUGAAUUUGUCCAAUAAUAAUCUCUCUGGGGCUAUUCCUACAUCUUUAGAGAAACUCUCAUAUCUUGAAGAUCUAAAUCUUUCUUUCAACAAGCUAGAAGGAGAAAUUCCUAGGGGAGGGUCUUUUGGAAACUUCGCAGCUGAAUCAUUUGAGGGAAAUGAAUUAUUAUGUGGUUCACCCACUUUACAAGUCCUGCCAUGCAAAACUAGCAUCCACCAUACAUCAUGGAAAAAUUCUCUUCUCCUAGGGAUUGUCUUGCCAUUGAGUACUACAUUAUUGAUAGUAGUCAUUUGGUUGAUCCUAAGAUAUCGUAAGAGAGGAAAACAACCAUCGAAUGAUGCUAAUAUGCCACUAGUAGCAACGUGGAGAACAUUUUCAUAUCUAGAACUUUGUCGAGCAACAAACGGAUUCAGUGAAAACAAUCUAAUCGGCAGAGGAGGUUUUGGCUCUGUUUAUAAGGCAAGACUUGGGGACGGGAUGGAGGUUGCAGUGAAAGUUUUCAAUUUGCAAUGUGGAAGAGCGUUCAAGAGUUUUGCUGUUGAAUGUGAAAUGAUGAAAAGUAUCCGUCAUCGAAACCUUAUCAAAGUUAUUAGUAGUUGUUCAAAUGAAGAGUUUAAAGCGUUGGUAUUAGAAUACAAGCCUCAUGGAAGUUUGGAGAAGUAUCUGUAUUCCAGUAAUUGCAUUUUGGAUAUUUUUCAAAGAUUGAACAUAAUGAUAGAUGUUGCAUCAGCUUUGGAAUAUCUGCACUUUGGUUGUUUAGCUCCAGUAAUUCAUUGUGACUUAAAGCCCGACAAUGUAUUGUUAGAUGAUAAUCUGGUUGCUUAUUUGAGUGAUUUUGGCAUCGCGAAGCUCUUAAUUGGAGAAGAUCAGUCUAUGACUCAAACGCAAACACUUGCCACAAUAGGUUAUAUGGCACCAGGUUUGUUCAAUAUAAAUAUUUUCUAUUUCUUGUAAAUUUCCUAAUAAGUUAUUUAUGUUUCAUGAUCUUCAUUAGAUGAGGAAAUUAUUAUUAAUGAUAUAUCUUACUAUUUAACUGUUGCAAUUCAUAGAGUAUGGAAGAGAAGGACGAGUAUCCACAAAUGGAGAUGUUUAUAGCUUUGGAAUUAUGUUAAUGGAAACUUUUACCGGGAAGAAACCCACAGAUGAAAUUUUUAAUGGAGAAAUGACAUUAAAGCAUUGGGUUAAUGACUGGCUACCCAUUUCCACUAUGGAAGUUGUUGAUGCUAAUUUGCUAAGUCAGGAGGACAUACAUUUUGUUGCAAAGGAGCAAUGUGUGUCAUUUGUCUUCAAUUUGGCUAUGGCGUGCACUGUGGAAUCUCAUGAGCAGAGAAUCAAUGCAAAAGAAAUUGUAACAAAGCUCUUAAAAAUUAGAGACUCAUUACUUAGAAAUGUUGGAGGCAGACGUAUAAGUCAACCAAAUUUAAAUUGAUUCUACCCCUCCAUUGCUUGCUAUCCUUUUCAGAGACUUGAACGGUUAUCCUUCAUACCAGUUUUGUUGAUAUGUUUUGUUAUUGCUCUUGCUCAUGUUUGUUUCUCUAUUUCUUUAAUUUGCAUGCAUGUAUUUUUCGUUCUCUUUUAUGUUUUUGUUGGUUUGUAUGUAGUUUGUUUUUAGGGGUAAGGUUGAUUAUGUCCUCCCCUAAUUACACGUAUCCUUUUUAUGUUUAUUCAAUAAAGCUUCUCUAAUACUAUCAAGGUUCAUCAAAAGAAAAUUUUUAAUUAAUUUUCUUUUCUUUGACAGGUAAUGAAAUUCUAAUCUUCAUAGUGAAUAACUUCAAUAAUAGAGUGUAAGAGUGUUAGUAAUUAUGGUUGUUUUUUGAACCUGGAGUCAAGAGCAAUUUAACAGCAACAAACAAGUCUCUUGUAUUAUAGGCAAAAUUCUUUUCAUUAAUCUUAUUUGUCUACAUGUUCUCCUAUUUUCACCAUUAAUCUUCGCUCAAGGUUUCAUGCUUCCUCUUUGAUGAAGGAAAAUAUUACUUGCGAAUAUUUCAAUUUGACAUAAGAGACUGUUUUGCCAUCCAUUUGAUAAAAUGGAUAUGAGUGGAGCUUUCAAUCAUUACCUCCACCAAAAUCCUUACAACGCCACUUUUAAAUUUUAUUUUUUAAAAUACAUUCAGUUUAAUUUAUAAAAAAUAAAUCCAUUUGUUCAAAUUAAUCUUUUUCUCAUAAAUUUCAACCUAAAAAACAUAUUUCUUUUAAAUUUUUAAUUAUAAAAUACAUACAAGUUCUAAACUAUUAUAUUAUUUUCUUCUUAUUAUAUAGUUUAUAUCUCCAUAACUCUAAACUCCUAUAAUUUUUUAAAAAAUGUUUUUAAUUUAAAAAAUAUAUAUAAUAUAGAAUGGAGUGGGUAUAAAAAAAACUUAUUAAAAGAAUAAUUCAUUUAAGUAUUUAACUGAAUUUAAAUUAAAAUAAGAAAUAAAUUAAUUUAUUUUUUAUUAGUUAAGUAAUUUUCAAUUGAAAAAGAGUUGUAUGAGUAAUAUUAUUGAAAUAUGAUUAAAAUUCUUAUGAAUUAAAUAUUUUCGUAUAAAUACUAGUGAUAAUUACAGAGAAAAGACGAGGAACCAAAGAAAACUUGAAUAUAAAUACUCCAGUGUAAUUUUACAUAUGCAAAUUAUGAACUAGUGAUCUUCAGAGCAUCAUAAAAUUAUUUUGACACAAUUAUUUAUUUUGAAAAAUUGCCAACAAUGUUUAAAGUGGAUUGAAAAGAUUAUAAUACUUAUAUAAGACAUGAUAUCAUUUAAGACGGCUUAUAAAUUAUAAGAAAUAUAUUGAUCUUACAAAUAUUUAAUACGUCAAUUAGACAGGUCCAGCUACCUUCCACCCGCUGGAAGGUACAACUUAUUUUGUCCUCUAGUGUUGUGGCCAUUGGAUAUUUGAGAAGUUGAUCUAACGGUUCUUGUUCGGCAGCGUGAAAUUGAAUUUCAAUUGGCAACCAUUUCAUGAACUUUGUAAGAGAAUUAUCUACAUAAACAUUAAAAAAAGAAGGGAAAAGGACACAGAGACCCUCAACGUUUAAAUAAGGUACAUAAAACUCCCUAAUGUUUCAAAAAAGACACUCAGACCUCCAUUGCUUAACAGAAUCCGUUUCUUUUAACAGAAAUUAUAAUUUUAAAGUGCAAUUACCAUUAUACCCUUAUAGCAUAUUAAAACUAAUUGUUCAUUGUCCAAUUUAUCCCUAUAUUAUCAAUAAAAUUACGAAAAUAAAUUUGAUAAAGAUAUUUCCAUGCACAUCUAAAAAUUGAUAAAGAAAAAAAAUAACAAAAGUAAUUAGCAAGAAAUCUCCAAUAAACUGAACAAAUUAAGAACUCUGUUCAUCAAACAACCAUAAACCAAAAAAAAAAAAUUUCUCGUAAUCAUUUAUUUAUAUUCUUGCACAUACAUCACAUAUGCAUCAAACAUGCUAGAGAAGUUAAUUUAGUAAAAAAAAUGAAAAUUAAAGAGAAUUCAAUAGGCAAGAUCAGCAACCGAACGCGAGCACAAGCAGCAGCCAAAAGCGAGCACAAGCAGUAGCCAAACACGAGAUUCAACAAGCAAGAUCAGCAACCAAACGCGAGCACAAGCAGCAGCCAAACGUGAGCACAAGCAGCAGCCAAACGCAAGCAAUUCCAGCAGCCAAACGCGAGUAGUUCCAACAACCAAAUGCGAGAUUCCAGCAGUUCCAACAGCACAAGCAGUAGCCAAACGUCGAUCGCGAGCAGAUUCGGCAACCAGAUGCGGUCUCGAUUGACGCACGAGCAGUUCCAGCAACUUCCGGUAGCGUGAGCUGUUCCAGCAACUUCCGGCAGUCCCAGCAGCUUUCGGCAAGGCAAACCGUGAGUGUGUGUUAAAAGAUUUGUCUGGAAUCAAUGUGUGUGUGUGGGGUUUGUUUGUGCGUGUGAUGUGUGUGUGGGUUUUUAGUCAAUUCACUUGUUUUUAAUUUGUAAUUAUGAUAUAAACCUUGUAAUGAUUUAACGAAACGAUUUCCGAUAAGCAAUGGGGGUCUGAGUGUCUUUUUUGAAACAUUAGGGAGUUUUAUGUCCCUUAUUCAAACGUUGAGGGUCUUUGUGUCCUUUUCCCAAAAAAGAAAACCAAUUUUUCCCUUUCAUCAGCCGCCGCCGCCACCCACAACCCCUUAAUAUCAUCAUCACCAUCCCAAUCUUUAGCUGCCAUCCACAAGCUCUAACAACCACCAUGACCGCCAUCACAAUCACCACUCCUCACAACCCCUAGCCACCACUACAAACAUUUACAAACUCUAACCAUCAUUGACUCAUUGUCAGUUCACCAGCCUUAUCUUCCAUUGCCGCGGCCUACCAAUCAUUCACAACACCUAACCGUCGUCACCAACAAACUUUCGCCGCCGCUUCCUACAAGCAAGCCUCACCACCCACCGCCGCACACACACAAAGCCAUACCAACCGCCAUACUAUUGCAAUAGAGGCCACAAUGUAGACAAGAUCCAGCAGAUGAAGGAUGUUUUCCUUCUCCAGCUGACUAUUCUUUUUUAUCCUUUUUUUUGUUUUUUAAUUGUUAUAUUACUUUUAAUUAUUUUGGUUGUUAGAUUGUUUUUGUUAUUGUUGCCGGCGGCAAUGGAGUUGCAGCUCGUGAUGAUGAUGGUGAUGUUGGUGUCAUUUAAUCGAGAUGAGAGAGAUUCAGAGCUAAACAAAAAAGUGGAGGCUGUGGAUGAGUAUGAGAGCGAUCUAGAUGAAGUGAAACACUCUCUCGUUUUACGUAGAAUGGAAACAAGCAAUGAUGAGGAGGAGUAGACAGAAUUUGAGCGUCGAAUAAAUUGAAGGGUCCAGAUUCACUCUUACAUUGAAUCUGAUAGCCAAAGUGGUGCUCCAGCUGAGUAUGAUGAUGAUGAAGAGGACGAAGAGGAACAUGACAGAGAAUUAGAAGAAGAAGAUGAAGAAGGGGAUGUUUAUGAGUAUGAAGAGGAAGACGAUUUUUAUGAAGAAGUGGAAAGGAAUGACGAGGCGGUUAAAGUCAAAGAAAUAGAGGGUAAUGAUGCAAGAGGAGUACAGAGGGCGCAGUGGAAGUGAGUAAAGGGAAUUAUGAUAAUGGCAAUGGUGCUAAAACAAUGAUGCAGCGAAUGAGGGAAUAGAGGAAGGGGAGAAGGAGAGUAAUGAGCCUUUUGCACAGCAGCCGGGGCUUUUUAUAUGGGACAAUGUUGCAGGUCGACACAGGUAUUAUUUGAUUUGAGUGAUCUAUAAAUAACUGAUAGCUGUACUUUCGUUAGGCUUGUCGAUUAGUCUAGUCUCGUUUUUUGGUGCUGUCUAAUGAUUGUUUGCUGGAAUUUGUGUAGAAGGCUUUUGGCGUAGUAGGUUGAAAGGAGAGAAAGUUCUCAAGUAAAGAUCUGUGCUUUGUGGUGUCAAAAGCAGCCAUCUAGAUGGUCUAAAGCAGCCAUCUAAAUGGUCAGCAACAAUUUGUUCAAACAAGAAGAAUUUGGUAGCAGCAAAUAUGGAAUGAAGAAAAUUGAAAAAAAAAGAAGUUUGAAGAAGAAAAUGGGGAACACAAUUUUGACGAGAAAAAAAAAAUUAAUUAUUAUUUUAAUAGCCAAUUUUGGCUAUAUAAAGGGAGCUCUUCAUUUGGUUUUCUGCAUUCAAUUCCAUUGAGAGAGAAGCAUUGCCUUGCUUUAGAGUUGAGAGUAUUAAAGAGUUUAAUAAACUCUUGAGUGAUUAGUGUUAUGAGAGUUUGGGUGUAUUGGGGUUUUGGAAGUGAGCUAAAAUACUACAAUACUUGUAACUCCUUUUCACUAGUAAAAUAUUUCCUUUUGUCUUCGCCCGUGGAUGUAGGCUGAAAGCCGAACCACGUAAUUUCUGGUGUCCUCUAUUGUGCUUAUUCUUUAUUUUUCUACCAAUUUUGCUUUAGCUGCGGUCCUACUUCACCCAUCAAUUUCCUAACAGUGGUAUCAGAGCUAUUGGUUGUAUUUUUGGAGUCGGGAACUGUUCACGUAAGGGGUACUAUUCACGUAUAUGGUACUGUUCACGUAUACAAUACUGUUCACGUAUACGGUACUAUUCACGUAUACGAUACUGUUCACAUAUUUGGUACACUAACUUGUGUGCAGUAUUGAUCAACAAAAUGGCGACAAAGUAUGAAAUUGAGAAGUUUAACGGAAAUAAUUUUUCGUUGUGGAAAAUGAAGAUGAAAGCUGUAUUGAGGAAAAAUAAUUGCUUGGCAGCAAUUGGAGAAAGGCCCAUGGAGAUAACUGAUGACAAGUGGAACGAGGUAGACGGCAACGCCAUUUCUGAUCUACACUUGGCACUUGCGGAUGGAGUAUUAUCCAGUGUGGUAGAGAAAAAUAAGGCGAAGGAAAUAUGGGAUACUCUCACAAAAUUGUAUGAGGCCAAGUCACUACACAACAAAAUCUUCUUGAAGAGAAAACUCUAUAUUCUUCGAAUGGCGGAAUCUACAAUGGUGACCGACCAUAUCAACACAUUGAAGACUCUAUUUUCACAACUCACAAUGUUGGGUCAUAAUAUAGAGGAAAAUGAACGUGCAGAGCUUCUACUUCAAAGUCUACCAGAUUCGUAUGAUCAACUUAUCAUCAACCUGACGAACAACAAUCCAGUGGAGAGUCUAGUUUUCGAUGAUAUUGCAGCCUCCGUAUUAAAUGAGGAAAGCAGGCGAAAAAAUAAGGAAAAUAGACAAGCAAGUUCGCAGCAAGCAGAAGCGCUAUCGGUGACGAGAGGGAGAUCAAUGGAACGUGGCCCCAGUGGGAGUCAAAAUCUGAGUAGAUCAAAAUUCAGAAGUAAGAAGAAUGUUAAAUGCUACAAAUGUGGCAAGAAAGGGCACGUCAAGAAAGAAUGUUGGAGUAACUAGAAGAGAAAAGAGGGCAAAGAACCUGAGUCAUCAAAUGCUCAGGGUUGUGUAGCAAGCACCUCGGAUGAUGGCGAAAUUCUUUACAGCGAGGCAACAACUGUUUCAGAAGGCAAAAAACGACUUUCUGAUGUCUGGCUUAUAGACUCAGGAGCUACCUGGCACAUGACCUCUAGGAGAGAAUGGUUCCACACAUAUGAACCUAUCUCAGGAGGAUCUGUAUAUAUGGGAGAUGAUCAUGCCUUGGAGAUCGCUGGUAUUGGUACUAUCAAAAUAAAAAUGUUUGAUGGUACAAUUCGCACAAUUGGAGAGGUACGACAUGUCAAUGGCUUGAAGAAAAAUCUAUUGUCUUUGGGAUAAAUGGAUAGUCAUGGGUACAAAACUCAUGUGGAGAAUGAAAUUAUGAAGAUCGUUAAAGGCGCGCUUGUAUUGAUGAAGGCAGAAAAGAUCGGUGCUAAUCUAUUCAUGCUUAAAGGAGAAACACUACAGGAGGCUGAUGCGUGUGUCGCGUCAAAUGGAGAAGAAUCAACGAUGAUGUGGCAUCUCAAACUUGGCCACAUGUCAGAAUAAGGUUUGAAGAUUCUCUCUGAGGGAAAAUUGCUUCCGGGGCUCAAAUCGGUAAGUUUACCAUUUUGUGAGCAUUGUGUUACAAGUAAGCAACAUAGAUUAAAAUUCAGUAGAUCUAUUGCUAGAAGUAAAUGCAUUCUAGACUUGAUUCAUUCUGAUGUUUGGGAAUCACCGGAUAUAUCCAUGGGAGGUGCAAAGUACAUGGUGACUUUCAUUGAUGAUUAUUCCAGAAGAUGUUGGGUGUAUCCAAUUAAGAAAAAGUCAGAUGUAUUUAUAGUGUUUAAAGAAUACAAAGCGCGGGUGGAACUUGAAUCUGGUAAAAAGAUCAAGUGCUUGAGGACAGAUAAUGGUGGAGAGUAUACAGACGGCGAGUUUCUUGCUUUCUGUAAGCAAAAAGGUAUUCAGAGGCAGUUCACGGUAGCAUACACUCCUCAACAAAAUGGAGUGGCAGAGCGGAUGAACAGAACUCUUACAGAAAGAAUAAGAGCUAUGUUGAGGACUGCUGGUCUACCCAAUUCAUUCUGGGCAGAAGCAGCCAAAACUGCCUGUUAUAUAGUAAAUCGGUCGCCAUCUACAGCUAUUGGGUUGAAGACGGCAAUGGAGAUGUGGACUGGAAAGCCAACUGAUUAUUCCUACCUACAUGCAUUUGGAUGUCCUGUGUACGUGAUGUACAAUGCCCAAGAAAGAACAAAGCUGGAUGCAAAAUCUAGAAGAUGUAUCUUCUUGGGAUAUGCUGAUGGAGUAAAGGGGUAUCGUCUGUGGGACCCCACUGCCCACAAGAUCGUCAUCAGCAGAGAUGUUAUUUUUGUAGAAGAUCAACUGCAAAGAAAAGAUGGAGAUGACGACACUGUAAAAGAAAAGUCAAAAACUAUGCCGGUAUAUGUCGAAAAUAAUCCAGAAAAUUCAGAUUCUUCUAAAGCAGCACCAGAGCACAAGAACAAGAACCAGUCGAGUCUGAGGCUCUAGAAGUUCGUCGGUCAACUCGUGAGAGACGACCGCCGGCGUGGCACUCGGAGUAUGUCACAGAGAUCAACGUUGCAUACUGUCUUCUAACAGAGGAUGAAGAGCCUUCAACUUUUCAUGAAGCUUUAGAAAGCUCAGAUAUUGCUUUGUGGAUGACAGCAAUGCAGGAAGAAAUUGAAGCUCUACACAAGAACAAGACAUGGGAACUUGUACCACUACCACGUGGAAGAAAAGCCAUUGGAAACAAAUGGGUCUACAAGAUCAAGCGUGAUGGCAAUGACCAAGCGGAACGGUAUCGUGCAAGAUUGGUGGUGAAAGGAUAUGCUCAGAAAGAAUGUAUUGACUUCAACGAGAUAUUUUCUCCGGUGGUUCGACUCACAACAGUCAGAAUAGUCUUGGCGAUGUGUGCUACAUUUGAUCUACAUCUUGAGCAGUUAGAUGUGAAAACUGCAUUUCUUCAUGGAGAACUUGAAGAAGAAAUAUAUAUGCUCCAACCAGAAGGUUUUGCAGAAACAGGAAAGGAGAACUUGGUUUGCAGGUUGAACAAAUCUUUAUACGGUCUCAAACAGGCGCCGAGGUGUUGGUAUAAGAGAUUUGAUUCCUUCAUCAUGAGCCUUGGAUACAACAGACUCAGUUCAGACCAUUGUACAUAUUACAAGAGGUUUGAAGAUAAUGAUUUCAUUAUUUUGCUGUUGUAUGUGGAUGACAUGUUGGUAGCAGGUCCCAACAAAGAUCGAAUCCAAGAAUUGAAGGCACAUUUAGCUAGGGAGUUUGAAAUGAAGGACUUGGGACCAGCAAAAAGAUUCUAGGGAUGCAAAUUCACCGAGACAGAAAUAACAGGAAAAUUUGGCUUUCGCAGAAGAAUUACUUGAAGAAAAUCUUGCGACGCUUCAACAUGCAAGAUUGUAAGUCAAUUUCUACCCCACUUCCUGUUAAUUUCAAAUUAUCCUCAAGUAUGUGUCCUAGUAAUGAAGUAGAGAGGAAGGAGAUGUCUCGAGUACCGUAUGCAUCAGCAGUGGGAAGUUUAAUGUUCGCUAUGAUAUGUACAAGACCAGACAUUGCACAAGCAGUGGGAGCAGUCAGUCGAUACAUGGCGAAUCCUGGUGGAGAGCAUUGGAUAGCUGUGAAGAGGAUUCUGAGAUACAUUAGAGGAACCUCAGGUGUUGCAUUAUGUUAUGGAGGAUCAGAGUUUACUGUCAGGGGCUAUGUAGAUUCAGAUUUUGCAGGAGACCUUGAUAAAAGGAAAUCCACUACUGGUUAUGUGUUUACACUUGCGAGAGCAGCUGUAAGCUGGGUUUCAAAACUGCAGACCGUUGUGGCUUUAUCUACAACAGAAGCAGAGUACAUGGCAUCUACACAAGCUUGCAAGGAAGCUAUUUGGAUACAAAGGUUAUUGGAGGAGCUCGGGCACAAACAAGAGAAAAUUUCUGUGUUUUGUGACAGUCAGAGUGCUUUGCACAUUGCAAGGAAUCCAGCCUUUCAUUCCAGGACAAAGCACAUAGGAGUUCAGUAUCACUUCGUUCGAGAAGUAGUGGAAGAUAGAAGUGUGGAUUUACAGAAAAUCUAUACCAAAGAGAACUUAGCAGAUGUUUUGACCAAGCCGAUAAAUACUGAUAAGUUUGUCUGGAGUAGAUCCUCUUGUGGCCUAGCAGAAACGUAGGCAACAUGAUUAUGGCGAAGCAGAAAGGAUGGUGUGGAGAUUGAUUGAUUCUCAAUCUAAUCUCCAAGUGGGAGAAAUGUCAAAAGCAGCCAUCUAGAUGGUCUAAAGCAGCCAUCUAGAUGGUCAGCAACAAUUUGUUCAAACAAGAAGAAUUUGGCAGCAGCAAAUAUGGAAUGAAGAAAAUUGAAAAAAAAAGAAGUUUGAAGAAGAAAAUGGGGAACACAAUUUUGACGAGAAAAGAAAAAUUAAUUAUUAUUUUAAUAGCCAAUUUUGGCUAUAUAAAGGGAGCUCUUCAUUUGGUUUUCUGCAUUCAAUUCCAUUGAGAGAGAAGCAUUGCCUUCCUUUAGAGUUGAGAGAAUUAAAGAGUUUAAUAAACUCUUGAGUGAUUAGUGUUAUGAGAGUUUGGGUGUAUUGGGGUUUUGGAAGUGAGCUAAAAUACUACAAUACUUGUAACUCCUUUUCACUAGUAAAAUAUUUCCUUCUGUCUUCGCCCGUGGAUGUAGGCUGAAAGCCGAACCACGUAAUUUCUGGUGUCCUCUAUUGUGCUUGUUCUUUAUUUUUCUACCAAUUUUGCUUUAGCUGCGGUCCUACUUCACCCACCAAUUUCCUAACAUGUGGAAUAUAAUUAAUAGGGACAAAGUAUACUAAAUUACUUGAUAGAUAGAUGCCGAGCUAAUCAUGAGCUAUGAUAGCAUUAUUCGUGCUUUGUGUAUUUUUAUUAGGGCUUGUCUAUUUCAAAGUGUGGAGUAUAGAAUUUUUGGGUUAAGUUUGAGUGAUGAAGUGUUAGAUAGGUUUCUGUUUUGCAUAGUUAAGCCGUCAAUACGAGCUAUCGAAACAGAUAUGGAGCAGGAUAUCUAGUUUUGGGUUUGGUCUUAGUUUGAAGAUGGCUACUGAUUAUGCAGCUAGGUACGUAUUCGUGUUUGUGGAUUUCUAAAUGCUUUCUGUCAAAUGUGACUAGAUUAUUACUAAAAGUGCAUGGAUCUUACACUUAAUUAAUUAUAUAUCCAUUUGUAAUGUUCAAAAUGAUAAUGUACUUUUGCUUGAAAUUAUGCUUUCAAGACAUCAUUUUGAAAAUCCAUGGUUAUAAUGUGUCUCUAAAUUCAGUAAUACAAGUUCUGUCAAUUGCUGUUGGAUGCAGUGACCUGAAUAGUUUAAUAUUCAUUUGCAGAAAGGAGUUGAGAAAGAAAACUAAAAAUUUCUGUGCGUGCUGCUGGAAAUUUAAAUAGCUUCAUUUGAGCAUUAAUUGCCGGCAUGAUCUCUUAGACUUCUCUUGCAUUGAAUGAAUGGAUGAGUGCUAAUCCAUGCAAAGACUUCCAUGCAUGCACAAUGAAUGCUACAUCAAAGGUAUGGUAAAAUGUCAGCAAGCUUGGCCCAAAUUAUCAAGCUGGUUUGGUGGCUGCUAGAUUUGUUCAUCCGGAUUUUGGACCAUUUUCCUUGACAAUGAGAAAAGCUCCAAGAUCUGUAAAUCGAAAACUCAUUGAAAUGCCAAAAGAGAGAUGGAAGUGAAUAAGUAGAGUGUUAGUGAAAAGAGGGUGUAGUGAUUGUGUGGGAAGCUUUGGGUAUAACUGGGGUUUGGAUGUGAGAUAAAAUAUUUUGAGAGUGAAGUUGUAACAAUUUUGUACGUAGAUAAAUUUUUUGUCUCGUUGUCCUUGGCAACUGUGGUUUUUUAUUUGGGUAAUAGAGUUUUUCAGGUAACUCUUUUGUUGUGUGAUCCGAGUAUUCUCUGUUGUAUUUCUUUUAUUUGUUAUUUAUUUGACGUAUUGCUAGCAGAGAUCUUGGGUGGGAAUAAAAAAUUCCCAACAAUUGUCAGUUGUUUUAAACUCUAUUCCGAACAGAGCAUGAAGGGAUUCACUUAUCUAAUUAUGUCAUUUAUGCUUUAACUUCACUUCAUUUCAUCUUGUCCGUCACCUUUACUAAAGUUGUGUAUGUUGGAGUAUUAGGUUCAUCACAAGGAUCAUAUUAUGGCUAAGGAAGGAGCACAGUUUAUUAGCUACACUCAAGUGUAGCAGAGUAUUUGGAUUCAAGACUGUUAUAAGGUUGUUACAGAUGCAAUGCUGUUGCUGUGCAACUGUAUGCCAUGCUCGCAAGUGCGCUGUAACAGAUUGCUCAGCAGGCACCGGAUAUUUUAAGCUAAUUUUGGUAAUUAGUCUAGAGUGUUCUGAUUUAUUCUAUAAAUAGCUCAUUUGAGCGUAGAUAUCGUACAUUUCUGUUACUUCUAAUAAAGAAAUUCUUUAUUCCUUUUUCUUUCACUUUCUCUUUCAUUUUCAUGAUCCCCAAACACCAUCAAACAUAGAAUUGCUGUUUUAAUUCCCUCCUCUUGUCGAUAGAUGUUUGCCGAAUUUUUUCAUUUAAAAAAUAUUAUAUUGGUUAAUAGAAUUUGAAGUUUUACAAAAUAUAAGUUUAAUUUAAAAAAUAUAUAUUUGUUAAUUUAAAUUUUUUAUUUGGUGGUUGUGUUUGAGAAAAUUUUAGGUAUACUUGGAUAUACUCUCUUAUUAUUCAUUGAAUUUGGGCAUUUAAACAUACUAGUAUGCAAUAUUUUUAAGUAAUUACCAGAGAAGUAUACAUGAGAAAAAUAUAACACGUGAAACAAUACACAAUGAAAUUAUCUACAAUUUUCCAUUGACUUAGUCAACUCUUCAUUAAUUUCAUUGACUUGAUCAACUCAUGAUCUAACUUGACAACUUGAAAAUUAAAUUAUGCUAGUAAUUCUGUAAAAUAUGCUAGUAAUUCCGUAAAAUUAAAAUUUAUCUCCCAAAAUUGAUAAAUACUGUGUCACUUUGUCAAAUUACUUAGGGUAAAAGCUCUGUGGCUAAAAACUUUUAACAUUAGUUGUAUGCUAAUUGAGAAGGACAAGACACGAAAGAAUUCAAUGAAUGCCACAUCAUGUAACACUAAUACUAACACUACUUACUCUUAACAAAUUCUUACAAACGUGAUUCAUGAAAUUAACUUGACUUUUUGUCUAAAAAAGGCCUAAAGAAACAUGCCAAGCAACAAAUAAAGUAGUCCAAACGUGAUUCAUGAAACUUGAUAGGCACUAUCUAAAUAGUAUUAAUAUGGCAACCAAAAACAUGCGCGCAAAGUAGACUUUCUUGGACGAUCCAUGCCAAUCAGCAUAUAAAGUAGUCCAAACGUGAUUCGUGAAACUUGACUUCUUGUCUAAAAAGGCCUAAAGAAACAAGACCAAAAUUUCCAUGCAAUAGCAAUAUGGUGGCCACAAUGCACUUUUUAAGCCAUUUUUCAAAACUAAGUUUCUUCGUAUCACAUGCACUAUUCAAGCAAUUUUUCAACAUUUUCUCCUUCCCCUAAAAGCUACAUGCAUGAAUCAUGUCCCAAUCAAUUUCUUGGCAAAAAUUGGAACGCAAGAACCGAUUGGAGCAUAAGGACAAUGUCGCGAUUCAAGAUUCUCAGCAAGACCACGUCACAAUGCAUCACUUUUGGAAAGUAAUUUAGCAAUUUCCAAUGCCUUAGCUGAUUAAUGGCUUGACCAUGUGACGAUUGGUCCACCUUAUGCACAUGGCAAGAUCAAAGAAAAUAUCACAGCUAGCUCGACGACUACUAGCCAAAAUAACAAGACAAUGACGGCCAGUUACAAACUCUAUACGAAGGAAAUACCGAAAUAUGAAUAUCCCUCCUAAUCACUUUCUUAUAUUAUCAUUAUUUUGUACAUGUAACAGAACACGUUCUCUCUUGUAAUGAAGUCAAGAAAACGGUUUUAGUUUUUAUAUCAAUAAUGGAAUCCAAAAUCUUUCACAGCUUGCUUCUCCUUUGGACGCUUGAAAGACUUUCUUACCUGGCUAAAACUGUGAAAAUUGUUCAAACUAAUUUGAUUGAUAACUUUCUGACACUAUAUUGUAUAUGAAGGCUGCAUUUAAAUGUGAAAUAAAAAUGAGUGCUUAUAUUAAAAAACAAUCAGUCUCAUUGCGUCCUCUUUCAUUGACAUAGGCAAUUUUGCGGUCAACUCGAGGAGUUGUUUGAUUUUAUGUUUCAAAUUAAGUACCAUAGCAUUACUACUUCUAUAAAUAACUCAUUUGAGCUUCGAGCUUGUUAUUUGUAUUUUACGUUUCUGUUUCUCUUCAUAAAGAUUUUUUUUUUUCAUUCUCUUUUUCUUCCACUUUCCCGACUCCCAAACACCACCAGUCUUUGAUUUUCCUAGAGUAUUAACUGUCUGUUUACACGAACAUAGACCGACUGUUUGUCUAAUUACUGACAAGAAACAGCAUACUCUGUCUCGGGGUCUCAUCGUUUAUUGACAUGUCACUUGUGAACGGGCUAAUUAAAGGGCGUUCCUUCCUUCAAGAAAGAAUGCCAAGAAAGUACCAUCCAUUAGACACGUUAAGAAUUAUUUAACAUUAAAAAUGAUAAUAAUCAUAAUAAUCGGUUUAGUGUUACCCCGUUAUUAGGUAAUGACUGUCCGAUUGUCUUCGCUUUCAUUGACUUCGCAACUGUGAAUUCUAAGCCGGGUUAAGGAUUGACAAAAUGUUAUAACCCAUAAACACUACAACAAACAGUUAUAUCACCGACGAAAUAUUUCCGAGGGCGUAAAAUACCUUUGAUAAUAAGUACUUUUUUCUAAGGUGUAAGAUGGCCGUCGGAUAAGGAUGAAAAUAUGAUCAAUAUUUCCGAGGGCAAUUUGCCCUUGGUGAUAAUGAAUACUUCGUCGAAAAUGCCUGCUAGACUUAACUAGAAGCACCCCAGAAUUUACACACUUCGGGCCCGGCCUUUGGAGUAGAGUACUAAAACCACAAGCCCGCAGCCAUAACUUCCACUAAUUGUUUUUUUUAAGAGUAGCGUACUUGGAAAUUUUUUUUCUUGUAAAUUUAAUUACUCUUGGUAAAAUUAAAAACCUAAAAGAAUGAAAUACAAAUAAAAAGCUAAGAAAAUACAGAAGAAACGAAAAAAUAAACAAAAGGAAAAAAAUUAAAACAGAAGGGAAAGUUCAAAAGAAAACGAAAAAGAACAAAGUUAAAGAGAACGAAUAAGAAAGAAAAAGAAGGGGAAAGUUCUUCAAUCAUUGCAGCGCAAGCACUCACAUCUCUCACUUUUCAAUUUCUCAUUGUCUAUUGCUCGCCCAAUCGCUUUGGUAAUUAUUUCACUGUUGCUUUCUCUAUUUGCGCUAGAUUUCAUCUUUUUUUUUUCCUUCAAUUAACUUAGGGUUAGGUUAUAGUUUCCAUCAUUGAUGAUGAGUCUGAAGGCUAAUUAUUUCUCUUAAGUUUGUAAUUGUUACCAUCUCUUGCAUAAUCGCUCACUCUAUGCUUCUAAUUUUGUUUUUAAUUUGUUUUUGCUGCUUCCGAUUUUGUUUUAGGCCAAAUGGUAGCUUCCUAUAAGUUCGGUGAAGCUAUUGCAUUUUUUUUUUUUUAAUUUUUAUUUUGGAGCCCUUACUUGUGAUGCUAAUUAUUUAGAAUUCAUUGUUUGUUAUCUGAUUUGGAUUAAUUUUAAUGAUCUUUUUGCUGGAUUUCAUUAAUUUUUUUUUCCAUUUUUAAUGUUAUGUGAUGCUAAGUAUGGACUCUAAAGGAUGUUGAUAUUUUUUAAUUUUGAGGAGUUGUAGGGAGAUGAAGUGAAAUAAACAUUUAGGGGGUCAUGUGUAUAUAGAAUUGUUUGAUAGAGCUAACAUGACUAAAAAAUGUAAGUUAAUGCUAUACUAAAGCGAUGGUUAACUUUGUACUUUGAAUUUUGCAGCAUGAAUUUAGUAUAUUGGUAUUUUCAUUUUAUGUGUACUAAAAAACUAAAAAGGAAGAUAAAAAUAGAUGAGUUACCAGGGAGAUAAAAUUCAAUCUGCGGUGAACUAGUUGUAUUUCUUUUUCUCCUUUUUUUUUUUUUUUGCCCCACUUUCUAUGCAUCCUCAUUUUAAAUAGUUAGUAUUGCUGGUAUUGGUUUUAUCAUAAUCAUAACUUGUGAGAUGAAUUUUGUGCUUAAUUUUUUUUUUGUUUUGUUGAAAGGGUGUAUAAAAUUUAAUAGUAAUAUCAAGAACAAGUUUCUUAAGCUUUGAACUGAAUAUAUAUUAAGCUUUUAAACUUUUCCUGGCUUGCUGCAAUGAUUUCUUUUCUAAGCUUUUCCUUCCUUGUUAAAGCACUUAUUCACAUGUUUCAGGCUUUGAUUGUUGUACUACUAUAUGAAGUAGCUCUAUGCUUUGUAGGGGAUGCCUUCUUGAUGAUAUUCUGCAGGUUAGAAUCUGAUUCUCUAAAAAUUCUUAUACAUGUAGAGAACAGGAGCUUAAAGAUGUCGUAGAACUUCAUGUAAAAAUUCGUUUUUCAGAUUGGAUGUCAGAGCUGAGGAGGGGAAUUUUUAAGAAGUAUCCAACUGUUGGAGAGCAUUAUGCACAUGCUCCUGAGAAUGUGCCUCCAAGAAUAUUGAGACAAAUGGUUGACAAAUGGAUGGAUGAGGGGUGGAAGGUACCAAUAAUGACUAUUAGCAUAAUAUUUUUCUGUCCUUUUCUUUCCUAAGCUUUGCUGUUAUUUUAAUUCAUCAGUGAAUUAUAGUUGCUAGAAUCAUUAUAGAAAUAGGAACUGAUAAAUCUUAUCCAUGUGCUUUGUACAUGAGUUGUUCUUGGCGGGUUUAGAAUAACCAAGUUGAUUUUAUGUUUUUUUUUAACUUAUAUAUAGAAAACAAGCACAACAAACAAGAGGAACCGAACCAAGUCCAAACUUAUUCACACUAUAUAUUCCUAUAUUUAUUUUUUUUUUGGCAUGAUUUCAUUACUAUAUGCACUCAGACAAAUGUAUGUAUUUAUUAUAGGAAACAAUGGAAUCAAUAUGAUCAACUGUUAUAGAUCAAGGCUUGUCAGUUGAUGAAUGGAAAAUAUUUCGAGAAGUAACAGGAGAACCAGCACAUGGUCGUGUUGUUGGUUGGAGAGCCGGCAUCAAAGGCAAGGAUGUGUAUGGUUCUCCAGGUCAAGGAGGUAACAAGCAUCAAUGUACUAAUUUGGAAGUGAAAGUAAAAGACUUAGAGAAGAAGUCAAGAAGUUGAAAAGACUGAUAAAGCUCGUUCUUGGAAAAUCCGCACAAGAAUCAUCUCAAAAGGUAUAGGUUGUUUAUUUCAUUUUAUUAAUAGAUUAAGUGAAUGAGUAUGUUCUAUGUUUUGAGUUCUCAUGGAAAAUGAUUGGUGACUUGUCAUUGCUCUGUUAGUUAAUGAACUGAAGUGAUUAUGGACAAGCUUAUAAUAUAGGUGGAUGAUUGAAUAAUUAUUAGAUUUUUUUUUUUUGAAACAGAGACUGCAUUUAUAUAGAGUUUUUUUUUAUUGCACAAUUUUUCUCAUUAGUCUCAGCUUCUUUAUUAUAUUUUAUACCAGUUUUUGUUUUGGUAAUAAUAGUGCUUAAAAUUUUUUCUUUUACCUAGGAUAUUGUUUUGACGGAAGAAGAUGACAGGUAUGAGGAUGAUGAAGUUGAGCCAAACGAUUUAGAAAUUGAAGAAGUUGCUUUAGAGGAUGAUUGAACACAUUCAAGAUAUGAUGAUAUCAUUUUGUAUAUACAUUUGGUAUUUUUUUGCAUAAAAGAUACGAUAAAAUUGAAUUUUUUGUUGUAUUCUUGAAUGAUGAAUGUGAUUUUAUGAAUUUUUAAAAUUAAUGAAGUUACAUUUAGUAAUUUCGAAUAUUAUUAUUACUUUUGUUACAUCACUUCUCUAAUAUAGAUAUUUCAACAAUAAAAAUAAAAAAAUUAAUGAAAUAUUAUUAUUAAAUAAAAUAAAGGGGGCCAUUAAACAACAAAAUAAGUUUAUUUUCGACGGUAUAUCUUUUAUUUCCGAGGGCAAGUUGCAGAUGAAAAUAAAAAUAACCAGGUUUAUUUAUCUUUUUUCCGAGGGCAUUUAAUUCCAUUUCCGACGGCAAUGCGCUCGGAAAUAAUUUUUUUCUCUGACGACUCGUCGGAAAUUCGACAUUUCCGAUAAGACUUAAUACGGCGACGGUCGACGGCAUACCACGCUCGAAAAUGAGUUUUUCUAAGGGUUUUUGUGUAUUUCCGACUCCGAGGGUAUUUGCCCUUGGAAAUGACCCAUUUUCUUGUAGUGAAAGCACAGAUAAUUAAUCAAUGGGCCACUGAUUUCUUCUUUCAUAAAAGAGAACUUUUCCAGGGAGAUUGGAAUAAAAGGCUAAUUCUUGGUAAAGAUCAGAAAGUUCUCAAAUAAAAAUUCGGCUUUGUGGAAAUUAAAUUAAAAGCAAUUAAGCAUUAUAAAUUACUUAACAGCUUAAUCGAGUUUGGUUUUGAAAAAUAUAUCUUUAAAUCUCUUGUAAUUAAAGAUAAUUAUCAUAUUACCGUCUCAAAUGGACCGAUUUCAAUCAAAUGAAAUCUAGAAAAUUGAGCAGCUCAUUGAUGUAUUUGGUGGAAUUGUGACUUGUGUCAGAGUCUUCGUUUUAGAAGAGUGCACAGCAGCUGCCAGGUCCACUUGGCAGUUGGCACGCCAAAAUUUUUCUGUUGACCAAUAAUUUUGAAAGGGAUAUUAUUAAUUCACUAUCAAAUAUUUUCGAACACAUCACUUUACUAUCAAAAUUUUUUGACAAUAAUUUUUUGUCAUUUAAUAUUUCAAUUUUUAUCAUUUUAUCAUUAAAAAAAUAGUAAAUACAUGCUUAGCGUAAGUUAUCCAUAAAAAUGGUUGUUGAAUUGUCUUGUUUCUCAUUUGGUUUAAUUUUCAUAAAUUCGACUCACACAAUUCAAUUAUGAGUGAAGAGUUUUUUUGGGAAAAAUCUGGUCUUCCAUGUACUAGAAUCAGGUCUGUUUGAUUUUAUUAUUUUUCUUUUGUUUGAAAUAUACGUGGAAAAUGUUGAACACUUUGUAGGAUUUAGAAGAAUUUGAAAGUUUGAAUGCAUAUAGUUUACUAUCGAUCAGCUAGUGCAUAUUCUGUAUUUUAUGAAAUCAAAGCUGGUUGAUUGAGAAAUGGACCUUAUUACAUGUCAUAAGAUUUUACAGUGCUUUCUAAUGGAGCAAAAUAAAAUGAUUCUUACCUGCACAGAAAAUUAGAAACGAAAAGGAGGGUUACUGAUCCACAGAGUUGUUAUUUACGAGAAGCACAUAGAUAUUACACUUAAUUUAUUAUCCAUCUGUAUUGUUUGGAUGACACUGAAGUAUUACCUAAAUUAGCCUUUCAAAACUUCUUUUUCAAAAAUCUAUGGUUGUGAUGCGUCUCUAUAAACUCACUCGUACAAAUUCUGUCUAAUGCCAAUUGUUUUAAACCCUGUUCUGAACAGAGCAUGAAAGGAUAUGUUCACUUAUCUAAUUAUGUUUUUUAUGCCUUCACUUCACUUGAUUCACCUUGUCCCUCUUUUAAAACAGCUGUAUAUGCUGGAGUGCCAAAUCCAUCACAAGGAUCAUAUUAUAUCCUACGGAAGGAGCACAGUUCAUUGGCUGCACUCAGUUUACAGAGUAUUUCGGGAUUCAAGACUGUAGGUUGUUGCGGAUGCAACUUGCAAGGCUGUUGCUGUGUGACUGUAUGCCACGCUGGCAAGUGUGCUCUGACAGAUUGUGGAGAUGGCACCAAAGAUUGUAAACUAAUUAGUACUGAAAAAUCAUAUUUGCACAUAAAAUUGCACAAAAUAAAUAGAUUGAGAAAAGUUGUACAAAGAAAUAAGAUUAAUAAAGUAAAUAAAUUUAUCUUUUAACAAAAUAUUUCUAGUCUUUUGGCGUUUUUGUGUAUUUUUGUGUAAGUGCAAAUAGCAUUACUCAUUAGUGAUUAACCUAGAGUGUUCUGAUUUCUUCUAAUAAGUAGCUCGUUUUAGCCUAGGACCUGUAAUUAUGUUUUACCUUUCUGUUACUUUCUCUUAAAUAUUAUCUCAGUUCUUUUCUUCUUUUCUUUCACUUUCUCUUCCAUUUUCCUGACUCCCAAACACCACCAAUCCUUGAUUUUCUAGAGUAUCAGCUAUCUAUUUCUACAAACACAAAACUGUUAUUUUUUUUUUUUUUUGAAGUCUGUUAUACACAGAUAUUACUGACAUUACAUCAGACAUUACAAUUAAUAUUUACAAUCAUACUAUAUAACUGGGAUUACCAUCAUACAUUGACACACUGAAGUAUAUGCUCAGAUAUUUUAAACCCUCUCUAAUAUUCGAGGGAUGCCUAUCCACUCACAUUUCGUGAGAGAGAGACUGUCUCCACUCAAUUAAUUGAUAAUUGAGGAAGAACUGAAACUAACCUCCAUAAUGCUUUUAUAGAGGCUCGAACCCUUACACUCAACAUUGUAAGUGCAAGGCUUCUCCCAUUGGACCAAAGGCCCAUUAGUACAAAAAAACAAAACUGCUAUUUACUUUCAAGAAAUAACAUAUUCUGUGGUUUAUUGGCUUAUGCCUCGUGAAUGGGGCUAAUGUUGGUCUAACUACUCCCGUGAAACAACGUACUCUGUGGCUUAUUGUCUCCUCUUCCAUUGACUCUGCCAAUUCACGACUUUGACACGCACACUAGAUGCUAACUGCCUUCUCCAUUCGACGUGCAAAAACUUUCUUGAGUCGGGUUAAAAUUAAUUGAUCAUUUUAUUUGGUGAUAAUGACUUAGUUGUCAAGUCAUGAGUUUGAUGAUGAAGAGGACGAAAAAUAUUAUUUUAUUAUUUAAAAUAAGACUAUCAAUUAUUUCGAUGGUCAUCUUAUUUUCUAAAAUAACUAAAUGGAAUCUUACAGAAUUAAAGUGCUUGACGUCUUCAUACCUUGCUUGACUUCUUUUUACAGAAUUAUAAAGUGAAAAAGGAAAUUAAGAAAUUAAAUACUUUUCAUGCGAGUGGAGAAGAUUGGGUAGCGAUUACAUUAAAUAAAAGAAAAUUAAUUUAAAAGUACAACACUUUAAUAAUCUCAUUCCCAAUCAUAUCGGUACAAAAAUUCUGUAGAUUUAUUGAAUAACUAUUUAUUUUACUUUGGUAAUUUCUUUCUAAAAGUGAGGUAAACAUUUUUAUUUUCUUUGCAUUCGAGCUUUCUUUCUUUUGCGCUGGCCUUCACUUUUGACCGUAUUUCAUGGGGCACAUUCAAUCUGAAUUUUCUGCAAGUUUGUGGCAGUUUUGUUAAUUACGAACAUUUGUAGGAUUUUAUGUAGAUGAUACAUUUUUCUUUUCUUUUUUUCUUCGGUGAACAAAUUAAAAUUUUAGUUUUUGUCAUCAUGACUAGUGAAAUGAAAAUAGUCCUCAUUUCAAGGAUAUACCGAUUAAUGGGGAACUAAUUUCGUCCUCUUAAAAAAGAAUUAUUUGCAGCGUGGUAAUUCGGAGAUUUCUGUAUUAUAUAGCCAAACCUAAGUGAUGAGAAAAAUGAGAAAUAAUUUGGAGGGAAACAAAAAAACUAAUUCAAGUUAAAGACCAGGAAUUGGUGUUCCUCACAAAAACAAUAAUUCAAGCCUCGCAAUAAUUUUUUUGAUUUAUUUAAAAAAAAGUUGUUUUCCUCACAAAACAUUUCAACGUCUAUUCUCUCGUACAGGGGAAUAUCCUUCACUCUUUGGCGUAUCCCUGGGGCAAUGUAAGUUGACUUUACAUUAAAACAAAAAAUAAUUACAAUCACAUAAUUACAAUUAUCAUCACUGAUUUGUAUAAUUUUCAGGACUAGUAAAUUAUCCCAAUUUUUAAAAAACAUAAUUACAAUUAUCGAUCGAACACCACUAAUUCCAACAAUUCAUCCAAGUUUUUCAACUUUUUAGAUAUUUGAUAUAUGUCAUGUUUUAACUUGGUACGAGAAAAAAAUUAUAGAAUAUUUUUUUUUCAAAUUAGUGGAAUUAUUUUGCGAUAAAACUAUCACAAUCACAUUUAAAAACAUUCUUUAAAUUUUCACUAUUUCUACUGUUAUUCUUUAAACUUUUUUCUGAACAGAGCAUGGAGGGUCGCUUAUCUAAAUAUGUUUUCUGAGCUUUCACUUCACUUGAUUCAUCUUGUCCCUCUUUUAUAGCUUCUAUCUCGUGUGAGCUUAGAACCUGCAACUCGUAUUUUACGUUUCUGUUACUUUCUCUUUCAUUUUCCCGACUCCCAAACACCAUCAGUCCUUGAUGUUAUAGAGUAUUAGCUGUCUAUUUGUACAGACAUAGAGCUACUGUUCCCACUGUAGAUCUUCAGAUGGUUAGCUCACUAUUGUUUGAAUAUUAAAAUUAAUUUGUUAAAUAAAUAAAGAAAACAAGAGACAAUUGCCAUAUAUAUUCCAUAUUAAUUAGUCACCGUCCGAUUGUCUCCACUUCCAUUGACUCUGUUGAUUCAUGCUUUCAUGAAGUGAAACGCUUAACACUCUGUUCUGAUCCGCAGGAGAGGAGGAAAAACAUAAUUUUAUUAUUUCAUUCCUGACACACGCAAAGAGCUUUCUUAAUUGAUGAAUGUGACAUGAAGCUCUAUAAAUAGUUUAAUUUGUAAAAUUGUUAAAAUUUGUUAAAUUUCAUUUAAUUGAUGAAUGUGACAUGAAGCUCUAUAAAUAGUUUAAUUUGUAAAAUUGUUAAAAAUUUAAAUUUCAAGGUAGAUAAAAUGAUUAACUUUUUUCAAUAUUUAGAUAAUUAACAUGUGCCAUGUAACUAUGAAUGAAUGAAUGAAAUUUUUGAAGUGCGAAUCCAUUUACAAGUUACAGACUUGUCUUAUUUCUCAUUUUACUUAAUUUUCAUAAAUUUGACUCACGAUCAAUUAUGAGUGAAGAGUUUGUUGGAAAAAUAUGGUAUUCCAUUUAUUGUAAUCAGAUGAGUGUGAUUUAAUUAUUUUUUCCUUUUGCUUGAUGUCCCGAAAAUUAUGAAUACUUUGUAGGAUGCAGAAGAUUAAAAAUUUUAACGCAUAUCUAUAGUCAAAACUGAGGAAACAGAACAUUAUUGCUUCUAUAAAUAGGUCAUUUCAACUUAAAACUUGUUACUUGUAUUUUAUAUAUUUUUUUUUUAACUUUUUCUUCCAUUUUCCCAAACACCACCAAUCCUUGAUUUUUUUCUUAGAGUAUUAGCUGUCGAUUGUUAUAAACGUAGACAUACUGUUUGUCUAAUUACUAUCAAGAAACAACAUACUCUAUCCUGGGGUCUCUUCGUUUAUUUAAUAUUUAGGUUUAUUAAUAUACUAUAUUAUUAAUUAAAUUAAUUAAUAUUAAUUAAUAAUUUAAAUUAAUUAAAUAAUAAAAGUUAAAUGAUUAUAUUGAAAAUCCAAGUAGUAUUUUAAUGUAAUGAAACCUAAAUCCCACCUCUAUACCACAUUUGUUACACAAUGUAAUUAUAUAAAAAUAAUAUUUUAAUACAAUAUAAUACAAGUAUAAGGCUGUGUAAGGCUGUAAUAUUAAUUAGCCUGUGUAAUAGUAUGCCAUGCUGGCAAGUGUGCUAUAACAGAUUGUCGAGCUGGCACCAAUUAUUUUAAACUAAUAUUAGUAAUUAGUUUAGAGUGUUUCGAUUUAUUCUAUAAAUAGAUCAUUUAAGCUUUGAACCUGUGAACUUGUAACGUGUACUGUACUUUUCUAUUACUUCUAAUAAAGAUUUUCUCUAUUCCUUUUUCUUUCACUUUCUCUUCUGUUUUCCCGACCCUCAAACACCGUCAAUCCUUGAUUUGAACUACUGUUUGUUUGUCUAAUUACUUUCAAGAACAAUACCCUCCAUCCCGCGGUCUCCUCGUUUAUUGACUUGUUACUUAUGAACAGGGCUAAAUAAAGGGCAAAUAAGAUGUUGGGCCAAUGGACCCAACGUCACAGAUCUUGAAUUGAUUGCCUCUUCUUUUCUCUACAAAUCUUUGCUUAAUUUUUAUGUUUCCUCAACUUUUUCCCCCCUUUUGUGCUAAAAUUAUUUUUCUGAUACUUUAUGCAAAAAAUAUGAUGAAAAUGAAUUAGUUUAGAUUAUCAAUAAAUUUUUAUUACAUUCAAGAUAAGGACAACUACUCUUAGAUCACUUUUAUUUAGUUGAAUUAUAGGUAAUAAAAUUGGUUUUAACAAAAUAUGAUUCUUAACCCUUGUAAUUAAAGACUGGUGUUAUUUAGUUUAGUUGUAACACCAUGCAACAGGUCAUCUUGGUGGGUUCAAAUUAAUAUACGAUCAUUCUCAAUAUUUAAUAGUUCGUAAUUAAAAAUUCCAAUAUCACAAUUAGAAUUUACAAACAUGUCAAAGUGAGUUAAAUCAAACCUAUAAAUUUAAGGUUUACUACAAGCUUCUAACAAAUUAAAAUUUAAAAUGAUUAAUUAAAUGCUAGACAAUAUUUAGCUUAUAAAUGUUCCCGACCACAUGAUGAAUGUACUUAAAACAUCCUAAUUGGUCGCUAAUUGAUUGGUUGUUAUUUUUUCAAUUUCUUUUUAUAUAUCUUUGAAGCUUCUAGUUUCAUAACAUGUUAUUUGCAAUUCGUGUAAAUUAUUAUUUUUUAAAUAUUAGAGCAACAACCAGUAUAAAAAUAAAAUGCACUCAUUUAAUGGAAAUUUUUCUAGAUGCUUCAAUGGCAGAAUCUCAUUGGUCUAUAACUCUCAAUAAAUUUUUCUAGAUGAUUCAAGAUUCAAUUUCAAACCAAUGCCGAACAAACAGUAUAAACCUUAAUAAGAUAGUUGAAUAACCAUCUCUUACGUCGGGUGACCGAAUAACCAUCGCUUACGUCGGAAUUUAAACUUAAACAAAGCUACAUCCCACGUGUUCCCCACUUUCUUCAUAUUUCCAAAAAACCCCUACCAGAUCCAGAUAAUCACCUUAACUUUUCUCGUAUAAAUAGAGAAGACGACGACGAUUCCUGCAAAGCCAGGUGAGUCACGUGAACGUUACGGCCAUGGGACAUUGGAAUUGGAUCAAACCACUGGAAUGCACAGCAAAAUUAACCCGAAUAAACUAGGUUGAGUUAAGAAUUACUUUUCUUUUCAUAAUAAAUUAGAUUGAGUUAAUAAUAUUUGCCUGUGUGAAAUGAAUAAUCAGUUUAGUGUCACCCCAUUAUUAAUUUGUGACUGUCCGAUUGUCUCCUUUUUCAUUGACUUUGCAACUGUGACUUCUGAACCGGGUUAAGAGUUGACAAAAAUGUUAAUGUUAAUAUGUUAUAAUUCAUAAAACACGCAUAAUUAAUUAAUGGCCCACCAAUUUCUUCUUCUCAAAAGAGAAUUUUUGCAGGAGAUUGAAAAAAGGCUAAUUCAUGUUAAAUAUCUUAGAUGAGUGUCUAUCACGGAUACAAGUCAAGCCACACGAUUUUUCUUGUUAUACUAUUUGUUGGCACUUGUGAAUCCUUGAAUUAUCAAAUGAAUAGCAACAACACUUCAAUAUCUAUUGUUACACGGAGAGAAAUCCGUUCUCUCUUUGAUGUACUACUUGGCAAUAUACAUUGAUCUUUCACUAAAACAAGCAUUCUCAUAUUGUUGAGAAAAACUCACGUUAAACUAUUCAAUUUAAUCAUUUAUUAAACGGAUAUUUGGUUUGAUUCAUUUUAUUCAUUUAGUAGAAUUAAUAAACGAAUCGAAUCGAAUCCAGAUUCAUUUAUUCUAUUACAAAUCUACAACGAAUUGAAUCGAAUCGAAUCAGAAUUCAUUUACAAUUCGUUUAGAAAAAUAUAAUUGAUAAACAAAAUUAAGCAAAAUAAAAUAUAAAAAAGCCGCAAAUUUAAUACCACUUCCUACACCAUAUUCCUAAUUAGCUAGGGAUAGUCUACCAUGCAAUGGCUGCUGUCUUCAUUAAAUAAAAUAUGUGCUUUUAUACGCCCUCUCAAAGAAUAUCGAUCUCCUCAAGACUUUACAUAUUUGUUUUUGAAUAUAAACACUUGUUCACUUCUACAUAUUUUUUUUUAGCUACAUCCAUAGAAUUGCUCUAGCCUCUACGUUGGACAUAGCUGCUGUCUUAAUUAAAUAAAAUAUGUACUUUCAUACGCCCUCUCAAAGAAUAUCGAUCUCGUGGAGGCUUUACAAGCUUCGGUGGGAUCUUUAGAAAACGUCUCGACGACUCAAAAGACUACACUCCCACUUUCAAAAGUGGCACGAUUUGAACUUAUCCUGCCAACCUUCUAGAAGAGUAGUGAUAAACUUCAAGAUCAUUCUUUUAAUUUUCUCCCUUUUAACAUUUUGGUUUCAGGUAAGGACCAAUCACUUGGACACUUCAAUUUUACUUUUGGACCUUUCUUAUAAUGACAACACCCUCCAUCCCUCGGUCUCUUCGUUUAUUGACUUAUUACUUGUGAACAGGACUAAAUAAAGGGCAAAUAAGAUGUUGGGCCAAUGGACCCAACGUCACAUAUCUUGAAUUGAUUGCCUCUUUUUUUCUCCAUAAAUCUUUACUUAAUUUUUAUGUUUCCUCAACUUCCCCCCCCCCCCCCCCCCUUUUGAUGAAUUAUUUUUCUGAUACUUUAUACAAAAAAUAUGAUGAAAAUGAAUUAGUUUAGAAUAUCAAUAAAUUUUUAUUACAUUCAAGAUAAGGACAACUACUCUUAGCUCACUUUUAUGAAAUUCGUUACUAGAAAUUUGUAUAAAAGUCGUGAGAAUAGAAAUUUUGGUAAAACAAAAGUCGCGGGCUUAUUUAGAAAAAAGAAAAAAUUACAUUCUAUUUUCCAAUUACUAAGGUCAGCCUUAACACAUGCCGGUCUUUUUCUCCUCUACUUUCUAGAAAUUUUGGUUUCACUAUAAAAACUCGGUAUAUAACAAACUUAUGAGUGUUCUUGCAUUACCAAUCCAACUAAGCACACGCUUACAAUCUAAAAUACUCUCAUCUCAUGGAAAGAGUUCAUUCUCUCAGGAUGAUGAGCAUAUUUCUCCUACUCCAUUGUUUGAUUAUUAUUUCCUUAUUUAUCGCAGCAACAACAGCCAACACAAGUUCUAAUAUCACAGACCGAGAUGCUCUGUUAGCCCUGAAAGCUCACAUAACUCAUGAUCCGACCAAUUUCUUGGCCAAGAAUUGGAACACAAGUACUCCUGUCUGUAAUUGGACAGGCGUCGCUUGUGACAUCCAUAGCCAUAGAGUCACAGUCUUGAAUAUUUCAAGCUUAAAUCUCAGAGGCACCAUCCCAUCUCAACUUGGGAAUCUUUCUUCUCUGCAAUCACUCAAUCUCAGUUGUAACCGACUUUCUGGUUCCAUUCCCUCCGCCAUCUUCACCAUAUACACACUGAAAAAUGUUAGUCUCGGUAAAAAUCAGCUCUCUGGGCAAAUUCCUACAAAUAUUUGUAGUAAUCUUCCUUUUCUUGAAUUUCUUUCUUUGUCCCUAAACAUGUUCCAUGGCGGAAUACCGUCCACUCUAUCAAAUUGCACAUAUUUAAGAAUCUUAAGUUUGGCAUACAAUGAUUUCUCGGGAGCCGUACCUAGAGAAAUCGGUAACUUGACCAAACUUAAGGUAUUAUAUAUUGGCGCGAAUAGACUCCAAGGUGCGUAUGGUCAUGGAGUUUAAUUAUAAACAUUGUUCCAUGAGUUGUAAUAUGAAUAAUGUUCCAUAAUACACUUCUGAGCCCGAAAUCCUUUCCUUUCCUCCUUGACUCUCCUAUCGUCGAGCUAAGUGACUCUGUCAUGCCGCUUCAAGUAAUACAAACGUUGAUUAAUUUGCAGGAGAAAUUCCUCGAGAGUUUGGCAAUCUUACCGAAUUGGAGCAGUUUUCGUUACCAACAAACAAUCUCCAAGGUAUGAUUUUAAACUUUUUGCAAUUUUAUUCUAGCUCUGCUUGCUUCUGUAUUCAUUCGUUUGUUCAUUAAUUAUGCUAUGAUUUAUUGUUUUUCUUUCAAAUAGAGAUAAAGCUCCAUGUCUCCCCUCACUCAUUUCGUUCUUUGAUUUAUGCAGAUAAAAAUAAAAAAAAAUGUUUUGUAAUUUUCUUUUGUCAUAUUGCCACUUCCCUUUUAAAGCUCCCAAUUAAGUCGAUGAAAAUGAAUGAUGCUUCAUUCGUAUUCUUGUCAGCCUAAUUCUUAUAUAAUUGAAGAGUAAAUUGUUAUUAUGAUAUUCGUCAGCCAAUAAAUUCUUUUUUUUUUCUCAAAAUAUGAGUGAUCAAAUUGUUUGCGCAUAUAUAAUUUUACUUAAUUUGCAGGAGGUAUUCCACAGGAAUUGGGGAAUCUUGCAAAAUUGGAGAUUUUACAGCUGUUCCAGAAUAACUUGACCGGUAACCAUCUUUACUAUAUAUAUAUGAGACAUCUUCCGCUUCUUAAUUAAAAGAUUUCAAGUCUCUCAUUAUAAAUUCUCAUAUGAGGAUAUGUCAUUACUACAAUCUAACAUUAUUCCCUUUUUUAUUAGAAAUUAGUUUGUGUUAAUUCAAAAUUUUGUAACAUUUAAAAAAAAAUUAAAAACACGUGGAAUAAAUCAUCAAUCUUUCUUCUUUAUUGAAUUUGGAUUUCUCAAAAAUUAUCUUGACAAGUAUACUUCACUAAUGAUAUGCAUGUGUGACAACUUCAUAAAAUAUUUUACAUGGAGUCACCAAUUAUCUUUAAAUAAUUGGAGAUGCCAUCAGUGAUACAUAAUUUCUUAACAAGCACCAUAUCAAAAGAAAUCAACAAUUUUAUUAAUCUUCAAGAGUUGCAUCUUCACUGCAAUUAUGACAUAAAUUUUUAGUCAUCAAUCGCAUAAUAUUUUAUGUUAACGGAUGAUGUUCAGUCUUGGAAUUUAUAAUACCUUGAAGGUUAGUAGCUUUGAAAAUAAGAACUGUUCAUUUGCUAAAAAGUUAACUUAGUAUUUAAGUUUUUCAAUUGAAAAUUUUGAAAAAAGUCUUGAGAACUGCCCUCCUUAGUAUUUCAGCUGAUAAAUAUGAAAAAUAGGCUAGAAGAAAUAUUGUUGUGUGUGCUUAUUCUACUUGGGCUUUGGGCUUGAUUACAAGGUCGAGCCUUGAUUACAAGGUCGAGCACUUACACCUGUCAUAAUAAUAGGCUUUUACUGUCACCACACGUUUAAUAAUUUCUUAACCUUCCGAAUUAAGUUAUAGCAAUUUAUAUAUAAAUAACUAAAGCAUACUAAUGCUAGCACAAAGUACUCAUGACUUAGGCUUGUUGUGUUACCUAUUACACACGGUCGAACACUUACAUCUAUUAGAAUAACAAUAGCAUCCGCGGAUCGACUAUCAGUGAUCAAAUUGUUUGCACAUAUGUAAUUUGCAGGACCAAUUCCACGGGAGUUGGGAAAUAUUACAGGAUUGGGGAUCUUAGCGCUGUCUGAUAAUUUUUUAACCGGUAUCAUUCCUUCAUCUAUCUACGAAUUGCUUUUCUCUAUUAAAUUUGGAACUGUCAUUUAAUAACUUAACAGGUAACUUCCCUUACAAAAUGUCUGUGUGACAUGUUUUGCUUCUAAAUUAAAAUAUUUCGCGUCUCUCAUUAUAAAUUCUCAUAGGCGGAUGUAUUGUUACUACUAUUUAACAUUAUCUCAUUUUUUUAUUAGAAAUUAAUCUGUGUUUAUGCAAAAAAAUUUAGCAUCUAAAAAAAGUAUAAAAACACGUGGAAUAAAUCGAAAAUCUUUCUUCAUUACUGAAUUCGGAUUUCUCAAAAAUUAUCAUGAGAACUUCAUAAAAUAUUUUACAUGGAAUCAGUAAUUAUCUUUAAAUAGUUGGAGAUGCCAUCACUAAUAAAUAGUUUCUUAAAAAGCAUCAUACUAAAAGAAUUCAAUAAUUUUAAUAAUCUUAAAGGGUUACAUCUUCACUGCAAUUAUGACAUAAUUUUUUAUCUAAAUAUAUUUUUAGUCAUCAAUCGCAUAAUAUUUUAUCUUGACGGAUGAUGUUCAAUCUUGGAAUUUAAAAUAUCUUGAAGGUUAGUAGCUAUGAAAAUUAGAAAAUUUUUAUUUGCUAAAAAAUUAACUUAGUAUUUAAGCUUUUCAAUUGGAAAAUUUGAAAUAAAUGUUGAGAACUGGCCCUCCUUAGUAUUUCAGCGGAUAAAUAUGGAAAAUAGGCUAGAAAAAAUUAUUUUACUGAAAUAAUAGUUAAAAAUAGAGGAGAAGUACAGUACUCAUGACUUAGGCUUGCUGUGUACUUUUUUUUACUUGGGGUUCGGGCUUGAUUACACACGGUCGAAUACUUACACAACUCCCCCCACAUAGGGUUUUACUUUCAUCCCACAUUUGAUAAUUUCUUAACCUUCCCAAUUAGAUUAUAGCAAUUUAUAAAUAAAUAAAUAACUAAAGCAUACUAAAGCUAGCAUUGAUGGAUGGAUGAGUGGUGUCAAAAGUGUAUCUGUUUUUAUGUAUUAUUGUUCCCUGAUACAAAUCUAAAUAAUGGAAAAUAUAAAUUUAAUACUUUAUUUAAUACUCUGUUAACAUUUUAUCUAUAUAUAAUAAUUAAACUGAAACUCGUACUUAAAAAAAUUUUGGUUACGCAUAUUCAUUUCAUGAUAAAAAAAUGUCUAUUUACACUAAUUUACCAUUAUCAAUAAAAUGCUUUGAGACAAAUAAUCUAAUUUAUAUUAGUAUAUUUAAAAUACUUGCAUUUAUUAUAUUUUGAAAAAAAACUAUUUGCAAUUAUUUUAAACCUUUGAAUUCAAAUUUUCUUAGUUAUUAAAGUCAAAGGGUAUAAAUGUAUAAUAGUCAAAAACAGAUUUGUAUGAUCAUUUUUCAAUGUAUAAAUUUUCUUAGUUAGUAGGAAAUUAAAAAUUGUUGAUUUACUCAUAAAUGAAUUUAGUGUUUAGCAUUUCAAUUUUGGAAAACUUGAACUAAAUGUUGAUAACUUCGAAUCCAUCGAGCCAAGUUUCGCUUCCUUGACACACAGACCCAUUCGAAUUGAGUUUCCAAGUGCUUAGAAAAAGCAUUUCUUUUCCAUGUCACUAUAAUUUAUUCACAAAAGAGUUGAUUAGCGUCGAUGUUGCUGCAGAGUCUGAGACCAUGUUAGUAGGAGAAAUUUGAAAAGAAAUUAUUUUACUAAAUUAACUUAUUUUAUCUUGCUGUAACUGAAAUACUACCUUUUUUUUUUUUUUGUUAUCACUGGGGCUUGAUUUACUUUAAUAAUAGCAGCCACAAGCUUAGGCUUUUUUACUUUUCACCACACAAUUUGAUCUUUUAAUUCGUUUUAACCACAUAAUCUAUCUAUCUCACACCUAUUGCUUACUUAAAUCGCAUACAUAUUUUACCUACUAAUUUUUACAAACAUUAGUGAAAUAUAUUUUAUUACAUUUCGCUUGUAACUGCUCUAGUUGUGCACUAUUAAUACUUAACCCUCCCUUUUAAUUUACCGUGCAAUCUAUCAACAACUUAAAUUACAUAUAUAUUUUAUCUAUAUUUUUCCCGAAAAAAAAUAUAAAAAUAACAGAAAAAGAAUAUGUGUAGCAAUUUGUAUGGAACUAACAAAGCAUUAACGGUGUGUAGCCUUUCAAUACUUCAUGAGUGGCUUUUCUUGUGUGUUAGUACUAGUAAUAAUUGUGUAGUGUAUAAAUGACCUUUUAUUAUUAAAGCGCGUCCGUUGUUAGAUAUUAUUUAUUAUUUGAAAAAUAAUCUGAAUAUAAUUCUUUCAAAAUACAGGGGAGAUACCAACUGAAAUCAGUAAUCUCCGUAAUCUGGAGGAGUUGGACCUUGCUCGAAACAAAUUAGUUGGUAUUGUCCCAGCUGCAAUCUUCAAUGUGUCAACACUCCAGCAUCUUGGUCUUCAAGAUAAUUCUCUCUUGGGAUGUCUUUCGUCCAACGGAGACGUCCGACUUCCAAAUCUUGAAGGGCUUUAUUUGUCGGGUAAUAAUUUCAGUGGCACAAUUCCUAGAUUCAUCUUUAAUGCUUCUAAGCUCUUUAAGCUAUCGUUGCAAAGGAACUCAUUCUUUGGUUUUAUUCCCAACACAUUUGGCAACUUAAGAAACCUUAAGUGGCUGUCUUUAUAUGAUAAUUAUUUGACAUCUUCAACUCCAGAAUUGAGCUUUCUAUCCUCGUUGUCAAAUUCCAAGUCUUUAACAUUUAUUGACUUAUCAAAUAAUCCACUAGAUAGCGUUCUUCCAAAGACAUUUGUCGGUAAUGUUUCUCAUUCUUUGGAAUUCUUUGUCAUGUCGUAUUGUAACAUUAGUGGCGUCAUCCCUGAAGAGAUCACCAACUUGACCAAAUUGACAACCAUUAUUUUAGGAGGCAAUAAAUUGAAUGGAUCAAUUCCGAUUACUCUCAGCAAGUUACAAAAGCUUCAAUAUUUGGGUCUUGACGAUAACAAAUUAGAAGGAUCAAUCCCAGACAGUAUUUGUCGUUUAGCUGAACUGUAUGAUUUGGAGUUGGGUGGUAAUAAGCUAUCUGGAUCAAUCCCUGCAUGCUUCAGUAAUCUGGCUUCUCUGAGGACACUGUCGUUGGAUUCCAAUGAGUUAACUUAUAUUCCCUUAACUUUUUGGAACCUUAAGGAUAUCUUGUACCUCAACUUUUCAUCAAAUUUUUUGAUUGGUCCACUCCCAUUAGAGGUUGGAAAUUUGAAGGUUUUAGUUGGAAUUGAUUUUUCGAUGAAUAAUUUUUCAGGCGUUAUCCCAACAGAAAUUGGAGGCCUACAAAAUCUAGAAUAUCUCUUCUUAGGAUAUAACAGAUUGCAAGGAUCGAUUCCUGAUUCAUUCGGUGAUUUGAUAAGCUUGAAAUCAUUGAAUUUGUCUAAUAAUAAUCUCUCUGGGGCUAUUCCUGCAUCUUUAGAGAAACUCUUAUAUCUUGAAGAUCUAAAUCUUUCUUUCAACAAACUAGAAGGAGAAAUUCCUAGGGGAGGGUCUUUUGGAAACUUCUCAGCUGAAUCAUUUGAGGGAAAUGAAUUAUUAUGUGGUUCACCCAAUUUACAAGUCCCGCCAUGUAAAACUAGCAUCCACCACACAUCAUCAAAAAAUUCUCUUCUCCUGGGGAUCGUCUUGCCAUUGAGUACUACAUUUAUGAUAGUAGUCAUUUUGUUGAUCCUAAGAUAUCGACAGAGAGGAAAACGACCAUCGAAUGAUGCUAAUAUACCACUAGUAGCAACAUGGAGAAUGUUUUCAUACCUAGAACUCUGUCAAGCAACAGACGAAUUCAGUGAAAAUAAUCUAAUUGGCAAAGGUGGUUUUGGCUCUGUUUACAAAGCAAGACUUGGGGACGGGAUGGAGGUUGCAGUGAAGGUUUUCAAUUUGCAAUGUGGAAGAGCAUUUAAGAGUUUCGAUAUUGAAUGUGAAAUGAUGAAAAGUAUUCGCCAUCGAAACCUUAUCAAAGUUAUUAGCAGUUGUUCAAAUGAAGAGUUUAAAGCGUUGGUAUUAGAAUACAUGCCUCAUGGAAGUUUGGAGAAGUAUUUGUAUUCAAGUAACUGCAUUUUGGAUAUUUUUCAAAGAUUGAACAUAAUGAUAGAUGUUGCAUCAGCUUUGGAAUAUCUGCACUUUGGUCAUUCAGCUCCAAUAAUUCACUGUGACUUAAAGCCCAGCAAUGUAUUGUUAGACGAUAAUAUGGUUGCUCAUUUGAGUGAUUUUAGCAUCGCAAAAUUGCUAACAGGAGAAGAUCAAUCUAUGACUCAUACACAAACACUUGCAACAAUAGGCUAUAUGGCACCAGGUUUGUUUAAUAUAAGUUAUUUAUAUUUCAUGAUCUUGAUUAGAUGAGGAAAUUAUUAUUAAUGAUAUAUCUUACUAUGUAAUUGUUGCAAUUCAUAGAGUAUGGAAGAGAAGGACGAGUAUCCGCAAAUGGAGAUGUUUAUAGCUUUGGGAUUAUGUUAAUGGAAACAUUUACUGGGAAGAAACCCACAGAUGAAAUGUUUAAUGGAGAAAUGACAUUAAAGCAUUGGGUUAAUGAUUGGCUACCCAUUUCCACUAUGGAAGUUGUUGAUGCUAAUUUGCUAAGUCAGGAGGACAUACAUUUUGUUGCAAAAGAGCAAUGUGUGUCAUUUGUCUUCAAUUUAGCUAUGAAGUGCACUGUGGAAUCCCCUGAGCAAAGAAUCAAUGCAAAAGAAAUUGUAGCAAAACUCUUAAAAAUUAGAGACUCAUUACUUAGAAAUGUUGGAGGCAGAUGUAUAAGACAAUCAAAUUUAAAUUGAUUCUGCCCCUCCUUCAUUGCUUGCUAUCCUUUUCAGAGACUUGAACAGUUAUCCUCCAUAGAAGUUUUGCUGAUAUGUUUUGUUAUUGCUCUUGCUCAUGUUUAUUUCUCUCUUUCUUUAAUUUGCAUGCGUGCAUUUUAGUUCUCUUCCAUGUUUGUGUUGGUUUAUAUGUAGUUUGUUUUUUGGGAUAUGGUUUAUUAUGUCCUCACCCUAAUUAGAUGUAUCCUUUUGAUUUUUAUCAAUAAAGCUUCGCUAGUACUAUCGAGGUUAAUCGAAAGAAAAUUUUCAAUUGAUUUUCUUUUCUUUGACUAAUAAUGGAAAUUCUAAUCUUUAUAGUGAAUAACUUCAAUAAUAGAGUGUAAGAGUAUUAGUAGUUGUGGUUGUUUUCUGAACUUGGAGUUAGAGUAGUUUAACAGCAACAAAUAGGUCUCUUGUAUUAUAGGCAAAAUUCUUUUCAUUAAUCUUAUUUGUCUACAUUUUCUCCUAUUUUCUUCUUUAAUCUUCGCUCAAGGUUUCAUGCUUCCAUUUUGACAUGUGAGAUUGUUUGUCAUCCAUUUGCUAAAAUGGAUAUGAGAGGAGCUUUCAAUCAUUACCUCCACCAAAAUCCUUACAAUGCAACUUUUAAAUUUAUUUUUUAAAAUACGUUCAGUUUAAUUUAUAAAAAAUAAAUCCAUUUGUUAAAAUUAAUCUUUUUCUCAUAGAUUUCAACCUAAAAAAUAUAUUUCUUUUAAGUUUUUAUUUUAAAAUACAUACAAGUUCUAAACUAUUAAAUUAUUUUUUUCUUAUUAUAUAGUUUAUAUUUCCAUAACUCUAAACUCCUAUAAUUUUUAAAAAAUAUAUUUUUAAUUUAAAAUAUGAAUAUAAAAUAUAGAAUGGAGUGGGUAUACAAAGUUUUGUUAAAAGAAUAAUUCAUUUAAGUAUUUAGCUGAAUUUUAAUUUAAAAUAAGAAAUAAAUUAAUUUAUUUUUUAUUAGUUAAGUAAUUUUUAAUUGAAAAGAGCUUAUAUUAUGGACAUAUGAUUAAAAUUAUCAUGAAUUAAACAUUUUCAUAUAAAUACUAGUGAUAAUUACAGAGAAAGUACGAUGAACCGAGGAAAACUUGAAUAGAAAUACUCCAAUGUAAUUUUACACAUGCAAAUUAUGAACCAGUGAUCUUUAGAGCAUCAUAAAAUUAUUUUAACACAAUUAGUUAGUUUGAAAAAUUGCCAAUAAUGUUUAAAGUGGGAUUGAAAAGAUUAUACUAAAAAUAUAAGACAUGAUAUCAUUUAAGAGCUUACAGAUUAUGAGAAAUAUAUUGAUCUUACAAAUAAUAUAAAAUAUGUCAAUUAGACUGAGUCUAUGCAAUAAAAGUUUCAAAUUAAAAAAUAAACCUUUAUUUUCUUUUAAUCAUUAAUGUGAUCUUAAUUAUUAAAGUCAUUCAAUGUCCAUUACUUAUUUAUUUUUUUAAUUAUUUAAAUGACAUUGAAAACUCUACUCAAUAUUAAUUCAUUCUAGUGUUUUGUUUUAAAGUAAUCGGAAACUACAAAUGAAACAAAUGCUUGAAAUCACAAAUGGCCUAAAAUUAGAUUUUUAUUUCUUAAUGUUGUAGUGACUUUGAUCUUGAUAUUGAAAAUUUAUUUGUAACUUAUAUAAAGGCCUCGAUUUUAUCAUAAUUGAUUAGUAAGGCUAUGUACGGGAGCAUGGAUAAAUUUUGAGAUUGGAUUAUAUUUUUGGAACUAAAAAAUUAAUUUCAUCCAAUGUUAUGUAUAGCUGUUGGGACUAGCAAAUUAGUCUAAAAUUAUUGAAAUUAUUAGUCUUUUAAAUUAUAAUUUUUUCGUUCCCACUUUAAAAACAAAAAAUAUUUUGGUGGAAAACUGUACAAUGAUUAAAAACAAAAAAUUAUCAUUUUCCAAUGUUUACAAAGAAAACAAGAGACAUUUUAUUUCACUUUUACGCUCGGGCCUCACUAUCUUAACUUUUGUAACAUAGUGUAAUAAAUUACGUGGGCCCAUUUAAUAAAGAAAUAAUCUAAUAAAUAAACUAAUAUAACAAAAUUUAAAAAUAAUAGCAAGAGUUUAUUCCAUACCUUGGAGCUUAACUACUUAAUAGAUUACCCAAAUAGUUUUAAAUAAAAAGUAAUAUCAUAUAAUUAUUAUACUAAAUUAUUACAUUGUUCGACCAAUAUGCAGUUAUUUAAAAAUUAUUACAAAUUUUCAUAUAUUAAUGAAAAUAUUUCAAUAAUAAAGUUACUUCUUGACAGCUAAUAUAAAUAAAUAUAUGAUAAUUAUGAAAUAAUUUAAAAUUUUCUCAAUUAAUAUUAUCUUAUAACUACAAUUUAUUUACAUAAUUAAAAGUUUUUAAGAAAUCAUAAAAUAUCAUCGUACCUAUAUGCAUUUAUAAUAAUAUAUAAUACAUCAUAAUAUAAUAGCUAAAUAGAUAAAUUAUUAAUGAUAUAAAAUAUAUAUUUAUAUUCACUGUAUUAUAUUAUUCUUUCAUAAUUGUUUCAUUAAAUAAUUCCCUAUUCUCUCUCUCUUUUUGUCUUCAUUUUUUCAGAUAAGCAACCAAAAAUCAUUUCACCUUUUUUAUUUUAUUUUCAAGUACUGUUUUUAAAAUAAGGUACCAAACAUGUUUUUAUUUUUAAUAAAAACUAAUCAUUCUUAUUUCAUAAAAUAAAUUCAAAAACACCAUUUAAAAAAUAAUACCAAAUGCACCCUUAGAAACUAUGAGAAAUAUACUGAUUUUGCAAAUAAUAUUUAAUACGUCGAUUAGACUGAAUCUUUGGAAUAAAAAUUUCAAAUUAAAUAAUAAACCCUUAGUUUCCUUUUAAUCGUAAUUAUAAUCUUAAUUAUUAAAGACAUUUUAUUUUGUGCUUGUCUUUUUUUAUUCACUUUUUUUUAAUGAAAAAUAUUGCUCUGCAUGCAAGUCUUUGGUCGCGGGCCUAGGCGUCCCAAACAUCCAGCUGACAGCGACGUUUCCACUUUGAUUAUCCGCACUUCCCAGAAGUCGCAAGGAAAGACUUAUUCGAGUAGUUUGAUUGGUUUGAAGAUUCAUGAGACUGCUUUUCACUAGAAUUCCACGGCCUCAUUCAUUUUUUUUUUUAAUAAUCUAAAUGACAUCGAACACUCUACUCAAUAUAAAUUUAUUCGAAUGUUCUGUUUCAACCUAAUCGGAAAUUACAAAUGAAACAAAUGCUUGCCAUCACAAACGGCCUAAAUGGGAUUUUUGUUUUUAAAUGUUGCAAUGACUUUGAUCCUGAUGUUGAAAAUUUAUAAUGGCUUCAAUUUUAUCAUAAUUGGUUUAUAAUGCUCUGUUAGGAAGCAUGGAUAAACUGUUGGAUUAGAUUAGAUUUUAGGACUAAAAAUUAAUUUCAUCCAAUGUCAUAUUUAGCUGUCGUGACUAAUAAAUUAGUCCAAAAUUAAGAUAAGAUUUAUAAUAUUAAAUGAAAUAUUUUUGUUCUCUUUAUCACUCUUUUCUUUUUCAUUUAAAUUAAAUAUAAACAAUAAUUUCAUAAUUUUUUAUGUAGAAUUUUAUAUUAUACUAAAUAUCGAAAUUCUAUUCAAUAAUUUAUUUUAAGUUGUAUUUACUUAAGAUUAGUUAUCUAAGUUUAAUACAAUAAUUUAUUUGAAUAGUAUUGAAUAUUAAACAUUAAAAAUUAUUCAAUUAUUUGUUUAAAAUAAAAUUGAAUAUUAAAUAUUGAAAUAAUUAUUUAAUAGCAUAUUAUAUUAUUUAUAUAAUUAUUUAAUAGUCCAAUCUAAUGUUGUACAAAACAUGCACAAUACUAUAUAUAAUCCAAACUAAUCCAAUUCAAUCUUAAUUAAUAAUUCAAUCCAAUCUUGUGAGUCAAAAUUGGCCUAAGGUUACCAAUUGUGCAAUAAUCUUUAUAGCCCGUUUCCCAGCCACACACCCUUUUGUAUUAGUAUUCUCACAGCCAUUGGAAAUAUGGCUCGUAAUCUAACAAAUGACAUUAUACGGCUGUUACUUGCUAGUUUUUAUAAGGUGGCCAAGGCCUUUUAUCAAACACUAUAGGAUCAACUAGUACAAAAUGAAUUCAUUUGGGAUGCAUUUAACGUACUGUGUUAGCUAUAUCGUAUUAUAAUGUAUUGCAUUAACAUGCAUUAUAUUAAGUUAUAAUGUUAUACUUUGAUAUAGUAUAAAUUGUAUUAUAUAAGGUAAUGUUUUAUAUUAAUGUUAAAACUAAAUUAAUAUUAUUUAAAUUUAUUAAUAUUUUAGGAUUUUUAUUAAUUUUUUAAAUUAAGUAUUAAAAAUUAUUUUAUAGUAUAUAAAUGAGUUAAUAAUAUACUAUUAUUAAAUGAUAAAAUAUUAAAGUACUAUGUUAUAUUAUUAAAAAUUAUUAUAUUAUAAUAUAAUUUAUUUCUAGAUAUUAAUUAUUAUAAUAUAGUAUAAUCAUAUAAUAAUAUAAUAUAAGUUAAUAUUAUAUUGUAAAAAUAUAAUAUUGUACAAUUAUUUAAUGUAAUAUAAAUUAAUUUAUACUAUAAUAUUAAAUUAUAAAUUUAUUUUUAUUAAUUAAAUAAAAUUAAAAUACUUUUAUGUAUUUAAACUAAAUAAUUAAAAUAAUUUAUGUAAUAGAAGUAUGAUAAUGUAUUAUCAUUUUCUCAUUAAAUAUUUUAGGUUUAUUAAUUUGUUAAAUUAUUAUUUAAAUUAAAAUUAAUUGUUUAAAUGUAAAUAUAAAUAUAAAUGAAUGUUUAAUAAAAUCUACUCCUAUGGAUCUAUUUUAUACACUUUUUAUUCUAUAAAUCACGCUUAUAAUGUAGUUGUAUAAUAGAAACUGGAUAUUUAAUGGAAGCAAAAUCGCGCACGGUUUGUGGGUUAAAAGGGUCAGGAUUCUCUCCUGAUCUGAUCUUCAUUUGAGCAAAUUCUGUUAAUAUGAUUAGUGGUUAAUAAGUUAAAAAGAAAAAGUAGUUAAAUCAUAAUCAUCCAAUUUGAUACACUGAUUUUGUCCUCUUUAAUAUUUUUCUAGAUGCUUCCAUGUCAUAAUCUCAUUGGUCCAGUUUUCUUCACUGCUUAGAUUCAACUUCAAAAAUCAAUUUGAAGCAAACACAACAAUUCAACAAAUAUAAUAAGCGUCGAUAAGCUUGUGGCUGACUGGCUGUGGCCAAGCAAAACGUACCUCAUGGUUACCGAAUCAUAUCUUACGUCAGAAUUUUUAACUUAAACUAUGUUACCGUUCCACGUGUCACUCUCCAAAAAAUCCCCAAACUUUUAUCGUAUUUCCAAAGAAACCCCUAACAAAUCAAGGUAAUUACCGUCACUCUGCUCAUAUAAAUAGUCUCCUUGAUUCAACUGAUGUAGGGAUGGCAAUGGGGUGGGUUGGGGUGGGGGUGCGGAAUGGGGUACAUUAAAAUUUUUUGUCUCCAUUCCCCACCUAUUCCCUAAUAAAUUUAGUGGGUUGGGGAUGGGGAAUCCCCACAUGGGGAAUGGUUUCCCCAUCCUCACCCCAUUCCCCAUUUACCUAUUUUAUAGUAAAUAUAAAUAUAUUAUUUCAGUAAAUUAAAAAUUAGAAACUUAAAAUAAAAUCAUCACCAUAUUAUGAAGUAUUUAUUUUUUUUUUAAAAAAUCUCUAAAAGUUUGAAACAAUAUCUUAAAAUGAUAUUAAAAGUGAAAAAUAUUUAAAGACAGCAACACCUUAAAAGAGAAAAGAAAACAUAAUAAUGUUUUAGAAUUGAAAAAUAUUGUAGGAUUUUCUUUUAUUCAUAUCUUGUUUAUAUUACAUAAAAAUUUAAAAAAAUUAUUAAUUGACAUUAUAGUUGAUAAAAUAAAAAUUACUAAAUAAGAAUUAAAAAUAUAUUUAUAUAUAAUGGGGAUUGGGGUAGGGGUGGGGUGGGGAGUGCAAUACCAAACCCCACUCCGUUAAUAAUUUGAGAAUUAUUUUUCCCCCACUCCCCACCCCAUUCCCCAAAAAUUAUUAAAAAAAUUUUCUAUUUGGGGUGGGGCUUCAUGGGGUCUCAAACCCGUGGAGGAUUUUGCCAUCCCUAAACUGAUGACAUAUCCUCAUAUAAAUAAAGACUAUGACGACAUUUAUUUAGAAGGGAAAAUUAUAAAAAAAAUCUCCUCUUUCUCUGAAAAUAUAGGGUUUCUCAAGAAUAGCUAAACCUACAUCCCUAUCCUGCAAAAUCUCAAUUUAACCUCUCUAGGGUUUCGAUUGAAGAGCAUACGCUUCAAAAUUUAUUAUUCUUUUAGUGGAUUUUGGUUGUCGCGUAUCCUUCAGUUGUUAGUUCGGUUCGGAUAAUAAUUUGGAAUUCAGUUUGAAGGGUUAAGUGCAAUUUCUAAUUUUUUAUACAAUUUAAAUUGAAAUUGAUAGAACAAUUGGGCGGUUAAUAAUUAAUUGAUGGCUAGUGAUACUACAACGGCGCCCGCGCCCGCAGCUCCGGAAAAAGCGGAGGCGGUGGAGGAGUAUGAUAGCAAUCCAGAUGAAGUGAAACGCUGUCUUGGGACACGCAGAAGGGAAGCCAGCGAUGACGAGGACGUGGAGGAGGAGAGAGAUUGGGACACGCAGAAGGGAAGCCAGCGAUGACGAGGACGUGCAAUACCAAACCCCACUCCGUUAAUAAUUUGAGAAUUAUUUUUCCCCCACUCCCCACCCCAUUCCCCAAAAAUUAUUAAAAAAAUUUUCUAUUUGGGGUGGGGCUUCAUGGGGUCUCAAACCCGUGGAGGAUUUUGCCAUCCCUAAACUGAUGACAUAUCCUCAUAUAAAUAAAGACUAUGACGACAUUUAUUUAGAAGGGAAAAUUAUAAAAAAAAUCUCCUCUUUCUCUGAAAAUAUAGGGUUUCUCAAGAAUAGCUAAACCUACAUCCCUAUCCUGCAAAAUCUCAAUUUAACCUCUCUAGGGUUUCGAUUGAAGAGCAUUUGCUUCAAAAUUUAUUAUUCUUUUAGUGGAUUUUGGUUGUCGCGUAUCCUUCAGUUGUUAGUUCGGUUCGGAUAAUAAUUUGGAAUUCAGUUUGAAGGGUUAAGUGCAAUUUCUAAUUUUUUAUACAAUUUAAAUUGAAAUUGAUAGAACAAUUGGGCGGUUAAUAAUUAAUUGAUGGCUAGUGAUACUACAACGGCGCCCGCGCCCGCAGCUCCGGAAAAAGCGGAGGCGGUGGAGGAGUAUGAUAGCAAUCCAGAUGAAGUGAAACGCUGUCUUGGGACACGCAGAAGGGAAGCCAGCGAUGACGAGGACGUGGAGGAGGAGAGAGAUUGAGGGCUUCCAAUGGCGAAGUGUCCACAUUCCUGCGGGAGAAGCGGAGGCUGUGGAUGAGUACGAGAGCGAUCCAGAUGAAGUGAAAUACUCUCUUGUGAUGGGCAGAAUGGAAGCAAGCGAUGAUAAGGAGGAGGAGGAUAAAGAAUUUGAGCGUCGAAUGAACCGUAGGGUCCACAUUCAUUCUUACGAUGAAUCUGAUGGCCAAGGUGGUGUCCAGCUGAGUAUGGUGAGGUUGAUGAUGAAGAAGAUGACAGAGAAUUAGAAGAAGAAGAUGAAGAGGGGGAUGUGAUAUGACUUCAUAUCAUUUAAUUUGUAUAACCGUGACGCCAAUCCCAUUGAUCCUGGUCCGACCCGAACGGAUCUUGUUGAAUGAAUUGAUCCAUUGUUGUAUGCCUUACUUCUUAGUGAUUUUUUUCCUACUUGGAGCCGCCUUUGAGUACUCCUGGGAGAUAAAGUGGAAACGUUUUUUUAUGGUGAAGAGUGGGGAGUGAAAAGACCAAUUCAGCAGAGAACGACCGCAUGAAUCGGAAUCCAAGAAAGGCUCCACGUUCUCCAAGUGAUUGAUCUUAGCGUAGCGUGCUAGCCGCUGCUUCAUUUCGUAUAGUGAUAACGCUUUCUUAGCGCUCCGCCGCCCCCCCCCCCCCGGCGGCCGCGCCCGGGGUAUAGUAGGGGACUGGUUGCGCGGCUUUCUCUUAUAGGGGUCUAUUUUCCCUUACUUUACUCAACUUGAGUCGGUUAGAGUAUCGCUUUCAUACGGCAAGAGUUAUUGAUUCAAAUCCAAUAGUAGGUAAUAAUGCUGUCAAUGUCGGUUAGAGUAUCCAAGAGUUAUUGAUUCAAACGCAGUUGUCAACCACAUUCGAAUAACCCUUCUGCUACCUUCUAAAAACCCUUGCAUGGGCAUUAAUGCUGGCAUAAUCUCUUUGACUUCCCUUGCAUUUGAAUGAAUGGAUGAGCGUUGCAUUUGAAUGAAUGGAUCAGUGUCAAUGCAGGCUAAGAUUUUCUGGACUUUCAUGGAUGCACAAUAAAUGCUACGUCAAAGGCCUGGUAAGAUGUCAGCAAGCUGGUCGAAGAUAUCAACCUGAUUUGGUGGCUGCAAGAUUUGUUCAUCCAGGACCAUUUUCUUUGACAAUGAGAAAGCCCCAAUGUCUAUAAAUUGAGAACUCACUGAAUUGUAGAGAGAGGGGAAAGUGAAUAACGGGAGAGCCAGUGAAAAGAGAGUGUGGGAAUAUUUGUGCGUAAUUGGGGUUUGGGUGUGAGAUAAAAUAAUCAGAGAGUGGUUGUAAUAAUUUUUUAUAUAGUGAAAAUUUUUGUCUCCUUGUUUUUUGCAGUGGUGGUAAAUUUUGUCUCUAAUAAAGGAGUCUUCCAAGUAAAUUUUGUGUGUUAUGAUUGGGAUAUUCACCAUUUUAGUUUUUUAUUUAUUAUUUGUUUUACAUAUUGCUAGCAAAAAUCUGGGGCGGGAACCGAAAAUUCCCAACAAUUAUUAAUUAUUUUAAACUCUGUUCUGAACAGAGCAUGAAGGGUUUCACUUACCUAGUUACGUUUUUCAUUCUUUCACUUCACUUGAUUUCAUCUUGUCCCUCUCCUUUAUAGAAGUUGCAGAGCUUGGAUCUUUACUCGAACAGUUUCACUGGCUCUAUUUCUGACACAUUGGGCAAGCUGAAGGAAUUGCAAUUCCUGUAUGAUAAUUUCCCCAACUAUUAUUUGAAUAAUUAUUUAAUGCCGUUCAUUCCAGCACUGUUUGGCUGUCAACUUUAUUUUGUUAUUUAUGAGGAGAUUCAUUUCCCACCUGAAGCUAGAAAUUUACGGAUCAAUGACUUUUUUUUUUUCGGGGGCCAAUUGCAGUUUUGAUAACAACUAAAAUCUGUGUGGUCCGGUUACCACAAAGCCUUGCCCCAGAUCCCUGCCAUUUUCUCCUCCACCUCCAUUUGGGGAAAUUACUACUUACUUUUUGCAAGUUUUUCUUGAAAUAUUUAUUUUGAUAAGAAAACCAAUAAUACAUUUUAAGAUUUGGGCUGUUUCAAAGAUUUCGCUUGAUGUCUCUGCUACUGGUUUUCAGCAGAGUGCCCAAAAAUAGUUUUCAGCAGUACAAAAAGUAUAUAUUUUGUACCUUCCAUACAUUUUGCUUUGUUAAUGUUAUUAUUUGAUAACAUGUUUGUCGAGUUGCACAGUGUAUAAAUGCUAUACAAAUACACUCCUUUCAUUUUAUACAACUUUGAUCGAUCAAGUUGUAUCUCUUUGAUAAUAUGUUCAAUCUCCUUUCAUUUUAAACUUCAAUUGAGUUGCUAUCUAUUUAACAUUGGCAAGUCAGAGAGAGGGAUGGGACUGUCCAAUUAAAAUUAAGUUCCAAGUGCCAAUCCCACCAUUGUCGUCUCUUGUUUGCCAAAUUCAAAUUUGAAAAUCUCACCAAGUCAGUAUGGUGAUGUUGUGGGAUUGUCUCGCCUAGGUUUUUAGCCUCAUGACCUCCUUUAUUAGAAAAUGUCUUAAGUGUUCUUACUCAAUGGUAGAAUCAUAAUUUUACUUCAAUGGAAGCCAUAAUGAUUAAAAUAUACUCUUUUGAUUAAUUACUUAUUUGAUGUUGCUCUCUCUACCUUCAUCUCCUUCUUUAUGAAAAAUUUAUUGUAAUACAUGGAAGUAUAUAUUGCAUUGAAUAAAAUGAAAUUGUUCAAAAAUUAACAAAUUCAGCUUUAUUAUAAUCUAAAACAAAGUAAAUAAAAUAAUACCCAUCAUGUAAAAAUUAAAAAAAUAAAAAAUUUUGUACCACUUUGAAUCUAUUUUAAUUUUUUUGGUCAAAUCUCAGAAGCACAAAAUUUGACCAACAAUAAUAGGUAAAAACUAAUAAUCUUAUAAUAAAAAGUAAUAUUUAAAAAUUGAAAAUUAAAUUAUGCUAGUAAUUCCGUAAAAUUAAAAUUUAUCUCCCAAAAUUGAUAAAUACUAUGUCACUUUGUCAAAUUACUUAGGAUAAAAGUUAUGUGGCUAAAAACUUUUAAGAUGAGUUGUAUGCUAAUGGAGAAGGACAAGACACAAAAGAAUUCAAUGAAUGCUACAUCACGCAACAAUGCUUACUCUUAACAAAUUAUUACAAUUUACAAACGUGAUUCAUGAAACUUGACUUUUUUGUCUAAAGAAAGGACUAAAGAAACAUGCCAAGCAACAAAUAAAAAGUUGAUAGGCACUAUUUAAAUAGUAUUAAUAUGGCAACAAAAAACAUGCGAGCAAAGUAGCCUAUUCCUUUAUUCUAUAAAUAGCUCAUUUGAGCUUAGAACCUUUAAAGUGUGUCGUACGUUUCUGUUACUUCCAAUAAAGAUUUUCUCUAUUCCCUUUUCUUCCACUUUCUCUUCCAUUUUCACGAUCCCCAAACACCAUCAAUCCAUGAUUUUCUAGAGUAUUAGCUGUCUAUUUCUACAAACAUAGAAUUGCUGUUUUAAGAAACAAAGUAGUCUGUCCUGUCACCCAUGAUUGCCUCUUUCUUUUCUCCACAAAUCUUUGGUUAAUUUUUAUUUUCCCUCAACUUUUUUCCCCUUUAGCACCAAAAUUGAUUUUUGAUACUUUAUGCAAAAAUUAUGAUGAAAAUGAGUCACUUUAGAACAUCAAUAAAUUUUUUUUUACAUCCAAAAUAACGACAAUUACACUUAGAUCACUCUUAUUUAGUUGAAUUAUAUAUGUAAUAAUGUUGGCUUAACAAAAUAUAAUUCUUGAUCGUUGUAAUUACGAGCUGGUAUUCUUUGGUUUUAGUAGUAGGGCUUAUAACGCUGUGCAACAAUUCUUGGUGGCUUCGAAUUAUUAUACGAUCAUUCUCAAUUCUUUACGGUACGUAAUUAAAAAUUCCUAUAUCACAAUUAGAACUUACAAACAAGUCAAAGUGAAUUAAAUCAAACGUAUAAAUUCGAGGUCUAUUACAAACUUCUAAAAAAAAUUUUCUCUGCUCUUUUUUCUUUCACUUUCUCUUCCAUUUUGCCAAUCCCCAAACACCGCCAAUCCUUGAUUUUUUAAGUAUUAGCUGUCAAUUUCUACAAACAUAGAACUGCUGUUUGUUUGUCUAAUUACUUUCAAGAAACAAAACUCUCUGUCAUGUGGUCUCUUCGUUUAUUGGCUUGUGAGCAAAUAAGAUAUUGGGCCGAUGGGCUUAACGUGACAAGUUCUUGAAUUGAAUGGCUCCUCUUUUUUUCAUAAAUCUUUGCUUAACUUUUUUGUUUCCUCAACCUUUUUUGGCCUUUCGCGCUAAAAUUCUUUUUUUGAUACAUUAUGCAAAAAUUAUGAUGAAAAUGAGUUACUUUAGAACAUCAAUAAAUUUUUAUUACAUCUAUAAUAAGACAACUGUAGUGAGAUUUCUCUUAUUUAGUUGAAUUAUAUGUAAUAAAAUUAGUUUAACGAAAUCUAACCCGUCAAUAUUCCAUAUGACAUAAUUAACGUAUUUAAAAAAUCUUAGCUGUUCCGUCGCUUGUUUUACAAUUCUUUUAUAUAUCUUUGAGACUUUCUGCUUCCUGACACAUCAUAUUGUUCUCAAUUCGUCUAAAUUAAUUUUUUCUUCAAACACUGCAGCAACAACCGGUAUAAAAUAGAAUGAACUCAUUUAAUGGGAAUUUUUCUCAUUGGUCUAUUUCUCUUCGCACCUUAGGUUCCUCUAACAAACUUAAAAGAUGUUCCCCAUCCCACGUGUCCCCAAAUCUUCGUAUUUCCAAACAAACCCCUGCCAAAUAGAGAAGAGGAUGGCUUUUAUUGCAACCUGUAUGAACGUUAUGGCCAUAGGACAUUGGAUCAAAAUCAAACCAAUGGAUUGUAAAGCAAAAUUACCAAUUAAAAAUUCAACCAAUUGAAUCGGUUUGGUGUCACUUAAAAAAUAAAUAAUAUAUAAAACAACACAAUUAAAUUCAUUCAGUCAGUAUUUUUCUUUUCUCAUUUUCAAUGAAUGCUUAAUAUGGAAAACAAUCUGUCCCAUUGAGCACUGUUUAAAUCAUUCCCUAGUUUGUUCAACAAGCAAAGAAUAUUCUUAUUCGGCUCGGCAGCCAAUCCGUUAAAAUUUGUAAAAAUUCAUUUAAGUGAUGACUGUGAUAUGACUCGAUCAAUCGUUUAAUUUAUAUAAUUUAUAAAAAUUUGAGCUUCAAGUAAUGUAGAUAGAAUGGUUAAUUAUUUUAAUAUUCAGAUAAAUUGAUAUAUGUCAUUAUAUUAUGAGUGGAUGAAAUAUCCAAUAGAAAAAAAAAAAAAUGUUUGUAUUCGUCAUUUUUAAUGGGAAUCUAUUUAGUUUAACUUAUCCAUAAAAAUGGUUGCCAGACUUAUCUUGUUUCUCAUUUUGUUUAAUUUUCAUAAAUUUGACUCACGAUUAAUUGUGAGUGAAGAAUUUUUUGAAAAAAAUCUGGUCUUCCAUUUAUUUUGUAGGAUUUAAAAGAUUAAAAAACUUUAAUACAUAUAAUUUUAUGCUCGAAACUAAAUACUCGUAGCAUUGCUGCUUCUAUAAAUAACUCAUUUGUGCUUCCAACUUGUUAUUUGUAUUUUACGUUUUUGUUUCUCUUCAUAAAGAUUUUCUUUUUUUUCUUUUUUCCUUUCACUUUUUCUUCCAUUUUCCCGACUCCCAAACACCACUAAUCCUUGAUUUUCUAGAGUAUUAACUGUCCGUUUCUACGAACAUAGACCUACUGUUUGUCUAAAUACUAUCAAGAAACAAUAUACUCUGUCGCGGGAUCUCUUCGUUUAUUGACUUUUGACUUGUGAACGGGGCUAAUUAAAGGGCAUUCCUUUCUUCAAGAAAGAAUGCAAAGAAAGUACUAUCCAUGAGACACGUUAAAAAUUAUUUUACAUAAAAAAUGAUAAUAAUCAUAAUAAUCGGUUUAGUGUAACCCCGUUAUUACUUAGUGACUGUUCGAUUGUCUUCUCUUUCAUUGACUUCGCAACUGUGACUUCUAAAUUGGGUCAAGGAUCGACAAAAAAUGUUAUAACCUAUAAAGCAUGGAUAAUUAAUUAAUGGGAAUGCACCUCUCAUCUUUACCAUUCUCUUUGUCAUUUUCAUAAUUCAGCUGUUUAUUAAUAAAGUGAAUAAAUUUAUCUUUUAAUAAUAUGUUUCUUGGCUGUUUUUUGUGUAUUUUUGCGUACAAUUUUGUGUGCAAAUAGCAUUAUUCAUUAGUAAUAAGUCUGGAGUGUUCUAAUUUCUUCUAACAAGUAGCUCAUUUUAGCUUAGGACAUGUAACUAGUAUUUUAUGUUUCUGUUAAUCUUUAAUAAAGAUUUUCUCUAUUUUUUUUUUUCCUUUCACUUUCUCUUCCAUUUUCCCCGACUCCCAAACACCACCAAUCCUUGAUUUUCCAGAGCAUUAGCUCUCUAUUUCGACAAAGGCAUAAUUAGUCACGGUCCGAUUGUCUGACUUCUCCGUUGACUCGGUCAAUUCACGACCUUGACCUGCACAGUUGAUACAAACGGACUUCUCCAUUUGAUGUGCACAAAACUUUCUUGGGUCAUUUUGUUUGGUGAUGAUGAAUUGGAUGUCAGUUCAUGAGUUUCAUGAUGAAGGGGACCAAAAACAUUAUUUUAUUAUUUAAAGAAGACUAACAAUUAUUUCGAUGGUCAUUUUAUUAUUAUUUUUUAAAUAUCCAAAUGGUGAAAUUUUAAAGAAUUAAGGUGGUUGACUUCUUUACACAGAAUUACAAAGCAAAACAAUUAAGAAAUUAAAUACUCGUCAUCCAAGUGAGAAGAGAUUGGGUUGUUGAUACAUUAAAUAAAAGAAAAAUCAAUUAAAAGCACAACAAUUCAAUAAUUUCAUUCUCAAUCAUAUCAAAAAUAAAAUUUACUGUACAUUGUUGUUCGGUUCUGUAAAAAAAAAAAAAUUAUUAGGGAUUUGCAGUUUUUUUUAGUGUAAUUCUCGUUAAUUAAAGUUUAGUCUGAAGGGUUAAGCACAUGGAUCAUAAUCAUAUUAUGGCCUAAGGAAGGAGCACAGUUCAUUGGCUGCACUCAGUUUACAGAAUAUUUUGGGAUUCAAGACUGUAGGUUGUUCCGGAUGUAACUUGCAAAGGCUGUUGCUGUGUAACUGUAUGCACUGCUGGCAAGUGUGCUAUACACAUAUUGUUGAGAUAGCACCAAAGAUUGUAAACUAAUUAGAACCGGAAAAUCCUAUUUGCACAAAAAAUUGCACAAAAUAAAUAGAAUGAGAAUACUUAUGCAAAAAAAAAUAAGAUUAAUAAAGUGAAUAAAUUUAUCUUUUAAUAAAAUAUUUCUAGUCUUUUAGUGUUUUCGUGUAUUUUUGUGUACGUGCAAAUAACAUUACUCAUGAGUAAUUAUGUUUUAUGUUUCUAUUACUUUCUAAUAAAGAUUUUCUCUGUUUUUGUUUUUUUUUUUCCCCUUUUACCUUCUCUUCCAUUUUUCCAACUCCCAAACACUACUAAUCCUUGUUUUUGGUUUUUUUUUCCAACUCCCAAACACUGCUUUCAUGAAACAACGUACUCUGCGGUUAAAAUUAAUUGAUCAUUUUAUUUGCUGAUAAUGAAUUGGUUGUCAAGUCAUGAGUUUGAUGAUGCACAGGACGAAAAACGUUAUUUUAUUAUUUAAAAUAAUACUAACAAUUAUGUUGAUGGUCAUUUUAUUUUUUAAAAUAUGCAAAUGGAAUCUUACCGAACUAUAGUGCUUGACUUCUUCAUACAGUGAUUGACUUCUUUGUACAGAAUUAUAAAGUGAAAGAAAUUACGAAAUUAAAUACUUUUCGUGCGAGUGGGGGAGAAAUUCUGUAAAUUUAUGAAAUAACUAUUGAUUUCACUUUGGUAAUUACUUUUUAAAAGUAACGUAAACAUUUUUAUUUUAUUUGCAUUCGAGCUUUCUUUCUUUUUCGCUGGCCUUUACACUUGACCGUAUUUCAUGGGGCAUAUUCAAUCUGAAUCCUCUGCAAGUUUGUGGCAGUUUGGUUAGUUACGAACUUUUGUAGAAUUGCAUGAAGAUGACGCUUUUAUAGACAUUUUUUCUUUUUUCAUUUUUUCUUCAGUGAACAUAUUAAAAAUUUAGUUUUUUGUCAUCGUGACUAGAACAGUAAAAUGAAAAUAGUCCUCAUUUCGACGAUUGACAAAAAUGUUGUACUCAUACCGAUUAAUGGGCCACUGAUUUCGUCUUCUUAAAAAAUUAUUAUUGCAGUGAGGCAAUUGAAUCGAAGAUGGACGAUUUCCAUAUUUGCCUAACCUACGUGAUAAGAAUUUUCAUAUGAGACAUAAUCUGAUUUAUUUUGCUUGACUGUAUGCCAAGAGACAGUCAUAUCUACUAAAUGAAACAAAUCUUGCUUUUCUAGAGAAAUAAUGCAAUAUGCAAUUAUGCAUGAAGGUACGCAUCCAUGUGAGAAAGUUGACGAAAGCUUCUUUUUCAGUAUUGGAAGUGCAAUCCACUGCGGAACAUUGGAUAAAACCAAUGGAAUGUAAAGCAAAAUUACCGAUUAAACUAAAUUGAAAAUCCAACUACUUGAAUCAGUUCAGUGUCACUCAAAUAUAUAUAUAUAUAUAUAACAACACAAUUAUCAUAUUAAUGAGGCACUGUUAAAUUCGAAUAUUUUUCUUUUUCAUUUUUAAUGAAUGUUUAAUAUGACAAACAAUCUGUUCCAUUGAGCACUGUUUAAGUCAUUCAAUGAAGAUGAAUACUUCUAUAACAAAACAAUUAUUCCCUUGAUUAUCUGACACACAAAGAACUUUCUUGCUCAGCUCGGCGGCCAAUCCUUUAAAGUUUGUUAAAAUUCAGUCAAUUGAUGAACGAGACAUAACCCGAUAAAUCGUUUAAUUUGUGUAAUUGAUAAAAAAAUUGAACUUCAAAUAAUAUAGAUAGAAUGAUUAAUUUUUUUCAAUAUUUAGAUAAUUGAUAUAUGUCAUGUUAUUAUGAGUGAAAGAAUGAAGUGUCUAUAGAAAACACAAUGUUUAUGUUUGUAUAAAAAAUUUUAAGUGCGAAUCUAUUUAGUGUAUAGGAUAUAAAUAAAAAUAGUUACCAACUUGUCUUGUUUCUCAUUUUGUUUAAUUUUCAUAAUUUGACUAAGGAUUAAUUAUGAGUCAAGGGUUUAUUGGAAAAAUAUGAUCUUUCAUUUACUAUUAAAGAUUAGCGUGAUUUAAUUAUUUAAUGGUCGUUCAAUUUUAUUGGUUACCAAAUUCUCUAGGAUCGCAUGUAGAUUAUACUUUUAUAUAUAAAAUAUAUAUAAAAACAAACACUGUACCAAUAAAGUGUUGGCUCCACUGGCAAUGGAGUCCCCUUAAGUGGCUUGACUGUGUUUGCUCCUCAGUUCGAGUCGCAGGGAAGUCGCCUUUGUUGGGAGAACCUGUGCCUCCCGGUUCGAGCGGGGACUUCUAGUCUGGGUUGUGGUACGGGCUUAAAGGUGCCUCCCACAGUUGGGGCCCUCCCCAAGAUACCUCGUGAUUAAGAUCAAAAAAAAAAAAAAAACAAACACUGUCAACAAGCAUUAAUGUCAUUUGACGCAUGAAAGACAAUUAGUCCCAUUUUUUGUCCUGUUUACUUGAACACCACUAAUUCCAACAAUUUAUCCAAAAAAAAAUAUAGUUACUCUUCUUCUUUUUUUUCCGAUCUGUUAAUGAAUGCUCCUACUCCUAUCAGUUCUAUAUCCAACUCGACCUCGGAAGCUAAUUCGCGUGGGCUUUGUUGGAAUAAUGGUAUCGAUUGGAAUUGUAAGGAAAGAGGUCUUCGUGUCGUGGACAGCUCAACCGAAGAGAGCAGAUGAAUAUCUUAUGUGAAAUUCAUUGAUGAAUGCCCUUUGCAGAAGCAGGAAAUAAGCUGCCUAAAAGUAAGCAUUAGAUGAAUGCCCGAUCGAACACCACUAAUUCCAACAAUUUAUCCAAAAAUAUCUUUGAGUUUCAAGGAAUGAAUGUAGCACGAAUGGCCAAGUUUUUCAAGUUUUUAAAUAUUUGAUAUAUGUCAUGUUCUGACUUAGUACGAGAAGAAAAUUAUAGAAUUUUUUUUAAAUUAAUGGAAUUAUUUUACGAUAAAACUAUCACAAUCACAUUUAAAAAUAUUCUUUAAAUUUUCACUAUUUCUACUGUUAUUCUUUAAACUCUUUCUGAACAGAGCAUGAAGAGUCACUUAUCUAAAUAUAUUUUUUUGUGCUUUCACUUCACUUGAUUCAUCUUAUCCCUCUUUUAUAGAACCUGCAACUCGUAUUUUACGUUUCUGUUACUUUCUCUUCCAUUUUCCCGACUCCCAAACACCAUCAAUCCUUGAUGUUACAGAGUAUAUUAAUUAAUUAAUGGGCCACUAAUUCUUCUUCUUAAAAGAAAAUUUUUGUAGGGAAAUUGGAAAAAAGGCUAAUUCAAUUUAAUUUUGAUAGGUGCGAGAGAAGGAUAGGACCGUCCAAUUAAAUUGCAAGUGGGCAUUCCCACCAUUCGUGUCACAUGCUUGUCAUAUUUAAAUUUAAAAAUCACACCAUGUCAGUAUGGUGAUGAUGUGGAAUUGUUUCACCGAAAUUUUUAUCUUCGUAACUGUUGUAGAAAAAAGCGUGCUCCCAGUGGAUGCUUCUAUUGAGUGGCAGAAUCAGUAUUUUAUUUCGAUGGUGGCCAUAAUAAUUAAACUACUGAUUAAGUUGGUUGUGACAUAAAAUCAAUGUUGUAUAAUUUUUUGGAUAUUAUCUCAAUUUUACUUCUGUAGGUUUGUUGUUUGUAUAUUAUCUCAAUUUUUAAAAAAAUGUAAUUGCAAUUAUCAAACACGACUAAUCCCAACAAUUUAUCCAAAAAUUUUUUAUGAUAGAAUGGCUAAUUUUUUUAAUCGACUUUCUGGAUAAAUGAUAAUUUUUUGAUAGAAAUGUUACUUAAGUAUUACAGGAAGAAAAUUAUAGAAUAAUUUUUUGAAUUAAUAGUAUUACUUUACGAGAACACUAUCACAAUCUAAUUUUAAAAAAAUAAAGUUAUUCGUUAAAUUUCGAAUUAUCAAGCAAAAGGCAAAAAUAGUUCAACAUCUGCUGUCCCACUGAGCAUUGUUAAAUUCAUACGAUAAAAUGAGUACUUAUAUUAAAAAAACAAUCAGUCCCAUUGCGUGCUCUUUCAUUGACAUAGGCAAGUUGCGGUCAACUUGUGGCACUUUUAUGAAUUUUCAAGAUGGGUGAAUUUUUCAAAAUUAAAAGAAAAAAAUAAAGAAAUGUAAUUUCAAUUUAUCCAAAAAUUUGAGUUUCAAGGAAUACAGCAUUUAUUAUAUGUCAUGUUAAUAUAGAGAAGAAAAUUUUAAAAACUUCUUUUUGGAUGAAUAAAAGUAUUUUCUGAUAAAUAUUUCACAAUCAUAUUUAAAAAUUUUCACUCCUCUUGGUACAUAAUUUAAGAAUUUAACAUUAUAAAUUAAUCUUUUUAAUCAAAGUAAUAAUCUCUCCUCGGUCUGCAAAUGCUAAAAUUUAAUAUUAUAUCCGUUGACGAUAUUUGCUCCAAAUUCACGAAAAUAAAAUUUGUAACAGAAUUAUGAAAUUCGUUACUAGAAAAUUGUAUAAAAGUUGUGAGAAUAGAAGGUUUGAUCAUAGGAAAUUAAUAUAACCCUAUCCGAUGCAAAAAUGAUUGUAAAGAAAAACAAAAGUCACGGGCUUAUUUAGAAAAAAGAAAAAAUUACGUUCCAUUUUCCAGUUAUUAAAGUAAUUCUAAAAUCACUAGGAUCACAAAGGAUAGGCUUUGGUUGACUGAGGUCAGCCUUAACGCUUUUCUCCUCUACAUUCUUAGAAAUUUUGGUUUCACUAUAAAUACUCGGUAUAUAACAAACUUAUAAGUGUUCUUGCAUUACCAAUCCAACUAAGCACACGCUUACAAUCUCAUGGAAAGAGUUCAUUCUCUCAGGAUGAUGAGCAGAUUUCUCUUACUCCAUUGUUUGAUUCUUAUUUCCUUAUUUAUCGCAGCUGCAACAGCCAACAGAAGUACUAUUACCACAGACCGAGAUGCUCUGCUUGCCAUGAAAGCUCACAUAACUCAUGAUCCAACCAAUUUCUUCACCAAAAAUUGGAAUACAGGUACUCCUGUCUGCAACUGGACAGGCGUCACUUGUGAUGUCUAUAGCCAUAGAGUCACAGUCUUGAAUAUUUCUCGUUUAAAUCUCACCGGCACCAUCCCUUCUCAACUCGGGAAUCUUUCGUCUCUACAAUCACUCAAUCUGAGUUUUAAUCGACUUUCUGGUUCCAUUCCCUCCGCCAUCUUCACCACGUAUACACUGAAACAUGUUAGUCUCAGUGAAAAUCAACUCUCUGGGCAAAUUCCUACAAAUAUUUGUAGUAAUCUUCCUUUUCUUGAAUUUUUUUCUUUGACCGGAAACAUGUUCCAUGGCGGAAUACCGUCCACUCUAUCAAAUUGCACAUAUUUGCAAAAAUUAGGUUUGGUAAACAAUAAUUUCUCGGGGGCCAUACCUAAAGAAAUCGGCAAUUUGACCAAACUUAAGAUAUUAUAUCUUGGCGGUAACAGGCUCCAAGGUGCGCAUGAUCACGAAGUUUAAUUAUGAAAAUUGUUGCAUAAGUUGUAGUAUGAAUAAUGUUCCAUAAUACAGUUUACACACGUUCAUUAAUUUGCAGGAGAAAUUCCUCGAGAAUUUGGCAAUCUUACGGAAUUGGAGCGGAUGUCGUUGGCAGGCAACAAUCUUCAAGGCAUGAUUUUAAACUUUUUGCAAUUUUAUUUUAGCGAUGAUUUAUUGUUUGAUUAUGCGAUGAUUUUAAACUUCUGUAUUCAUUCGCUUGUUCUUUGAUUAUACGAUGAUUUAUUGUUUUUCUUUCAGAUAGAGAUAACGCUCCAUGUCUCCCCUCACUCAUUUCAUUCUUUGAUUUAUGCAGAUAAAAAUUAAAAAAAAAAAAUGUUUUGUAAUUUUCUUUUGUCAUUGCCACUUCCGUUUUGAAGCUCCCAAUUAAGUCGAUCAAAAUGAAUGAUGUUUCAUUCUUAUUCUUGUCAGCCUAAUCUAUAUAUCUAUCUAUCUAUAUAUAUAUAUAAAGUUGAGACUUGAGGAGGUGAUGUGGCAUCACCAUUUCUCUUCUUUGUAUAUUCUCUAUUAUCUAAUAAAUUGAGAAAUUUUCUUUUAGAUUUGACUUUUCAUCUUCUCAUAAUUAAUUUGAUUGUUAUUAUACAAUAACAAUUAUGUAAAAAUUUUAAUUUUAAUGAGACAUAUUCUUUGUAAUGAAUAUCCAAAGAGAAGUGUUAUGAAUUUAUUAAAAUAAAUGUAAAUGUUCAUAACAUAUAUCUCUUAGUCUCCCCACUAUCUCUCAUUAGCAACCUUUAGCUUCCCUAUAACUCCCACUAUCUCACAAAGAAUUAUGAUCCAUAAUUUUUUAUUAAUUUCAUGGAGUGAUUAUAUAACUAUAAAAGGAGAGCUCAUCUUUUUGUUUUGUACACACACAAUUGGAAUGAAUAAAAUCACUCUAUAAUAAAUUAUCUCAUUGUAUUUUGUAUCUUGCAUUGCGUAUUUAUUUGUAUUGCUGGCUAAUAGCUUUUUUUGUUUUUUAUAAGGUUGCCUCAUCUUAAAAACAAUCAAUUCAUAUUUUUUAUCAGUUUCAUCAAGUGUAAAGUAACAAAAAAAAAAGAUAAUACUAAAUUCUUUUUUCAAAGCCGCGUGAAACGCGGGUAUAUUUUCUAGUUCUUAUAUAAAUGAAGAGUAAAUUGUUAUUACGAUAUUCGUCAGCCAAUAAAUUCUUCUUUUUUUUUCCCCCCAAACAUGAGUGAUCAAAUUGUUUGCGCAUAUAUAAAUGUACUUAAUUUGCAGGAGGUAUUCCACGGGAAUUGGGGAAUCUUACAAAAUUGGAGUGGUUACAGCUGUUCCGGAAUAACUUGACCGGUAACUUUCUUUACAAUAUAUAUACGAGACAUCUUCCGCUUUUUAUUAGAAAUUAUAAGUUCGAGUUAAAUCUUAAUUAAAAGAUUUCAAGUCUCUCAUUAUAAAUUCUCAUAUGAGGAUGUGUCGUUACCACUAUUGAUCUAACAUUAUUCCGUUUUUUAUUAGAAAUUAGUUUGUGUUAAUUCAAAAUUCUGUAGCAUUUAAAAAAAUUAAAAACACGUGGAAUAAAUUGUUAAUCUUUCUUCUUUACUGAAUUUGGAUUUCUCAAAAAUAAUUUUGACAAGUAUGCUUCACUAAUGAUACGCAUGUGUGACAACUUCAUAAAAUAUUUUACAGGGAAUCACUAAUUAUGUUUAAAUAAUUAGAGAUGCCAGCAGUGAUACAUAAUUUCUUAACAAGCACCAUACCAAAAGAAAACAACAAUUUUAUUAAUCUUAAAGAGUUACAUCUUCAUUGCAAUUAUAACAUAAAUUUUUAGUCAUCAAUCGCAUAAUAUUUUAUCUCAACGGAUGAUGUUCAGUCUUGGAAUUUAUAAUAUCUUGAAGGGUAGUAGCUUUGAAAAUAAGAAAUUGUUCAUUUGCUAAAAAGUUAACUUAGUAUUUAAGUUUUCCAAUAAAAAGCGUUGAGAACUGGCGCUCCAUAGUAUUUCAGCAGAUAAAUAUGAAAAAUAUGUUAGAAUAAAUUAUUUUACUGAAAUAAGAGUUAAAAAGAGGGAAGUACAAUACUCAUGACUUAGGCUUGUUGUGUGUGCUUAUUCUACUUGGGCUUUGGGCUUGAUUACCCCCGUUAUAAUAAUAGGCUUUUACUUUCACCACACAUGAUGAUUUCUUAACCUUCCCAAUUAGGUUAUAGCAAUUUAUAUAUAAAUAAUAAAGCAUACUAAAGCUAGCAUUGAUGUAUGGAUGAGUGGUGUAAAAAGUGUAUAUGUUUUCAUGUAUUAUUUAUUCACUAAAACAUAUCUGAACAGGGGUGGAUCUAGGAAUUUGUAUUACCCCGGGCUAAAUUAAAAAAUUUAUAUUUUAAAGUGAACAUAAAAAUUUAUAAGUAGAAAAAACUGCAUCAAAUAAGGGGGGCACGAAAAAUCUUAUCGCUAUAAGUUAUAAACAAAAAUAGUUAUAUAAAAAGAGUAGAAAACAAAAGCAAUUAAAAAAAUAAAACACUAUUUUACAAUUAUGAAAUCUGACUCUAAUAAAAUGUGAUUAUACAAGGAUUAUAUAAGGUUUAAUAUAUUAAUUAAGGAUUUUAAGCUGAAAAAAAUGAAUACAUGUAAUUACAAUCAAUUAAAAAUUGAAGUAAAACUUUAAUGUUUGAAGUCAAGUACUUAAUUACCAGGUUUCAAUAAAUUAAACAAUUCAAAUUUAUUCCUCUUUUUAAAUUAUAAAAAUAUUAUUAGUCAAAAGUUUCAAUUAUAAACUAAAUUCAACCUAACAAAAAUGUAUUUGGGUGUUGUUGUUUCUUUGCCAAACGCUCUAACUCUCUUUAAAGAACCAGUUGUUGAUGAUUUUUCUAUCAAAUUAAAGCUCCUCAAAAUAUUCAAAUUUUAUCUUAGUUAAUAUAACUAAUAAAUAAAAUCUCAAAAUUUACAUAAAAAGUUUAUGAAAAUGUUGAUAAUUGUUACUACAUGUUUUUUUUAAGUUGUUUAAUACUAGUGACAAUUUUAUAUUAGAUUGACAUACUUUUUUUCAAUUAGAAUUUUUUUAAAAUAAAUUAAAGUAAUAACAUUUUACCCCCUAAUGUUUUUUAUCUACAUUGUAAAUAUAUAAUUUACUCAUUUUAUAAAAUAAGUCACUAAUUUCAAUUGGAAAAAAAUAUAAUUGAAUUAAGGACAUAUUUAAAAAUAAAAUAAAAACUCUAUUAUAGUAUAAAAUUAAUGAAAAUAUAAGGAUAAUUAUAUUAGGGACAUGCAUGAAAACAAAAUAAAAUCUCUAUUAUUGUCUAUAAUUGAUAGUAAAAUAAGGGGUAUGAAUGAUUGUUUCCUAAGUUUGACCAGGCUACAGCCCGGUCUAGCCUUGCUGCAGGUCCGCCACUGUAUCUGAAUACAAUUCUUUCAAAAUACGGAUGAAAUAGCACAUGAAAUCGGAAAUAUUUUAUUGCGAUGAGAAUUCGUAUAUUCAUUGUAGUAGACUAUAAAUUUAUUAUUCUUUGAAACAAAUCUGAUUAUAAUUCCUUCAAAAUUAAGUUUGUCAUUAAAUGAUUUCUCAGGAGCCCUACCAAAAGAAAUCGGGAACUUGACCAAACUCAAGAAAUUAUCUCUUGGCGGUAACAGACUCCAAGGUGCGCAUGAUCACGAAGUUUAAUUAUGAAAAUUGUUGCAUAAGUUGCAGUUUGAAUAAUGUUCCAUAAUACACUUUACACACGUUGAUUAAUUUGCAGGCGAAAUUCCUCGAGAGUUUGGCAAUCUUGCCAAAUUGGAGGUGAUGUUGUUAUGGGAAAACAAUCUCCGAGGUAUGAUUAUAAACUUUUUGCGUUUUUUAUUAGAAAUUAAUUUGUGUUAAUUCAAAAUUCUGUAGCAUCUAAAAAAAUUAAAAACACAUGGAAUAAAUCGUCAAUCUUCUAAUUUGGAUUUCUCAAAAAUUAUAUUGACAAGUAUGCUUCACUAAUGAUAUACAUGUGUGACAACUUCAUAAAAUAUUUUACAUGGAAUCACCAAUUACCUUUAAAUAAUUGGAGAUGCCAUCAGUGAUACAUAAUUUCUUAAUAAGCAUCUUAUCAAAAGAAAUCAACAAUUUUAUUAAUCUUAAAAAGUUACAUCUUUACUGUAAUUAUGAAAUAAAUUUUUAGUCAUCAAUCACAUAAUAUUUUAUCUUAACGGAUGAUGUUCAGUCUAAGAAUUUAUAAUACCUUGAAGGUUAGUAGCUUUGAAAAUAAGAAAUUGUUCAUUUGCUAAAAAGUUAACUUAGUAUUUAAGUUUUUCAAUUGAAAAUUUUGAAAAAAGUCUUGAGAACUAGCCCUCCUUAGUAUUUCAGCGGAUAAAUAUGAAAAAUAGGCUUGAAGAAAUUAUUGUUGUGUGUGCUUAUUCUACUUGGGCUUUGGGCUUGAUUACACGGUCGAGCACUUACACCUGUCAUAAUAAUAGGCUUUUACUUUCACCACACGUUUGAUAAUUUCUUAACCUUCCGAAUUAAAUCUGAUUAUAAUUCUUUUAAAAUACAAAUUAAAUAGCACGUGAAAUCGGAAAAUAUUUUACAGCGAUAAGAAUUCAUAUAUUCAUUGUACCAGCACAUAUAAAAUAGACUAUAAAUUUAGUUCCAAAAUACAUUCUUAUCUUCAUAUAAAUUUUACAUUAUUAAUUUAAAUUAAUAUUAAAAUAUGUUGUUUCUUUCACUAUGUUAUUUUAUUUACACAGUUUACACACGUUGAUUAAUUUGCAGGAGAAAUUCCUCUAGAGUUUGGCAAUCUUGCCGACUUGGAGUGGAUGUCGUUGGCAGGCAACAAUCUCCAAGGCAUGAUUUUAAACUUUUUGCAAUUUUAUUUUAGCUAUGCUUGCUUCUGUAUUAAUUCGUUUGUUUAUUAAUUAUGCAAUGAUUUAUUGCUUUUCUUUCAGAUAGAGACAAAGCUCCAUGUCUCCCCUCACUCAUUUCAUUCUUUAAUUUAUGCAGAUAAAAAUAAAAAUAAAAUCUUUUGUAAUUUUCUUUUGUCAUAUUGCCACAUCCGUUUUGAAGCUCCCAAUUAAGUCGAUGAAUUAGAAUGAUGCUUCACUCUUAUUCUUGUCAGCCCAAUUCUUAUAUAAUUGAAGAGUAAAUUGUUAUUAUGAUAUUUGUCAGCCAAUAAAUUCUUUUUUUCCCCCCAAAUAUGAGUGAUCAAAUUGUUUGCGCAUAUAUAAAUGUACUUAAUUUGCAGGACGUAUUCCACGGGAAUUGGGGAAUCUUACAAAAUUGGAGAUAUUACAGCUGUUCACGAAUAACUUAUCCGGUAACUUUCUUUAUGAUAUAUAUAUAUAUGAGACAUCUUCCGCUUCUUAAUUAAUAGAUUUCAAGUCUCUCAUUAUAAAUUCUCAUAUGAGGAUGUGUCGUUACCUCUAUCUAACAUUAUUCUGUUUUUUAUUAGAAAUUAGUUUGUGUUAAUUCAAAAUUCUGUAGCAUUUAAAAAAAAUUAAAAACACGUGGAAUAAAUUGUUAAUCUUUCUUCUUUACUGAAUUUGGAUUUCUCAAAAAUAAUCUUGACAAGUAUGCUUCACUAAUGAUAUGCAUGUGUGACAACUUCGUAAAAUAUUUUACAUGGAAUCACUAAUUAUCUCUAAAGAUGCCAUCAGUGAUAAUAUUUUAUCUUAACCGACGAUGAUGUUCAGUCUUGGAAUUUAUAAUAUCUUGAAGGUUAGUAGCUUAGAAAAUAAGAAAUUGUUCAUUUGCUAAAAAGUUAACUUAGUAUUUAAGUUUUCCAAUUGAAAAUUUUGAAAAAAGCGUUGAGAACUGGCGCUCCAUAGUAUUUCAGCGGAUAAAUAUGAAAAUUUAUCCAAUUGUUCAUUUGCUAUAAAUUCAUUAUUCUUUGAAGCAAAUCUGAUUAUAAUUCCUUCAAAAUUAAGUUUGUCAUUAAAUGAUUUCUCAGGAGCCAUACCAAAAGAAAUCGGGAAUUUGACCAAACUCAAGGAAUUAUCUCUUGACCUUAACAGACUCCAAGGUGCGCAUGAUCACAGAGUUUAAUUAUGAAAAUUGUUGCAUAAGUUAUAUGGAUAUCCUUGAUAACCGCAGCAAGCAAACAAAAUCAAAUAAAAGCUAACUGAGACUCGAAUAUCCUAAACCCUGAAAAGGAAUGGUAAUGGUAUAAUAUGGAUUCUGUAGGCAUAUUUCACUGGACUCAACAUUUAUGGUUAAUUUACAACUCUUUGUUGUAGAGUCUGAGAAAUUGCUUUAUAUUAGGGGUGGGGAAAAUAAUGCUGGGCCACGAAUUUCAGGCAGAAUCCAGAUUGGGCCCAAUUAGACUUAUAGCUCAGCUCUGUGUCGAUAUCUGGGCCUUUACAAAUAACUAAUGGGCCAAUUAAUAAUAAUAAAUAAAUUACACACGGUCGAACACUUACACAGUUCCCUAGACACAUGCUUUCACUUUCACCACACAUUUGAUAAUUUCUUAGCCUUCCCAAUUAGUUUAUAGCAAUUUAUAUAUAAAUAACUAAAGCAUACUAAAGCUACCAUUGACGUACGGAUGAGUGGUGUCAAAAGUGUAUCUUGUUUUAUUUAUUAUUGUCCUAUGAUACAAAUCUGAAUAAUGGAAUAUAAUGCUUUGAAAAUACCGAUGAAAUAGCACAUGAAAUCGGAAAAUAUUUUACUGCAAUAAGAAUUCAUAUAUUCAUUGUAGUAGCACAUAUAAAAUAGACUAUAAAUUUAAUUUUAAAAUACAUUCUUAUCUUCAUAUAAAUUUUACAUUACUGAUUUAAAUUAACAUUAAAAUAUGUUGUUUCUUUCACUAUGUUAUUUUAUUUACACAAUGAUGUGACUAUUGGAAUUAAUAAUACUUAUAAUUAUUUUGUAAAAUUUAAUACUUUGUUAACAUUUUAUCUACAUAUAAUAAUUAAACUGAAACUUGUAUUUAAAAAAUUCUAGUUACGCAUAUUCAUUUCAUGACAUAAAAGUGUAUAUUUAUGCUAAUUUACCAGUAUCAACAAAAUUCUUUUGAGACAAAUAAUCUAAUUUAUAUUUGUAUAUUUAAAAUACUUGCAUUUAUUAUAUUUUGAAAAAAACUUUAUUUGCAAUUAUUUUAAACUGUUGGAUUCAAAUUUUCGUAGUUAUUAAAGUCAAAUGGUACAAAUGUAGAAUAGUCAAAAACAGAUUUGUAUAAUCAUUUUUCGAUGUAUAAAUUUCUUAGUUAGUAGGAAAAUUAGAAAUAGUUGAUUUACUCAUAAAUAAAUUUAAUGUCAAUUUUGGAAAACUUGAACUAAAUGUUGAUAACUUCGAAUCGGUCGAGCUGAGUUUCUCUUCCUUGACCCACGGACCCAUUGAAAGUUCUAUUCGAAUUGAGUUUCCCGGUGCUUAUAAAAAGCAUUUCUUUUCCUUGUUGCAGUAAUUUAUUCACAAAUGAGUUUAUUAGCAUCGAAGUUACCGGAGAGUCUGAGACCAUGCUAGUAGGAGAAAUUUGAAAAGAAAUUAUUUUACUGAAUUAAUUUAUUUUAUCUUCUUGUAACUGAAAUACUACUUUUUUUUUUUGGGCUAUCACUGGGGCUUGAUUUACUUUAAUAGUAGCAGCCACCGACUUAGGCAUUUUUUACUUCUCACCACACAAUUUGAUCUUUUAAUUCGUUUUAACCACAUAAUCUAUCUAUCUCUCACCUAUUGCUUACUUAAAUCUCAUGCAUAUUUUACCUACUAAUUUUUAUAAAUAUUAGUCAAAUAUAUUUUAUUACGUUUCUCUUGUAACUGCUCCAAAUGUGUACUAUUAACACUUAACCCUCCCUUUUAAUUUACCGUGCAAUCUAUCUAUCACUUAAGUCAGAUAUAUAUUUUACCUAUAUUUUACCCCAAAAAAUAUAAAAAUAAAAGAAAAAUAAUAUGUGUACCAAUUUGCAUAUAACUAACAAAGCAUUGACGGCGUGUAGCCUUUCAAUACUUCACGAGUGGCUUUUCUUGUGUGUUAGUACUUGUAAUAAUUGUGUAGCGUAUAAAUGACAUUUUAUUAUUAAAGUGCGUCCAUUUUUAUAUAUUACUUAUUAUUUGAAAAAUAAUCUGAAUAUAAUUCUUUUAAAAUAUAGGGGAGAUACCACUUGAAAUUGGUAAUCUCCAAAAUCUGGAGGAGUUGGACCUUCGUCAAAACAAAUUAAUUGGUACUGUCCCAGUUGCAAUCUUUAAUGUGUCAACACUCAAAUUACUUGGGCUUCAAGAUAAUUCUCUCUCUGGAAGUCUUUCGUCCAUCACAGACGUCCGACUACCAAAUCUUGAAGAGCUUGUUUUGUGGGGUAAUAAUUUCAGUGGUAGAAUUCCUCGUUUCAUCUUUAAUGCUUCUAAGCUCUCUAUACUAGAAUUGGAAGAGAACUCAUUCUCCGGUUUUAUUACCAACACAUUUGGCAACUUAAGAAACCUUGAGCGGCUUAAUUUACAAGAUAAUUAUUUGACAUCUUCAACUCCAGAAUUGAACUUUCUAUCCUCGUUGUCAAAUUGCAAGUCUUUAACAGUUAUUGGCUUAUCAAAUAAUCCACUAGAUGGCAUUCUUCCCAAGACGUCUAUCGGAAAUCUUUCUCAUUCUUUGGAAGAUUUUCAAAUGCACAAUUGUAACGUUACUGGUGACAUCCCUGAAGAGAUCGGCAACUUGACCAACUUGAUAACCAUUGAUUUAGGAGGCAAUAAAUUGAAUGGAUCGAUUCUGAUUACUCUUAGCAAAUUACAAAAGCUUCAAGGUUUGGUUCUUGAUGAUAACAAAUUAGAAGGAUCAAUCCCAGAUGAUAUUUGUCGUUUGGCUGAGCUGUAUAAAUUGGAGUUGGGUGGCAAUAAGCUUUCAGGAUCAAUCCCUGCAUGCUUCAAUAAUUUGAUUGCUCUGAGGAUACUGUCGUUGGGUUCCAAUGAGUUAACUUCUAUUCCCUUAACUUUUUGGAACCUUAAGGAUAUCUUGUACCUCAACUUUUCUUCAGCCCACUCCCAUUAGAGAUUGGAAAUUUGAAGGUUUUGGUUGGAAUUGAUUUUUCGAUGAAUAAUUUUUCAGGCAUUAUCCCAAAAGAAAUUGGAGGCCUAAAAAAUCUAGAAUAUCUCUUCUUAGGAUAUAAUAGAUUGCAAGGAUUGAUUCCUGAUUCAUUUGGUAAUUUGAUAAGUUUGAAAUUCUUGAAUUUGUCCAAUAAUAAUCUCUCUGGGGCAAUUCCUGCAUCUUUAGAGAAACUCUCAUAUCUUGAAGAUCUAAAUCUUUCUUUCAACAAGCUAGAAGGAGAAAUUCCUAGGGGAGGAUCUUUUGGAAACUUCUCAGCUGAAUCAUUUGAAGGAAAUGAAUUAUUAUGUGGUUCACCUAAUUUACAAGUCCCGCCAUGCAAAACUAGCAUCCACCACCCAUCAUGGAAUAUUUCUCUUCUCCUGGGGAUUGUCUUGCCAUUGAGUACUACAUUAAUGAUAGUAGUCAUUUGGUUGAUCCUAAGAUAUCGACAGAGAGGAAAACAACCAUCGAAUGAUGCUAAUAUGCCACUCGUAGCAAUGUGGAGAACGUUUUCAUACCUAGAACUUUGUCGAGCAACAGACGGAUUUAGUGAAAACAAUCUAAUCGGCAGAGGAGGGUUUGGCUCUGUUUAUAAGGCAAGACUUGGGGACGGGAUGGAGGUUGCAGUGAAGGUCUUCAAUUUGCAAUGUAGAAGAGCAUUUAAGAGUUUCGAUGUUGAAUGUGAAAUAAUGAAAAGUAUUCGCCAUCGAAACCUUAUCAAAGUUAUUAGCAGUUGUUCAAAUGAAGAGUUUAAAGGGUUGGUAUUAGAAUACAUGCCUCAGGGAAGUUUGGAGAAGCAUUUGUAUUCGACUAACUGCAUUUUGGAUAUUUUUCAAAGAUUGAACAUAAUGAUAGAUGUUGCAUCAGCUUUGGAAUAUCUGCACUUUGGUUGUUCAACUCCAGUAAUUCAUUGUGACUUAAAGCCCAGCAAUGUAUUGUUAGAUGAUAAUAUGAUUGCUUAUUUGAGUGAUUUUGGCAUCGCGAAGCUCUUAAUUGGAGAAGAUCAGUCUAUGACUCAGACGCAAACACUUGCCACAAUAGGUUAUAUGGCACCAGGUUUGUUCAAUAUAAAUAUUUUCUAUUUCUUGUAAACUUCCUAAUAAGUUAUUUAUGUUUCAUAAUCUUCAUUAGAUGAGGAAAUUAUUAUUAAUGAUAUAUCUUACUAUAUAAAUGUUGCAAUUCAUAGAGUAUGGAAGAGAAGGACGAGUAUCCACAAAUGGAGAUGUUUAUAGCUUUGGAAUUAUGUUAAUGGAAACUUUUACCGGGAAGAAACCCACAGAUGAAAUUUUUAAUGGAGAAAUGACAUUAAAGCAUUGGGUUAAUGAUUGGCUACCCAUUUCCACUAUGGAAGUUGUUGAUGCUAAUUUGCUAAGCCAGGAGGACGUACAUUUUGUUGCAAAGGAGCAAUGUGUGUCAUUUGUCUUCAAUUUGGCUAUGGCGUGCACUGUGGAAUCUCAUGAGCAGAGAAUCAAUGCAAAAGAAAUUGUAACAAAGCUCUUAAAAAUUAGAGACUCAUUACUUAGAAAUGUUGGAGGCAGACGUAUAAGACAACCAAAUUUAAAUUGAUUCUACCCCUCCAUUGCUUGCUAUCCUUUUCAGAGACUUGAACGGUUAUCCUUCAUACCAGUUUUGUUGAUAUGUUUUGUUAUUGCUCUUGCUUAUGUUUGUUUCUCUAUUUCUUUAAUUUGCAUGCAUGUAUUUUUCGUUCUCUUUUAUGUAUUUGUUGGUUUGUAUGUAGUUUGUUUUUAGGGGUAAGGUUGAUUAUGUCCUCCCCUAAUUAGACGUAUCCUUUUUAUGUUUAUUCAAUAAAGCUUCUCUAAUACUAUCGAGGUUCAUCAAAAGAAAAUUUUUAAUUAAUUUUCUUUUCUUUGACAGGUAAUGAAAUUCUAAUCUUCAUAGUGAAUAACUUCAAUAAUAGAGUGUAAGAGUAUUAGUAGUUAUGGUUGUUUUUUGAACCUGGAGUCAAGAGCAAUUUAACAGCAACAAACAAGUCUCUUGUAUUAUAGGCAAAAUUCUUUUCAUUAAUCUUAUUUGUCUACAUGUUCUCCUAUUUUCUCCAUUAAUCUUCGCUCAAGGUUUCAUGCUUCCUCUUUGAUAAAGGAAAAUAUUACUCGUGAAUAUUUCAAAUUUUCAAUUUGACAUGAGCGACUAUUUGCCAGCCAUUUGAUAAAAUGGAUAUGAGUGGAGUUUUCAAUCAUUACCUCCACCAAAAUCCUUACAACGCCACUUUUUAAUUUUAUUUUUUAAAAUACAUUCAGUUUAAUUUUAAAAAAUAAAUCCAUUUGUAAAAUUUAAUCUUUUUCUCAUAAAUUUCAACCUAAAAAAUAUAUUUCUUUUAAAUUUUUAUUAUAAAAUACUUACAAGUUCUAAACUAUUAAAUUAUUUUCUUCUUAUUAUAUAGUUUAUAUCUCCAUAACUCUAAACUCCUAUAAUUUCUUAAAAAAAAAAUUUUAAUUUAAAAUAUAAAUAUAAAAUAUAGAAUGGAGUGAGUAUAAAAAAACUUGUUAAAAUAAUAAUUCUUUUAAGUAUUUAACUGAAUUUUAAAUUAAAAUAAGAAAUAAAUUAUUUUUUUGGGAAAUAUUUAACCUACCCCCAAAUAAAUUGACAUUUUGCACCGCGUCCCCAAAAAAUUUGAUUUGUUGCACCGCGCCUCCAAUUCCGUUAUUUUCUCAGUUAAGUUUAACGGUGAGGGGGUAAAAUUGGAAGUUUAUUCCUCAAAUUACUUUUAAUAGGAAUUCUCUUUAUUGCAAUUGAAAUAAAAAUCUUUAAAAAUUAAAGGAAAAAUAAUAGUGGUGACAAUGUACAUGUAACAAGAAAUUUUUUUUAUUGCAAUUGAAAUAAAAAUCUUAAAAAAAUUAAAGGAAAAAUAAUAGUGGUGACAAAUGUACAUGUAACAAGAAAUUUUUUUUAUUGCAAUUGAAAAUUAAAGGAAAAAUAAUAGUGGUGACAAUGUACAUGUAACAUCAAUAAAUUUUUAUUACAUCUAUAAUAAGACAACUAUAGUGAGAUUACUCUUAUUUAGUUGAAUUGUAUGUAAUAAAAUUAGUUUAAAAAAAUCUAACCCGUCAGUAUUCCAUAUCACAUGAUUAACGUAUUUAAAAAAUCUUAGCUGUUCCGUCGCUUGUUUUAAACACUGCAGCAACAACCGGUAUAAAAUAGACUGAACUCAUUUAAUGGGAAUUUUUCUCAUUGGUCUAUUUCUCUUCGCACCUUAGGUUCCUCUAACAAACUUAAAAGAUGUUCCCCAUCCCACGUGUCUCCAAAUCUUCGUAUUUCCAAACAAACCCCUGCCAAAUAGAGAAGAGGAUGGCUUUUAUUGCAAACUGUAUGAACGUUAUGGCCAUGGGACAUUGGAUCAAAAUCAAACCAAUGGAUUGUAAAGCAAACUUACCGAUUAAAAAUUCAACCAAUUGAAUCGGUUUGGUGUCACUUAAAAAAUAAAUAAUAUAUAAAACAACACAAUUAUCAUAUUAAUGAGCCACUGUUAUAUUCAUUCAGUCAGUAUUUUUCUUUUCCCAUUUUCAAUGAAUGCUUAAUUUUCCAUAUGGAAAACAAUUUGUCCCAUUGAGCACUGUUUAAAUCAUUCCCUAGUUUGUUUAACACGCAAAGAAUAUUCUUAUUUGUAAAAAUUCAUUUAAGUGAUGACUGUGAUAUGACUUGACCAAUCGUUUAAUUUGUAUAAUUUAUAAAAAUUUGAGCUUCAAGUAAUGUAGAUAGAAUGGUUAAUUAUUUUAAUAUUCAGAUAAAUUGAUAUAUGUCAUUAUAUUAUGAGUGGAUGAAAUAUCCAAUAGAAAAAAAAAUAUUUGUAUUCGUCAUUUUUAGUGGGAAUCGAUUUAGUGUAACUUAUCCAUAAAAAUGGUUGCCGACUUAUCUUGUUUCUCAUUUUGUUUAAUUUUCAUAAAUUUGACUCAUGAUUAAUUGUGAGUGAAGAAUUUUUUGGAAAAAAUCUGGUCUUCCAUUUAUUUUGUAGGAUUUAAAAGAUUAAAAAACUUUAAUACAUAUAAUUUUAUGUUCGAAACUAAAUACUCGUAGUAUUGCUGCUUCUAUAAAUAACUCAUUUGAGCUUCCAGCCUGUUAUUUGUAUUUUACGUUUCUGUUUCUCUUCCUCUUCAUAAAGAUUUUUUUUUUUCCAUUCUCUUUUUCUUCCACUUUCCCGACUCCCAAACACCACCAGUCUUUGAUUUUCCUAGAGUAUUAACUAUCUGUUUACACGAACAUAGACCGACAGUUUGCCUAAUUACUAUCAAGAAACAACAUACUCUGUCUCGGGGUCUCUUCGUUUAUUGACUUGUCACUUGUGAACGGGCUAAUUAAAGGGCGUUCCUUCCUUCAAGAAAGGAUAACGUUACCCCGUUAUUCGGUAAUGACUGUCCGAUUGUCUUCGCUUUCAUUGACUUCGCAACUGUGAAUUCUAAGCCGGGUUAAGGAUUGACAAAAUGUUAUAACCCAUAAAGCACGGAUAAUUAAUUAAUGGGCCACUGAUUUCUUCUUUAAAGGCUAAUUCUUGGUAAAGAUCAGAAAGUUCUCAAAUAAAAAUUCGGCUUUGUGGAAAUUAAAUUAAAAGCAAUUAAGCAUUAUAAAUUACUUAACAGCUUAAUCGAGUUUGGUUUUGAAAAAUAUAUCUUUAAAUCUCUUGUAAUUAAAGAUAAUUAUCAUAUUACUGUCUCAAAUGGACCGAUUUCAAUCAAAUGAAAUCUAGAAAAUUGAGCAGCUCAUUGAUGUAUUUGGUCGAAUUGUGACUUGUGUCAGAGUCUUCGUUUUAGAAGAGUGCACAGCAGCUGCCAGGUCCACUUGGCAGUUGGCACGCCAAAAUUUUUCUGUUGACCAAUAAUUUUGAAAGGGAUAUUAUUAAUUUAAUAUCAAAUAUUUUCUAACACAUCACUUUACUAUCAAAAUUUUUUGACAAUAAUUUUUUAUCACUUAAUAUUUCAGUUUUUAUCAUUUUAUCAUCAAAAAAUAGUAAAAGCAUACUUAGUGUAAGUUGUUCAUAAAAAUGGUUGUUGAAUUGUCUUGUUUCUCAUUUGGUUUAAUUUUCAUAAAUUCGACUCACACAAUUCAAUUAUGAGUGAAGAGUUUUUUUGGGAAAAAUCUGGUCUUCCAUUUACUAGAAUCAGGUCUGAAUGAUUUUAUUAUUUUUCUUUUGUUUGAAAUAUACGUGGAAAAUGUUGAACACUUUGUAGGAUUUAGAAGAAUUUGAAAGUUUGAAUGCAUAUAGUUUACUAUCCAUCAGCUAGUGCAUAUUCUGUAUUUUAUGAAAUCAAAGCUGGUUGAUUGAGAAAUGGACCUUAUUACAUGUCAUAAGAUUUUACAGUGCUUUCUAAUGGAGCAAAAUAAAAUGAUUCUUACCUGCACAGAAAAUUAGAAACGAAAAGGAGGGUUACUGAUCCACAGAGUUGUUAUUUACGAGAAGCACAUAGAUAUUACACUUAAUUUAUUAUCCAUCUGUAUUGUUUAGAUGACACUGAAGUAUUACCUAAAUUAGGCUUUCAAAACUUCUUUUUCAAAAAUCUAUGGUUGUGAUGCAUCUCUAUAAACUCACUCGUACAAAUUCUAUCUAAUGCCAAUCAUUUUAACUCUGUUCUGAACAAAGCAUGAAAGGAUAUGUUCACUUAUCUAGUUAUGUUUUCUAUGCUUUCACUUCACUUGAUUCACCUUGUCCCUCGUUUUAGAAGAGUGCAGAGCAGCUGCCUUGUCCAUUAGGCACAGUUUCUUUUCUGGAAUUAGAAAAGAAAAGGAGGAUUACUGAUCCACAGAGGUGUCAUUUACUAGAAGCACAUAAAUCUUACACUUAAUUCAUUAACCAUAUGUAUGUUCUAAUGAUACUUAAGUAUUACCUAAAUUUGCCUUUCAAAACUUCACUUCGAAAAAGUCCAAGGUUGUGAUGUGUCUGUAUAAAUUCGCUAAUACAAGUUCUCUCUAUUCCCAAUUGUUUUAAACUCUGUUCUGAACAGAGCAUGAAAGGAUAUAUUCGUUUAUCUAGUUAUAUUUUUUAUGCUCUCACUUCACUUGAUUCACCUUCUCCAUCUUUUAAAACAGUUGUAUAUGUCGGAGUAUCAAGUUCAUCACAAGGAUCAUAUUAUGGCCCAAGGAAGGAGCACAGUUCAUUGUCUGCACUCAAGCUUAGCAGAGUAUUUUGGGAUUCAAGAGUGUUAGUAGGCCGUUACAGAUGCCAUGCUGGCAAGCGUGCUAUGACUGACUGCUAUUUGCACGUAAAAUUUGCCCAAAACAAAUAGAAUGAGAAUACUUGUACAAAAGGACAAGAUUAAUAAAGUGAAUAAAUUUUAUCUUUUAGUGAAUGCUUCUUGUCUUUUAGAGUUUUAGUGCAUUUUCGUGUGUAAUUUUAUGUGCAAAUAGCAUUACGCAUUAGUAAUUAGUCUAGAGUGUUCUAAUUUCUUCUAAUAAGUAGCUGAUUUGAGCUUAAGACUUGUAUUUUAUGAUUUUGUUACUUUCUAAUAAAGAUUUUCUCUGUUCUUUUUUUACUUUCACUUUCUCUUCCAUUUUCCCGACUCCCAAACACCACCAAUCCUUGGUUUUCUAGAGUAUAGCUAUGUAGUUCUGCAAACACGAAACUGCUGUUUGUCCAAUUACUUUCAAGAAACAACGUACUCUGUGGUUUAUUGACUUGUGACUUGUGGACGGGGCAAAUUAGUCACGGUCCGAUUGUCUCCUCUUCCACUGACUCUGUCAAUUCAUGACUUUGGCACACAGUAGACGCCAGCUGGCUUCUCCACUUGACGUGCAAAAAACUUUCUUGAGUCGGGUUAAAAUCGAUUGAUUAUUUUGUUUGGUGAUGAUGAGUUAUUUGUCAAUUCAUGAGUUUGAUACAGUGAAACGCUUAACGCUCUCUUGUGAUGCGCGGGAGAAAAGCCACCAGCGAUGAUGAAGAGGACGAAAAACAUUAUUUUGUUAUUUAAAAUAAGACUAUCAAUUAUAGGGUAAUGCUAAGUUACAUGCAUGUACCUUACAUCCCUCUCACAUGAAUAGUGUAUGGAUACUAUUCAUGUGAGAGGGUUGUAAGGUACAUGCAUGUAACUUAGAGGGAUCCUCAAUUAUAUAUUCCAAAAUAAUUGAGUUUGGUUAACCAAAGUUGGUUGAUGUGAGUGGUUCGGCACUCUCACUCCUUAAGAGAGAUCAGGGGUUCAAACCCCACUCUCGUAUGGAGUCACCACUUUGGCCAGCACUUUACCCCUUACGGGCCGACUCGGUGCAAGCGGGGAUUAGUCUGGGUUGUGGUACGAGCUUAAAGAUGCCUCCCAUAGUUAGGGUCCACUCAGGACUACCUCGUGGUUCAGACAAAAAAAAAUAAUAAUAAUUGGGUUUGGAUGGCCAUUUGGUUUUUUAAAAUAGCCAAAUGGAAUCUUACCGAAUUAGAGUGCUCGACUUCUUUAUACAGAAUUUUGAAAGUGUGAAAAUCAAGAAAUUAAAUACUCUUCAUAUGGUGGGAGGAGGUUUGGUUGCCGUUAUGCUAAAUAAAAGAAAAAUAAAGUAAAAGUACAAUACUUCAAUAAUCUCAUUCCCAAUCAUACCCGAAAUAAAAUUUUCUGUAUAUUUUUAUGAAAUAAUUAUUUAUUUUACUUUGGUAAUUUUUUUUAUUUAAAGUAAGGUAAACAUCCUUUGCUUUGGCCUUUACUCUUGACUCUAUUUCAUGGUCAUAUUCAAUCUCAUUCUUCUGUAGGUUUGUGGCUGCUUUAUGAGUUACGAUUUUUUAUAGGAUUGCAUGUAGAUGAUACAUUUAUAUACAUUUUUUCUUUUUUCUUUUCUUCUUCGGUGAGCAUAUAAAAAAUUUAGUUUUUGUUACUAUGUGAAAUGAAAAUAGUCCUCAUUUCAAGGAUUAAUGGGCCACUAAUUUCGUCUUCUUAAAAGAAAAUUAAUUAUUUUCAGCGAGGUAAUUGGAAGCUUGAGCAUUUCUAUAUUAUACAGCCAAACAAACCUAAUGGUGCGUUUACUUGCCGGAUUGGGGAAUCGGAAUCAGGAAUCGGAAUGACUGAUGGUGUUUACUUCAUAAAUAUGGAACAUGAAUCGGAAUCGGAAUAGUGGGGCCCACCACUAUUUGGGAAUGGAGAAUGAGAGAUUGAUUCCCAUGGGGGAGGUGGGAAUGUGUCUCCUAUUCCCGGGAUUGACCAUUUUGCCCUUCCCCAAAAUGGAAAAUGCCCACUUUGUCCUCUUUUAUAAUUAAUUAAUAUAAUAUUAUAAUCAAUUAAUUAAUAUAUUAUGAUAAAUAAAUAAAUAAAUAUAUUAUUAACUAUAAUUAUUAAAAAUUAUAGUUCUUGAAUAAAUAAUCACAAUAAUUAAUAUAUUAUUAUUAUAGUUAAUUAAUUAAUUAUUACUAUUAAUUAAUUAAUUAUUACUAUUAAUUAAUAUAUUAACAUAUUAUUAAUAAUAAUUUAUUAUUAUUAUUUUUGAAUAAAUAAUCACAAUAAUUAAUUUAUUAUUAUUAUAAUUAUAAUUAAUUAAUUAAUGUACUAUUACAAUAAUUAUUAAUAUAAUUAAUUUAUAUAUUAUUAUUAAUGAAUCAAUAUAAUUAUUACUAUUAAUUAAUAUAUUAAUAUAUUAUUAACAAUAAUAUAUUAAUAAUUAUUGUUCCUGAAUAAAUAAUCACAAUAAUAUAUUAAUAAUUAUUGUUCCUGAAUAAAUAAUCACAAUAAUUAUUAUUAAUAUUUUUAAUUAAUUAAUAUACUAUUAUAAUUAUUAUUAUAAUUAAUUCAUAUAUUAUUAUUAAUUAAAUAAUAUAUUUAUUACUAAUAAUUAAUAUAUUAUUAACAAUAAUUAUUAUAAUUAAUUCAUGUAUUAUUAUUAAUUAAUUAAUUAAAUUAAUAUUAUUAAAUAAAUAAAUAAUUUAAUUAUUACUACUAAUUAAUAUAUUAAUAUAUUAUUAACAAUAAAUAUUAAUAAUUAUAUUUUUUGAAUAAAUAAUCACAAUAAUUAAUAUAUUUUUAUAAUAAUUUUUAUUACAGUUAUUAUGAUUAAUUAAAAAAUUUUACAAGUAGUUAAUAUAUUAGUUAAUAAUAAUUAUGAAAAUAAUCCAUUAAGUACUUUUUAGUAAUUUGUUACAAUUUAAUUCAUUCCGAUUCUGAUUCCAAGACAAAGUAAACACAUUAAUGACAAUUCAACUCAUUCCGAUUUCGAUUCCUACAGUUCAAGUAAACAAUUUAUUUUGAUUCCCAUUCCAGCUCAUUCUCAUUCUUGUCCAUUUCGAUGCCAGCUCAUUCCAAUUCCAAUUUAGUAAACACAGCAUAAGUGAUAAGAAUUUCCAUAUGAGAUAUAAUUUGGAGGGAAAAAAAAUACUAAUUCAAGUUAAUAGAAAGAUUACAGCAAUAUAAUUUCAAUUUAUCCAAAAAUUUGAGUUUCAAGGAAUAUAGCAUUUAUUAUAUGUAUAGAGAAGCAAUUUUUAAAUAUUUCUUUUUUGAAUGAAUAAAAGUUUUUUUGAUAAAAAUUUCACAAUCAUAUUUAAAAAAAAGUUUAUUUUUUUUUAAAAAAAGUCACUCCUCUUCCUACAUAAUUUAGGAAUUUAACAUUACUUUCUUAGAAAUUUUGGUUUCACUAUAAAUACUCGGUAUACAGCAAACUUAUGAGUGUUCUUGCAUUACCAAUCCAAUUAAGCACACGCUUAAAAUCUAAAAUAAUCUCAUCUCAUGGAAAGUGUUCAUUCUCUCAAUAUUAUGAGCAGAUUUCUCUUACUCCAUUGAUUGAUUCUUAUUUCCUUAUUUAUCACAGCCAGUGGCGGACCUACACGUGGGCUACAGCCCGGUCUAGUCCAGAAAAAAUCGUUUAUACCCCUUAAUGUUUCAUUAAUUUAGUAAAAUUAUAGAGUUUUAAUUUUAUUUUCAUAUAUGUCCCUAACUCAAUUACCCUUAUAUUUUCAUCAAUUUAGUAUAACAAUAGAGUUUUUAUUUUAUAUUCAAAUAUGUCCCUAACCCAAUUACCCUUGUGUUUUCAUCAAUUUUAUAUAACAAUAGAGUUUUUAUUUUAUUUACAAAUAUAUCCCUUAUUCAAUUAUAUUAUUUUCAAUUGAAAUUAGUGACUUAUUUUAUAAAAUGAUUAAAUCAUAUAUUUAUUGAAUAGAUUGAAAACAUUAGGGAGCUAAAAUUUUAUUACUACUUUAAUUUAUUUUAAAAAACUUCUAAUUGAAAAAAAAAAUAUGUCAAUGUAAUAUAACAUUGUCACUAGUAUUAAAAGUACUUACAGAAACAACAUGCAGUAACAAUUAUCAAUAUUUUAUAAAAUUUUUAUGUGAAUUUUCAGAUUUUAUUUAUUAGUUAUAUUAACUAAGAGGGCAAGUUAGAAAAUAAAAUUUGAGUAUUUUAAGGAGCUUUUGAUAGAAGAAUUAUCAACAUCUAGUUUUUUAAAGAGAGCUAGAGCGCCUGACAAAGAAACAACUGCACCCAAAUACAUUUUUGCUGAAUUGAGUUUAGUUUAUUAUUGAAACUUUUGACUAAUAAUACCUUUACAAUUUGAAAGGAUGAAUAAAUUUUAAUUGUUUAAUUUAUUAAGUUUAGUAAUUAAGUACUUCACCUCAAACAUAAAAGUGUUACUUGUAAUUUUUAAUUGAUUGUAAUUACAUGUAUUGAUCUAUUUUAAUUUGAAAUUCUUAAUUGAUUUUUUAAUCCUUAUAUAAUUAUAUAUUAUUAUAGGCUGCAAUGUCAGAUUCUAUAAUUGAAGAAUAGUGUUUUCAUAUUCGAGUUACCUUUUGUUUUUUACUCUUUUUCUAUAAUUAUUUUUGUUUAUAGUUCAUAUUUAGAGAGAGAAAAUUUUUGGUAUUCCUCCUUAUUUAAUAUACUUAUUUUUAUAUAUAAAUUUUUAUGUUCGCUUCAAAAUAUAAAUUUUAAAAUUUAGCCCGGGGUAAUAUUAAGUCCUGGAUCCGCCCCUGAUCGCAGCUGCAACAGCCAACACAAGUACUAUUACCACAGACCGAGAUGCUCUGCUUGCCCUGAAAGCUCACAUAACUCAUGAUCCAACCAAUUUCUUCGCCAAAAAUUGGAACACGAAUAUCUCUUUCUGUAAUUGGACAGGCGUCGCUUGCGAUGUCCAUAGACAUAGAGUCACAGUCUUGAAUAUUUCUGGCUUAAAUCUCACGGGCACCAUCCCCUCUCAACUUGGGAAUCUUUCUUCUCUGCAAUCACUCAAUCUAAGUUUUAACCGACUUUCUGGUUCCAUUCCCUCCGCCAUUUUCACCACGUACACACUAAAAUAUGUUAAUCUCCGUCAAAACCAGCUCUCCGGCGCUUUACCUUCUUUCAUCUUCAACAAGUCUUCUUUACAACAUCUUGAUUUCACUUUCAAUACAUUGUCUGGUGAAAUUCCUGCAAAUAUUUGUAGUAAUCUUCCUUUCCUUGAAAUUCUUUCUUUACAAGAAAACAUGUUCCAUGGAGCAAUACCGUCCAAUCUAUCAAAUUGCACAUAUUUAAGAAUCUUAAGUUUGGCAUACAAUGAUUUCUCGGGAGCCAUACCUAGAGAAAUCGGCAAUUUGACCAAACUUAAGGGAUUAUAUCUUGGCGCUAACAGGCUCCAAGGUGCGUAUGAUGAUGGAGUUUAUGAAAAUUGUUGCAUAAGUUGUAAUAUGAAUAAUGUUCCAUAAUACAGUUUACACCCGUUGAUUAAUUUGCAGGAGAAAUUCCUCGAGAGUUUGGCAAUCUUGCCGUAUUGGAGCUGAUGUCGUUAGCAGGAAACAAUCUCCAAGGUAUGAUUUUAAACUUUUUGCAAUUUUAUUCUAGCCUCUGCUUGCUUCCGUAUUCAUUAGCUUGUUCUUUAAUUAUGCUAUGAUUUAUUGUUUUUCUUUCAGAUAGAGACAAAGCUCCACGUCUCCCCUCACUCAUUUCAUUCUUUAAUUUAUGCAGAUAAAAAAAAAAAAUGCUCUGUAAUUUUCUUUUGUCAUAUUGCCAUUUCCAUUUUGAAGCUUCCAAUUAAGUCGAUGAAAAUGAAUGAUGUUUCAUUCUUAUUCUUGUCAGCCUAAUUCUUAUAUAAUUGAAGAGUAAAUCGUCAUUAUGAUAUUCGUCAGCCAAUAAAUUCUUUUUUUCUUUUCCCAAAUAUGAGUGAUCAAAUUGUUUGCACAUACAUAUAUGUACUUAAUAUGCAGGAGGUAUUCCACAGGAAUUGGGGAAUCUUACAAAAUUGGAGGGGUUAGAGCUGGUCCAGAAUAACUUGACCGGUAACUUUCUUUACGAGAUAUAUAUAUAUAUAUAUAUAUGAGACAUCUUCCGCUUCUUAAUUAAUAGAUUUCAAGUCUCUCAUUAUAGAUUCUCACAUGAGGGUGUGUCGUUACCUCUAUCUAACAUUAUUCCGUUUUUUAUUAGAAAUUAGUUUGUAUUAAUUCAAAAUUCUGUAGCAUUUAAAAAAAAUUAAAACACGUGGAAUAAAUCGUCAAUCUUUCUUCUUUACUGAAUUUGGAUUUCUCAAAAAUUAUCAUGACAAGUAUUCUUCACUAAUGAUAUGGAUGUGUGACAACUUCAUAAAAUAUUUCACUAAUUAUCUUUAAAUAAUUGGAGAUGCCAUCAGUGAUACAUAAUUUCUUUGCAAUCACCAUACCAAAAGAAAUCAACAAUUUUAUUAAUCUUAAAGAGUUAUACCUUCACUGCAAUUAUGGCAUAAUUUUUUAUCUAAAGAAAUUUUAGCCAUCAAUCGCAUAAUAUUUUAUCUUAAUGGGUGAUGAUCAAUCUUGGAAUUUAUAAUAUCUUGAAGGUUAGUAGCUAUUAAAAUUAGAAAUUGUUUAUUUGCUAAAAAGUUAACUCAGUGUUUAAGCAUUUCAAUUGAAAAUUUUGAAACAAACGUUGAGAACUGGUCCUCCUUAGAAUUUCAGCGGAUAAAUAUGAAAAAUAGACUUGAAAACAAAAUAUUUUACUGAGAUAAUAAUUAAAAAGAGAGGAGAAGUACAAUACUCAUGACUUAGGGUUGCUGUGUACUUAUUUUACUUGGGCUUCGGGCUUGAUUACACGCGGUCGAACACUUACUUUUGGGGAUGAGUGGUGUCAAAUGUGUAUAUGCUUUUAUGUAUUAUUUAUUAUUCUUUGAAACAAAUCUAAUUAUAAUUCUUUCAAAAUACAGAUGAAAUAACAAGUGAAAUCGGAAAAUAUUUUUCUGCGAUAAGAAUUCAUAUAUUCAUUGUAGUAGCACAUAUCAAAUAGACUAUAAAUUUAGUUCAAAAUACAUUCUUAUCUUCAUAUAAAUUUUACAUUACUAAUUUAAAUUAAUAUUAAAAUAUGUUGUUUCUUUCACUAUGUUAUUUUAUUUACACAAUGAUGUGACUAUUGGAAUUAAUAAUACUCGUAAUUACUUAGCAAGAAUAUAAAUUUAAUACUUUGUUAACAUUUUAUCUACAUAUAAUAAUUAAACUGAAACUUGUAUUUAAAAAAUUUUAGUUACGCAUAUUCAUUUCAUGAUAUAAAAGUGUAUAUUUAUACUAAUUUACCAUUAUCAAUAAAAUGCUUUGAGACAAAUAAUCUAAUUUAUAUUAGUAUAUUUAAAAUACUUGCUUUUAUUAUAUUUUGAAAAAACUUUAUUUGCAAUUAUUUUAAACCUUUGGAUUCAAAUUUUCUUAGUUAUGUAUAAAUGUAUAAUAGUCAAAAACAUAUUUGUAUGAUCAUUUUUCAAUGUAUAAAGUUUCUUAAUUAGUAGGAAAAUUAGAAAUUGUUGAUUUACUCAUAAAUAAAUUUAGUGUUUAGCAUUUCAAUUUUGGAAAACUUGAACUAACUGUUGAUAACUUCGAAUCGGUCUAGCCGAGUUUCACUUCCUUGUCCCAUGGACCCAUUGAAAGUUCUAUUCGAAUUGAGUUAGUACUUGUAAUAAUUGUAUAGUGUAUAAAUGACCUUUUAUUAUUACAGUGCAUCCGUUUUUAGAUAUUAUUUAUUAUUUGAAAAAUAAUCUGAAUGUAAUUCUUUCAAAAUACAGAGAAGAUACCACCUGAAAUCGGUAAUCUCCGAAAUCUGGAGGAGUUGAACCUUGGUGAUAACAAAUUAGUAGGUACUAUCCCAACUGCAAUCUUCAAUGUGUCAAAACUCAAAGCACUUAAGCUUUAUAGUAAUUCUCUCUUGGGAAGUCUUUCGUCCAUCCCAGACUUCCGACUUCCAAAUCUUGAAGUGCUUCUUUUGUGGGGUAAUAAUGUUAGUGGCACAAUUCCUUGUUUCAUUUUUAAUGCUUCUAAGCUCUCUAAACUAGAUCUGGAAAACAACUCAUUCUCAGGUUUUAUUCCCAACACAUUAGGCAACUUAAGAAACCUUGAGCGGCUUAAUUUAGGUGAUAAUUAUUUGACAUCUUCAACUCCAGAAUUGAGCUUUCUAUCCUCGUUGUCAAAUUUCAAGUCUUUAACACAUAUUGUGUUAUCAAAUAAUCCACUAGAUGGCAUUCUUCCAAAGACGUUUUUCAGUAAUCUUUCUUAUUCUUUGGAAGAAAUUCAAAUGCACAAUUGUAACAUUAGUGGCGGCGUUCCUAAAGAGAUCGGCAACUUGACCAAUUUGACAACCAUUAUUUUAGGAGGCAAUAAAUUGAAUGGAUCGAUUCCGAUUACUCUCGAAAAAUUACAAAACCUUCAAUAUUUGGGUCUUAAAGAUAACAAAUUACAAGGAUCAAUCCCAGACAGUAUUUAUCGUUUGACUGAACUGUAUGAGUUGGAGUUUGGCGGCAAUAAGCUUUCUGGAUCAAUCCCUGCAUGCUUCAGUAAUCUGGCUUCUCUGAGGAUACUUUCGUUGGAUUCCAAUGAGUUAACUUCUAUUCCCUUAACUUUUUGGAACCUUAAGGAUAUCUUGCAACUCAACCUUUCAUCAAAUUUUUUUACUGGCCCACUCCCAUUAGAGAUUGGAAAUUUGAAGGUUUUGGUUGGAAUUGAUUUUUCGAUGAAUGAUUUUUCAGGCGUUAUCCCAACAGAAAUUGGAGGCCUAAAAAAUCUAGAAUAUCUCUUCUUAGGAUAUAAUAGAUUGCAAGGAUCGAUUCCUGAUUCAUUUGGUGAUUUGAUAAGUUUGAAAUUCUUGAAUUUGUCCAAUAAUAAUCUCUCUGGGCCAAUUCCUGCAUCUUUAGAGAAACUCUCAUAUCUUGAAAAUCUAAAUCUUUCUUUCAACAAGCUGGAAGGGGAAAUUCCUAGGGGAGGAUCUUUUAGAAAAUUCUCAGCUGAAUCAUUUGAGGGAAAUGAAUUAUUAUGUGGUUCACCCAAUUUACAAGUCCCGCCAUGCAAAACUAGCAUCCACCGCACAUCAAGGAAAAAUGCUCUUAUCCUAGGGAUUGUCUUGCCAUUGAGUACUAUAUUUAUGACAGCAAUCAUUUUGUUGAUCAUAAAAUAUCGAAAAAGAGAAAAAAGGCCACCAAAUUAUCCUAAUAUGCCACCAAUAGCAACGUGGAGAAGGUUUUCAUACCUAGAACUCUGUCAAGCAACAGACAAAUUCAGUGAAAACAAUCUAAUCGGUAGAGGAGGUUUUGGCUCUGUCUACAAAGCAAGAAUUAGGGAUGGGAUGGAGGUUGCAGUGAAGGUUUUCAACCUGCAAUGUGGAAGAGCAUUUAAGAGUUUCGAUGUUGAAUGUGAAAUGAUGAGAAGUAUCCGCCAUUGAAACCUUGUCAAAGUUAUUAGCAGUUGUUCAAAUGAAGAGUUUAAAGCAUUGGUAUUAGAAUACAUGCCUCAUGGAAGUUUGGAGAAGUAUCUGUAUUCAAGUAACUACAGUUUGGAUAUUUUUCAAAGAUUGAACAUAAUGAUAGAUGUUGCAUCAGCUUUGGAAUAUCUGCACUUUGGUUAUUCAGCUCCAGUAAUUCAUUGUGACUUAAAGCCCAGCAAUGUAUUGUUAGACGAUAAUAUGGUUGCUCACUUGAGUGAUUUUGGCAUUGCAAAGCUCUUAACUGGAGAAGAUCAAUCUAUGACUCAAACACAAACACUUGCCACAAUAGGCUAUAUGGCACCAGGUUUGUUCAAUAUAAACAUUUUCUCUUUCUUGUAAACUUCCUAAUAAGUUACUUAUGUUUCAUGAUCUUCAUUAGAUGAGGAAAUUAUUAUUAAUAAUAUAUCUUAUGAUGUAACUGUUGCAAUUCAUAGAGUAUGGAAGAGAAGGACGAGUAUCCACCAAUGGAGAUGUUUAUAGCUUUGGGAUUAUGUUAAUGGAAACUUUUACUGGGAAGAAACUCACAGAUGAAAUUUUUAAUGGAGAAAUGACAUUAAAGGAUUGGGUUAAUGAUUGCCUACCCAUUUCCACUAUGGAAGUUGUUGAUGCUAAUUUGCUAAGUCAGGAGGACAUACAUUUUGUUGCAAAAGAGCAAUGUGUGUCAUUUGUCUUCAAUUUGGCUUUGGAGUGCACUAUGGAAUCUCCUGAGCAGAGAAUCAAUGCAAAAGAAAUUGUAGCAAAACUCUUAAAAAUUAGAGACUCAUUACUUAGAAAUGUUGGAGGCAUAUGUAUAAGACAAUCAAAUUUAAAUUGAUUUUGCCCCUCUUUCAUUGCUUGCUAUCUUUUUCAGAGAUUUGAACGAUUAUCCUUCAUACAAGUUUUGUUGAUAUGUUUUGUUAUUGCUCUUGCUCAUGUUUAUUUCUCUCUUACUUUAAUUUGCAUGCAUGCAUUUUCGUUCUCUUUCAUGUUUGCGUUGGUUUGUAUGUAGUUUGUUUUUUGGGGUAAGGUUCAUUAUGUCCUCACCCUAAUUACAUGUAUCCUUUUUAUUUUUAUUCAAUAAAGCUUCGUUAUUACUAUCGAAGUUUAUUGAAAGGAAAUUUUCAGUUGAUUUUCUUUUCUUUGACUAGUAAUGGAAAUUCUAAUCUUUAUAGUGAAUAACUUCAAUGAUAGAAUGUGUGAACAUAUUUAGUAUGUUGAAAAUGAUCAUUAGAGAAAACAACAAGUAUCAAGGAAUAAGAUGUAAUUAAAUUGAUUGGACAGUUAAGAUAUCGAUUUAAUUAAUGAUGUGGUACAAAAGAUUGAGCGGUAAAGAAAUCAAUGUGGCUUGGGACGAAUGAUUAUUCGAACAUACAAUUAUGGAGGUCAACUCCAAUCUUAUAGUGGAGUAUAGUUGGAAUUAAAUGAUUAGGCUUAUUUAAUUACAGGCUUAAUUGUUGUAGCCAAUAGUGUAUGUUCCCAAAUGAUCCCCGAGUUAGCUCAUUUAAUUGACUGCACCACUAUUGGAUUAAUAAGCAAGAUAACUAACUAUUUGGGUCAAAAGCCUAAAUAUAUCAUUUAGUGGGAGGCUCCAUUUAAUAUGCUUGUGUGUAAGGGGCCUUAUGUUAUUUUACAAGGUGGGCCCCCUAUAGAAAAAGCAAGUAACUUGAUUUUUUAUUUUUAUUAUUUAGAGCCUAGGGUUUUCACUAAAGGGAGAUAUAAAAAGACUUAUUUUCUCAAAAGAAAAAAGUGAGCCGCAAUACAUAGAUUAGAGAAAAAGAAUUUUUCUCUCUCUAAUUGAGAGGAAAAUUUUCUGUUGCUAGUUGCUUUUAGUAGUGAUAAAGGCGUCCACAAAUCAAGUGCAGAUCAAAUCUAAGUCAUAACCUGGAAGAUCAUUGGUGACAGAUCGUGAUCUAACAAGCGUGCUGGUGACGGAUCGUGAUCUAAUAGGUGUGGUGGUGACGGAUCGUGAUUAGGGAGCCUAGAUUAACUCAGCGAAAAAGCCAAAUCAAAUUGUCAAGGUAUGAUUUUCUAGAUUACGAAUUCCUAUAUAUUAUAUGAGAUCAAUCCUAAAAGCUUUUUUUUUAAAACUGAUUUUUCCCUGACAAGAAAUUCACGGAUCAAUGGCUUCUUAUUGUUUCUUUUAGAUGACAGCUUGCAAUCUCUGGGUGUGCAUUCAUAAUGCCUUACAUGAAUACAAGAAUGAAGGUUGCCCCCCCCCCCCCCCCCCCCCCCCCCCCUCUCUCUGGGCCAAUUGCAGUUUUGAUAACAACUCAAAUCGGUGUGGUAGAAAGCCUUGCCCCAGACCUCCGCCAUUUUCUCUUCCACCACAAUUUGGGGAACCUAAACUACUUACUUUUUGCCAGUUUUUCUUGAAAUAUUUUUGAGAAGAAAACCAACAAUACAUUUUAUGAUUUGGGCUGUUUUAAAGAUCUUUGCUUGAUACCUCUGCUACUGGUUUUCAGCAGAGUGCCCAAAAAUAAUCAGUGCACGCACUAUAGGCUCUAUUAUUAUCAGUAAAAAGUAUUAAUGAUAUAUAUUGGGAUCGACUUUUUUAUUUGGGAGUGGAAGCAUGCUUGAAAGAGUAGAGUGGUGCAUCUUGUUCAAACAUGCCAAUUCCAUCUUAUGAAAUAGGAGUUAGACUGAACAAUGUUAUGUCUUCAUUAUCAUUUCAGAAGGAAACAAAUCAAAUGCAGCAAUUGAUGUACGAGUUGCUGUUGGCGCUGCUAUAUUUUUUACAGACUCUCAUACCAUGGAAAAACUCAGCUUUAAAGAAUGGUAUGAUGCUUUGAUUUAUGAAGUAAUUGGUAUAUAUUUUGUACCUUCCAUACAUUUUGCUCUGUUAAUGUUAUUAUUUGAUAACAUGUUUGUCGAGUUGCACAGUGUCUAGAAUUUUGAGAUUAAGAAGAGUCUAAAUGCUAUACAAAUACACUCCUUUCAUUUUAUACAACUUUGAUUGAUCAUUGUUUUAAAUUUACCUCAGGCAUCAAUGGAGUCUAUCCGAGUCUCCUUUGCUGGGGAAUCAGUCAAAUAACAGCACAGGUGCAUAUGUUCUAUCUCUUUUCAUUUAAAACUUCAAUUGAGUUGCUAUCUAUUUAACUUUGGCAAGUGAGAGAGAGGGAUGGGACCGUCCAAUUAAAUUUAAGUUUCAAGUGGCAAUCCCACCACUGUCGUCUCAUGUUUGCCAAAUUCAAAUUUGAAAAUCUCACCAAGUCAGUAUGGUGAUGUUGUGGGAUUGUCUCGCCUAGGUUUUUAGCCUCAUGACCUCCUUUAUUAGAAAAAGUCUUAAGUGUUCUUACUCAAUGGUAGAAUCAUGAUUUUACUUCAAUGGAAGCCAUACUGAUUAAAAUAUACUCUUUUGAUCAACUACUUAUUUGAUGUUGCUCUCUCAACCUUAAUCUCCUUCUUUAUGAAAAAUUUAUUGUAAUACAUGGAAGUAUAUAUUGCACUGAGUAAAAUGAAAUUGUUCAAAAAUUAACAAAUUCAGCUUUAUUAUAAUCUAAAACAAAGUAAAUAGAAUAAUACCCAUCAUGUAAAAAUAAAAAAUAAAAUUUUUAUACCACUUGGAAUUUAUUUUAAAUGUUUUGGUCAAAUCUAAGAAGCACAAACUUUGAACAAUGAUAAUAGGUAAAAACUAAUAAUCUUAUAAUAAAAAGUAAGAAAAAAAAUAAAGUUGAUUUAGCAGCUAAGAAUAAAAAAAGAAAAAUAGAAAGAGAGAGAAAUUAGUUUAGGCUUUAACCAUUGUUAUAGUAGAGAAAAAAAUUAAUUAAGAGUAAUUAGUUUAGACACUAUAAUGUAUUAUGUAUACGAAGGCUACAUUUAAAUGUGAAAUAAAAAUGAGUGCUUAUAUUAAAAAACAAUCAGUCUCAUUGCGUCCUCUUUCAUCGACAUAGGCAAAUUUGCGGUCAACUCGUGGCACCCUUAUUGACACGCAAAGAACUUACAUCGAGGAGUUGUUUGAUUUUAUGUUUCAAACUAAGUACCAUAGCAUUACUACUUCUAUAAAUAACUCAUUUGAGCUUCGAGCCUGUUAUUUGUAUUUUACGUUUCUGUUUCUCUUCAUAAAGAUUUUUUUUUCCAUUCUCUUUUUCUUCCACUUUCCCGACUCCCAAACACCACCAGUCUUUGAUUUUCCUAGAGUAUUAACUGUCUGUUUACACGAACAUAGACCGACUGUUUGUCUAAUUACUGUCAAGAAACAGCAUACUCUGUCUCGGAGUCUCAUCGUUUAUUGACUUGUCACUUGUGAACGGGCUAAUUAAAGGGCGUUCCUUUCUUCAAGAAAGAAUGCCAAGAAAGUACCAUCCAUUAGACACGUUAAGAAUUAUAAUUUUACAUUAAAAAUGGUAAUAAUCAUAAUAAUCGGUUUAGUGUUACCCCGUUAUUAGGUAAUGGCUGUCCGAUUGUCUUCGCUUUCAUUGACUUCGCAACUGUGACUUCUAAGCCGGGUUAAGGAUUGACAAAAUGUUAUAACCCAUAAAGCACGGAUAAUUAAUUAAUGGGCCACUGAUUUCUUCUUUCAUAAAAGAGAACUUUUCCAGGGAGAUUGGAAAAAAAGGCUAAUUCUGGGUAAAGAUCAGAAACUUCUCAAAUAAAAAUUUGGCUCUGUGGAAAUUAAAUUAAAAGCAAUUAAGCAUUAUAAAUUACUUAACAGCUUAAUUCUGAGCUAAUCGAGUUUGGUUUUGAAAAAUAUACCUUUAAAUCUCUUGUAAUUAAAGAUAAUUAUCAUAUUACCGUCUCAAAUGGACCGAUUUCAAUUAAAUGAAAUCUAGAAAAUUGAGCAGCUCAUUGAUGUAUUUGGUCGAAUUGUGACUUGUGUCAGAGUCUUCGGUUUAGAAGAGUGCACAGCAGCUGCCAGGUCCACUUGGCAGUUGGCACGCCAAAAAUUUUCUGUUGACAAUAAUUUUAUUAAUUUACUAUCAAAUAUUUUCUAUCACAUCAUUUUACUAUCAAAAUUUUUUGACAAUAAUUUUUUGUCACUUAAUAUUUCAGUUUUUAUCAUUUUAUCAUCAAAAAAUAGUAAAUGCAUACUUAGUGUAAGUUAUCCAUAAAAAUGGUUGUUGAAUUGUCUUGUUUCUCAUUUGGUUUAAUUUUCAUAAAUUCGACUCACGCAAUUCAAUUAUGAGUGAAGAGUUUUUUUGGGAAAAAUCUGGUCUUCCAUUUACUAGAAUCAGGUCUGAAUGAUUUUAUUAUUUUUCUUUUGUUUGAAAUAUACGUGGAAAAUGUUGAACACUUUGUAGGAUUUAGAAGAAUUUGAAAGUUUGAAUGCAUAUAGUUUACUAUCCAUCAGCUAGUGCAUAUUCUGUAUUUUAUGAAAUCAAAGCUGGUUGAUUGAGAAAUGGACCUUAUUACAUGUCAUAAGAUUUUACAGUGCUUUCUAAUGGAGCAAAAUAAAAUGAUUCUUACCUGCACAGAAAAUUAGAAACGAAAAGGAGGGUUACUGAUCCACAGAGUUGUUAUUUACGAGAAGCACAUAGAUAUUACACUUAAUUAGCCUUUCAAAACUUCAUUUUCAAAAAUCUAUGGUUGUGAUGCGUCUCUAUAAACUCAUUUUAAACUCUGUUCUGAACAGAGCAUGAAAGGAUAUGUUCACUUUUCUAGUUAUGUUUUUUAUGCUUUCACUUCACUUGAUUCACCUUGUCCCUCUUUUAAAACAGCUGUAUAUGUUGGAGUGCCAAAUCCAUCACAAGGAUCAUAUUAUAUCCUACGGAAGGAGCACAGUUCAUUGGCUGCACUCAGUUUACAGAGUAUUUCGGGAUUCAAGACUGUAGGUUGUUGCGGAUGCAACUUGCAAGGCUGUUGCUUUGUGACUGUAUGCGACGCUGGCAAGUGUGCUCUGACAGAUUGUGGAGAUGGCACCAAAGAUUGUAAACUAACUAGUACUGAAAAAUCCUAUUUGCACAUAAAAUUGCAUAAAAUAAAUAGAUUGAGAAAAGUUGUAUAAAGAAAUAAGAUUAAUAAAGUAAAUAAAUUUAUCUUUUAGUGUUUUUGUGUAUUUUUAGGUACGUACAAGAAGCAUUACUCAUUAGAGUGCAAUUUAUGCACUAGUUUUGCAUUAUUUACUUCCCUUAAUAUCGAUGUUUUGCAUUUAAUAAUAGUGAUUUACUUGUAUUUUACUUUUGUAGGUGCAAUUCUAUUGAUUGGUGAUAAAAUUGAGCUACAAGAUUAUGUCUAAGGAUGAUUGUUCUCUUGGAGAAAUUAUGAGCGUCAGAAGAACUUUGUUGAUAAGGCGUGGGCGCGUGCUGUCAACUACGGACCUGUAGUUUUUAGUUUAACGUGUUUUGUAUUUUUGGUUAUUUUUGUAAUUACGAAUUUAAUAUUUCAGAUAUUAGUAUUUUAUUUUAAAUAGAACUAUAGAGGAGAAGAGAGAGAGAGUAUUUAAGGGAAGAAUCUAUUGUGAAAAAGGGGACUUUCGGGGGAUUUUGAAAAAAAAGAAAGAAACUCUGGAUCUAAAUUUUUCUCUUCUCUCUAUGAAGAACUAAACCUAUUAUUCUGGUUUAAGGUUAAUGAAGCUUUGAUUCAUCACUACUGUGAGAUCUUUCUUAUUAUCAUGAUUAUGUUUGUUAAUUAGAUAAUUGACCACUAUUUAAUUAACAAACAUAAUCAUGAUAAUAAUUAAGAGAAUAAACAAAUACCCAAAAAGUAAUAAAACAAUUAAAGCAUAAGAAAGAUCUCACAGUAGUGAUAAUUAUAUUUUUUUUAAAAUAUAAAUAAAAUGAAUUUAUUUAAUGGAAAUUUAAAAAAGAGACACUUAUCUAUGCAAGCAAAGUUGCAUUCUGUCUGUGGGGACCUUAAAAAAAAAAGCAUAAUGAUAAACUGAUGACGACAAUCCUUAAGUAUUUGUUUUCUUUAGUUACAGUUAGGUUUGAAUGGUUAAGUUCAAGUUCGAAUUUUCUUUUUGUAAUUUAAAUUAAAAUUGAUAGAACAAAUGGGCUAAUCAGUAUGAUGAAGAAGAAGAAGAACUUUUGGUCCAUUCAAUGGACCGAAUUCAAUCAAAUGAAAUCUAGAAAAUAGAGCAGCUCAUAGAUGUACGUCGCUAAGUGGAUGUUCAUUUGGAAGUACUUUUGGUCGAAUUGCGACUUGCGCCGGAGGCUUCGUUUUAGAAGAGUGCAGAGCAGCUGCCUUGUCCAUUAGGCACGCCAACGACUUUCUAUUGACCAAUAAUUUUGAAAGCGAUAUUAUUAAUUUACCAUCUAAUUUUUUUAUAUUAUCAUUUCACCAUCAAAAUUUUUUGAUAAUUAUUUUUUUCACUUUGUGUUUUAGUUUUUAUUAUUUUACUACCAAAAAAUAGUAAACACACCCCUAAGAUAGGUUAUCCACAAAAAUAGUUACCGAAUUGUCUUGUUUCUCAUUUUGUUUAAUUUUCAUAAAUUCGACUCAUGAUUCAAACGUGAGUGAAGAGUUUUUUUUUGGGAAAAAAAUCUGGUCUUCCAUUUACUAGAAUUAGGUAUGUGUGAUUUUAUUAUUUUUCUUUUGCUUGAUAUAUAUCUGGAAAAUUAUGAAUACUUUGCAGGAUUUAGAAGGAUUUGAAUAUUUGAAAGCAUAUGGCUUUCUGUCCAUCAGCUAAUGCAUAUUCUGCAUUUUAUGAAUAUCAGAGCUGGUAGAUUGAAAAAUGGACCUUAUUACAUGUCAUAAGAUACUUUGCUCAAAGCUGCAAUUGGGCAACGCCGUGCUGUUCUUAUCGGCCAAGGCAAGCCAUUUACUAUUCUUUCUAAUGGAGCAAAAUAAGAUGAUUCUUACCUGCAUAGAGAAUUAGAAAAGAAAAGGAGGAUUACUGAUCCACAGAGCUGUCAUUUACUAGAAGCACAUAAAUCUUACACUUAAUUCAUUACCCAUCUGUAAUGUUCUAAUGAUACUUAAGUAUUACCUAAAUUAGCCUUUCAAAAUUUCACUUCGAAAAAAUCCAAGGUUGUGAUGUGUCUGUAUAAAUUCGCUAACACAAGUUCUCUCUAUUCCCAAUUGUUUUAAACUCUGUUCUGAACAGAGCAUGAAAGGAUAUAUUCGUUUAUCUAGUUAUGUUUUUUAUGCUCUCACUUCACUUGAUUCACCUUCUCCAUCUUUUAAAACAGUUGUAUAUGUCGGAGUAUCAAGUUCAUCACAAGGAUCAUAUUAUGGCCUAAGGAAGGAGCACAGUUUAUUGUCUGCACUCAAGCUUAGCAGAAUAUUUUGGGAUUCAAGAGUGUUAGUAGGCCGUUACAGAUGCCAUGCUGGCAAGCGUGCUAUGACUGAUUGCUAUUUGCACGUAAAAUUGCCCAAAACAAAUAGAAUGAGAAUACUUGUACAAAAGGACAAGAUUAAUAAAGUGAAUAAAUUUUAUCUUUUAGUGAAUGCUUCUUGUCUUUUAGAGUUUUAGUGCAUUUUCGUGUGUAAUUUUAUGUGCAAAUAGCAUUACUCAUUAGUAAUUAGUCUAGAGUGUUCUAAUUUCUUCUAAUAAGUAGCUGAUUUGAGCUUAAGACUUGUAUUUUAAGUUUUUAUUACUUUCUAAUAAAGAUUUUCUCUGUUCUUUUUUACUUUCACUUUCUCUUCCAUUUUCCCGACUCCCAAACACCACCAAUCCUUGAUUUUCUAGAGUAUAGCUAUGCAGUUCUACAAACACGCAACUGCUGUUUGUCCAUUUACUUUCAAGAAACAACGUACUCUGUGGUUUAUUGACUUGUGACUUGUGACUUGUGACUGGGGCAAAUUAGUCACGGUCCGAUUGUCUCCUCUUCCACUGACUCUGUCAAUUCAUGACUUUGGCACACAGUAGACGCCGGCUGCCUGCUUCAUUUGACGUGCAAAAAACUUUCUUUGGUUUUUUUGUUUGGUAAAUUAAACUCAACCUAUGGGUUAUUUUGUUUGGUGAUGAUGAGUUAUUUGUCAAUUCAUGAGUUUGAUGCAGUGAAACGCUUAACGCUCUCUUGUGAUGCGCAGGAGAAAAGCCAGCGAUGAUGAAGAGGACGAAAAACAUUAUUUUGUUAUUUACAAUAAGACUAUCCAAAUGGAAUCUUGUUUUCUAAAAUAAUUGGGUUUCGAUGGUCAUUUUGUUUUCUAAAAUAUCCAAAUGGAAUCUUACAGAAUUAGAGUGCUCGACUUCUUUAUACAGAAUUUAUAAAGGGGAAAAAUCAAGAAAUUAAAUACUCUUCAUAUAGUGAGAGGAGAUUUGGUUGCCAUAAUGAGAAAUAAAAGAAAAAUAAAUUAAAAGUACAAUACUUCAAUAAUCUCAUUCCCAAACAUACCAGAAAUAAAAUUUUCUGUACAUUUAUGAAAUAACUAUUGAUUUUACUUUGGUAAUUUUUUUUUUUUUAAAGUAAGGUAAACAUCUUUAUUUUCUUUGCAUACGAGCCUUCUUUCUUUUGCUUUGGCCUUUGCUCUUGACUAUAUUUCAUGGUCAUAUUCAAUCAAAAUCUUCUGUAGAUUUGUGGCUGUUUUAAGAGUUACAAUAAAUAUGUUAUCUCAAUUUAAAAAAAAAUGCAAUCGCAAUUAUCAAACACGACUAAUCCUAACAAUUUAUUCAAAAAUUUGAGUGUCAAGAAAUGUAGUAUUUAUGAUAGCAUGGCUAGUUUCAGAUAAAUGAUAAAUCAAUAUAUGACAUGUUACUAACUUACUUUAGGAAGAAAAUUAUAGAAUAAGUUUUUGAAUUAAUAGAAUUAUUUUACGACAAAACUAUCACAAUCUAAUUUAAAAAUAAAGUUAUUCUUUAAAUUUCUCAUUACUAUUCCUACCUGUCUUGUUAUACUACUUAAUGGCACUGCUGAAGCCUUGAACUAUCAAACAAAAAGCAAAAACACAUCAACAUCUGUUGUCCCAGUGAGCACUGUUAAAUUCAUACGAUAAAAGGAGUCUUUAAUUGACAUAGGCAAUGUGCGGUCAACUUGUGGCACCCUUACUGACACGUAAAGAACUUUCUUACACCACAGCCAAUACUUUUAUGAAUUUUUAGGACAGGUAAAAUUUUCAAAUUUAAAAGAAAAAAAUACAGAAAAGUAAUUUCAAUUUAUCCAAAAAUUUGAGUUUCAAGGAAUGUAGCAUUUAUUAUAUGUCAUGUUAACAUAAAGAAGAUUUAAAAAUUUCUUUUUUGAAUGAAUAAAAGUAUUUUUUGAUAAAAAUUUGACAAUCAUAUUUACAAAAAAAAAUAAAAAAAAAUCGCUCCUCUUCCUACAUAAUUUAAGAAUUUAACAUUUUAAAUUAAUCUUUUUAAUCAAAGUAAUAAUCUCUCCUUCCGUCUGUAAAUGCUAAAAUUUAAUAUUAUAUCCGUUGACGAUAUUUGCUCCAAAUUCACGAGAAUAAAAUUUCUAAUAGAAUUGUGAAAUUCGUUACUCGAAAUUUGUAUAAAAUUCGUGAGAAUAGAAGGUUUGAUCAUAGGAAAUUAAAAUAUCACUAUCCAAUGCAAAAAUGGUUAUAAAGAAAAACAAAAGUCACGGGCUUAUUAUAGAAAAAAAAAUUACUUUCCAUUUUCCAAUAAUUAAAUUAAUUCUAAAAUCAUAGACUUUUGGAAAGUAUCACAAAGGAUAGACUUUUGGUGACCGAGGUCAAGCCUAACGCAUGCCGGUCUUUUUCUCCUCUACUUUCUUAGAAAUUUUGGUUUCACUAUAAAUACUCGGCAUUACCAAUCCAAUUAAGCACAGACUUACAAUCUAAAAUACUCUCAUCUCAUGGAAAGAGUUCAUUCUCUCAGUAUGAUGAGCAGAUUUCUCUUACUCCAUUGUUUGAUUCUUAUUUUCUUAUUUAUCACAACUGCAACAGCCAACACAAGUACUAUUACCACAGACCGAGAUGCUCUGCUUGCCCUGAAAGCUCACAUAACUCAUGAUCCAACCAAUUUCUUCGCCAAAAAUUGGAACACGAGUAUCUGUUUCUGUAAUUGGACAGGCGUCACUUGUGAUCUCCAUAGCCAUAGAGUCACAGUCUUGAAUAUUUCAAGCUUAAAUCUCACAGGCCCCAUCCCUGCUCAACUUGGGAAUCUUUCUUCUCUGCAAUCACUCAAUCUCAGUUGUAACCGACUUUCUGGUUCCAUUCCCUCCGCCAUCUUCACCAUAUACACACUGAAAAAUGUUAGUCUCCAUAAAAAUCAGCUCUCUGGGCAAAUUCCUGCAAAUAUUUGUAGUUAUCUUCCUUUUCUUGAAGUUCUUUCUUUGUCCCAAAACAUGCUUCAUGGCGGAAUACCGUCCACUCUAUCAAAUUGCACAUAUUUAAGAAUCUUAAGUCUGCCAUACAAUAAUUUCUUGGGAGCCAUACCAAAAGAAAUUGGGAACUUGACCAAACUUAAGCUAUUAUAUAUUGGCGUUAAUAGACUCCAAGGUGCGUAUGAUCAUGGAGUUUAAUUAUAAAAAUUGUUCCGCAAGUUGUAAUAUGUAUAAUGUUCCAUAAUGCAAUUUACACACGUUGAUUAAUUUGCAGGGGAAAUUCCUCGAGAGUUUGGCAAUCUUGCCGAAUUGGAGCGGAUGUCGUUAGCAACUAACAAACUCCAAGGUAUGAUUAUAAACUUUUUGCAAUUUGAUUCUAGCCUCUGCUUGCUUCUGUAUUCAUUCGUUUGUUCAUUAAUUGUUUUUCUUUCAGAUGGAGAUAAAGCUCCAUGUCUCUCCUCACUAAUUUCAUGCUUUAAUUUAUGCAGAUAAAAAUAAAAAAAAAUUUAAUUUUCUUUAUUCAUAUUGCCACUUCCGUUUUGAAGCUCCCAAUCAAGUCGAUGAAAAUGAAUGAUGUUUCAUUCUGAUUCUUGUCAGCCUAAUCUAUAUAUAUAUAUAAAGCUGAGACUUGAGGAGGUGAUAUGGUAUCACUAUUUCUCAUCUUUGUAUAUUCUCUAUUUUCUAAUAAAUAGAGAAAUUUUCUUUUAAAUUUAGUUUUUCAUCUUCUCACAAUUAAUUUAAUUGUUAUUACACAAUAACAAUUAUGUAAAGGUUUUAAUGAGGCAUAUUCUUUGUAAUGAACAUCCAAGGGGGAGUGUUAUGAAUUUAUUAAAAUAAAUGUAGAUGUUCAUAACAUAUAUCUCUUAGUCUCCCUACUAUCUCCCAUUAGCAACCUUUAACUUCCCUAUAACUCCCACUAUCUCACAAGAAAUUAUGAUCCAUAAUUUUUCCUUAAUUUCAUGGAGUGAUUAUGUAACUAUAAAAGGAGAGCUCAUCUUUUUGUUUUGUACACACAAUUGAAAUGAAUAAAAUCACUGUAUAAUAUAUUCUCUCAUUUUAUUCUUUAUCUUGCAUUACUUCUUUAUUUGUAUUGCUGGCUAAUAGCUUUUUUUAUUUUUUAUAAGGCUGCCUCAUCUUAAAAAAAAAAUCAAUUCAUAUUUUUUAUCAGUUUCAUCAAGUGUAAAGUAAAAAAAAAAGGAUAAUACUAAAUUCUUUUUUCAAAGCCGCGUGAAACGCGGUUAUAUUUUCUAGUUCUUAUAUAAUUGAAGAGUAAAUUGUCAUUAUGAUAUUCGUCAGCAAAUAAAUUCUUUUUUUCUUUUUUCCCCCCAAAUAUGAGUGAUCAAAUUGUUUGCGCAUAUAUAUAUAUAUAUAUAUAUAUAUAUAUAUAUAUAUAUAUAUAUGUAUGUAUGGAGAAAUGUUCCAGUCAGGGAUUUUAAAGUACGGGAAAGUACGGGAAACCUUUAAAACCGCAUGGUUUUAAAGGCUUAAAACUGUAAGCCUUUAAAGCUGUGUGGUUUUAAAGGUUUCCCAUACUUUCCCGCACCUUAAAAUCCCUGAUCAGAAAACUACUAUGUAUGUAUGUAUAUAUAUGUACUUAAUUCGCAGGAGGUAUUCCACAGGAAUUGGGGAAUCUUGCAAAAUUGGAGGGGUUACAGCUGUUCGGGAAUAACUUGACUGGUAACUUUCUUUACGAUAUAUAUAUAUGAGACAUCUUCCACUUCUUAAUUAAAAGAUUUCAAGUCUCUCAUUAUAAAUUCUCAUAUGAGGAUGUGUCGUUACCACUAUCUAACAUAUAUAUUUUUUAUUCAAAAUUAGUUUGUGUUAAUUCAAAAUUCUAUAGCAUUUAAAAAAUAUUAAAAACACGUGGAAUAAAUCGUCGAUCUUUCUUCUUUACUGAAUUUGGAUUUCUCAAAAAUUAUCUCAACAAGUAUGCUUCACUAAUGAUAUGCAUGUGAGACAACUUCAUAAAAUAUUUUACAUGGAAUCAAUAAUUAUCUUUAAAUAAUUGGAGAUGCCAUCAGUGAUACAUAAUUUCUUAAUAAGCACCAUACCAAAAGAAAUCAACAAUUUUAUUAAUCUUAAAGAGUUACAUCUUCACUGCAAUUAUGACAUAAAUUUUUAGUCACCAAUCACAUAAUAUUUUAUCUUAACGGAUGAUGUUCAAUCUUGGAAUUUAUAAUACCUUGAAGGUUAGCAGCUUUGAAAAUAAGAAAUUGUUCAUUUGCUAAAAAGUUAACUUAGUAUUUAAGUUUUUCAAUUGAAAAUUUUGAAAAAAGUAUUGAGAACUGGCCCUCCCUAGUAUUUCAGUGGAUGAAUAUGAAAAAUAGGCUUGAAGAAAUUAUUGUUGUGUGUGCUUAUUCUACUUGGGCUUUGGGCUUGAUUACAUGGUCGAGCACUUACACCUGUUAUAAUAAUAGGCUUUUACUUUCACCACACGUUUGAUAAUUUCUUAACCUUCCCAAUUAGGUUAUAGCAAUUUAUAUAUAAAUAACACUUACACCUGUUAUAAUAAUAAUAGCAUCCGCCGAUCGACUACGAGUGAUCAAAUUGUUUGCACAUAUGUAAUUUGCAGGAGCAAUUCCGCGGGAGUUGGGAAAUCUUACAGGAUUGGGGACCUUAGAGCUGUCUGAAAAUUUUUUGACCGGUAUCAUUCCUUCAUCUAUCUACAAAUUGCUUUUCUCUAUUAAAUUUGAAAUUGUCAUUUAAUAACUUAACAAGUAACUUCCCUUACAACAUCUAUCUACAAAUUACUAAUUUAAAUUAAUAUUAAAAUAUGUUGUUUCUUUCACUAUGUUAUUUUAUUUACACAAUGAUGUGACUAUUGGAAUUAAUAAUACUUAUAAUUAUUUUGUAAAAAUAUAAAUUUAAUACUUUGUUAACAUUUUAUCUACAUAUAAUAAUUAAACUGAAACUUCUAUUUAAAAAAUUCUAGUUACGCAAAUUCAUUUCAUGACAUAAAAGUGUAUAUUUAUGCUAAUUUACCAUUAUCAACAAAAUGCUUUGAGACAAAUAAUCUAAUUUAUAUUUGUAUAUUUAAAAUACUUGCAUUUAUUAUAUUUUGAAAAAAAAUUAUUUUACUGAAAUAAUAGGCUUUUACUUUCACCACACGUUUGAUAAUUUCUUAACCUUCCGAAUUAGGUUAUUGCAAUUUAUAUAUAAAUAACUAAAGCAUACUAAAGCUAGCAUACAGUACUCAUGACUUAGGCUUGCUGCAAUAUCCAUUAAACACGGUCGAACACUUACACAUGUUAUAAUAAUAUUAGCAUCCGCCGAUCGACUAUGAGUGAUCAAAUUGUUUGCACAUGUGUAAUUUGCAGGAGCAAUUCCACUGGAGUUGGCAAAUCUUACAGGAUUGGAGAUCUUAGGCCUGUCUGAGAAUUUUUUAACCGGUAUCAUUCCUUCAUCUAUCCACAAAUUGCUUUUCUCUAUUAAAUUUGGAACUGUCAUUUAAUAACGUAACAGUUAACUUCCCUUACAACAUGUCUGUGUGACAUGUUUUGCUUCUUAAUUAAAAUAUUUCACUUCUCUCAUUAUAAAUUCUCAUAGGAGGAUGUGUUGUUAUUACUAUUUAACAUUAUCUCGUUUUUUAUUAGAAAUUAAUCUGUGUUUAUGCAAAAAAAUUUAGCAUCUAAAAAAAGUAUAAAAACACGUGGAAUAAAUCGAAAAUCUUUCUUCGUUACUGAAUUUCAAUUUCUCAAAAAUUAUCAUGACAGCUAUGUUAGUGUCUUACUAAUGAUAUGCAUGUGUGACAGCUCCAUAAAAUAUUUUACAUGGAAAAUAUGAAAAAUAGACUUAAAAAAAAAAAUUAUUUUACUGAAAUAAUAGUUAAAAAGAGAGGAGAAGUACAGUACUCAUGACUUAGGCUUGCUGUGUACUUAUUUUACUUGGGCUUCGGGCUUGAUUACACACGGUUGAACACUUACAUCCCCCGACAUAGGCUUUGAGGGAUGAGUGGCGUCAAAUGUGUAUCUGCUUUUAUGUAUUAUUAUUCUUUGAAACAAAUCUGAUUAUAAUUCUUUUAAAAUACAGAUGAAAUAGCAUGUGAAAUCGAAAAAUAUUUUACUGCGAUAAGAAUUCAUAUAUUCAUUGUACUAGCACAUAUAAAAUAGACUAUAAAUUUAGUUCCAAAAUACAUUCUUAUCUUCAUAUAAAUUUUACAUUAUUAAUUUAAAUUAAUAUUAAAAUAUGUUGUUUCUUUCACUAUGUUAUUUUAUCUACACAAUGAUGUGACUAUUGGAAUUAAUAAUACUUAUAAUUAUUUUGUAAAAAUAUAAAUUUAAUACUUUGUUAACAUUUUAUCUACAUAUAAUAAUUAAACUGAAACUUGUAUUUAAAAAAAUUCUAGUUACGCAUAUUCAUUUCAUGACAUAAAAGUGUAUAUUUAUGCUAAUUUACCAUUAUCAACAAAAUGCUUUGAGACAAAUAAUCUAAUUUAUAUUUUUAUAUUUAAAAUACUUGUAUUUAUUAUAUUUUGAAAAAAAUUUAUUUGCAAUUAUUUUAAACCGUUGGAUUCAAAUUUUCGUAGUUAUUAAAGUCAAAGGGUAUAAAUGUAUAAUAGUCAAAAAUAGAUUUCUGUGAUCAUUUUUCAAUGUAUAAAUUUUCUUAGUUAGUAGAAAAAUUAGAAAUUGUUGAUUUACUCAUAAAUAAAUUUAAUGUUUAGCAUUUCAAUUUUGGAAACUUUGAAUCGGUCGAGCCGAAUUUCGCUUCCUUGACCCACAGACCCAAUGAAAGUUCUAUUCGAAUUGAGUUUCCCAGUGCUUACAAAAAGCAUUUCUUUUCCUUGUCGCAGUAAUUUAUUCACAAAUGAGUUGAUUAGCAUCGAAGUUACCUGAGAGUCUGAGACCAUGCUAGUAGGAGAAAUUUGAAAAGAAAUUAUUUUACUGAAUUAAUUUAUUUUAUCUUGUUGUAACUGAAAUACUACUUUUUUUUUUGGGCUGUCACUUGGGCUUGAUUUACCUUAAUAGUAGCAGCCACCGACUUAGGCGUUUUUUACUUCUCACCACACAAUUUGAUCUUUUAAUUUGUUUUAACCACAUAAUCUAUCUAUUUUUCACCUAUUGCUUACUUAAAUCGCAUACAUAUUUUACCUACUAAUUUUUAUAAAUAUUAGUCAAAUAUAUUUUAUUACGUUUCUCUCGUAACUGCUCCAAAUGUGUACUAUUAAUACUUAACCCUCCCUUUUAAUUCACCAUGCAAUCUAUCUAUCACUUAAGUCACAUAUAUAUUUUACCCCAAAAAAUAUAAAAAUAAAAGAAAAAGAAUAUGUGUAGCAAUUUGCAUAUAACUAACAAAGCAUUGACGGUGUGUAGCCUUUCAAUACUUCACGAGUGGCUUUUCUUGUGUGUUAGUACUUGUAAUAAUUGUGUAGUGUAUAAAUGACAUUUUAUUAUUAAAGUGUGUCCAUUUUUAGAUAUUACUUAUUAUUUGAAAAAUAAUCUGAAUAUAAUUCUUUUAAAAUACAGGGGAGAUACCACUUGAAAUUGGUAAACUCCAAAUUCUGGAGGACUUGCACCUUGGUCAAAACAAAUUAAUUGGUACUGUCCCAGUUGCAAUCUUUAAUGUGUCAACACUCAAAUUACUUCAGCUUCAAAAUAAUUCUCUCUCGGGAUGUCUUUCGUCCAUCGCAAACAUCCGACUACCAAAUCUUGAAAAGCUUCAUUUGUGGGGUAAUAAUUUUAGUGGCAUAAUUCCUCGUUUCAUCUUUAAUGCUUCUAAGCUCUCUACACUAGAGUUGGAAGAGAACUCAUUCUCCGGUUUUAUUCCCAACACAUUUGGCAACUUAAGAAACCUUGAGCGGCUUAAUUUAGGUGAUAAUUAUUUGACAUCUUCAACUCCAGAAUUGAGCUUUCUAUCCUCGUUGUCAAAUUGCAAGUCUUUAACACUUAUUAUCUUAUCAAAUAAUCAACUAGAUGGCAUUCUUCCUAAGACGUCUAUCGGUAAUCUUUCUCGUUCUUUGGAAGAAUUUUACAUGCACAAUUGUAACAUUAGUGGCGGCAUCCCUGAAGAGAUCAGCAACUUGACCAACUUGACAACCAUUAUUUUAGGAGGCAAUAAAUUGAAUGGAUCAAUUCCGAUUACUCUCGGCAAAUUACGAAAGCUUCAACGGUUGAAUCUUGAAGAUAACAAAUUAGAAGGAUCAAUCCCAAACGACAUUUGUCAUUUGGCUGAACUGUAUAGAUUGGAGCUGGGCGGCAAUAAGCUUUAUGGAUCAAUCCCUGCAUGCUUCGGUAAUCUGGCUUCUCUGAGGAUACUGUCGUUGGGUUCCAAUAAGUUAACUUCUAUUCCUUUAACUUUUUGGAACCUUAAGGAUAUCUUGCAACUCAACUUUUCAUCAAAUUUUUUGACUGGCCCACUCCCAUUAGAGAUUGGAAAUUUGAAGGUUUUGAUUGGAAUUGAUUUUUCGAUGAAUAAUUUUUCAGGCGUUAUCCCAACAGAAAUUGGAGGCCUGAAAAAUCUAGAAUAUCUCUUCUUAGGAUAUAAUAGAUUGCGAGGAUCGAUUCCUGAUUCAUUUGGUGAUUUGAUAAGUUUGAAAUUCUUGAAUUUGUCCAAUAAUAAUCUCUCUGGGGCUAUUCCUACAUCUUUAGAGAAACUCUCAUAUCUUGAAGAUCUAAAUCUUUCUUUCAACAAGCUAGAAGGAGAAAUUCCUAGGGGAGGAUCUUUUGGAAACUUCUCAGCUGAAUCAUUUGAGGGAAAUGAAUUAUUAUGUGGUUCACCCAAUUUACAAGUCCCGCCAUGCAAAACUAGCAUCCACCAUACAUCAUGGAAAAAUUCUCUUCUCCUAGGGAUUGUCUUGCCAUUGAGUACUACAUUAUUGAUAGUAGUCAUUUGGUUGAUCCUAAGAUAUCGACAGAGAGGAAAACAACCAUCGAAUUAUGCUAAUAUGCCACUAGUAGCAACGUGGAGAACAUUUUCAUACCUAGAACUUUGUCGAGCAACAGACGGAUUCAGUGAAAACAAUCUAAUUGGCAGAGGAGGUUUUGGCUCUGUUUAUAAGGCAAGACUUGGGGACGGGAUGGAGGUUGCAGUGAAAGUUUUCAAUUUGCAAUGUGGAAGAGCGUUCAAGAGUUUCGAUGUUGAAUGUGAAAUGAUGAAAAGUAUUCGCCAUCGAAACCUUAUCAAAGUUAUUAGUAGUUGUUCAAAUGAAGAGUUUAAAGCGUUGGUAUUAGAAUACAUGCCUCAUGGAAGUUUGGAUAAGUAUCUGUAUUCAAGUAAUUGCAUUUUGGAUAUUUUUCAAAGAUUGAACAUAAUGAUAGAUGUUGCAUCAGCUUUGGAAUAUCUGCACUUUGGUUAUUCAGCUCUAGUAAUUCAUUGUGACUUAAAGCCCAGCAAUGUAUUGUUAGACGAUAAUAUGGUUGCUCAUUUGAGUGAUUUUAGCAUCGCAAAAUUGCUAACUGGAGAAGAUCAAUCUAUGACUCAAACACAAACACUUGGCACAAUCGGCUAUAUGGCACCAGGUUUGUUCAAUAUAAAAUUUUUCUAUUUCUUGUAAACUUCCUAAUAAGUUAUUUAUGUUUCAUGAUCUUCAUUAGAUAAGGAAAUUAUUAUUAAUGAUAUAUCUUACUAAGUAACUGUUACAAUUCAUAGAGUAUGGAAGAGAAGGACGAGUAUCCACAAAUGGAGAUGUUUAUAGCUUUGGGAUUAUGUUAAUGGAAACUUUUACCGGGAAGAAACCCACAGAUGAAAUUUUUAACGAAGAAAUGACAUUAAAGCAAUGGGUUAAUGAUUGGCUACCCAUUUCCACUAUGGAAGUUGUUGAUGCUAAUUUGCUUAGUCAGGAGGACGUACAUUUUGUUGCAAAGGAGCAAUGUGUGUCAUUUGUCUUCAAUUUGGCUAUGGCGUGCACUGUGGAAUCUCCUGAGCAGAGAAUCAAUGCAAAAGAAAUUGUAAAAAAGCUCUUAAAAAUUAGAGACUCAUUACUUAGAAAUGUUGGAGGCAGAUGUAUAAGACAAUCAAAUUUAAAUUGAUUCUACCCUUCCUUCAUUGCUCGUUAUCCUUUUUAGAGAAUUGAACAGUUAUCCUUCAUAUAAGUUUUGUUGAUAUGUUUUGUUAUUGCUCUUGCUCAUGUUUAUUUCUCUGUUUCUUUAAUUUGCAUGCAUGUAUUUUUCAUUAUCUUUUAUGUUUUUGUUGGUUUGUAUGUAGUUUGUUUUUAGGGGUAAGUUGAUCAUGUCCUCCCCUAAUUAGACGUAUCCUUUUUAUGUUUAUUCAAUAAAGCUUCUCUAAUAUUAUGGAGGUUCAUCAAAAGAAAAUUUUUAAUUAAUUUUCUUUUCUUUGAUAGGUAAUGAAAUUUUAAUCUUCAUCGUGAAUAACUUCAAUAACAGAGUGUAAGAGUAUUAGUAGUUAUGGUUAUUUUUUGAACCUGGAGUCAAGAGCAAUUUAACAGCAACAAACAAGUCUCUUGUAUUAUAGGCAAAAUUCUUUUCAUUAAUCUUAUUUGUCUACAUGUUCUCUUAUUUUCUCCAUUAAUCUUCGCUCAAGGUUUCAUGCUUCCUCUUUGAUAAAGGAAAAUAUUACUUGAGAAUAUUUCAAUUUGACAUAAGAGACUGUUUUGCCAACCAUUUGAUAAAAUGGAUAUGAGUGGAGCUUUCAAUCAUUACCUCCACCAAAAUCGUUACAACGCCACUUUUAAAUUUUAUUUUUUAAAAUGCAUUCAGUUUAAUUUAUAAAAAAUAAAUCCAUUUGUUAAAAUUAAUCUUUUUCUCAUAAAUUUCAACCUAAGAAAUAUAUUUCUUUUAAAUUUUUAAUUAUAAAAUACAUACAAGUUCUAAACUGUUAUAUUAUUUUCUUCUUAUUAUAUAGAUUAUAUCUCCAUAUCUCCAUAACUCUAAACUCCUAUAAUUUUUUAAAAAUAUUUUUAAUUUAAGAUAGGAAAAUUAUCAUUUGUAUACCCUAUAUUUGCUCUGUUAUCAAAAAUACUACAACACUUUGAGGGUGUAUCAAUCGUCCACCCUUAGUUGACAAAAUGUAUCAGCUGACCACCAAACCGUUAGUUGCCGUUUGAAAGUUAACGGAAUUACAGUGAAUUGACGAUUUUACCCUUGAAAAUUAUCACUUGUAUACCCUUAAUUUCUCUUUUUAUCACUUGUAUACCCUUAAAUUAUCACUUGUAUCUUAUGAAAAGACCAAAUUACCCUUCUAACGUCAUCAUAUUUAAACGGCAACUAACGGUUUGGUGGUCAGUUGAUACAUUUUGUCAACUUUGGGUGGAUGAUUGAUACACCCUCAAAGUGUUGUAGUAUUUUUGAUAAUGGAGUAAACUAAGGGUAUACAAAUGAUAAUUUCCCUUUAAAAUAUAAAUAUAAAAUAUAAAAUGGAGUGGGUAUAAAAAAACUUGUUAAAAGAAUAAUUCAUUUAAGUAUUUAACUGAAUUUAAAUUAAAAUAAGAAAUAAAUAAAUUUAUUUUUUAUUAGUUAAGUAAUUUUCAAUUGAAAAAGAGCUGUAUGAGUAAUAUUAUUGAAAUAUGAUUAAAAUUCUUAUGAAUUAAACAUUUUCGUAUAAAUACUAGUGAUAAUUAUAGAGAAAGUAUGAUGAACCAAAGAAAACUUGAAUAUAAAUACUCCAAUGUAAUUUUACACAUGCAAAUUAUGAACCAAUGAUCUUUAGAGCAUUAUAAAAUUAUUUUGACAUAAUUAUUUAUUUUGAAAAAUUGCCAACAAUGUUUUAUUAAAGUGGGAUUGAAAAGAUUAUGCUACUUAUAUAAGACAUGAUAUCAUUUAACAUGGCUUGCAGAUUAUGAGAAAUAUAUUGAUCUUACAAAUAUUUAAUAUGUUAAUUAGACAGGUCCAGCUGCCUUCCACCCGCUGGAAGGUACAACUUAUUUUGUCCUCUAGUGUUGUGGCCAUUGGAUAUUUGAGAAAUUGAUCUAUCGGUUCUUGUUCAGCAGCGUGAAAUUGAAUUUCAAUCGGCAAACGUUUCAUGAACUUUGCAAGGGACAAUUAUCUACAAAAAUAUUUUUUAAAAAAAUAAUUUUUCCCUUUCAUCAGCCGCCGCUGCCACCCACAACUCCUUAAUAUCAUCAUCACCAUCCCAAUCCUUAGCCGCCAUCCACAAGCUCUAACAACCACCAUGACCGCCAUCACAACCACCACUCCUCAUAACCCCUAGCCACCACUACAAACAUUCACAAACCCUACCAAUCAUCCACAACACCUAACCGCCGUCACCAACAAACUUUCGCCGCCGCUUCCUACAAGCAAGCCUCACCACCCACCACCGCACACACACAAAGCCACACCAACCGCCAUACUAUUGUGACAGAGCCCACAAUGUAGACAAGAUCCAGCAGAGGGGGGAUGUUUUCCUUCUUCGGCUGACUAUUCUUUUUUUUUUAUUUUUUAAUUAUUAUAUUACUUUUAGUUAUUUUUAGUUAUUCUUUUAUUUUGUCUAUAUUUUGGUUGUUAGAUUGUUUUUGUUGUUGUUAUUGGCGGCAGUGGAGUUGCAGCUCGUGAUGAUGAUGGUGAUGUUGGUGUCAUUUUAAUCGAGAUUUUGUCUUUUUUUUACCGGCUACGCCAGUCAUCUUCAUUCAUUACGUGUCCAUUUCUAACAUGUUAGAUUUUACUACUUUUUAAUCCAAGGAUUAGACCACAACGAGACAAAAGAUGGGGUACCUUCCAAUGGGUGGAAGGUAGUUUCGGCCCAAUUAGACUGAGUCUAUGCAAUAAAAAUUUCAAAUUAAAAAAUAAGCCCUUUAUUUUCUUUUAAUCAUAAGUGUGAUCUUAAUUAUUAAAGUCAUUUAAUGUCCAUUACUUAUUCAUUUUUUUUAAUUACCUAAAUGACAUUGAAAGCUCUACUCAAUAAUAAUUCAUUCAAAUGUUUUAUUUUAAAGUAAUCGGAAACUGCAAAUGAAGCAAAUGCUUGAAAUCACAAACAACCUAAAAUUAGAUUUUCAUUUUUCAAUGUUGCAAUGACUUUGAUCUUGAUAUUGAAAAUUUAUUUGUAACUUAUAUAUAGGCCUCGAUUUUAUCAUAAUUGGUUAGUAAGGCUACGUAGGGAGCAUGGAUAAAUUUUGGGAUUGGAUUAUAUUUUUGGAACUAAAAAAUUAAUUUCAUCCAAUGUUAGUUUGGCUGUUAGGACUAGCAACUUAGUCUAAAAUUAUUGAAAUUAUUGAUGUUUUAUAUUAUAAUAUUUUCAUUACCACUUUAAACAUUAUUGGUAACUUAAAUCAUUUUUUAAAUUAAAUAUAAAUUUAAUUAAUUAUAAAAAUUAAUUUAAUUAAAUAUAAAAAUCAUUUAAAUUAAAUAUUAACAUUAAUUUCAUAAUUUUUUACCUAGAAUUUUAUAUUAUAUUAAAUACUAAAAUUCUAUUCGAUAAUUUAUUAUCAUUUAUUUAAUAAAUGUUUAGUAUGUUAUAUUAUUAUUUAAAUUAAUUUUUUAUUUACAUAUAAACAUAAAUUAAUAUUUACUAAUUUCAAAUUUUUUUAGUUUGUUUAAUAAUAAAAGCUAAAUUACUAUAUUGAAAAUAUAAAUAGUAUUCUAAUGUAUUAUAGUCUAAAUCUCACCCCAAUGAGUUUAUUUUAUACACCUUUUAUUAUAUUAACCACAUUUAUAAUGCAGUGCAAUGCAACAAAAUUUUUUUAACAAAUAUGAGUUAGCAUGAAAAUAAUAUUUUAGUACAAUGUAAUACAAUGUAAUGUAAGCUGACAAAUGGAUAUUUAAUGGAAGCAAAAAUUGCAGAUGGUUUGGUUUGUGGGUCUCUCAAAAGACAACAAAGAAACCAAUAUGAUAAACUAAUUCUAUCCUCUUUAAUGGUGUCUUUACUAAAUGGAAAUCAGAAGAGUUAGAAUUGAAAUAGGCUUGAAUCGAAAUAAGGAAUUAAAAUCAGAAUAAGUUGUUUAUUUAAGUUGUAUGAAUCAGAAUCGAAAUAAUUUUUAUUCAAAUUGAUGUGUUUAUUUUCUCUUGAAAUUAGAAUGGACUAUUACAAGUUACUAAAAAAUCAUUUGGUAAUUGUUGUCUCUAGUAUUAUUUGUAUCUGUUAUAAUGUUAAAAAUAAUACUAAAAAUGAAAAUAAUAAUAAUAAUAAUAAUAAUAAUAAUAAUAAAGACAAUUAUAAUAAAAUUAAUAAAUUAUUAUUAUUAUUAUUACUACUACUACUACUAGUACUGAAGACCGCCUAGUGAAGAUUGGAUAGUGAAGAUGAAGACAACGAUCCUGGCAACCAACUGUUGCUUCAAAGAUGAUGUGCCCAAAUGGAGACAACCAGCGAUGACCAGCCAACUAGAUCCCAAUCUCGAUGUUGUGAUCUCACAUGAUCACUGAUAAAGCGAUGUGCGAUGCCAGUGUUGUGAUUUCUUUUUAUUUAUAUUUUUUAAUUUAUUGGGGGUAUUUUCAAAAUUUAGUAAUUUUAAUAUGGGCAAAUUGGAUAGUUGAGGGAACAAGAGACUGAUUUCCAACCAUCCUAAGAAUUAGUCUCUCAUUCUCUAUUUCUAAUUUGAUGUGGGUCCUAUUAUUUCGAUUUCAAUUUUUACAUUUAUUUGUAAAGUAAAUGACGUUAAUGAUUUCAAUUUCUAAUUGGAGAAGAAAACACAUCAUAAUAAUUUUUUAGAUGCUUCCAUGGCAUAAUCUCAUUGGUCCGUUUUUCUUCACGCCUUAGAUUCAACUUCAAGAUUUAAGAUCCAAUUUGAAGCAAACACAACUACAAAACAAAUAUAAUAAGCGUUACUAAGCCUGCGGCUGACUGGCUGUGGCCAAGCAAAUGGAACUCAUAGUGACCGAACCAUAUCUUAUUAUCUUACGCCAGAAGUUAAACAAUGUUCCCAUUCCACGUGUCACUCUCUGACCAACCCCCAAACUUUCUACAUAUUUCCAAAGAAACCCUUACCAAGUCAAGAUAAUUACCUUCACUCUACUUAUAUAAAUACUGUCCUCGAUUCAACUGAUGACGACAUAUCCUUACAGUCUUUAUUUAAAAGGAAAAAUUAUAAAAAAUUAUCCUCGUUCCCUAAAACUCUAGGGUUUGUCAAGAAUCGCUAAACAUAUAUCCCAAUCAUUCAAAAUCUCAAUUUAACCUCUCUAGGGUUUUGAUUGUCGAGGAUUCGCUUGAAAAUUUAGUAUUUUUUAGUGGAUUUUGCUUGUCUCGUAUGCUUCAAUUGUUGUUCGGUUCUGAAAAUAAUUUGGAAUUUUAGGGAUUUUCAAUUGUUGUUCGGUUCUGAAAAUAAUUUGGAACCAAAAAUUCCCAACAAUUGUCAGUUGUUUUAAACUCUAUUCCGAACAGAGCAUGAAGGGAUUCACUUAUCUAAUUAUGUCAUUUAUGCUUUAACUUCACUUCAUUUCAUCUUGUCCGUCACCUUGACUAAAGUUGUGUAUGUUGGAGUAUUAGGUUCAUCACAAGGAUCAUAUUAUGGCUAAGGAAGUAGCACAGUUUAUUAGCUACACUCAAGUGUAGCAGAGUAUUUGGAUUCAAGACUGUUAUAAGGUUGUUACAGAUGCAAUGCUGUUGCUGUGUAACUGUAUGCCAUGCUCGCAAGUGCGCUGUAACAGAUUGCUCAUCAGGCACCGGAUAUUUUAAGCUAAUUUUGGUAAUUAGUCUAGAGUGUUCUGAUUUAUUCUAUAAAUAGCUCAUUUGAGCGUAGAACCUUUAAGGUGUAUCGUACAUUUCUGUUACUUCUAAUAAAGAAUUUCUUUAUUCCUUUUUCUUUCACUUUCUCUUUCAUUUUCAUGAUCCCCAAACACCAUCAAACAUAGAAUUGCUGUUUUAGGCCAAUGGACAUAACGUGACAAGUUUUUGAAGUGAAUGACUCCUCUUUUCUCCAUAAAUCUUUGCUUAAUUUUUUUGUUCCCUCAACCUUUUUUGGCCUUUUCUGCUAAAAUUCAUUUUUUUGAUACAUUAUGCAAAAAUUGAUGAAAAUGAGUUACUCUAGAACAUCAAUAAAUUUUUAUUACAUGAUAAGACAAUUAUACUUAGAUUACUCUUAUUUGGUUGAAUUAUAUGUAAUAAAAUUAGUUUAACAGAAUCUAACCCGUAAAUAUUCCUUAUCACAUGAUUAACGUACUUAAAAAAUAUAACUGGUCGGCCGCUUGUUUUACAAUUCUUUUAUAUAUCUUUGAAACUUUCAGCUUCCUAACACAUCAUAUUGUUCUCAAUUCGUCUAAAUUAUUUUUUUUGGUCAAACACUAUAGCAACAACCAGUAUAAAAUAGAAUGAACUCAUUUAAUAAAAAUUUUUCUAGAUGCUUUCAUGACAGAAUCUCAUUGGUCUAUUUCUCUUCAUGGCAAAAUUUUUCUGAAAUACACUUAGUUUUUUAAAAAAGAGCUUUAUGAGAAAUUUUCAGUGUGUCAAAAGGCCUACUUAAUGGACUGGAUCCCGACUCAUUAAUUUUAUAACCCGACUUACAAUCCGAAUCAUUAUUCACAGAGAUUAAUUUGCUAUUGCUUAAGGCACAAUAUUUACUAAGCAAUUUAUCAGCAAUAAAACAUGUAUAUUAUAGUGGUUUGUAAUAAAAUUGGAAGAAGACAUCACGUACGAAUUGGAUUUAUCUGAUGAAAUUUGAUUAACGAAAGUGUAUGAAAAUAUAUAAAGAAAAUAGUAAAAAAAAUUGUUGUGUAAAUGUUGUAUAGGUGAUAUAUUACUUUUAUAAUCCAUCAAGGUACAUUUGAUUUUAAUGAUGAAACAAAUACAAAUAAAUCCAUGUAUGUCAAUGCUAGAUGGUUCCAUAUUAAACUUGUGAAGUAUAGAAAAUAAGCGAGAUUCGUAAAAAAUAUUUUAGAUAAUACCACUGAAAAGUUAUAAAAAAUAUUUUUAAAAAAAAAAAGAAAUACAUACUCGAGACACCAAGACCGAUACGCACAAACUCACACAUUUACAUAUUAAUUGAGGGAAAAAAUGAUAUUCUGAGUAAUAUUGUUGACAUAUGAUUAAAAUAAAAUUCUAUUUAAUGAAACAUUUUCGUAUAAAUACUAGUGAUAUUUGUAGAGAAAGUAGAAUGAAGUAAAAAAAAAAAAACUUGAAUAUAAAUGCUCCAAUAUAAUUUUUCCCAUGCAAAUUAUGAACUAGUGAACUUUAAAGCAUCAUAAAAUUGUUUCAACAUAAGUAAUUAGUUUGAAAAAUUGCCAAUAAUGUUUAAAGUGGGGACGAAAAGAUUAUACUAUAUGAGACAUGAUAUUAUUUAAGAUAGCUUACAAAUUAUGGGAAAUGUAUUGAUCUUACAAAUAAUAUUUAAUAAGUACAAAUUUCAAAUUAAAUAAUAAACUCUUAAUUUCCUUUUAAUCAUAAUUAUGAUCUUAAUAAUUAAAGUCAUUCAAUCUUAAUCACUUUUUCAUUUUUUUAAACUACCUAAAUGACAUUGAAAACUCUACUCAAUAUUAAUUUAUUCGAAUGUUCUGUUUCAAAAUAAUUGAAAACUGUAAAUGAAACAAAUGCUUGCAAUCACAAAUGGCAUAAAAUGGGAUUUUUAUUUUUUAAUAUUGCAAUGACUUUGAUCUUGAUAUUGGAAAUUUAUUUGUAACUUAUACUAAGUCUUCAAUUUUAUCAAAAUUAGUUUCUAAAGAUGCAUUUGCCAUACUGUGUAGUUUUAUUGUAUGAUGAUAUAUUACAUUAGGGUGCAUUGUAUUGAGCUGUAAUGCAAUACUAUUUUAUAUUAAUGUUAAAACUAAAUCAACCUUAUUUAAAUUUAUUAAUAUUUUAGGGUUUUAUUAGUAAUAUCUGAAAUUAAGUAUUAAAUAAUUAUUUUUAUAAUAUACAAAUUAUUUAAUAAUAUUCUACUAUUAAAUAAUAAAAUAUUAUAAUAUUAUGUUAUAUUAUUAACAAUUAUUCUGUUAUAAUAUAAUUUAUUUUUAUAUAUUAGUUAUUAUAAUUUAUUAUAAUCAUAUUAUAAUAAUAUUAUGUUGUAAAAAUAUAAUACUAUAUAAUUGUAUGAUAUAAUAUGAAUUAAUUUAUAAUUUAACAUUAAAUUAUAAAUUUAUUUUAUUUAUUAAUGUCAAAUAUAAUUGUCUAAUUUAAAUUUAGUAUUUUUUUAAAAAUAAACUACUAAAUAAUUAAAAUAAUUUUAUAUAAUAAAGUAAAAUAAUGUAUUAUUAUUUAUUAAUUAAAUAUUUAGGUUUAUUAAUAUACUAUAUUAUUAAUUAAAUUUAAUGAAUAUUAAUUAAUAAUUUAAAUUUAUUAAAUAAUAAAAGUUAAAUGAUUAUAUUUAAAAUAUAAAUAAUAUUUUAAUGCAAUAAAACCUAAAUCCCACAUGUAUACCACAUUUGUUAUACAGUGUAAUGCAACAUUUGUUAAGUGUGAAGGAUUAAUUGCAAUUUCGAAUUUUUGAUAAAAUUUAAAUUAAAAUUGGGCGGUUAUUAAUUAAUUGAUGGCUAGUGAUACUACAACGGCGGCCGAAGCUCCGGAAGAAGCGGAGGCGGUGGAGGGUUAUGAUAGCGAUCCAGAUGAAGUGAAACACUAUCUCGUGAUGCGCAGAAUGGAAGCAAGCGAUGAUGAGGAGGAGGUGGAGAAAGAAUUUGAGCGUCGAAUAGGAUCUACAUUUACUCUUAAGAUGAAUCUGAUGAUGAAUUAGAACAUGACAUAUAAUUAGAAGAAGAAGAUGAGGACUAUAAUAGAAAUAUUUAUGGGACCCAUUUUCGCAUCCAAUUGAAGGUUAAGACAAGACAUCUAAUAAGGGCUGCUCUCCAAAUUAUGUUACCACACCUACGGUCAAAGCUCGCUAGCACUUUUAUAACGGGAUGGCAAUGAGGCGGCUUCGGGGCAGGAUGACGAUCCUCACCCCCAUCCCGAAUUAGAAGCAGUCUCCAAACCUGCCUUCCAUAUCCCUGAUAAUUCUCAAAAUGAGACAAGGAUUAAAACAGAGGCUCAAUUCUCAAUUAUUUAGUUUUUAAGUAAAAAAAGAGCUCUCAAUCUGGAUCUGAAUAAUUGUUUAUUAAGGACUAAUUUUGAAGCUAGAACAUUUAACAAUUCAAAUGAGGUUCCUUUUGUUUCAUCUGAUAUUUUCAAAAGUUUGAAAGCUACUUGGAAGAUAUCAUCAAUCUCAGUCUAUAAAAAUCCAAAUGUUAUUUGUGCGGAAAAUACAAGAUAAUUAACAAUCUACAUGCUCUCUCUUCCACUGGAAAAAUAUAUAUAGUCCAAUAUAUAUUAAAUAUUUCUAUUAUAUGAAGAGGAAGAAGAAGUUUAUGAACAAGAGGAGAGAAGGUUGUUACAGAUGUAAGGCUGUUACUGUGUAACAGUAUGCCAUGCUGGCAAGUUUGCUAUAACAGAUUGCCAAGCUGGCACUAAUUAUUUUAAACUAAUAUUAGUAAUUAGUCUAGAGUGCUCUAAUUUAUUUUAUUCUAUAAAUAGCUCAUUUGAGCUUUGAACCUGUAACGUGUACUGUACUUUUCUAUUACUUCUAAUAAAGUUUUUCUCUGUUCUUUUUUCUUUCACUUUCUCUUCCAUUUUCCCGACCCUCAAACAGCGUCAAUCCUUGAUUUUCUACAGUAUUAGCUGUUUGGUUCUACAAACAUAGAACUGGUCGUUUAUUGACUUGUUACUUGUGAACAGGGCCAAUAAAGGACAAAUAAGAUGUUGGGCCAAUGGGCCCAACGUCACAGAUCUUGAAUUGAUUGUCUCUUCUUUUCUCCACAAAUCUUUGCUUAAUUUUUAUGCUCCCUCAACUUUUUUCCCCUUUUUGUGCUAAAUUUAUUUUUUUGAUACUUUAUGCAAAAAUUAUGAUGAAAAUUAAUUACUUUAGAACAUCAAUAAAUUUUUGUUACAUUCAAGAUACGGACAAUUACACUUAGAUCACUCUUAUUUAGUUGAAUUAUAGGUAAUAAAAUUGGUUUUAACAAAAUACGAUUCUUAACCCUCGUAAUUAAAGGCUCGUGUUAUUUGGUUUAGUUAUAACACCAUGCAACAGGUCGUCUUGGUGGGUUCAAAUUAAUAUACGAUCAUUCUCAAUUUUUAAUAGUUCGUAAUUAAAAAGUCUUAUAUCACAAUUAGAAUUUGCAAACAUGCCAAAGUGAGUUAAAUCAAAACCUAUAAAUUUGAGGUGUACUACAAACUUCUGACAAAUUAAAAUUUAAAACGAUUAAUUAAAUGCUAGACAAAAUUUAGCUUAUUAAUGUUCCUGACCACAUGAUGAAUGUACUUAAAACAUCCUAACUGGUCGCUAAUUGAUUAGUUGUUAUUUUUUCAAUUUCUUUUUAUAUAUCUUUGAAACUUCUAGUUUCCUAACAUGUUAUUCGCAAUUCGUGUAAAUUAUUAUUUUUUAAAUAUUAGAGCAACAACCAGUAUAAAAAUGAAAUGCACUCAUUUAAUGGAAAUUUUUCUAGAUGCUUCAAUGGCAGAAUCUCGUUGGUCUAUAACUCUCACGCCUUUGAUUCAAGAUUCAAUUUCAAACCAACGCCGAACAAACAGUAUAAACCUUAAUAAGUCUGUGGCUGUAGCCCAACAAACCUACUUCCGGCUCACCGAAUAAUCAUCUCUUACGUCGGAAUUUAAACUUAAACAAAGCUACAUCCCACGUGUCCCCAACUUUCUUCAUAUUUCCAAAAAACCCCUACCAGAUCCAGAUAAUUACCUUCACUCUUCUCGUAUAAAUAGAGAAGACGACGGUUCCUGCAACGUGAGUCACGUGAACGUCAAUUUCAAACCAACGUGAGUCACGUGAACGUUACGGCCAUGGGACAUUGGAAUUGGAUCAAACCACCGGAAUGCACAGCAAAAUUAACCGAAUAAACUAAAUUAGAUCCAACCAAUUGAAUCGGUUUGGGGCCAAUUGCAGUUUUGAUAGCAACUAAAAUCUGUGUGGCCCAGUUACCACAGAGCCUUGCCCCAGAUCCCUGCCAUUUUCUCCUCCACCUCCAUUUGGGGAAAUUACUACUUACUUUUUGCAAGUUUUUCUUGAAAUAUUUAUUUUGAGAAGAAAACCAACAAUACAUUUUAUGAUUUGGGCUCUUUCAAAGAUCUUCGCUUGAUGUCUAUGCUACUGGUUUUCAGCAGAGUGCCCAAAAAUAAUCAGUGCACGCACUAUAGGCUCUAUUAUUAUCAGUAAAAAGCAUUAAUGAUAUAUUGGGAUCGACUUUUUUAUGGGAGUGGUAAAGUGGUGCAUCUUGUUCAUGCACCGUAGAGCCAAUUCCAUUUUGUGAAAUAGGAGUUGAAUAAAAUUUAUUGUAAUACAUGGAAGUAUUGUUAGAAACACGAACACAGUGAGUUGACAAUUUAAAUUGCAAUUAAUUGAAACAAAAUGUAAACCAGCAAUUGGAAACAGCAAAUUAAGAACAGAAGAGAAAUGAAACGGAAUAAGAAAUAUAAACCCGAGGCCUGCACAAGGCAGUUUCCUUAAAACAGAUUUACCACCUCUUUUCUUGUGCUUAAGGUCUGCUGGUAUCUAUUUCCCAGGAUACAACGAGUACGAAUUUCUAGUCAAGCACAGGCUGGAGAUUCCGGCGAACCACAACAGGUAACUCGAUUAGAGAAAGACGAAGAAGGAUGAAGGAAAAAACAAGUGUGUUUUGUGCUGGUUUUUAUGGUGUCCAAAAACAGAAGAAGAGAUGCCUUUUUAUAAUCAUGUGAGGAUGUAACAGCUAAUGUGUAUUGAAUUUCCGAAUUCAAAAUUGAAUUAAAAAAACGUGAACAACAGCUAAAAAUAAUUGUAAAAGCUGUUACACAUUCUUUGAAUUCAAAACAUCAAAUUGUUACAAUAAAAAAUUCAAAAGGAAAUUAAAAACGUGCCAAGCUUGCAUGGAUGAUUUUGGGCUUCUUUUUCCCAUGUGGGAUAAGCCUCAUUUCCUUUCAAUCUAACUUCAAGGGUGAACUUUGAGAGACAAUUUCUCAUUCACCCAAGCACCAUUUUGAGAAAAUAAGAUUAUACUAUUGAAGUAUCAAUGGAGUAGAAUUCGAACCUCACAAUAUUUUCCACUUUUGUUAAGUGGGACCCACUCAAAAUGUGCCCUCAAAAUAGCAUGUUAUGCUAUUUUUCCAACAAUCCCCCACAUGAAUGAAAAUUGGCAGUAAAAACAAGAAAACCGCUAAAUUUUGACAUCAAAACCAUUUUUGACUCUUAAUGAUCGAGUUUAUUGGAUUGAUACCUAGCACAUGAUAGGUAGGUGUUAUCCUUUGAACCUUUCCUUGUAAUAGUAUAAAUACUUUACUAGCUGAUCAGUAGACGCGAUGUCUUUGAACUGUUCUGCCAUUAGUGUAAAGGAUCAUAUACUACACAUAGGUAUUUCCCCUAACACUGUUGAGUUCUCAUGAUUAUGUUCGUUUUGGCCUUGAACAUCUGCCUGGUUCUGCAAGAGUUUCUAAGAGCUGAACCCUUUAUAGCUCCCUUUGAAGCGGCCCCACUUCUCUCUCACAUAGGUAAUAUUUUAAUUAAGAGUAACCCGCAUUACUCCGCUAGAAUUUUCGACGCAUAAGAAUCAUUAAGAGCCUAGCUCAACCUUAUUCCCCACGGGCAACACUGUUUCAUCAUAGGAAUGGUCAAUGAGGUAAUCCUCUCAAGAGAAUGACCCCCACAGUGAUCCAUCUUUAGUCUUUAACAAAUAGGUUGUCCAAUUGAACCUAGAUCUUAGGAUCUCCAGUCUACUAGGUUAGGUUUUCCUUCGUUAUUGACUAAUCAAUCUAUAGGUUUUAAUCACAUCCCCCUCGAUAAUUUUUCUACUAGCUCUCUAUUUAAUCCUUUGGUUAGCGGAUCCUCUAUGUUAUCCUUUGACCUUACAUAGUCAAUAGAAAUAACUCCAGUAGAAAUAAGUUGUCUAAUGGUAUUAUGUCUACUACGAUGUAUGUGUCUAGACUUACCAUUAUACAUAUUGCUUUGUGCCCUACCGAUAGCUGAUUGACUAACGCAAUGUAUACAAAUCGUAUACACAGGCUUUGGCUAUUUUGGAAUACCUUCUAAAAAAUUGCGUAGCCAUUCUGUUUCUUCACCACAUUUAUCUAAUGCAAUGAAUUCAGAUUCCAUUGUAGAUCUAGCAAUUACUGUCUGUUUAGAACAUCUCCAUGAUACAGCUGCACCUGCUAGUGUAAAUACAUAGCCGCUAGUAGAUUUUGAAUCUUUUACAUCUGAUAUCCAGUUAGCAUCACUAAAUUUUUCUAAUACUUCUGGAUACCUAGUAUAGUGCAGUCUAUAAUUACGAGUGUAUCGAAGAUACCUAAGUACUCUUACAAUAGCUUUCCAGUGAUCAGUUCCUGGAUUACUCGUAUAUCUACUAAGUUUGCUUACUGUAUAGGCUAGAUCUGGUCUGGUACAAUUUGUUAAGUACAUCAGACUACCUAUUAUUCUAGCAUAUUCAACUUGAGAAAUACUCUCUCCUCUGUUUUUCGAUAGAUGAAUACUAGUAUCUAAUGGAGUUUUAGACAUAGUAUUAUCCUCUUUAUUAAAUUUCCCAAGAAUUUUAUCUACAUAAUGAGUUUGACUUAAAAUAAGUCCAUUAGAAGUCCUUGAAAUUUUAAUUCCCAAAAUGACAUCUGCAAGACCCAUGUCUUUCAUGUCAAACUUAGACUUCAACAUAUUCUUGGUAGAUUUAAUCAUGUCAUCAUUACUCCCAACAAUAAGCAUGUCAUCAACAUAUAAACAUAAAAUGACAUAGCCAUUUUCUGUUUCUUUGACAUAAACACAUUUGUCACAUUCGUUGAUCUUAAAGCCACUAUUAUCAUCGUAUGAUCAAAUUUCUCAUGCCACUGUUUCGGUGCUUGUUUCAAGCCAUAUAAUGACUUAACCAAUUUACAAACUUUCUUUUCUUGUCUUGGAGCUAUAAAACCUUCAGGUUGCUCCAUGUAGAUUUCUUCAUCUAAAUCUUCAUUUAGAAAAGCCGUCUUUACAUCCAUUAGAUGUAUCUCGAGAUUGCGCAAAGCUGCAAUUGCUAUUAUCAUCCGUAUGGAAUUUAUUCUCGUAACAGGAGAAUAAGUAUCAAAAUAAUCAAGGCCUUCUCGUUGCCUAUAACAUUUAAUUACAAGCCUAGCCUUGUACUUAUCGAUUGAUCCAUCGGCUUUCAUUUUCCUUUUGAAAAUCCACUUAUACCCCAAAGGUUUAUAUCCUGGAGGAAGAUCUACUAGCUCCCAAGUAUGAUUUUGUAAAAUGGAUUCAACUUCACUGUUAAUGGCUUCUUUCCAUAAAGUGCCUUCAGCUGAAGUUACAGCCUCUUUGAAGCUUUGAGGUUCAUUUUCUAGCAAAUACGUCAGAAAGUUUGGACCAAAAGACUUUUUUAUUCUAGCUCUUUUGCUACGUCUAACCUCAAUUUCUUGUUCUUCUUCUUCUUCUGGUGCUUGAUCAUUUUCUUCAUUUUCAAGUGUUGUUUCAUGAAAUUGUUCCAAUUCUCUCGAUUCCACUCUAGAAUUGCAAGGAAACACAUGUUUGAAAAACGAUGCAUUUCUUGAUUCUAUUAUUGUAUUUUUGUGGACAUCUGGAAUUUUAGACUCAUGCACCAAAAAUUGAUAUGCACUACUAUUUUGUGCAUAACCAAUGAAAAUGCAGUCAACAGUUUUUGGUCCUAUUUUCACUCUUUUAUUUAAAGGAACUACUACUUUAGCAAGACACCCCCACACUCAUAAGAAUUUAUAUGAAGGUGAUCUACCUUUCCAUAGCUCAUACGGGAUUUUAUCUUCUUGCUUUCGGGGUAUCUUAUUUAAUAAAUAAUUAGCUGACAAAACAACUUCUCCCCACAUAUUCUGGGGUAACCCAGAACUUAUCAACAUUGCAUUCAUCAUUUCCUUUAAAGUUCGAUUCUUUCAUUCUGCAAUCCCAUUAGAUUGAGGUGAAUAUGGAGCUGUGACUUGAUGUAUGAUUCCACUUUGUUCACAUAGUGACAUAAACGGAACAACAUACUCACCACCACGGUCACUCUUUAAUUCUUUGAUUUUUCUAUUAAGUUGAUUCUCAACUUCAUUUUUGUAGAGAAUAAACUUUUCCAAAGCUUUAUCUUUACUUUUCAAUAAAUAUACAUAGCAAUAUUUUGUGCAAUCAUCUAUAAAGGUAAUAAAAUAUUUAUUACCACCUCUUGUUUGAAGGGAUUUAAAGUCACAAAUAUCACUAUGUAUUAAAUCAAGUGGUUCGGUGUUUCUUUUAAUUAUUUGAAAAGACGACUUAGUUAGUUUUGCCUCAACACAAGUUUCACACUUAUGUUUCAAAUCAAUUUGGAAAUUGGGAAUAUGCUUCAUGUUAAUUAAUUUACGCAAAGAAUUAAAAUUAACAUGUCCUAAUCUACCAUGCCAAAGAUUAGAAGACUCAACCAAAUAAGCAAAAGAUGUAGCUUUAUUAUUAAUUGUUGGUUUCAAAGUCAUUACAUUGAGCUUAAAUAGCCCAUCAUCAACAUAACCCUUUCCCACAUACAUCCUAUUUUUAGAUAAAACUACCAUAUUUGACUCAAACACCAUUCGAAAACCAUGUUUAUUCAGCAGCGAUCCAGACACCAAGUUCUUCCGAAUUUCUGGCACAUAUAGCACAUUGUUCAGAGUCAGUUCUUUCCCAGACGUCAUCUUCAAAACCACCUUCCCUUGACCCUCAAUCUCAGACGUAGCCGAAUUCCCCAUGAGUAGCUUCUCUCCAUUGCUAUCUGCUUCAAAUGAAGUGAACAACCCUUUUUCCGAGCAAACAUGUCUGGUUGCUCCUGUAUCUAUCCACCAUUCUCUUGGAUUAGAGCCAACCAGAUUCACUUCUGAAACCACUGCAGAGAGGUUUAUGUCUUAAACAUGUUGCGUGAUGUUUUACACCACAUUCGCCUCUCGCUUCUUUUUAGGCAACCUGCAAUCCGAAGCCUUGUGACCCAUCUUAUCACAAUUAUAACAUUUUCCUUGAAACUUUGUUUGUUUCUUGGAAAUUCCUCCUUUCGGGCCCAAUUUUUUAUUUUUUAUUUUUAGGUCCAUGUUCAACAAAAUUUGCAUUUGCCAUAGAAAUAGGCCCUCUUCUUUCUGCAUUUCUGUUGUCUUUCUCAAUUCUGAGCUUAACAACCAGCCCUUCAAUAUUCAUCUCCUUUCGUUUAUGCUUCAAAUAGCUCUUGAAAUCUUUCCAAGCAGGAGGCAAUUUUUCAAUAAUUGCAGCAACUUGAAAAGUUUCACUUAGAUGCAUCCCUUCCGCAAGGAUUUCAGAUAAUAUAAUUUGAAGUUCUUGUACUUGACUUAUUACAGUUUUAGAAUCCACCAUUUUAUAAUCUAGGAAGCGACCAACAACAAAUUUUUUGGUACCCGCGUCCUCGGUUUUAUAUUUUCGGUCUAAGGAUUCCCAUAGCUCCUUGGCUGUUUUCUUUCCUAUGUAUAUGUUAUACAAGGAGUCACUAAGACCAUUCAUUACAUAAUUUUUACACAAAAAAUCCGAAUGGUGCCAUGCAUCAAUUGCACUUGCAACUUGAAUAUCUGUUUCACCCUCUUUGGGUUUAGGAGCAUCCUCGGUCAAGAACCUCGCAAGGUUCAACGUGGUCAAGUAAAAGAACAUCUUUUGAACUUUUCAGGCCUUUCCGCAUGAUUGACAAGAAUCGCCACAGAGGCUGGUUCCUUCACAACAUUUGGUGCAGAAACCGGAACAUACGGAACAUCAUCACUGGUUUCAGUUGCCAUCUCAAUGAUAAUAAAUUCUGUUUUAAGAUUGUUAGAAAAACGAACACAGUGAGUUGACAAUUUAAAUUGUAAUUAAUUGAAACAAAAUGUAAACCAGCAAUCGGAAACAGCAAAUGAAGAACAGAAGAGAAAUGAAACGGAAUAAGAAAUAUAAACCCAAGGCCUACACAAGGCAGUUUCCUUAAAACAGAUUUACUACCUCUUCUCUUGUGCUUAAGGUCUGCUAGUAUCUGUUUCCCAGGAUACAACGGGUACGAAUUUCUAGUCAAGCACAGGCUGGAGAUUCCGGCGAACCACAACAGGUAACUCGAUUAGAGAAAGACGAAGAAGGAUGAAGGAAAAACAAGUGUGCUUUGUGCUGGUUUUUCUGGUGUCCAAAAACAGAAGAUGAGAUGCCUUUUUAUAAUCAUGUGAGGAUGUAACAGCUGAUGUGUAUUGAAUUUCCGAAUUCAAAAUUGAAUUAAAAAAACGUGAACAAUAGCUAAAAAUAAUUGUAAAAGCUGUUACACAUUCUUUGAAUUCAAAACAUCAAACUGUUACAAUAAAAAAUUCAAAAGGAAAUUAAAAACGUGCCAAGCUUGCAUGGAUGAUUUUGGGCUUCUUUUUCCCAUGUGGGAUAAGCCUCAUUUCCUUUCAAAUUUCUAACUUUAAGGGUGAACUUUGAGAGACAAUUUCUCAUUCAUUCAAGCACCAUUUUGAGAAAAUAAGAUUAUACUAUUGAAGUAUCAAUGGAGUAGAAUCCGAACCUCAUAAUAUUUUCCACUUUCGUUAAGUGGAACCCACUCAAAAUGUGCCCUCAAAAUAGCAUGUUAUGCUAUUUUUCCAACAAGUAUAUAUUGCAUUGAAUAAAAUGAAAUUGUUCAAAAAUUAACAAAUUCAGCUUUAUUAUAAUCUAAAACAAAGUAAAUAGAAUAAUACCCAUCAUGUAAAAAUAAAAAAUAAAAUUUUUUAUACCACUUGGAAUUUAUUUUAAAUGUUUUGGUCAAAUCUAAGAAGCACAAACUUUGAACAAUGAUAAUAGGUAAAAACUAAUAAUCUUAUAAUAAAAAGUAAGAAAAAAAAUAAAGUUGAUUUAGCAGCUAAGAAUAAAAAAAGAAAAAUAGAAAGAGAGAGAAAUUAGUUUAGGCUUUAACCAUUGUUAUAGUAGAGAAAAAAAAUUAAUUAAGAGUAAUUUUAUGACUUUUUAGAAAUGAGUGAAUUAAAAUAAUAAAUUAUAAUUUGAUAAUUAUCUUAAUUAAAAAAUGGCUGUUGAAAUAAAAUUAGUGAAUUUAAAUAGGCCGCCCAAAAUCCAAACUCGCAUACCAAUAAUUUUCUAAUUUACAUAAAGUUUUUCUAAAUGUUUGAUAAAAUUUGAUUCUCAAUUGGCCUAAUGGAGAAACAACCAGCAAAAUGCAAAAUUGCAUUCCGUUUGUGGGAUCCUGGAAAAAAUAAAAGAAAGAAAACAGAGUAAGACGCUGAUACCGGGGGCUUUAAUAUUUUUCUAGGUGCUUCCAUGGCAGAUUCUCGUUGGUUCAUUUUUCUUUACGCCUUAGAUUCUAUGAUUCAAUUUCAAUCAAAUACGACAAACAAAAGAAGCUUUUAAGCCUGCAGCUGAAAUAGAUGGUACUUUAAUUUCGGCUGAACAUACAUAUGGCAAGAUUAUUAUUCAAUAUCGAGAUCGGAUAAGGGUCCAUAUGAUCAUGGGCCAGGCCACUACUUGCUCAUGCUUUGAAUCAAAAUUAGUGACGUUGGAAGCUGAAAGGGGCAAAUGAUGAAAUGGGGUUCAUCAUAUACUAUGCCCGACGGGAUAAGAUCAUCAUUUAAUUGCCUCCUCUUGUCGAUAGAUAUUUGCCGAAUUUUUCUAUUUAAAAAAUAUUAUAUUGGUUAAUAUAAUUAGAAGUUUUACAAAAUAUAACUAUAAUUUUAAAAAAAAUUUAUACUUAUUAAUUUAAAUUUUUCAUUGAGUUCUGCUAUUUAUCCCGGGUUAAAUUUCGGGUCAAACCCUGAAUUAAACAAAACGACGUCGUUUUCGCUUCUUUUUUUGGUCAUUUUUGCUUCUAUGGAACGAAGUCGUUUCAGCCAAACAAAAGCGAAUGUCUUCGUUUUCUGCAACAAAACCUCACUCUUCUUGAUCCCAUAUCUCUCCUACUUUCUCAGAACUCCAAUUCUCAAAACCCACCAGUCACACUGAAACUCAUUACAGAGAAUUACUUCAUGGAGAGGGGACCCAGAUUCCAUGAAUACGCUGAACUGAGAGAAUCAAGACUGAGAAGGAAGGUUAUACGAGUAGAAGAUGAAACUGAUGAAGCGUAUGAGCCAAAGCGAUCGCCUUUAAAGAAACAAGUGAAGUUUCGGGGGAUUUUGACUGGUUCAAGAAAAGGGUCCUCUGUUUCCUCUGUUUUGGCUCAGUCAGUGCCUGACUUUUCAGCAACUUUGCGGAAAGAAAAUCGGAGGCCGGCGGGUAGGGCGCUUGAGUUGACUCCUCCGGCUAAGAAUUGGUCGAAAAUGAAUGGGAAUUUGUCGAAUUCCAGAGGAAGUAAGUCGGCAAAUGCGGGGUAGAAGAAGGGAAUGAUGGCAAGAAAGAGUUAUGCGAGUAUUGAAGAAUUGAAGGGCAUGUCAAUGGGAGUGGCAAAGGACAAAAGUGAAAGAAUUAUAAAUAAUAGAAAGCAAGUUAAUUAGAAGCACAAAAGCAGAUUUUGUGGACACCAAAAUAGUCCAGAAUCAGCAGCUUUAUUGCCUUCUAUAAGCAUGAGAAAAAUGACACACACACACACACACACACACAUCACUGCUGCUGUUCAAGCUUUUGUUCGGGUGAUGAAUCGAAGAGGAAGAAGAAGAGAAAGAAAAGCAGCUGCGUUUUUUUCUGUUUUCACUGAGUUGAAACGACUACGUUUCAUGGAAGCAAAGAGAAAAAAAAAAAAAAAAAGAAACUAAAACGGCAUCGUUUUGAUUUGAUUCGGGAUUUGACCUGGGAAAAGUAGCAUUUUCCUUUUUCAUUUGGUAGUUGUGUUUGAGAAAAAGUUGAUAGGCACUACUUAAAUAGUAUUAAUAUGGCAACAAAAAACAUGCGAGCAAAGUAGACUAUUGCUUUAUUCUAUAAAUAGCUCAUUUGAGCUUAGAACCUUUAAAGUGUGUCGUACGUUUCUGUUACUUCUAAUAAAGAUAUUCCCUAUUCCCUUUUCUUCCACUUUCUCUUCCAUUUUCACGAUCCCCAAACACCAUCAAUCCAAGAUUUUCUAGAGUAUUAGCUGUCUAUUUCUACAAACAUAGAAUUGCUGUUUUAAGAAACAAAAUAGUCUGUCCUGUCACCCAUGGUCUCCUCAUUUAUCGGUUUGUGAACAGGGCUAAAUAAAGGGCAAAUAAGAUAUUGGGGCAAUGGGCCUAAUGUGACAAGAUCUUGAAUUGAUUGCCUCUUUCUUUUCUCCACAAAUCUUUGGUUAAUUUUUAUGUUCCCUCAACCUUUUUGCCCUUUAGCACCAAAAUUCAUUUUUGAUACUUUAUGCAAAAAUUAUGAUGAAAAUGAGUCACUUUAGAACAUCAAUAAAUUUUUUUGACAUCCAAGAUAACGACAAUUACACUUAGAUCACUCUUAUUUAGUUGAAUUAUAUAUGUAAUAAUGUUGGCUUAACAAAAUAUGAUUCUUAAUCGUUGUAAUUACGGGCUGGUAUUCUUUGGUUUUAGUAGUAGGGCUUAUAACGCCGUGCAACAGUUCUUGGUGGGUUCGAAUUAUUAUACGAUCAUUCUCAAAUCUUUACGGUAUGUAAUUAAAAAUUCCUAUAUAGCAAUUAGAACUUACAAACAAGUUAAAGUGAGUUAAAUCAAAUGUAUAAAUUCGAGGUCUAUUACAAACUUCUAAAAAAGAUUUUCUGUUCUUUUUUCUUUCACUUUCUCUUCCAUUUUGCCAAUCCCCAAACACCGCCAAUCCUUGAUUUUUUUAGUAUUAGCUGUCAAUUUCUACAAACCUAGAACUGCUGUUUGUUUGUCUAAUUAUUUUCAAGAAACAAAACUCUUUGUCAUGUGGUCUCUUCGUUUAUUGGCUUGUGAGCAAAUAAGAUAUUGGGCCGAUGGGCUUAACGUGACAAGUUCUUGAAUUGAAUGGCUCCUCUUUUUUUCAUAAAUCUUUGCUUAAUUUUUUUUGUUCUCUCAACCUUUUUUGGCCUUUCGCGCUAAAAUUCUUUUUUUGAUACAUUAUGCAAAAAUUAUGAUGAAAAUGAGUUACUUUAGAACAUCAAUAAAGUUUUAUGACAUGUAUAAUAAGACAACUAUAGUGAGAUUAGUUGAAUUAUAUGUAAUAAAAUUAGUUUAACAAAAUCUAACCCGUCAGUAUUCCAUAGCACAUGAUUAACGUAUUUAAAAAAUCUUAGUUGUUCCGUCGCUUGUUUUACAAUUAUUUUAUAUAUUUUUGAAACUUUCUGCUUCCUGACACAUCAUAUUGUUCUCAAUUCGUCAAAAUUAUUUGUUUCUUCAAACACUGCAGCAACAACCGGUAUAAAAUAGACUGAACUCAUUUAAUGGGAAUUUUUCUCAUUGGUCAAUUUCUCUUCGCACCUUAGGUUCCUCUAACAAACUUAAAAGAUGUUCCCCAUCCCACGUGUCCCCAAAUCUUCGUAUUUCCAAACAAACCCCUGCCAAUUAUCAUAUUAAUGAGCCACUGUUAAAUUCAUUCAGUCAGUAUUUUUCUUUUCCCAUUUUCAAUGAAUGCUUAAUAUGGAAAACAAUCUGUCUCAUUGAGCACUGUUUAAAUCAUUCCCUAGUUUGUUUAACACGCAAAGAAUAUUCUUAUUCGGCUCGGCAGCCAAUCCGUUAAAAUUUGUUAAAAUUCAUUUAAGUGAUGACUGUGAUAUGACUCGAUCAAUAGUUUAAUUUGUAUAAUUUAUAAAAAUUUGGGCUUCAAGUAAUGUAGAUAGAAUGGUUAAUUAUUUUAAUAUUCAGAUAAAUUGAUAUAUGUCAUUAUAUUAUGAGUGGAUGAAAUAUCCAAUAGAAAAAAAAAAUGUUUGUAUUCAUCAUUUUUAGUGGGAAUCUAUUUAGUGUAACUUAUCCAUAAAAAUGGUUGCCGACUUAUCUUAUUUCUCAUUUUGUUUAAUUUCAUAAAUUUGACUCCCGAUUAAUUAUGAGUGAAGAAUUUGUUGGAAAAAAUCUGGUCUUCCAUUUAUUUUGUAGGAUUUAAAAGAUUAAAAAACUUUAAUACAUAUAAUUUUAUGUUCGAAACUAAGUACUCGUAGCAUUGCUGCUUCUAUAAAUAACUCAUUUGUGCUUCCAACUUGUUAUUUGUAUUUUACGUUUUUGUUUCUCUUCAUAAAGAUUUUCUUUUUUUUUCUUUUUUCCAUUCACUUUUUCUUCCAUUUUCCCGACUCCCAAACACCACUAAGCCUUGAUUUUCUAGAGUAUUAACUGUCCGUUUCUACGAACAUAGACCUACAGUUUGUCUAAAUACUAUCAAGAAACAACGUACUCUGUCGCGGGAUCUCUUCGUUUAUUGACUUUUGACUUGUGAACGGGGCUAAUUAAAGGGCGUUCCUUUCUUCAAGAAAGAAUGCAAAGAAAGUACUAUCCAUGAGACACGUUAAAAAUUAUUUUACAUAAAAAAUGAUAAUAAUCAUAAUAAUCGGUUAAGGAUCGACAAAAAUGUUAUAACCUAUAAAGCAUGGAUAAUUAAUUAAUGGGAAUGCACCUCUCAUCUUUACCAUUCUCUUUGUCAUUUUCAUAAUUCAGCUGUUUAUUAAUAAAGUGAAUAAAUUUAUCUUUUAAUAAUAUGUUUCUUGGCUGUUUUUUUGUGUAUUUUUGUGUACAAUUUUGUGUGCAAAUAGCAUUAUUCAUUAGUAAUUAGUUUGGAGUAGCUCAUUUUGAGCUUAGGACCUGUAACUAGUAUUUUAUGUUUCUGUUAAUCUUUAAUAAAGAUUUUCUCUAUUUUUUUUUCCCUUUCACUUUCUCUUCCAUUUUCCCCGACUCCCAAACACCACCAAUCCUUGAUUUUCCAGAGUAUUAGCUCUCUAUUUCGACAAACGCAUAACUGUUGUUUGUCUAACUACUUUCAAGAAAUAACGUAGUCUGUGGUUUAUUGACUUGCGAACGGGGCUAAUUAGUCACGGUCCGAUUGUCUGACUUCUCCAUUGACUCGGUCAAUUCACGACCUUGACCUGCACAGUUGAUACAAACGGACUUCUCCAUUUGAGGUGUACAAAACUUUCUUGAGUCAUUUUGUUUGGUGAUGAUGAAUUGGAUGUCAGUUCAUGAGUUUCAUGAUGAAGAGGACCAAAAACAUUAUUUUAUUAUUUAAAGAAGACUAACAAUUAUUUCGAUGGUCAUUUUAUUUUUUAUUUUUAAAUAUCCAAGGUGCUUGACUUCUUUACACAGAAUUACAAAGCAAAAUAAUUAAGAAACUAAAUACUCGUCAUCCAAGUGAGAAGAGAUUGGGUUGUUGAUACAUUAAAUAAAAGAAAAAUCAAUUAAAAGCACAACAAUUCAAUAAUUUCAUUCUCAAUCAUAUCAAAACUAAAACAAAUUAUUAGGGAUUUGCAGUUUUUUUUAGUGUAAUCCUCGUUAAUUACAGUUUGGUCUGAAGGGUUGAGCACAUGAGAAUAGAAGGUUUGAUCAUAGGAAAAUAAUAUAUCCCUAUCCGAUGCAAAAAUGAUUGUAAAGAAAAAAUUACAUUCCAUUUUCCAGUUAUUAAAGUAAUUCUAAAAUCACUAGGAUCACAAAGGAUAGGCUUUGGUUGACUGAGGUCAGCCUUAACGCAUGCCGGUCUUUUUCUCCUCUACAUUCUUAGAAAUUUUGGUUUCACUAUAAAUACUCGGUAUAUAGCAAACUUAUAAGUGUUCUUGCAUUACCAAUCCAACUAAGCACACGCUUACAAUAUAAAUACUCUCAUCUCAUGGAAAGAGUUCAUUCUUUCAGGAUGAUGAGCAGAUUUCUCUUACUCCAUUGUUUGAUUCUUAUUUCCUUAUUUAUCGCGGCAGCAACAGCCAACACAAGUUCUACUAUCACAGACCGAGAUGCUCUGUUGGCCCUGAAAGCUCACAUAACUCAUGAUCCGACUAAUUUCUUGGCUAAGAAUUGGAACACGAGUACUCCUGUCUGUAAUUGGACAGGUGUCGCUUGUGAUGUCCAUAGCCAUAGAGUCACAGUCUUGAAUAUUUCAAGCUUAAAUCUCACAGGCACCAUCCCUUCUCAACUUGGGAAUCUUUCUUCUCUGCAAUCACUCAAUCUCAGUUGUAACCGACUUUCUGGUUCCAUUCCCUCCGCCAUCUUCACCAUAUAUACACUGAAAUAUGUUAGUUUCCGUGAAAAUCAGCUCUCCGGCGCUUUCUCUUCUUUCAUCUUCAACAAGUCUUCUUUACAACAUCUUGAUUUUAGUCACAAUACACUGUCUGGUGAAAUUCCUGCAAAUAUUUGCAGUAGUCUUCCUUUUCUGGAUUUCCUUUCUUUGCAAGAAAACAUGUUCCAUGGCGGAAUACCGUCCACUCUAUCAAAUUGCACAUAUUUGCAAAAAUUAGGUUUGGUAUACAAUAAUUUCUCGGGGGCCAUACCUAAAGAAAUCGGCAAUUUGACCAAACUUAAGAUAUUAUAUCUUGGCGGUAACAGGCUCCAAGGUGCGCAUGAUCACAAAGUUUAAUUAUGAAAAUUGUUGCAUAAGUUGUAGUAUGAAUACUGUUCCAUAAUACAGUUUACACACGUUGAUUAAUUUUCAGGAGAAAUUCCUCGAGAGUUUGGCAAUCUCGCCGACUUGGAGCGGUUGUCGUUGGCAGGCAACAAUCUCCAAGGCAUGAUUUUAAACUUUUUGCAAUUUUAUUUUAGCCAUGCUUGCUUCUGUAUUCAUUCGCUUGUUCUUUAAUUAUGCGAUGAUUUAUUGUUUUUCUUUCAGAUAGAGAUAAAGCUCCAUGUCUCCCCUCACUCAUUUCAUUCUUUAAUUUAUGCAGAUAAAAAUAAAAUAAAAAUGUUUUGUAAUUUUCUUUUGUCAUAUUGCCACUUCCGUUUUGAAGCUCCCAAUUAAGUCUAUGAAAAUGAAUGAUGUUUCAUUCUUAUUCUUGUCAGCCUAAUUCUUAUAUAAUUGGAGAGUAAAUUGUUAUUAUGAUAAUCGUCAGCCAAUAAAUUCUUUUUUUUUUUACCCCAAAUAUGAGUGAUCAAAUUGUUUGCGCAUACAUAUAUGUACUUAAUUUGCAGGAGGUAUUCCACAGGAAUUGGGGAAUCUUGCAAAAUUGGAGAUGUUACAGCUGUUCCAGAAUAACUUGAUCGGUAACUUUCUUUACGAUUUAUAUCUGAGACAUCUUCCACUUCUUAAUUAAUAGAUGUCUUAAUUAAUAGAUUUCAAGUCUCUCAUUAUAAAUUCUCAUAUGAGGAUGUGUAGUUACCACUAUCUAACGUUAUUCCUUUUUUAUUAGAAAUUAGUUUGUGUUAAUUCAAAAUUCUGUAGCAUUUAAAAAAAUUAAAAACACGUGGAAUAAAUCAUCAAUCUUUCUUCUUUACUGAAUUUGGAUUUCUCAAAAAUAAUCUUGACAAGUAUGUUUCACUAAUGAUAUGCUUGUGUGACAACUUCAUAAAAUAUUUUACAUGGAAUCACUAAUUAUCUCUAAAGAUGCCAUCAGUGAUACAUAAUUUCUUAACAACACCAUACCAAAAGAAAUCAACAAUUUUAUUAAUCGUAAAGAGUUACAUCUUCAUUGUAAUUAUGACAUAAAUUUUUAGUCAUCAAUCGCAUAAUAUUUUAUCUUAACUGAUGAUGAUGUUCAGUCUUGGAAUUUAUAAUAUCUUGAAGGUUAGUAGCUUUAAAAAUAAGAAAUUGCUCAUUUGCUAAAAAGUUAACUUAGUAUUUAAGUUUUUCAAUUGAAAAUUUUGAAAAAAGCGUUGAGAACUGGCGCUCCAUGGUAUUUCAGCGGAUAAAUAUGAAAAAUAGGCUAGAAGAAAUUAUUUUACUGAAAUAAGAGUUAAAAAGAGAGGAGAAGUACAGUACUCACGACUUAGGCUUUCUGUGUGUGCUUAUUCUACUUAGGCUUUGGGCUUGAUUACGCCCGUUAUAAUAAUAGGCUUUUACUUUCAGCACACAUGAUGAUUUCUUAACCUUCUCAAUUAGGUUAUAGCAAUUUAUAUAUAAAUAACUAAAGCAUACUAAAGCUAGCAUUGAUGUACGGAUGAGUGGCGUCAAAAGUGUAUUUGUUUUUAUGUAUUAUUUAUUCUCUAAAACAUAUCUGAAUACAAUUCUUUCACAAUACCGAGGAAAUAGCACAUGAAAUCGGAAAUAUUUUAUUGCGAUGAGAAUUCGUAUAUUCAUUGUAGUAGAACAUAUAAAAUAGACUAUAAAUUCAUUAUUCUUUCAAGCAAACCUGAUUAUAAUUCCUUCAAAAUUAAGUUUGUCAUUAAAUGAUUUCUCAGGAGCCCUACAAAAAAAAAUCGGGAAUUUGACCAAACUCAAGUAUUUAUCUAUUGGCGGUAACAGGCUCCAAGUUGCGCAUGAUCACAGAGUUCAAUUAUGAAAAUUGUUGCAUAAGUUAUAUGGAUAUCCUUGAUAACCGCAGCAAGCAUACAAAAUCAAAUAAAAGCUAACUGAGACUCGAAUAUCCUAAACCCUGAAAAGGAAUGGUAAUGGUAUAAUAUGGAUUCUGUAGGCAUAUUUCACUGGACUCAACAUUUAUGGUUAAUUUACAACUCUUUGUUGUAAAGUCUGAGAAAUUGCUUUAUAUUAGGGGUGGGGAAAAUAAUUGUUGGGCCACAAAUUUCAAGCAGAAUCCAGAUUGGGCCCAAUUAGACUUAUAGCUCAGCUCUGUGUCGAUAUCUGGGUCUUUACAAAUAAUUAAUGGGCCAAUUAAUAAUAAUAAAUAAAUUGAGAAGGGUAUGAGUGAAAUUAGAUAUGAAUGAAUCUGCUAGUGUAUGUACACAUUUUUCUAAUUAAUGCGUUAUGAGCCUGCCGCUGCCAGCAUGGAAAUUACAGAAACUAAGGAGAGAAUUGACCCAUUAAUUAAAUUAAAAAGAAUACGGAAUAUAUAAGCAGUCAAAAUAUAGGUGAAGUAGGCAUGAAUUGUCACAUAACUAAAUUUGAGAGUAAAACCGUGACUUGGGUUUGAAUGUUUGAUUAAGUUACUUCUAUUUCAAGUUGCUUAUUUUGCGUGGGCUUCAGGCUUAAUUACACACAGUCGAACACUUAUACAGUUCCCCUGACAUAGGCUUUCACCUUCACCACACAUUUGAUAAUUUCUUAGCCUUCCCAAUUAGAUUAUAGCAAUUUAUAUAUAAAUAACUAAAGCAUAGAAAAGCCACCAUUGAUGUACGGAUGAAUGGUGUCAAAAGUGUAUCUUGUUUUAUUUAUUAUUGUUCUAUGAUACAAAUUUGAAUAAUGGAAUAUAAUGCUUUGAAAAUACCGAUGAAAUAGCACAUGAAAUCGGAAAAUAUUUUACUGCAAUAAGAAUUCAUAUAUUCAUUGUAGUAGCACAUAUAAAAUAGACUAUAAAUUUAAUUUUAAAAUACAUUCUUAUCUUCAUAUAAAUUUUACAUUACUAAUUUAAAUUAACAUUAAAAUAUGUUGUUUCUUUCACUAUGUUAUUUUAUUUACACAAUGAUGUGACUAUUGGAAUUAAUAAUAAUUAUAAUUAUUUUGUAAAAAUAUAAAUUUAAUACUUUGUUAACAUUUUAUCUACAUAUAAUAAUUAAACUGAAACUUGUAUUUAAAAAAUUCUAGUUACGCAUAUUCAUUUCACGACAUAAAAGUGUAUAUUUAUGCUAAUUUACCAUUGUCAACAAAAUGCUUUGAGACAAAUAAUCUAAUUUAUAUUUUUAUAUUUAAAAUACUUGCAUUUAUUAUAUUUUGAAAAAAAAAUUAUUUGCAAUUAUUUUAAACCGUUGGAUUCAAAUUUUUGUAGUUAUUAAAGUCAAAGGGUAUAAAUGUAUAAUAGUCAAAAAUAGAUUUGUAUGAUCAUUUUUUAAUGUAUAAAUUUUCUUAGUUAGUAGGAAAAUUAGAAAUUGUUGAUUUACUCAUAAAUAAAUUUAAUGUUUAGCAUUUCAAUUUUGGAAAACUUGAAGUAAAUGUUGAUAACUUUGAAUCGGUCGAGCCGAGUUUCUCUUCCUUGACCCACAGACCCAUUGAAAGUUCUAUUCGAAUUGAGUUUCCCGGUGCUUAUAAAAAGCUUUUCUUUUCCUUGUCGCAGUAAUUUAUUCACAAAUGAGUUGAUUAGCAUCGAAGUUACCUGAGAGUCUGAGACCAUGCUAGUAGGAGAAAUUUGAAAAGAAAUUAUUUUACUGAAUUAAUUUAUUUUAUCUUGUUGUAACUGAAAUACUACUUUUUUUUGGGCUAUCACUGGGGCUUGAUUUACUUUAAUAGUAGUAGCCACCGACUUAGGCUUUUUUUAAUUGUCACCACACAAUUUGAUCUUUUAAUUUGUUUUAACCACAUAAUCUGUCUAUCUAUCUCUCACCUAUUGCUUACUUAAAUCGCAUACAUAUUUUACCUACUAAUUUUAUAAAUAUUAGUCAAAUAUAUUUUAUUACGUUUCUCUCGUAACUGCUCCAAAUGUGUACUAUUAAUACUUAACCCUCGCUUUUAAUUUAACCCAAAAAUAUAAAAAUAAAAGAAAAAGAAUAUGUGUAGCAAUUUGCAUAUAACUAACAAAGCAUUGACGGUGUGUAGCCUUUCAAAACUUCACGGGUGGCUUUUCUUGUGUGUUAGUACUUGUAAUAAUUGUGUAGUGUAUAAAUGACAUUUUAUUAUUAAAGUGCGUCCAUUUUUAGAUAUUACUUAUUAUUUGAAAAAUAAUCUGAAUAUAAUUCUUUUAAAAUACAGGGGAGAUACCACUUGAAAUUGGUAAUCUCCAAAAUCUGGAGGAGUUGGAGCUUGCUCAAAACAAAUUAAUUGGUAUUGUCCCAGUUGCAAUCUUUAAUGUGUCAACACUCAAAAUACUUCAGCUUCAAAUUAAUUGUCUCUCGGGAAGUCUUUCAUCCAUCACAGACGUCCAACUACCAAAUCUUGAAAAGCUUGAUUUGUGGGGUAAUAAUUUCAGUGGCACAAUUCCUCGUUUCAUCUUUAAUGCUUCUAAGCUCUCUAUACUAAAUUUGGGAGGGAACUCAUUCUCCGGUUUUAUUCCCAACACAUUUGGCAACCUAAGAAACCUUAAAUACCUUUAUUUAGAAAACAAUUAUUUGACAUCUUCAACUCUAGAAUUGAGCUUUCUAUCCUCGUUGUCAAAUUGCAAGUCUUUAACACAUAUUGACUUAUCAAAUAAUCCACUAGAUGGCAUUCUUCCUAAGACGUCUGUCGGUAAUCUUUCUCAUUCUUUGGAAGAUUUUCACAUGUACAAUUGUAACAUUAGUGGCGGCAUCCCUGAAGAGAUCAGCAACUUGACCAACUUGAUAACCAUUGAUUUAGGAGGCAAUAAAUUGAAUGGAUCGAUUCUGAUUACUCUUAGCAAAUUACAAAAGCUUCAAGGUUUGGUUCUUGAUGAUAACAAAUUAGAAGGAUCAAUCCCAGAUGAUAUUUGUCGUUUGGUUGAGCUGUAUAAAUUGGAGUUGGGUGGCAAUAAGCUUUCAAGAUCAAUCCCUGCAUGCUUCAAUAAUCUGAUUGCUCUGAGGAUACUGUCGUUGGGUUCCAAUGAGUUAACUUCUAUUCCCUUAACUUUUUGGAACCUUAAGGAUAUCUUGUACCUCAACUUUUCAUCAAAUUUUUUGACUGGCCCACUCCCAUUAAAGAUUGGAAAUUUGAAGGUUUUGGUUGGAAUUGAUUUUUCGAUGAAUAAUUUUUCAGGCGUUAUCCCAACAGAAAUUGGAGGCCUAAAAGAUCUAGAAUAUCUCUUCUUAGGAUAUAAUAGAUUGCAAGGAUCGAUUCCUGAUUCAUUUGGUAAUUUGAUAAGUUUGAAAUUCUUGAAUUUGUCCAAUAAUAAUCUCUCUGGGGCAAUUCCUGCACCUUUAGAGAAACUCUCAUAUCUUGAAGAUCUAAAUCUUUCUUUCAACAAGUUAGAAGGAGAAAUUCCUAGGGGAGGAUCUUUUGGAAACUUCUCAGUUGAAUCAUUUAAAGGAAAUGAAUUAUUAUGUGGUUCACCUAAUUUACAAGUCCCGCCAUGCAAAACUAGCAUCCACCACACAUCAUGGAAAAUUUCUCUUCUCCUAGGGAUUCUCUUGCCAUUGAGUACUACAUUAAUGAUAGUAGUCAUUUGGUUGAUCCUAAGAUAUCGACAGAGAGGAAAACAACCAUCGAAUGAUGCUAAUAUGCCACUAGUAGCAAUGUGGAGAACAUUUUCAUACCUAGAACUUUGUCGAGCAACAGACGGAUUCAGUGAAAACAAUCUAAUCGGCAGAGGAGGGCUUGGCUCUGUUUAUAAGGCAAGACUUGGGGACGGGAUGGAAGUUGCAGUGAAGGUCUUCAAUUUGCAAUGUAGAAGAGCAUUUAAGAGUUUCGAUGUUGAAUGUGAAAUAAUGAAAAGUAUUCGCCAUCGAAACCUUAUCAAAGUUAUUAGCAGUUGUUCGAAUGAAGAGUUUAAAGGGUUGGUAUUAGAAUACAAGCCUCAGGGAAGUUUGGAGAAGCAUCUGUAUUCAAGUAAUUGCAUUUUGGAUAUUUUUCAAAGAUUGAACAUAAUGAUAGAUGUUGCAUCAGCUUUGGAAUAUCUGCACUUUGGUUGUUCAACUCCAGUAAUUCAUUGUGACUUAAAGCCCGACAAUGUAUUGUUAGAUGAUAAUCUGGUUGCUUAUUUGAGUGAUUUUGGCAUCGCGAAGCUCUUAAUUGGAGAAGAUCAGUAUAUGACUCAAACGCAAACACUUGCCACAAUAGGUUAUAUGGCACCAGGUUUGUUCAAUAUAAAUAUUUUCUAUUUCUUGUAAAUUUCCUAAUAAGUUAUUUAUGUUUCAUGAUCUUCAUUAGAUGAGGAAAUUAUUAUUAAUGAUAUAUCUUACUAUUUAACUGUUGCAAUUCAUAGAGUAUGGAAGAGAAGGACGAAUAUCCACAAAUGGAGAUGUUUAUAGCUUUGGAAUUAUGUUAAUGGAAACUUUUACCGGGAAGAAACCCACAGAUGAAAUUUUUAAUGGAGAAAUGACAUUAAAGCAUUGGGUUAAUGAUUGGCUACCCAUUUCCACUAUGGAAGUUGUUGAUGCUAAUUUGCUAAGUCAGGAGGACGUACAUUUUGUUGCAAAAGAGCAAUGUGUGUCAUUUGUCUUCAAUUUGGCUAUGGCGUGCACUGUGGAAUCUCCUGAGCAGAGAAUCAAUGCAAAAGAAAUUGUAACAAAGCUCUUAAAAAUUAGAGGCUCAUUACUUAGAAAUGUUGGAGGCAGAUGUAUAAGACAAUCAAAUUUAAAUUGAUUCUGCCACUCCAUUGCUUGCUAUCUUUUUCAGAGACUUGAACGGUUAUCCUUCAUACCAGUUUUGUUGAUAUGUUUUGUUAUUGCUCUUGCUCAUGUUUGUUUCUCUAUUUCUUUAAUUUGCAUGCAUGUAUUUUUCGUUCUCUUUUAUGUUUUUGUUGGUUUGUAUGUAGUUUGUUUUUAGGGGUAAGGUUGAUUAUGUCCUUCCCUAAUUACACGUAUCCUUUUUAUGUUUAUUCAAUAAAGCUUCUCUAAUACUAUCGAGGUUCAUCAAAAGAAAAUUUUUAAUUAAUUUUCUUUUCUUUGACAGGUAAUGAAAUUCUAAUCUUCAUAGUGAAUAACUUCAAUAAUAGAGUAUAAGAGUAUUAGUAGUUAUGGUUGUUUUUUGAACCUAAAGUCAAGAGCAAUUUAACAGCAACAAACAAGCCUCUUGUAUUAUAGGCAAAAUUCUUUUCAUUAAUCUUAUUUAUCUACAUGUUCUCCUUUUUUCUCCAUUAAUCUUCGCUCAAGCUUUCAUGCUUCCUCUUUGAUAAAGGAAAAUAUUACUUGCGAAUAUUUCAAUUUGACAUAAGAGACUGUUUUGCCAACCAUUUGAUAAAAUGGAUAUGAGUGGAGCUUUCAAUCAUUACCUCCACCAAAAUCCUUACAACGCCACUUUUAAAUUUUAUUUUUUAAAAUACAUUCAGUUUAAUUUAUAAAAAAUAAAUCCAUUUGUUAAAAUUAAUCUUUUUCUCAUAAAUUUCAACCUAAAAAAUAUAUUUCUUUUAAAUUUUUAAUUAUAAAAUACAUACAAGUUCUAAACUAUUAUUUUAUUUUCUUCUUAUUAUAUAGUUUAUAUCUCCAUAACUCUAAACUCCUAUAAUUUUUUUUAAAAUGUUUUUAAUUUAAAAUAUAAAUAUUAAGUAUAUAAUGGAGUGGGUAUAAAAAAAUUUGUUAAAAGAAUAAUUCAUUUAAGUAUUUAACUAAAUUUAAAUUAAAAUAAGAAAUAAGUUAAUUUAUUUUUUAUUAGUUAAGUAAUUUUCAAUUGAAAAAGAGCUGUAUGAGUAAUAUUAUUGAAAUAUGAUUAAAAUUCUUAUGAAUUAAAUAUUUUCGUAUAAAUACUAGUGAUAAUUACAGAGAAAGGACAAGGAACCAAAGAAAAUGUGAAUAUAAAUACUCCAAUGUAAUUUUACACAUGCAAAUUAUGAACCAGUGAUCUUUAGAGCAUCAUAAAAUUAUUUUGACAGAAUUACUUAUUUUGAAAAAUUGCCAACAAUGUUUAAAGUGGGAUUGAAAAGAUUAUACUACUUAUAUAAGACAUGAUAUCAUUUAAGAUGGCUUACGAAUUAUAAAAAAUAUAUUGAUCUUACAAAUAUUUAAUAUGUCAAUUAGACGGGCCCAGCUACCUUCCACCUGCUAGAAGGUACAUCUUAUUUUGUCCUCUAGUGUUGUGGGCGUUGGAUAUUUUAGAAGUUGAUCUAACGGUUCUUGUUCGACAGCGUGAAAUUGAAUUUCAAUUGGCAACCGUUUCAUGAACUUUGCAAGAGACAAUUAUCUACAAAAAUAUUAAAAAAAUAAAACCAAUUUUUCCCUUUCAUCAGCCGCCGCCGCCACCCACGAACCCUUAAUAUCAUCAUCACCAUCCCAAUCCUUAGUCGCCAUCCACAAGCUCUAACAACCACCAUGACCGCCAUCACAACCACCACUCCUCACAACCCCUAGCCACCACUACAAACAUUCACAAACUCCAACCAUAAUUGUCAGUUCACCAACAUUAUCCUCCAUUGACGCGGCCUACCAAUCAUCCACAACACCUAACCGUCGUCACCAACAAACUUUCGCCACCGCUUCCUACAAGGAAGCCUCACCACCCACCACCGCACACACACAAAGCCACACCAACCGCCAUACUAUUGCGACAGAGGCCACAAUGUAGACAAAUUCCCUAAGAGGAAGGAUGUUUUCCUUCUCCAGCUGACUAUUCUUUUUUAUCCUUUUUUUUGUUUUUUAAUUAUUAUAUUACUUUUAGUUAUUUUUAGUUUUUCUUUUAUUUUGUCUAUAUUUUGGUUGUUAGAAUGUUUUUGUUGUUGUUGUUGGCGGCAGUGCAGUUGUAGCUCAUGAUGAUGAUGGUGAUGUUGGUGUCAUUUUAAUCGAGAUUUUGUUUUUUUUUUACCGGCUACGCCAGUCAUCUUCAUUCAUUACAUGUCCAUUUCUAACAUGUUAGAUUUUACUACUUUUUAAUCCAAGGGUUAGACCACAACGAGACGAAAGAUGGGGUACCUUCCAAUGGGUGGAAGGUAGUUCGGCCCAAUUUAGACAGAGUCUAUGCAAUAAAAAUUUCAAAUUAAAAAAUAAACCUUUUAUUUUCUUUUAAUCAUAAGUGUGAUCUUAAUUAUUAACGUCUUUCAAUGUCCAUUACUUAUUUAUUUUUUUAAUUACCUAAAUGACAUUGAAAACUCUACUCAAUAAUAAUUCGUUCAAAUGUUUUAUUUUAAAGUAAUCGGAAACUGCAAAUGAAACAAAUGCUUGAAAUCACAAACGGCCUAAAAUUAGAUUUUCAUUUUUCAAUGUUGCAGUGACUUUGAUCUUGAUAUUGAAAAUUUAUUUGUAACUUAUAUAAAGGCCUCAAUUUUAUCAUAAUUGGUUAGUAAGGCUACGUAGGGAGCAUGGAUAAAUUUUGGGAUUGGAUUAUAUUUUCGAAGCUAAAAAAUUAAUUUCAUCUAAUGUUAUGUUUGGUUGUCAAGACUAGCAACUUAGUCUAAAAUUAUUGAAAUUACUAAUCUUUUAUAUUAUAAUCUUUUCGUUCCCACUUUAAACAUUAUUGGUAACUUAAAUCAUUUUUUAAAUUAAACAUAAAAAUCAUUUAAAUUAAAUAUUAACAUUAAUUUCAUAAGUUUUUUACCUAGAAUUUUAUAUUAUAUUAAAUACUACAAUUCUAUUCAAUAAUGUAUUAUCAUUUAUUUAAUAAAUGUUUAGGUUUUCAGUAUGUUAUAUUAUUAUUUAAAUUAAUUUUUUAUUUACAUAUAAACAUAAAUUUAUAUUUACUAAUUUAUAUUUAUUAUAAUUUAUUAAAUAAUAAAAUCUAAAUGAUUAUAUUUAAAAUAUAAUUUGUAUGUUAAUGUAUUAUAGCCUAAAUCUUACCCCUAUGAGUUUAUUUUUUCCACCUUUUAUUCUAUUAACCACAUUUAUAAGGCAGUGCGAUGCAACUAAAAAUUAUAACCAAAUAUAAGUUAGCAUGAAAAUAAUAUUUUAGUACAAUACAAUACAAUGUAAUAUAAGCUGACAAAUAGAUAUUUAAUGGAAGCAAAAAUUGCAUAUGGUUUGUCGGCCUCUCAAAAGACAGCAAAGAAACCAAUAUGAUACACUGAUUCUGUCCUCUUUAGCAGUGCCUUUACUAAAUAGGAAUAAAAAUGAAUUAGAAUCGGAAUAGAUUAUAAUCGAAAUGAGGAAUUAGAAAAAGAAUAAGUUAUUUAAUUAAGUUGUAUGAAUUAGAAUUGAAAUAAACUUCAUUCUAAUUGAUGUGUUUAUUUUCUCUUGAAAUUAGAAUGGACUAUUACAAGUUACUAAAAAAUCAUUUGGUAAUUGAUGUCUCUAGUAUUAUUUGUAUUUGUUAUAAUGUUAACAAUAAUAAGAAUAAAACUAAUACUAAAAAUGAAAAUAAUAAUAAUAAUAAUAGAGACAAUAAUAAUAAAAUUAAUAAAUUAUUAUUAUUAUUAUUAUUAUUAUUAUUAUUAUUAUUAUUAUUAUUAUUAUUAUUAUUAUUACUACUACUACUACUACUACUACUACUACUACUACUACUACUACUACUACUACUACUACUACUACCACCACCACCACUACUAUUAGUACUGAAGACCGCCCGGUAAAGAUUGGAUAGUGAAAAUGAAGACGACGAAGAUCCCGGCAACCACCUGCUACUCCAAAGAUGAUGUGCCCAAAUGGAGACAACCAGUGAUGACUAGCCAACUAGAUCCAAAUCUCGAUAUUGUGAUCUUGCAUGACCAUUGAUAAAGCGAUGUGUGAUGUCGGUGUUGUGAUUUCUUUUUUAUUUAUAUUUUUUAAUUAAUCAGGGGUAUUUUCAAAAUUUAGUAAUUUUAAUAUGGGCAAAUUGGAUAGUCUAGUGAACAGGAGACUAAUUCCCAAUCAUCCUAGAAAUUAGUCUCUCAUUCUUUAUUUUUAAUUUAAUGUGGGUUCCACUAUUUCGAUUCCAAUUCUUACAUUUAUUUAUAAAGUAAAUAAUGUUAAUGAUUUCAAUUUCCAAUUCGAAAAAUAAACACAUCAUAAUAUUUUUUUAGGUGCUUCCAUGACAUAAUCUCAUUGGUCCAUUUUUCUUCAUGCCUUAUAUUCAACUUCAAGAUUCAAGAUUCAAUUUGAAGCAAACACAACUACAAAACAAAUAUAAUAAGCGUUAAUAAGCCUGUGGCCAAGCAAAUGUAACUUGUAGUGACCAAUCAUAUCUUAUUAUCUUCCGCCAGAAGUUAAACAAUGUUCCCAUUCCACGUGUCACUCUCUGACCAAUCCCCGAACUUUCUUCAUAUUUCCAAAGAAACCCUCACCAAGUCAACAUAAUUACCUUCACUCUACUCAUAUAAAUACUGUCCUCGAUUCGACUGAUGUCUGAUGACGACAUAUCCUUGGUCUUUAAUUAAAGAAAAAAGGACACAGAGACUCCCAACGUUUGAAUAAGGGACAUAAAAUUUUUUAAUGUUUUAAAAAAGACACUCAGACCCCCAUUUGUUAAUAAUAAAUUAUAAUUUUACCAUUAUACCCUUAUAGCAUAUUAAAAAUUAAUUGUUCAUUAUCCAAUUUAUUUCCAUAUUAUUAAUAAAAAUUACGAAUAUAACUUCAUUACCCUAUUUUUCCAUUUAUUUUUUAUCAAAUUUUAUCUUCAAACUAAAUAAAUUUAAUCCAUUGCUCAAAAAUAAAAAUAAAUUAAAUUGAUUAUUAAUAUAAUACAAAUAACAAUUCUCCAUAUGUUAUUUCUUAUAAUUUCUUAUAUAUAAAUUAAAUUGAUAAUUUCUUAAAAAUAACAAUUCUCCAUAUAUAAAUUAAAUUUAUUUUAAUUUAAUAUAUGUUAUUUUUAUAUUAAAUAUAUGUUAUUUUUAUUAUAUUAGUAAUCAAUUUAUUUUUAUUCUUGAGCAAUGGAUUAAAUUUAUUUAGUUUGAAGAUAAGAUUUGACAAAAAUUAAAUGAAAAAAUUGAAUAAUGAAGUUAUAUUCGUAAUUUUAUUAAUAAUAUAGGAAUAAAUUAGAUAAUGAAUAAUUAUUUUUUAAUAUGUUAUAAGAGUAUAAUGAUAAAAUUAUAAUUUACUAUUAAUAAAUAGGGGUCUGAGUGUCUUUUUUAAAACAUUAAAAAAUUUUAUGUCCCUUAUUCAAACAUUAGGGACCUCUAUGUCAUUUUCCCUUAUUUAAAAGUGGAAAUUAUAAAAAAUUCUCCUCGUUCCCUAAAGAUCUAGGGUUUCUCGAGAAUCGCUAAACCUAGAUCCCAAUCCUUCAAAAUCUCAAUUUAACCUCUCUAGGGUUUCGAUUAUCGAGGAUUCGCUUCAAAAUUUAGUAUUUUUUAGGGGAUUUUGCUUGUCUCGUAUCCUUCAAUUGUUGUUCGGUUCUGAAAAUAAUUUGGAAUUUUAGGGAUUUUCAGAUUAUUUGGUUUUGCUUGAGUGCAAUUUCCUCUAGUUACGGUUUCAGUUUGAAGGGUUAAGUGCGAUUUCGAAUAUUUUUAUAAAAUUAAAAUUAAAAUUCAUAAAACGACUGGGCUUUUAAUAAUUAAUUGCUGGCUAGCGAUACUACAACGGCGGCCGCAGCUGCAGAAGAAGCAGAGGCGGUGGAGGAGUAUGAUAGCGAUCCAGAUGAAGUGAAACGCUCUCUUGCGAUGCGCAGAAGGGAAGCCAGCGAUGAGGAGGUUGAGGAGGAUAAAGAUUCAGAGCUUCCAAUAGUUCAAAGUGUCCACAUUCCUGCGGGAGAAGCGGAGGCUGUGGAUGAGUAUGAGAGCGAUCCAGAUGAAGUGAAACACUCUCUCAUUAUGCGCAGAAGGGAAACAAGCGAUGAUGAUGAGGAGGAGACAUAAUUUGAGCGUCGAAUGAAUUGAAGGGUCCAGAUUCACUCUUACAUUGAAUCUGAUGGCCAAGGUGGUGCUCCAGCUGAGUAUGAUGAUGAUGAUGAUGAAGAAGAGGAACAUGACAGAGAAUUAGAAGAAGAAGAUGAAGAAGGGGAUGUUUAUGAGGCUGUAGAGGAAGAAGAAGUUUAUGAAGAAGAGGGGAGGAAUGAUGGGGCGGUUAAAGUCAAAGGAAUAGAGGGUAAUGAUGCAUAAGGAGUACGGAGGGUGCAGUGGAAGUGAGUAAAGGGAAUAAUGAUAAUGGCAAUGGUGCUAAAAGAAUGAUGCAGCAGAGGAGAGAAUGGAGAAAGAGAAGAAGGAGAGUAAUGAGCCUUUUGUACAGCAACUGGGGCUUUUUGCACAGCAACUGGGGCUUCUUAUAUGGGACAAUGUUGCAGGUCGACACAGGUAUUAUUUGAUUUGAGUGACAAUUUAUAAAUAGCUAAUAGCUGUACUUUCAUUAGUGCUUGUCAAUUAAUCCAGUCUCGUUUUUUGGUGCUGUAUAAUGAUUGUUUGCUGGAAUCUGUGUAGAAGGCUUUUGGCCUAGUAGGUUGAAAGGAGAGAAAGUUCUCAAAUAAACAUCUGUGCUUUGUGGAAUAUAAUUAAUAGGUACAAAGCAUACUAAAUUACUUGACAGAGAGAUGCCGAGCUAAUCAUGAGCUAUGAUAGCAUCAUCCGUGCUUUGUGUAUUUUUAAUAGGGCUUGUCUAUUUCAAAGUGUGUAGUAAUUUUUGGGUUUAGUUUGAGUGAUGAAGUGUUAGAUGGGUUUCUGUUUGGCAUAGUUAAGUGGUUAAUACGAGCUAUUGAAGCAAAUAUGGAGUAGGAUAUCUAGUUUUGGGUUUGGUCUUAGUUUGAAGAUGGCUACUGAUUAUGCAGCUAGGUACUAAUUAGUGUUUGUGGAUUGCUAAAUGCUUUCUGUCAAAUGUGACUAGAUUAUUACUUGAAGUGCAUGGAUCUUACACUUAAUUAAUUAUAUAUCCAUUUGUAAUGUACAAAAUGAUCAUGUACUAUUGCUUAAAAUUAUGUUUUCAAGACAUCAUUUUGAAUCCAUGGUUGUAAUGUGUCUCUAAAUUCAGUAAGACAAGUUCUGUCAAUUGCUGUCGGAUGGCAGUGACUUGAAUAGUUUAAUGUUCAUUUGCAGAAAAAAAUUGAGAAAGAAAACUAAAAAUUUCUGUGCGUUCUGCUGGAAAUUUAAUUAGCUUCAUUUGAGCAUUAAUUGCUGGCAUUAUCUCUUAGAUUUCUCUUGCAUUGAAUGAAUGGAUGAGUGCUAAUCCAUGCAAAGACUUCCAUGCAUACACAAUGAAUGCUUCAUCAAAGGUAUGGUAAAAUGUCAACACGCUUGGCCCAAAUUAUCAAGCUGGUGUGGUGGCUGCUAGAUUUGUUCAUCCGGAUUUUGGACCAUUUUCAUUGACAAUGAGAAAAGCUGCAAGAUCUGUAAAUCGGAAACUCAUUGAAGUGCCAAAAGAGAGAUGGAAGUGAAUAACUAGGGAGUUAGUGAAAAGAGGGUGCAGUGAUUGUGUGGGAAGCUUUGGGUAUAUUUGGGGUUUGGAUGUAAGAUAAAAUAAUUUGAGAGAGAGGUUGUAACAAUUUUUCGGUAAUAGAGUUUUUCAGGUAACUCUUGUGUUGUGUGAUUGGAGUAUUCUCUAUUGUAUUUUUUUAUUUGUUAUUUAUUUGACAUAUUGCUAGCGGAGAUCUUGGGUGGGAGCCAAAAAUUCCCAACAAUUGUCAAUUGUUUUAAACUCUAUUUCGAACAGAGCAUGAAGGGAUUCACUUAUCUGAUUAUGUCUUUUAUGCUUUAACUUCACUUGAUUUCAUCUUGUCUGUCACCUUUAUUAAAGUUGUAUAUGUUGGAGUAUUAGGUUCAUCACAGGGAUCAUAUUAUGGCUAAGGAAGGGGCACAAGAGUAUUUGGAUUCAAGACUGUUAGAAGGUUGUUACAAUGCAAGGCUGUUGCUGUGUAACUGUAUGCCAUUCACGCAAGUGCACUCUUAACAGAUUGCUGAGCUGGCACCGGAUGUUUUUAGCUAAUAUUAGUUAUUGGUCUAGAGUGUUCUGAUUUAUUCUAUAAAUAGCUCAUUUGAGCUUAGAACCUUUAUAGUGUAUCAUACGUUUCCGUUACUUCUAAUAAUGAGUUUCUCUAUUCCUUUUUCUUUCACUUUCUCUUCCAUUUUCAUGAUCCCCAAACACCAUCAAUCCAUGAUUUUCUAGAGUAUUAGUUGUCUAUUUCUACAAGGGGAAAUAUCCACCGUCCACCUGAUUUUGUUUACUUUUUUAAAAAUAUACAAAUCCUAAAUUUUUUAGCUGCGCUCCACCUGAACUUAUAAUUUUUUUCACAUUUCCACCUCCGUCUGCAAACCGUCAAGGCGUUGCUGAUGUCAUAAGGCUAAAAUGAUAAUUUCACUUGGGCUUAAAAAACGACGUCGUUUAAGAUCUGUAAUAAGCAAAAAAAAAAGUUAUUUCAGUUUCAAGAAUCCAAACAAAAGCUUUGAUAAACUCGAAGCUCAAAGCUUAAUUAUUCUCUGGUCUCUACUCACCACAUUCGCAUUCAUGGCUGCACAAGACACACAAAUUGAGAGCGAAAAUAAAGACUCAAAAGAACCCAAAAACCUGUUCGCACACUUUAUAAACUUAUUAUUUUCUGCUCCAAUAUUUAAUAAUAAGCAAGAGAGAAAUAAAAGUGAAGGUGAAGAAAGAGAAGCUGCAGAGGCAAGCAAGAAACGAGAGGUGGUGAAAUUUUCGCUUUUAAAAAAAUAAAAAAAAGAAAGAAAAAGCAAAGGCAAAGCCAAAAUCUUCUACUCUGAAAGUCAUCGACCAUAGUCAUGGCGGAAAACACAGAAAUUGCUUCCAGUCCCAGAAAACAAGAAAACAAAAGCAUACUCUCGCGGUUGCCGAAAUUCCAACUCAAUCUCCAUUUCUUCUUUAAUCAACAACCUAAGAAAGUAGAAGAAACUGUUGUUUCUAAAGGGACUGCCAAAACGUCAACGGUUAGUGAAGCCGAUGACGGUAAUGCUAGUAGUGUGAAGCCGAGCUUGGCUAGGUUUCCAGACGCCACACGUCCGAUUCUUCCGCUGCCGAUUGAGCUCGAGGCCCAAGAGCCCGCCGGGCGGACUUCCAAUCCUGUCGUUCUCUGGCAGGUUCGCUUUCUUCCGUCUGUUCCUGUUUGGUUCCCGAGAAAAUGUGGGGUCCUUUUGUGUUGCGAGAUUGCGAGAUUUUAUAAUAUUUGUUUAAAAAAUAAAAUUUUUGAAAGGAUUUCAAGAUUUUCAGUCUUUAUCUAGGGCUACAAUACUCACAAAGUUAAUAUUUUGGCGUUUAUUGAGGGUAAAUAUAUAAUUUUUUAUUUUCGGGGUUAAAAAGUAAUUUGGACAAAAUUCCGUUAGUUUUAUUGACGGUUUACAGACGGAGGUGGAAAUGUGAAAAAAAUUAUAAGGUCAUGUGGAGCGCAGCUAAAAAAAUUAGAAUUUGUGUAUUUUAAAAAAAGUGGACAAAAUCAGGUGGACGGUGGAUAUUUUCCCUUUCUACAAACAUAAAAUUGUUGUUUUAAGAAACAAAGUACUCUGUCCUGUCACCCGCGGUCUCCUCGUUUAUCGACUUGUGAACAGGGCUAAAUAAACGGCAAAUAAGAUAUUAGGUCAAUGGGUCUAACGUGACAAGAUAUUGAAUUAUUGCCCUUUUCUUUUCUCCACAAAUCUUUGGUUAAUUUUUAGGUUCUCUCAACUUUUUUCCCCUUUAGCACUAAAAUUCAUUUUUGAUACUUUAUGCAAAAAUUAUGAUGAAAAUGAGUCACUUUAGAACAUUAAUAAAUUUUUAUUUUUACAUCCAAAAUAACGACAGUUACACUUAGAUCACUCUCAUUUAGUUGAACUAUAUAGGUAAUAAAGUUGGCUUAACAAAAUAUGAUUCUUAACUGUUGUAAUUAAGCACUAGUAUUCUUUGGUUUUAGUUGUAGGGCUUAUAAUGCCGUGGCUCAGUUCUUGGUGGGUUCAAAUUAUUAGACGAUCAUUCUCAAUCCUUUACGAUUCGUAAUUAAAAAUUCUUAUAUCACAAUUAGAACUUACAAACAAGUCAAAGUGGGUAAAAUCAUAUGUAUAAAUUCGAGGUUUAUUACAAACUUUUAAAAAAGAUUUUCUCUGUUUUUUUUUUCUUUCACAUUCUCUUCCAUUUUCUCAAUCCCCAAACACCACCAAUCCCUGAUUUUUUGAGUAUUAGCUGUCUGUUUCUACAAACAAGUUCUUGAAUUGAAUGGCUCCUCUUUUAUCCAUAGAUCUUUGCUUAAUAUUUUUGUUCCCUCAACCUUUUUCGGCCCUUUGCUCUAAAAUUCUUUUCUGAUACAUUAGCAUUACGCAAAAAUUAUGAUGAAAAUAAGUAUGCCAUGCCGGCAAGUGUAUUGUACAGAUUUCUAGAGUAUUACCUGUCUAUUUUUUUCACCGAUGACGAAGCUAAUUAUUAGUAAUCAAUCUAAAGUCUACCUAUAAAUACAAUAGGUUGCUUAGGUGGCACCAAUAUCCUAACUUUAUGCCAUGUUUCUGGUGUGUCUUCACAAAUUCACCGAUACAAAUUAAUUUCUACCAAUAUUACCAAAUGAUUGUAUUUUACGUUUCUAUUUACUUGUAAUAAAGAUCUUCAAUUUUAUUGGUUACAAAAUUCUCUAGGAUUGCAUGUACAUUAUACUUUUAUAUACAUAUUUUCUUCUUUCUCAUUCGUUUUCUGGGUGAACAUAUUAUUUUCGUCAUCAUCUCUAUAACAAUGAAGUGAAAAUAGUCCUCAUUUAAAGUAUUGACAGCAAUGUUAUACUCAAUAUAACGUAUAAAGCACGCAUAAUUUAAUUAAUGGGGCAGCUGCUAGUACCUUCUAUAGAAGAGAAUUAUUGCAGCAAGUUAAUUGGAAGCUCAAAGAGUUUCCGUAUUAGCCGAAUCUAAGCGAUAAGUGUUUCCAUGUGAGACAUAAUUUGGGAAAAAGACCAAUUCGAGUUAAAGAUCAGAAAACAAACACUGUCAACAAGCAUUAAUGUCAUUUGAUGCAUGAAAGACAAUUAGUCCCAUUUUUUUGUCCUGUUUACUUGACUUGGGCAAUUUGCCGUCAACUUUUCUCAUCCACGUCAGGUAAUGUGGCUUUUAUUUGGUAUGAAAAAGCCAAUGCUUUACGAUAAAACUAUCACACACAUAUUAUCCAUCUGUAAUGUUCAAAUGACACUCAAGUAUUACCUAAAUUAGCCUUUUAAAAAUUCAUUUUCAAAAACCCAUGGUUGUGAUGUGUCUCUAUAAAUUAAGAUCUAUCUGUUACCAACUGUUUUAACUCUGUUCUGAACAGAGCUUGAAAGGGUACAUUCACUUAUCUAGUUAUGUUUUUUAGGCUCUCACUUUAUUUGAUUCACCUUAUCCCUCUUUUGAAACAAUUGUUCACUGGCUGCACUCAGUUAACAGAAUAUUUUGGGAUUCAAAAUAACAUCUUAUUUUCUAAAAUAACUAAAUAGAAUCUUACAGAAUUAGAGUGCCUGACUUCUUCAUACAGUGCUUGACUUCUUUUUACAGAAUUAUAAAGUGAAAAAAUAAAUUAAGAAAUUAAAUACUUUUCAUGCGAGUGGAGAAGAUUGGGUGGCGAUUACAUUAAAUAAAAGAAAAAUAAUUUAAAAGUACAACCCUUUAAUAAUCUCAUUCCCAAUAAAUCGUUGAAACGUCUUGCUUCAUAUUGUUCUUUUUUUUUUUUUUGAUUAAUUGGCCUAAAUAUUGUAUUUUUGUCAGGAGUCUUGCAAUGCUGCGUAACACCGUAGUAAGAAGAAACGUGUCUAAGGUUGCCACGUGUUGUCUCAACAUCUGUGUGAAAACCGAAUUAACCAGUUUGCGUUCGACAACAAAGGAAAAUCUUUAUAACACCCUUUUUAAUUUUAUUUUCUGAAAUACACUCAGUUUUAUUUGUAGCAUAUAAAUCUAUUUAUUAAAAUUAAUCAUCUUUCCAGAAAAUAUCAAUCUAAAAAAUAUUUUUUUAAAUUUUUUUAUAAAAUACAGAUAAAUUCUAAUUAUAAAAUUUAUAUCUCUAUAACUCUAAACUCAUUUAAUUUUUUAAAAUUAUUUUUUAAAUUUAAAAUAUAAAUGUAAAAUAUAAAAUAAAUCCAUGUAUGUCAAUACUAGAUGGUUCCAUAUUAAACCUGUGAAGUGUAGAAAAUAAGCGGGAUUCGUAAAAAAUAUUUUAGAUAAUAACAUUGAAAAGUGAUAAAAAUAUUUUUUUUAAAAAAAAGAAAUACAUACUCGAGACACCAAGACCGGCACGCACAAACUCACACAUUUAUAUAUUAAUUGAGGGGGAAAAUGAUAUUCUAAGUAAUAUUGUUGACAUGUGAUAAAAAUUCUUUUUAGUGAAACAUUUUUGUAUAAAUACUAGUGAUAUUUGUAGAGAAAGUAGAAUGAAGUGAGAAAAACUUGAAUAUAAAUGCUCCAAUAUAAUUUCUCCCAUGCAAAUUAUGAACUAGUGAACUUUAAAGCAUCAUAAAAUUGUUUCAACAUAAGUAAUUAGUUUGAAAAAUUGCCAAUAAUGUUUAAAGUGGGAACGAAAAGAUUAUACUAUAUGAGACACGAUAUUAUUUAAGACAACUUACAAAUUACGGGAAAUGUAUUGAUCUUACAAAUAAUAUUUAAUAAGUACAAAUUUCAAAUUAAAUAAUAAACCCUUAAUUUCCUUUUAAUCAUAAUUAUGAUCUUAAUAAUUAAAGUCAUUCAAUCUUAAUCACUUUUUCAUUUUUUUAAACUAUCUAAAUGACAUUGAAAACUCUACUCAAUAUUAAUUUAUUCGAAUGUUCUGUUUCAAAAUAAUUGAAAACUGUAAAUGAAACAAAUGCUUGCAAUCACAAAUGGCCUAAAAUGGGAUUUUUAUUUUUUAAUAUUGCAAUGACUUUGAUCUUGAUAUUGGAAAUUUAUUUGUAACUUAUACUAAGUCUUCAAUUUUAUCAAAAUUAGUUUCUAGAGAUGCAUUUGCCAUACUGUGUAGUUGUAUUGUAUGAUGAUAUAUUACAUUAGAGUGCAUUGUAAUGAGAUGUAAUGCAAUACUAUUUUAUAUUAAUGUUAAAACUAAAUCAACCUUAUUUAAAUUUAUUAAUAUUUUAGGGUUUUAAUAGUAAUAUCUGAAAUUAAGUAUUAAAUAAUUAUUUUUAUAAUAUACAAAUUAUUUAAUAAUAUUCUACUAUUAAAUAAUAAAAUAUUACAAUAUUAUGUUAUAUUAUUAACAAUUAUUCUGUUAUAAUAUAAUUUAUUUUUAUAUAUUAGUUAUUAUAAUUUAUUAUAAUCAUAUUAUAAUAAUAUUAUAUUGUAAAAAUACAAUACUAUAUAAUUGUAUAAUAUAAUAUGAAUUAAUUUAUAACUUAACAUUAAAUUAUAAAUUUAUUUUAUUUAUUAAUGUCAAAUAUAUUUGUCUAAUUUAAAUUUGGUAUUUUUUUAAAAAUAAACUAUUAAAUAAUUAAAAUGAUUUUAUAGAAUAAAGUAAAAUAAUGUAUUAUUAUUUAUUAAUUAAAUAUUUAGGUUUAUUAAUAUACUAUAUUAUUAAUUAAAUUAAUGAAUAUUAAUUAAUAUAAAUAGUAUUAAAUAGUAUAUUAAUACUAUAUUAUUAAUAUACUAUAUUAUUAAUUAAAUUAAUGAAUAUUAAUUAAUAAUUUAAAUUUAUUAAAUAAUAAAUUUAAAUGAUUAUAUUUAAAAUAUAAAUAGUAUUUUAAUGUAAUAAAACCUAAAUCCCACAUGUAUACCACAUUUGUUAUACAGUGUAAUGCAACUAUAAAUUAUAAUUAUAUAAAAAUAAUAUUUUAAUACAAGUAUAAUGCCACUUGAGAAAUUGAUAUUUUAAUGGAACCAAAAUUUGCAUUUGGUUUGUGGGUCUCUCAAAAAAUAAUAAUAAAAACCAAUAUAAAACACUGAUUCUGUCCUCUUUAAUAUUUUUCUAAAUGCUUCCAUGGCAUAAUCUCAUUGGUCCAUUUUGUUUCACAGCUUAGAUUCAACUUCAAGAUUUUCAAUUUGAAGCAAGCUGUGGUCGACUGGCCGUGGCCAAACAAACGUGCCUCAUGGAGUCAUGGUGACUGAAUCAUCUCUUAUCUCAGAAUUUGAACUUAAACAAUUUGAACUUAGACUGUUUUUUUAUUGUCGAAGAUUCGCUUCAAAAAUUAGUAUUUUUUAGUGGAGUUUGCUUGUCUCGUAUCCUUCAAUUGUUGUUUGGUUCUGAAAAUAAUUUGUGAUUUAGGGAAUUUCGAUUAUCUGGUUUAGUUUGAGUGCAAUUUCCUCUAGUUACGGUUUCAGUGUGACGGAUUAAUUGCAAUUUCGAAUUUUUGAUAAAAUUUAAAUAUUUAUUUAUUUAUUUUGAGAAGGCUAGUGAUAAAAUUGGGCGGUUAUUAAUUAAUUGAUGGCUAGUGAUACUACAACGGCGGCCGAAGCUCCGGAAGAAGCGGAGGCGGUGGAGGAGUAUGAUAGCGAUCCAGAUGAAGUGAAACACUCUCUCGUGAUGCGCAGAAUGGAAGCAAGCGAUGAUGAGGAGGAGGUGGAGAAAGAAUUUGAGCGUCGAAUAGUUGGCGAUGAAUCUGAUGAAUCUGAUGCGCAGAAUGGAAGCAAACGAUAGGGCAGUUAAAGUCAUUGGCUGCACUCAAUUAUUAGAAGGUUGUUACAGAGGUAAGGCUGUUGCUGAGUAACAGUAUGCCAUGCUGGCAAGUUUGCUAUAGCAGAUUGCCAAGCUGGCACUAAUUAUUUUAAACUAAUAUUAGUAAUUAGUCUAGAGUGCUCUAAUUUAUUUUAUUCUAUAAAUAGCUCAUUUGAGCUUUGAACCUGUAACGUGUACUGUACUUUUCUAUUACCUCUAAUAAAGUUUUUCUCUGUUCUUUUUUCUUUCACUUUCUCUUCUAUUUUCCCGACCCUCAAACACCCUCAAUCGUUGAUUUUCUAGAGUAUUAGCUGUCUGGUUCUACAAACAUAGAACUGGUGUUUGUUUGUUUGUCUAAUUACCUUUAAGAAACAAUAUACUCCACCCUGCGGCCUCUUCGUUUAUUGACUUAUUACUUGUGAUCAAGGCUCAAUGAAGGGCAAAUAAGAUGUUGAGCCAAUCGGCCCAACAUCACAGAUCUUGAAUUGAUUGCCUCUUCUUUUCUCCACAAAUCUUUACUUAAUUGUUAUGUUUCCUCAACUUUUUUCCCCUUUUUGUGCUAAUUUUUUUUUUUGAUACUUUAUGCAAAAAUUAUGAUGAAAAUUAAUUAGUUUAGAACAUCAAUAAAUUUUUGUUACAUUCAAGAUAAGGACAAUUACACUUAGAUCACUCUUAUUUAGUUGAAUUAUAGGUAAUAAAAUUAGUUUUAACAAAAUAUGAUUCUUAACCCUCGUAAUUAAAGGCUCGUGUUAUUUGGUUUAGUUAUAACACCAUGCAACAGGUCGUCUUGGUGGGUUCAAAUUAAUAUACGAUCAUUCUCAAUUUUUAAUAGUUUGUAAUUAAAAAGCCCUACAUCACAAUUAGAAUUUGCAAACAUGCCAAAGUGAGUUAAGUCAAAACCUAUAAAUUUGAGGUCUACUACAAACUUCUGACAAAUUAAAUUUAAAACGAUUAAUUAAAUGCUAGACAAAAUUUAGCUUAUUAAUGUUCCUGACCACAUGAUGAAUGUACUUAAAACAUCCUAAUUGGUCACUAAUUGAUUAGUUAUUAUUUUUUCAAUUUCUUUUUAUAUAUCUUUGAAACUUCUAGUUUCCUAACAUAUUAUUUGCAAUUCGUGUAAAUUAUUAUUUUUUAAAUAUUAGAGCAACAACCAGUAUAAAAAUGAAAUGCACUCAUUUAAUGGAAAUUUUUCUAGAUGCUUCAAUGGCAGAAUCUCGUUGGUCUAUAACUCUCACGCCUUUGAUUCAAGAUUCAAUUUCAAACCAACGCCGAACAAACAGUAUAAACCUUAAUAAGUCUGUGGCUGUAGCCCAACAAACCUACUUCCGGCUCACCGAAUAAUCAUCUCUUACGUCGGAAUUUAAACUUAAACAAAGCUACAUCCCACGUGUCCCCAACUUUCUUCAUAUUUCCAUAAAACCCCUACCAGAUCCAGAUAAUUACCUUCACUCUUCUCGUAUAAAUAGAGAAGAUGAUGAUUCCUACAAAGCCACGUAAGUCAAGCGAACGUUACGGCCAUGGCACAUUGGAAUUGGAUCAAACCACCGGAAUGCAAAGCAAAAUUAACCAAAUAAACUAAAUUAGAUCCAACCAAUUGAAUCGGUUAAUGAAUCAGUUUAGUGUCACUCAAAAAACAAAUAAAUAUAUAAAACCACACAAUUAUCAUAUUAAUGGGGCACUUUUAUCAAACACUAUAGGAUCAACUAGUACAAAAUGAAUUCAUUUGGGAUACGUUUAACGUACUGUGCUAUGGUGUAUUGCAUUAACAUACAUUAUAUUAAGUUAUAAUGUUAUACUUUGAUAUAGUAUAAAUUGUAUUAUAUAAGGUAAUGUUUUAUAUUAAUGUUAAAACUAAAUUAAUAUUAUUUAAAUUUAUUAAUAUUUUAGGUUUUUAUUAUUAAUUUUUUAAAAUUAAGUAUUAAAAAUUAUUUUAUAGUAUAUAAAUGAGUUCAUAAUAUAUUAUUAUUAAAUGAUAAAAUAUUAAAGUACUAUGUUAUAUUAUUAAAAAUUGUUAUAUUAUAAUAUAAUUUAUUUCUAGAUAUUAAUUAUUAUAAUAUAGUAUAAUCAUAUAAUAAUAUAAUAUAAGUUAAUAUUAUAUUGUAAAAAUAUAAUACUGCACAAUUAUUUAAUAUAAUGUAAAUUAAUUUAUAAUAUAAUAUUAAAUUAUAAAUUUAUUAAAUAAAAUUAAAAUACUUUUUACGUAUUUAAAGUAAAAUAAUUAAAAUAAUUUAUGUAAUAGAAGUAUGAUAAUGUAUUAUCAUUUUCUCAUUAAAUAUUUUAGGUUUAUUAAUUUGUUAAAUUAUUAUUUAAAUUAAAAUUAAUUGUUUAAGUGUAAAUAUAAAUAUAAAUGAAUGUUUAAUAAAAUCUACUCCUAUGGAUCUAUUUUAUACACUUUUUAUUCUAUAAAUCACGCAUAUAAUGUAGUUGUAUAAUAGAAACUGGAUAUGUAAUGGAAGCCAAAUUGCGCACGGUUUGUGGGUCUGUCAAAAAAUGAUAAAAAGACCAAUAUGAUAGACUGACUCUGUCCUCUUUAAUAUUUUUCUAGAUGCUUCCGUGGCAUAGUCUCAUUGGUCCAUUUUUCUUCACGGCUUAGAUUCAACUUCAAAAAUCAAUUUGAAGCAAACACAACAAUUCAACAAAUAUAAUAAGCGUCGAUAAGCUUGUAGCUGACUGGCUGUGGCCAAGCAAAAUGUACCUCAUGGUUACCGAAUCAUAUCUUACGUCAGAAUUUUGAACUUAAACAAUGUUCUCAUUCCACGUGUCACUCUCUAACCAAUACCCAAACUUUUAUCAUAUUUCCAAAGAAACCCCUACCAAAUCAAGGUAAUUACCGUCACUCGGCUCAAAUAAAUGGUCUCCUCAAUUCAACUGAUGACGACAUAUCCUCAUAGUCUUUAUUUAGAAGGGGAAAUUAUAAAAAAAAGGGUUAUUUUUAGGAACUUUCCCUGAAGUUUAGUGUAUUAACAGUCUGAUAAAAAGUAUUUAUGUAAUUAUAAGUAUUUCCCUUAACAUUAGUAUAAAAAUACGUAAACGUCAGUAUAAAAAGGUAAACAAGUAAAAGUAAACUUGAAAUUUAAACAAAAUCAAAAUUCAAGCAAAAUAUGUUUCGAUGUCUGUGAAAUAGAGACUUAAACACACCAUUACCCAGUCCAAAGUCAUUAUCCAGUAGAUGAAAGAAAAUGAUUUUUUCACAAAGGGUACUUCUCCUCGUAAACACAGCUUACACUUGAACAAAACCCACCAUCAUUUUCAUCCAUGGAGAAGAAGCGUCUGCAACUCACAAAUAAUUUCUGAAAUCAUUGAUUUAUUUUCAUCUACUGCACAAGAUGACGUCGUGCGGUGGUCCAGAGCUUCCAAGAAGCGAGUAUUGCCAGCAUCUAGCAUCUACCGUGACUGGAAUUAGAUCGCAAGAAGAGGUCAGUCUUCGAAAACACAGCUUGCAUGCUUGAAUCAGUGGCUUACAAGAUAUUGUUGUUAUUUUAUUGAUUAAAAAUAACAAUGGGUCUGUUUUAAUGAAUGAAAAUGGUGUUGGAUGUUGUUUCUCUCUAGGGUUGUUAGUGUUGAGUUGAAAAAAACUAUUGGGUAAUGACUGAUAAGAGCAAUUUCCUAAUGAUUUAAGAGCUGUGUAAGUACUAGAUGUAGUUCAUCAAAGAUGGGUUUCGAUUUGCUUAUAAUCUGAUAAUCUUUUAGAGAACCCACAGUGGUUUAUGUGAUUGUUCAGUUUGGGGUCAUGACACUAAUUGAGUUGUGUGCUAGUUUCGGUUUGUGCAUGCCUUUGGUGUUCUUUUGCCUUAUUGUUGUAAUUCCUUCAAUAAUUUGGCGGUGUUGUUUUUUUUUUUUUUUUUGAGAAGGUAAUUUUGUAUUUGCUAAAUAAUGUGAUUGUAAUCAGAGGUAACUUAAGUAUAUUGUUCUACACACAAUUUUUGCUCCCACGUGAGAUGUUCUCUGUGUUUUUGUCUAAGGCUUUUGUUUGUUAUUCAAACUAGAAAAUAGUGGAUGCAAGACUAUGAAUUUGGCAUGUGAUAAACUUUGAAAUUGCCCUUUUUCUAGAUUAAAAAAUAUUGACUUGCCAUUUUCCUUGUUUGAUUCUAAUUUUCAAACAAGUGUGCCGAAAUCUUAAGUUCGAUUACAUGUUGUUUAUUGUAUUUCUUAUUUCAAAGUCUGUAAUCUAUCUGCGUGCAUCAUUUCAGAAGAAGAAUAAGCAGCUGCAGCAAGUCCAUUAGUUUAGGUGUUCCGAGUAUGACAGAGAUGAUGCUCUAGAUCCAGGUUUGAGGCACCAACAAAACUCGAAGAUAUCAAUUAUAGAGUGGGAUUUUCAGGACCUGAAAUCCAAUUUAAUAUUUACUUGAUCUGGGUUUAAAUAUGGAUGGAGCAAAGAUUGGUAUCAGAAGGGUUUUAUUGUCGGUGCCAACGCCUGUACUAUCAAGUUUACAAUAUGAAAAUCAUUUCUUUUAAUAGCUCUGCUCUUGUGGCAUGUAUUAGUUAUGAAGUAGUUUGUAAUAAAAAAAAAAUCACAAUAAUAAUAUGCAUGCAGGAUGCAGCUAUGCCGCCACACAUUAUUUCAAUUUUUUUAUUAUUUUGCAAUGUCAAUUUUUUUAUUAUUUUGCAAUGUCAAUUUUUUUAUUAAGCAAUUUCAUUUUUUUAUCCAAUGGAUAUUUUCAUCUUCUUAAGUAAUUUGUGAUUUUGGCACGAAUUACCCAUCAGUUCAUCAGCGAAUAAAGAAAUAUUUUGACAGGAAGGGUAUUUUUGGAUUUUCAAUAGUCAACUAACAGUCCACUUAACAGAAUACAAAUGUCAGGGGAGGUCUUUGUAAUUACGUGAAUACUUUCUAUCAGAAUGUUAAUACACCAAACUUCAGAGGAGGUCCUUAAAAAUAACCCUAUAAAAAAAUCCCCUCGUUCUCUAAAAAUAUGAGGUUUUCUCAAGAAUAGCUAAACCUCCAUCACAAUCCUGAAAAAUCUCAAUUUAACCUCUCUAGGGUUUCGAUUGUCGGGGAUUCGCUUCAAAAUUUUGUAUUAUUUUAGUGGAUUUUGCUUAUCUCGUAUCCUUCAAUUGUUAGUUCAGUUCUGAUAAUAAUUUGGAAUUCAGUUUGAAGGGUUAAGCGCAAUUUCGAAAUUUUUUAUACAAUUUAAAUUAAAAUUGAUAGAACAAUUGGGCGGUUAAUAAUUAAUUGAUGGCUAGUGACACUACAACGGCGCCCGCGCCCGCAGCUCCGGAAAAAGCGGAGGCGGUGGAGGAGUAUGAUAGCAAUCCAGAUGAAGUGAAACGCUGUCUUGUGACGCACAGAAGGGAAGCCAGCGAUGACGAGGACGUGGUGGAGGAGUACGAGAGCGAUCCAGAUGAAGUGAAACACUCUCUCGUGAUGCGCAGAAUGGAAGCAAGCGAUGAUAAGGAGAAGGAGGAUAAAGAAUUCGAGCGUUGAAUGAACCGUAGGGUCCACAUUCAUUCUUACGAUGAAUCUGAUGGCCAAGGUGGUGUCCAGCUGAGUAUGAUGAUGAUCACCUCUCUCGACCAGUUCAGGUUCAAGGGAAGGGUGCUCGAGGGGUACUUGUCUUGUUUAUCAUUUUUGUUUAAUUUUCAUAAAUUCGACGACCCACAAUUCAAUUAUGAGUGAAGAGUUUGUUAAAAAACUGUGGUCUUCCAUUUACUAUAACUAAGUCCGUGUGAUGUAAUUAUUUUUCUGUCACUUAAAUGUCUUGAAAAUUAUGAAUACAUUGUAGGAUUUAGAAGGAUUCUAAAGUUUUAAUGCAUAUGGGUUUUUUAUGUCCAUCCACUUAUGCGUAUGCUGCAUUUUAUGAUUAUCGUAGUUGGUAGAUUGACAAAUGGACCUUAAUUACAAGUCAAAUAACCUAAAUACUUAUCGGCCAAAGGAAGCCAUUUAUAGUAAUUUCUAGUGAAGCAAAGUAAAAUGAUUCAUACUGGCAAAGAAAAUUGGAAAAGAAAAGGAGGAUUACUGAUCCACACAGUGUCGUUUACUAAAGGUACGUUGAUCUUACACUUAAUUUAUUAUAUAUCCAUUUAUAAUGUUCAAAAUGAUAAUGUACUAUUUCUUAAAUUAGGCUUUCAAAACAUCAUUUUGAUAAUGCAUAGUUGUGAUGUGUCUCUAAAUUCAGUAAUACAAGUUCUUUCCUGUUACUAAUGGAUGAAGUGACUUGAAAUAGUUUAAUAUUUAUUUGCAGUAAAAAAGUUGAAAAAGGAACUAACAAUUUACAUGCGUUUUGCUGAAAAUUUAGUUAGUUUCAUUUGAAACUUGCAUGGGCAUUAAAUGCUGGCAUAAUCUCUUUGACUUCUCUUGCAUUUGAAUGAAUGGAUCAGUGUUAAUGCAGGCAAAGAUUUUCUGGACUUUCAUGGAUGCACAAUAAAUGCUACGUCAAAGGCCUGGUAAGAUGUCAGCAAGCUGGUCGAAGAUAUCAACCUGAUUUGGUGGCUGCAAGAUUUGUUCAUCCAGGAUCGUUUUCUUUGACAAUGAGAAAGCCCCAAUGUCUAUAAAUUGAGAACUCACUGAAUUGUAGAGAGAGAGAGGAAAGUGAAUAACGGGAGAGCCAGUGAAAAGAGAGUGUGGGAAGAUUUGGGUGUAAUUGGGGUUUGGGUGUGAGAUAAAAUAAUCAGAGAGUGGUUGUAAUAAUUUUUUAUAUAGUGAAAUUUUUUUGUCUCGUUAUUUUUUGCAGUGGUGGUUUUUUACUCUAAUAAAAGAGUCUUCCAAGUAAAUUUUGUGUGUUAUGAUUGGGAUAUUCACCAUUUUAGUUUUCUAUUUAUUAUUUGUUUUACAUAUUGCUAGUAAAAAUCUGGGGCGGGAACCGAAAAUUCCCAACAAUUAUUAAUUAUUUUAAACUCUGUUCUGAACAGUGCAUGAAGGAUCAUAUUCACUUCACUUCACUUCACUUGAUUUCAUCUUGUCCCUCUCCUUUAUAAAAGUUGCAUAUAUUGGAGUAUCAAGUUCAUCACAAGGAUCAUAUUCUGGCUAACGAAGGAGCACAGUUCAUUGGCUGCACUCAUGUGUAGCAAAGUAUUUGGAUUCAAGACUGUUAGAAGGUCGUUACAGACGCAAGACUGCUGCUGUGUAACGGUAUGCCAUGCUGGCAAGUGGGGCAGUGCGCUAUAACAGAUUGCGGAGGUAGCACCAAAUAUUGUGAACUAGUAUUCGUAAUUAGUGUAGAGUGUUCUGAUUUAUUCAUUUGUGCUUAAAACCUACAUGUAUUGUACGUUUCUAUCGGUAAUUUGUUCUGAUUUUUUUUUGGGGCCAAUUGCAGUUUUGAUAACAACUAAAAUCUGUGUGGUCCGGUUACCACAAAGCCUAUAAUGAUUGCAAUUACUGUAUGAUCAUUUCCCCAACUAUUAUUUGAAUAAUUGGUCCAGUUACCACAAAGCCUUGCCCCAGAUCCCUGCCAUUUUCUCCUCCACCUCCAUUUGGGGAAAUUACUACUUACUUUUUGCAAGUUUUUUGUGAAAUAUUUAUUUUGAGAAGAAAACCAACAAUACAUUUUAUGAUUUGGGCUGUUUCAAAGAUCUUCGCUUGAUGUCUCUGCUACUGGUUUUCAGCAGAGUGCCCAAAAAUAGUUUUCAGCAGUACAAAAAGUAUAUAUUUUGUACCUUCCAUACAUUUUGCUUUGUUAAUGUUAUUAUUUGAUAACAUGUUUGUCGAGUUGCACAGUGUAUAAAUGCUAUACAAAUACACUCCUUUCAUUUUAUACAACUUUGAUUGAUCAAGUUGUAUCUCUUUGAUAAUAUGUUCUAUCUCCUUUCAUUUUAAACUUCAAUUGAGUUGCUAUCUAUUUAACUUUGGCAAGUCAGAGAGAGGGAUGGGACUGUCCAAUUAAAAUUAAGUUCCAAGUGCCAAUCCCACCAUUGUCGUCUCUUGUUUGCCAAAUUCAAAUUUGAAAAUCUCACCAAGUCAGUAUGGUGAUGUUGUGGGAUUGUCUGGCCUAGGUUUUUAGCCUCAUGAACUCCUUUAUUAGAAAAAGUCUUAAGUGUUCUUACUCAAUGGUAGAAUCAUAAUUUUACUUCAAUGGAAGCCAUAAUGAUUAAAAUAUACUCUUUUGAUUAAUUACUUAUUUGAUGUUGCUCUCUCUACCUUCAUCUCCUUCUUUAUGAAAAAUUUAUUGUAAUACAUGGAAGUAUAUAUUGCAUUGAAUAAAAUGAAAUUGUUCAAAAAUUAACAAAUUCAGCUUUAUUAUAAUCUAAAACAAAGUAAAUAAAAUAAUACCCAUCAUGUAAAAAUAAAAAAAUAAAAAUUUUUGUACCACUUUGAAUCUAUUUUAAAUUUUUUUGGUCAAAUCUCAGAAGCACAAACUUUGAACAAUAAUAAUAGGUAAAAACUAAUAAUCUUAUAAUAAAAAGUAAGAAAAAAAUAAAGUUGAUUUAGCAUGUAAGAAUAAAAAAAGAAAAAUAGAAAGAGAGAGAAAUUAGCUUAGGCUUUAACUAUUGUUAUAGUAGAGAAGUAAUUUUAUGACCUUUUAGAAAUGAGUGAAUUAAAAUAGUAAGUUAUAAUUUGAUAACUAUCUUAAUUAAAAAAGUGGGUGUUGAAAUAAAAUUAAUGGAUUCAAAUAGCCCACCCAAAAUCCAAAAUUGCAUACCAAUUAUUUUCUAAUUUACAUAAAGUUCUUCUAUUUUUUUUUUAUAACAUUUGAUUCUCAAUUGGUCUAAUGGAGAAACAACCAGCAAAAAAAUAAAAAAUAAAAAAUAAAAAAUAAAAUGAAUGCAAUUAAACCGAAAUUCGUAAAAGAGCCGUAUGACAUUUAUGUGCAAGCAAAAUUGCAUUCUGUUUAUGGGAUCCUGGAAAAAAUAAAAGAAAGAAAACAGAGUAAGACGCUUUCGCUGUGGGCUUUAAUAUUUUUCUAGAUGCUUCCAUGGCAGAUUCUCGUUGGUUGAUUUUUCUUUACGCCUUAGAUUCUAUGAUUCAAUUUCAAUCAAAUACGACAAACAAAAGAAGCUUUUAAGCCUGCAGCUGAAAUAGAUGGUACUUUAAUUUUCAGCUGAACAUAUAUAUGGUAAGAUUAUUAUUAUUGAGCUUGAUGAGGCUAUAGAAAAUUCAAUAUCGAGAUCGGAUAAGGGUCCAAUAAAUUAUAAAAAUAAAGCAGCUCAAAGCCCAUAUGAUCAUGGGCCAGGCCACUACUUGCUCAUGCUUUGAAUCAAAAUUAGUGACGUUGGAAGCUGAAAGGGGCAAAUGAUGAAAUGGGGUUCAUCAUAUAGUAUGCCCAACGGGGUAAGAUCAUCAUUUAAUUGCCUCCUCCUCUUGUCGAUAGAUAUUUGCCUAAAUUUUUCUAUUUAAAAAAUAUUAUAUUGGUUAGUAUAAUUAGAAGUUUUACAAAAUAUAAGUAUAAUUUUUAAAAAAAAUUAUAUUUGUUAAUCUAAAUUUACAUCCAAGAUCACGACAAUUACACUUAGAUCACUCUUAUUUAGUUGAAUUAUAUAUGUAAUAAUGUUGGCUUAACAAAAUAUGAUUCUUGAUCGUUGUAAUUACGAGCUGGUAUUCUUUGGUUUUAGUAGUAGGGCUUAUAACGUUGUGCAACAGUUCUUGGUGGGUUCGAAUUAUUAUACGAUCAUUCUUAGUUCUUUACGAUACGUAAUUAAAAAUUCUUAUAUCACAAUUAGAACUUACAAACAAGUCAAAGUGAGUUAAAUCAAACGUAUAAAUUCGAGGUCUAUUACAAACUUCUAAAAAAGAUUUUCUUUGUUCUUUUUUCUUUCACUUUCUCUUCCAUUUUGCCAAUCCCCAAACACCGCCAAUCCUUGAUUUUUUAAGUAUUAGCUGUCAAUUUCUACAAACAUAGAACUGCUGUUUGUUUGUCUAAUUACUUUCAAGAAACAAAACUGUUUGUCAUGUGGUCUCUUCGUUUAUUGGCUUGUGAGCAAAUAAGAUAUUGGGCCGAUGGGCUUAACGUGACAAGUUCUUGAAUUGAAUGGCUUCUCUUUUUUUCAUAAAUCUUUGCUUAAUUUUUUUUGUUCUCUCAACCUUUUUUGGCCUUUCGCGCUAAAAUUCUUUUUUUGAUACAUUAUGCAAAAAUUAUGAUGAAAAUGAGUUACUUUAGAACAUCAAUAAAUUUUUAUUACAUCUAUAAUAAGACAACUAUAGUGAGAUUAUUCUUAUUUAGUUGAAUUAUAUGUAAUAAAAUUAGUUUAACAAAAUCUAACUCGUUAGUAUUCCAUAUCACAUGAUUAACGUAUUUAAAAAAUCUUAGUUGUUCCGUCGCUUGUUUUACAAUUCUUUUAUAUAUCUUUGAAACUUUCUGCUUUCUGACACAUCAUAUUGUUCUCAAUUCGUCAAAAUUAUUUGUUUCUUCAAACACUGCAGCAACAAUCGGUAUAAAAAAGAAUGAACUCAUUUAAUGGGAAUUUUUCUCAUUGGUCUAUUUCUCUUCGCACCUUAGGUUCCUCUAACAAACUUAAAAGAUGUUCCCCAUCCCACGUGUCUCCAAAUCUUCGUAUUUCCAAACAAACCUCUGCCAAAUAGAGAAGAGGAUGGCUUUUAUUGCAAACUGUAUGAGCGUUAUGGCCAUGCAUGGGACAUUGGAUCCAAAUGAAACCAAUGGAUUGUAAAGCAAAAUUACCGAUUAAAAAUUCAAACAAUUGAAUCGGUUUGGUGUCACUUAAAAAAAUAAAUAAUAUAUAAAACAACACAAUUAUCAUAUUAAUGAGCCACUGUUAAAUUCAUUCAGUCAGUAUUUUUCUUUUCCCAUUUUCAAUGAAUGCUUAAUAUGGAAAACAAUAUGUCCCAUUGAGCACUGUUUAAAUCAUUCCCUAGUUUGUUUAACACGCAAAGAAUAUUCUUAUUCAGCUCGGCAGCCAAUCCGUUAAAAUUUAUUAAAAUUCAUUUAAGUGAUGACUGUGAUAUGACUCGAUCAAUCGUUUAAUUUGUAUAAUUUAUAAAAAUUUGAGCUUCAAGUAAUGUAGAUAGAAUGGUUAAUUAUUUUAAUAUUAAGAUAAAUUGAUAUAUGUCAUUAUAUUAUGAGUGGAUGAAAUAUCCAAUAGAAAAAAAAAUGUUUAUAUUCGUCAUUUUUAGUGGGAAUCUAUUUAGUGUAACUUAUCCAUAAAAAUGGUUGACGACUUAUCUUGGUUCUCAUUUUGUUUAAUUUUCAUAAAUUUGACUAAUGAUUAAUUGUGAGUGAGUGGGGCUAAUUAUCCGUGGGGCGGCAUCAGUUGCUGCUUGAGUGGAGCUGCGCUUUAUCCAUAAAUCUGGUCUUCCAUUUAUUUUGUAGGAUUUAAAAGAUUAAAAAACUUUAAUACAUAUAAUUUUAUGUUCGAAACUAAAUACUGGUAGCAUUGCUGCUUCUAUAAAUAACUCAUUUGUGCUUCCAACAAUAAUUCACGUUUUUGUUUCUCUUCAUAAAGAUUUUCUUUUUUUUUCUUUUUUCCAUUCACUUUUUCUUCCAUUUUCCCGACUCCCAAACACCACUAAUCCUUGAUUUUCUAGAGUAUUAACUGUCCGUUUCUACGAACAUAGACCUACAGUUUGUCUAAAUACUAUCAAGAAACAACGUACUCUGUCGCGGGAUCUCUUCGUUUAUUGACUUUUGACUUGUGAACGGGGCUAAUUAAAGGGCGUUCCUUUCUUCAAGAAAGAAUGCAAAGAAAGUACUAUCCAUGAGACACGUUAAAAAUUAUUUUACAUAAAAAAUGAUAAUAAUCAUAAUAAUCGGUUAAGGAUCGACAAAAAUGUUAUAACCUAUAAAGCAUGGAUAAUUAAUUAAUGGGAAUGCACCUCUCAUCUUUACCAUUCUCUUUGUCAUUUUCAUAAUUCAGCUGUUUAUUAAUAAAGUGAAUAAAUUUAUCUUUUAAUAAUAUGUUUCUUGGCUGUUUUUUUGUGUAUUUUUGUGUACAAUUUUGUGUGCAAAUAGCAUUAUUCAUUAGUAAUUAGUUUGGAGUAGCUCAUUUUGAGCUUAGGACCUGUAACUAGUAUUUUAUGUUUCUGUUAAUCUUUAAUAAAGAUUUUCUCUAUUUUUUUUCCCUUUCACUUUCUCUUCCAUUUUCCCCGACUCCCAAACACCACCAAUCCUUGAUUUUCCAGAGUAUUAGCUCUCUAUUUCGACAAACGCAUAACUGUUGUUUGUCUAACUACUUUCAAGAAAUAACGUAGUCUGUGGUUUAUUGACUUGCGAACGGGGCUAAUUAGUCACGGUCCGAUUGUCUGACUUCUCCAUUGACUCGGUCAAUUCACGACCUUGACCUGUACAGUUGAUACAAACGGACUUCUCCAUUUGAGGUGUACAAAACUUUCUUGAGUCAUUUUGUUUGGUGAUGAUGAAUUGGAUGUCAGUUCAUGAGUUUCAUGAUGAAGAGGACCAAAAACAUUAUUUUAUUAUUUAAAGAAGACUAACAAUUAUUUCGAUGGUCAUUUUAUUUUUUAUUUUUAAAUAUCCAAGGUGCUUGACUUCUUUACACAGAAUUACAAAGCAAAAUAAUUAAGAAACUAAAUACUCGUCAUCCAAGUGAGAAGAGAUUGGGUUGUUGAUACAUUAAAUAAAAGAAAAAUCAAUUAAAAGCACAACAAUUCAAUAAUUUCAUUCUCAAUCAUAUAAAAAAUAAAAUUUACUGUACAUUGUUGUUCGGUUCUGUAAAAAAAAAAAAUUAUUAGGGAUUUGCAGUUUUUUUUAGUGUAAUUUUCGUUAAUUACAGUUUGGUCUGAAGGGUUAAGCACAUGGAUCAUAAUCAUAUUAUGGCCUAAGGAAGGAGCACAGUUCAUUGGCUGAACUCAGUUUACAGAAUAUUUUGGGAUUCAAGACUUCAGGUUGUUAAAAAUGCAACUUGCAAGGCUGUUGCUGCGUAACUGUAUGCAAUGCUGGCAAGUGUGCUAUAACAGAUUGUUGAGAUAGCACCAAAGAUUGUAAACUAAUUAGUACUGGAAAAUCCUAUUUGCACAAACAAUUGCACAAAAUAAAUAGAAUGAGAAUACUUAUGCAAAAAAAAUAAGAUUAAUAAAGUGAAUAAAUUUAUCUUUUAAUAAAAUAUUUCUAGUCUUUUAGUGUUUUCGUGUAUUUUUGUGUACGUGCAAAUAACAUUACUCAUGAGUAAUUAUGUUUUACGUUUCUAUUAUUUUCUAAUAAAGAUUUUAUCUGUUUUUGUUUUUUUCCCCCCUUUGAACGGGGCUAAUGUUGGUCUAACUGCUUUCAUGAAACAACGUACUCUGCGGUUAAAAUUAAUUGAUCAUUUUAUUUGGUGAUAAUGAAUUGGUUGUCAAGUCAUGAGUUUGAUGAUGCACAGGACGAAAAACGUUAUUUUAUUAUUUAAAAUAUGACUACCAAUUAUGUUGAUGGUCAUUUUAUUAUUUAAAAUAUGCAAAUGGAAUCUUACCGAACUAUAGUGCUUGACUUCUUCAUACAGUGCUUGACUUCUUUGUACAGAAUUAUAAAGUGAAAGAAAUUACGAAAUUAAAUACUUUUCAUGCGAGUGGGGGAGAAAUUCUGUAUAUUUAUGAAAUAACUAUUGAUUUCACUUCGGUAAUUACUUUUUAAAAGUAACGUAAACAUUUUUAUUUUAUUUGCAUUCGAGCUUUCUUUCUUUUUCGCUGGCCUUUACUCUUGACCGUAUUUUCAUGGGGCAUAUUCAAUCUGAAUCCUCUGCAAGUUUGUGGCAGUUUGGUUAGUUACGAACUUUUGUAGAAUUGCAUGAAGAUGACGCUUUUAUAGACAUUUUUUCUUUUUUCUUUUUUUCUUCAGUGAACAUAUUAAAAAUUUAGUUUUUUGUCAUCAUGACUAGAACAGUAAAAUGAAAAUAGUCCUCAUUUCGACGAUUGACAAAAAUGUUGUACUCAUACCGAUUAAUGGGACACUGAUUUCGUCUUCUUAAAAAAUUAUUAUUGCAGUGAGGUAAUUGGAUCGAAGAUGGACGAUUUCCAUAUUUGCCUAACCUAAGUGAUAAGAAUUUUCAUAUGGGACAUAAUCUGAUUUGUUUUGCUUGACUGUAUUCCAAGAGACAGUCAUAUCUACUAAAUGAAACAAAUCUUGCUUUUCUAGAGAAAUAAUGCAAUAUGCAAUUAUGCAUGAAGGUGCGCAUCCAUGUGAGAAAGUUGACGAAAGCUUCUUUUUCAGUAUUGUUGGAAUAAUGGUAUCGAUUGGAAUUGUAAGGAAAGAGGUCUUCGAGUCGUGGACAGCUGAACCGAAGAGAGCAGAUGAAUGCCCUUUGCAGAAGCAGGAAAUAAGCUGCCUAAAAGUAAGCAUUAGAUGAAUGCCCGAUCGAACACCACUAAUUCCAACAAUAUAUCAAAAAAAAUCUUUGAGUUUAAGGAAUUAAUUUUUUAAAUAUUUGAUAUAUGUCAUGUUCUGACUUAGUACAAGAAGAAAAUUAUAGAAUUUUUUUUUAAAUUAAUGGAAUUAUUUUACGAUAAAACAAUCACAAUCACAAUUAAAAAUAUUCUUUAAAAUUUCACUAUUUCUACUGUUAUUCUUUAAACUCUUUCUGAACAGAGCAUGAAGAGUCACUUAUCUAAAUAUGUUUUUUUUGUGCUUUCACUUCACUUGAUUCAUCUUAUCCCUCUUUUAUAGAACCUGCAACUCGUAUUUUACGUUUCUGUUACUUUCUCUUCCAUUUUCCCAACUCCCAAACACCAUCAAUCCUUGAUGUUACAGAGUAUAUUAAUUAAUUAAUGGGCCACUAAUUCUUCUUCUUAAAAGAAAAUUUUUGUAGGGAAAUUGGAAAAAAGGCUAAUUCAAUUUAAUUUUGAUAGGUGCGACAGAAGGAUAGGACCGUCCAAUUAAAUUGCAAGUGGGCAUUCCCACCAUUCGUGUCUCAUGCUUGUCAUAUUUAAAUUUAAAAAUCACACCAUGUCAGUAUGGUGAUGAUGUGGAAUUGUUUCACCGAAAUUUUUAUUUCGAUGGUGGCCAUAAUAAUUAGACUACUGAUUAAGUUGGUUGUGACAUAAAAUCAACGUUGUAUAAUUUUUUGGAUAUUAUCUCAAUUUUACUUCUGUAGGUUUGUUUUUUUGUAUAUUAUCUCAAUUUUUAAAAAAAUGUAAUUGCAAUUAUCAAACACGACUAAUCCCAACAAUUUAUCCAAAAAAAUUUUAUGAUAGAAUUGGCUAAUUUUUUUAAUCGACUUUCUGGAUAAAUGAUAAUUUUUUUGAUAGAAAUGUUACUUAAGUAUUACAGGAAGAAAAUUAUAGAAUAAUUUUUUGAAUUAAUAGUAUUACUUUACGAUAACACUAUCACAAUCUAAUUUUAAAAAAAUAAAGUUAUUCUUUAAAUUUCGCAUUACUAUUCCUACUUUUCUUGUUAUACUACUUAAUGGCACUGGUGAAGCCUCGAAUUAUCAAACAAAAAAGCAAAAAUAGUUCAAUAUCUGCUGUCCCACUGAGCAUUGUUAAAUUCAUACCAUAACAUGAGUACUUAUAUUAAAAAAAACAAUCGGUCUCAUUGCGUGCUCUUUCAUUGACAUAGGCAAUUUGCUGUCAACUUGUGGCACUUUUAUGAAUUUUCAAGACGGGUGAAUUUUUCAAAUUUAAAAGAAAAAAAUACAGAAAUGUAAUUUCAAUUUAUCCAAAAAUUUGAGUUUCAAGGAAUACAACAUUUAUUAUAUGUCAUGUUAAUAUAGAGAAGAAAAUUUUAAAAACUUCUUUUUGGAUGAAUAAAAGUAUUUUCUGAUAAAUAUUUCACAAUCAAAUUUAAAAAAUUUCACUCCUCUUGGUACAUAAUUUAAGAAUUUAAGAUUAUAAAUUAAUCUUUUUAAUCAAAGUAAUAAUCUCUCCUCGGUCUGCAAAUGCUAAAAUUUAAUAUUAUAUCCAUUGACAAUAUUUGCUCCAAAUUCACGAAAAUAAAAUUUCUAACAAAAUUAUGGAAUUCGUUACUAGAAAUUUGUAUAAAAGUUGUGAGAAUAGAAGGUUUGAUCAUAGGAAAUUAAUAUAUCCCUAUCCGAUGCAAAAAUGAUUGUAAAGAAAAACAAAAGUCAUGGGCUUAUUUAGAAAAAAAGAAAAAAUUACAUUCCAUUUUCCAGUUAUUAAAGUAAUUCUAAAAUCGCUAGGAUCACAAAGGAUAAGUUUUGGUUGACUGAGGUCAGCCUUAACGCAUGCCGGUCUUUUUCUCCUCUACAUUCUUAGAAAUUUUGGUUUCACUAUAAAUACUCGGUAUAUAGCAAACUUAUAAGUGUUCUUGCAUUACCAAUCCAACUAAGCACACGCUUACAAUAUAAAUACUCUCAUCUCAUGGAAAGAGCUCAUUCUCUCAUGAUGAUGAGCAGAUUUCUCUUACUCCAUUGUUUGAUUCUUAUUUCCUUAUUUAUCGCGGCAGCAACAGCCAACACAAGUUCUACUAUCACGGACCAAGAUGCUCUGUUGGCCCUGAAAGCUCACAUAACUCAUGAUCCGACCAAUUUCUUGGCCAAGAAUUGGAACACAAGUACUCCUGUCUGUAAUUGGACAGGCGUCGCUUGUGAAGUCCAUAGCCAGAGAGUCACAGUCUUGAAUAUUUCAAGCUUAAAUCUCACAGGCACCAUCCCUUCUCAACUUGGGAAUCUUUCUUCUCUGCAAUCACUCAAUCUCAGUUUUAACCGACUUUUUGGUUCCAUUCCCUCCGCCAUCUUCACCACAUAUACACUGAAAUAUGUUUGUCUCCGUGGAAAUCAGCUCUCCGGCACUUUCCCUUCUUUCAUCUCCAACAAGUCUUCUUUACAACAUCUUGAUCUUAGUAGCAAUGCACUGUCUGGUGAAAUUCGUGCAAAUAUUUGCAGUAAUCUUCCUUUUCUGGAGUACCUUGCUUUCUUCAAAAACAUGUUGCAUGGCGGCAUACCGUCCACGCUAUCAAAUUGCACAUAUCUGCGAACGUUAGAUUUUUCAUACAAUGAUUUCUCGGAGGCCAUACCUAAAGACAUCGGCAAUUUGACCAACCUUAAGGAAUUAUAUCUUGGCCGUAACAGACUCCAAGGUGCGAGUAAUCACGGAGUUUAAUUAUGAAAAUUGUUCCAUAAGUUGUAUUAUGAAUAAUGUUCCAUAAGAUAAUUUGCACGCGUUGAUUAAUUUGCAGGAGAAAUUCCUCGAGAAUUUGGCAAUCUUCCCGAAUUGGAGCUGAUGUCGUUAGCAGCAAACAAUCUCCAAGGUAUGAUUAGAAACUUUUUGCAAUUUUUUUCUAGCCUCUGCUUGCUUCUGUAUUCAUUCGUUUGUUCAUUAAUUAUGCUAUGAUUUAUUGUUUUUCUUUCAGAUGGAGAUAAAGCUCCAUGUCUCUCCUCACUCAUUUCAUUUCUUAAUUUAUGCAGAUAAAAAAAAAAUUGUUUUGUAAUUUUCUUUUGUCAUAUUGCCACUUCCGUUUUGAAGCUCCCAAUUAAGUCGAUGAAAAUGAAUGAUGUUUCAUUCUUAUUCUUGUCAGCCUAAUUCUUAUAUAAUUGAAGAGUAAAUUGUUAUUAUGAUAUUCGUCAGCCAAUAAAUUCUUUUUUUUUUCCCCCCAAAUAUGAGUGAUCAAAUUGUUUGCGCAUAUAUAUAUGUACUUAAUUUGCAGGAGGUAUUCCACACGAAUUGGGGAAUCUUGCAAAAUUGGAGAUCUUAGAGCUGUUCGAGAAUAACUUGACCGGUAACUUUCUUUACGAUAUAUAUAUGAGACAUCUUCCGCUUCUUAAUUAAAAGAUUUCAAGUCUCUCAUUAUAAAAUAUAAAUUCUCAUAUGAGGAUGUGUAGUUAUCACUAUCUAACAUUAUUCCGUUUUUUAUUAGAAAUUAGUUUGUGUUAACUCAAAAUUCCAUAGCAUUUAAAAAAAAAUUAAAAACACGUAGAAUAAAUCGUCAAUCUUUCUUCUUUACUGAAUUUGGAUUUCUCAAAAAUUAUCUGCACAAGUAUGGUUCACUAAUGAUAUACAUGUGUGACAACUUCAUAAAAUAUUUCACUAAUUAUCUUUAAAUAAUUGGAGAUACCAUCAGUGAUACAUAAUUUCCUAACAAGCACCAUACCAAAAGAAAUCAACAAUUUUUUUAAUAUUAAAGAGUUACAUCUUCACUGCAAUUAUGGCAUAAUUUUUCAUCUAAAAAAAUUUUUAGUCAUCAAUCGCAUAAUAUUUUAUCUUAACGGUUGAUGUUCAAUCUUGGAAUUUAUAAUAUCUUGAAGGUUAGUAGCUAUUAAAAUUAGAAAUUGUUUAUUUGCUAAAAAGUUAACUUAGUGUUUAAGCUUUUCAAUUGAAAAUUUUGAAACAAAUGUUGAGAACUGGUCCUCCUUAGAAUUUCAGCGGAUAAAUAUGAAAAUAGACUUGAAAAAAAAUUAUUUUACUGAAAUAAUAGUUAAAAAGAGAGGAGAAGUACAGUACUCAUGACUUGGGCUUGCUGUGUCCUUAUUUUAUCUGACUAUUGGUACUAAUAAUAUUUAUAAUUACUUAGUAAAAAUAUAAAUUUAAUACUUUGUUAACAUUUUAUCUACGUAUAAUAAUUAAACUGAAACUUGUAUUUAAAACAUUUGAGUUACGUAUACUCAUUUCAUGACAUAAAAGUGUAUAUUUAUACUAAUUUACCAUUAUCAAUAAAAUGCUUUGAGACAAAUAAUCUAAUUUAUAUUAUUAUAUUUAAAAUACUUGCUUUUAUUAUAUUUUGAAAAAAAAUUAUUUGCAAUUAUUUUAAACCUUUGGAUUCAAUUUUUCUUAGUUAUAAAUGUAAAAUAGUCAAAAACAUAUUUGUAUGAUCAUUUUUCAAUGUAUAAAUUUUCUUGGUUAGUAGGAAAAUUAGAAAUUGUUGAUUUACUCAUAAAUAAAUUUAGUCUUUAGCAUUUCAAUUUUGGAAAACUUGAACUAAUUGUUGAUAACUUCGAAUCGGUCGAGCUUCGCUUCGCUUCCUUGUCCCACGGGCCUAUUGAAAGUUCUAUUUGAAUUGAGCUUCUUUUCAGCGUCACCACAAUUUAUUCACAAAUGAGUUGAUUAGAGUCGAAGUUGCCUGAGAGUCUAAGACCAUGUUAGUAGGAUAAAUUUGAAAAGAAAUUAUUUUACUGAAUUAAUUUAUUUUAUCUUGCUGUAAUUGAAAUACUACUCUUUUUUUUUGGGCUAUCACUGGGGCUUGAUUUACUUUAAGAGUCGCAGCCACCGACUUAGGCUUUUUUACUUCUCACCACACAAUUUGAUCUUUUAAUUCGUUUUAACCACAUAAUCUAUCUAUCUCUUACUUAAAUCGAAUACAUGUUUUACCUACUAAUUUUUACAAAUAUUAAUCAAAUAUAUUUUAUUACAUUUCUCUCGUAACUGCUCUAAAUGUGCACUAUUAAUACUUAACCCUCCCUUUUAAUUUACCGUGCAAUCUAUCUACACUUAAAUCACAUAUAUAUUUUACCUAUAGUUUACCCAAAAAAAAAAUAUAAAAAUAAAAAUAAAAGAAUAUGUGCAGCAAUUUGUAUAUAACUAACAAAGCAUUGAUGGUGUGUAGCCUUUCAAUACUUCAUGAGUGGCUUUUCUUGUGUGUUAGUACUUGUAAUAAUUGUGUAGUGUAUAAAUGACCUUUUAUUACGAAAUUGCGUCUGUUUUUUGAAUUAUUUAUUAUUUGAAAAAUAAUCUAAAUAUAAUUCUAUUAAAAUACAGGGAAGAUACCACUUAAAAUCGGCAAUCUCCGAAAUCUGGAGAAGUUGGACAUUGGUGAUAAUAAAUUAGUUGGUAUUGCCCCAAUCGCAAUCUUCAAUGUGUCAACACUCAAAAUUCUUGGCCUUCAGGACAAUUCUCUCUCGGGAUGUCUUUCGUCCAUUGGAUACGCCCGACUUCCAAAUCUUGAAAUCCUUUCUUUAUGGGGUAAUAAUUUCAGUGGCACAAUUCCUCGUUUCAUCUUUAAUGCUUCUAAGCUCUCUAUACUAGAUUUGGAAGGUAACUCAUUCUCCGGUUUUAUUCCCAACACAUUUGGCAACUUAAGAAACCUUAGUUGGCUGGUUUUAUCUGAUAAUUAUUUGACAUCUUCAACUCAAGAAUUGAGCUUUCUAUCCUCGUUGUCAAAUUGCAAGUUUUUAAAAUAUUUUGACUUAUCAUAUAAUCCAUUAUAUAGAAUUCUUCCAAGGACGACUGUCGGUAAUCUUUCUCAUUCUUUGGAAGAAUUUAAAAUGUCCAAUUGUAACAUUAGUGGUGGCAUCCCUGAAGAGAUAAGCAACUUGACCAACUUGAGAACCAUUUAUUUAGGGGGCAAUAAAUUGAAUGGAUCAAUUCUGAUUACUCUCAGCAAAUUACAAAAGCUUCAAGAUUUGGGUCUUAAAGAUAACAAAUUAGAAGGAUCAAUCCCAUAUGAUAUUUGUAAUUUGGCUGAACUGUAUAGAUUGGAUUUAGAUGGGAAUAAGCUUUCUGGAUCAAUCCCUGCAUGCUUCAGUAAUCUGACUUCUCUGAGGAUAGUGUCGUUGGGUUCCAAUGAGUUAACUUCUAUUCCCUUAACUUUUUGGAACCUUAAGGAUAUCUUGAACCUCAACUUUUCAUCAAAUUUUUUGACUGGCUCACUCCCAUUAGAGAUUGGAAGUUUGAAGGUUUUGGUUGGAAUUGAUUUAUCGAGGAAUAAUUUUUCAGGCGUUAUCCCAACAGAAAUUGGAGGCCUAAAAAAUCUAGAAUAUCUCUUUUUAGGAUAUAAUAGAUUGCAAGGCUCGAUUCCUAAUUCUUUUGGUGAUUUGAUAAGUUUGAAAUUCUUGAAUUUGUCCAAUAAUAAUCUCUCUGGGGUUAUUCCUGCAUCUUUAGAGAAACUCUCAUAUCUUGAAGAUCUAAAUCUUUCUUUCAACCAGCUAGAAGGAAAAAUUCCUAGAGGAGGAUCUUUUGGAAAUUUCUCAGCUCAAUCAUUUGAGGGAAAUGAAUUAUUAUGUGGUUCACCCAAUUUACAAAUCCCGCCAUGCAAAACUAGCAUCCACCACAAAUCAUGGAAAAAAUCUAUUCUCUUAGGGAUUGUCUUGCCAUUGAGUACUACAUUUAUGAUAGUAGUCAUUUUGUUAAUCCUAAGAUAUCGACAAAGGGGAAAACGACCAUCGAAUGAUGCUAAUGGGCCACUAGUAGCAUCAAGGAGAAUGUUUUCAUACCUAGAACUAUGUCGAGCAACAGAUGGAUUCAGUGAAAACAAUCUAAUCGGCAGAGGAGGGUUUGGCUCUGUUUAUAAGGCAAGCCUUGGGGACGGGAUGGAGGUUGCAGUGAAGGUCUUCACUUCGCAAUGUGGAAGAGCAUUUAAGAGUUUCGAUGUUGAAUGUGAAAUCAUGAAAAGUAUUCGCCAUCGAAACCUUAUCAAAGUUAUUAGCAGUUGUUCAAAUGAAGAGUUUAAAGCAUUGGUAUUAGAAUACAUGCCUCAUGGAAGUUUGGAGAAGUACUUGUAUUCAAGUAACUGCAUUUUGGAUAUUUUUCAAAGAUUGAACAUAAUGAUAGAUGUUGCAUCAGCUUUAGAAUAUCUGCACUUUGGUUACUCAGCUCCAGUAAUUCAUUGUGACUUAAAGCCCAGCAAUGUGUUGUUAGACGAUAAUAUGGUUGCUCAUUUGAGUGAUUUUAGCAUCGCAAAAAUGUUAACUGGAGAAGAUCAAUCUAUGAUUCAAACACAAACACUUGCCACAAUAGGCUAUAUGGCACCAGGUUUGUUCAAUAUGAAUAUUUUAUAUUUCUUGUUAACUUCCUAACAAGUUAUUUAUGUUUCAUGAUCUUUAUUAGAUGAGGAAAUUCUUAUUAAUGAUAUAUCUUACUAUGUAAAUGUUGCAAUUCAUAGAGUAUGGAAGAGAAGGACGAGUAUCCGCAAAUGGAGAUGUUUAUAGCUUUGGGAUUAUGUUAAUGGAAACUUUUACUGGGAAGAAACCCACAGAUGAAAUUUUUAAUGGAGAAAUGACAUUAAAGCAUUGGGUUAAUGAUUGGCUACCCAUUUCCACUAUGGAAGUUGUUGAUGCUAAUUUGCUAAGUCAGGAGGACAUACAUUUUGUUGCAAAAGAGCAAUGUGUGUCAUUUGUCUUCAAUUUGGCUAUGGAGUGCACUAUGGAAUUUCCUAAGCAGAGAAUCAAUGCAAAAGAAAUUGUAACAAAACUCUUAAAAAUUAGAGACUCAUUACUUAGAAAUGUUGGAGGCAGAUGUGUAAGACAAUCAAAUUUAAAUUGAUUCUGGCCCUCCUUCAUUGCUUGCUAUCCUUUUCAGAGACUUGAACGGUUAUCCUUCAUACAACUUUUGUUGAUAUGUUUUGUUACUGCUCUUGCUUUCUUUAAUUUGCAUGCAUGUAUUUUUCGUUCUCCUUUAUGUUUUUGUUGGUUUGAAUGUAGUUUGUUUUUAGGGGUAAGGUUGAUUAUGCCCUCUCCUAAUUACACGUAUCCUUUUUAUGUUUAUUCAAUAAAGCUUCUCUAAUACUAUUGAGGUUCAUCAAAAGAAAAUUUUAAAUUAAUUUUCUUUUCUUUGACAGGUAAUGAAAUUCUAAUCUUCAUAGAGAAUAACUUCAAUAAUAGAGUGUAAGAGUAUUAGUAGUUAUGGUUGUUUUCUGAACCUGGAGUCAAGAGCAAUUUGACAGCAACAAACAAGUCUCUUGUAUUAUAGGCAAAAUUCUUUUCAUUAAUCUUAUUUGUCCACAUGUUCUCCUAUUUUCUCCAUUAAUCUUCGCUCAAGGUUUCAUGCUUCCUCUUUGAUAAAGGAAAAUAUUACUCGCGGAUAUUUCAAAUUUUCAAUUUGACACGAGAGACUGUUUUGCCAGCCAUUUGAUAAAAUGGAUAUGAGUAGAGUUUUCAAUCAUUACCUCCACCAAAAUACUUACAACGCCACUUUUAAUUUUUUUUUAAAAUACAUUCAGUUUAAUUUAUAAAAAAAUAAAUCCAUUUGUUAAAUUUAAUCUUUUUCUCAUAAAUUUCAACCUAAAAAUAUAUUCCUUAUCUAUUUUUAUUAUAAAAUUCAUGCAAGUCCUAAACUAUUAAAUUAUUUUCUUCUUAUUAUAUAGUUUAUAUCUCCAUAACUCUAAACUCCCAUAAUUUUUUAAAAAUAUAUUUUUUAAUUUAAAAUAUAAAUAUAAAAUAGAGAAUGGAGUGGGUUAAAAAAUUGUUAAAAGAAUAAUUCAUUUAAGUAUUUAACUGAGUUUUAAAUUAAAAAUAAGAAAUAAAUUAAUUUAUUUUUUAUUAGUUAAGUAAUUUUCAAUUGAAAAAGAGCAUGAGUAAUAUUAUUGAAAUAUGAUUAAGUUCGUAUGAAUUAAACAUUUUUGUAUAAAUACUAGAGAUAAUUAUAGAGAAAGUACAAUGAAGUGAAAAAACUUAAACAUAAAUACUCUAGUAUAAUUUUACACACGCAAAUUAUGAACCAAUAAUCUUUGGAGCAUCAUAAAAUUGUUUUAACACAAUUAAUUAGUUUGAAAAAUUGCCAAUAAUGUCUAAAGUGGGAUUUAAAGGAUUAUACUACAUAUAUAAGACAUGAUAUCAUUUAAGACGACUUACAGAUUAUGAGAAAUAUAUUUAUCUUACAAACAUUUAAUAUGUUAAUUAGAUUGAGUCUAUGCAAUAAAAUUUUCAAAUUAAAAAAUAAACCCUUUAUUUUCUUUUAAUCAUAAGCGUGAUCUUAAUUAUUAAAGUCAUUCAAUGUCCAUUACUUAUUAUUUUUUUAAUUACCUAAAUGACAUUGAAAACUCUACUCAAUAGUAAUUCAUUCAAAUGUUUUGUUUUAAAGUAAUCGGAAACUGCAAAUGAAACAAAUGCUUGAAAUCACAAACGGCCUAAAAUUAGAUUUUUAUUUUUUCAAUGUUGCAGUGACUUUGAUCUUGAUAUUGAAAAUUUAUUUGUAAUUUAUAUAAAGGCCUCAAUUUCAUUAUAAUUGGUUAGUAAGGCUACGUAGUGAGCAUGGAUAAAUUUUGGGAUUGGAUUAUAUUUUUGGAACUAAAAAAUUAAUUUAAUCAAAUGUUAUAUUUGGCUGUCAGGACUAGCAACUUAGUCUAAAAUUAUUGAAAUUGUUAAUCUUUUAUAUUAUAAUCUUUUCGUUCCCACUUUAAACAUCAUUGGUAACUUAAAUAAUUUUUUUAAAAUUAAAUAUAAAAAUUAAUUUAAUUAAAUAUAAAAAUCAUUUAAAUUAAAUAUUAACAUUAAUUUCAUAAUUUUUUACCUAGAAUUUUAUAUUAUAUUAAAUACUAAAAUUCUAUUCGAUAAUGUAUAAACAUUUAUUUAAUAAAUGUUUAGGUUUUUAGUAUGUUAUAUUAUUAUUUAAAUUAUUUUUUAUUUACAUAUGAACAUAAAUUAAUAUUUACUAAUUUAAAUUUAUUAUAAUUUGUUAAAUAAUAAAAGCUAAAUGAUUAUAUUGAAAAUCUAAAUAGUAUUAUAAUGUAUUAUAGUAUAAAUCUUACCCCCAAUGAGUUUAUUUUAUACACCUUUUAUUAUAUUAACACAUUUAUAAUGCAGUGCAAUGCAUCAAAAAAUUAUAACCAAAUAUGAGUUAGAAUGAAAAUAAUAUUUUAGUACAAUAUAAUACAAUGUAAUGUAAGUUGACAAAUAAAUAUUUAAUGGAAGCAAAAAUUGCAUAUGGUUUGUGGGUCUCUCAAAAGACAACAAAGAAACCAAUACGAUACAUUGAUUAUGUCCUCUUUAAUGGUGUCUUUACUAAAUGAGAAUUAGAAUGAGUUAGAAUUGGAAUGGACUUGAUUUGAAAUAAGGAAUUAUAAUCAAAAUAAGUUGUUUAUUUAAGUUGUAUGAAUCGGAAUCGGAAUAAAUUUUACUCAAAUUGAUGUGUUUAGUUUCUCUUAAAAUUAUAAUAGACUAUUACAUGUUACUAAAAAAUCAUUUGGUAAUUGUUGUCUCUAGUAUUAUUUGUAUAUGUUAUAUUGUUAAUAAUAAUAAGAAUAAAAAUAAUACUAAAAAUGAAAAUAAUAAUAAUAAUAAUAGAGACAAUAAUAAUAAAUUUAAUAAAUCAUUAUUAUUAUUAUUACUAGUAGUGAAGACCGCCCAAUGAAGAUUGGAUAGUGAAGCUGAAGACGAUGAAGAUCCCGGCAACCAAUUUCUGCUUCAAAGAUGAUGUGCCCAAAUGGAGACAACCAGUUAUGAUCAGCCAACUAGAUCCCAAUCUCGAUGUUGUGAUCUCACAUGACCACUGAUAAAGCAAUGUGUGAUGCUGGUGUUAUGAUUUCUUUUUUAUUUAUAUUUUUUAAUUUAUUGGGGUGUAUUUUCAAAAUUUAGUAAUUUUAAUAUGAGCAAAUUGUAUAGUUCAGUGAACAAGAGACUGAUUUCCAACCAUCCUAAAAAUUAAUCUCCCAUUCUCUCUCUCUAAUUUGAUGUGGAUUCCAGUAUUUCGAUUCCAAUUCUUACAUUUAUUUGUCAAGUAAAUGAUGUUAAUGAUUUCAAUUUUUAGUUCGAGAAGUAAACACAUCACAAUAUUUUUUUAGAUGCUUCCAUGGCAUAAUCUCAUUGAUCCAUUUUUCUUCACGCCUUAGAUUCAACUUCAAGAUUCAAGAUUCAAUUUGAAGCAAACACAACUACAAAACAAAUAUAAUUAGCGUUAAUAAGCCUGUGGCUAACUGGCUGUGGCCAUGCAAUUGUAACUCAUAGUGACCGAAUCAUAUCUUAUUAUCUUACGCCAGAAGUUAAACAAUGUUCUCAUUCCACGUGUCACUCUCUGACCAAUCCCCAAACUUUCUUUGUAUUUCCAAAGAAACCCUUACAAAGUCAAGAUAAUUACCUUCACUCUACUCGUAUAAAUACUAUCCUCGAUUCGACUGAUGACGACGUAUCCUUACAGUCUUUAUUUAAAGGGAAAAUUAUAAAAAUUUCUCCUCGUUACCUAAAAAUCUAGGUUUCUCAAGAAUCGCUAAACCUAGAUCCCAAUCCUUGAAAAUCUCAAUUUAACCUCCCUAGCGUUUCGAUUGUCGAGGAUUCGCUUCAAAAUUUAGUAUUUUUUAGUGGAUUUUGCUUGUCUCGUAUCCUUAAAUUGUUGUUCGGUUCUGAAAAUAAUUUGGAUUUUUAGGGAUUUUCAGAUUAUUGGGUUUUGUUGAGUACAAUUUCGUCUAGUUACGGUUUCAGUUUGAAGGGUUAAAUGCAAUUUCGAUUUUUUUUUAUAAAAUUAAAAUUAAAAUUCAUAAAACGAUUGGGCGUUUAAUAAUUAAUUGAUGGCUAGCGAUACUACAACGGCGGCCGUAGCUCCGGAAGAAGCAGAGGCGGUGGAGUAUGGUAGGGUUCCAGAUGACGGGAAACGCUCUCUUGUGAUGCUCAGAAGGGAAGCCACUGAUGAGGAGGAGGCGGGGGAUGAGAGAUAUUCAGAGCUUCCAAUCGCUCAAAGUGUGCAUAUUCCUGCGGGAGAAGCGGAGGCUGUGGAUGAGUAUGAGAGCGAUCCAGAUGAAGUGGCACACUCUCUCGUUCUGCGCAGAAGGGAAACAAGCGAUGAGGAGGAGGAGACAGAAUUUGAGCGUCGAAUUAAUUGAAGGGUCCAAAUUCAUUCUUACGAUGAAUCUGAUGGCCAAGGUGGUGCUUCAGCUGAGUAUGAUGAUGAUGAAGAAGGCGAAGAGGAACAUGACAGAAUUAGAAGAAGAUGAUGAAGAAGGGGAUGUUUAUGAGGAUGAAGAGGGGGCGGUUAAAGUCAAAGGAAUAGAGGGUAAUGAUGCAAGAGGAGUACGGAGGGGGCAGUGGAAGUGAGUAAAGGGAAUAAUGAUAAUGGCAAUGUUGCUAAAAAAAUGAUGCAGUGGAGGGAAUGGAGGAAGAGAAGAAGGAGAGUAGUGAGCCUUUUGCACAGCAGCUGGGCUUUUUAUAUGGGACAAUGUUGCAGGUCGACACAGGUAUUAUUUGGUUUGAGCGACAAUUAAUAAAUAACUGAUAGUGUACUUUCAUUAGGGCUUGUCAGUUAGUCUAGUCUCGUUUUUUGGUGCUGUAUAAUGAUUGUUUGCUGGAAUCUGUCUAGAAUGCUUUUGGCCUAGUAGGUUGAAAGGAGAGAAAGUUCUCAAAUAAACGUCCGUGCUUUGUGGAAUGUAAUUAAUAGGUACAAAGCAUACUAAAUUACUUGACAGAUAGAUGCCGAGCUAAUCAUGAGCUAUUAUAGCAUUAUCCGUGCUUUGUGUAUUUUUAUUAGGGCUUGUCUAUUUCAAAGUGUGCAGUGUAGAAUUUUUGGGUUAAGUUUGAGUGAUGAAGUGUUAGGUAGGUUUCUGUUUGGCGUAGUUAAGUGGUUAAUAUGAGCUAUCGAAGCAAAUACAGAGUAGGAUAUCUAGUUUUGGGUUUGGUCUUAGUUUGAAGAUGGUACUGAUUAUGCAGCUAGGUACGUAUUAGUGUUUGUGGAUUUCUAAAUGCUUUCUGUCAAAUGUGACUAGAUUAUUACUAGAAGUAUAUGGAUCUUACACUUAAUUGAUUACAUAUCCAUUUAUAAUGUUCAAAAUGAUAAUAUACUAUUACUUAAAAUUAUGCUUUCAAGACAUCAUUUUGAAAAUCCAUGGUUGUAAUGUGUCUCUAAAUUCAGUAAUACAAGUUCUGUCAAUUACUGUUGGAUGCAGUGACCUGAAUAGUUUAAUAUUCAUUUGCAGAAAAAAGUUGAGAAAGAAAACUAAAAAUUUCCGUGCGUUCUGCUGGAAAUUUAAUUAGCUUCAUUUGAGCAUUAAUUGCCGGCAUGAUCUCUUAGACUUCUCUUGCAUUGAAUGAAUGGAUGAGUGCUAAUCCAUGCAAAGACUUCCAUGCAUGCACAACGAAUGCUAAAUCUAAGGUAUGGUAAAAUGUCUAGCAAGCUUGGCCCAAAUUAUCAAGCUGGUUUGGUGGCUGCUAGAUUUGUUCACCCGGAUUUUGGACCAUUUUCCUUGACAAUGAGAAAAGCUCCAAGAUCUGUAAAUUGAAGACUCACUGAAAGAUCCAAGUUUCAGGUAACUCUUGUGUUGUGUGCUCGGAGUAUUCUCUAUUGUAUUUUUUUUGUUUGUUAUUUAUUUGACAUAUUACUAGCAGAGAUCUUGGGUGGGAACCAAAAAUUCCCAACAAUUGUCAAUUGUUUUAAACUCUAUUCUGAACAGAGCAUGAAGGGAUUCACUUAUCUAAUUAUUGCUUUUAUGCUUUAACUUCGCUUGAUUUCAUCUUUUCCGUCACCUUUAUUAAAGUUGUAUAUGUUGGAGUGUUAGGUUCAUCAUAAGGAUCAUAUUAUGGCUAAGGAAGGAGCACAGUUUAUCAGCUGCACUGAAGUGUAGCAGAGAAUUUGGAUUCAAGACUGAUGCAAGGCUGUUGCUGUGUAAUUGUAUGCCAUGCUUGCUAGUGCACUCUAAUAGAUUGCUGAGCUGGCACCGGAUGUUUUUAGCUAAUAUUAGUAAUUAGUCUAGAGUGUUCGAUUUAUUCUAUAAAUUGCUCAUUUGAGCUUAGAACCUUUAAAGUGUAUCACACGAUUCUGUUACUUCUAAUACAGAUUUUCUCUAUUCCUUUUUCUAUCACUUUCUCUUCCAUUUUCAUGAUCCCCAAACACCAUCAAUCCAUGAUUUCUAGAGUAUUAGCCGUCAAUCCAUGAUUUUCUUGUUAUUUUUUCUUUCACUUUCUCUUCCAUUUUCCCACUCCCCAAACACCACCAAUCCCUGAUUUUUUGAGUAUUAGCUGUCUAUUUCUACAAACAUAGAAGUGCUGUUUGUUUGUCCAAUUACUUUCGAGAAACAAAACUCUCUGUCCUGUGGUCUUUUCGUUUAUUGACUUGUGAGUAAAUAAGAUAUUGGGCCAAUGGACUCAACGUGACAAGUUCUUGAAUUGAAUGGCUCCUCUUUUCUCCAUAAAUCUUUGCUUAAUUUUUUUGCUCCCUCAACUUUUUGGGCCUUUUGCGUUAAAAUUCUUUUUUUGAUACAUUAUGCAAAAAUUAUGAUGAAAAUGAGUUACCUUAGAAGAUCAACAAAUUUUUAUUACAUGACAAGACAAUUAUACUUAGAUUACUCUUAUUUAGUUGAAUUAUAUGUAAUAAAAUUAGUUUAACAAAAUCUAAUCCGUAAAUAUUCCUUAUCACAUGAUUAACGUACUUAAAAAUCUUAACGGAUUGGUCGCUUGUUUUACAAUUCUUUUAUAUAUCUUUGAAACUUUCAGCUUCCUAACACAUCAUUUGUUAGAGUGCAAUUUAUGCACUAGUUUUGCAUUGUUUACUUCCCUUAAUAUCGAUGUUUUGCACUUAAUAAUAUUGAUUUACUUGUGUUUUACUUUUGUAUAAUGAUGGCAAUGGGGUGGGGUGGGGGUGGGGAGGCCUACCCCAUUCCCCACCCCGUUAGAAAUUUUUACCUCUAUUCCCCACCCCAUUCCCCAAUAAAUUUAGUGGGGUGGGGAUGGGGAAUCCCCAUGUGGGGAAUGCUUUCCCCAUUCCCACCCCAUUCCCCAUUUAUCUAUUUUAUAUUAUGUAUAAAUAUAUGAUUUCAGUAAGUUAAAAAUUAGAGACUUAAAAUAAAAUCAUCACCAUAUUAUAAAGUAUUUAAAUUCUUUUUAAAAAAAUAUCUAAAAGUUUGAACCAAUAUCUUAAAAUAAUAUUAAAAGUAAAAAAAUAUUUAAAGAGCGUAGCACUUUAAAAGAGAAAAGAAAAUAUAACAAUGUUUCAUAGUUGAAAAAUAUUAUAGGGUUUUUUUUCAUUCAUAUCCUGUUUAUAUUGCAUAAAAAUUAAAAAAAUAUUAAUUGACAUUAUAAUUCAUAAAAUAAAAAUUAUUAAAUAAGAAUUAAAAAUAUAUUUAUAUAUAAUGGGGAUUGGGGUGGGGGUGGGGGUGGGGUGGGGAGUGCAAAACCAAACCCCACCCCAUUAAGAAUUUGGGGAUUAUUUUUCCCCCACUCACCACCCCAUUCCCCAUAAAUUAUUCAAAAUUUUAUCCAUUUGGGGUGGGGCUCCAUGGGGCCCCAAACCCGUGGAGGAUUUUGCCAUCCCUACUUUUGUAGGUGCAAUUCUAUUGAUUGGUGAUAAAAUUGAGCUAUAAGAUUAUGUUUAAGGAUGAUUGUUCUCUUAGAGAAAUUAUGAGCGUCAGAAGAACUCUGUUGAUAAGGCGUGGGCGCGUACUGUCAACUGCGGACCUGCAGUUUUUAGUUUAACGUGUUUUGUAUUUUUGGUUAUUUUUGUAAUUACGAAUUUAAUAUUUCAGAUAUUAGGAUUUUAUUUUAAAUAGAAUUAUAAAAGAGAAGAGAGAGAGAGUAUUUAAGGGAGGAAUCUAUUGUGAAAAAGGGGGAUUUUUGGAUUGGAGAAAAAGAAAGAAACCCUAGAUCUAAUUUUUCUCUUCUCUCUAUGAGGAACUAAACCCAUUUUUCUGGUUGAAGGUUAAUGAAGCUUUGAUUCAUCACUACUGUGAGACCUUUCUUGUGCUUUAAUUGUUUUAUUGCUUUUUAGAUAUUUGUUUAUUCUCUGAAUUAUUUUCAUGAUUAUGUUUGUUAAUUAGGUAAUUGGCCACUAUUUAAUUAUCAACUUAAUCUAUUGUCAAUUAAAGGAUUCAUCGUAUGAAGAAUUUAAUGUUUGUGACAAAUAACAUAGCAGAGAGUUGUGUUGUGAGAAUAAAAAAUCUAAUUUAAAUGAAUCAUCAUAUGUGUUGAUUAGGAUUUGGGUCUCUCUGAUUUUUCAGGCUGUCAAUUGAUUAAAUCCUAUGAUCGUAUCUAGGGUUGUCUAUUGAUUAGGGAAAUAACCAACGGUCGUACCUUGGUUAUCGACUAGUUAAGGAGAGAUUGGCUAUUAGAGGGUCUCAGUAGCUAUAAUCGGUCUAUUCAUGAGUAAUAAUAAUCUAUAUUUGAAUCAAUGAUCAGUAGUCGAAUCAAGCUGAGUUAAUUCCUUCAACCAGAGCUUUCUCCAAUUUGAAUUACAACUUUAAUUUGCAUUCUUGUUAUUUUUAAUUUGAUUUUUAUUAUUGUCAACAAUUCCCCCAUUUUACGUUUUACGUUUCAAAAGGAUUUAAAUAAUUACCGAUCUCUGUGGACACGACCCUGCUCAAUCACUAUACACAAUUUAUUUAGAGUAGGAAUUUAUUUUUGUUGGCUUCGACACCCAUCAAAUUUUGGCGCCGUUGCCGGGGAUUGGUGUCAUUUAUUUAAUCAUUUUUACGUUUUACUUGGUGUAUGGUUCGUUCUUCUCGUACAGGUACACUUUCAUUUGAUCCUGAAAUUGAGAAGACAGCUCGCCAGCUGAGACAAUAGACUAAGCGAGCUAAGCAAGGAUCCUCGUCGCCUUUGCUUUUUGAAACAGAUACGGUGCCUAAUUUAGUUGAAUCAUCUAGCGAUUCGGAAGAACAAGUGAUGGAUAGACCUGCACCUGUAGAAAGAACUCUUAGAGAGUUAGUUGAACCAGACUUGAAUCAGCAACCACUCUGCAUUCAAUAUGUAGAUUUGGAGGUAAAUUUUGAAUUAAAGUCUGGUCUUAUUCAUUUAUUACCCAAGUUUCAUGGUUUUGCAGGUGAAGAUCCUCAUAAACAUCUUAAGGAGUUUCAUGUUGUGUGUUCAAGUAUGAGACCACAAGGCAUGACUGAAGAGCAGAUUAAGCUGCGUGCUUUUCCGUUCUCUGUAGAUGGGCUAGCUAAAGACUGGUUGUAUUACUUGCCUCCUGGAUCGAUUACAACAUGGAAUGAUUUGAAGAAGCAGUUCCUCGAGAAGUACUUUCCUGCUUCAAGAGCUGCUAACAUCAGAAAAGACAUUUGUGGGAUCAGACAACUUCCUGGGGAGACUUUGUAUGAGUAUUGGGAGCGAUUCAAAUAAUUGUGUGCCAACUGUCCUCAACAUCAGAUUUCUGAUCAACUUCUUAUUCAAUAUUUUUACGAAGGACUGUCAUUGAUGGAUAGGAGUAUGAUAGAUGCUGCUAGUGGAGGCGUGUUGGUGAACAAGACCCCUACUCAAGCAAGGGAGUUGAUAUCAAAUAUGGCUGCCAAUACACAACAAUUUGGCAACAAGCAAGAUUUCACUUCAAGAACGGUGAAUGAGGUAAAUAUUUCUUCUGUUGAACAACGUUUAGAUAAACUUACUUCUCUUGUGGAAAAGUUUGUUGUAGGUAAUGUGCAACAGGUGAAGACUUGUGGCAUUUGUUACAAUAUGGGUCAUUCAACCGAUAUGUGUCCUACACUUCAAGAAGAACCCGUUGAACAAGCCAAUGCAGUUGGAGGAUUUCCAGGUAUGCCUCAGAGGAGGUAUGAUCCUUAUGCACAAACAUACAAUCCGGGAUGGAAGGAUCAUCCUAACUUCAGCUAUGGAGUUAGGCCGUCAAGAUUCCCACAACAGUAUCCACCAAGACAACCAACACCUCCACAGUCAAACUCCAAGUCAGGUGUAUCUCUUGAAGAAAUUGUUAAAUCACUUGCGACUAACACUCAACAAUUUCAGCAGGCAACUACAGCAAGCAUUCAGAACUUGGAGAACCAAAUGAGUCAAUUGGCGACUACAGUGAGCCGUCUGGAGUCUCAAGUAUUAGAAAGAUUGCCUUCACAAUCUGAGGUGAAUCCAAAGCAAAACGUUAGUGCUGUCAUCCUUAGAAGUGGGAAGGAGUUGCAAGAGCCUAGUAAGAAAGUGACAAAGCAUGUAGAAGAUGAGCUUGAGAAGAAUGAAUUGAUGCCUAAAUCUCAAGAUGCGCAACCCACCAAAGCGAAACCCGUACCUAUUGUGAUACCUCCUCCUUUUCCAAGCCGGUUUACAAAAUCCAAGAAGGAGGAACAAGAGAAAGACAUCCUUGAGACAUUUCGCAAGGUUGAGGUAAAUAUUCCUUUAUUAGAUGCUAUAAAACAAAUACCUCGAUAUGCUAAAGUCCUUAAGGAACUGUGCACCUCCAAAAGAAAAUUAAGAGGAGAUGAAAAAGUUCAUAUGGGGGAGAAUGUUUCAGCAGUUCUCCAAAAGAAACUACCUCCUAAGUGCAAGGAUCCAGGUAUGUUUACUAUCCCUUGUAAAAUUGGUAGUGUUAGAGUUGAAAAGGCUAUGUUAGAUCCAGGAGCUUCUAUUAAUGUCAUGCCUCGUUCCAUUUAUUCAUCUUUGAAUUUUGGUCCAUUAAAAGAAACUGGCGUGAUAAUUCAACUAGCUGAUAGGUCUAAUGCAUAUCCUGAUGGGGUAUUAGAAGAUGUCUUAGUACAAGUUAAUGAGUUGGUUUUUCCUGCUGAUUUUUAUGUACUUGAUAUGGAAGAUGAUAACUCCUCUAAUUCUGUCCCAAUUUUGCUAGGAAGACCUUUUCUUAAGACUGUUAGGACUAAAAUGGAUGUACAUAAAGAGACUCUCACUAUGGAGUUUGAUGGAGAGGUUAUAGAAUUCAAUAUGAAUGAUACCAUGAAAUAUCCUAGUGAGGAACAUUCGGUAUUUUCUAUGGAUGUUAUUAACCCUAUAGCGCAGGAAAUUUUCUACAAGGAAAAGACGAAGACAUUUCAUGAUAGAAUGAUUUUGAGAAAGGAGUUCUCUGUUGGUCAAAAAGUUCUUCUUUUUCAUUCUAAGCUUAAACUUUUUCCGGGUAAAUUACGUUCUUGCUGGGUUGGACCUUUUAUUGUUACUAAUGUUUUUCCUCAUGGUGCAGUUGAGAUUCGGAGUCCGACCUCUGACAAAGUUUUUAAGGUUAAUGGUCAUCGCUUAAAACCUUUUUAUGAAGGUUUUUCGGUGAAUAUUGUGGAGGAUGUGGCUCUCGAGAGUCCCAAUUAUGGAGAUUGAUGCAUAAAUGUGUCUAGCCAAAGACAUAAAACAAAGGCGCUUUUUGGGAGGCAACCCAAUUGAUUUAUUUAUUUUGGUUUUUGUCAUAUCUUCUUUUAAUUUUGAUUCAGAUUUUUUUUUUUAAAUAAUGUGUUUGCUUAUUUUGGUCAGAAGAAAAUUUUUGAUAAGGCGUGCCCACAUCUUAACUAAUAAGUACUUCUAUGAUUUUUAAAAUAAAAUGGUUUUAAGGCAUGCCCACGUGCUUAUUAGAAAAGUACUUCUGAAAUUUUUAGUGCCUCAAGUGAUUCAUCACUAAAAAAAAGAAAAAAUUAAAUUAAAAAAAUUAUUUUAUUUUAUUUUUUUUUCUAUUUAUUUAUUUUAAAAAAACAAAAAAAGAGAUUUUCUUUUGUUCUUUCUUUUAUAUAUUUAUUUAUUAAAAAAAAUUUCAAAAAUCACUGUUCAAAAAAAAAAAAAAUUUUUUUUCACUGUUCACAAAAUCCCUAAUUUUCCAGAACUUGUUUUCUUCUCCAACCGCUUGCAGCACACCAGCAGCACCUGCGCGCGCAGCACCAGCAUCCCGUGUCUCGCAGCCCAGCAGCGCGCAACGCAGCGCAGCACCCGCAAAGCAAGCCUCAACAGCGUGCAGCGCGAACCAGCCCCAGCCCGAGCACGCAACGCAACAAGCGUCACCAGCGCGCGCACCAGCAAUCCCCCAGCGCGCAGCAACAGCCGCAGCACGCUGAUCCAGCGUCACCAGUUCGCAGCAUCAGUCCCAUCCACGCGCAACUGAACCAGCAGCUGUGUACUCGCAAGCUCCAGUCGAGCAGCAAUAGUCCGCAACCAGCCUACGACCUGCAUUCCAGCCACAUGAAUCGAAAUCCGUGACAAGAUGAAGCAGAAUUUGGCCGCAUACUUCAAGAGUGUGGGAUUUAUCCCACCAUUCCCGCCAAGCCCAUAGACGUUAUGUGGAUCAAAGCUCACAAUUCAGGGAAGUUUUUGCCUUUAAUCUUUUAUCCUUACGCUUUAAUUUUUAUGUGAGCUUUGAUUAUCUUACAUUGGGGACAAUGUAAGUUAUUGGUGUGGGGGAGGGAUUUUUGCAUUAUUGAUGUCUGGAAUUAUUAUUUUCACUCUACUUAUUUUUUUUUCACUCUACUCAUCCUUAAAUGAUUUUGGAGUUAGUAUGCUUCAUAUAUUAUUAAUUUUCUUUUCAUUUCUCUCUCACUACUCUUUUCCCAUCUAUCUCAAAUUAUUUACAUCUAUUUUUUUUUUCUUUCUAUCAUACUCUUUCAUCACUCACAUUUUUUUUUACCUUUCCUUUUAUAUCUCACUCAUACCUUCUUCUCAUUGUACACCACUAUUUAUGGUUAAUUCAUUUAAAGAGUGUACAUGAUUUGAUGGCAAAUUUACCAACUUUGUGAGGAUUUGAGCCUAUGAGCAACCACUUUGCUCUAAUUAUUUUUUGUUAUGUGAAUAUCAAUCCUAGUUUGUUUAUUCUAGAACUUGCUUUGAUAUGCAUGUUGAAGCCACAUUACGGGAUUUUAUGCAUUAAAAUGAUAAGGGCAAACCAUUUACCAUUUUUCUAUUCUCGCAUUUUCCUUUUUCUCUACUCGAAGACCUUUAUUUGCUACCUUUGUUUGAGCCUUAACAAUUACCCAUCCAUUUUUCUUCUUUUUUGAGCCUCAAUUUAAGGAUAUUUUUGGACUCAUUGUGUGGAUAUAUUUUGUUGCUUUUUCUACCUUGUAGUAAAGCUUCUCAAUUAGAUCAACAAGCAUUAUGCUUGAAUUAAAUUGUGCAAGGUUCGUUUCUUUUGUUUGAUUCAAAAACAAAAACAAAAACAAAAACAAAAACAAAAAAGAAAAAAAAAAGAAAAAUCACAAAAAAAAAGAGAAAAAAAAAGGAAAAAAAAUGUUUACAUUCUUGGUGACUUGAGUAGAAAUAAGCAUUUUGAUAUCAUAAGUUCAUUCAAUGAGUUCAUUCUUCUCGUUUUGAUCUCUUUUUCUUUCAUAAACCUUUCUUUUUCAUUUAACCCAUUUAACCCCAUUACAACCCUUUUAAGACCCUUAGAUUUUUGCAUUUUAUUCAUGUUUUGUGGAUUGAGAUGUGAUAUAUGAGCAAGCUUAUGGUAAUAGCAUUCUUUGAUUUGAUUUGAGUGGAUAAAUGACAUCCUAAACACUUUCAGUGCAUGGAGUGAAGUUAUUGAGAGGGCUAUUACAUCUUGUUGCACUUGAAUUUUGAAUGGAUCUUCUUGGUGGUUGAAUGUUCUUAUUCUAUCUUAUGAAAUUCUAUGCUUUAAAAUCCUUGUCUCUCGAACGUUGAACGACUUAAUUUCUUGAGGUAUGCUUGCUUAAAAUUGUUUUUGGAUGAGUUGAGAUGAGAAUUGAGUGGAGAUUUGGGAUUAAUCUUGAGUUAUAUGCUUGAGGACAAGCAUCAUCUUAACGUGACAAGUUCUUGAAUUGAAUGGCUCCUCUUUUCUCCAUAAAUCUUUGCUUAAUUUUUUUGCUCCCUCAACUUUUUGGGCCUUUUGCGUUAAAAUUCUUUUUUUGAUACAUUAUGCAAAAAUUAUGAUGAAAAUGAGUUACCUUAGAAGAUCAACAAAUUUUUAUUACAUGACAAGACAAUUAUACUUAGAUUACUCUUAUUUAGUUGAAUUAUAUGUAAUAAAAUUAGUUUAACAAAAUCUAAUCCGUAAAUAUUCCUUAUCACAUGAUUAACGUACUUAAAAAUCUUAACGGAUUGGUCGCUUGUUUUACAAUUCUUUUAUAUAUCUUUGAAACUUUCAGCUUCCUAACACAUCAUUUGUUAGAGUGCAAUUUAUGCACUAGUUUUGCAUUGUUUACUUCCCUUAAUAUCGAUGUUUUGCACUUAAUAAUAUUGAUUUACUUGUGUUUUACUUUUGUAUAAUGAUGGCAAUGGGGUGGGGUGGGGGUGGGGAGGCCUACCCCAUUCCCCACCCCGUUAGAAAUUUUUACCUCUAUUCCCCACCCCAUUCCCCAAUAAAUUUAGUGGGGUGGGGAUGGGGAAUCCCCAUGUGGGGAAUGCUUUCCCCAUUCCCACCCCAUUCCCCAUUUAUCUAUUUUAUAUUAUGUAUAAAUAUAUGAUUUCAGUAAGUUAAAAAUUAGAGACUUAAAAUAAAAUCAUCACCAUAUUAUAAAGUAUUUAAAUUCUUUUUAAAAAAAUAUCUAAAAGUUUGAACCAAUAUCUUAAAAUAAUAUUAAAAGUAAAAAAAUAUUUAAAGAGCGUAGCACUUUAAAAGAGAAAAGAAAAUAUAACAAUGUUUCAUAGUUGAAAAAUAUUAUAGGGUUUUUUUUCAUUCAUAUCCUGUUUAUAUUGCAUAAAAAUUAAAAAAAUAUUAAUUGACAUUAUAAUUCAUAAAAUAAAAAUUAUUAAAUAAGAAUUAAAAAUAUAUUUAUAUAUAAUGGGGAUUGGGGUGGGGGUGGGGGUGGGGUGGGGAGUGCAAAACCAAACCCCACCCCAUUAAGAAUUUGGGGAUUAUUUUUCCCCCACUCACCACCCCAUUCCCCAUAAAUUAUUCAAAAUUUUAUCCAUUUGGGGUGGGGCUCCAUGGGGCCCCAAACCCGUGGAGGAUUUUGCCAUCCCUACUUUUGUAGGUGCAAUUCUAUUGAUUGGUGAUAAAAUUGAGCUAUAAGAUUAUGUUUAAGGAUGAUUGUUCUCUUAGAGAAAUUAUGAGCGUCAGAAGAACUCUGUUGAUAAGGCGUGGGCGCGUACUGUCAACUGCGGACCUGCAGUUUUUAGUUUAACGUGUUUUGUAUUUUUGGUUAUUUUUGUAAUUACGAAUUUAAUAUUUCAGAUAUUAGGAUUUUAUUUUAAAUAGAAUUAUAAAAGAGAAGAGAGAGAGAGUAUUUAAGGGAGGAAUCUAUUGUGAAAAAGGGGGAUUUUUGGAUUGGAGAAAAAGAAAGAAACCCUAGAUCUAAUUUUUCUCUUCUCUCUAUGAGGAACUAAACCCAUUUUUCUGGUUGAAGGUUAAUGAAGCUUUGAUUCAUCACUACUGUGAGACCUUUCUUGUGCUUUAAUUGUUUUAUUGCUUUUUAGAUAUUUGUUUAUUCUCUGAAUUAUUUUCAUGAUUAUGUUUGUUAAUUAGGUAAUUGGCCACUAUUUAAUUAUCAACUUAAUCUAUUGUCAAUUAAAGGAUUCAUCGUAUGAAGAAUUUAAUGUUUGUGACAAAUAACAUAGCAGAGAGUUGUGUUGUGAGAAUAAAAAAUCUAAUUUAAAUGAAUCAUAGCAGAGAGUUGUGUUCAAGUAGUUCUUCUGCGAAAGCCAAAUUUUCCUGUUAUUUAUGUCUCGGUGAAUUUGCAUCCCUAAAAUCUUGUUUGCUGGUCCCAAGUCCUUCAUUUCAAACUCCCUAGCCAACUGUGCCUUUAAUUCUUGGAUUCGAUCUUUAUUGGGACCUGCUACCAACAUGUCAUCUGUUGAGUGUUAGAAAAUGCAUAUUUAUAAAGGAGAAAACCGUCAUUUUACAUUUCAAGUCUUAUUAACAACCCUUACUUUUAUGUAUUUAACCUUCUUGUGAUUUAAUUACAUGUGUUUUAUUUUAAUUAAGUAUUUUAUGUAUUUUAGGGGCAUUAUAGUCAUUUCACAAUAAAGGAGAGAUCAGACGGAAAAACGGACAUCACUUUUGAACUCAGGACGGUCGAAAAUCUUAGGAGGAGCAUAAAAGGAAAAAUGGCCCUAUUCAUAUGUACGGUACUAUUCACGUGUACGGUACUAACUACGUUACUGUUCACAACACUGUUCACAUAGACGAAUCGAUGACGUGGCAUUGACCGAUGAUGUGGCAUUGACUGAUGAGAUGUCACGAUCUUGUUGGGCUAAAAUUCUUAUGUACUGUUGAUGGUGACGUGGCAGCAUAUCAGUGGAUGAAAAAUCUCGCGUACGGUACAUGCAUCACACAGGAUUAUUUUCAACCAAACCGCGUUACUGUUCAUCCGAGUCAAACCGCGUUACUGUUCAUCCGAGUCAAACCGUGUUACUGUUCAUCCACGUGGUCAAACCGUGGACUGUUGACUGAUGACGUGGCGCAAUCCUGAGCGUCCAAACUGUUUUUAAUCCGAUGGCCAUGAUUUACUCCAUGUAUCUAUAAAAAGGGGGCCUCCCCCCCCUAAUUUGAUAGCUCUGAAUCUAUUUUUUGGAUCCAUUUUCUGUAAUUCCCUCUCCAUCUUGUAUUUUCUUUGUAUUUUAAUAAAUUUUCAUUUUGCCCCUAGUUCAAUUAUGAGGAGCUAAUUUCCUUUCAAGCUUGGGUUGAAGGUGAAGUCUCAACAUGUGUCAUGGGCUUUAUUUGGUAAAUUUAUUUCCUUUUCCCCUCUAGUUUUUGUGGAUGAUUUGACUUAUCGUCGACAAAUAAUACUGAUCUUGUCUAGAUACCGCCUUGGUUACACCGGCUCUCUAGUAUAAGGUUAUUAUUAUUUGGCACGAUAAGCCCUUAGCACCAUAUUGAUUAGAGCGUGGUUCAUGAGGUGUGGAUUCCCCCCUCAUGAUUUAAUUGGCAUUAAUAAGGAAUAUUUAGCCCAUGAUGCAUGUUGAUACGGAUCCAGAUACCCAAGUACGUCAUUUCAAUAGAAUUCUCUUCAAUUUAUUCUCGCUAUUUCAAUUCCAAUUUUAGAAUUUAUUCUCGCCAUUUUAAUUUAAGUUUUAGUAUAUUCCAAAUCAUUUCCACCACAAAUCCAAUCACCCAUUUACAGAAUUAAUUCUACACAUAAUUAAAAUCCACCUCCUCGUGGGAUCGACACUCGUCACCAUUGAUCUACACUACAAUAGAUUCGUGCGCUUGCGAGUACAUUAAAAUUUGCACAACAUCAUCCACAUACAACAGUAAAAUAAUGAAAUCAUUAUCUUCAAACCUCUUGUAAUAUGCACAAUGGUCUGAACUGAGUCUGUUGUAUCCAAGGCUCAUGAUGAAGGAAUCAAAUCUCUUAUACCAACACCUCGGCGCCUGUUUAAGACCAUAUAGAGAUUUGUUCAACCUGCAAACCAAGUUCUCCUUUCCUGUUUCUGCAAAACCUUCUGGUUGGAGCAUAUAUAUUUCUUCUUCAAGUUCUCCAUGAAGAAAUGCAGUUUUCACAUCUAACUGCUCUAGAUGUAAGUCAAAUGUAGCACACAUCGCCAAGACUACUCUGACUGUUGUGAGUCGAACCACCGGAGAAAAUAUCUCGUUGAAGUCAAUACCUUCUUUCUGAGUAUAUCCUUUCACCACCAAUCUCGCACGAUACCGCUUCACUUGGUCAUUGCCAUCACGCUUGAUCUUGUAGACCCAUUUGUUUCCAAUGGCUUUUCUUCCACGUGGUAGUGGUACAAGUUCCCAUGUCUUAUUCUUAUGUAGAGCUUCAAUUUCUUCCUGCAUUGUUGUUAUCCACAAAGCAAUAUUUGAGCUUUCUAAAGCUUUAUGGAAAGUUGAUGGCUCUCCAUCCUCCGUUAGAAGACAAUAUGCAACAUUAAUUUCUGUGACAUACUCCGAGUGCCACACCGGCGGUCGUCUCUCACGAGUUGACCGUCGAACUUCUGGAGCCUCAGACCCGACUGGUUCUUGUUCCUCGUGCUCUGGUGCUGCUUGAGAAGAAUCUGAAUCUUCUAGAUUAUUUUCCACAUAUACUGGCACGGUCUCUGACUUUUCUUUUGUAGUGCCAUCAUCCUCAUCUCUCAUUUGCAGUUGAUCUUCUACAAAGAUAACAUCUCUGCUGAUGACGAUCUUGUGGGCAGUGGGGUCCCACAGACGAUACCCCUUUACUCGAUCAGCAUACCCCAAGAAAAUACAUAUUCUAGAUUUUGGAUCCAGCUUUGUUCUUUCUUGGGCAUUGUACAUCACGUACACAGGACAUCCAAAUGCAUGUAGGUAGGAAUAAUCAGCUGGCUUUCCAGUCCAUAUCUCCAUCGCUGUCUUCAGCCCAAUAGCUGUAGAUGGCGAUCGAUUUACUAUAUAACAGGCAGUUUUGGCUGCUUCUGCCCAGAAUGAAUUGGGUAGACUAGCAGUCUUCAACAUAGCUCUUAUUCUUUCUAUAAGAGUUUUGUUCAUCCGCUCUGCUACUCCAUUUUGUUGAGGAGUGUAUGCUACCGUGAACUGCCUUUGAAUACCUUCUUGCUUACAGAAAGCAAGAAACUCACAGUCUGUAUACUCUCCACCAUUAUCCGUCCUCAAGCACUUGAUCUUUUUACCAGAUUCAAGUUCCACCUGCGCUUUGUAUUCUUUAAAUACUGGAAAUACAUCUGACUUUUUCUUAAUUGGAUACACCCAACAUCUUCUGGAAUAAUCAUCAAUGAAAGUCACCAUGUACUUUGCACCUCCCAUAGAUAUAUCCAGUGAUUCCCAAACAUCAGAAUGAAUCAAGUCUAAAAUGCAUUUACUUCUAGCAAUAGAUCUACUGAAUUUUAAUCUAUGCUGCUUACUUGUAACACAAUGCUCGCAAAAUGGUAAACUUACCGAUUUGAGCCCCGGAAGCAAUUUUCGCUCAGAGAGAAUCUUCAAACCUUGUUCUGACAUGUGGCCAAGUUUGAGAUGCCACAUCAUCGUUGAUUCUUCUCCAUUUGAUGCGACACAUGCAUCAGCCUCCUGUAGUGUUUCUCCUUUAAGCAUGAAUAAAUUAGCACCGAUCUUUUCUGCCUUCAUCAAUACAAGCGCACCUUUAACGAUCUUUAUAAUUCCAUUCUCCACAUGAGUUUUGUACCCAUGACUAUCCAUUUGUCCCAAAGACAAUAGAUUUUUCUUCAGGCCGUUGACAUGUCGUACUUCUCCAAUUGUGCGAAUUGUACCAUCAAACAUUUUUAUUUUGAUAGUACCAAUACCAGCGAUCUCUAAGGCAUGAUCAUUACCCAUAUAUACAGAUCCUCCUGAGAUAGGUUCAUAUGUGUGGAACCAUUCUCUCCGAGAGGUCAUGUGCCAGGUAGCUCCUGAGUCUAUAAGCCAGACAUCAGACAGUCAUUUUCUGCCUUCUGAAACAGUUGUUGCCUCGCUAUAGAGAAUUUCGCCAUCAUCUAAGGUACUUGCCACACACCCUUGAGCAUUUGAUGACUCAGGUUCUUUACCCUCUCUUCUCUUCUGGUUACUCCAACACUCUUUCUUGACGUGCCCUUUCUUGCCACAUUUGUAGUAUUUAACAUUCUUCUUACUUCUGGAUUUUGAUCUACCCUGAUUUUGACUCCCACUGGGGCCACGUUCCGUUAAUCUCCCUCUCGUCACCGAUAGCGCUUCUGCUUGCUGCGAACUUGCUUGUCUGUUUUCCUUAUUUUUUCGCCUGCUCUCCUCAUUUAAUACGGAGGCUGCAACAUCGUCGAAAACUAGACUCUCCACUGGAUUGUUGUUCGUCAGGUUGAUGAUGAGUUGAUCAUACGAAUCUGGUAGACUUUGAAGUAGAAGCUUUGCACGUUCAUUUUCCUCUAUAUUAUGACCCAACGUUGUGAGUUGUGAAAAUAGAGUCUUCAAUGUGUUGAUGUGGUCGGUCACCAUUGUAGAUUCCGCCAUUCGAAGAGUAUAGAGUUUUCUCUUCAAGAAGAUUUUGUUGUGUAGUGACUUGGCCUCAUACAAUUUUGUGAGAGUAUCCCAUAUUUCCUUUGCCGUAUUUUUCUCUGCCAUACUGGAUAAUACUCCAUCCGCAAGUGCCAAGUGUAGAUCAGAAAUGGCGUUGCCGUCUACCUCGUUCCACUUGUCAUCAGUUAUUUCCAUAGGCCUUUCUCCAAUUGCUGCCAAGCAAUUAUUUUUCCUCAAUACAGCUUUCAUCUUCAUUUUCCACAACGAAAAAUUAUUUCCGUUAAAUUUCUCAAUUUCAUACUUUGCCGCCAUUUUGUUGAUAAAUAUCGCACACAAGCUAGUGUACCACCUUGAAUAGUUGUGAGUAUGUGUGAGAAUGCACACCAGGAAAGUUCCCAGGAAAGACUGGAGGGGUCACAAUGGUCCUACUUAAAACCCAGACUCCUUAAGCUCUUAUCGCUUUUGUGACAGAACUUUCCUAGACAUGUACAAAACCACAAUUGUUUUACUCACACCACUAUUCCCUGCUUUGCAUCGCAAAAUUCUUGGAUCGCUCCCACCGCUUCUUGUGAAUAGUACCGUAUACGUGAACAGUACCGUAUACGUGAAUAGUACCCCUUACGUGAACAGUACCCGACUCCAAAAAAUACAACUAAUAGCUCUGAUACCACUGCUAGGAAAUUGGUGGGUGAAGCAGACACGUAGCUAAAAUAAAAUUGGAAGAAAAUAAAGAACAAGCACUCUAGAGGACACCAGAAAAUUACGUGGUUCGGCUUUUAGCCUACAUCCACGGGCGAAGACAGAAGAAAAUAUUUUACUAGUGAAAAGGAGUUACAAGUAUUGUAGUAUUUUAGCUCACUUCCCAAAACCCCAAUACACCUAAACUCUCUCAAUCACUGUAACAAGAGCUUAUAAAUGCAAGCUCUCUAAAUUCUCUCUAAAUACAAGAGAAAUCUUCUCAAAAUUGGAUGAUCAAAUGAGGGAAUGAGUCCCUCUAUUUAUAGCCAAAAUCUUGGCUACUAUUCACGUAUUUUUUUUAAUUAUUUAUUAUUGUUCAAAAUUCAAAAUUCAAAGUUUGAUAUUCAAACUUUGAAUAUCUAGAAUUUUGAAUUUGAUAUUCAAAGUUUGAAUAUCUAGAAGUUUGAUUUUGAUAUUCAAACUUUGAAUAUCAAGACACCCAAUCUUGACAUCGGAGGCUUCGUUUUAGAAGAGUGCAGAGCAGCUGCCUUGUCCAUUUGGCACGCCAACGACUUUCUAUUGACCAAUAAUUUUGAAAGCGAUAUUAGUAAUUUACCAUCUAAUAUUUUUUUUAUAUUAUCAUUUUACCAUAAAGUUUUUUAACAAUUAUUUUUUUCCUUAAUGUUUUAGUUUUUAUUAUAUUACUACCAAAAAUUGGCAAACGCACUCCUAGUGUAGGUUAUCCACAAAAUGGCUACCGAAUUGUCUUGUUUCUCAUUUUGUUUAAUUUUCAUAAAUUCGACUCACGAUUCAAAUGUGAGUGAAGAGUUUUUUUUUUGGGAAAAAAUCUGGUCUUCCAUUUACUAGAAUUAGGUAUGUGUGAUUUUAUUAUUUUUCUUUUGCUUUAUAUGUAUCUGGAAAAUUAUGAAUACUUUGCAGGAUUUAGAAGGAUUUGAAUGUUUGAACGCAUAUAGCUUUCUGUCCAUCAGCUAAUGCAUAUUCUGCAUUUUAUGAAUAUCAGAGCUGGUAGAUUGAAAAAUGGACCUUAUUACAUGUCAUAAGAUACUUUGCUCAAAGCUGCAAUUGGGCAACGUCGUGCUGUUCUUAUCCGCCAAUGCAAGCCAUUUACUAUUCUUUCUAAUGGAGCAAAAUAAGAUGAUUCUUACCUGCAUAGAGAAUUAGAAAAGAAAAGGAGGAUUACUGAUCCACAGAGCUGUCAUUUACUAGAAGCACAUAAAAUCUUACACUUAAUUCAUUAACCAUAUGUAUAUUCUAAUGAUACUUAAGUAUUACCUAAACUAGCCUUUCAAAAUUUCACUUCGAAAAAAUCCAAGGUUGUAAUGUGUCUAUUUGGUUGCUAAUACAAGUUCUCUCUAUUCCCAAUUUUUUAUGCUCUCACUUCGCUUGAUUCACCUUCUCCAUCUUUUAAAACAGUUGUAUAUGUCGGGGUAUCAAGUUCAUCACAAGGAUCAUAUUAUGGCCUAAGGAAGGAGCACAGUUUAUUGUCUGCACUCAAGCUUAGCAGAGUGUUUUGGGAUUCAAGAGUGUUAGUAGGCCGUUACAGAUGCCAUGCUGGCAAGCGUGCUAUGACUGAUUGCUAUUUGCACGCAAAAUUUGCCCAAAACAAAUAGAAUGAGAAUACUUGUACAAAAGGACAAGAUUAAUAAAGUGAAUAAAUUUUAUCUUUUAGUGAAUGCUUCUUGUCUUUUAGAAUUUUAGUGCAUUUUCGUGUGUAAUUUUAUGUGCAAAUAGCAUUACUCAUUAGUAAUUAGUCUCGAGUGUUCUAAUUUCUUCUAAUAAGUGGCUGAUUUGAGCUUAAGACUUGUAUUUUAAGUUUUUAUUACUUUCUAAUAAAGAUUUUCUCUGUUCUUUUUUACUUUCACUUUCUCUUCCAUUUUCCCGACUCCCAAACACCACCAAUCCUUGAUUUUCUAGAGUAUAGCUAUGCAGUUCUACAAACACGAAACUGCUGUUUGUCCAUUUACUUUCAAGAAACAACGUACUCUGUGGUUUAUUGACUUGUGACUUGUGACUUGUGACCGGGGCAAAUUAGUCACGGUCCGAUUGUCUCCUCUUCCACUGACUCUGUCAAUUCAUGACUUUGGCACACAGUAGACGCCAGCUGCCUGCUUCAUUUGACGUGCAAAAAACUUUCUUGAAUCGGGUUAAAAUCGAUUGAUUAUUUUGUUUGGUGAUGAUGAGUUAGUUGUCAAUUCAUGAGUUUGAUGCAGUGAAACGCUUAACGCUCUCUUGUGAUGCGCAGGAGAAAAGCCAGUGAUGAUGAAGAGGACGAAAAACAUUAUUUUGUUAUUUACAAUAAGGCUAUCAAUUAUAUAUUCCAAAAUAAUUGGGUUUGGAUGGUCAUUUUGUUUUCUAAAAUAUCCAAAUGGAAACAGAAUUUAUAAAGUGGGAAAAUCAAGAAAUUAAAUACUCUUCGUAUAGUGGAAGGAGAUUUGGUUGCCGUUAUGCUAAAUAAAAGAAAAAUAAAGUAAAAUUACAAUACUUUAAUAAUCUCAUUCCCAAUCAUACCGGAAAUAAAAAUUUUCUGUAUAGUUAUGAAAUAAUUAUUGAUUUUACUUUAGUGAUUUUUUUUUUAAAGUAAGGUAAGCAUCUUUAUUUUCUUUGCAAACGAGCCUUCUUUCUUUUGCUUUGGCCUUUACUCUAGACUGUAUUUCAUGGUCAUACUCAAUCUCAAUAUUUUGUAGGUUUGUGGCUGUUUUAUGAGUUACGAUUUUUUAUAGGGUUGCAUGUAGAUGAUACAUUUAUUUUUUUCUUUUUUCUUUUCUUCUUCGGUGAAGAUACUAAAAUUUAGUUUUUGUUAUCAUGUGAAAUGAAAAUAGUCCUCGUUUCAAGGAUUAAUGGGCCACUAAUUUCGUCUUCUUAGAAGAAAAUUUUUUGCAGCGAGGUAAUUCGAAGCUCGAAGAUUUCUAUAUUACAUAGCCAAACCUAAGUGAUAAGAAUUUCCAUAUGAGAUAUAAUUUGGAAAAAAAAAAAAAACCAAUUCAAGUUAAAGAUAAAAAAAUCUGUGUUCCUUAAAAAACAUAAUUCAAGCCACACAAUUUUUCUUGUUUCAUUUGAGAAAAAGAAAAUUGUGUUCCUCACAAAAACACUUUAACAUUUGUUGUCUCAUAGAGGGAAAUGUCCUUCAAAACAAUUGAAACGUUGUCCACAAACAUUGUCAUGUAGUUAAGAAAAACUUAAUUUUGAGAAGUGCAAGAGAUUGGUGGGACUCAUUUGAUUCAAGAAAAAUAAUCAGUCUCAUUUGAUACGCAAAGAGCUUUUCUACUCAUGCAGCCAAUAUUUUGAUGAAUGUGACAUUACUGGUUUGUAUAAUUUUUUGGAUAUUAUCUCAAUUUUACUUCUGUAGGUUUGUGGUUUGUAUAUUAUCUCAAUUUUUAAAAAAAUGUAAUGCAAUUAUCAAACACGACUAAUCCCAACAAUUUAUCCAAAAAUUUUUAUUUCAAGAAAUGUAGCAUUUAUGAUAGAAUGGCUAAUGUUUUCAAUCGACUUUCUGGAUAAAUGAUAAUUUUUUGAUAGAAAUGUUACUUAAGUAUUACAGGAAGAAAAUUAUAGAAUAAUUUUUUGAAUUAAUUGUAUUACUUUACGAUAACACUAUCACAAUCUAAUUUAAAAAAAAAAAGUUAUUCUUUAAAUUUCGCAUUACUAUUCCUACUUUUCUUGUUAUAGUACUUAAUGGCACUGGUGAAGCCUCAGAAUUAUCAAACAAAAGGCAAAAAUAGUUCAAUAUCUGCUGUCCCACUAAGCAUUGUUAAAUUCAUAUAAUAAAAUGAGUACUUAUAUUAAAAAAAAACAAUCGGUCUCAUUGCGUGCUCUUUCAUUGACAUAGGCAAUUUGCUGUCAACUUGUGGCACUUUUAUGAAUUUUCAAGAUUGGUGAAUUUUUCAAAUUUAAAAGAAAAAAAUACAGAAAUGUAAUUUCAAUUUAUCCAAAAAUUUGAGUUUCAAGGAAUACAGCAUUUAUUAUAUGUCAUGUUAAUAUAGAGAAGAAAAAUUAAAAAACUUCUUUUUGGAUGAAUAAAAGUAUUUUCUGAUAAAUAUUUCACAAUCAAAUUUAAAAAAAUUUCACUCCUCUUGGUACAUAAUUUAAGAAUUUAACAUUAUAAAUUAAUCUUUUUAAUCAAAGUAAUAAUCUCUCCUCGGUCUGCAAAUGCUAAAAUUUAAUAUUAUAUCCUUUGACAAUAUUUGCUCCAAAUUCACGAAAAUAAAAUUUCUAACAGAAUUAUGACAUUCGUUACUAGAAAUUUGUAUAAAAGUUGUGAGAAUAGAAGGUUUGAUCAUAGGAAAUUAAUAUAUCCCUAUCCGAUGCAAAAAUGAUUGUAAAGAAAAACAAAAGUCAUGGGCUUAUUUUGAAAAAAGAAAAAAUUACAUUCCUUUUUCCCGUUAUUAAAGUAAUUCUAAAAUCACUAGGCACACAAAGGAUAGGCUUUAGUUGACUGAGGUCAGCCUUAACGCAUGCCGGUCUUUUUCUCCUCUACAUUCUUAGAAAUUUUGGUUUCACUAUAAAUACUCGGUAUAUAGCAAACUUAUAAGUGUUCUUGCAUUACCAAUCCAACUAAGCACACGCUUACAAUAUAAAUACUCUCAUCUCAUGGAAAGACUUCAUUCUCUCAGGAUGAUGAGCAGAUUUCUCUUACUCCAUUGUUUGAUUCUUAUUUCCUUACUUAUCGCAGCUGCAACAGCCAACACAAGUACUAUUACCGCAGACCAAGAUGCUCUGCUUUCCCUGAAAGCUCACAUAACUCAUGAUCCAACCAAUUUCUUGGCCAAAAAUUGGAACACGAGUAUCUCUUUCUGUAAUUGGACAGGCGUCACUUGUGAUGUCCAUAGCCAUAGAGUCACAAUCUUGAAUAUUUCUGGCUUAAAUCUCACCGGCACCAUUCCUUCUCAGCUUGGGAAUCUUUCUUCUCUGCAAUCACUCAAAUCUCAGUUUUAACCAACUUUCUGGUUCCAUUCCCUCCGCUAUCUUCACCACGUAUACACUGACAUAUGUUAGUCUCUGUCAAAAUCAGCUCUCUGGGAAAAUUCCUGCAAAUAUUUGUAGCAAUCUUCCUUUCCUUGAAUUUCUUUCUUUGUCCAAAAACAUGUUGUAUGGCGGAAUACCGUCCACUCUAUCAAAUUGCACAUAUUUAAGAAUCUUAAGUUUGGCAUACAAUGAUUUCUCAGGAGCCGUACCUAGAGAAAUCGGGAACUUGACCAAACUUAAGGAAUUAUAUCUUGGCGUUAAUAGACUUCAAGGUGCGCAUGAUCACGAAGUUUAAUUAUAAGAAUUGUUCCCUGAGUUGUAGUAUGAAUAACGUUCCAUAAUACACUUUACACACGUUGAUUAAUUUGCAGGAGAAACUCCUCGAGAGUUUAGCAAUCUUGCCGACUUGGAGCAUAUGUCGUUGGCAGGCAACAAUCUCCAAGGCAUGAUUUUAAAGUUUUUGCAAUUUUAUUUUAGCGAUGCUUGCUUCUGUAUUCAUUCGCUUGUUCUUUGAUUAUGCGAUGAUUUAUUGUUUUUCUUUCAGAUAGAGAUAAAGCUCCAUGUCUCCCCUCACUCAUUUCAUUCUUUAAUUUAUGCAGAUAAAAAUUUAAAAAAAAUGUUUUGUAAUUUUCUUUUGUCAUAUUGCCACUUCCGUUUUGAAGCUCCCAAUCAAGUCGAUGAAAAUGAAUGAUGUUUCAUUCUUAUUCUUGUCAGCCUAAUUCUUAUAUAAUUGAAGAGUAAAUUGUUAUUAUGAUCAAAUUGUUUGCGCAUAUAUAAAUGUACUUUAUUUACAGGAGGUAUUCAACGGGAAUUGGGGAAUCUUACAAAAUUGGAGGGGUUACAGCUGUUCCAGAAUAACUUGAUCGGUAACUUUCUUUACAAUAUAUAUACGAGACAUCUUCCGCUUUUUAUUAGAAAUUAUAAAUUCAAGUUAAAUCUUAAUUAAAAGAUUUCAAGUCUCUCAUUAUAAAUUCUCAUAUGAUGAUGUGUCGUUACCACUAUCUAACAUUAUUCCCUUUUUUAUUAGAAAUUAGUUUGUGUUAAUUCAAAAUUCUGUAGCAUUUAAAAAAAUUAAAAACACGUGGAAUAAAUUGUUAAUCUUUCUUCUUUACUGAAUUUGGAUUUCUCAAAAAUAAUCAUGACAAGUAUGCUUCACUAAUGAUAAACAUGUGUGACAACUUCAUAAAAUAUUUUAUAUGGAAUCACUAAUUAUCUCUAAAGAUGCCAUCAGUGAUACAUAAUUUCUUAACAAGCACCGUACCAAAAGAAAUCAACAAUUUUAUUAAUCUUAAAGAGUUACAUCUUCACUGCAAUUAUGACAUAAAUUUUUAGUCAUCAAUCACAUAAUAUUUUAUCUUAACGGAUGAUGUUCAGUCUUGGAAUUUAUAAUAUCAUGAAGGUUAGUAGCAUUGAAAAUAAGAAAUUGUUCAUGUGCUAAAAAGUCAACUUAGUAUUUAAGUUUUUCACUUGAAAUUUUUGAAAAAAGUGUUGAGAACUAGCCCUCCUUAGUAUUUCAGCGGAUAAAUAUGAAAAAUGGGCUAGAAGAAAUUAUUUUAUUGUAAUAAGAGUUAGAAAGAGAGGAGAAGUACAGUACUCAUGACUUAGGCUUGCUGUGUGUGUGCUUAUUCUACUUGGGCUUUGGGCUUGAUUACACGGUCGAACGCUUACACCUGUUAAAAUAAUGGGCUUUUGCUUUCGCCGCACAUCUGAUAAUUUCCUAACCUUCCAAUUAGGUUAUAGCAAUUUAAAUAUAAAUAAUAAAGCAUGCUAAAGCUAGCAUUGGUGUAUGGCUGAGUGGUGUAAAAAGUGGAUCUGUUUUCAUGUAUUAUUUAUUCUCUAAAACAUAUUUGAAUACAAUUCUUUCAAAAUACCGAGGAAAUAGCACAUGAAAUCAGAAAUAUUUUAUUGUGAUGAGAAUUCAUAUACUCAUUGUAGUAGAACAUAUAAAAUAGACUAUAAAUUUAUUAUUCUUCGAAACAAACUUGAUUAUAAUUCCUUCAAAAUUAAGUUUGUCAUUAAAUGAUUUCUCAGGAGCCAUACCAAAAGAAAUCGGGAAUUUGACCAAACUCAAGGAAUUAUCUCUUGGCGGUAACAGGCUCCAAGGUGCGCAUGAUCACAAAGUUUAAUUAUGAAAAUUGUUGCAUAAGUUAUAUGGAUAUCCUUGAUAACCGCAGCAAGCAAACAAAAUCAAAUAAAAGCUAACUGAGACUCGAAUAUCCUAAACCCUGAAAAGGAAUGGUAAUGGUAUAAUAUGGAUUUUGAAGGCAUAUUUCACCGGACUCAACAUUUAUGGUUAAUUUACAACUCUUUGUUGGAAAGUCUGAGAAAUUGCUUUAUAUUAGGGGUGGGGAAAAUAAUGCUGGGCCACGAAUUUCAGGCAGAAUCCAGAUUGGGCCCAAUUAGACUUAUAGCUCAGCUCUGUGUAGAUAUCUGGGCCUUUACAAAUAAUUAAUGGGCCAAUUAAUAAUAAUAAAUAAAUUGAGAAGGGUGUGAGUGAAAUUAGAUAUGAAUGAAUCUGCCAAUGUAUGUACACAUUUUUAGCAAAAGAAAUCGGGAAUUUGACCAAACUCAAGGAAUUAUCUCUUGACCGUAACAGGCUCCAAGGUGCGCAUGAUCACGGAGUUUAAUUAUGAAAAUUGUUGCAUAAGUUGUAGUAUGAAUAAUGUUCCAUAAUACAGUUUAGACACGUUGAUUAAUUUGCAGGCGAAAUUCCUCGAGAGUUUGGCAAUCUUGCCGACUUGGAGCAGAUGUCGUUAUGGGAAAACAAUCUCCGAGGUAUGAUUCUAAACUUUUUGCGUUUUUUAUUAGAAAUUAAUUUGUAUUAACUAAAAAUUUUGUAGCAUCUGAAAAAAUUAAAAACACAUGGAAUAAAUCGUCAAUCUUCUAAUUUGGAUUUCUUAAAAAUUAUCUUGACAAGUAUGCUUCACUAAUGAUAUGCAUGUGUGACAACUUCAUAAAAUAUUUUACAUGGAAUCACCAAUUACCUUUAAAUAAUUGGAGAUGCCAUCAGUGAUACAUAAUUUCUUAACAAGCACCUUAUCAAAAGAAAUCAACAAUUUUAUUAAUCUUAAAAAGUUACAUCUUUACUGCAAUUAUGAAAUAAAUUUUUAGUCAUCAAUCGCAUAAUAUUUUAUCUUAACGGAUGAUGUUCAGUCUUGGAAUUUAUAAUACCUUGAAGGUUAGUAGCUUUGAAAAUAAGAAAUUGUUCAUUUGCUAAAAAGUUAACUUAGUAUUUAAGUUUUUCAAUUGAAAAUUUUGAAAAAAGUCUUGAGAACUAGCCCUCCUUAGUAUUUCAGCGGAUAAAUAAGAAAAACAGGCUUGAAGAAAUUAUUGUUGUGUGUGCUUAUUCUACUUGGGCUUUGGGCUUGAUUACACGGUUGAGCACUUACACCUGUUAUAAUAAUAGGCUUUUACUUUCACCACACGUUUGAUAAUUUCUUAACCUUCCCAAUUAGGUUAUAGCAAUUUAUAUAUAAAAAACGAAAGCAUACUAAAGCUAGCAAUUUUUUGACUGGUAUCAUUCCUUCAUCUAUUUCACGUCUUUCAUUAUAAAUUCUCAUAGGAUGAUAUCUCAUUUUUUAUUAGAAAUUAAUCUGUGUUUAUGCAAAAAAAUUUAGCAUCUAAAAAAAGUAUAAAAACACGUGGAAUAAAUCGAAAAUCUUUCUUCAUUACUGAAUUUGGAUUUCUCAAAAAUUAUCAUGACAGCUAUGUUAGUGUCUUACUAAUGAUAUGCAUGUGUGACAACUUCAUAAAAUAUUUUAUAUGGAAAAUAUUAAAAAUAGACUUGAAAAAAAUUAUUUUACUGAAAUAAUAGUUAAAAAGAGAGGAGAAGUAUUACCUAUUACACAUGGUCGAACACUUACACCUGUUAUAAUAAUAAUAGCAUCCGCCGGUCGACUAUGAGUGAUCAAAUUGUUUGCACAUGUGUAAUUUGCAGGAGCAAUUCCACGGGAGUUGGGAAAUCUUACAGGAUUGGGGUUCUUAGAGCUGGGUGAAAAUUUUUUAACCGGUAUCACUCCUUCAUCUCUCUCCAAAUUGCUUUUCUCUAUUAAAUUUGGAACUCUCAUUUAAUAACUUAACAGGUAACUUCCCUUACAACAUGUUUGUGUGACAUGUUUUGCUUCUCAAUUAAAAUAUUUCACUUCUCUCAUUAUAAAUUCUCAUAGGAGGAUGUGUUGUUAUUACUAUUUAACAUUAUCUCGUUUUUUAUUAGAAAUUAAUCUUUGUUUAUGCAAAAAAAUUUAGCAUCUAAAAAAAGUAUACAAACACGUGGAAUAAAUCGAAAAUCUUUCUUCGUUACUGAAUUUGAAUUUCUCAAAAAUUAUCAUGACAGCUAUGUUAGUGUCUUACUAAUGAUAUGCAUGUGUGACAGCUUCAUAAAUUAUUUUACAUGGAAAAUAUGAAAAAUAGACUUGAAAAAAAAUUAUUUUACUGAAAUAAUAGUUAAAAAGGGAGGAGAAGUACACUACUCAUGACUUAGGCUUGCUGUGUACUUAUUUUACUUGGGAUUCGAGCUUGAUUACACAUGGUCGAACACUUACAUCCCACGACAUAGGCUUUUAGGGACGAGUGGCGUCAAAUGUGUAUAUGCUUUUAUGUAUUAUUAUUCUUUGAAACAAAUCUGAUUAUAAUUCUUUUAAAAUACAGAUUAAAUGGCACGUGAAAUCGGAAAAUAUUUUACUGCAAUAAGAAUUCAUAUAUUCAUUGUACUAGCACAUAUAAAAUAAACUAUAAAUUUAGUUCCAAAAUACAUUCUUAUCUUCAUAUAAAUUUUACAUUAUUAAUUUAAAUUAAUAUUAAAAUAUGUUGUUUCUUUCACUAUGUUAUUUUAUUUACACAAUGAUGUGACUAUUGGAAUUAAUAAUACUUUUAAUUAUUUUGUAAAAAUAUAAAUUUAAUACUUUGUUAACAUUUUAACUACAUAUAAUAAUUAAACUGAAACUUGUAUUUAAAAAAUUCGAGUUACGCAUAUUCAUUUCAUGACAUAAAAGUGUAUAUUUAUGCUAAUUUACCAUUAUCAACAAAAAGAUUUGAGACAAAUAAUCUAAUUUAUAUUUUUAUAUUUAAAAUCUUGCAUUUAUUAUAUUUUGAAAAAAAUUUAUUUGCAAUUAUUUUAAACGGUUGGAUUCAAAUUUUCAUAGUUACUAAAGUCAAAGGGUAUAAAUGUAUAAUAGUCAAAAACAUAUUUGUAUGAUCAUUUUUCAAUGUAUAAAUUUUCUUAGUUAGUAGGAAAAUUAGAAAUUGUUGAUUUACUCAUAAAUAAAUUUAAUGUUUAGCAUUUCAAUUUUGGAAAACUUGAACUAAAUGUUGAUAACUUCGAAUCGGUCGAGCCGAGUUUCUCUUCCUUGACCCACGGACCCAUUGAAAGUUCUAUUCGAAUUGAGUUUCCUGGUGCUUAUAAAAAGCAUUUCUUUUCCUUGUUGCAGUAAUUUAUUCACAAAUGAGUUGAUUAGCAUCGAAGUUACCUGAGAGUCUGAGACCAUGCUAGUAGGAGAAAUUUGAUAAGAAAUUAUUUUACUGAAUUAAUUUAUUUUAUCUUGUUGCAACUGGAAUACUACUUUUUUUUUUGGGCCAUCACUUGGGCUUGAUUUACUUUAAUAGUAGCAUCCACCGACUUAGGCGUUUUUUACUUCUCACCACACAAUUUGAUCUUUUAAUUAGUUUUAACCACAUAAUCUAUCUAUUUCUCACCUAUUGCUUACUUAAAUCGCAUACAUAUUUUACCUACUAAUUUUUAUAAAUAUUAGUCAAAUAUAUUUUAUUACGUUUUUCUCGUAACUGCUCCAAAUGUGUACUAUUAAUACUUAACCCUCCCUUUUAAUUUACUGUGCAAUCUAUCUAUCACUUAAGUCAUAUAUAUUUGACCUAUAUUUUACCCCAAAAAAUAUAAAAAUAAAAGAAAAAGAAUGUGUAGCAAUUUGCAUAUAACUAACAAAGCAUUGAUGGUGUGUAGCCUUUCAAUACUUCACGACUGGCUUUUCUUGUGUGUUAGUACUUGUAAUAAUUGUGUAGUGUAUAAAUGGCAUUUUAUUAUUAAAGUGCGUCCAUUUUUAGAUAUUACUUAUUAUUUGAAAAAUAAUCUGAAUAUAAUUCUUUUAAAAAACAGGGGAGAUACCACUUGAAAUUGGUAAUCUCCAAAAUCUGGAGGAGUUGGACCUUCGUCAAAACAAAUUAGUUGGUAUUGUCCCCGCUGCAAUCUUUAAUGUGUCCACGCUCAAAUUACUUCAGCUUCAGAAUAAUUCUCUCUUGGGAUGUCUUUCGUCCAUCGCAGACGUCCGACUACCAAAUCUUGAAGAGCUUUCUUUAUGGGGUAAUAAUUUCAAUGGCACAAUUCCUCGUUUCAUCUUUAAUGCUUCUAAGCUCUCUAUACUAGAAUUGGUAGGCAACUCAUUCUCCGGUUUUAUUCCCAACACAUUUGGCAACUUAAGAAACCUUGAGCGGCUUAAUUUACAAGAUAAUUAUUUGACAUCUUCAACUCCAGAAUUGAGCUUUCUAUCCUCGUUGUCAAAUUGCAAGUCUUUAACACUUAUUGCCUUAUCAAAUAAUCCACUAGAUGGCAAUCUUCGUAAGACGUCUGUCGGUAAUCUUUCUCAUUCUUUGGAAAUCUUUCUCAUGUACAAUUGUAACAUUAGUGGCGGAAUCUCUGAAGAGAUUAGCAACUUGACCAACUUGACAACCAUUAAUUUAGGAGGCAAUAAAUUGAAUGGAUCAAUUCCGAUUGCCCUUGGCAAAUUACAAAAGCUACAAUAUUUGGGUCUUGAAGAUAACAAAUUAGAAGGAUCAAUCCCAGAUGAUAUUUGUCGUUUGGAUGAACUGUAUGAAUUGGAGUUGGGUGGCAAUAAGCUUUCAGGAUCAAUCCCUGCAUGCUUCGGUAAUCUGAUUGCUCUGAGGAUACUGUCGUUGGGUUCCAAUGAGUUAACUUCUAUUCCCUUAACUUUUUGGAACCUUAAGGAUAUCUUGCAACUCAACAUUUCAUCAAAUUAUUUUACUGGUCCACUCCCAUUAGAGAUUGGAAAUUUGAAGGUUUUAAUUGGAAUUGAUUUUUCGAUGAAUAAUUUUUCAGGCGUUAUCCCAACAGAAAUUGGAGGCCUAAAAAAUCUAGAAUAUCUCUUCUUAGGAUAUAAUAGAUUGCGAGGAUCGAUUCCUGAUUCAUUUGGGGAUUUGAUAAGUUUGAAAUUCUUGAAUUUGUCCAAUAAUAAUCUCUUUGGGGCUAUUCCUGCAUCUUUAGAGAAACUCUCAUAUCUUGAAGAUCUAAAUCUUUCUUUCAACAAGCUAGAAGGAGAAAUUCCUAGGGGAGGAUCUUUUGGAAACUUCUCAGCUGAAUCAUUUGAGGGAAAUGAAUUAUUAUGUGGUUCACCCAAUUUACAAGUCCCGCCAUGCAAAACUAGGAUCCACCACACAUCAUGGAAAAAAUCUCUUCUCCUGGGGAUUGUCUUGCCAUUGAGUACUACAUUAAUGAUAGUAGUCAUUUCGUUGAUCCUAAGAUAUCGACAGAGAGGAAAACAACCAUCGAAUGAUGCUAAUAUGCCACUAGUAGCAACGUGGAGAACAUUUUCAUACCUAGAACUUUGUCAAGCAACAGACGAAUUCAGUGAAAACAAUCUAAUCGGCAGAGGAGGUUUUGGCUCUGUUUAUAAGGCAAGACUUGGGGACGGGAUGGAGGUUGCAGUGAAAGUUUUCAAUUUGCAAUGUGGAAGAGCGUUCAAGAGUUUCGAUGUUGAAUGUGAAAUUAUGAAAAGUAUUCGCCAUCGAAACCUUAUCAAAGUUAUUAGCAGUUGUUCAAAUGAAGAGUUUAAAGCGUUGGUAUUAGAAUACAUGCCUCAUGGAAGUUUGGAGAAGUAUCUGUAUUCAAGUAAUUGCAUUUUGGAUAUUUUUCAAAGAUUGAACAUAAUGAUAGAUGUUGCAUCAGCUUUGGAAUAUCUGCACUUUGGUUGUUCAGCUCCAGUAAUUCAUUGUGACUUAAAGCCCGACAAUGUAUUGUUAGAUGAUAAUUUGGUUGCUUAUUUGAGUGAUUUUGGCAUCGCGAAGCUCUUAAUUGGAGAAGAUCAGUCUAUGACUCAAACGCAAACACUUGCCACAAUAGGUUAUAUGGCACCAGGUUUGUUCAAUAUAAACAUUUUCUAUUUCUUGUAAACUUCCUAAUAAGUUAUUUAUGUUUCAUGAUCUUCAUUAGAUCAGGAAAUUAUUGUUAAUGAUAUAUCUUACUAUGUAACUGUUGCAAUUCAUAGAGUAUGGAAGAGAAGGACGAGUAUCCACAAAUGGAGAUGUUUAUAGCUUUGGAAUUAUGUUAAUGGAAACUUUUACCGGGAAGAAACCCACAUAUGAAUUUUUUAAUGGAGAAAUGACAUUAAAGCAUUGGGUUAAUGAUUGGCUACCCAUUUCCACUAUGGAAGUUGUUGAUGCUAAUUUGCUAAGUCAGGAGGACAUACAUUUUGUUGCAAAGGAGCAAUGUGUGUCAUUUGUCUUCAAUUUGGCUAUGGCGUGCACUGUGGAAUCUCCUGAGCAGAGAAUCAAUGCAAAAGAAAUUGUAACAAAACUCUUAAAAAUUAGAGACUCAUUACUUAGAAAUGUUGGAGGCAGACGUAUAAGACAAUCAAAUUUAAAUUGAUUCUACCCCUCCACUACUUGCUAUCCUUUUCAGAGACUUGAACAAUUAUCCUUAAUACAAUUUUUGUUGAUGUGCUUUGUUAUUGCUCUUACUCAUGUUUAUUUCUCUAUUUCUUUAAUUUGCAUGCAUGUAUUUUUCGUUCUCUUUUAUGUUUUUGUUGGUUUGUAUGUAGUUUGUUUUUAGGUUGAUUAUGUCCUCCCCUAAUUAGACGCAUCCUUUUUAUGUUUAUUCAAUAAAGCUUCUCUAAUACUAUCGAGGUUCAUCAAAAGAAAAUUUUAAAUUAAUUUUCUUUUCUUUGACAGGUAAUGAAAUUCUAAUCUUCAUAGUGAAUAACUUCAAUAAUAGAGUGUAAGUGUAUUAGUAGUUAUGGUUGUUUUUUGAACCUGGAGUCAAAAGCAAUUUAAUAGCAACAAACAAGUCUCUUGUAUUAUAGGCAAAAUUAUUUUCAUUAAUCUUAUUUUUCUACAUGUUCUCCUAUUUUCUCCAUUUAUCUUCGCUCAAGGUUUCAUGCUUCCUCUUGGAUAAAGGAAAACUUACUUGCGAAUAUUUCAAUUUGACAUAAGAGACUGUUUUGCCAACCAUUUGAUAAAAUGGAUAUGAGCGGAGCUUUCAAUCAUCACCUCCACCAAAAUCCUUACUACGCCACUUUUAAAUUGUAUUUUUUAAAAUGCAUUCAGUUUAAUUUAUAAAAAAUAAAUUCAUUUGUUAAAAUUAAUCUUUUUCUCAUAAAUUUCAGCCUAAAAAAUAUAUUUCUUUUAAACUUUUAAUUAUAAAAUACAUACAAGUUCUAAACUGUUAUAUUAUUUUCUUCUUAUUAUAUAGUUCAUAUCUCCAUAACUCUAAACUCCUAUAAUUUUUUUUAAAAUAUUUUUAAUUUAAAAUAUAAAUAUAAAAUAUAAAAUGGAGUGGGUAUAAAAAAACUUGUUAAAAGAAUAAUUCAUUUAAGUAUUUAACUGAAUUUAAAUUAAAAUAAGAAAUAAAUAAAUUUAUUUUUAUUAGUUAAGUAAUUUUCAAUUGUAAAAGAGCUUUAUGAGUAAUAUUAUUGAAAUAUGAUUAAAAUUCUUAUGAAUUAAACAUUUUCGUAUAAAUACUAGUGAUAAUUAUAGAGAAAAUGUGAUGAACCAAAGAAAACUUGAGUAUAAAUACUCCAAUGUAAUUUUACACAUGCAAAUUAUGAACCAAUGAUCUUUAGAGCAUCAUAAAAUUAUUUUGACACAACUAUUUAUUUUGAAAAACUGGUAACAAUGUUUAAAGUGGGAUUGAAAAGAUUAUGCUACUUAUAUAAGACAUGAUAUCAUUUAAGACGGCUUACAGAUUAUGAGAAAUAUAUUCAUCUUACAAAUAUUUAAUAUGUUAAUUAGACGGGUCUAGCUGCCUUUCACCCGCUGGAAGGUACAGCUUAUUUUGUCCUCUAGUGUUGUGGCCGUUGGAUAUUUGAGAAGUUGAUCUAUCGGUUCUUGUUCGGCAGCGUGAAAUUGAAUUUCAAUCAGCAACCAUUUCAUGAACUUUCAGGAGACAAUUAUCUACAAAAAAAAUUUUUUAAAAAAUAAUUUUUCGCUUUCAUCAACCGCCGCUGCCACCCACAACCCCUUAAUAUCAUCACCACCAUCCCAAUCCUUAGCCGCCAUCCACAAACUCUAACAACCACCAUGACUGCCAUCACAACCGCCACUCCUCACAACCCUAGCCACCCCUACAAAUGACUGUAUUUUACGUUUGAGCAUUAAUUGCCGGCAUGAUCUCUUAGACUUCUCUUGCAUUGAAUGAAUGGAUGAGUGCUAAUCCAUGCAAAGACUUCCAUGCAUGCACAAUGAAUGCUAAAUCUAAGGUAUAGCAAAAUGUCAGCAACCUUGGCCCAAAUUAUCAAGAUGGUUUGGUGGCUGCUAGAUUUGUUCAUCCGGAUUUUGGACCAUUUUCCUUGACAAUGAGAAAAGCUCCAAGAUGUGUAAUGUUAGUGAAUCAGAUGAAGCUGGAGCAGAGCAUGAUGUUGCUGUGUAGCUGGAGCAGAGCAUGAUGUUGCUAUGUAGCUGGUUGUAUCAGAUCAAAUCAUUAAGCUGACUUGUCAAAGUUAGUUAACUGGUUGAGCUGAUGUGUCAAGUUAGUUAUACAGCAAAUGGUUAUGUGUUGCAACAAUCUCGUGUGUGUGUUAAGAGAUUGUAGCUCAAUAUAAAUAUCAAUUGGUAAUCAUUAAACUGUAAGCUUGGAAUAAUAAGAAGAUCUAACAGUUUUCUUUGCAAAGCUUUUCUUUUAUUUUCUUUCAUUUUCUAGCCUACCAAACAAUAUAGAACUAAGUUUCUUUCAUGGUAUCAGAGCCAUAAAUGGCAAAUAUAGUUCAAAACAACAACUCUUUUAGUUUUGUUACACCAGUAAAGCUAGAUCAAAACAACUUCAUUCUGUGGCGCACACAAAUUUUAACUUCAAUCAAAGGAAACGGUUUGGAAGGGUUUAUCAAUGGCGAUCGAGAAUGUCCUGAGCAAUUUCUUUCUUCUGGAAACAACAAUGGAGCUGAAGUUUUAACUGAGUCUGGAUCCAGAUCUGUUAAUCCAGAAUUCGAAGCUUGGAUGAAGACUGACCAACUCUUACUGAGUUGGAUGAUGUCAUCGAUACAGCAAAAUCUGCUUGCUACUGUGAUUGAUUCUACAACUUCAAAACAGCUUUGGGAGACUCUUGCUAGUAUGUUCAUCUCUCAAUCACAAGCUAGAAUUCAAACACUUAGAAUGCAGAUUCAAACUAUUAAGAAAGGUGCCAUGCAUAUUUCUGAUUAUUUUGUUAAAGUAAAACGCAUAGCUGAUACUUUAGCUCUAGCUGGAAAACCUAUUGAGUUAAAUGAUCUUGUGAUGCAUAUAUUAACUGGUCUUGAUUCAUCAGACUAUGAAUCUUUAGUCACAGCUAUGUUAGCUCGAGGUGAAAAGAUCACAUUAGAUGAACUAUAUUCUUUGUUGUUGAAUCAUGAAAAUAGAGUUGAGCAAAAGAAAGGGAAAAUUGCUAGUGAUGUGAUGCAUAACAUGACAGCAAAUAUUGCUCAGAAAAAUUCAUAUGCUGGAAAGAAUAAUGGAAAUUUUCAGAAAAAUUAUGGAAAUAACUAUCGAAGAGGUAAUAAUUCUGGAUAUGGAGGUUCUAAUGGAUAUGGAUAUGGUCAGUUUAAUACUAGCAGUAAUUCCUCUGAAGUUGUUUGUCAAAUUUGCUUUAUACCUGGUCAUGCAGCAAAUAGAUGUAGGAAUAGGUACAACUCAUCCUUUGUUCCACAGAGGAAUCAUGGUAGAGGAAAUAUGAAUGGUGGCAGAGGUUUUAAUCAAGGGCAAUAUGGCAGAGGAAGAGUCUAUAAUGGUAAUAGUGGAAGAGGAUUUGGAGGUUUUGGUUCAAAUGCUGGUUUUGGACAAAAUGCUAGUUUUGGUCAUGCACCCAGGGGUUUUGGCUAUUAAGGAAAUAUAGUGUAUCCAGAUAGCAAUCCUUCUGCCUAUUACUCUUUCACUCCUGGAUCAUCUAAUUUUGUUGCUGGUCAAGGAAACAACAAUCCUGGACAGUCAAGUGCUUCAUCUUCCUCAGCUAUGUCUUUUUCACUCCCAGAAUACAUUUAAGAUCCUUCCUGGUACAUUGACAGUGGAGCAACAAAUCACAUUACUAAUGAUCUAGGUAAACUUCUAGAUUCACAAGCUUAUACUGGUACUGAAAAGUUAUUUGUUGGGGAUGGAAAUGCAUUAGCUAUUACACAUAUAGGAUCAGUUGUGCUAAACACUUCCAAUUCUCAAUCUUUAUUUCUUAACCAUGUUCUUCAUGUCCCUUUUAUUACUAAGAAUUUGCUUAGUAUCUCAAAAUUAUUGGCUGACAAUCCAGUUACUGUUGAAUUUCUUGGUGAUUUCUGUUUUAUAAAGGCCAAGAACACAAGGAAAAUUUUACUUGAAGGUGUUGCUAAAGGUGGCUUGUAUAGAGUCUCUUCACAUGCUGCUGCUCACUCAGUCUUUCUCAGUUCAGUUGGUCAAAACAAAAUUUAGUCUCUCUUUGCUUGGUCUCCUGUUUUUACUUCUGAAAAACCUUCUGUUGUUAGUUCUUAUAAACUCAAUAAAAAGUCAUGUAUGUCAGUUGUUGCAAAGGGUUUAACUGAUGUAAAUCUUCUGCAUAGAAGAUUAGGACACCCAGCCCCUUAUACUCUCAAAAUUAUUCUCAAAGCUUGUAACAACUUUACUGCUCUUAAUAAAGUUGAAAGUUUGAAAUUUUGUUCAGCAUGUCAAUAUGGAAAAAUCAUAUGCUGCAUUUUAAUUCAGUUGAAACAAAAACUUCAGCACCUUUAGAAUUGAUAUAUGCAGAUUUGUGGGGUCCUUCUCAUGUUUGUUCUACCCAAGGAUAUAACUACUACCUAUCAAUCCUAGAUGAUUACAGUAGGUUUACCUGGAUAUUCCCUUUAUCAGCAAAAUCUGAUGCUCUUGAAGUGUUUAAAAAUUUCAAAACAUUCAUUGAAAAGCAUCUUCAACUUUCAAUCAAAACUGUCCAAACAGACUGGGGAGGGGAGUUCAAAUCUUUUUCCUCAUUACUCACUACUUCUGGUAUCCAUUUUAGACACCCUUGUCCACAUAUUCAUCACCAAAAUGGAAGAAUUGAGAGGAAGCAUAGACACAUAGUUGAUGUAGGUCUGACUUUAUUAGCUCAAGCACAUUUACCACUCAAAUUUUGGUGGAAUGCAUUCCACACAGCUGUCUAUUUGAUAAACAGACUUCUCACUCCAGUUCUAAAUAGCAUUUCUCCCUUUCAAAAGUUGUUUCAUUAUCAACCAGAUUAUUCAACACUUAAAACUUUCGACUGUGCUUGUUAUCUAACACUCAGACCAUACAAUAGAUAUAAGUUUGAUUUCAGAACUGCUAGAUGUAUAUUCAUUGGCUAUAGUUCACAACACAAGGGAUAUAUGUGUCUUCAUUCUUCUAGAAGGGUCUAUAUUUCUAAUCAUUUCACUUUUGAUGAAAAUUCCUUUCCUUAUGAGUCUGGGGUAGAUUUUUCUUUAACUUCUUUAAGUUGUCAGUCCACUUCACACUCUGAGUCCUCUUUUCAGUCUUCCCCUUCUUCUGUUACUCAGUUACAAGCACCUUUAGCAGCAUCAUCAGCACUUCAACCAACUCACCCUGCUGAUCAUCAAUCUAAUGCUUCUACUCCUGUUUAUUUUUCUGAUAACUCCAACUCAGCUUCUCAUUUCUCAUCUUCUCAUUCUUCACCUCCACAUACAUUACCCCAACCUGUACCAUCUGGUCAUCCAAUGGUAACCAGAUCAAAAGUAGGUAUUUUCAAGCCAAAAGUUUAUUUGUCAGCCUUGUUAGCCCAGCAAUCAGAACCAACUUCUGUUUCCAAAGCACUCUCUGAUCCUAUGUGGUAUAAGGCUAUACAAGAAGAGUAUCUAGCACUUAAAGCUAAUCACACCUGGGAUUUGGUUUUACAUACUACUCCAGUGAAGAUAGUUGGUAACAAGUGGGUGUUUCGAAUUAAGUAUAACUCAGAUGGCUCGGUUUCAAGGCACAAAGCCAGACUUGUUGCUAAGGGGUUUCACCAGACACAUGGGGUUGAUUACACAGAAACCUUCAGUCCAGUGGUUAAGUCUUCAACUAUCAGAGUUAUUCUUAGCUUAGCAAUAUUGAAUCACUGGGUUAUUCGGCAAGUGGAUGUUAAUAAUGCCUUCCUCAAUGGCAUUUUAAUUGAAGAUGUGUACAUGGCUCAGCCUCAAGGUUUUGUUGAUUCAACUAAACCUAAUCAUGUUUGCAAGCUGAAUAAGGCUUUAUAUGGUUUAAAACAGGCUCCUAGAGCCUGGUUUGAUAGAUUUAAGGAUGCAAUGCUCUCCUAGUGGCAUUUUCAGCAUUCAAGGUCUGAUAACUCUCUCUUUUAUACCUGGAACAAUGGUCAUGUAACUAUUGUUUUAGUCUAUGUUGAUGAUAUUAUCAUCACUGGCUCAAGUCCAUCACUAAUUCAGCAAGCUAUUCAGAAUAUGCAUCAAACUUUUGCUUUAAAAGAUCUGGGGGAACUUAACUAUUUUUUGGGGAUUGAAGUCAGCAAGUCCUCCACAGGGGUUUCUUUGACACAAGCAAAGUAUAUUGCUGAUGUUCUGGAAAAACAUGGCAUGAUUGAUUGCAGUCCCGUGCCAACUCCCAUGUCUACAGGUUAUUACUCACCAAAGACUCAGGGGAGCCAAUUGACAAUGUCUCUCAAUACAGGAGUGUUAUAAGAGCUCUUCAGUAUGUUACUCUUACCAGACCUGACAUUGUUUUUUCUGUCAAUAAGUUAAGUCAGUUCCUUUCCGAUCCUAGAACUCAACAUUGGGAAGCAUGCAAAAGGUUAUUGAGGUACUUAAAAGGUACUAUCCAUCUUGGGCUACAAUUCUACAACCAAGGAGCUCUGCAAAUCCAUUGUUUUUCAGACUCUGAUUGGGCUUGUGAUCAUGAUGAUAGGAAGUUAGUAGCUGGCUUUGCUGUUUAUCUAGGUCCUAAUCUUGUUUCUUGGUAGUCCAAGAAGCAAGCUAUUGUUUCUAGAUCCAGCACAGAGGCUGAGUACAGAUCUCUUGCUCAUGCUGCUUUAGAGGUUACCUGGAUUAAGUCUUUACUUGGUGAACUUAGCGUCAACUUGAGCUCUACUCCUAUGAUGUGGUGUGAUAAUCAAGGAGCUAUUGCUUUAGCUUAUAAUCCAGUCUAUCAUGCUAAAACUAAGCAUGUUGAAUUGGAUAUCCAUUUCAUCCGAGAUAAAGUUACUGCUAAAGAAGUUGCAGUCUGCUAUGUGCCUAGUCAAGAUCAAACAGCAGAUGUGUUGACUAAAGCUCUCUCUUUCAAACAGUUUAGUUACUUCCAAAGUAAGCUGAAUGUUCAUCCUAAACAUUUCAGCUUGAGGGGGGGUGUUAGUGAAUCAGAUGAAGCUGGAGCAGAGCAUGAUGUUGCUGUGUAGCUGGAGCAGAGCAUGAUGUUGCUAUGUAGCUGGUUGUAUCAGAUCAAAUCAUUAAGCUGACUUGUCAAAGUUAGUUAGCUGGUUGAGCUGAUGUGUCAAGUUAGUUAUACAGCAAAUGGUUAUGUGUUGCAACAAUCUCGUGUGUGUGUUAAGAGAUUGUAGCUCAAUAUAAAUAUUAAUUGGUAGUCAUUAAACUGUAAGCUUGGAAUAAUAAAAAGAUCUAACGGUUUUCUUUGCAAAGCUUUUCUUUUAUUUUCUUUCAUUUUCUAGCCUACCAAACAAUAUAGAACUAAGUUUCUUUCAUGUAAAUUGAAGACUCACUGAACGCUCCAAGUUUCAGGUAACUCUUGUGUUGUGUGCUCGGAGUAUUCUCUAUUGUAUUUUUUUUGUUUGUUAUUUAUUUGACGUAUUGCUAGCAGAGAUCUUGGGUGGGAACCAGAAAUUCCCAACAAUUGUCAAUUGUUUUAAACUCUAUUCUGAACAGAGCAUAAAGGGACUCACUUAUCUAAUUUUGUCUUUUAUGCUUUAACUUCACUUGAUUUCAUCUUUUCCGUCACCUUUGUUAAAGUUGUAUAUGUUGGAGUAUUAGGUUCAUCAUAAGGAUCAUUUUAUGGCUAAGGAAGGAGCACACUUUAUCAGCUACACUCAAGUGUAGCAGAGAAUUUGGAUUCAAGACUGUUAGAAGGUUGUUACAGAUGCAAGGCUAUUGCUGUGUAAUUGUAAUGCUGCGUAGCACCGUAAGUAAGAAGAAAAGUGUCUAAGGUUGCCACGUGUUGUCUCAACGUCUGUGUGAAAACCGAUUUGUUUAAUCAAAAUCAUAAACACCAUUUUGAAAAUCCAUGGCCAUGGUCGUGAUGUGUCUUUAUCAAUCACGGAUACCAAAUUUAAUCAAAAUUAUCGAUUGUUUUAAAUUCUGUUUUUAACAGAGCAUGAAGAUGUCGCUUAUCUAGAUUUACUUUUUAUGCUUUGACUUCACUUAAUACAGCUUCUUCCUCCUUUAUCUGUAUGCCAUGCCGGCAAGUGUAUUGUACAGAUUUCUAGAGUAUUACCUGUCUAUUUUUUUCACCGAUGACGAAGCUAAUUAUUAGUAAUCAAUCUAAAGUCUACCUAUAAAUACAAUAGGUUGCUUAGGUGGCACCAAUAUCCUAACUUUAUGCCAUGUUUCUGGUGUGUCUUCACAAAUUCACCGAUACAAAUUAAUUUCUACCAAUAUUACCAAAUGAUUGUAUUUUACGUUUCUAUUUACUUGUAAUAAAGAUCUUCAAUUUUAUUGGUUACAAAAUUCUCUAGGAUUGCAUGUACAUUAUACUUUUAUAUACAUAUUUUCUUCUUUCUCAUUCGUUUUCUGGGUGAACAUAUUAUUUUCGUCAUCAUCUCUAUAACAAUGAAGUGAAAAUAGUCCUCAUUUAAAGUAUUGACAGCAAUGUUAUACUCAAUAUAACGCAUAAAGCACGCAUAAUUUAAUUAAUGGGGUAGCUGCUAGUACCUUCUUUAGAAGAGAAUUAUUGCAGCAAGGUAAUUGGAAGCUCAAAGAGUUUCCGUAUUAGCCGAAUCUAAGCGAUAAGUGUUUCCAUGUGAGCCAUAAUUUGGGAAAAAGACCAAUUCGAGUUAAAGAUCAGAAAACAGACACUGUCAACAAGCAUUAAUAUCAUUUGAUGCAUGAAAGACAGUUAGUCCCAUUUUUUUGUCCUGUUUACUUGAGUUGGGCAAUUUGCCGUCAACUUUUCUCAUCCACGUCAGGUAAUGUGGCUUUUAUUUGGUAUGAAAAAGCCAAUGCUUUACGAUAAAACUGUCACACACAUAUUAUCCAUCUGUAAUGUUCAAAUGACACUGAAGUAUUACCUAAAUUAGGCUUUCAAAAAUUCAUUUUCAAAAACCCAUGGUUGUGAUGUGUCUCUAUAAAUUAAGAUCUAUCUGUUACCAACUGUUUUAACUCUGUUCUGAACAGAGCUUGAAAGGGUACAUUCACUUAUCUAGUUAUGUUUUUUAGGCUCUCACUUUACUUGAUUCACCUUAUCCCUCUUUUGAAACAAUUGUUCACUGGCUGCACUCAGUUGACAAAAUAUUUUGGGAUUCAAGACUGUAGGUUGUUACGGAUGCAACUUGCAAGGCUGUUGCCAUGCUGGCAAGUGUGCUGCUAUAACAGAUUGUUGAGAUGGCACCAAAGAUUGUAAACUAAUUAGUACUGGAAAAUCAUGAGUUUGGUGAUGAAGAGGACCAAAAACAUUAUUUUAUUAUUUAAAAUAAGACUAUCAAUUAUUUCCAUGGUCAUCUUUUUUUUUAUUUAUUAAUUGGCCUAAAUAUUGUAUUUUUUGUCAGGAGUCUUGCAAUGUUGCUUAACACCGUAAGUAAGAAGAAACGUGUCUAAGGUUGCCACGUGUUGUCUCAACAUAUGUGUGAAAACUGAAUUAACCAGUUUGCGUUCGACAACAAAGGAAAAUACUUCUUGUUGCUGACCGGUUGAUAAGUAUUUCAAUACCUCCACCAAAAUCUUUAUAACACCCUUUUUAAUUUUAUUUUCUGAAAUACACUUAGUUUUUUAAAAAAGAGCUUUAUGAGAAAUUUUCAGUGUGUCAAAAGGCCUACUUAAUGGACUGGAUCCCGACUCAUUAAUUUUAUAACCCGACUUACAAUCCGACUCAUUAUUCACAGAGAUUAAUUUUCUAUUGCUUAAGGCACAAUAUUUACUAAGCAAUUUAUCGGCAAUAAAACAUGUAUAUUAUUGUGGUUUGUAAUAAAAUUGGAAGAAGACAUCACGUACGAAUUGGAUUUAUCCAAUGAAAUUUGAUUAACGAAACUGUAUGAAAAUAUAUCAAGAAAAUAGUAAAAAAAAAUGUUGUGUAAAUGCUGUAUAGGUGAUAUAUUACUUUUAUAAUCCAUCAAGGUACAUUUGAUUUUAAUGAUGAAACAAAUACAAAUAAAUCUAUGUGCGUCAAUGCUAGAUGGCUCCAUAUUAAACUUGUGAAGUAUAGAAAAUAAGCAGGAUUCGUAACAAAUAUUUUAGAUAAUACCACUGAAAAGUUAUAAAAAUAUUUUUUAAAAAAAGAAAUACAUGCUCGAGACACCACGACCGACGCGCACAAACUCACAUAUUUAUAUAUUAAUUGAGGUAAAAAAUGAUAUUCUGAGUAAUAUUGUUGACAUAUGAUUAAAAUUCUUUUUGAUGAAACAUUUUCGUAUAAAUACUAGUGAUAUUUGUAGAGAAAGUAGAAUGAAGUGAAAAAAACUUGAAUAUAAAUGCUCCAAUAUAAUUUUUCCCAUACAAAUUAUGAACUAGUGAACUUUAAAGCAUCAUAAAAUUGUUUCAACAUAAGUAAUUAGUUUGAAAAAUUGCCAAUAAUGUUUAAAGUGGGAACGAAAAGAUUAUACUAUAUGAGACACGAUAUUAUUUAAGACAGCUUACAAAUUGUGGGAAAUAUAUCGAUCUUACAAAUAAUAUUUAAUAAGUACAAAUUUCAAAUUAAAUAAUAAACCCUUAAUUUCCUUUUAAUCAUAAUUAUGAUCUUAAUAAUUAAAGUCAUUCAAUCUUAAUCACUUUUUUAUUUUUUUAAACUAUCUAAAUGACAUCGAAAACUCUACUCAAUAUUAAUUUAUUCGAAUGUUUUGUUUCAAAAAAAUUGAAAACUGUAAAUGAAACAAAUGCUUGCAAUCACAAAUGGCCUAAAAUAGGAUUUUUAUUUUUUAAUAUUGCAAUGUCUUUGAUCUUGAUAUUGGAAAUUUAUUUGUAACUUAUACCAAGUCUUCAAUUUUAUCAUAAUUAGUUUCUAAAGAUGCAUUUGCCAUACUGUGUAGUUGUAUUGUAUGAUGAUAUAUUACAUUAGGGUGCAUUGUAUUGAGCUGUAAUGCAAUACUAUUUUAUAUUAAUGUUAAAACUAAAUCAACAUUAUUUAAAUUUAUUAAUAUUUUAGGAUUUUAUUAGUAAUUUCUUAAAUUAAGUAUUAAAUAAUUAUUUUUAUAAUAUACAAACUAUUUAAUAAUAUUUUACUAUUAAAUAAUAAAAUAUUACAAUAUUAUGUUAUAUUAUUAAUAAUUAUUCUGUUAUAAUAUAAUUUAUUUUUAUAUAUUAGUUAUUAUAAUUUAGUAGAAUCAUAUUAUAAUAAUAUUAUAUUUUAAAAAUAUAAUACUAUAUAACUGUAUAAUAUAAUAUGAAUUAAUUUAUAAUUUAACAUUAAAUUAUAAAUUUAUUUUAUUUAUUAAUGUCAAAUAUAAUUGUCUAAUUUAAAUUUAGUUUUAAAUUUAGUAUUUUUUUAAAAAUAAACUAUUUAGUAAAAUUUAAAAAUAUAUUUUUAUUUAUUAAAUAAAACUAAAAUAUACUUUUAUGCAUUUAAAGUAAAAUUACUAAAAUGAUUUUAUAUAAUAAAGUAAAAUAAUGUAUUAUUAUUUAUUAAUUAAAUAUUUAGGUUUAUUAAUAUAAUAUAUUAUUAAUUAAAUUAAUGAAUAUUAAUUAAUAAUUUAAAUUUAUUAAAUAAUAAAAGUUAAAUGAUUAUAUUUAAAAUAUAAAUAGUAUUUUAAUGCAAUAAAACCUAAAUCCCACAUGUAUGCCACAUUUGUUAUACAGUGUAAUGCAACUAUAAAUUAUAAUUAUAUAAAAAUAAUAUUUUAAUACAAUAUAAUACAAGUAUAAUGCCACUUGAGAAAUUGAUAUUUUAAUCAUAAAAACCAAUAUAAUACAAUGAUUCUGUCCUCUUUAUUAUUUUUCUAAAUGCUUCCAUGGCAUAAUCUCAUUGGUCCAUUUUGUUUCACAGCUUAGAUUCAACUGCAAGAUUUUCAAUUUGAAGCAAGCUGUGGUCCACUGGCCGUGGCCAAACAAACAUGCCUCAUGAAGUCAUGGUGACUGAAUCAUCUCUUAUGUCAGAAUUUGAACUUAAACAAUUUGAACAUAGACUGUUUUUUGAUUGUCGAAGAUUCGCUUCAAAAAUUAGUAUUUUUUAGUGGAGUUUGGUUGUCUCGUAUCCUUCAAUUGUUGUUUGGUUAUGAAAAUAAUUUUUGAUUUUAGGGAAUUUCGAUUAUCUGGUUUAGUUUGAGUGCAAUUUCCUCUAUUUACGGUUUCAGUGUGACGGAUAAAUUGCAAUUUCGAAUUUUUGAUAAAAUUAAAAUUAAAAUUGGGCGGUUAUUAAUUAAUUGAUGGCUAGUGAUACUGCAACGGCGGCCGAAGCUCCGGAAGAAGCGGAGGCGGUGGAGGAGUAUGAUAGCGAUCCAGAUGAAGUGAAACACUCUCUCGUGAUGCGCAGAAUGGAAGCAAGCGAUGAUGAGUGUUAAGGAAGCUCAUGUUGCAGUCAAAGGAGCAGCUCAGUUAGCACGUGUGAAUCAAAGCACUCAUUUAAUGGAAAUUUUUCUAGAUGCUUCAAUGGCAGAAUCUCGUUGGUCUAUAACUCUCACGCCUUUGACUCAAGAUUCAAUUUCAAACCAACGCCGAACAAACAGUAUAAACCUUAAUAAGUCUGUGGCUCACCGAAUAAUAUCUCUUACGUCAGAAUUUAAACUUAAACAAAGCUACAUCCCACGUGUCCCCAACUUUCUUCAUAUUCCCAGAAAACCCCUACCAGAUCCAGAUAAUUACCUUCACUCUUCUCGUAUAAAUAGAGAAGAUGAUGAUUCCUACAAAGCCACGUAAGUCAAGUGAACGUUACGGCCAUGGGACGUUGGAAUUGGAUCAAACCACCGGAAUGUAAAGCAAAAUUAACCGAAUAGACUAAAUUAGAUCCAACCAUUUGAAUCGGUUGAGUGUCACUCAAAAAACAAAUAAAUAUAUAAAACAACACAAUUAUCAUAUUAAUGGGGUUCAGUGGAUGCUUCUUUUUUUUCAUUUUCAAUGAAUGCUUAAUAUGCAUUCAAUAUGAAAAACAAUCUGUCCCAUUGAGCACUGUUGAAGUCAUUGAAUGAAAAUGAAUACUUCUAUAAGAAACAAUCAUUCCCCUAUUUAUUUGACACGCAAAGAACUUUCUUACUCAGCUCGGCGGCCAAACCUUUAACAUUUGUUGAAAUUCAGUUAAUUGGUGAAUGUGACAUAACUCGAUAAAUCGUUUAAUUUGUAUAAUUGAUAAAAAUUUGAACUUCAAAUAAUAUAUGUUUUCAAUUUUAGAUAAUGGAUAUAUGUCAUGAUACUAUGAGCAAAUGAAGCGUCUGAUAGAAAACAUAAUGUUUGUAUUAGAAAUUUUAAGUGUGAAUCUAUUUACUGUUGGUUUUAUAUAUAAAAAAUUAGUUACCAACUUGUCUUGUUUCUCAUUUUGUUCAAUUUUCAUAAAUUUGACUAACGAUUAAUUGUGAGCGAAGAGUUUGUUGUAAAAAUAUGGUCUUCCAUUUACUAUAAAAAGAUUAGUGUGAUUUAAUUAUUUUUUCCUUUUGCUUCAUUUCUAGAAAAUUAUGAAUACUUUGGCAAAUAAGAUAAUUAAUUAUAAACAUCGUUUUCAAAAUCCAUGACCAUGGUUGUGAUGCGUCUUUGUAAAUAGCUAAUACAAAAUUAAUUUCUAUCAAAAUUACGGUAAUUACCAUUUGUUUUAAACUCUGUUCUGAACAGAGCAUGAAAAUACCACUUAUCUAGAUUUGCUUUUCAUGCUUUCACUUCACUUAAUCCAGCUUGUCCCUCCUUUGACUGUAUGCCGUGCUGGCAAGUGUGCUAUGCAGAUUACUGAGCUGACUAAUCAAUUUGAAGUGUACCAAUAAUAGAUUGGUGCCAGCUACUAACCUUAUGCCAUGUUAGUGCACAAUAACAGAUUGCUUAAGUUGGCUGGCACCAAUCUACUAACCCUAUGCCAUGUUUCUAAUGUGUCUAUAAAUUCACUAACACGUAUUAAUUUCUGCCAACAUUACCGAAUGAUUGUAUCGAUUUUUAAGCACGUAAACAUACCAGCUUUCUUUCUUUUACUCUCUAUUUCAUGUUUAUUCAAUUUCAAUCUUCUGCAAGUUUCUUUUACAUGCAUUUUUUCUUCUCUCUUUUGUUUUUUUGGUAAACAUAUUAUUUUAUCAUCUAUUACUAUAAGAAUGAAAUGAAAAUAGUCCUCAUUUAAAGUUUUGACAGCAAUGUUAUACUCAAUAUAACGUAUAAAGCACGCAUAAUUUAAUUAAUGGGGCUGCUAAUAUCUUCUUUAAAAGAGAAUUAUCGCAGCCACGUAGUUGGAAGCUCAAAGAGUUUCCAUAUUAGCCGAACCUAAGUGAUAAGCGUUUCCUUAUGAGCCAUGAUUUGGGGAAAAAAACCAAUUCAAGUUAAAGAUCAGAAAAGUGUGUCCCUCACGAAUACAAUAAUUCAAGCCACACAUUUAUCAAACGCAUGGCAGGGACGCUUCAACAUGUUGUCUCAUGGAAAGAAAUCCUUGUCUUUGACUUAAUACAAUGUUACAGAAAAAAUAUUGGGUGCUCCCACUGGCUGCUUUUAUUGAGUGGCAGAAUCAGAAUUUUAUUUCGGGUAAAAUCUCGUUUAGUCCCUAUAUUUUGAGGUUAGUGUCCGUUCAGUCCCUAUAUUUUUAAAAAUAUCUCAAAACAUCCCUGACAUUAAAUUAUUAGCACAUUUCCUCUUAUUUUUUGUUGCUUUUGGCUUAAUUUUUACAAUAUUACCCUCUUAUAAUAUUUUUUUUGGACAUUAGUAAAAAGAAAAAAAUUAAUUAUCAAUUUAAUCUCAAAAAAUAAAAUAGUAACAAAAUUAAUAUAUCAUACUUUUUUGUAACACACUACUGAGGAAUUAAUAUAAUAAUUUUUUUAUUACUAAUGUCCAAAAAAAAGGUAAUUUAAUUAUUUUAUUUUUGGGGUUAAAUUGAUAAUUUAAAUUUUUUUCUUUUUAUUAAUUUUAUAACAAGAAACAUUAUUGUAAGAGGGUAAUAUUAUAAAAGGAAGUCAAAAGAAACAAAAAGUAACAGCAUGGAUGUCAAUAAUUUAAGGGUAAGGAUGUUUUGAGGUAUUUAUAAAAAUAUAGGGACUAAAUGGGCACUAAUCUUAAAUUAUAUGGAUGAAACGAGCCUUUACCCUUUUAUUUCCAUGGUGGCAAUAAUGAUUAAACUGUAAACUUAAUUUGGUUGUGACAUGAAAAUAACGUUGUAAAUACUGGCUCUGCAUUUUAUAAAAUGCAGAUAUCUGUACUAGAAAAGAACUAUGACACACACACACACACACACACACACACACACACAUAUAAUCAUUCUCAGGUGCAGACGUCCGGAUUUUUUUUAAUGCAAACAAAUUUUUAAACCGUGCAAUUUUAAAGAAUUAGUUGUUGAAUAAACUAUAAAAUCAUGCUGUUUAGAAGAGUUAAAAGCUAACUCUCUUAUACCAUGCAGUUUUAAAGUGUGUCCGCAUAAAAAAAAAUGAGGACGCUCACACUAGAGAAGACUAUAUAUAUAUAUAUAUAUAUAUAUAUAUAUAUAGGUAUUCUCAUUUUAUUUUCAUGCGGAUACACUGUAAAACCGUAGGGUUUAAAAGAGUUGGUUAAUUUUUAACUCUUUUAAACUGCAUGGAUUAAAAGUGUGUCCACAUUAAGAAAAAUAUGGACAUCCGCACCCGAUAAUGAUUAUAUAUAUAUAAUAGUUUUUUGGUCCGGAAUUUUAAAGUGCGGGAAAGGUUAGGGAAAUCUUUAAAACCACAGAAUUUUAAAGGCUUAAAACUUGAAGCACUUAAACUGCACAUUUUAUGCAUUUUCCCGGACGUCCCCGUAAUUUAAAAUUCUAGAUUAUAUAUAUAUAUAUAUAUAAAGUUUUUUUUUCAAUUAACUAUUAUACCAUAUGAUUAAUAGCUGAUCCACACGAAAUUUACAUUUAGGCAAUUACUAUCAAAUAUCGAUACGUGUUUGAAUAAACUCUUAAAAAUCGAUUUCCACCUUCAUUAUUACAGCCCUUGUAUAAACUAACGCGGCAACAUAUAAUCAGUUGGUAAAAGAAUAAAUAUAUGUCAAGUGGGUUCUACCAUGUUUUUAAUUCAACGAAUGACAAUAUGCCACCUCGAUUUAUACAAUAAUAUUUAUGACUAUAUCAUUACUCAUUAAUUAAUAGGAACACUAAUUUAUUUUCUUAAAAGAGAAUUCAUCAAUUUGUACAAUAGUAUUUUUACAAAAGUAUUUGUGACUGUAUCAAUACUUGUUAGCUAUUAAUAGACCACUAAUUUAUUCUUCUUAAAAGAGAAUUACUGCAGCAAGUUUGGAGGCACAAAGAUUUCCCAUAUUAGCCAAACAUAAGAGAUAAAGAGUUCAUAUGAGAGGUAAUUUGGAAAAUCAAUUCCAUGCAAUAGGUCUUAGUGGGUUCGACUCAGUAUACGAUUAUUUUCAAAUUUUUAACGUAUUAAAGAUUCCUAUAUCACAUUAUAAUUUUCAAACAAUCAAAAUGAGUCAAAUCAAAUUUAGAACUUUGAGGUCUACUAUAGACUUGGACGUAUUAAAUUUAAGACAAUUAAGCAAAUCCUAGACAAAAUCUAACUUGUAAAUAUACCUUACCACACGAUGAACGUACUGAUAAAUCUUAACUGAUUGCUCACCAAUUAAUUGUUAUUUUGCAAUUUUUAUGUAUCCUUUUUUUCCCUAAAACUUCUAGUUUCCUAACAUACGGUUCUCAAUUGGUCUAAUUAUACUGUAAAUUGUAUUUUAAAUAUAAAUAAAAUGAAUUUAUUUAAUGGAAAUUUGAAAAAGGGACACUUAUCUACGAAAGCAAAGUUGCAUUCUCUUUGUGGGGACCCUAAAAAAAAAAAACGAGCCAGAAUGAUACUCCGAUGACGAUAAUCCUUAAGCUUAAGCAUUAAUUUUCUUUGCUUACAAUUUGGUUUGAAGGGUUAAGUUCAAGUUCGAAUUGAUAGAAAGAAUGGGCUGGUCAGUAUGAUGAUGAUGAUGAAGAAGAAGAAGAGGGGGAUGUCUUUGAGGAUGAAGAGAAAGAAAGUUCUAAAAAAAAAAAUACAGAUUUGUGGAAAUUAAAUUAAAAGCAACUAAUUAAGCAUUAUAAAUUACUUAACAGAGUAAUGCUGAGCUAAUCAAGUUUGUUUUUGAAGAAGGUAUCUUUAAAUCUCUUGGAGUUAAAGAUAAUUAUCAUAUCGCCAUAUCAAACGGACCGAUUAAAAAAUAAACUUAAAUAUUAUUUAAAAUCAUUUAAAUUUAACUUAAUAUAAUCCAAUAUAGACAAUACUAUAUAUAAUCUAGUCUAAUCCAAUUCAAUUGUAAUAAAUAAUACAAUCCAAUCUUGCGAGACAAAAUUGGCCUAAGGGUACCAAUUGCGCAAUAAUCUUUAUAGCCCGUUUCCCAGCCACGCACCCUUUUGUAUUAGUAUUCUCACAGCCGUUGGAAAUAUGGUUCGUAAUCCAAUAAAUGACAUUUUAUGGCUGUUGCUUGCUAGUUUUUGUAAGGUGGCCAAGGCCUUUUAUCAAACACUAUAGGAUCAACUAGUACAAAAUGAAUUCAUUUGGGAUGCGUUUAACGUACUGUGUUAGCUAUAUGCCUAUUAUGAUGUAUUGCAUUAACAUGCAUUAUAUUAAGUUAUAAUGUUAUACUUUGAUAUAGUAUAAACUGUAUUAUAUAAGGUAAUGUUUUAUAUUAAUGUUAAAACUAAAUUAAUAUUAUUUAAAUUUAUUAAUAUUUUAGGAUUUUAUUAUUAAUUUUUUUAAUUAAGUAUUAAAAAUUAUUUUAUAGUAUAUAAAUGAGUUAAUAAUAUAUUAUUAUUAAAUGAUAAAAUACUAAAGUACUAUGUUAUAUUAUUAAAAAUUAUUAUAUUAUAAUAUAAUUUAUUUCUAGAUAUUAAUUAUUAUAAUAUAGUAUAAUCAUAUAAUAAUAUAAUAUAAGUUAAUAUUAUAUUGUAAAAAUAUAAUACUGUACAAUUAUUUAAUAUAAUGUAAAUUAAUUUAUAAUAUAAUAUUAAAUUAUAAAUUGAUUAAAUUAAAUUAAAAUACUUUUUACGUAUUUAAAGUAAAAUAAUUAAAAUAAUUUAUGUAAUAGAAGUAUGAUAAUGUAUUAUCAUUUUCUCAUUAAAUAUUUUAGGUUUGUUAAUUUGUUAAAUUAUUAUUGAAAUUAAAAUUAAUUGUUUAAAUGUAAAUAUAAAUAUAAAUGAAUGCUUAAUAAAAUCUACUCCUAUGGAUCUAUUUUAUACACUUUUUAUUCUAUGAACCACGCUUAUAAUGUAGUUGUAUAAUAGAAACUGGAUAUUUAAUGGAAGCAAAAUUGCGCACGGUUUGUGGGUCUGUCAAAAAAUGAUAAAAAGACCAAUAUGAUACACUGACUCUGUCCUCUUUAAUAUUUUUCUAGAUGCUUCCGUGGCAUAAUCUCAUUGGUCCAUUUUUCUUCACGGCUUAGAUUCAACUUCAAAAAUCAAUUUGAAGCAAACACAACAAUUCAACAAAUAUAAUUAGUGUAGAGUGUUCUGAUUUAUUCUAUAAGUAGCUCAUUUGUGCUUAAAACCUACAUGUAUUGCACGUUUCUAUCGGUAAUUUGAUUACCUUUCCGUACUUUAUCAAUUAUUGAAUGAUUUUACCGGUUUAAUCGCUUGAUUGUUUGAGUAUAAUCGGUAAUUUGAUCGUCUGUCAGCAAGUGAUUUACAAUUCACUCUCCAAUUUUCAUUAAUUUAGUGUAGCCAAGCUUUAACUAGAUAGGUAGAUAACGUGGUCAUGAAAACUUGAUUAAGAGUUUAAUGCAAUCAAAUCUACUUUAAUGAUUAUUUAAUGCACGGAGAUUUAACAUCAAUUAUCAUCACGUUAUUCUAACAACGAAAUUGUAGAGCUUGGAUCUUUACUCGAACAGUUUCACUGGCACUAUUUCUGACACAUUGGGCAAGCUGAAGGAAUUGCAAUUCCUGUAUGAUCAUUUCCCCAACUAUUAUUUGAAUAAUUAUUUAAUGCCGUUCAUUCCAGCUCUGUUUGGCUGUUAACUUUAUUUUGUUAUUUAUGAGGAGAUUCAUUUCUCACCUGAAGCUAGAAAAUUUAUUGUAAUACAUGGAAGUAUAUAUUGCAUUGAAUAAAAUGAAAUUGUUCAAAAAUUAACAAAUUCAGCUUUAUUAUAAUCUAAAACAAAGUAAAUAGAAUAAUACCCAUCAUGUGUAAAAAUAAAAAAUAAAAUUUUUUAUACCACUUGGAAUUUAUUUUAAAUGUUUUGGUCAAAUCUAAGAAGCACAAACUUUGAACAAUGAUAAUAGGUAAAAACUAAUAAUCUUAUAAUAAAAAGUAAGAAAAAAAAUCAAGUUGAUUUAGCAGCUAAGAAUAAAAAAAGAAAAAUAGAAAGAGAGAGAAAUUAGUUUAGUCUUUAACCAUUGUUAUACUAGAGAAAAAAAAUUAAUUAAGAGUAAUUUUAUGAAUUUUUAGAAAUGAGUGAAUUUAAAAUAAUAAAUUAUAAUUUAAUAAUUAUCUUAAUUAAAAAAAUGGGUGUUGAAAUAAAAUUAGUGAAUGACUCUUUAUUUUACGGAUCAAUGACUCUUUAUUUUUUCUUUUAUAUGAUAGCUUGCAAUCCCUGGUGUGUGUUGAUAGUGCCAUACAUAAAUACAAAAAUGAACAAUUUUUUUUUUUUUUUGGGGGGCCAAUUGCAGUUUUGAUAACUAAAAUCUGUGUGGUCCGGUUACCACAAAGGCUUGCCGCAGAUCCCUGCCAUUUUCUCCUCCACCUCCAUUUGGGGAAAUUACUACUUACUUUUUGCAAGUUUUUCUUGAAAUAUUUAUUCUGAUAAGAAAACCAAUAAUACAUUUUAAGAUUUGGGCUGUUUCAAAGAUCUUCCCUUGAUGUCUCUGCUACUGAUGAUAUAUUGGGAUCGACUUUUUUUAUGAAAUAGGAGUUAGACCGAACAACGUUAUAUUUUUUACGGACUCUCAUACCAUGGAAAAACUCAGCCUUAAAGAAUGGUAUGAUGCUUUGAUAUAUGAAGUAAUUGGUAUAUAUUUUGUACCUUCCAUACACGGUGUCUAGAAUUUUGAGAUUAAGAAGAGUAUAAAUGCUAUACAAAUACACUCCUUUCAUUUUAUACAACUUUGAUUGAUCAAGUUGUAUCUCUUUGAUAAUAUGUUCUAUCUUCUUUCAUUUUAAACUUCAAUUGAGUUGCUAUCUAUUUAACUUUGGCAAGUCAGAGAGAGGGAUGGGACUGUCCAAUUAAAAUUAAGUUCCAAUUGCCAAUCCCACCAUUGUUGUCUCAUGUUUGCCAAAUUCAAAUUUGAAAAUCUCACCAAGUCAGUAUGGUGAUGUUGUGGGAUUGUCUCGCCUAGGUUUUUAGCCUCAUGACCUCCUUUAUUAGAAAAAGUCUUAAGUGUUCUUACUCAAUGGUAGAAUCAUGAUUUUACUUCAAUGGAAGCCAUAAUGAUUAAAAUAUACUCUUUUGAUUAAUUACUUAUUUGAUGUUGCUCUCUCUACCAUCAUCUCCAUCUUUAUGAAAAAAUUUAUUGUAAUACAUGGAAGUAUAUAUUGCAUUGAAUAAAAUGAAAUUGUUCAAAAAUUAACAAAUUCAGCUUUAUUAUAAUCUAAAACAAAGUAAAUAGAAUAAUACCCAUCAUGUAAAAAUAAAAAAAAAUAAAAAUUUAUACCACUUUGAAUUUAUUUUAAAUGUUUGGUCAAAUCUCAGAAGCACAAACUUUCAACAAUGAUAAUAGGUAAAAACUGAUAAUCUUAUAAUAAAAAGCGAGAAAAAAAAUAAAGUUGAUUUAGCAGGUAAGAAUAAAAAAAGAAAAAUAGAAAGAGAGAGAAAUUAGUUUAGGCUCUAACCAUUGUUAUAGUAGAGAAAAAAAAAUUAAUCAAGAGUACUUUUAUGACUUUUUAGAAAAGAGUGAAUUAAAAUAAUAAGUUAUAAUUUGAUAAUUAUCUUAAUUAAAAAAAUAGGGGUUGAAAUAAAAUUAGUGAAUUUAAAUAGCCUGCCCAAAAUCCAAACUUGCAUAUCAAUUAUUUUCUAAUUUACAUAAAGUUUUUCUAUAUGUUUGAUAACAUUUGAUUCUCAAUUGGUCUAAUGGAGAAACAACCAGCAAAAAAAUAAAAUGAAUGAAAUUAAAUGGAAUUUUGAAAAGAGCAGUAGAUGACAUUUAUGUGCAAGCAAAAUGCAAAAUUGCAUUCUGUUUGUGGGAUCCUGGAAAAAAUAAAAGAAAGAAAACAGAGUAAGACGCUGGUACUGUGGGCUUUAAUAUUUUUCUAGAUGCUUCAAUGGCAGAUUCUCGUUGGUUCAUUUUUCUUUACGCCUUAGAUUCUAUGAUUCAAUUUCAAUCAAAUAAGACAAACAAAAGAAGCUUUUAAGCCUGCAGCUCAAAAAGAUGGCACUUUAAUUUUCGGCUGAACAUACAUAUGGCAAGAUUAUUAUUAUUGAGCUUGAUAAGUGGGGAUAGCAAAAUCCGAAUUCGGAUGUAGGUGCAUUCGGAUUUGGAUUCGGGAAAAAUUAUGUGGAUGUGGAUUUGGAUGCGGGUAAUAUCUGCACGAAUUGCGGGUGAAUAUUCUAAAUAUUUAGAUCCGCAUAAUAAUAAAUUUAAUUUUAAUUUUAAUAAUUUACAUAAUAAUAUUAAAUAUAAUAUAAUUAUACUUUAACAAUCAUUAAUUUAACAUCAAUUCAACAUAAAUACCAUACAACAACACCAUAAAUUCACAAACAAUAAUUUCACAAUAUAAAUCAAACAUAAAAAAUAAAAAUAAAAAUCUAUGGUAAACCGAUUUAUUACAAUAUUCUCUAAUUAUUAUUAUUAUUAUUAUUAUUUGUUUUUUAAUAUAUUCAUAGUUAAUGAAGAUUAUAGAGUUAAUUAUGCUUAUACAUUUAUAUAAAUAAUUUAAUUUAUAUAUUUUCAAUUGAAAUUUAAUUAAAUAAAUAAUUUAAUUAUAAAAUAAUGCAGAUCCGGAUAUCUAAUUUUUCGGAUGUAAAUGCAUCCGGAUCCGUACGGAUCUUAAUUUUUAAGAUUCGGAUUCUUUUUUUUUAACAUACAGAUUUAAAUUUUUUUGAAUUCGGAUCUUCUGAAUCUUUGCAGAUCCAGAGUUUAUUGCCAACCCUAAAUUGAUAAGGCUAUAGAAAAUUCAAUAUCCAGAUCGGAUAAGGAUCCAAUAAAUUAUAAAAUAUUGCGGCUCAAAGCCCAUAUGAUCAUGGGCCACCGCUUGCUCAUGCUUUGAAUCAAAAUUUUCUAAUGAAGUGAGGUUGGAAGCUAAAAGGGGCAAAUGAUGAAAUGGGGUUCAUCAUAUAUUGAGCCCAACGGGACAAGAUCAUCAUUUAAUUCCCUCCUCUUGUCGAUAGAUAUUUGCCGAAUUUUUUCAUUUAAAAAAUAUUAUAUUGGUUAAUAGAAUUUGAAGUUUUACAAAAUAUAAGUUUAAUUUAAAAAAAAAUUAUGUUUGUUAAUUUAAAAUUUUCAUUUGGUGGUUGUGUUUGAGAAAAAAUUUAGGUAUACUCGGAUAUACUCUCUUAUUAUUCAUUGAAUUUGGGUAUUUAAACAUACUAGUAUGUAGUAUUUUUAGGUAAUUAGCAGAGAAGUAUACGUGACAAAAAUAUAACACGUGAAACAAUACACAAUGAAAUUAUCUACAAUUUUCCAUUGACUUAGUCAACUCUUCAUUAAUUUCAUUGACUUGAUCAACUCAUGAUCUAACUUGACAACUUAAAAAUUAAAUUAUGCUAGUAAUUCCGUAAAAUUAAAAUUUAUCUCCCAAAAUUGAUAAAUACCAUGUCACUUUGUCAAAUUACUUAGGGUAAAAACUCUGUGGCUAAAAACUUUUAACAUUAGUUGUAUGCUAAUUGAGAAGGACAAGACACAAAAGAAUUAAAUUAAUGCCACAUCAUGCAACACUAACACUACUUACUCUUAACAAAUUCUUACAAACGUGAUUCAUGAAAUUAACUUGACUUUUUGUCUAAAAAAGGCCUAAAGAAUCAUGCCAAGCAACAAAUAAAGUAGUCCAAACGUGAUUCAUGAAACUUGAUAGGCACUAUCUAAAUAGUAUUAAUAUGGCCACCAAAAACAUGCGCGCAAAAUAGACUUUCUUGGACGAUCCAUGCCAAUCAGCAAAUAAAGUAGUCCGAACGUGAUUCGUGAAACUUGACUUCUUGUCUAAAAAUGCCUAAAGAAACAAGACCACAAUUUCCAUGCAAUAUCAAUAUGGUGGCCACAAUGCACUUUUUAAGCCAUUUUUCAAAACUAAGUUUCUUCGUUUCACAUGCACUAUUCAAGCAAUUUUUCAACAUUUUCUCCUUCCCCUAAAAGCUACAUGCAUGAAUCAUGUCCCAAUCAAUUUCUUGGCAAAAAUUGGAACGCAAGAACCGAUUGGAGCAUAAGGACAAUGUCACGAUUCAAGAUUCUCAGCAAGACCACGUCACAAUGCAUCACUUUUGGAAAGUAAUCUAGCAAUUUCCAAUGCCUUAGCUGAUUAAUGGCUUGACCAUGUCACGAUUGGUCCACAUUAUGCACAUGGCAAGAUCAAACAAAAUAUCACAGCUAGCUCGACGACUACUAGCCAAAAUAACAAGACAAUGACGGCCAGUUACAAACUCUUUACGAAGGAAAUACCGAAAUAUGAAUUUCCCUCCUAAUCACUUUCUUAUAUUAUCAUUAUUUUGUACAUAUAACAGAACACGUUCUCUCUUGUAAAGAAGUCAACAAAACGGUUUUAGUUUUCAUAUCAAUAAUAGAAUCCAAAAUCUUUCACAGCUUGCUUCUCCUUUGGACGCUUGAAAGACUUUCUUACCUGGCUAAAACUGUGAAAAUUGUUCAAACUAAUUUGAUUGAUAACUUUCUGACACUAUAAUGUAUUAUUUAUAUGAAGGCUACAUUUAAAUGUGAAAUAAAAAUGAGUGUUUAUAUUAAAAAACAAUCAGUCUCAUUGCGUCCUCUUUCAUUGACAUAGGCAGUUUGCGGUCAACCCUUUAUUAGGUCAUGACUGUCCGAUUGUCUUCGCUUUCAUUGACUUCGCAACUGUGAAUUCUAAGCCGGGUUAACGAUUGACAAAAUGUUAUAACCCAUAAAGCACGGAUAAUUAAUUAAUGGGCCACUGAUUUCUUCUUUAAAGGCUAAUUCUUGGUAAAGAUCAGAAAGUUCUCAAAUAAAAAUUCGGCUUUGUGGAAAUUAAAUUAAAAGCAAUUAAGCAUUAUAAAUUACUUAACAGCUUAAUCGAGUUUGGUUUUGAAAAAUAUAUCCUUAAAUCUCUUGUAAUUAAAGAUAAUUAUCAUAUUACCGUCUCAAAUGGACCGAUUUCAAUCAAAUGAAAUCUAGAAAAUUGAGCAGCUCAUUGAUGUAUUUGGUCGAAUUGUGACUUGUGUCAGAGUCUUCGUUUUAGAAGAGUGCACAGCAGCUGCCAGGUCCACUCGGCAGUUGGCAGCAAAUUAUCUAACACCACUUUACUAUCAAAAUUUUUUGACAAUAAUUUUUUGUCACUUAAUAUUUCAAUUUUUAUCAUUUUAUCAUCAAAAAAUAGUAAAUGCAUGUUUAGUGUAAGUUAUCCACAAACAUGGUUGUUGAAUUGUCUUGUUUCUCAUUUGGUUUAAUUUUCAUAAAUUCGACUCACACAAUUCAAUUAUGAGUGGAGUUUUUUUGGAAAAAAUCUGGUCUUCCAUUUACUAGAACCAGGUCUGAAUGAUUUUAUUAUUUUUCUUUUGUUUGAAAUAUACGUGGAAAAUGUUGAACACUUUGUAGGAUUUAGAAGAAUUUGAAAGUUUGAAUGCAUAUAGUUUACUAUCCAUCAGCUAGUGCAUAUUCUGUAUUUUAUGAAAUCAAAGCUGGUUGAUUGAGAAAUGGACCUUAUUACAUGUCAUAAGAUUUUACAGUGCUUUCUAAUGGGGCAAAAUAAAAUGAUUCUUAUCUGCACAGAAAAUUAGAAACGAAAAGGAGGGUUACUGAUCCACAGAGUUGUUAUUUACGAGAAGCACAUGGAUAUUACACUUAAUUUAUUAUCCAUCUGUAUUGUUUAGAUGACACUGAAGUAUUACCUAAAUUUAUUAUCCACAAAACUUCUUUUUCAAAAAUCUAUGGUUGUGAUGCGUCUCUAUAAACUCACUCGUACAAAUUCUAUCUAAUGCCAAUUGUUUUAAACCCUGCUCUGAAGAGAGCAUGAAAGGAUAUGUUCACUUAUCUAGUUAUGUUUUUUAUGCUUUCACUUCACUUGAUUAUAUCCAUCACAAGGAUCAUAUUAUAUCCUACGGAAGGAGCACAGUUCAUUGGCUGCACUCAGUUUACAGAGUAUUUCGGGAUUCAAGACUGUAGGUUGUUGCGGUUGCAACUUGCAAGGCUGUAGCUGUGUGACUGUAUGCCACGCUGGCAAGUGUGCUCUGACGGAUUGUGGAGAUGGCGCCAAAGAUUGUAAACUAAUUAGUACUGAAAAAUCCUAUUUGCACAUAAAAUUGCACAAAAUAAAUAGAAUGAGAAUAAUUGUACAAAGAAAUAAGAUUAAUAAAGUAAAUAAAUUUAUCUUUUAACAAAAUAUUUCUAGUCUUUUAGUGUUUUUGUGUACGUACAAGUAGCAUUACUCAUUCUAAUAAGUAGCUCACUUGAGCCUAGGACUUGUAACUAUGUUUUACCUUUCUGUAACUUUCUUAUAAAGAUUUUUUUUUUUUUUACAUUUUCAAUUUCUCUUCCAUUUUCCCGACUCCCAACACCACCAAUCCUCGGUUUUCUAGAGUAUCAGCUAUCUCUUUCUACAAACACAAAACUGCUAUUUACUUUCAAGAAACAACGUAUUCUGUGGUUUAUUGGCUUGAGCCUUGUGAACCGGGCUAAUGUUGGUCUAACUACUUUCACGAAACAACGUACUCCGUGGUUUAUUGACGCGCACGGUAGCUGCUAAGUGCUAACUGCCUUCUCCAUUUGACGUGCAAAACACUUUCUUGAGUCGGGUUAAAAUUAAUUGAUCAUUUUAUUUGGUGAUAAUGACUUAGUUGUCAAGUCAUGAGUUUGAUGAUGAAGAGGAUGAAAAAUAUUAUUUUAUUAUUUAAAAUAAGACUAUCAAUUAUUUCCAUGGUCAUCUUAUUUUCUAAAAUAACUAAAUGGAAUCUCACAGAAUUAAAGUGCUUGACUUCUUCAUACAGUGGUUGACUUCUUUUUACAGAAUUAUAAAGUGAAAAAGGAAAUUAAGAAAUUAAAUACUUUUCAUGCGAGUGGAGAAGAUUGGGUAGCGAUUACAUGAAAUAAAAGAAAAAUAAUUUAAAAGUACAACACUUUAAUAAUCUCAUUCCCAAUCAUAUCGGUAUAAAAAUUCUGUAGAUUUAUUGAAUAACUAUUGAUUUUACUUUGGUAAUUUCUUUCUAAAAGUGAGGUAAACAUUUUUAUUUUCUUUGCAUUCGAGCUUUCUUUCUUUUGCGCUGGCCUUCACACUCUUGACCGUAUUUCAUGGGGCACAUUCAAUCUCAAUCUACUGCAAGUUUGUGGCAGUUUUGUUAAUAACGAACAUUUGUAGGAUUUUAUGUAGAUGAUACUUUUACAUACAUUUUUCUUUUCUUUUUUUCUUCGGUGAACAAAUUAAAAAUUUAGUUUUUGUCAUCAUGACUAGUGAAAUGAAAAUUGUCCUCAUUUCAAGGAUUGACAAAAACGUUGUGCUCAUACCGAUUAAUGGGGAACUGAUUUCGUCUUCUUAAAAGAGAAUUAUUUGCAGCGCCGUAAUUCGGAGAUUUCUGUAUUAUAUAGCCAAACCUAAGUGAUAAGAAUUUCCAUAUGAGAUAUAAUUUGGAGGGAAACAAAAAACUAAUUCAAGUUAAAGACCAGGAAUUUGUGUUCCUCACAAAAACACUUCAACGUCUAUUCUCUCAUAGAGGGGAAUAUCCUUCACUCUUUGACGUAUCCCUGGGGCAAUGUAAGUUGACUUUACAUUAAAACAAAAAAUAAUUACAAUCACAUAAUUACAAUUAUCAUCACUGAUUUGUAUAAUUUUCAGGACUAGUAAAUUAUCUCAAUUUUUAAAAAACAUAAUUACAAUUAUCGAUCGAACACCACUAAUUCCAACAAUUCAUCCAAGUUUUUCAACUUUUUAGAUAUUUGAUAUAUGUCAUGUUUUAACUUAGUACGAGAAAAAAAAUAUAGAAUAAUUUUUUUUCAAAUUAGUGGAAUUAUUUUACGAUAAAACUAUCACAAUCACAUUGAAAAAUAUUCUUUAAAUUUUCACUAUUUCUACUGUUAUUCUUUAACCUUUUUUCUGAACAGAGCAUGGAGGGUUGCUUAUCUAAAUAUGUUUUCUGUGCUUUCACUUCACUUGAUUCAUCUUGUCCCUCUUUCAUAGCUUCUAUCUCGUGUGAGCUUAGAACCUGCAACUCGUAUUUUACGUUUCUGUUACUUUCUCUUUCAUUUUCCCGACUCCCAAACACCAUCAGUCCUUGAUGUUAUAGAGUAUUAGCUGUCUAUUUGUACAGACAUAGAGCUACUGUUCCCACUGUAGAUCUUCAGAUGGUUAGCUCACUAUUGUUUGAAUAUUAAAAUUAAUUUGUUAAAUAAAUAAAGAAAACAAGAGACAAUUGCCAUAUAUAUUCCAUAUUAAUUAGUCACCGUCCGAUUGUCUCCACUUCCAUUGACUCUGUUGAUUCAUGCUUUCAUGAAGUGAAACGUUUAACACUCUGUUCUGAUCCGCAGGAGAGGAGGAAAAACAUAAUUUUAUUAUUUCAUUCCUGACACGCGCAAAGAGCUUUCUUAAUUGAUGAAUGUGACAUGAAGCUCUAUAAAUAGUUUAAUUUGUAAAAUUGUUAAAAUUUGUUAAAUUUCAUUUAAUUGAUGAAUGUGACAUGAAGCUCUAUAAAUAGUUUAAUUUGAAAAAUUGUUAAAAAUUUAAAUUUCAAGUAAGGUAGAUAAAAUGAUUAAAUUUUUUCAAUAUUUAGAAAAUUAACAUGUGUCAUGUAACUAUGAGUGAAUGAAUGAAAUUUUUGAAGUGCGAAUCCAUUUACAAGUUACGACUUGUCUUGUUUCUCAUUUUACUUAAUUUUCAUAAAUUUGACUCACGAUCAAUUAUGAGUGAAGAGUUUGUUGGAAAAAUAUGGUCUUCCAUUUAUUGUAAUCAGAUGAGUGUGAUUUAAUUAUUUUUUCCUUUUGCUUGAUGUCCCGAAAAUUAUGAAUGCUUUUGUAGGAUGCAGAAGAUUAAAAAUUUUAAUGCAUAUCUAUAGUCAAAACUGAGGAAACAGAACAUUACUGCUUCUAUAAAUAGGUCAUUUCAACCUAAAACUUGUUACUUGUAUUUUACAUUUUUUUUUUUUAACUUUUUCUUCCAUUUUCCCAAACACCACCAAUCCUUGAUUCUUUUCCUAGAGUAUUAGCUGUCGAUUGUUACAAACAUAGACAUAUUGUUUGUCUAAUUACUAUCAAGAAACAACAUACUCUAUCCUGGGGUCUCUUCGUUUAUUUAAUAUUUAGGUUUAUUAAUAUACUAUAUUAUUAAUUAAUAAUUUAAAUUAAUUAAAUAAUAAAAGUUAAAUGAUUAUAUUGAAAAUCCAAGUAGUAUUUUAAUGUAAUGAAACCUAAAUCCCACCUCUAUACCACAUUUGUUAUACAAUGUAAUGCAACUAUAAAUUAUAAUUAUAUAAAAAUAAUAUUUUAAUACAAUAUAAUACAAAUUACAAGUGUAAGGCUGUAAUAUUAAUUAGCCUGUGUAAUAGUAUGCCAUGCUGGCAAGUGUGCUAUAACAGAUUGUCGAGCUGGCACCAAUUAUUUUAAACUAAUAUUAGUAAUUAGUCUAGAGUGUUCUGAUUUAUUCUAUUAAUAGCCCAUUUAAGCUUUGAACAUGUGAACUUGUAACGUGUACUGUACUUUUCUAUUACUUCUAAUAAAGAUUUUCUCUAUUCCUUUUUCUUCACUUUCUCUUCCGUUUUCCCGACCCUCAAACACCGUCAAUCCUUGAUUUGAACUGCUGUUUGUUUGUCUAAUUACUUUCAAGAACAAUACCCUCCAUCCCACGGUCUCUUCGUUUAUUGACUUGUUACUUGUGAACAGGGCUAAAUAAAGGGAAAAUACAACAAUUCAAGCCAGCCAUUUAUCAAACGCAUGACAGAGACGCUUCAACAGGUUGUCUCAUGGAAAGAAAUCCUUCAGUCUCUGACGUAAUACUUGGGGCAACGUAAAUUGACUUUACAUUGAACGAAACACUGGCCACAAACAUUAUCAAAAUUAAAUUGAUCGGUUUAACGUAAGUUUUUCUUCAAGAACGAAUGCCAAGAGCUCAAGAAAGUCCUAUCCUUUAGACACGUUAAGAAUUACUUUUCUUUUCAUAAUAAAUUAGAUUGAGUUAAUAAUAUUUGCCUGUGUGAAAUGAAUAAUCAGUUUAGUGUCACCCCAUUAUUAAUUUGUGACUGUCCGAUUGUCUCCUUUUUCAUUGACUUUGCAACUGUGACUUCUGAACCGGGUUAAGAGUUGACAAAAAUGUUAAUGUUAAUAUGUUAUAACUCAUAAAACACGCAUAAUUAAUUAAUGGCCCGCCAAUUUCUUCUUCUCAAAAGAGAAUUUUUGUAGGAGAUUGAAAAAAGGCUAAUUCAUGUUAAAUAUCUUAGAUGAGUGUCUAUCAGGGAUACAAGUCAAGCCACACGAUUUUUCUUGUUAUACUAUUUAUUGGCACUUGUGAAUCCUUGAAUUAUCAAAUGAAUAGCAACAACACUUCAAUAUCUAUUGUUACACGGAGAGAAAUCCGUUCUCUCUUUGAUGUACUACUUGGCAAUAUACAUUGAUCUUUCAUUAAAACAAGCAUUCUCAUAUUGUUGAGAAAAGCUCACGUUAAACUAUUCAAUUUAAUCAUUUAUUAAACAGAUAUUUGGUUUGAUUCAUUUAAUUCAUUUAGUAGAAUUAAUAAACGAAUCGGAUCGAAUCCAGAUUCAUUUAUUCUAUUACGAAUCCACAACGAAUUGAAUAGAAUCGAAUCAGAAUUCAUUUACAAUUCGUUUAGAAAAAUAUAAUUGAUUAACAAAAUUAAGCAAAAUAAAAUAUAAAAAAGCCGCAAAUUUAAUAUCCUACAACAAAAUACAAAUAACACAAACCAUAUUCUAGGAUUAAAUAUACAGUCAUCCAAAUUACAACAUUAACCUUCAAAUUUUAAAAUAAAUAAAUAAAUUUAAGGACAAAAAAAUAAUUUUAUUAAAUGAAUAAUAAACGAAUUUUAAACGAAUCGACAUGUAUUCGAUUUGUUUAUCACUUGUUUAUUAAACGAAUCCUAGACAAAUAUAACGAAUCAAUAUCUUCAAAGCUGGAUUUGAUUUGUUUAAUUAGCGAAUCGAAUCAAAUUAGCCCAUUUAUUAAACGAAUCAAUUUUUUCGAACCCAAACCCAUUUAAUUGGCAUCGAAUCAAAUAAACAAAUCCUGACCUAUAUUGUCACCCCUAGGCUUUUGGUGUUUCUUUGCGUAUUUUUGUGUACAAGUUUGUGUGCAAAUAGCAUUACUUAUCAAUAAUUAGUCUGGAGUGCUCUAAUUUCUUCUAAUAAGUAGCUCAUUUGGGCUUAGGACCUAUAACUAGUAUUUUACGUUUUUGUUAAUCUCUGAUAAAGAUUUUCUCUAUUCUUUUUUUUUUUCCUUUCACCUUCUCUUUCAUUUUCCGAGUCUCAAACACCACCAUUCCUUGAUUUUCUAGAGUAAUAGCUCUCUAUUUCGACAAUCGCAGAACUGUUGUUGAUCUAACUACUUUCAAGAAAUAACGUAUUCUGUGGCAUAUUGACUUGUGAACGGGCCUAAUUAGUCACGGUCCGAUUGUCUCCUCUUCCAUUGACUCGGUCAAUUCAUGACUUUGACCUGCACAGUUGAUACGAACUGACUUCUCCAUUUGACGUGCACAAAACUUUCUUUAGUCGGGUUCAAAUUAAUUGAUCACUUUGUUUGGUGAUGAUGAAUUGGAUGUCCAAUUCAUGAGUUUCAUGAUGAAGAGGACGAAAAACAUUAUUUUUUGAUUUAAAAAAGACAAACAAUUAUUUCGAUGGUCAUUUUAUUAUUAUUUUUUUAAAUAUCCAAAUGGUAGAAUCUUACAGAAUUAAGGUGCUUGACUUCUUUAUACAGAAUUACAAAGCGAAAAAAUAAAGAAAUAAAAUACUCAUCGUGCAAGUGAGAAGAGAUUGGGUUGUUGAUACAUUAAAUAAAAGAACAAUGAAUUAAAAGCAUAACAUUUCAAUAAUUUCAUUCUCAAUCAUAUCAAAAAUAAAAUUUACUGUACAUUGUUGUUCGGUUCUGCAAAAAAAAAAAAAAAAGGAUUUGCGGUUUUGCUUGAGUGUAAUUUUCGUUAAUUACAGUUUGAUUUGAAGGGUUAAGCGCACGUUCGGGUUUCUUUUAUGUAAUUUAAAUCAACAUUGAUAUAACAAAUGAGCUGAGUACGAUGAUGAAGAAGAGGAAGAGGGGUAUCAUCAAUUUAUUAUCAAAUCUUUUCUCAUACAUCACUUUAUCAUUAUAAGCUUUUGACAAUUAUUUUUAUCAAUCGGGGUUCUUGACUUUUUGUUUGAAGUCUAAAGCUUAAUAAUUUUAAAGCAUUUACCAUUUUUAUUUUGUUUUUUUAAUCACUUAUGUCUGAUUAUAAGAUGUUUAGGUAUGAAUAGAAAAAGUUAAAUAUUUUAACUUUUAUCUGAAUGACAAAAUAUAUAAAUGGAUUUUAAUAUUCUCUCUUGUUAAUACCCCUAUUCGAUAAAUUUAUUUCUUGUUAUAUAAAUUAUUGUUUUAUUUUUUUAUUUUUUUAUUUUUUUAUUUACCCCUCUCUUUUGUUAUAUACAUGCAUUCAACUAUCAUUUUUUUUUCUAUGAAUGAGAAUUUUAGACAUAAUAGAAAUUUAGGUGAGUAUGUUUUAUAAUAGAUCUAUCUCUUUGUAUUUACAUUUACUAUUUUAUAAUAAAAUUUUGAAUUUUAUUUACUACAUUAAUUUUAAUUCAAAUGAUAAAGCAAUUCUUGAUUGACUUAUAUAAUUAACAAGAAAAAAAUAUCAAUAUAAAAUACAAAAAAUAGCAUUAUAUUCAAUACUUUAAUAAUCUCAUUCCCAAUCAUACCGGAAAUAAAUUUUUCUGUAUAUUUAUGAAAUAACUAUUGAUUUUUUUUUUUAAAGGUAAACAUCUUUAUUUUCCUUGCACACGAGCCUUCUUUCUUUUGCUUUGGCCUUUACUGUUGAUUUCAAGGUCAUAUUCAAUCUCAAUCUUCUGUAGGUUUGUGGCUGUUUUAUGAGUUACGAUUUUUAUAGGAUUGCAUGUAAAUGACAUAUUUAUAUACAUUUUUUCUUUUCGGUGAAGAUAUUAAAAAUUUAGUAUUUGUUACCAUGUGAAAUGAAAAUAGUCCUCAUUUCAAGGAUUAAUGGGCCACUAAUUUCGUCUUCUUAAAAGAUAAUUAUUUGCAGCGAGAUAAUUGGAAGCUCGAAGAUUUCUAUAUUACAUAGCCAAACCUAAGUGAUAAGAAUUCCCAUAUGAGAUAUAAUUUUGGGAAAAAAAAAACCAAUUCUAGUUAAAGAUAAAAAAUUUGUGCUCCUCACAAAAACAAUAAUUCAAGCCACACAAUUUUUCUUGUUUUAUUUCAAAAACAAAAUUGUGUUCCUCACAAAAACACUUCAACAUCUGGAGAAAUUUUAGAAUAUAUCUGUUGUAACAUGUCAACCAUACAACAAACAAAUAAUUUCAUGACAUGUAUGUAUUUAUUUUAUAAGCUAUCAUUCAAGUGGUGGUUGUAUUAAACUCAAUUACACAUGUCAUGCAUGUAUUAAUUGGUUGUAAUACAACAGAUGUAUUAUAGAAUUAUUCCAACAUCUGUGGUCUAGUAAAGGGAAAAAUCCUUCACUCUUUGACGUGUCCCCAGGGCAAUGUAAGUUGACUUUACAUUAAAAAAAAAAAAAGAAACAUUGUCAUAUAGUUAAGAAAAACGUAAUUUUGACAAGUGCAAGAGAUGGGUAGGACUCAUUUGAUGCAAGAAAAACAAUGAGUAUACGCAAAGAGCUUUAUUACUCUGCAGCCAAUACUUUGAUGAAUGUGACAUUAUUGGUUUGUAUAAUUUUUUGGACUAAUAUUUUAUCUCAAUUUUUUUAAAAAAAUAUAAUUGCAAUUUUCAAACACGAUUAAUCCCAACAAUUUAUCCAAAAAUUUGAGUUUCAAUAAAUGUAGCAUUUAUGAUAGCAUGGCUAAUUUUUUUCAACCAACACUUUAGAUAAAUGAUAAAUCAAUAUUUGACAUGUUACUAACUUACUACAAGAAGGAAAUUAUAGAAUAAUUUUUUGAAUUAGCAGAAUUAUUUUACGAUAAACCUAACACAAUCUAAUUUAAAAAUAAAGUUAUUCUUUAAAUUUCCCGUUCCUAUUCCUACUUUUCUUGUUAUACUACUUUGGCACCGGUGAAGCCUUGAAUUAUCAAACAAAAAGCAAAAAACACUUCAACAACUGUUGUCCCACUAGGCAUUGUUAAAUUCAUACGAUAAAAUGAGUACUUGUAUUAAAAAACAAUGAGUCUCAUUGUGUCCUCUUUCAUUGAUAUAGGCAAUUUCCAGUCAAUUUGUGGCACCCUUACUGACACGUAAAAAACUUACUUACCCCUCACCCAAUACUUUUAUGAAUUUUCAGGACUAGCAAAAUUUUCAAAUUUAAAAGAAAAAAAAUGCAGAAAUAUAAUUUCAAUUUAUCCAGAUAUUUGGGUUUCAAGGAACAUAGCAUUUAUUAUAUGUCAUGUUAAUAUAGAGACUAAUUUUUUUUAAAAAAAAAUUGAAUGAAUAAAAGUAUUUUUUUGAUAAAAAUUUCACAAUCAUAUUUUUUUAAAAAAGUUUUUUUAAAAAAGAAAAUUCACUCCUCUUCUUACAUAAUUUAAUAAUUUAACAUUAUAAAUUAAUCUUUUUAAUCAAAGUAAUAAUCUCUCCUUCGGUGUGCGAAUGCUAAAAUUUAAUAUUAUAGUCGUUGAUGAUAUUUGCGUCAAAUUCACGUGAAUAAAAUUUCUAACAGAAUUAUGAAAUUCGUUACUAGAAAUUUGUAUAAAAGUAGUGAGAAUAGAAGGUUUGAUCAAAGGAAAUUAAUAUAUCCCUAUCCGAUGCAAAAAUUACAUUCUAUUUUCCAAUUACUAAGGUCAGCCUUAACGCAUGCCGGUCUUUUUCUCCUCUACUUUCUAGAAAUUUUGGUUUCACUAUAAAAACUCGGUAUAUAACAAACUUAUGAGUGUUCUUGCAUUACCAAUCCAAUUAAGCACACGCUUACAAUCUAAAAUACUCUCAUCUCAUGGAAAGAGUUCAUUCUCUCAGGAUGAUGAGCAUAUUUCUCCUACUCCAUUGUUUGAUUAUUAUUUCCUUAUUUAUCGCAGCAACAACAGCCACCACAAGUUCUACUAUCACAGACCGAGAUGCUCUGUUAGCCCUGAAAGCUCACAUAACUCAUGAUCCGACCAAUUUCUUGGCCAAGAAUUGGAACACAAGUACUCCUGUCUGUAAUUGGACAGGUGUCGCUUGUGACGUCCAUAGCCAUAGAGUCACAGUCUUGAAUAUUUCAAGCUUAAAUCUCAGAGGCACCAUCCCAUCUCAACUUGGGAAUCUUUCUUCUCUGCAAUCACUCAAUCUCAGUUGUAACCGACUUUCUGGUUCCAUUCCCUCCACCAUCUUCACCAUAUACACACUAAAAAAUGUUAGUCUCGGUAAAAAUAAGCUCUCUGGGCAAAUUCCUACAAAUAUUUGUAGUAAUCUUCCUUUUCUUGAAUUUCUUUCUUUGUCCCUAAACAUGUUCCAUGGCGGAAUACCGUCCACUCUAUCAAAUUGCACAUAUUUAAGAACCUUAAGUUUGGCAUACAAUGAUUUCUCGGGAGCCGUACCUAGAGAAAUCGGUAACUUGACCAAACUUAAGGUAUUAUAUAUUGGCGCGAAUAGACUCCAAGGUGCGUAUGAUGAUGGAGUUUAAUUAUAAAAAUUGUUCCAUGAGUUGUAAUAUGAAUAAUGUUCCAUAAUACACUUCUGAGCCCGAAGUCCUUUCUUUUCCUCCUUGACUCUUCUAUCGUCGAGCUAAGUGACUCUGUCAUGCCGCUUCAAGUAAUACACACGUUGAUUAAUUUGCAGGAGAAAUUCCUCGAGAGUUUGGCAAUCUUACCGAAUUGGAGCAGUUUUCGUUACCAACAAACAAUCUCCAAGUUAUGAUUUUAAACUUUUUGCAAUUUUAUUCUAGCUCUGCUUGAUUCUGUAUUCAUUCGUUUGUUCAUUAUUUAUGCUAUGAUUUAUUGUUUUUCUUUCAGAUAGAGAUAAAGCUCCAUGUCUCCCCUCACUCAUUUCGUUCUUUGAUUUAUGCACAUAAAAAUAAAAUAAAAAUGUUUUGUAAUUUUCUUUUGUCAUAUUGCCACUUCCCUUUUGAAGCUCCCAAUUAAGUCGAUGAAAAUGAAUGAUGUUUCAUUCGUAUUCUUGUCAGCCUAAUUCUUAUAUAAUUGAAGAGUAAAUUGUUAUUAUGAUAUUCGUCAGCCAAUAAAUUCUUUUUUUUUUUCAAAAUAUGAGUGAUCAAAUUGUUUGCGCAUAUAUAAUUUUACUUAAUUUGCAGGAGGUAUUCCACAGGAAUUGGGGAAUCUUGCAAAAUUGGAGAUUUUACAGCUGUUCCAGAAUAACUUGACCGGUAACCAUCUUUACUAUAUAUAUAUGAGACAUCUUCUGCUUCUUAAUUAAAAGAUUUCAAGUCUCUCAUUAUAAAUUCUCAUAUGAGGAUAUGUCAUUACUACAAUCUAACAUUAUUCCCUUUUUUUAUUAGAAAUUAGUUUGUGUUAAUUCAAAAUUUUGUAACAUGUAAAAAAAAUUAAAAACACGUGGAAUAAAUCAUCAAUCUUUCUUCUUUAUUGAAUUUGGAUUUCUAAAAAAUUAUCUUGACAAGUAUGCUUCACUAAUGAUAUGCAUGUGUGACAACUUCAUAAAAUAUUUUACAUGGAGUCAUCAAUUAUCUUUAAAUAAUUGGAGAUGCCAUCAGUGAUACAUAAUUUCUUAACAAGCACCAUAUCAAAAGAAAUCAACAAUUUUAUUAAUCUUAAAGAGUUACAUCUUCACCGCAAUUAUGAUAUAAAAUUUUAGUCAUCAAUCGCAUAAUAUUUUACCUUAACGGAUGAUGUUCAGUCUUGGAAUUUAUAAUACCUUGAAGGUUAGUAGCUUUGAAAAUAAGAACUGUUCAUUUGCUAAAAAGUUAACUUAGUAUUUAAGUUUUUCAAUUGAAAAUUUUGAAAAAAGUCUUGAGAACUGCCCUCCUUAGUAUUUCAGCUGAUAAAUAUGAAAAAUAGGCUAGAAGAAAUAUUGUUGUGUGUGCUUAUUUUACUUGGGCUUUGGGCUUGAUUACAAGGUCGAGCACUAACACCUGUCAUAAUAAUAGGCUUUUACUUUCACCACACGUUCAAUAAUUUCUUAACCUUCCGAAUUAAGUUAUAGCAAUUUAUAUAUAAAUAACUAAAGCAUACUAAAGCGAGCACAAAGUACUCAUGACUUAGGCUUACUGUGUUACCUAUUACACACGGUCGAACACUUACAUCUGUUAGAAUAACAAUAGCAUCCACGGAUCGACUAUCAGUGAUCAAAUUGAUUGCACAUAUGUAAUUUGCAGGAGCAAUUCCACGGGAGUAGGGAAAUAUUACAGGAUUGGGGAUCUUAGAGCUGCCUGAUAAUUUUUUAACCGGUAUCAUUCCUUCAUCUAUCUACGAAUUGCUUUUCUCUAUUAAAUUCGGAACUGUCAUUUAAUAACUUAACAGGUAACUUCCCUUACAACAUGUCUGUGUGACAUGUUUUGCUUUGAAAUUAAAAUAUUUCACGUCUCUCAUUAUAAAUUCUCAUAGGCGGAUGUAUUGUUACUACUAUUUAACAUUAUCUCAUUUUUUUAUUAGAAAUUAAUCUGUGUUUAUGCAAAAAAAUUUAGCAUCUAAAAAAAGUACAAAAACACAUGGAAUAAAUCGAAAAUCUUUCUUCAUUACUGAAUUCGGAUUUCUAAAAAAUUAUCAUGAGAACUUCAUAAAAUAUCUUACAUGGAAUCAAUAAUUAUCUUUAAAUAGUUGGGGAUGCCAUCACUAAUAAAUAGUUUCUUAAAAAGCAUCAUACUAAAAGAAUUCAAUAAUUUUAAUAAUCUUCAAGGGGUACAUCUUCGCUGCAAUUAUGACAUAAUUUUUUAUCUAAAUAUAUUUUUAGUCAUCAAUCGCAUAAUUUUUUAUCUUGACGGAUGAUGUUCAAUCUUGGAAUUUAAAAUAUCUUGAAGGUUAGUAGCUAUGAAAAUUAGAAAUUUUUUAUUUGCUAAAAAAUUAACUUAGUAUUUAAGCUUUUCAAUUGGAAAAUUUGAAAUAAAUGUUGAGAACUGGCCCUCCUUAGUAUUUCAGCGGAUAAAUAUGGAAAAUAGGCUAGAAAAAAUUAUUUUAUUGAAAUAAUAGUUAAAAAUAGAGACGUACAGUACUCAUGACUUAGGCUUGCUGUGUACUUUUUUUACUUGGGGUUCGGGCUUGAUUACACACGGUAGAAUACUUACACAACUCCCCCCAUAUAGGGUUUUACUUUCAUCCCACAUUUGAUAAUUUCUUAACCUUCCCAAUUAGAUUAUAGCAAUUUAUAAAUAAAUAAAUAACUAAAGCACACUAAAGCUAGCAUUGAUGGACAGAUGAGUGGUGUCAAAAGUGUAUCUGUUUUUAUUAGGGUUGGCAAUUUAAGGGCCUGGGCCGGGCUUUGCCAAGCCCAGGACCAGGCCCAUAUAAUGUUAAAUAAGUUCAGGGCCUCUCAAAGCCCAUCCAAGUUGGGCGGGCCGGGCCUUGACCGGCCUCGGGCCGGGCCCGGGCUUUUAUGAAUUUUCAAAUUUUUUUAAAAAAUAAAACUAUAAAUUUUCAAAACAUAAUUAUCCAAUACAUAAUACUACAAUAGGCUAAAAACUUAAAUAUAUUUCUCUAAUACAUGAUUAGCCAACACAAAAUAUAAAAAUACUAACAAUACAAGUACCGUACAUAACAUACAAAUCAACCACUAAUAUAAAAAAAAAAACUAAUAGAGAUUUACCAAUUUAGGAAUUUUGACAUUUUGUGACAAAACCUUUGCCCUUUCCCUUUGCCCCAUUUUUUUAUUGUUUUGUUUAAUUUUUUUUUUCAAUUUUAUAAUAUAUUAUACAUUUUUUUUAAAAUAUAUAUAUAUAUAUAUAAAGCCCUUAUCCAUAAUAUAUAAUAUAUAUAUUAUUUAUUAUAAAGCCCGGGCUUUUCAUUUAGGCCCUUGACUGAGCCCAUAUGUUAUGGGCUUUAUUAAUUAUGAGCCCUUACCCAUACUUUCAAGCCACGGGCCAGGCUUAAAGCCCGCGGGCCUGGGCCGGCCCGGGCUUUUCUGCCAACCCUAGUUUUUAUGUAUUAUUGUUCCCUGAUACAAAUUUGAAUAAUGGAAAAUAUAAAUUUAAUAUUUUAUUUAAUACUUUGUUAACAUUUUAUCUAUAUAUAAUAAAUAAACUGAAACUUGUACUUAAAAAAUUUUUUGGUUACGCAUAUUCAUUUCAUGAUAAAAAAAAUGUCUAUUUACACUAAUUUACCAUUAUCAAUAAAAUGCUUUGAGACAAAUAAUCUAAUUUAUAUUAGUAUAUUUAAAAUACUUGCAUUUAUUAUAUUUUGAAAAAACAUUAUUUGCAAUUAUUUUAAACCUUUGAAUUCAAAUUUUCUUAGUUAUUAAAGUCAAAGGGUAUAAAUGUAUAAUAGUCAAAAACAGAUUUGUAUGAUCAUUUUUCAAUGUAUAAAUUUUCUUAGUUAGUAGGCAAUUAAAAUUUGUUGAUUUACUCAUAAAUAAAUUUAGUGUUUAGCAUUUCAAUUUUGGAAAACUUGAACUAAAUGUUGAUAACUUCGAAUCCAUCGAGCCAAGUUUCGCUUCCUUGACACACAGACCCAUUCGAAGUUCUAUUCGAAUUGAGUUUCCAAGUGCUUAGAAAAAGCAGUUCUUUUCCAUGUCGCUAUAAUUUAUUCACAAAAGAGUUGAUUAGCGUCGAUGUUGCUUCAGAGUCUGAGACCAUGUUAAUUUAUUUUACUGAAUUAAUUUAUUUUAUCUUGCUGUAACUGAAAUACUACCUUUUUUUUUUUUUUGCUAUAACUGGGGCUUGAUUAACUUUAAUAAUAGCAGCCAUAGACUUAGGCUUUUUUACUUUUCACCACACAAUUUGAUCUUUUAAUUCGUUUUAACCACAUAAUCUAUCUAUCUCACACCUAUUGCUUACUUAAAUCGCAUACAUAUUUUACCUACUAAUUUUUACAAACAUUAGUGAAAUAUAUUUUAUUACAUUUUGCUCGUAACUGCUCUAGUUGUGCACUAUUAAUACUUAACUCUCCCUUUUAAUUUAUCGUGCAAUCUAUCAACCACUAAAAUUACAUAUAUAUUUUACCUAUAUUUUGCCCCAAAAAAUAUAAAAGUAAUAGAAAAAGAAUAUGUGUAGCAAUUUGUAUGUAACUAACAAAGCAUUGACGGUGUGUAGCCUUUCAAUACUUCAUGAGUGGCUGUUCUUGUGUGUUAGUACUGGUAAUAAUUGUGUAGUGUAUAAAUGACCUUUUAUUAUUAAAGCGCGUCUGUUGUUAGAUAUUAUUUAUUAUUUGAAAAAUAAUAUGAAUAUAAUUCUUUCAAAAUACAGGGGAGAUACCAACUGAAAUCAUAAUCUCCGUAAUCUGGAGGAGUUGGACCUUGCUCGAAACAAAUUAGUUGGUAUUGUCCCAGCUGCAAUCUUCAAUGUGUCAACACUCAAGCAUCUUGGUCUUCAAGAUAAUUCUCUCUUGGGAUGUCUUUCGUCCAUCGGAGACGUCCGACUUCCAAAUCUUGAAGGGCUUUAUUUGUCGGGUAAUAAUUUCAGUGGCACAAUUCCUAGUUUCAUCUUUAAUGCUUCUAAGCUCUUUAAGCUAUCGUUGCAAAGGAACUCAUUCUUUGGUUUUACUCCCAACACAUUUGGCAACUUAAGAAACCUUAAGUGGCUAUCUUUAUAUGAUUCUUAAGUGGCUAUCUUUAUAUGAUAAUUAUUUGACAUCUUCAACUCCAGAAUUGAGCUUUCUGUCCUCGUUGUCAAAUUGCAAGUGUUUAACAUUUAUUGACUUAUCAAAUAAUCCACUAGAUAGCGUUCUUCCAAAGACAUUUGUCGGUAAUGUUUCUCAUUCUUUGGAAUUCUUUGUCAUGUCCUAUUGUAACAUUAGUGGCGGCAUCCUUGAAGAGAUCACCAACUUGACCAAAUUGACAACCAUUAUUUUAGGAGGCAAUAAAUUGAAUGGAUCAAUUUCGAUUACUCUCGGCAGGUUACAAAAGCUUCAAUAUUUGGGUCUUGACGAUAACAAAUUAGAAGGAUCAAUCCCAGACAGUAUUUGUCGUUUAGCUUAACUGUAUGAUUUGGAGUUGGGUGGUAAUAAGCUUUCUGGAUCAAUCCCUGCAUGCUUCAGUAAUCUGGCUUCUCUGAGGAAACUGUCGUUGGAUUCCAAUGAGUUAACUUCUAUUCCCUUAACUUUUUGGAACCUUAAGGAUAUCUUGUACCUCAACUUUUCGUAAAAUUUUUUGAUUGGUCCACUCCCAUUAAAGGUUGGAAAUUUGAAGGUUUUAGUUGGAAUUGAUUUUUCGAUGAAUAAUUUUUCAAGCGUUAUCCCAAUAGAAAUUGGAGGCCUACCAAAUCUAGAAUAUCUCUUCUUAGGAUAUAACAGAUUGCAAGGAUCGAUUCCUGAUUCAUUCGGUGAUUUGAUAAGCUUGAAAUCCUUGAAUUUGUCUAAAAAUAAUCUCUCAGGGGCUAUUCCUGCAUCUUUAGAGAAACUCUUAUAUCUUAAAGAUCUAAAUCUUUCUUUCAACAAACUAGAAGGAGAAAUUCCUAGGGGAGGGUCUUUUGGAAACUUCUCAGCUGAAUCAUUUGAGGGAAAUGAAUUAUUAUGUGGUUCACCCAAUUUACAAGUCCAGCCAUGCAAAACUGGCAUCCACCACACAUCAUCAAAAAAUUCUCUUCUCUUGGGGAUUGUCUUGCCAUUGAGUACUACAUUUAUGAUAGUAGUCAUUUUGUUGAUCCUAAGAUAUCGACAGAGAGGGAAACGACUAUCGAAUGAUGCUAAUAUGCCAAUAGUAGCAACAUGGAGAAUGUUUUCAUACCUAGAACUCUGUCGAGCAACAUACAAAUUCAGUGAAAACAAUCUAAUCAGCAAAGGUGGUUUUGGCUCUGUUUACAAAGCAAGACUUGGGGACGGGAUGGAGGUUGCUGUGAAGGUUUUCAAUUUGCAAUGUAGAAGAGCAUUUAAGAGUUUCGAUAUUGAAUGUGAAAUGAUGAAAAGUAUUCGCCAUCAAAACCUUAUCAAAGUUAUUAGCAGUUGUUCAAAUGAAGAGUUUAAAGCGUUGGUAUUAGAAUACAUGCCUCAUGGAAGUUUGGAGAAGUAUCUGUAUUCAAGUAACUGCAUUUUGGAUAUUUUUCAAAGAUUGAACAUAAUGAUAGAUGUUGCAUCAGCUUUGGAAUAUUUGGACCUUGGUUAUUCAGCUCCAAUAAUUCAUUGUGACUUAAAGCCCAACAAUGUAUUGUUAGACGAUAAUAUGGUUGCUCAUUUGAGUGAUUUUAGCAUUGUAAAAUUGCUAACAGGAGAAGAUCAAUCUAUGACUCAUACACAAACACUUGCAACAAUAGGCUAUAUGGCACCAGGUUUGUUCAAUAUAAAUAUUUUCUAUUUCUCAUAAACUUCUGAUGGGUGUCGAAGCCAACAAAAAUAAAUUCCUACUCUAAAUAAAUUGUGUAUAGUGAUUGAGCAGGGUCGUGUCGACAGAGAUCGGUAAUUAUUUAAAUCCUUUUGAAACGUAAAACGUAAAAUGGGGGAAUUGUUGACAAUAAUAAAAAUCAAAUUAAAAUAACAAGAAUGCAAAUUAAAGUUGUAAUUCAAAUUAGAGAAAGCUCUGGUUGAAGGAAUUAACUCAGCUUGAUUCGACUACUGAUCAUUGAUUCAAAUAUAGAUUAUUAUUACUUAUGAAUAGACCGGUUAUAGCUACUGAGACCCUCUAAUAGCCAAUCUCUCCUUAACUAGUCGAUAACCAAGGUACGACCGUUGGUUAUUUCCCUAAUCAAUAGACAACCCUAGAUACGAUCAUAGGAUUUAAUCAAUUGACAGCCUAAAAGACCAGAGAGACCCAAAUCCUAAUCAACACAUACGAUGAUUCAUUUAAAUUAGAUUGUUUAUUCUCAUAACACAACUCACUGCUAUGUUAUUUGUCACAAACAUUAAAAUCUUCAUACGAUGAAUCCUUUAAUUAACAAUAGAUUAAGUUGAUAAUUAAAUAGUGGCCAAUUACCUAAUUAACAAACAUAAUCAUAAAAAUAAUUCAGAGAAUAAACAAAUACCCAAAAAGCAAUAAAACAAUUAAAGCAUAAGAAAGAUCUCACAGUAGUGAUGAAUCAAAGCUUCAUUAUCCUUCAACAAGAAAAAUAGAUUUAGUUCUUCACAGAGAGAAGAGAAAAGUUUAGAUCUAGGGUUUCUUUCCUUUUCUCCAAUCCCUUUUUUCACAAUAGAUUCCUCCUUAAAUACUUUCUCUCUCUUCUCAUUUAGAGUUCUAUUUAAAAUAAAAUACUAAUAUCUGAAAUAUUAAAUUCGUAAUUUCAAAAAUAACCAAAAAUACAAAACACGUUAAACUAAAAACUGCAGGUCCGCAGUUGACAGCACGCGCCCACACCUUAUCAAUAAAGUUCUUCUGACUCUCUAAAUUUCUCGAAGAGAACAAUCAUCUUUAAACAUCAUCUUAUAGCUCAAUUUUAUCACAAAUCAAUAGAAUUGCACCUACAAAAGUAAAACACAAGUAAAUCAUUAUUAUUAAGUGCAAAACAUCGAUAUUAAGGGAAGUAAACAAUGCAAAACUAGUGCAUAAAUUGCACUCUAACAAAUUCCCCUACACCAAGAUGAUGCUUGUCCUCAAGCAUAUAACUUAAGACUAAUCACAAAUCUCCACUCAAUUUUCAUCUCAACUCAUCCAAAAACAAUUUUAAGCAAGCAUACCUCAAGAAUUUAAGUCGAUCAACAUUCGAGAGCCAAGGAUUUUAAAGCAUAGAAUCUCAUAAGCUAGAAUAAAAACAUUCAACCAUCAAGAAGAUCCAUUCAAAAUUCAAGUGCAACAAGAUUUAAUAGCCCUCUCAUUGACUUCACUCGAUGCACUCAAAGUGUUUAGGGUGUCAUUUAUGCACUCAAAUCAAAUCAAAGAAUGCUAUUACCAUAAGCUUGCUUAUAUAUCAUAUCUCAAUCCACAAAACAUGAAUUAAAUGCAAAAAUCUAAGGGUCUUAAAAAGGUUGUAACGGGGUUAAAUGGGUUAAAUGAAAAAGAAAGGUCUAUGAAAGAAAAAAAGAUUAAAAUGAGAAGAAUGAACUCAUUGAAUGAACUUCUGAUAUCAAAAUGCUUAUUUCUACUCAAGUCACCAAGAAUGUAAACUUUUUUUUUCGAUUUUUCUUUUUCUUUUUUUUUUUUUAAUCAAACAAAAGAAACGAACCUUGCACAAUUUAAUUCAAGCAUAAUGCUUGUUGAUCUAAUUGAGAAACUUUAAUACAAGGUAGAAAAAGCAACAAAAUAUAUCCAUACAAUGAGUCCAAAAAUCUCCUUAAAUUGAGGCUCAAAAAGGAGAAAAAUGGUUAAGUAGACGGAGAGAAUUAGAUGGGUAAUGGUUAAGGCUCAAACAAAGAUAGCAAAUAAAGGUCUUCGAGUAGAGAAAAAAAAAUACGAGAAUAGAAAAUUGGAAAAUGGUUUGCCCUUAUCAUUUUAAUGCAUAAAAUCCCGUAAUGCGGCUUCAACAUGCAUAACAAAGCAAGUUCUAGAAUAAACAAACUAAGAUUGAUAUUCACAUAACAAAAAUAAUUAGAGCAAAGUGGCUGCUCAUAGGCUCAAAUCCUCACAAAGUUGGUAAAUUUUCCAUCAAAUCAUGUACACUCUUCAAAUGAAUCAACCAUCAAUAGUGGUGUAGAAUGAGAAGAAGGUAUGAGUGAGAUAUAAAAGGAAAGGUAAAAAGGAUAAUAAGCGAGAAAGAUGUAUGUAGUAAAAAAAAUGAAAGAUAAAAUGUGAGUGAUGAAAGAGUAUGAUAGAGAAAAAAAAUAGAUGUAAAUAAUUUGAGAUAGAUGGGAAAAGAGUAGUGAGAGAGAAGGGAAAAGAAAAUUAAUAAUAUAUGAAGCAUACUAACUCCAAAAUCAUUUAAGGAUGAGUAGAGUGAAAAUAGUACUUCUAGACAUCAAUAAUGUAAAAAUCCCUCCCCAACACCAAGAACUUACAUUGUCUCCAAUGUAAGAUAAUCAAAGCUCACAUAAAAAUUAAAGCGUAAGGAUAAAAGAUUAAAGGCAAAAAAAAUUCCCUGAAUUGUGAGCUUUGAUCCACAUAAUGUCUAUGGGCUUGGCAGAAAGGGUGGGGUAAAUCCCAUACUCUCGAAGUAUGCGGCCAAAUUCUGCUCCAUCUUGUUCAGCUUGUGCUCCAUCUUCUCUAACUGAAUGCUGGUAGUGCGGAUGUAGAAGGAAUAGUUGGCGGGCCAGCAGUGUCGUCUUCAAACUCGUCAUUAGAGGUAACACCACUCCUAGCAUAAAGCUUCUUUGGAGGUUGAGUGGGUCUUGGUUUAGUAAACUAAAAUCUCCCCUCCUUGAAUUCGACGACACCUGUUCUUUGAAACACAGACAUAUCCAAAAAUUCCUUUUUGCAAGCAGGAUGCAAAUCAUUAUUGUCAGGAUCAAGCACACAUAGGUUUAUAGCUAACAGAGUAAUGUAUGGACCAAGAAAGAAAGUCCGAUACCGUUUAAGCACACUUUGAAAUUUAUCCGCUAACCAAAAACCUAAAUUAGGCCUCACAUCAUUUAACAUGCACCAGAUAAAAUAAAAUUCAGUUUUAGAGAAAACUCCUGAGUGAUCUUUCUUUCCUAAAAAAUUAUAUGCUAAGAAUCGAUGCACACAUUUCAAAACAGGAUCACGUAAGAAAUAACUCUUUGAUUUACUCAGGUCAUAGGCAUUGUGAUCAACACAUAAAUUACGCCAAAGACCAUAAGGCUCAAAAUUGUCACUAAAGUCACAAGUUGUUCCUAAAUAUGCAUCACUAGAAGAAUAAUCAUCAUCAAGGAAUCCUAAAGCUAGGUUAAAAUCCGUGAUAGAGGUGAAAAAUUUUGUCCCAUUAACCUAAACUUUAUGACAUCUGGGGUAUGCAAAGUAAAAUCAUUCGGUAUAUUAAAUUGAAAAGUCGCAUAAGACUCCUUAAUCAACUCAACAUAACCCAAACAAUCAACAUCAACAAACUUACGCAACCCAAUCUUAUCUAUCAAAUAAUCAAAAUUAUCCUUAACAUUCAAUUUUUCAAGAGUCGGGUAAUUAAUAUACUUAGCUGGAAGUAUUUUGCACGUGGAAAUAUCUUUGUAUCUCUCUUUCUCUUGUUGAGUCGCGAAUGCAAGGCAUCCUCCGAGAUUGGAUUCCGCAAGUGGCAAAACACUCAUGCCUUUUUCAUGUUUCGAUCUUUGUCUCAUGGCUUGGCGUGAAUCUGAACUUGUGUUCCAUGGAACCGGAAUGCGAGCGACAAUCUUAGAUUUCUUUGUGACGGGUAUCUUUUUAGAUGACUUGGAAGUAGAUGCUUUCCUCUUCGGCAUUGUUACAAUAAUUGCACUCACGGAUUUCGAUUUACCCGGCUGGAAUACAGGGCGUAGGCUGGUUGCGUUGCACUUGCUGCUCGACUGGAGCUUGCUGCGCGGGUUGGGGUUGGUUGCGCGCGCAGCUGGUUUUGCAUGCUGGUGAUGCUAGUUGCGUUGCGUGCGCGAGCUGGAGACUCUGGAUCUGCGUUACGAGGCGUGCUCGUCUGCUGUUCGUUGGGACUGUGUUGCGCGCGCGGGAUUGAUGCGCUGCGUGAUGGUGAUGGCCAAAGCUUGCUGCGCGCGGGCUGGUUGUGUUGCAGGUGGGACUGAUACGACUGCUGCUGGUGAAAACAAUAAUCAACAGUGAAUUUUUUUUUUAAUUAGGGAAUUGUAAAUAGUGAUUUGUGGUUUUUGCUUUUUUUGUUUUUUUUCUUUUUUUUUUAAAUAAAUAAAUAAAAUAUAUAUAUAUAUAUAUAAAAGAAAGAAAAAAAGGAAAAAAAAAAUAAAUAAUUUUUUUUUAAGUGAUGAAUCACUUUGAGUCACUAAAAAUUUCAGACGUACUUUUCUAAUAAGCACGUGGGCACACCUUAAAACUAUUUUACUUUAAAAAUUAUAGAAGUACUUAUUAGUUAAGACGUGGGCACGCCUUAUCAAAAAUUUUCUUCUGACCAAAAUAAGCAAACACAUUAAUUUUUUUUUUAAAAAUCUGAAUCAAAACUAAAAGAAGACAUAACAAAAACCAAAAUAAAUAAAUCAUUUGGGUUGCCUCCCAAAAAGCGUCUUUGUUUUAUGUCUUUGGCUAAACACAUUUAUGCAACAAUCUCCAUAAUUGGGACUCUCGAGAGCCACAUCCUCCACAAUAUUCACCGAAAAACCUUCAUAAAAAGGUUUUAAGCGAUGACCAUUAACAUUCAAAACUUUGUCAGAGGUCGGACUCCGAAUCUCAACUACACCAUGAGGAAAAAUAUUAGUAACAAUAAAAGGUCCAACCCAGCAAGAACGUAAUUUACCCGGAAAAAGUUUAAGCUUAGAAUGAAAAAGAAGAACUUUUUGACCAAUAGAGAACUCCUUUCUCAAACUCAUUCUAUCAUGAAAUGUCUUCGUCUUUUCCUUGUAAAAAACUUCAUGCACUAUAGGGUUAAUAAUAUCCACAGAAAAUACUGAAUGUUCCUCACUAGGAUAUUUCAUGGCAUCAUUCAUAUUGAAUUUUAUAACCUCUCCAUCAAACUCCAUAGUGAGAGUCCCUUUAUGUACAUCUAUUUUAGUCCUAGCAGUCUUAAGAAAAGGUCAUCCUAACAAAAUUGGGACAUAAUUAGAGGAGUUAUCAUCUUCCAUAUCAAGUACAUAAAAAUCAGCAGGAAAAACCAACUCAUUAACUUGUACUAAGACAUCUUCUAAUACCCCAUCAGGAUAUGCAUUAGACCUAUCAGCUAGUUGAAUUAUCACGCUAGUUUCUUUUAAUGGACCAACAUUCAAAGAUGAAUAAGUGGAACGAGGCAUGACAUUAAUAUAAGCUCCUAGAUCUAACAUAGCCUUUUCAACUCUAACACUACCAAUUUUACAAGGAAUGGUAAACAUACCUGAAUCCUUGCACUUAGGAGGUAGUUUCUUUUGGAGAACUGCUGAAACAUUCUACCCCAUGUGAACUUUUUCAUCUCCUCUUAAUUUUCUCUUGGAGGUGCAUAGUUCCUUAAGGACUUUAGCAUAUCAAGGUAUUUGUUUUAUAGCAUCUAAUAAAUGAAUAUUUACCUCAACCUUGCAAAAUGUCUUAAAGAUGUCUUUCUCUUGUUCCUCCUUCUUGGAUUUUACAAACUAGCUUGGAAAAGGAGGAGGUAUCACAAUAGGUAGGGGUUUCGUUCUGGUGGGUUGCGCAUCUUGAGAUUUAGGCAUCAAUUCAUUCUUCCCAAGCUCAUCUUCUACAUGCUUUGUCACUUUCUUACUAGGCUCUUGUAACUCCUUCCCGCUUCUAAGGAUGACAGCACUAACGUUUUGCUUUGGAUUCACCUCAGAUUGUGAAGGCAAUCUCCUUAAUACUUGAGACUCCAGACGGCUCACUGUAGUCGCCAAUUGACUCAUUUGGUUCUCUAAAUUCUGAAUGCUUUCUGUAGUUGCCUGCUGAAAUUGUUGAGUGUUAGUCGCAAGUGAUUUAACAAUUUCUUCAAGAGAUAUACUUGACUUGGAGUUUGACUGUGGAGGUGCUGGUUGUCUUGGUGGAUACUGUUGUGGGAAUCCUGACGGUCUAACUCCAUAGCUGAAGUUGGGAUGAUCCUUCCAUCUCAGAUUGUAUGUUGUGCAUAAGGAUCAUACCUCCUCUGAGGCAUGCCUGGAAAUCCUCCAACUGCAUUGGCUUGUUCAACGGGUUCUUCUUGAAGUGUAGGACACAUAUCAGUUGAAUGACCCAUAUUGGAACAAAUGCCACAAGUCUUUACCUGUUGCAUAUUAUCUACAAUAAACUUUUCUACAAGAGAAGUAAGUUUAUCUAAACGUUGUUCAACAGAAGAAAUAUUUACCUCAUUCACCGUUCUUGAAGUGGCAUCUUGCCUGCUGCCAAAUUGUUGUGCAUUGGCAGCCAUAUUUGAGUUCAACUCCCUUGCUUGAGUAAGGGUCUUAUUCACCAACACACCUCCACUGGCAACAUCUAUCAUACUCCUAUCCAAUAAUGAUAGUCCUUCGUAAAAAUAUUGAAUAAGAAGUUGAUCAGAAAUCUGAUGCUGAGGACAGCUGGCACACAAUUGUUUGAAUCGCUCCCAAUACUCAUACAAAGUCUCCCCAGGAAGUUGUCUAAUCCUACAAAUAUCUUUUCUGAUGUUGGCAGCUCUUGAAGCAGGAAAGUACUUCUCGAGGAACUGCUUCUUUAAACCAUUCCACGUUGUAAUCGAUCCAGGAGGCAAGUAGUACAACCAAUCUUUAGCUAGCCCAUCUACAGAGAACGGAAAAGCACGCAACUUAAUCUGCUCUUCAGUCACGCCUUGUGGCCUCAUACUUGAACACACAACAUGAAACUCCUUAAGAUGUUUAUGAGGAUCUUCACCUGCAAAACCAUGAAACUUGGGUAAUAAAUGAAUAAGACCAGACUUUAAUUCAAAAUUUACCUCCAAGUCUACAUAUUGAAUGCAGAGUGGUUGUUGAUUCAAGUCUGGUUCAGCUAACUCUCUAAGAGUUCUUUCUACAGGUGCAGGUCUAUCCAUCACUUGUUCUUCUGAAUCGCUAGAUGAUUCAACUAAAUCAAGUAUUGUAUCAAUUUCAGAAAGCAAAGGCAACGAGGAUCGUUGCUUAGCUCGCUUUGUCUGCUGUCUCAACUGGCGAGCUGUCUUCUCAAUUUCAGGAUCAAACGAAAGUGUACCUGUACGAGAAGAACGAACCAUACACCAAGUAAAACGUAAAAAUGAUUAAAUAAACGACACCAAUCCCUGGCAACGGCGCCAAAAUUUGAUGGGUGUCGAAGCCAACAAAAAUAAAUUCCUACUCUAAAUAAAUUGUGUAUAGUGAUUGAGCAGGGUCGUGUCCACAGAGAUCGGUAAUUAUUUAAAUCCUUUUGAAACGUAAAACGUAAAAUGAGGGAAUUGUUGACAAUAAUAAAAAUCAAAUUAAAAUAACAAGAAUGCAAAUUAAAGUUGUAAUUCAAAUUAGAGAAAGCUCUGGUUGAAGGAAUUAACUCAGCUUGAUUCGACUACUGAUCAUUGAUUCAAAUGUAGAUUAUUAUUACUUAUGAAUAGACCGGUUAUAGCUACUGAGACCCUCUAAUAGUCAAUCUCUCCUUAACUAGUCGAUAACCAAGGUACGACCGUUGGUUAUUUCCCUAAUCAAUAGACAACCCUAGAUACGAUCAUAGGAUUUAAUCAAUUGACAUCCUGAAAGACCAGAGAGACCUAAAUCCUAAUCAACACAUACGAUGAUUCAUUUAAAUUAUAUUGUUUAUUCUCAUAACACAACUCACUGCUAUGUUAUUUGUCACAAACAUUAAAAUAUUCAUAUGAUGAAUCCUUUAAUUAACAAUAGAUUAAGUUGAUAAUUAAAUAGUGGCCAAUUACCUAAUUAACAAACAUAAUCAUAAAAAUAAUUUAGAGAAUAAACAAAUACCCAAAAAGCAAUAAAACAAUUAAAGCAUAAGAAAGAUCUCACAGUAGUGAUGAAUCAAAGUUUCAUUAUCCUUCAACCAGAAAAAUAGGUUUAGUUCUUUAUAGAGAGAAGAAAAAAGUUUAGAUCUAGGGUUUCUUUCCUUUUCUCUAAUCCCCUUUUUCACAAUAGAUUCCUCCCUUAAAUACUUUCUCUCUCUUCUCAUUUAGAGUUCUAUUUAAAAUAAAAUACUAAUAUCUGAAAUAUUAAAUUCGUAAUUUCAAAAAUAACCAAAAAUACAAAACACGUUAAACUAAAAACUGCAAGUCUGCAGUUGACAGCACGCGCCCACGCCUUAUCAACAAAGUUCUUCUGACUCUCUAAAUUUCUCGAAGAGAACAAUCAUCUUUAAACAUCAUCUUAUAGCUCAAUUUUAUCACAAAUCAAUAGAAUUGCACCUACAAAAGUAAAACACAAGUAAAUCAUUAUUAUUAAGUGCAAAACAUCGAUAUUAAGGGAAGUAAACAAUGCAAAACUAGUACAUAAAUUGCACUCUAACAACUUCCUAAUAAGUUAUUUAUAUUUCAUGAUCUUGAUUAGAUGAGGAAAUUAUUAUUAAUGAUAUAUCUUACUAUGUAAUUGUUGCAAUUCAUAAAGUAUGGAAGAGAAGGACGAGUAUCCGCAAAUGGAGAUGUUUAUAGUUUUGGGAUUAUGUUAAUGGAAACAUUUACUGGGAAGAAACCCACAGAUGAAAUGUUUAAUGGAGAAAUGACAUUAAAGCAUUGGGUUAAUGAUUGGCUACCCAUUUUCACUAUGGAAGUUGUUGAUGCUAAUUUGCUAAGUCAGGAGGACAUACAUUUUGUUGCAAAAGAGCAAUGUGUGUCAUUUGUCUUCAAUUUAGCUAUGGAGUGCAUUGUGGAAUCCCCUGAGCCAAGAAUCAAUCCAAAAGAAAUUGCAGCAAAACUCUUAAAAAUUAGAGACUCAUUACUUAGAAAUGUUGGAGGCAGAUGUAUAAGACAAUCAAAUUUAAAUUGAUUCUACCCCUCAUUCAUUGCUUGCUAUCCUUUUCAGAGACUUGAACAAUUAUCCUCCAUAGAAGUUUUGCUGAUAUGUUUUGUUAUUGCUCUUGCUCAUGUUUAUUUCUCUCUUUCUUUAAUUUGCAUGCGUGCAUUUUAGUUCUCUUCCAUGUUCGUGUUGGUUUAUAUGUAGUUUGUUUUUUGGGAUAUGGUUUAUUAUGGCCUCACCCUAAUUAGAUGUAUCCUUUUGAUUUUUAUCAAUAAAGCUUCGCUAGUACUAUCGAGGUUAAUCGAAAGAAAAUUUUCAAUUGAUUUUCUUUUCUUUGACUAGUACUGGAAAUUCUAAUCUUUAUAGUGAAUAACUUCAAUAAUAGAGUGUAAGAGUAUUAGUAGUUGUGGUUGUUUCUGAACCUAGAGUUAGAGUAGUUUAACAGCAACAAAUAGGUCUCUUGUAUUAUAGCCAAAAUUCUUUUCAUUAAUCUUAUUUGUCUACAUUUUCUCCUAUUUUCUUCUUUAAUCUUCGCUCAAGGUUUCAUGCUUCCAUUUUGAAAUGUGAGAUUGUUUGUCAUCCAUUUGAUAAAAUGGAUAUGAGAGGAGCUUUCAAUCAUUACCUCCACCAAAAUCCUUACAAUGCAACUUUUAAAUUUAUUUUUUAAAAUACGUUCAGUUUAAUUUAUAAAAAAUAAAUCCAUUUGUUAAAAUUAAUUUUUUUCUCAUAAAUUUCAACCUAAAAAAUAUAUUUCUUUUAAGUUUUUAUUAUAAAAUACAUACAAGUUCUAAACUAUUAAAUUAUUUUCUUCUUAUUAUAUAGUUUAUAUUUCCAUAACUCUAAACUCCUAUAAUUUUUAAAAAAUAUAUUUUUUAAUUUAAAAUAUGAAUAUAAAAUAUAGAAUGGAGUGGGUAUAAAAAGUUUUGUUAAAAGAAUAAUUCAUUCAAGUAUUUAGCUGAAUUUUAAUUUAAAAUAAGAAAUAAAUUAAUUUAUUUUUUAUUAGUUAAGUAAUUUCAAUUGAAAAAGAGCUUAUAUUAUGGACAUAUGAUUAAAAUUGUCAUGAAUUAAACAUUUUCAUAUAAAUACUAGUGAUAAUUACGGAGAAAGUACGAUGAACCAAAGAAAACUUGAAUAGAAAUACUCCAAUGUAAUUUUACACAUGCAAAUUAUGAACCAGUGAUCUUUAGAGCAUCAUAAAAUUAUUUUAACACAAUUAGUUAGUUUGGAAAAUUGCCAAUAAUGUUUAAAGUGGGAUUGAAAAGAUUAUACUACAAAUAUAAGACAUGAUAUCAUUUAAGAGCUUACAGAUUAUGAGAAAUAUAUUGAUCUUACAAAUAAUAUAAAAUAUGUCAAUUAGAUUGAGUCUAUGCAAUAAAAGUUUCAAAUUAAAAAAUAAACCUUUAUUUUCUUUUAAUCAUAAGUGUGAUCUUAAUUAUUAAAGUCAUUCAAUGUCCAUUACUUAUUCAUUUUUUUAAUUAUCUAAAUGACAUUGAAAACUCUACUCAAUAUUAAUUCAUUCUAGUGUUUUGUUUUAAAGUAAUCGAAAAUUGCAAAUGAAACAAAUGCUUGAAAUCACAAACUGCCUAAAAUUAGAUUUUUAUUUCUUAAUGUUUUAGUGACUUUGAUCUUGAUAUUGAAAAUUUAUUUGUAACUUAUAUAAAGGCCUCGAUUUUAUCAUAAUUGAUUAGUAAGGCUAUGUACGGGAGCAUGGAUAAAUUUUGAGAUUGGAUUAUAUUUUUGGAACUAAAAAAUUAAUUUCAUCCAAUGUUAUGUAUAGCUGUCGGGACUAGCAAAUUAGUCUAAAAUUAUUGAAAUUAUUAGUCUUUUACAUUAUAAUUUUUUCGUUCCCACUUUAAACGUUAUUGGUAACUUAAAUCAUUUUUUAAAUUAAAUAUAAAGUUAAUUUAAUUAAAUAUAAUUUAAUUAAAUAUAAAAAUUAAUUUUAUAAUUUUUUCACCUAGAAUUUUAUAGUAUAUUAAAUACUAAAAUUAUAUUCGAUAAUGUAUUAUCAUUUAUUUAAUAAAUAUUUAGGUUUAUUAGUGUAUCAUAUUAUUAUUUAAAUUAAUUUUUUAUUUUCAUAUAGACAUAAAUUAAUAUUUACUAAUUUAAAUUUAUUAUAAUUUAUUAAAUAAUAAAAGCUAAAUGAUUGUAUUUAAAAUAUAAAUUGUAUUUUAAUGUAUUAUAGCCUAAAUCUUACCCCUAUGAAUUUAUUUUAUCCAUCUUUUAUUGUAUUAACCACAUUUAUAAGGCAGUGCGAUGCAACCGAAAAUUAUAACCAAACAUGAGUUAGUAUGAAAAUAAUAUUUUAGUACAAUACAAUACAAUGUAAUAUAAGCAAACAAAUAGAUAUUUAAUUGAAGCAAAAAUUGCAUAUGGUUUGUCGUCUCUCAAAAGACAGCAAAGAAACCAAUAUGACACAUUGAUUUUGAAUUUGUUGUUUUUCGUGUUAUGAAAAGGAAAAUGCAGAAAACUUAUUUGGUGAGCUUAUUUUGGUGGAAAACUGUACAGUGAUUAAAAACAAAAAAAUUAUCAUUUUCCAAUGUUUACAAAGAAAACAAGAGACAUUUUAUUUCACUUUUACUCUCUGCCAAGGGUCUCACUAUCUUAACUUUUAUAAGAUAGUGUAAUAAAUUACGUGGGCCCAUUUAAUAAAGAAAUAAUCUAAUAAAUAAACUAAUAUAACAAAUAUUUAAAAAUAAUAGCAAUAGUUUAUUCCAUACCUUGCAGCUUAACUACUUAAUAGAUUACCCAAAUUGUUUUAAAUAAAAAGUAAUAUCAUAUAAUUAUUAUACUAAAUUAUUACAUUGUUCGACCCAAUAUGCAGUUAUUUAAAAAUUAUUACAAAUUUUCAUACACUAAUGAAAAUAUUUCAAUAAUAAAGUUACUUCUUGACAGCUAAUAUAAAUAAAUAUAUGAUAAUUAUGAAAUAAUUUAAAAUUUUCUCAAUUACUAUUAUCUUAUAAGUACAAUUUAUUUACAUAAUUAAAAGUUUUUAAGAAAUCAUUAAAAUAUCAUCGUACCUAUAUGCAUUUAUAAUAAUAUAUAAUACAUCAUAAUAUAAUAGCUAAAUAGAUAAAUUAUUUAAUGACAUAAAAUAUAUAUUUAUAUUCAUUGUAUUAUAUUAUUCUUUCAUAAUAAUUUCAUUAAAUAAUUCCCUAUUCUCUCUCUCUCUUUUUGUCUUCAUUUUUUCAGAUAAGCAACCAAACAUCUUUUCACCUUUUUUUAUUUUCAAGUACUGUUUUUAAACUAAGGUACCAAACAUGUUUUUAUUUUUAACAAAAACUAAUCAUUCUUAUUUCAUAAAAUAAAUUUAAAAACACUAUUUAAAAAAUAAUACCAAAUGCACCCUUAAAAACUAUGAGAAAUAUACUGAUUUUACAAAUAAUAUUUAAUAUGUCGAUUAGACUGAAUCUUUGGAAUAAAAAUUUCAAAUUAAAUACUAAACCCUUAGUUCCCUUUUAAUCGUAAUUAUAAUCUUAAUUAUUAAAGACAUUUUAUUUUGUGCUUGUCUUUUUUUAUUCACUUUUUUUUUAAUCAAAAAUAUUGCUCUGCAUGCAAGUCUUUGGUCGCGGGCCUAGGUGUCCCAAACAUCCAGCUGACAGCGACGUUUCCACUUUGAUUAUCCGCACUUCCCAGAAGUCGCAAGGAAAGACCGAUUGAGUAGUUUGAUUGGUUUGAAGAUUCAUGAGACUGCUUUUCACUAGAAUUCCACGGCCUCAUUCAUUUUUUUUUUUAAUAAUCUAAAUGACAUCGAACACUCUACUCAAUAUAAGUUUAUUCGAAUGUCCUGUUUCAACCUAAUCGAAAAUUGCAAAUGAAACAAAUGCUUGCUAUCACAAACAGCCAAAAUGGAAUUUUUGUUUUUCAUUGUUGUAAUGACUUUGAUCUUGAUGUUGAAAAUUUAUUUGUAACUUAUAUAAAGGCUCAAUUUUAUCAUAAUUGGUUACAUCCAUAUGCAGCUUAUAUAAUGUUUAUUACAUCCAUAUAAUCUUUCUUAUAUAAUGUUUUUGUUACAUCCAAGAGAAAGACAGUUACGCUUAGAUCAGUCUUAUUUAAUAGAAUUAUAGGAUAAUAAAAUUGGUUUAAAGAAAUGUGAUUCUUAACUCUUGUAAUUAAAGUUAGUGUUCUUUGAUUUUAGUGGUGUAGGGCUUAUAAGUCUAUGCAACAAUUCUUGGUGAGUUUGAUUCAAUAUACGAUCAUUUUCAGUUCUUUAAAGUCUCAUAAUUAAAAAUUCCGAAAUCAUAAUUAGAAUUUACAAACAAGUCAAAGUGAGUCAAAGCAAACCUAGAAAUUUAAGGUCUAUCAUAAACUUUUGACAAAUUAAAGUUAAGGUGAUUAAUUAAAUGCUAGACAAAACAAAACCUAUAAAUUUACCUUACCACAUGAUGAAGCUAUUUCAAAGAUCUCAAAUUACACACUAAUUAAUAAUUAAUCUACAUUUUUUUCCGUUGUAUAUCGUUGAAACUUCUAUCUUCACAACAUAUUGUUCUUAAUUGGCCAAAUGUAUUUUUGUCUAGAAAUUUGCUAUGAACAAAUUUCAGAAUUCAUCAGAGAUAAUACAAACAACUAAUGUAUUUAUAAUAUACAUAAUUAAACUUAAUAUAACCAUCACUUACAUGAUAGUUUUUCAAAAUAAAUAAACACAUAUUAUAACAUAUUUAUUUAUUAUAUAAUUAAUAUAGUACCUUUAAUAUAUUGUAGAAUUUCUUCUUCCUAUGUUACAGAAAAUGUAAGUAACGGACACUAAUUUAACAAGAAACGUAUAUAUAAGUUUGCCACGUGUAGUCUCAACAUGUGUGUAAAAACCGAAUUAACCGGUUUGCAUUCGACAACAAAGGAAAAUAUUACUUGUUGCUGAUCGAUUGCAUAAUAUUUUAAUUCGACAUGUCUGACUGCUUUGCCAGCUCGUGUGAUAAAAUGGAUAUGAGUGGAUCUUCAAUGCCUCCCGCAAAAUCCUUGUAACACCACUUCAAAAUUUUAUUUUCUAAAAUACACCGAGUUUAAAUUAUAAAAUAUAAAUCUGUUUAUAAAAAUUAAUCAUCUUUCCAUAAAAUUUCAACCUAAAAAUUAUUUUUCUUUUAAUUUUUAUUAUAAAAGGUAUACAAACUCUAUUAUUAAAUUGUUUUCUUCUUAUGAUAUAGUUUAUAUCUCUAUAACUCUAAACUUGUGUAAUUUUUUUUUAAAAAUAUUUUUCAAUUUAAAAUAUAAAAUGGCGUGGGUAUUAAAAAAUUUGUUAAAAGAAUAAUUUAUUUAAGUAUUUAACUGAAUUUAAAAUAAGAAAUAAAUUAAUUUAUUUUUGAUUAUUUAUGUAAGUUUCAAUUAAAAAAGAGUUUUAUGAGAAAUUGAGAGGGGAAAAUGAUAUUCUUAGUAAUAUUAUUAACAUAUGAUUAAAAUUCUUAUUAAUUAAACAUUUUCAUAUAAAAACUACUGAUAUUUAUAGAGAAAGCACAAUGAAGUGAAGAAAACUUGAAUAUACAUACUCCAAUAUAAUUUUACACAUGCAAAUUAUGAACCGAUGAUCUUUAAAUUAUCAUAAAAUUAUUUCAACAUAAGUAAUUAGUUUGAAAAUUUUCCAAUAAUGUUUAAAAUGGGAAUGAAAGGAUUAUACUAUAUAAGACACAAUAUCAUUUAAGGCGGCUUAGAAAUUAUGAGAAAUUUAUCGAUCUUACAAAUAAUAUUUAAUACGUCGAUUAGACUGAAUCUUUGGAAUAAAAAUUUCAAAUUAAAUAAUAAACCCUUAGUUUCCUUUUAAUCAUAAUUAUAAUCUUAAUUAUUAAGACAUCUUGUUUUUUGCUUGCCUAUUUUAUUAACUUUUUUUUAAUGAAAAAUAUUGCGCUGCAUGCAAGUCUUUGGUCGCCGGCCUACGCGUCCCAAGCAUCCAGUUGACAGCGAGGUUUCCACUUUGAUUAUCGGCACUCCCCAGAAGUCGCAAGGAAAGACUUGUUCGAGUAGUUUGAAGAUUCAUGAGACUGCUUUUCACUAGAAUUCCACGCCCUCAUUCCUUUUUUUCUUUUUUUUUUUUAAUUAUCUAAAUGACAUCGAACACUCUACUCAAUAUAAAUUUAUUCGAAUGUUCUGUUUCAACCUAAUCAGAAAUUGCAAACGAAACAAAUGCUUGCGAUCACAAACGGCCUAAAUGGGAUUUUUGUUUUUAAAUGUUGCAAUGACUUUGAUCCUGAUGUUGAAAAUUUAUUUGUAACUUAUAUAAUGGCUUCAAUUUUAUCAUAAUUGGUUUCUAAUGCUAUGUUAGAGGGCAUGGAUAAACUGUGGGAUUAGAUUAGAUUUUAGGACUAAAAAAUUAAUUUCAUCCAAUGUCAUAUUUAGCUGUCGUGACUAAUAAAUUAGUCCAAAAUUAGGAUAAGAUUUAUAAUAUUAAAUGAAAUAUUUUUGUUCUCUUUAUCACUCUUUUCUUUUUCAUUUAAAUUGAAUAUAAACAGUAAUUUCAUAAUUUUUUAUGUAGAAUUUUAUAUUAUACUAAAUAUCAAAAUUCUAUUCAAAAUUUAUUUUAAGUUGUAUUUACUUAAGAUUAAUUAUCUAAAUUUAAUCCAAUAAUUUAGUUGAUCUAGUAUUGAAUAUUAAACAUUAAAAAUUAUUCGAUUAUUUGUUUAAAAUAAAAUUGAAUAUUAAAUAUUGAAAUAAUUAUUUAAUAGCAUAUUAUAUUAUUAAUAUAAUUAUUAAUAAGAAACAUAUCAUUUAUUUGAUUACUAUUUAAAGAUAAACUUAAAUACUAUUUAAAAUCAUUUAAAUUUAACUUAAUAUAAUCCAAUCUAAAAUUGUACCAGACAUGCAUAAUACUAUAUAUAAUUCAGUCUAAUCCAAUUCAAUCUUAAUAAAUAAUACAAUCUAAUCUUGUGAGUCAAAAUUGGCCUAAGGUUACCAAUUGUGCAAUAAUCUUUAUAGCCCGUUUCCCAGCCACACACCCUUUUGUAUUAGUAUUCUCACAGCCGUUGGAAAUAUGGCUCGUAAUCUAACAAAUGACAUUAUACGGCUGUUACUUGCUAGUUUUUGUAAGGUGGCCAAGGCCUUUUAUCAAACACUAUAGGCCUUUUAGUGCUGAGCUAACAGAUUAGUGCUGUCUAUUUCUACAAACACAGAACUGCUAUUUGUUUGUCUAUCCCGUGGUCUCUUCGUUUAUUGACUUGAACUGUGAUAACUAAGGGGGCAUUCCUUUCUUCAAGAGAGUACUACCCAAUGGAGACGUUAAGUAUUAUUUUGUUUUUUUUUCGAAAUAAUAAUGAGUCAUAGUCAAUUGGAUUGAAUUAAUAAUGUUUGUGUCUGUGUGGUGUAAAUUGUAUAAGAAUGGAAUUUUUAUACAUAAAUAUAUUUCUCAUUCAAACUAACGCGACCAUAUUUUAACAAAUAAUUGUCUUGUAUUUCAUAUUAUUUAUUUUAUUAUAUUAUUUUCAUUUUAAUAUAUCAUCACGCUACUCUUCCCCAGUUUUCAUAUACACCAUAUCUGUUUGUGUGAGAUUAAUUUGUACACACUACAAAAAAGGCGGCCUGAUGCGAGGCCGGAUUUGACGAAUAUCUGAGCCGACGUAAAUGAUGAUCGUCUGUCGGUAAUUUGAUUACCUUUCCGUACUUUAUCAAUCAUUGAAUGAUUUUACUGGUUUAAUCGCUUGAUUGUUUGAGUAUGAUCGGUAAUUUGAUCGUCUGUCAGCAAGUGAUUCACCAUUCACUCUCCAAUUUUCAUUAAUUUAGUGUAGCAAAGCUUUAACUAGACAGGUAGAUAACGUGGUCAUGAAAACAUGAUUAAGAGUUUAAUGCAAUCAAAUCUACUUUAAUGAUUAUUUAAUGCACGGAGAUUUAACAUCAAUUAUCAUCACGUUAUUCUAACAACGAAAUUGCAGAGCUUGGAUCUUUACUCGAACAGUUUCACUGGCACUAUUUCUGACACAUUGGGCAAGCUGAAGGAAUUGCAAUUCCUGUAUGAUCAUUUCCCCAACUAUUAUUUGAAUAAUUAUUUAAUGCCGUUCAUUCCAGCUCUGUUUGGCUGUUAACUUUAUUUAGUUAUUUAUUUAUGAGGAGAUUCAUUUCUCACUUGAAUCUAGAAAUUUACGGAUCAAUGACAUUUUAUUUUUUCUUUUAUAUGACAGCUUGCAAUCCCUGGUGUGUACUCAUAGUGCCUUACAUGAAUAAAAAAAUGAUUUUUUUUUUUUUGGGGGGACAAUUGCAGUUCUGAUAACAACUAAAAUCUGUGUGGUCCGGUUACCAGAAAGCCUUGCCCCAGGUCUCUGCCAUUUUCUCCUCCACCUCCAUUUGGGGAAACUAAACUAUUUACUUUUUGCAAGUUUUUCUUGAAAUAUAUAUUUUUGAGAAGAAAACCAACAAUACAUUUUAUGAUUUGGGCUGUUUCAAAGAUCUUUGCUUGAUAUCUCUGCUACUGGUUUUCAGCAGAGCGCCCAAAAUAAUCAGUGCACGCACCAUAUGCUUUAUUAUUAUCAGCAAAAAUCACUGCUGAUAUGUUGGGAUCGACUUUUUUAUUUGGGAGAGGAAGCAUGCUUGAAAGAGUAGAGCGGUGCAUCUUGUUCAAACAUGCACCGUAGAGCCAAUUCCAUUUUAUGAAAUAGGAGUUAGACUGAACAACGUUAUGUCUUCAUUAUCAUUUCAGGAGGAAAUAGAUCAAAUACAGCAAUUGCUGUAGGAGUUGAUGUUUGUGCUGCUAUAUUUUCUUCAGACUCUCAUACCAAGGAAAAAUUUAGCUUCAAAGAAUGGUAUGAUGCUUUGAUUUAUGAAGUAAUUGUUAUACAUUUUGUACCUUCCAUACAUUUUGCUCUGUUAAUAUUAUUAUUUGAUAACAUGCUUGUCGAGUUGCACAGCGUUUAGAAUUUUGAGAUUAAAUAGAGUAUAAAUGCUAUCCAAAUGCACUCCUUUCAUUUUAUACAACUUUGAUUGAUCAUUGUUUCUAAUUUACCUCAGGCAUCAAUGGAGUCUGUCCGAGUCUCCUUUGCUGGGAAAUCAGUCAAAUGACAGCACAGGUGCAUAUAUUCCAAGAGCCAGUAAUGUAAUAGCUCACAAUUUAGCAAGACUAGCUUUGGAGCAAUCUGAAGUUGUACUUUGGAUGGAUAAUAUUCCAGCCCAACAUUUGUAUUUAUUCACUAGUUUUUUUUUUUUUUUUGAAGAGAAAGUAAAGCUUUCUAACUAAACAAACUUAGACAGUAACAAUAUGAUUUGAACUGGAAAGUCCUCCAGCCAAACUACAGGGCUUUCAAAAUCUAAGGCUACUUUGGCCAAUGAGUGAGCUGCUACAUUACAGUUUCUAGGAACGAAUUGAAUUGAUGCUCUGCUCUGGUUCUUUAGACAUGCUUGAAUCUCUUCCACUGCCCAGCAAAUUUCUGCCAUGCUGCUCUUCCUUUGCAGUGAUAGCUCCACCACUUCUAAAGAAUCUGACUCUAUAAUGAUUGGAUUACAUUUUGCUUGGCAGGCAACUUGAAUUCCAAACAACACGGCUUCCGCUUCCAUACAAGCCACAUCACCUCUGAAUCCAGUGCUCUGAACUGCUGCAGCCAAAAUUUUCCCGCUUGAAUCUCUAACCACUACACCUAGCCCAGCCUUCGAAUCUGCCAUUUGAAUUGCUGCAUCCACAUUCACUUUAUACCAACCAAUUGGAGGGGGAUUCCACACCUGUUGAUUAUUAUUGUGCUGACUUGGAACAACUUGGACAUUUGGACACUUAAUUCUCAAGUACGACUCUACAGUUGCUGCAGCCCCGGCUGCUGUCAUUUGGGGAUCUUCUUGCUUACCUUCAUUUACCACUCUAUUUCUUGCAUACCAGAUAGCCCAACAAGUUGCAAUUAUCAGCCCCAAAUCAUCUUUUUUCCUCUUCCCGGCUAAAUCUUGAAGAAUACUCAGCAUAUCCUGGUGAGCCAUUAGCUUUAUAUCCUCAUAAAAUUCUGUCAACUUCCACACCUUCCUAGUAGCUCUGCAUCCCACCAAUGCAUGAAAGACAUCACUAGUUGAAUGCUUAAAAGGGAGACAUUUUUAUCAAAAAAAGAAAAAAAACUUCAAUUGAGUUGCUAUCUAUUUAACUUUGGCAAGUGAGAGAGAGGGAUGGGACUGUCCAAUUAAAAUUAAGUUUCAAAUGGUAAUCCCAUCAUUGUCGUCUCAUGUUUGUCAAAUUCAAAUUUGAAAAUAUCACCAUGUUUGUAUGGUGAUGUUGUGGGAUUGUCUCGCCUAGGCUUUUAGCCUUACGACCUCCUUUAUUAGAAAAAAUCUUUGGUGUUCUUACUCAAUGGUAGAAUCAAAAUUUUACUUCAAUGGAAGCCAUAAUGAUUAAAAUAUAUUCUUAUUAAAUUUGAUCAAUUACUUAUUUGAUGUUGCUCUCUCUAUCUACAUCUCCUUCUUUAUGAAAAAAAUUAUUGUAAUACAUGAAAGUAAAUAUUGCAUUGAAUAAAAUGAAAUUGUUCAAAAAUUAACAAAUUCAGCUUUAUUAUAAUCUAAAACAAAGUAAAUAGAAUAAUAUCCAUCAUGUAAAAAUAAAAAAAAAUUGUACCACUUUGAAUCUAUUUUAAUUUUUUUGGUCAAAUCUCAAAAGCACAAACCUUGAACGAUAAUAAUAUGUAAAAGCUAAUAAUCUUAUAAUAAAAAGUAAGAAAAAAAUAAAAUUGAUUUAGCAUGUAAGAAUAAAAAAAGAAAAAUAGAAAGAGAGAGAAAUUAGUUUAGGCUUUAAGCAUUGUUAAGUUCGGAGAAAAAUAAUAAUUAACUAAGAGUAAUUUUAUGACUUUUUAGAAAUGAGUGAAUUAAAAUAAUAAGUUAAAAUUUAAUAAUUAUCUUAAUUAAAAAAAUAGGUAUUGAAAUAAAAUUAGUGGAUUCAAAUAGCCCACCCAAAAUCUAAACUUGCAUACCAAUUAUUUUCUAAUUUACAUAAAGUUUUUCUUUAUGUUUGAUAACACUUGUUUCUCAAUUGGUCUAACGGAGAAACAACCAGCUAAAAAAUAAAAUGAAUGCAAUUAAAUGGAAAUUUGAAAAAGAGCAGUAUGUCACGGGAUGAGUGUUUUGCGCAGCUAACCCGUGCGGCACUUAGACAACUUUGCCGAAUGUUGCUAAGUAAGCCUAGAGCUUCUCGAACUAGAGAAGAGAGCAAUUGAGCCAAAGAAGAAAACUUGUAUUGCACAAAGAGAGAAUACAAUGCUUGAGUUGCUUACAAAGCUUGUUGGAUACAAAUGCCUAAUGCCAUCCCAUAUUUAUAGGGGAGGCUUGCCAAGCUCUAGAGAUUCUAGAGAAUUCUACCACUUCCUAGCUAUUUACAUGUGCUGGAAUUCUAUGGAGAAUUCUAGAGUUGCUUAGAACUUUCCGGAAUUGAGCCAAGCUAACACUCUUGGCCUUGUGUUGGCUCUCUAGCCCAAAAUUGUGAGCAAUUGGGCUAGCGAUUUGGGCGGUCCGCAACAAGUAGGUGACAUUUUUGUGCAAGCAAAAUUGCAUUCUGUUUGUGGGAUCCUGGAAAAAGUAAAAGAGAAAACACAGAAUGACACUGAUAUUGUGUUCUUUAAUAUUUUUCUAGUUGCUUCCAUGGCAGAUUCUCAUUGGUCCAUUUUUCUUUACGCCUUAGAUUCUAUGAUUCAAUUUCAAUCAAAUACCACAACCAAAAGAAGCUUUUAAGCCUGCAGCUGAAAUAGAUGGCACUUUAAUUUUCAGCUGAACAUAUAUAUGGUAAGAUUAUUAUUAGUAUCGAGCUUGAUGAGGCUAUAGAAAAUUCAAUAUCGAGAUCGGAUAAGGGUCCAAUAAAUUAUAAAAAUAUUGCAGCUCAAAGCCCAUAUGAUCAUGGGCCACUACUUGCUCAUGCUUUGAAUUAAAAUUUUCUAACGAAGUGACGUUGGAAGCCGAAAUGGGCACAUGAUGAAAUGGUGUUCAUCAUAUAUUGAGCCCAACGGGACAAGAUCAUCAUUUAAUUGCCUCCUCCACUUGUCGAUAGAUAUUUGCCGAAUUUUUCUAUUUAAAAAAAUAUUAUACUGGUCAAUAUAAUUAGAAGUUUUACAAAAUAUAAAUAUAAUUUUAAAAAAAUUUAUAUUUGUUAAUUUAAAAUUUUCAUUUGGUGGUUAUGUUUGAGAAAAAUCUUAGAGAUACUAAGAUAUACUCUCUUAUUAUUUAUUAAAUUUAGGUAUUUUGACAUAUUAGUAUUCAGUAUUUUUUGGUAAUUAGCUGAGAAGUAUAUGUGACAAAAAUUUAACACAUGAAAGAAUACACAUCGAGAUUAUCUAAAAUUUUCCAUUGACUUAGUCAACUCUCCAUUAAUUUCAUUGACUUGGUCAACUUAUGAUCUAACUUGACAACUUGAAAAUUAAAUUAUGCUAGUACUUUUGUAAAAUUAAAAUUUAUCUUCCAAAAUUGAUAAAUACCGUGUCACUUUGUCAAAUUACUUAGGGUAAAAGUUCUAUAGCUAAAACAUUUAAGAUGAGUUAUAUGCUAAUUGAGAAGGACAAGACACAAAAGAAUUCAAUGGGGCAAAACUAUGUUACAACUGUGGUAUGGUACCACAGUUGCUUUCAGUCGGUAGAUCCACAGUUGUACAGUUACAUUAGUUAGAUCUAAUGGUUGAAAGUAACUGUGAUACCAUACCAUAGUUGCAACAUAGCUGGACCCAAUUCAAUGAAUGCCACGUUAAGUAACGUUGCUUACUCUUAACAAAUUAUUACAAACGUGAUUCAUGAAACUUGACUUUGUGUAUAAAGACGACCUAAAGAAACAUGCCAGGGCAACAAAUAAAGUAGUCCAAACGUGAUUCAUGAAAACUUGAUAGGCACUAUUUAAAUAGUAUUAAUAUGGCAACCAAAAACAUGCGAGCAAAGUAGACUUUCUUGGACGAUCCAUGCCAAUCAACAAAUAAAGUAGCCCAAACGUGAUUCGUGAAACUUGACUUUCUGUCUAAAAAGGCCUAAAGAAACAAGAUCAAAAUUCCAUGCAGAAGCAAUAUGGUGGGCACAAUGCACUAUUUAAGCCAUUUUUCAAAACUAAGUUUCUUCUUUUUCACAUGCACUAUUCAAGCAAUUUUUCAACAUUUUCUCAUUCCCCUAAAAGCUAACACGCAUGCGUGAAUCAUGUGCCAAUCAAUUUCUUGGCAAAAAUUGGAACGCAAGAACCGGUUCGAGCAUAGGGACAUUUUCACGAUUCAAGAUUCUCAGCAAGACGGCGAGACCAACGUGCAUCACUUUUGGAAAGUAAUUUAGCAAGUUCCAAUGCCUUAGCUGAUUAAUGGCUUGACCAUGUCACGAUUGGUCCCCUAAAAGCUAACACGCAUGCGUGAAUCAUGUGCCAAUCAAUUUCUUGGCAAAAAUUGGAACGCAAGAACCGGUUCGAGCAUAGGGACAUUUUCACGAUUCAAGAUUCUCAGCAAGACGGCGAGACCAACGUGCAUCACUUUUGGAAAGUAAUUUAGCAAGUUCCAAUGCCUUAGCUGAUUAAUGGCUUGACCAUGUCACGAUUGGUCCACAUUAUGCACAUGGCAAGAUCAAACAAAAUAUCACAGCUGGCUCGACGACUACCAGCCAAAAUAAGAAGACAAUUACGGCCAGUUACAUCAUUAUUGCUAGUAAACUCUUUACGAAGGAAAUGUGAAUAUCCCUCCUAAUCACUUUCUUAUAUUAUCAUUAUUUUGUACAUAUGACAGAACAUGUUCUCCCAUGUAAAGAAGUCAAGAAAAUGGUUUUAGUUUUCACAUCAAUAAUGGAAUCCAAAAUCUUUCACAGCUUGCUUCUCCUUUGGACGCUUGAAAAACUUUCUUACCUGGCUAAAACUGUGAGAAUUGUUCAAACUAAUUUGAUUGAUAACUUUCAGACACAAAAAUGUAUAUGAAUGCUACAUUUAAAUGUGAAACAAAAAGGAGUACUUAUAUUAAAAAACAAUCAGUCUCAUUGCGUCCUCUUCCAUUGACAUAGGCAAUUUGCGGUCAACUUGUGGCACCCUUAUUGACACGUAAAUAACUUACUUACCCUGCAGCCAAUACUUUUAUGAAUUUUUAGGGUUGGUAAAUUUUUCAAAUUUAAAAGAAAAAGUACAGAAAUAUAAUUUCCAUUUAUCCAGAAAUUUGAGUUUCAAGGAACAUAGCAUUUAUGUUAAUAUAGAGAAGAAAUUUUUUAAAAAAAAAUUGAAUGAAUAAAAGUAUUUUUUGAUAAAUAUUUGACAAUCAUAUUUAAAAAAAAAAGUUUUUUUAAAAAAAAAAAUUCACUCUUCCUACAUAAUUUAAUAAUUUAACAUUAUAAAUUAAUCUUUUUAUUCAAAGUAAUAAUCUCUCCUUCGGUCUGCAAAUGCUAAAAUUUAAUAUUAUACCAUAUGAUGUAAUAGCAAAUCUGCAUGAAAUCUGCAUUUAGUCAAUAACUAUGAAAUAUCGAUACGUGUUUGAAAAAACUCUUAAAAAUCGGUUUCCACCUUCAUUAUUAUAGCUCUUGUAUAAACCAACUUGGCAACAUAUGAUUGAUUAAUAUAAGAAUAAAUAUUUAUUAAGUGGGUUCUACCAUGUUUUUAAUUCACCUAAUGAUAAUAUGUCACAUCAAUUUGUACAACAAUAUUUGUGACUAUAUCAUUACUCGUUAAUUAAUAUGAACACUAAUUUAUUCUUCUUGAAAGAGAAUUACUGCAGCGAGGUUUGAGGCUCAAAGAGUUCUCAUUUAGCCAAACAUAAGAGAUGAGAGUUCACAGGAGACGUAAUUUGGAAAAUCAAUUCCAUCCAAUAGGCAAUAGGUCUCAGUGGGUUUGACUCAGUAUACGAUUAUUUUCAAUUUUUUAACGUCUUGUAAUUACAAAUUCCGAUAUCACAUUAUAAUUUUCGAACAAAUCAAAGUGAGUCAAAUCAAAUUUAGAAAAUUGAGAAAUUUAAGAUGAUUAAGUAAAUGCUAGACAAAAUCUAACUUGUAAAUAUACCUUACCACAUGAUGAACGUACUUAAAGAUCUUAACUGAUUGCUAACCAAUUAAUUGUUGUUUUACAAUUUUUAUAUAUCCUUUCUUUUCCCUAAAACUUCUAGUUUCCUAACAUAUUGUUCUCAAUUGGUCUAAUUAUAAUAUAAUUUUUUUAAAUAUAAAUAAAAUGAAUUUAUUUACUGGAAAUUUGAAAAAGAGGCACUUAUCUAUGCAAGCAAAGUUGCAUUCUGUUUGUGGGGACCUUAAAAAAAAGAAAAAAGAAAAAAGCAUAAUGACACACUGAUGACGACAAUCCUGAAGUAUUUGUUUUCUUUAGUUACAGUUUGGUUUGAAUGGUUAAGUUCAAGUUCGAAUUUUCUUUACGUAAUUUAAAUUAAAAUUGAUAGAACAAAUGGGCUGAUCAGUAAGAUGAUGAAGAAGAAGAAGAAGAAGAGGGGAUGUCUUUGAGGAUGAAGAGAAAGAAAGUUCUCGAAUAAAAAUCCGGCUUUAUGGAAAUUAAAUUAAAAGCUAUUAAGCAUUGUAAAUUACUUAACAGAUUAAUGCUGAGCUAAUCAAGUUUGUUUCUGAAGAUGAUACCUUUAAAUCUCUUGUAGUUAAAGAUAAUUAUCAUAUCACCAUAUCAAAUGGACCGAAUUCAAUCAAGUGAAAUCUAGAAAAUAGAGCAGCUCAUAGAUGUACGUGGCUAAGUCGGGGUUCAUUUGGAAGUACUUGGUCGAAUUGCGACUUGCAUCGGAGGCUUCGUUUUAGAAGAGUGCAGAGCAGCCGCCUUGUCCAUUUGGCACGCCAACGACUUUCUAUUGACCAAUAAUUUUGAAAGCGAUAUUAUUAAUUUACCAUCUAAUAUAUUUAUGAUAUUAUCAUUUUACUAUAAUAUUUUUUUGAUAUUAUCAUUUUACUAUCAAAGUUUUUUGACAAUUAUUUUGUUCACUUAAUGUUUUAGUUUUUGUUAUUUUACUAUCAAAAAAUGGUAAACGCACCCCUAGUAUCGGUUAUACACAAAAAUGGUUACCGAACUGUCUUGUUUCUCAUUUUGUUUAAUUUUCAUAAUUCGACUCACGAUUCAAACGUAGGUGAAGAGGUCUUUUGGGAAAAAUCUGGUCUUCCAUUUACUAGAAUAAGCUAUGUGUGAUUGUUUGACCGCAUAUGGCUUUCUGUCCAUCAGCUAAUGCAUAUUCUGCAUUUUAUGAAUAUCAGAGCUGGUAGAUUGAAAAAUGGACCUUAUUACAUGUCAUAAGAUACUUUGCUCAAAGCUGCAAUUGGGCAACGCCGUGCUGUUCGUAUCGGCCAAGGCAAGCCAUUUACUAUUCUUUCUAAUGGAGCAAAAUACGAUGAUUCUUACCUGCGUAGAGAAUUAGAAAAGAAAAGGAGGAUUACUGAUCCACAGAGCUGUCAUUUACUAGAAGCACAUAAAAUCUUACACUUAAUUCAUUAACCAUAUGUAAUGUUCUAAUGAUACUUAAGUAUUACAUAAAUUAGCCUUUCAAAAUUUCACUUCGAAAAAAUCCAAGGUUGUGAUGUGUCUGUAUAAAUUCGCUAAUACAAGUUCUCUCUAUUCCCAAUUGUUUUAAACUCUGUUCUGAACAGAGCAUGAAAGGAUAUAUUCGUUUAUCUAGUUAUAUUUUUUAUGCUCUCACUUCACUUGAUUCACCUUCUCCAUCUUUUAAAACAGUUGUAUAUGUCGGAGUAUCAAGUUCAUCACAAGGAUCAUAUUAUGGCCUAAGGAAGGAGCACAGUUUAUUGUCUGCACUCAAGCUUAGCAGAGUAUUUUGGGAUUCAAGAGUGUUAGUAGGCCGUUACAGAUGCCAUGCUGGCAAGCGUGCUAUGACUGAUUGCUAUUUGCACGUAAAAUUUGCCCAAAACAAAUAGAAUGAGAAUACUUGUACAAAAGGAUAAGAUUAAUAAAGUGAAUAAAUUUUAUCUUUUAGUGAAUGCUUCUUGUCUUUUAGAAUUUCAGUGCAUUUUCGUGUGUAAUUUUAUGUGCAAAUAGCAUUACUCAUUAGUAAUUAGUCUAGAGUGUUCUAAUUUCUUCUAAUAAGUAGCUGAUUUGAGCUUAAGACUUGUAUUUUAAGUUUUUAUUACUUUCUAAUAAAGAUUUUCUCCGUUCUUUUUUACUUUCACUUUCUCUUCCAUUUUCCCGACUCCCAAACACCACCAAUCCUUGAUUUUCUAGAGUAUAGCUAUGCAGUUCUACAAACACGAAACUGCUGUUGGUCCAAUUACUUUCAAGAAACAACGUACUCUGUGGUUUAUUGACUUGUGACAUGGGCAAAUUAGUCACGGUCCGAUUGUCUCCUCUUCCACUUACUGUCAAUUCAUGACUUUGGCACACAGUAGACGCCAGCUGCCUGCUCCAUUUGACGUGCAAAAAACUUUCUUGAGUCAUGUAGUUAAGAGAGACUUAAUUUUGAGAAGUGCAAGAGAUUGGUGGGACUCAUUUGAUUCAAGAAAAACAAUCAGUCUCAUUUGAUACGCAAAGAGCUUUUCAACUCUGCAGCCAAUAUUUUGAUGAAUGAGACAUUACUGGUUUGUAUAAUUUUUUGGAUAUUAUCUCAAUUUUACUUCUGUAGGUUUGUGGUUUGUAUAUUACCUCAAUUUUUAAAAAAAUGUAAUUGCAAUUAUCAAACACGACUAAUCCCAACAAUUUAUCCAAAAAAUUUUGUUUCAAGAAAUGUAGCAUUUAUGAUAGAAUGGCUAAUUUUUUCAAUCGACUUUCUGGAUAAAUGAUAAUUUUUUGAUAGAAAUGUUAAUUACUUAUUACAGGAAGAAAAUUAUAGAAUAAUUUUUUGAAUUAAUAGUAUUACUUUACGAUAACACUAUCACAAUCUAAUUUUUUUAAAAAUAAAGUUAUUCUUUAAAUUUCGCAUUACUAUUCCUACUUUUCUUGUUAUACUACUUAAUGGCAAAAAUAGUUCAUACGAUAAAAUGAGUACUUAUAUUAAAAAAAACAAUCGGUCUCAUUGCGUGCUCUUUCAUUGACAUAGGUAAUUGGCGGUCAACUUGUGGCACUUUUAUGAAUUUUCAAGACUGGUGAAUUUUUCAAAUUUAAAAGAAAAAAAUACAGAAAUGUAAUUUCAAUUUAUCCAAAAAUUUGAGUUUCAAGGAAUACAGCAUUUAUUAUAUGUCAUGUUAAUAUAGAGAAGAAAAAUUUAAAAACUUCUUUUUGGAUGAAUAAAAGUAUUUUCUGAUAAAUAUUUCACAAUCAAAUUUAAAAAAUUUCACUCCUCUUGGUACAUAAUUUAAGAAUUUAACAUUAUAAAUUAAUCUUUUUAAUCAAAGUAAUAAUCUCUCCUCGGUCUGCAAAUGCUAAAAUUUAAUAUUAUAUCCAUUGACAAUAUUUGCUCCCAAUUCACGAAAAUAAAAUUUCUAACAGAAUUAUGAAAUUCGUUACUAGAAAAUUGUAUAAAAGUUGUGAGAAUAGAAGGUUUGAUCAUAGGAAAUUAAUAUAUCCCUAUCCGAUGCAAAAAUGAUUGUAAAGAAAAAAUUACAUUCCAUUUUCCAGUUAUUAAAAUAAUUCUAAAAUUGCUAGGAUCACAAAGGAUAGGCUUUGGUUGACUGAGGUCAGCCUUAACGCAUGCCGGUCUUUUUCUCCUCUACAUUCUUAGAAAUUUUGGUUUCACUAUAAAUACACGGUAUAUAGCAAACUUAUAAGUGUUCUUGCAUUACCAAUCCAAUUAAGCACACACUUACAAUCUAAAAUACUCUCAUCUCAUGGAAAGGCUUCAUUCUCUAAGCAUUAUGAGCAGAUUUCUCUUACUCCAUUGUUUGAUUCUUAUUUCCUUAUUUAUCGCUGCAGCAACAGCCAACACAAGUUCUACUAUCACAGACCGAGAUGCUCUGUUAGCCCUGAAAGCUCGCAUAACUCAUGAUCCGACCAAUUUCUUGGCCCAGAAUUGGAACACAAGUACUCCUGUCUGUAAUUGGACAGGCGUCGCUUGUGAUGUCCAUAGCCAUAGAGUCACAGUCUUGAAUAUUUCAAGCUUAAAUCUCACAGGCACCAUCCCUUCUCAACUUGGGAAUCUUUCUUCUCUGCAAUCACUCAAUCUCAGUUUUAACCGACUUUCUAGUUCCAUUCCCUCCGCCAUCUUCACCAUAUACACACUUCAAAAUGUUAGUCUCCGUAAAAAUCAGCUCACCGGCACUUUCCCUUCUUUCAUCUUCAACAAGUCUUCUUUACAACAUCUUGAUUUUAGUUUCAAUACAUUGUCUGGUGAAAUUCCUGCCAAUAUUUGCAGUAAUUUUCCUUUUCUGGAAUAUCUUGCUUUGUCCAACAACAUGUUUCAUGGAGGAAUACUGUCCGCUCUAUCAAAUUGCACAUAUUUGCAAAAAUUAGAUUUGGUAUACAAUGAUUUCUCGGGAGCCGUACCUAGAGAAAUCGGUAAUUUGACCAAACUUAAGGAAUUACAUCUUGGCCGCAACAGAUUCCAAGGUGCGUAUGAUCACGGAGUUUAUGAAAAUUGUUCCACAAGUUGUAAUAUGUAUAAUGUUCCAUAAUACAAUUUACACACGUUGAUUAAUUUGCAGGAGAAAUUCCUCGAGAGUUUGGCAAUCUUGCCGAAUUGGAGCAGAUGUCGUUGGCAGAAAACAAUCUCCAAGGCAUGAUUUUAAACUUUUUGCAAUUUUAUUCUGUAUUCAUUCGUUUGUUCAUUAAUUAUGCUAUGAUUUAUUGUUUUUCUUUCAGAUAGAGAUAAAGCUCCAUGUCUCCCCUCACUCAUUUCAUUCUUUGAUUUAUGCAGAUAAAAAUAAAAAAAUGUUUUGCAAUUUUCUUUUGUCAUAUUGCCACUUCCAUUUUGAAGCUCCCAAUUAAGUCGAUGAAAAUGAAUGAUGUUUCAUUCUUAUUCUUGUCAGCCUAAUUCUUAUAUAAUUGAAGAGUAAAUUGUUAUUAUGAUAUUCGUCAGAAAAUAAAUUCUUUUUUUUUUCCACCCAAAUAUGAGUGAUCAAAUUGUUUGCGCAUAUAUAAAUGUACUUAAUUUGCAGGAGGUAUUCCACAGGAAUUGGGGAAUCUUGCAAAAUUGAAGACGUUACAGCUGUUCCAGAAUAACUUGACCGGUAACCAUCUUUACAAUAUAUAUAUGAGACAUCUUCCGCUUCUUAAUAAAUAGAUGUCAAGUCUCUCAUUAUAAAUUCUCACUAUCUAACAUCAUUCCGUUUUUUAUUAGAAAUUAGUUUAUGUUAAUUCAAAAUUCUGCAGCAUCUAAAAAUUAAAAACACGUGGAAUAAAUAAUCAAUCUUUCUUCUUUACUGAAUUUGGAUUUCUCAAAAAUUAUCUUGACAAGUAUGCUUCACUAAUGAUAUGCAUGUGUGACAACUUCAUAAAAUAUUUUACAUGAAAUCACUAAUUAUCUUUAAAUGUGUAUAUGCUUUUAUGUAUUAUUAUUCUUUGAAACAAAUCUGAUUAUAAUUCUUUUAAAAUACAGAUGAAAUAGCAAAUCGGAAAAUAUUUUACUGCGAUAAGAAUUCAUAUAUUCAUUGUAGUAGCACAUAUAAAAUAGACUAAAUUUUGUUCCAAAAUACAUUUUUAUCUUCAUAUAAAUUUUACAUUAUUAAUUUAAAUUAAUAUUAAACUAUGUUAUUUCUUUCACUAUAUUAUUUUAUUUACACAAUGAUGUGACUAUUGGAAUUAAUAAUACUUAUAAUUACUUUGUAAAAAUAUAAAUUUAAUACUUUGUUAACAUUUUAUCUACAUAUAACAAUUAAAUUGAAAAUUGUAUUUAAAAAUUUUUAGCUACGCAUAUUCAUUUCAUGAUAUAAAAGUGUAUAUUUAUACUAAUUUACCAUUAUCCAUAAAAUGUUUUGAGACAAAUAAUCUAAUUUAUAUUUGUAUAUUUAAAAUACUUGCAUUUAUUAUAUUUUUAAAAAAAAAAUAUUUGUAAUGAUUUUAAACCAUUGGAUUCAAAUUUUUGUAGUUAUUAAAGUCGAAGGGUAUAAAUGUAUAAUAGUUAAAAACAGAUUUGUAUGAUCAUUUUUCAAUGUAUAAAUUUUCUUUGUUAGUAGGAAAAUUACAAAUUGUUGAUUUACUCAUAAAUAAAUUUAAUGUUUAGCAUUUCAAUUUUGGAAAACUUGAACUAAAUGUUGAUAACUUCGAAUCGGUCGAGCCGAGUUUCACUUCCUUGACCCACGGACCCAUUGAAAGUUCUAUUCGAAUUGAGUUUCCCAGUGCUUAUAAAAAGCAUUUCUUUUCCUUGUCGCAGUAAUUUAUUCACAAAUGAGUUGAUUAGCAUCGAAGUUACCUAAGAGUCUGAGACCAUGCUAGUAGGAGAAAUUUGAAAAGAAAUUAUUUUACUGAAUUAAUUUAUUUUAUCUUGUUGUUGUAACUGAAAUACUACUUUUUUUUUUGGGCUAUCACUGGUACUUGAUUUACUUUAAUAGUAGCAGCCACCGACUUAGGCGUUUUUUACUUCUCACCACACAAUUUGAUCUUUUAAUUCGUUUUAACCACAUAAUCUAUCUAUUUCUCACCUAUUGCUUACUUAAAUUGCAUACAUAUUUUACCUAGUAAUUUUUAUAAAUAUUAGUCAAAUAUAUUUUAUUACGUUUCUCUCGUAACUGCUCCAAAUGUGUACUAUUAAUACUUAACCCUCCCUUUUAAUUUACCGUGCAAUCUAUCUACACUUAAAUCACAUAUAUAUUUUACCUAUAUUUUACCCAAAAAAAUAUAAAAAUUAAAGAAAAAGAAUAUGUGUAGCAAUUUGUAUAUAACUAACAAAGCAUUGACGGUGUGUAGCCUUCCAAUACUUCAUGAGUGGCUUUUCUUUUGUGUUAGUAUUUGUAAUAAUUGUGUAGCGUAUAAAGACUCUUUAUUGUAUAUGCGUGUCCGUUUAUAUAUAUCAUUUAUUAUUUGAAAAAUAAUCUGAAUAUAAUUCUUUCAAAAUACAGGGGAGAUACCACCUGAAAUCGGUAAUCUCCGAAAUUUAGAGGAGUUGGACCUUGGUCAUAACAAAUUAGUCGGUACUGUCCCAGCUGCAAUCUUCAAUUUGUCAACGCUCAAAGAAUUCUCCAUUCCAAAUAAUUCUCUCUCGGGAUGUCUUUCGUCCAUCGCAGACGUCCGACUACCAAAUCUUGAAGUGCUUAAUUUUUGGGGUAAUAAUUUCAGUGGCACAAUUCCUCGUUUCAUCUUUAAUGCUUCUAAGCUCUCUGCACUAGAUUUGGACGGCAACUCAUUCUCCGGUUUUAUUCCCAACACAUUUGGCAACUUAAGAAAUCUUAAGUGGCUCAUUUUAUCUGAUAAUUAUUUGACAUCUUCAACUCCAGAAUUGAGCUUUCUAUCCUCAUUGUCAAAUUGCAAGUCUUUAACAUAUAUUGACUUAUCAUAUAAUCCACUGGAUAGCAUUCUUCCAAGGACGUCUGUCGGUAAUCUUUCUCAUUCUUUGGAAGAUUUUGAAAUGAACAAUUGUAACGUUAGUGGUGGCAUUCCUGAAGAGAUCAGCAACUUGACCAACUUGACAACCAUUGAUUUAGGAGGCAAUAAAUUGAAUGGAUUGAUUCCAAUUACUCUCAGCAAAUUACAAAAGCUUCAAGGUUUGGUUCUUUAUGAUAACAAAUUAGAAGGAUCAAUCCCAGACGAUAUUUGUCGUUUGGCUGAACUGUAUGAAUUGGAGUUGGAUGGCAAUAAGCUUUCAGGAUCAAUCCCUGCAUGCUUAAGUAAUCUGAUUUCUCUGAGGAUACUAUCGUUGGGUUCCAAUGAGUUAACUUCUAUUCCCUUAAUUUUUUGGAACCUUGAGGAUAUCUUGUACCUUAACUUUUCUUCAAAUUUUUUGACUGGCCCACUCCCAUUAGAGAUUGGAAAAUUGAAGGUUUUGGUUGGAAUUGAUUUUUCGAUGAAUAAUUUUUCAGGCGUUAUCCCAACAAAAAUUGGAGGCCUAAAAAAUCUAGAAUAUCUCUUCUUAGGAUAUAACAGAUUGCAAGGAUCAAUUCCUGAUUCAUUUGGUGAUUUGACAAGUUUGAAAUCCUUGAAUUUGUCUAAUAAUAACCUCUCUGGGACUAUUCCUGCAUCUUUAGAGAAACUCUCAUAUCUUGAAAAUCUAAAUCUUUCUUUCAACAAGUUAGAAGGAGAAAUUCCUAGGGGAGGAUCUUUUGGAAAGUUCUCAGCUGAAUCAUUUAAGGGAAAUGAAUUAUUAUGUGGUUCACCUAAUUUACAAGUCCCACCAUGCAAAACUAGCAUCCACCACACAUCAUGGAAAAAUUCUCUUCUCCUAGGGAUUGUCUUGCCAUUGAGUACUACAUUUAUGAUAGUAGUUAUUUUGUUGAUCCUAAGAUAUCGACAGAGAGGAAAACAACCAUCGAAUGAUGCUAAUAUGCCACUAGUAGCAACGUGGAGAAUGUUUCCAUACCUAGAACUUUGUCGAGCAACAGAUGGAUUCAGUGAAAACAAUCUAAUUGGCAAAGGAGGUUUUGGCUCUGUUUACAAAGCAAGACUUGGGGACGGGAUGGAGGUUGCAGUGAAGGUUUUCAAUUUGGAAUGUGGAAGAGCAUUUAAGAGUUUCGAUGUUGAAUGUGACAUGAUGAAAAGUAUUCGCCAUCGAAACCUUAUCAAAGUUAUUAGCAGUUGUUCAAAUGAAGAGUUUAAAGCGUUGGUAUUAGAAUACAUGCCUCAUGGAAGUUUGGAGAAGUAUCUAUAUUCAAGCAACUGCAUUUUGGAUAUUUUUCAAAGAUUGAAUAUAAUGAUAGAUGUUGCAUCGGCUUUGGAAUAUCUGCACUUUGGUUAUUCAGCUCCAGUAAUUCACUGUGACUUAAAGCCCAGCAAUGUAUUGUUAGACGAUAAUAUGGUUGCUCAUUUGAGUGAUUUUAGCAUCGCAAAAUUGUUAACUGGAGAAGAUCAAUCUAUGACUCAAACACAAACACUUGCCACAAUCGGCUAUAUGGCACCAGGUUUGUUCAAUAUAAAUAUUUUCUAUUAUUUCUUGUAAACUUCCUAGUAAGUUCUUUAUGUUUCAUUAUCUUCAUUAGAUGAGGAAAUUAUUAUUAAUGAUAUAUCUUACUAUGUAAUCGUUGCAAUUCAUAGAGUAUGGAAGAGAAGGACGAGUAUCCGCAAAUGGAGAUGUUUAUAGCUUUGGGAUUAUGUUAAUGGAAACUUUUACUGGGAAGAAACCCACAGAUGAAAUUUUUAACGAAGAAAUGACAUUAAAGCAUUGGGUUAAUGAUUGGCUACCCAUUUCUACUAUGGAAGUUGUUGAUGUUAAUUUGCUAAGUCAGGAGGACAUACAUUUUGUUGCAAAAGAGCAAUGUGUGUCAUUUGUCUUCAAUUUGGCUAUGGCGUGCACUGUGGAAUCUCCGGAGCAGAGAAUCAAUGCAAAAGAAAUUGUAACAAAACUCUUAAAAAUUAGAGACUCGUUACUUAGGAAUGUUGGAGGCAGAUGUAUAAGACAAUCAAACUUAAAUUGAUUCUACCCCUCCUUCAUUGCUUGCUAUCAUUUUCAGAGACUUGAAUAGUUAUCCUUCAUACAAGUUUUGUUGAUAUGUUUUGUUAUUUCUCUUGCUCAUGUUUAUUUCUCUCUUUCUUUAAUUUGCAUGCAUGCAUUUUCGUUCUCUUCCAUGUUUGCAUUGGUUUGUAUUUAGCUUGUUUUUUGGGGUAAGGUUCUUUAUGCCCUCCCCUAAUUAGAUGUAUCCUUUUAAUUUUUAUUCAAAAAGUUUCGCUAGUACUAUCGAGGUUCAUCGAGGUUAAUCGAAAGAAAAUUUUCAAUUGAUUUUCUUUUCUUUGGCUACUAAUGGAAAUUCUAGUCUUUAUAGUUAAUAACUUUAGUAGUUAUGGCUGUUUUCUGAACUUGGAGUCAGAGUAGUUGAACAGCAACAAACAAGUCUCUUGUAUUAUAGGCAAAAUUCUUUUCAUUAAUCUUAUUUGUCUACAUUUUCUCCUAUUUUCUCCAUUAAUCUUCGCUCAAGGUUUCAAGCUUCCUCUUUGGCAAAGGAAAAUGUUAUUUGCUACUGACCGAUUGCGAGUAUUUCAAUUUGACAUGUGAGACUGUUUUGUCGGCCAUUUGAUAAAAUGGAUAUGAGUGGAGCUUUUAAUCAAUACCUCCACCAAAAUCCUUAUAACGCCACUUUGAAAUUUUAGUUUUUAAAAUACAUUCAGUUUAAUUUAAAAAAAAUAAAUUCAUUUGUUAAAAUUAAUCUUUUUCUCAUAAAUUUCAACCUAAAAAAUAUUUUUCUUUUAAGUUUUUAUUAUAAAAUACAUACAAGUUCUAAACUAUUAAAUUAUUUUCUUCUUAUUAUAUAGUUUAUAUCUUCAUAACUCUAAACUCCUAUAAUUUUUUUUAAAAAAUAUUUUUCAAUUUAAAAUAUGAAUAUAAAAUAUAGAAUGGACUGGGUAUAAAAAGUAUGUUAAACGAAUAAUUCAUUUAAGUAUUCAACUGAAUUUUAAUUUAAAAUAAGAAAUAAAUUAAUUUAUUUUUAUUAGUUAAGUAAUUUUCAAUUGAAAAAGAGCUUAUAUUAUGGACAUAUGAUUAAAAUUCCUAUGAAUUAAACAUUUUCGUAUAAAUACCAGUGAUAAUUAUAGAGAAAGUACGAUGAACCGAAGAAAACUUGAAUAUAAAUACUCCAAUGUAAUUUUACACGUACAAAUUAUGAACCAGUGAUCUUUAGAGCAUCAUAAGACAUGAUAUCAUUUAAGACGGCUUACAAAUUAUGAAAAAUACAUUGAUCUUAUAAAUAAUAUUUAAUAUGUCAAUUAGACUGAGGUGGCGUUUGUUUUUUAACUUAAUAACUUAAAGUGACUUAACUUAAUUAAUUAAGUUAAUUAGAGGUGUUUGUUUUAUAACUUAAUGAGACUUUUUAGAUAAUUUUGACUUAAUAAAAUAAGCCAAUUUUUUUGACUUUUUACUUAAUGGAGAAAUCUGAAUUAAGUCAAUUACUUGCUAAUGUCAAAAAUAUCCUUAUUUUAUAAUUUAUUUUUCAUGUCUAUCCCAAACUCACCCAUAGACAUUUACCUCAUAUAAAAAUAUCUCUAUUUUUUCUUUCUUAUAUUAUAUACAAUAAAAUUUAAAAUUUAUGGUAUUUUAUAUAUUAAAAUUCUAAAAUAAUUAUGUAUUCACUUGAAUAUAAUUUUACUUAUAAAUGUUAAAAUAUUGUGUUAUUUAAUAUAUUAUUUAUUUGACAUUCAAAUUUAAUAAGGAUACAAAUGUAAAAGUACAUAUUUUUAGUUUUUUAAGUCGAAAAAACAAACAACUUAAUAUUUAUUUUCCGAGAUUCAGACGAAAAAACAAACAUAUUAUUCAGAUUCAGACAUUCAGAUAUAUUCAGAAUUCAGACUAAUUCAGGUCUAUUCAGAUUUCAGAUAAAAAAAAAACGCCACCUGAGUCUCUGCAAUAAAAUUUUCAAAUUAAACAAUAAACCCUUUAUUUUCCUUUAAUUAUAAGUGUGAUCUUAAUUAUUAAAGUCAUUCAGAUGAAAAAUGAGAAGCUUGAAGCUUCUCUCGGUUAUUUACUAUAUUCUUAUCUCUUUUCUUUUGUUGCAUUUUUCUUCUGUCGUUAUAAAUUAUUUUUUUACAGAUAUACAAAUAGAAACUAUAUAAAUUUAUAACACCUUAUCAGGGGGUUUUUAAUUAAAUACCCUUUAAUAGUUUCAAAAUUAUUGAAAUACCCCCUCCCUUUUUGGUUUUCAUGGAUACCCUAACAAAUGUGAGUAAAGUCGGAAAUACCCUUAAUGAAUGCAUCAAAUUCACUCAAUGAAUUGUCUUCAUAUUCCUUUCCUCAUUUCUUUCACCCAACUCCAUUUUUGCUGCCGAUUCUUUCAAAAUCUCUUAGAAUCUCUCAAAAUCUCUCAUAAUUUCUUACACAAAUACAAUUAUGUAGUCAUUUCUUUAACACCCACUCUUUCUUUAAAGGUGCAUUGCUUAUUAAACAACCCAAUAAGGUAUGUUAAUGUUGUUGGGUUUUAAAUUUUUUAAUUUUUAGGAAAAUUUAGAAAUUUUCCUCACAUUACAAUGUUUUAUUUUCACCAUUUUUUCUUAUAUGUAGAAAUAUAUGCAAUGUAGGUUGUUUAAUUAUUUUUUUCAGCAAUAAAACUUAUUUAUGGCGAAAAUGUUUCGCGUCGUGCAUUCUUUUGAUACCGUGUACGUCAUAUAGUUAGUCAUGUAGGUCAUGUACUUACUUGUAUAUGAAAUUUGAUAUUAUUAUUUUUAUUGUAUCAUCAGAUAUGGUUUUGGUACGUGUGCCUAUUCUCUUCAAUGGUGAAUGAAUUGAGCAAAAUGACGAGUAUAAGUUCAAAGGUUUCAAGGCUAAAGGGAUAAUGAUACCACGAUCGACAAUAUAUGCCGAAUUGAUGGAGAAGAUAGUUGAAGUUAUUGAUAUAGAUACUUCGGAAUUCGAAAUCACAAUGAAGUUCAAACUUAAGACAUCUGAUCCUAUGCCACCAGUUACAAUUCAAACCAAUGAUGAUGUGGAAUUUUUCUUAGAGGAAGUAGCUAGUGGAAUGAAGUUUAGAAACCCGCUUUGCAUUACUUUUGAACGUAGAUCAAAUCGUGUGUUCAUAAAUUACAGCAAAAAAAAAAAAAAUUGCAUAUUCGACAAUUUGAGAAAUGAUGAGAUUAAUUAUUAUAAAUAAACAAAGUUAUCAGUUUACAAUGUCAAUAUUUGGAUAUGAUACACUAAUGGAUAUCGUAAUUAAACAUAUUACAACCAUUUAAAAAGUUUUUUUUUUUUUUUUAUCUUCAAACUGCUUUCUUCCUCUGCCGAAGCAUACAUGCAUACAUGAGGAAUGCCUGCAUAUAAUAAAUCCAUGAAAUCAAUUAGAAACAACUCUUAAAUCAAAGGCUAGUUGAAAACACAGUCGCAAGUGUGGCAAUACUCGGGUUAUCAUCAAAUGUUGUCAGAAUCUGCACAGCAGCAAAUAUUAAUAACUUUACACAAUUUGUACGUAGUUAAAAAUAAUAACAUACUUAGUUAAAAAUAAUAACAAAAUGAACCUUCACAUUAUUCUUAUUGGUUCUAACGAUGACAAAUUAGUAAUUUUCAGCUUUCGGUUUGCCACAUUUCAUUUUUUCCUGAAUACUUUUCGUUGACAUUUUCUGCAUAGCAACAAAUAUAAAUUCUUAGCAAAAAUUAAGUCUUUAAACAACUAAGUUAUUAUAAUGAAUUAACAACAGUGAAAAAAGUCGUGUAAUUUUGAGGUCGUGUAAUACAUGAAGGUCGUGCAAGUGCAAUACAUGAAGGUCGUGUAAUACACAACCUUGAAUCCUAAUAACCUGACACGACCAAAUCGUGUGUUACAUAAAAAAAUUAUAAUCGGCACAAUCCAUCAAUUUUUCACAAUUUGCAUGCAGCAAAACAACUAGAAAUUUGUUUUUGAACAUGUAAUGAGAGACCCGCAACUAAUUAAUCUAUUUUUUCUAUAUAAACCCUAACUUUUUUUUUCCCUGAAUAUCAACAAGAAAACUAUUUAUAGAGAAUUACUUACCUCAACUAGUUAAAUUAUGACCAUUUUGCAGUAAAGAAUCAGCUCUCGCCGCCGAUUAUGUGGCGACGAACUAGGCUUCUCUUUCUCAGUUGUGGUAGCUUCCCCUUCUCAAGGUUAGUUUGCUCGUGUUGAAGUUCGAUUUACCAUGUAUGGAGAAUGAAUAUUUGUUUCGGUAGAUGUGAUGCCGGUGAGUAGGGAUGGCAAUGGGGCGGGGUGGGGGUGGGGAUGCCUACCCCAUUCCCCACCCCAUUAAAAAUUUUUGCCUCCACUCCCCACUCCAUUCCCCAAUAAAUUUAGUGGGUUGGGGAUGGGGAAUCCCCACGUGGGGAAUGAUUCCCCCAUCCCCACCCCAUUCCCCAUUUACUUAUUUUAUAGUAGAUAUAAAAAUAUGAUUUCAGUAAAUUAAAAAUUAGAGACUUAAAAUAAAAUCAUUAUCAUAUUAUAAAGUAUUUAAUUUUUUUUUUAAAUCUCUAAAAGUUUGAAACAAUAUCUUAAACUGAUAUUAAAAGUGAAAAAUAUUUAAAGAGAGCAGCACCUUAAAAGAGAAAAGAAAAUAUAAUAAUAUUUUAAAAUUAAAAAAUAUUGUAGGGUUUUCUUUUACUAUCAUGUUUAUAUUACAUAAAAAUUAAAAAAUUAUUAAUUGACAUUAUAGUUGAUAAAAUAAAAAUUAUUAACAUAAUUAUAUAUAAUGGGGAUUGGGGUGGGAAUGGGGUGGGGAGUGCAAUACCAAACCCCACCCCGUUAACAAUUUGGGGAUUAUUUUUCUCCCACUCCCCACCCCAUUCUCUAAAAAUUAUUAAAAAUUUUUCCCAUUUGGGGUGGGGCUCCAUGGGGCCCCAAACCCGUGGAGGAUUUUGCCAUUCCUACCGGUGAGGGAAUUGCAGAGGUGAUGCCGAUGAGGGAAUUGCAGUGUUUAUUUGUUUGAGUUUGAUAAUGGAGGGAAUUGCAGCAGAUGAGUGUUUGUUUGCUUCAGUAGAGAAGGGAGAGGUGCUGUCCGUUGAGUUGAAAUGUUUUAAAAUGAGGAUACCUUAGUAAUUUCCUAUCAGUUUUUAAAGGGUAUCGAUGAAAAUUUUGGCAAAAACAGAUUUUUGGGUAUUAAGAUAAUUUUUGAAGUAUGGAGGUGUACCGGGCGCAAUUGGCUCCCUUAUCAGUGCGGUUAAGCCGAAUAAUAUAUCAAAACGAAGCUCUCCAUAAGCUGAGCUUUCUGCCACAAAAUUAUUGUUAUCGGAGUCCCUAGGCGUCGACAAUUGCCACCGAAAAACUUUGGUUUUAAGGGAUAGAAAUGCAUCACGAUCGGGUCGGGUCAAUCCGAAUUCCUACCCGAUUGUUGAGCCUGAUUCAGGCCACAUUACUGGCCGUGGAGGGUACCAAUCAAACCGCCAAAAGUCACCUGUCAUUCUCCAAGUCAUCAUGGUUGCCGGAAAUGACUGGAAAACCGCCGAACGAAGCUCGAAUAUCCGCAACAAAUCGACCCAAAUCGGCAUGAUAUCGCCGAUUUCAGGCCACGCCACCACCUGGGCUUUACUCCUCAUGUCGUCCUCUUUAAUAUUUGACUGAAAACCGGUGCCAAAAGCCACUGGUUUGCCACAAAUCAAGCCACCAAGUUUCACGAUCGUUGGGGCCCGAUCCACUGCCGUAGCAGCGCGUCGGAGCUCACUGUCGGUAUCUUUGGAUUCAGCACGACCUGAAGUCUCUAUCUCGAGCUUCUAAGCCACCGGGGCUUGAUUUCCGGGCACCGUUGAAUGGUUAGGGUAGUUUGGUAAUUUCGAAUUUUAAGGGCAUUCUGGUAAUUUCAAAUUUUCGAGGUUAAUAUCUUUUAGAUCCCUAAAAGUUAUUUAAAUUAUGAUAAAAUCCACAUAUAUUUUUAAUGGUGUUAAAAAAAAUUAGGGAAAUUAUCAGACAUAUACCUUUAAAUGACACUAGUAUCAAACGUGUUACAACACUUUUCAAGUGUAUAACUCGUAUAUCGUAAGUUGACAAAACACUUCUGCCGUCCACCAAUCCGUUAACUACCAUUUACAAGCGCUGACAUCAUAAGGGUAAUCUAUUUUUUUUAAAAAAUGACAUGACAUCUCAUUUACCUAGUAAAAAAUGACAUGUUAUAUGAUAUAUAUUGAUAAAAAUGACAUGUCAUAUGAUAUAUAUUGAUAAAAAUGACAUGUCAUAUGAUAUAUAUUGAUAAAAAUGACAUGUCAUCCCAUUUAUCGAAUAGUUGUUCAUAAUUGCUAAAAAAAAAAAAGCUACUUUACAACCGAAUCUACUCCUCCAAACUUAACCUAAAUUUUUGAAGAUUUACUCCUCCAAGCUCCAACUAAAAUUUUUUAUGGUAUAGUAUAUAUAAUUAUAAAUAAUAUGUUGUUAAUAUUUUUUUAUGGUAUAAUAUAGAUAUUUUUUACAAAUAAUUGUUAAUAAUAUGUACCAUUAAUAAUUCAUAUAUUUUUUAAUAAAAAAAUGUAUUGUUAUUAAAAAAAUUUAAAAAAAUUGUGUAUUGAAAAUUUAUAUUAAUUUUUUAGGUAAAUUUAUCUUUUUACCUCAUUUUGAGUUUUAAGGGCGAAAUAGUCAAUUUGCCAUAAUUCUGUUAACUUUCUAACGGAAGUUAACGGAUUGGUGGAUGGCAGAAGUGUUUUGUCAACUUAGGGUAUAUGAGUGAUACACUUGAAAAAUAUUGUAACACGUUUGAUACGAAUAUCAUUUAAGGAUAUAUGACUGAUAAUUUUCCUAAAAAUUAUUAAAGUCAUUCAAUGUACAUUACUUAUUCAUUUUUUUAAUUAUCAAAUGACAUUGAAAACUCUACUCAAUAUUAUUUCAUUCAAAUGUUUUGUUUUAAAGUAAUCGGAAACUGCAAAUGAAACAAAAUAACAAAUGCUUGAAAUCACAAACGGCCUAAAAUUAGAUUUUUUUUUUAAUGUUACAGUGACUUUGAUCCUGAUAUUAAAAUAAUCUGAAAAUAAUUUGGAAUUUUGGGGAUUUUGAAAUUUUUUGGUUUUGUUUGAGUGCAAUUUCCUCUAGUUACAGUUUCAGUAAGAAGGGUUAAGUGCAAUUUCGAAUUUUUUAUAAAAUUUAAAUUAAAAUUCAUAAAAAGAUUGGGCAUCUAAUCCUAAAUUGAUGGCUAGCGAUACUACAACGGCGGCUGCAGCUCCAGAAAAAGCAGAGGCGGUGGAGGAGUAUGAUAGGGAUCCAGAUGAAAUGAAACGCUCUCUUGUGAUGCGCAGAAGGGAAGCCACUGAUGAGGAGGAGGCGGAGGAUGAGAGAGAUUCAGAGCUUCCAAUCGCUCAAAGUGUGCAUAUUCCUGCGGGAGAGGCGGAGGCUGUGGAUAAGUAUGAGAACGAUCCAGAUGAAGUGAUACACUCUCUCGUUCUGCACAGAAGGGAAACAAGCGAUGAGGAGGAGGAGGAGACAGAAUUUGAGCGUCGAAUGAAUUGAAGGCUCCAGAUUCACUCUUACGAUGAAUCUGAUGGCCAAGGUGGUGCUUCAGCUGAGUAUGAUGAUGAUGAUGAUGAAGACGAAGAGGAACAUGACAGAAUUAGAAGAAGAUGAUGAAGAAGGGGAUGUUUAUGAGGAUGAAGAGGAAGAAGAAGUUUAUGAAGAAGAGGAGAGGAAUGACGGGGCGGUUAAAGUCAAAGGAAUAGAGGGUAAUGAUGCAAGAGGAGUACGAAGGGGGCAGUGGAAGUGAGUAAAAGGAAUAAUGAUAAUGGCAAUGGUGCUAAAAGAAUGAUGUAGUGGAGGGAAUGGAGGAAGAGAAGGAGAGUAAUGAGCCUUUUGUCUCACGUUAACCCUCACCUCUGUUUAUUUCUCUUUCUUUUCUUUUAACCCAAUUUUUACUUCAAUCUUCGUUUUUCUUCUUCCCCCAAAAUUAAACAGCGAUUACAUUCCUCAACAGCUACAAAGAAAAAAAGCCACGGCACUUUCAAGAUACCGAAACAUACCCACAUUUACUAAACAAAAGAGAUUUAAUUUAAAAAAAAUUGCAGAGCGGAUUAAGCACUGACCAAGUGAAAAGCUGACCAAGCGAAGUAAGAGCAAUAGAAUGAACUCCACCAAGAGCAAUACAACGAACAUGAUCAUCCAAAUAAGGAUUCAAAGUAGGCACAAACGCAGCAUCCUCAUGCCCAAAUCCAAGCCGCCCGCCAUCUCCUUUGCCCCAAAUCCACAACUUCCCGUUCACCACCAACCCAGAAUGAAACAACCCACAUGAUGAAGAAUUUGAAAAGCGCUCUGAAGAAGACGAAUCACGAGUUCUCAGAGGUAAAAUUCCUGAUCUUUCUAUGUGGUUAACUCCUGAAUCAGUCGAUUCUUGGUUUCAAUUGGUUCACUGAGUUAGGUGAUUUUGUCUUACGUCUGAUGCAGGGAAGGAGCUUGGCUGAAGGUCACAACUCACGAGUUCGAUUUUUGCUUUUGGCUGAAGGUCACGACGAGCAGCGGCCAGCGGGAACAGAAGAAGUUAUGACGAGCAGCGGCCAGCGGGAAGUCGGGAACCGAAGAAGACAGAAGUCAGAAGUUUAGAUUUAGAUUUUAGGCUUUUAGGUUUUAACUUUAGCUUUCAAAUCGGUUUAUUUGUGAUUUCGGUUCGGUUUUGCGGUUUUUUUUAAAUCAAAAACUGAACCGAUUGGUUUUACUGGACCCUUUUUUAUAUUACUAUUUCGGUUUUUUAGAGGUAAAAAAAUCGCACAAAAACCGAACCGAACCGAUCGAUUCGAUUUUUAAUUAAUCAAUUUUUUUUGCCCAUCUCUACAGCUAGGUACGUAUUGGUGUUUGUGGAUUUCUAAAUGCUUUCUGUCAAAUGUGACUAGAUUAUUAUUAGAAGUCUAUGGAUCUUACACUUAAUUAAUUAUAUAUCCAUUUAUAAUAUUCAAAAUGAUAAUGUACUAUUGCUUAAAAUUAUGCUUUCAAGACAUCAUUAUGAAAAUCCAUGGUUGUAAUGUGUUUCUAAAUUCAGUAAUACAAGUUCUGUCAAUUACUGUUGGAUGCAGUGACCUGAAUAGUUUAAUAUUCAUUUGCAGAAAAAAGUUGAGAAAGAAAACUAAAAAUUUCCAUGCGUUCUGCUAGAAAUUUAAUUAGCUUCAUUUGAGCAUUAAUUGCCGGCAUGAUCUCUUAGACUUCUCUUGCAUUGAAUGAAUGAAUGAGUGCUAAUCCAUGCAAAGACUUCCAUGCAUGCACAAUGAAUGCUAAAUCUAAGGUAUGGUAAAAUGUCAGCAAGCUUGGCCCAAAUUAUCAAGCUGGUUUGGUGGCUGCUAGAUUUGUUCAUCCGGAUUUUGGACCAUUUUCCUUGACAAUGAGAAAAGCUCCAAGAUCUGUAAAUUGAAGACUCACUGAAAGCUCCAAGUUUCAGGUAACUCUUGAGUUGUGUGCUGGAGUAUUCUCUAUUGUAUUUUGUUUGUUUGUUAUUUAUUUGAUGUAUUGCUAGCAGGGAUCUUAGGUGGGAACCAAAAAUUCUCAAUAAUUAUCAAUUGUUUUAAACUCUAUUCUGAACCGAGCGUGAAGGGAUUCACUUAUCUAAUUAUGUCUUUUAUGCUUUAAAUUCAGUUGAUUUCAUCUUUUCCGUCACCUUUAUUAAAGUUGUAUAUGUUGGAGUAUUAGGUUAAUCAUAAGGAUCAUAUUAUGGCUAAGGAAGGAGCACAGUUUAUCAGCUGCACUCAAGUGUAGCAGAGUAUUUGGGGCUGAUGCUACAAUACCUGCAUGUAUGUGAUACAUGCAUAAAAGAUGACCGUUGGAUUGAAUAUAAUGAAUCCAACGGUUGAGAUGAGUUUAAUUAACAAAUAAUUAAAAAUUUUCACAAAACCUGAAACCUAUAGAAACGGUAACAGGCACACAUCCCAACUGGCUAUAUAUAUUUGUGGGAAAAAAAAAAGAAAAAGAAAAAGAAAAAAGCUCUCACCUCACGCAAAGCUAGUUCUUCUCUUCUCUUCUUCUUCGACAAUGGUGAACGGCACGAUGAACGGCGGCAUAGCUAAUUAGUAAUUCCUCUCCUCUUCUGCUUCCACAACAGUCAACGGCGGCAUAGCUUCCACAACAGUCAGCGACGGAUUUGAUUUUCAGGUAUUUUGGUUAACUCUAAACUGAUUUCAUAGCCUUUCAAUUCUUUUUUUUGCUAAUUUUUUUCUUUUUUUGCCCACGCUGCAGAAUCCUUGUCAGUAAACAAACCCUCACAGCCACCAGCCACCACUGACAUGCAUGAACGUCCAAUCUCUUAGCCGCAAUCGCUAUUCUUUGUCGACGUCGCGAAGAAAUUGGGUAUGAUGUUGUUAAUCAAUUACACAUGCUACCAAAAAAUUGUAAGAACCAAUUUUUUAAAUUUUGUUAAUAUGAUUAUGAAAUUGGGCUUGCUUUUGUGUGAAAUUUUAGGGUUUGUUUGCUUUUGGAUGAAAAUUAAAAAUCAGAUUUUGAAAUUGUUUGUUCCUCAUUUUGUUGAGAUAUAUCUUGUCUUCGUUUAUUGAUUUGUGCAUGUCUGGAUAGAUAUGCCAACCUAAUCGAAUGCUUAUUAAAUUCAAUGAAAUGUGAUGCAUGGCCUUAAGCUUGCGGUGAAUAGCUUUAUUCGACAUAUAUAUUUUGGAAAUUAGUUUUCUUUUGUUUGAUUUAUUUUGCUUUAAAAAAAAGAGCCUAGUCAAAAUAAGUUUAUUUAAAAGUGGAUGGCAUUUGAUUAAAAGAAGAGGUAAGAUUUAAAGCCCUCCAAGUGUUUGAUAAAAUAUCUAAAUGAAACUUCAUGUUCUUAUUUUCCUUUCGCAACUGACUUAGGUUCUUCGUAAUCAAGGUGAAGGUGCUAUAGUGUUAGUAUUGGCACCUACUAGAGACUUAGCCGAUCAAAUUCAGGAAGAGGCUUUUAAAUUUUGGUCGUGCGCAAGUGUUAUAAAUACUUGUGUUUAUGGUACUGCUCCUAAAUGAUCUCAAAUAUUCGAAGAGGUGUUUUGAAUUCUUUUUUGGAGAAUUUAAUUGUUUUUAGAUUAAAAUUACAAGUCAAGUAUUUUUAUUUGGUGUAUCUUCCUCUUUAACUACAAUAUGAAAUUGGAGAAUUUGAUAGAACUUUAAUCAUUUGUCUAUACUUUACUAUUGCUUAAUUGUAUCAUAAGAGUGUGUUAAUUUGCUCUGUAAUUCUUUCAAGAUUCUUGAGCUAUAGUCUUUAUAUUUAUAAUUUGUUUUGAUAAAUUUCUCUUGGUUCUUUAAUUUUGAUCUAUUCCCCACUUUAAAGAUAUUUUAUUUUAAACAUAAGAUGUCAUUAAUUAUAUUGAUUUAAUCUUACAGGGUGAUGAGCUAAAUUAAUUAAUUAUAUUAUAUGUAGAUUUUAGUUUGCUCAAUAAUGGUAUACUAGGAAUGCAGUUUUAUUUUAAGCAUAAUAUGCAAUUUGUUUUGCUAUUGUUUAUGCAUAAAAACAGCACCUGAAAGUUUCCAGGUGCUGCUUAGCUGCUGUUAUGUAAUAAACAUAAACACAACACAUGGAAACUUUGGGGUGUUGUUUAUGCACAAAAAUAGCAUGUAGAAGCUUGAGGCGCUGCUUAGCUGCUGUUAUGUAGCAAAAACAAAACAUGGAAGUUUCUAGGUGCUGCUUAGCUGCUGUUAUGCAGCAAAAACAACAGCCGGAAGUUUCUAGGUGUUGUUUUGUUGCUGUUUGUGCAGAAAAACUACACUUGGAGAUUUCCAGGUGCUGGUUAGCUGUUGUUAUGCUGCAAAAACAACACCAGGAAAUUUACCGGUACUGUUUUACUAAUGUUUGUGUAGAAAGACUUUAACUGUUGCUUUAUAUACCUAUAAUUUGUAUUUCAAUAUGAUCUCCAUUUUGCUUUUAUUGUUUAAUUUUUAAAAUGGGAAGAUUCCCUUGUAUUUUAUCUCAAAUGCAAUUUUGUCUAGUAAUCGUUCUUGGGAUUAUAUCUUCUUUUACUUGUUUUUAGGGUGCGGCUCUCAGUUUCAAGUACUACCAACAUUGUUUCCCUUCCAUGAAAGAAUCUGUAGUUUUACCCAGUUAUGAACUGAGUUAGCCAUUGGUUAUUAGCAGUUUCUGGACAAGGAGCAAGAAGAUACCAAUGAGGACCUGGAUUUCAGAAGCAAUUCUCUUAUUUUUCUUUUAUUUUAAAUCAUUAGCAUUUUCUUUUUCUCGUUUGGUUUCAGAUAUUGGUGGUAUUGGGUAGUGGGUUUGUUUCUCGAAUCAUCAUGAUACCAAAUGUAAUUGCAAACAGCAGGGUCUAAAAUUUAUACGACCUGAUGAUUUGUCCUAUAUUUUUUUACUGAUGUUUGCUUAAUUUUCUUUUCCUUUUUGUUUUUUUAAGUGAUCUCCAUAAUUAAUCAAGAACCAAAAUAUCAAGUUUGUUAAUCUUUUAAUUUAAUAGUAUUUUGAGAAUUAUUGGCUUCCAUCUUACAUUAAAAUAAUCCCUCAAUGAAAAAUCAUUGUUUUAGCAUUAAAUUUAAUUUUGCAAUAUGUAAAUUACCAGAAUAAAAUUUUCAAAAUUAAAAAUUUUUUGUUAGAAGAAUUAUAAUGUUAUAUUUUAUAUAUCUAAAAAUUAACCAAAAAAAGUUUGUGUAUUUUAAAGUUAUAAUAAAUGUACCAUUAAAAAAAUCUAUAUCUAUCGUAAAAUACGAUUUUAUGAAAUGAGUUAUUAUGAAAGCUUAUGGACAAAAUAGAAAAUAUUUUAGAAAUUAACAAGUAUUAUUUGAAAUUUUGGAAAAUAGGUUUGAUUGAGUUUCAUAAUGUUUUUAAUAAAAUUGUAAUUUUUGGGGCACAAACGGCGAACUGCUAACACUUAAAUUGGCUAAUUGAUUCCAAUUUGGAGAGUUUUCAGAAUUAAAAAGGCGAACCACUAACUUUAAAUGGCAAAACGACUACGGUUGGGUGAGUUUAUUGUAUGGUGUGCGUUGAUCAUCCCCGAUCCUCCGAGUAAGAAAAUGUGCUAGUUCUUCCAUGUAAUAAGAAACUUAGUGGUAUUUGGGUUGGGUUUUUAAAGCAUUUAAUGUCACCAUUAAUGAAAGGAUUUGGUUGGUUUCUGAGUUGGUGUACAAAUAAAUUAACUGCGCUCAUAUGUUACGUAGAGCUAAAUCGACUAGUCUGUAGUGAAAAGGCGGUUAGCCAUUUGGAGUUGCAUGCUCUCUGGAAUGAAAGAGGCUAGCCUCUUUGUAGGAAACAAGUAGCCCUUUUCACGCCAGAGAGCAUGUUUCUCGAAAAGGGCUAGCCGUUUCCCACGAAGAGGCUAGUCCUUUCACUUCGCAUGCUCUCUGGAAUGAAAAAGGCUAGCCUCUUCGUGGGAAACAGCUAACCCUUUUCACUCCAGAGAGUAUGUUUCCCGAAAAUGGUUAGCCAUUUCAAUAAAGAGGAUGGGCGUUUGGAGUUGUAUGCUUUCUGGAUUGAAAAAGGUUAGACGCGAUAAAGCAAACGGCUAGCCCUUUUUACUCCAAAAAGCAUUUUGAUCGAAAACGGCUAGCCGCUUAUUUUAAAGAGGCUAGCCGUUUUCGAUCCAGAAUCUGUUACAUUUGUAAUGGCUAGCCUCUUUAACAAAAUGGCUACCUGUCUCCCUCACUAUUCAACUUCAACCCACGACCACCUCUCUCACCGUCGCAUGAAAUUCACGGCUUCUUCAGCCAUUAACGAGAAAAUAUACAACUCCUCAUCAUUUUCCUUCAUUUACGCAUCUAAAUUUCAUUAGCUAAAUACUCUUUAACCCUAUUUCACCGAAAAACCCAAUUAAAAACCCUAGGUUCGGCCGAGGUUGUUUCUCUAAAAUUGAGUCCUUGUUCACUUCUUAUUGCUGAAAUUACUCACCCACAUUGAUUUUAAACCCAUUUGCGUGCUAUUUAAUUGGUUCAUCUUGACCCAAAACACAAUAUUUGUUAUUCAAAGAAAGAUUUUGGUUUCCAUGGCAGGUGGUGAAACUUCUCGGGGGAAGCAAGGGAAACUAAAGGAACAUUACAUCAUUAACUUGAAACAAGAGAUAAUUUUCAUGGCAGGACCAUUAACUUGAUACCUGGACCACUAAACUUGAAACCUAGGGCAAUAAACAUGAAACAUGAGAUCAUUAACUUGCAACCUGAAAAUCAUUUACUUAAUGGACUAAUAAAUAUGAAAUCAUGACCAUUAACUUGAUACAUCGGCUAUUAAACAUGAAACCAAAAGAACUUGAAACUUAGGGCAAUAGACAUGAAACAUGUUAUCAUUAACUUGCAACCGUGAAAAUCAUUUAAUUAACGAACUUGAAACUUAGGGCAAUAAACAUGAAACAUGAGAUCAUUAACUUGGAACCUUGAAAAUUAUUUAAUUAAUGGACCAAUAAAUAUGAAAUCAUGACCAUUAACUUGAUAUCUAGACCAUUAAAGGUGAAACCAAUGGAACUUGAAAAUAAUGGCAAUAGACAUGAAACAUGUUAUCAUUAACUUGCAACCAUGAAAAUCAUUUAAUUAAUGAACUUGAAACUUAGAGUAAUAGACAUGAAACAUGAGAUCAUUAACUUGCAACCAUGAAAAUCAUUUAAUUGAUGGACCAAUAAACAUCAAACUGUGACCAUUAACUUGAUACCUCGACCGUUAAACUUGAAAUCAAAGGAACUUGAAACUGAGGGCAAUCAACAUGAAACAUGAGAUCAUUAACUUGCAACCAUGAAAAUCAUUUAAUUAAUGGACCAAUAAACAUGAAACCUUGACCAUUAACUUGACACCUGAACCAUUAAACUUGAAACCAAAAGAACUUGAAACUUAGGACAAUAGAUAUGAAACAUAUUAUCAUUAACUUGCAACCAUGAAAAUUAUUUAAUUAAUGAACUUGAAACUUAAGGCAAUAAAUAUGAAACAUGAGAUCAUUAACUUGCAACCAUGAAAAUUAUUUAAUUAAUGGACCAAUAAAUAUGAAAACAUGCCCAAUAACUUGAUAUCGGGAACAUUAAACUUGAAACCAAUGAAACUUGAAACUAAGGGCAAUAAGCAUGAAACAUAAGAUCAUUAACUUGCAACCAUAAAAAUCAUUUAAUUAAUGGACCAAUAAACAUGAAACUAUGACUAUUAACUUGAUACCUCGGCCAUUAAACGUGAAAUUAAAGGAACUUGAAACUUAGGACGAUAAAUAUGAAACAUGUUAUCAUUGACUUACAAUCAUGAAAAUCAUUUAAUUAAUGAACUUGAAACUUAGCGCAAUAAACAUGAAAAAUGAGAUCAUUAACUUGCAACCAUGAAAAUUAUUUAAUUAAUGGGCCAAUAAACAUGAAACCAUGACCACUAACUUGAUACCUAAACCAUUAAACUUGAAACCAGUGAACUUAAAACUUAAGGUAAUAAACAUGAAACAUGAGAUCAUUAACUUGCAACCAUGAAAAUUAUUUAAUUAAUGGACCAAUAAAUAUGAAACCAUAACCAUUAACUUGAUACCUGAACCAUUAAACGUGAAACCAAAGGAACUUAAAACUUACGGCAAUAAACAUGAAACAUGUUAUCAUUAAUUUGCAACCAUGAAAAUCAUUUAAUUAAUGAACUUGAAACUGAGGGCAAUAAACAUGAAACAUGAGAUCAUUAACUCGCAACCAUGAAAAUCAUUUAAUUAAUGGACCAAUAAACAUGAAACCAUGGCCAUUAACUUGAUACCUGAACCAUUAAACUGGAAACCAAAGGAACUUGAAAUUUAUGGCAAUGAAUAUGAAACUUGAGAUCAUUAAUUUGCAACCAUGAAAAUAAUGAAAUUAAUGGACCAAUAAACAUGAAAUCAAAACCAUUAACUUGAUACCUAUACCAUUAAACUUGAAAUUCUUUUUUUAUUAUUAUAAAAAUAAUUUUUUAUUUUUAUGUGUCCUUUAAUAUUAAAAUAAUAAUUAUUUUAUUAUUAUUUUAUUUAUUAUAAUUGAAUAUUAUUAUAUUUAUUAUUAUUUAAUUCAUUUAAGGGGCAAAAACCGGUUGCUCCCAGUUUUUUUUUUUUUUUCCAUUGCUCUAUUUUCUUUCUUUUUUUAUUGCUUGCAUGUAUCACAUACAUGCAUGUACUGUAGCCGUGCCCAGUAUUUGGUUGUUACAGAUGCAAGGUUGUUGCUGUGUAAUUGUCAUUUGAGCUUAGAACCUUUGAGCUUAGAACCUUUAAAGUGUAUCAUACGUUUCUGUUACUUCUAAUACAAAUUUUCUCUAUUCCUUUUUCUUUCACUUUCUCUUCCAUUUUCAUGAUCGCCAAACACCAUCAAUCCAUGAUUUUCUAGAGUAUUAGCCGUCUAUUUCUACAUACAUAGAAUCAUUGUUUUAAGAAAUAAAGUACUCUGUCCUGUCCCCGUGGUCUCCUCGUUUAUUGACUUCUGAACUAGGCUAAAUAAAGGGCAAAUAAGAUAUUAGACCAGUGGGCCUAACGUGACAAGUUCUGGAAUUGUUUGCCUCUUUCUUUUCUCCACAAAUCUUUGGUUAAUUUUUAUGUUCCCUCAACUUUUUUCCCCUUUAGCACUAGAAUUCAUUUUUGAUACUUUAUGCAAAAAUUAUGAGGAAAAUGAGUCACUUUAGAACAUCAAUAAAUUUUUUUUACAUCCAAGAUAAAGACAAUUACACUUAGAUCACUCUUAUUUAGUUGAAUUAUAUGUAAUAAAAUUAGUUCAACAAAAUCUAACCCGUCAAUAUUCCAUAUCAUAUGAUUAACGUAUUUAAAAAAUCUUUAUUGUUCGGUCGCUUGUUUUAUAAUUCUUUUAUAUAAUAUCUUUGAAACUCAUCAUAUUGUUCUCAAUUCGUCUAAAUUAUUUUUUUCUUCAAACACUGCGGCAACAACCGGUAUAAAAUAGAAUGAACUCAAUUAAUGGAACUUUUUCUAGAUGCUUUCAUGGCAGAAUCUCAUUGGUCUAUUUCUCUUCGCACCCUAGGUUCCUCUAACAAACCUGCCUCUUAACUCUCAUGUCCGAAUUUAAACUUAAAAGAUGUUCCCCAUCCCACGUGUCCCCGAAUCUUCGUAUUUCCAAACAAACCCCUGCCAAAUUGAGAAGAGGAUGAUUCCUACAAAGCCACGUAAGUCAAGUGAUAGGAUGGCUUUUAUUACAAACUGUAUGAACGUUAUGGCCAUGGGACAUUGGAUAAAGCCAAUGGAAUGAAAAGCAAAAUUACCGACUAGACUAAAAUGAAAAUCCAACCAAUUGAAUCGGUUCAGUGUCACUGUAUAUAUAUAUAUAUAUAUAUAUAUAUAACACAACACAACUAUCAUAUUAACGAGGCACUGUUAAAUUCAUUCCGUGAAUAUUUUUCUUUCUUUUCAAUGAAUGUUUAAUAUGACAAACAAUUUGUCCCAUUGAGCACUGUUUUAGUCAUCAAUGAAAAUGAAUACUUCUAUAACAAAACAAUAAUUCCCUUGUUUAUUUGACACGCAAAGAAUUUUCUUGCUCAGCUCGGCGGCCAAUCCUUUAAAAUUUGUUGAAAUUCAGUUAAUUGAUGAACGAGACAUAACCGGUAAAUCGUUUAAUUUGUAUAAUUGAUAAAAAUUUGAACUUCAAAUGAUAUAGAUAGAAUGAUUAAUUUUUUUAAUAUUUAGAUAAUUGAUAUAUGUCAUGUUACUAUGAGUAAAAGAAUCAAGUGUCUGAUAGAAAACACAAUGUUUAUAUUUGUAUUAAAAAUUUUAAGUGCGAAUCUAUUUAGUGUAAGUUAGACAUAAAAAUAGUUACCAACUUGUCUUGUUUCUCAUUUUGUUUAAUUUUCCUAAUUUGAAUAACGAUUAAUUACGAGUCAAGGGUUUAUUAGAAAAAUAUGGUCUUCCAUUUACUAUAAAAUUAUGAAUACUUUGGCAAAUAAGAUAAUUAUAAACACCAUUUUUGAAAAUUCAUGGCCAUGGUUGUGAUGUGUCUUUAUCAAUCACACAUACAAAAGUUAAUCAAAAUUAUCGAUUGUUUUAAAUUCUGUUUUUAACAGAGCAUGAAGAUGUCAAUUAUCUAGAUUUACUUUUUAUGCUUUGACUUCACUUAAUACAGGUUCUUCCUCCUUUAUCUGUAUGCCAUGCCGGCAAGUGUAUUGUACAGAUUUCUAGAGUAUUACCUGUCUAUUUUUUUCACCGAUGACGAAGCUAAUUAUUAGUAAUCAAUCUAAAGUCUACCUAUAAAUACAAUAGGUUGCUUAGGUGGCACCAAUAUCCUAACUUUAUGCCAUGUUUCUGGUGUGUCUUCACAAAUUCACCGAUACAAAUUAAUUUCCACCAAUAUUACCAAAUGAUUGUAUUUUACGUUUCUAUUUACUUGUAAUAAAGAUCUUCAAUUUUAUUGGUUACAAAAUUCUCUAGGAUUGCAUGUACAUUAUACUUUUAUAUACAUAUUUUCUUCUUUCUCAUUCGUUUUCUGGGUGAACAUAUUAUUUUCGUCAUCAUCUCUAUAACAAUGAAGUGAAAAUAGUCCUCAUUUAAAGUAUUGACAGCAAUGUUAUACUCAAUAUAACGCAUAAAGCACGCAUAAUUUAAUUAAUGGGGUAGCUGCUAGUACCUUCUUUAGAAGAGAAUUAUUGCAGCAAGGUAAUUGGAAGCUCAAAGAGUUUCCGUAUUAGCCGAAUCUAAGCGAUAAGUGUUUCCAUGUGAGCCAUAAUUUGGGAAAAAGACCAAUUCGAGUUAAAGAUCAGAAAACAGACACUGUCAACAAGCAUUAAUAUCAUUUGAUGCAUGAAAGACAGUUAGUCCCAUUUUUUUGUCCGGUUUACUUGAGUUGGGCAAUUUGCCGUCAACUUUUCUCAUCCACGUCAGGUAAUGUGGCUUUUAUUUGGUAUGAAAAAGCCAAUGCUUUACGAUAAAACUGUCACACACAUAUUAUCCAUCUGUAAUGUUCAAAUGACACUGAAGUAUUACCUAAAUUAGGCUUUCAAAAAUUCAUUUUCAAAAACCCAUGGUUGUGAUGUGUCUCUAUAAAUUAAGAUCUAUCUGUUACCUACUGUUUUAACUCUGUUCUGAACAGAGCUUGAAAGGGUACAUUCACUCUUUUAAAACAAUUGUACUAUAUGUUCUGAACAGAGCUUGAAAGGAUUAGCAAUAACUACUGUUUUAUCCCUCUUUUUAAAACAAUUGUUCACUAGCUGCACUCAGUUGACAGAAUAUUUUGGGAUUCAAGACUGUUGGUUGUUACGGAUGCAACUUGCAAGGCUGUUGCCAUGCUGGCAAGUGUGCUGGAAAAUCAUGAGUUUGAUGAUGAAGAGGACGAAAAAUAUUAUUUUAUUAUUUAAAAUAAGACUAUCAAUUAUUUCCAUGGUCAUCUUUUUUUUUUUUAAUUAAUUGGCCUAAAUAUUGUAUUUUUUGUCAGGAGUCUUGCAAUGUUGCGUAGCACCGUAAGUAAGAAGAACUAGUGAACUUUAAAGCAUCAUAAAAUUGUUUCAACAUAAGUAAUUAGUUUGAAAAAUUGCCAAUAAUGUUUAAAGUAGGAACGAAAAGGUUAUACUAUAUGAGACACGAUAUUAUUUAAGACAGCUUACAAAUUAUGGGAAAUGUAUUGAUCUUACAAAUAAUAUUUAAUAAGUACAAAUUUCAAAUUAAAUAAUAAACCUUAAUUUCCUUUUAAUCAUAAUUAUGAUCUUAAUAAUUAAAGUCAUUCAAUCUUAAUCACUUUUUCAUUUUUUUAAACUACCUAAAUGACGUUGAAACUUCUAAUCAACAUUAAUUUUUUUGAAUGUUCUGUUUCAAAAUAAUUGAAAACUAUAAAUGAAACAAAUGCUUGCAAUCACAAAAGGCCUAAAAUGGGAUUUUUAUUUUUUAAUAUUGCAAUGACUUUGAUCUUGAUAUUGGAAUUUAUUUGUAACUUAUACUAAGUCUUCAAUUUUAUCAAAAUUAGUUUCUAAAGAUGCAUUUGCCAUACUGUGUAGUUGUAUUGUAUGAUGAUAUAUUACAUUAGGGUGCAUUGUAUUGAGCUGUAAUGCAAUACUAUUUUAUAUUAAUGUUAAAACUAAAUCAACCUUAUUUAAAUUUAUUAAUAUUUUAGGUUUUUAUUAGUAAUAUCUGAAAUUAAGUAUUAAAUAAUUAUUUUUAUAAUAUACAAAUUAUUUAAUAAUAUUCUACUAUUAAAUAAUAAAAUAUUACAAUAUUAUGUUAUAUUAUUAACAAUUAUUCUGUUAUAAUAUAAUUUAUUUUUAUAUAUUAGUUAUUAUAAUUUAUUAUAAUCAUAUUAUAAUAAUAUUAUAUUGUAAAAAUAUAAUACUAUAUAAUUGUAUAACAGAAUAUGAAUUAAUUUAUAAUUUAACAAUAAAUUAUAAAUUUAUUUUAUUUAUUAAUGUCAAAUAUAAUUGUACAGGUGUAGAAUUAUGAGGAGGAGGUGGAGAAAGAAUUUGAGCGUCGAAUAGGAUCUACAUGUACUCUUAAGAUGAAUCUGAUGGCGAUGGUGCUCCUUCAGCUGAGUAUGCUGAUGAUGAAUUAGAACAUGACAUAUAAUUAGAAGAAGAAGAUGAAGAGGAAGAAGUUUAUGAACAAGAGGAGAGAAACGAUAGGACAGUUAAAGUCGUUGGCUGCAGACUAUUAGAAGGUUGUUACAGAUGUAACGCUGUUGCUGUGUAACAGUAUGCCAUGCUGGCAAGUUUGCUAUAACAGAUUGCCAAGCUGGCACUAAUUAUUUUAAACUAAUAUUAGUAAUUAGUCUAGAGUGCUCUAAUUUAUUUUAUUCUAUAAAUAGCUCAUUUGAGCUUUGAACCUGUAACGUGUACUGUACUUUUCUAUUACUUCUAAUAAAGAUUUUCUCUAUUCUUUUUUCUUUCACUUUCUCUUCCAUUUUCCCGACCCUCAAACAGCGUCAAUCCUUGAUUUUCUACAGUAUUAGCUGCCUGUUUCUAUAAACAUAGAACUGGUCGUUUUAAAGGGCAAAUAAGAUGUUGGGCCAAUGGGCCCAACGUCACAGAUCUUGAAUUGAUUGUCUCUUCUUUUCUCCAUAAAUCUUCACUUAAUUUUUAUGCUCCCUCAACUUUUUUCCCCUUUUUGUGCUAAAUUUAUUUUUUUGAUACUUUAUGCAAAAAUUAUGAUGAAAAUUAAUUAGUUUAGAACAUCAAUAAAUUUUUGUUACAUUCAAGAUAAGGACAAUUACACUUAGAUCACUCUUAUUUAGUUGAAUUAUAGGUAAUAAAAUUGGUUUUAACAAAAUAUGAUUCUUAACCCUCGUAAUUAAAGGCUCGUGUUAUUUAGUUUAGUUAUAACACCAUGCAACAGGUCGUCUUGGUGGGUUCAAAUUAAUAUACGAUCAUUCUCAAUUUUUAAUAGUUCGUAAUUACAAAGUCCUAUAUCACAAUUAAAAUUUGCAAACAUGUCAAAGUAAGUUAAAUCAAAAUCUAUAAAUUUGAGGUCUACUACAAACUUCUGACAAAUUAAAAUUUAAAAUGAUUAAUUAAAUGCUAGACAAAAUUUAGCUUAUAAAUGUUCCCGACCACAUGAUGAAUGUACUUAAAACAUCCUAAUUCGUCACUAAUUGAUUGGUUGUUAUUUUUUCAAUUUCUUUUUAUAUAUCUUUGAAACUUCUAGUUUCGUUACAUGUUAUUCUCAAUUCGUGUAAAUUAUUAUUUUUAAAUAUUAGAGCAACAACCAGUAUAAAAAUAAAAUGCACUCAUCUAAUGGAAAUUUUUCUAGAUGCUUCAAUGGCAGAAUCUCAUUGGUCUAUAACUCUCACACCUUAGAUUCAAGAUUCAAUUUCAAACCAACGCCGAACAAACAGUUUAAACCUUAAUAAGUCUGUGGCUGUAGCCCAACAAACCUACUUCCGGCUCACCGAAUAAUCAUCUCUUACGUCGGAAUUUAAACUUAAACAAAGCUGCGUCCCACAUGUCCCCAACUUUCUUCAUAUUUCCAUAAAACCCCUACCAGAUCCAGAUAAUUACCUUCACUCUUCUCGUAUAAAUAGAGAAGACAACGAUUCCCGCAAAGCCAGGUGAGUCACGUGAACGUUACGGCCAUGGGACAUACGGUUCUCAAUUGGUCUAAUUAUACUGUAAAUUGUUUUUUAAAUAUAAAUAAAAUGAAUUUAUUUAAUGGAAAUUUGAAAAAGGGACACUUAUCUACGAAAGCAAAGUUGCAUUCUCUUUGUGGGGACCCUAAAAAAAAAAAAAAAGAGAGCCAGAAUGAUACACCGAUGACGAUAAUCCUUAAGCUUAAGCAUUAAUUUUCUUUGCUUACAAUUUGGUUUGAAGGGUUAAGUUCAAGUUCGAAUUGGUACACUGAUGAUGAUGAUGAUGAAGAGGGGGAUGUCUUUGAGGAUGAAGAGAAAGAAAGUUCUAAAAAAAAAAUACAGCUUUGUGGAAAUUAAAUUAAAAGCAACUAAUUAAGCAUUAUAAAUUACUUAACAGAGUAAUGCUGAGCUAAUUAAAUUUGUUUUUGAAGAAGGUAUCUUUAAAUCUCUUGGAGUUAAAGAUAAAUAUCAUAUCACCAUAUCAAGCGGACCAAUUAAAAAAUAAAUUUAAAUAUUAUUUAAAAUCAUUUAAAUUUAACUUAAUAUAAUUCAAUCUAAUAUUGUACCAAACAUGCACAAUACUAUAUAUAAUCCAGUCUAAUCAAAUUCAAUCUUAAUAAAUAAUACAAUCCAAUCUUGCGAGACAAAAUUGGCCUAAGGGUACCAAUUGCGCAAUAAUCUUUGUAGCCCGUUUCCCAGCCACGCACCCUUUUGUAUUAGUAUUCUCACAGCCAUUGGAAUUAUGGCUCGUAAUCCAAUAAAUGACAUUAUAUGGCUGUUGCUUGCUAGUUUUUGUAAGGUGGCCAAGGCCUUUUAUCAAACACUAUAGGAUCAACAAGUACAAAAUGAAUUCAUUUGGGAUGAAUUAUGAUGUAUUGCAUUAACAUGCAUUAUAUUAAGUUAUAAUGUUAUAUUUUGAUAUAGUAUAAAUUGUAUUAUAUAAGGUAAUGUUUUAUAUUAAUGUUAAAACUAAAUUAAUAUUAUUUAAAUUUAUUAAUAUUUUAGGAUUUUAUUAUUAAUUUUUUAAUUAAGUAUUAAAAAUUAUUUUAUAGUAUAGAAAAAUUAUUUUAUAGUAUAUAGACUAUUAUUAAAUGAUAAAAUAUUAAAGUACUAUGUUAUAGACUAUUAUUAAAUAAUAAAAUAUUAAAGUACUAUGUUAUAUUAUUAAAAAUUAUUAUAUUAUAAUAUAAUUUAUUUCUAGAUAUUAAUUAUUAUAAUAUAGUAUAAUCAUAUAAUAAUAUAAUAUAAGUUAAUAUUAUAUUGUAAAAAUAUAAUACUGUACAAUUAUUUAAUAUAACGUAAAUUAAUUUAUAAUAUAAUAUUAAAUUAUAAAUUUAUUAAAUUAAAUUAAAAUACUUUUUAUGUAUUUAAAGUAAAAUAAUUAAAAUAAUUUAUGUAAUAGAAGUAUGAUAAUGUAUUAUCAUUUUCUCAUUAAAUAUUUUAGGUUUAUUAAUUUGUUAAAUUAUUAUUGAAAUUAAAAUUAAUUUUUUAAAUGUAAAUAUAAAUAUAAAUGAAUGUUUAAUAAAAUCUACUCCUAGGGAUCUAUUUUAUACACUUUUUAUUCUCUAAAUCACGCAUAAUGUAGUUGUAUAAUAGAAACUGGAUAUUUAAUGGAAGCAAAAUUGCGCACGGUUUGUGGGUCUGUCAAAAUAUGAUAAAAAGACCAACAUGAUACACUGACUCUGUCCUCUUUAAUAUUUUUCUAGAUGCUUCCGUGGCAUAAUCUCAUUGGUCCAUUUUACUUCACGGCUUAGAUUCAACUUCAAAAAUCAAUUUGAAGCACACACAACAAUUCAACAAAUAUAAUAAGCGUCGAUAAACUUGUAGCUGACUGGCUGUGGCCAAGCAAAAAUGUACCUCAUGGUUACCGAAGGGUAAUUAUUAGAAAUCUCCCCUAAGGUUUGGCGUAUUUUCAGUUUGAUAGAUUGUAUUCGUGUAUUUUCAAAAACCUCCCCUGACAUUGAUAUACUGUUAAUUUGACCGUUUGUUGCAUGAUAAAAUGACAAAUAUAACCCUAAUUCAAAAAAGGGUAAUUAUCAUAAAAUUCUGUUGUAGCCUUAUAGGAAUAGAAUUUAAAAUUCUGUUGCAUCUCCUGUACCAAAUACUAAUUUGCUGGCUAUAUAUAUGGGAAAUGGCAGCUUCAUCAUCUCAUUUCUUUGACGUGAGUAGUGUAACAUUAUCUAAAUUCAAAAGUAUUUCUAUCACUUGUGUAAAAAACAACCUACUAAAAAAAAAACAAAAUCUUCACCAAGAUUGAAAGAAGUUUGAUGAAGAAAGCUAAGCAAUGAGGCAAAGUGCAAAAAGCUUCCUUCUAAUUCUGCGAUAUUUGACUCAAAUCUUUUCUUUGUUUCAUUCAUCAAAGUCAUUUUGGAAAGUAACAGGGAUGAUUUGGUAUUUUCAUUCCUUGGUGCCAGAACAAACAUGCUAGUACGAACCAACAAUUUUUUAUUUUCAGUAUACAAACUAUGUUUUUUGAAUUAGGGGAGGCAUCUGAAUUAUCCUCACCAACCAAAUUAUACGAAACGGUAUACUAAUGUUAGGGGAGGCAUCUGAAAAUAGGUGAAUACAAUCUAUCAAACUGAGAAUAUGCUAAACUUCAGGGGAGGUUUAUGAUAAUUACCCGGUUACCGAAUCAUAUCUUACGUCAGAAUUUUGAACUUAAACAAUGUUCUCAUUCCACGUGUCACUCUCUAACCAGUCCCCAAACUUUUAUCAUAUUUCCAAAGAAACCCCUACCAAAUCAAGGUAAUUACCGUCACUCGGCUCAAAUGAAUAGUCUCCUCGAUUCAACUGAUGACGACAUAUCCUCAUAGCCUUUAUUUAGAAGGGGAAAUUAUAAAAAAAUCCCCUCGUUCUCUAAAAAUAUGGGGUUUCUCAAGAAUAGCUAAACCUACAUCCCAAUCCUGAAAAAUCUCAAUUUAACCUCUCUAGGGUUUCGAUUGUUGAUGAUUCGCUUCAAAAUUUUGUAUUCUUUUAGUGGAUUUUGCUUGUCUCGUAUCCUUCAAUUGUUAGUUCAGUUCUGAUAAUAAUUUCGAAAUUUUUUAUACAAUAUAAAUUAAUUUAAAUUAAAAUUGAUAGAACAAUUGGGCGGUUAAUAAUUAAUUGAUGGCUAGUGAUACUACAACGGCGCCCGCGCCCGCAGCUCCGGAAAAAGCGGAGGCGGUGGAGGAGUAUGAUAGCAAUCCAGAUGAAGUGAAACGCUGUCUUGCGACGCGCAGAAGGGAAGCCAGCGAUGACGAGGACGUGGAGGACGUGGUGGAGGAGUACGAGAGCGAUCCAGAUGAAGUGAAACACUCUCUCGUGAUGCGCAGAAUGGAAGCAAGCGAUGAUAAGGAGGAGGAGGAUAAAGAAUUCGAGCGUCGAAUGAACCGUAGGGUCCACAUUCAUUAUUACGAUGAAUCUGAUGGCCAAGGUGGUGUCCUGCUGAGAAUGAUGAUGAUCAUCUCUCUCGACCAGUUCAGGUUCAAGGGAAGGGUGCUCGAGGGGUACUUGUCUUGUUUAUCAUUUUUGUUUAAUUUUCAUAAAUUCAACGACCCACAAUUCAAUUAUGAGUGAAGAAUUUGUUAAAAAAAUGUGGUCUUCCAUUUACUAUAACUAAGUCCGUGUGAUGUAAUUAUUUUUCUGUCACUUAAUGUCUUGAAAAUUAUGAAUACAUUGUAGGAUUUAGAAGGAUUUUAAGUUUUAAUGCAUAUGGGUUUUUUAUGUCCGUCCACUUAUGCGUAUACUGCAUUUUAUGAUUAUCGUAGUUGGUAGAUUGACAAAUGGACCUUAAUUACAAGUCAAAUAACCUAAAUACUUAUCGGCCAAAGGAAACCAUUUAUAGUACUUUCUAGUGAAGCAAAGUAAAAUGAUUCAUACUGGCAAAGAAAAUUAGAAAGAAAAGGAGGAUUACUGAUCCACACAGUGUCGUUUACUAAAAGUACGUUGAUCUUACACUUAAUUUAUUAUAUAUCCAUUUAUAAUGUUCAAAAUGAUAAUGUACUAUUUCUUAAAUUAGGCUUUCAAAACAUCAUUUUGAUAAUGCAUAGUUGUAAUGUGUCUCUAAAUUCAGUAAUACAAGUUAUUUCUGUUACUAAUGGAUGAAGUGACUUGAAACUUGCGUGGUCAUUAAAUGCUGGCAUAAUCUCUUUGACUUCUCUUGCAUUUGAAUGAAUGGAUGAGCGUUGCAUUUGAAUGAAUGGAUCAGUGUUAAUGCAGGCAAAGAUUUUCUGGACUUUCAUGGAUGCACAAUAAAUGCUACGUCAAAGGCCUGGUAAGAUGUCAGCAAGCUGGUCGAAGAUAUCAACCUGAUUUGGUGGCUGCAAGAUUUGUUCAUCCAGGACCGUUUUCUUUGACAAUGAGAAAGCCCCAAUGUCUAUAAAUUGAGAACUCACUGAAUUGUAGAGAGAGAGAGGAAAGUGAAUAACGGGAGAGGCAGUGAAAAGAGAGUGUGGGAAGAUUUGGGCGUAAUUGGGGUUUGGGUGUGAGAUAAAAUAAUCAGAGAGUGGUUGUAAUAAUUUUUUAUACGGUGAAAUUUUUUUGUCUCGUUGUUUUUUGCAGUGGUGGUUUUUUACUCUAAUAAAAUAGUCUUCCAAGUAAAUUUUGUGUGUUAUGAUUGGGAUAUUCACCAUUUUAGUUUUCUAUUUAUUAUUUGUUUUACAUAUUGCUAGCAAAAAUCUGGGGCGGGAACCGAAAAUUCCCAACAAUUAUUAAUUAUUUUAAACUCUGUUCUGAACAGAGCAUGAAGGGUUUCACUUACCUAGUUACGUUUUUCAUUCUUUCACUUCACUUGAUUUCAUCACAAGGAUCAUAUUCUGGCUAACGAAGGAGCAAAGUUCAUUGGCUGCACUCAUGUGUAGCAGAGUAUUUGGAUUCAAGACUGUUAGAAGGUCGUUACAGAGUAUUUGGAUUCACUCUCCAAUUUUCAUUAAUUUAGUGUAGAUAACGUGGUCAUGAAAACUUGAUUAAGAGUUUAAUGCAAUCAAAUCUACUUUAAUGAUUAUUUAAUGCACGGAGAUUUAACAUCAAUUAUCAUCACGUUAGUCUAACAACGAAAUUGCAGAGCUUGGAUCUUUACUCGAACAGUUUCACUGGCUCUAUUUCUGACACAUUGGGCAAGCUGAUGGAAUUGCAAUUCCUGUAUGAUCAUUUCCCCAACUAUUAUUUGAAUAAUUAUUUAAUGCCGUUCAUUCCAGCUCUGUUUGGCUGUUAACUUUAUUUAGUUAUAUAUGAGGAGAUUCAUUUCUCACCUGAAGCUAGAAAUUUACGGAUCAAUGACUUUUUAUUUUUUCUUUUAUAUGAUAGCUUGCAAUCCCUGGUGUGUGUUGAUAGAGCCUUACAUGAUUACAAAAAUGAAUUUUUUUUUGGGGGCCAAUUGCAGUUUUGAUAACAACUAAAAUCUGUGUGGCCCAGUUACCACAAAGCCUUGCUCCAGAUCCCUGCCAUUUUCUCCUCCACCUCCAUUUGGGGAAAUUACCACUUACUUUUUGCAAGUUUUUCGUGAAAUAUUUAUUUUGAGAAGAAAACCAACAAUACAUUUUAUGAUUUGGGCUGUUUCAAAGAUCUUCGCUUGAUGUCUCUGCUACUGGUUUUCAGCAGAGUGCCCAAAAAUAAUCAGUGCACGCACUAUAGGCUCUAUUAUUAUCAGUAAAAAGCAUUAAUGAUAUAUUGGGAUCGACUUUUUUAUUUGGGAGUGGAAGGAUGCUUGAAAGAGUAGAGUGGUGCAUCUUGUUCAAACAUGCACCGUAGAGAAAUUAGUUUAGGCUCUAACCAUUGUUAUAGUAGAGAAAAAGAAAAUUAAUCAAGAGUAAUUUUAUGACUUUUUAGAAAAUAGUGAAUUAAAAUAAUAAGUUAUAAUUUCAUAAUUAUCUUAAUUAAAAAAAUGGGGGUUUGAAAUAAAAUUAGUGAAUUUAAAUAGCCUGCCCAAAAUCCAAACUUGCAUAUCAAUUAUUUUCUAAUUUACAUAAAGUUUUUCUAUAUGUUUGAUAACAUUUGAUUCUCAAUUGGUCUAAUGGAGAAACAACCAGCAAAAAAAUAAAAUGAAUGCAAUUAAAUGGAAAUUUGAAAAGAGCAGUAGAUGACAUUUAUGUGCAAGCAAAAUGCAAAAUUGCAUUCUGUUUGUGGGAUCCUGGAAAAAAUAAAAGAAAGGAAACAGAGUAAGACGCUGGUACUGUGGGCUUUAAUAUUUUUCUAGAUGCUUCAAUGGCAGAUUCUCGUUGGUUCAUUUUUCUUUACGCCUUAGAUUCUAUGAUUCAAUUUCAAUCAAAUACGACAAACAAAAGAAGCUUUUAAGCCUGCAGCUCAAAAAGAUGGCACUUUAAUUUUCGGCUGAACAUACAAAUGGCAAGAUUAUUAUUAUUGAGCUUGAUAAGUGGGAUAGCAAAAUCCGAAUUCGGAUGUGGGUGUAUUUGGAUUUGGAUCCGGAAAAAAAUAUGUAGAUGUGGAUUCGGAUGCGGGUAAUAUCUGCACGGAUUGCGGGUGAAUAUUCCGGAUAUUCAGAUCCGCAUAAUAAUAAAUUUGAUUUUAAUUUUAAAUUUAAUAAUUUACAUAAUAAUAUUAAAUAAAAUUCAAUUAUAAUUUAACAAUCAAUAAUUUAACAUCAAUUCAACAUAAAUAACAUACAACAACACCAUAAAUUCACAAACAAUAAUUUCACAAUAUAAAUCAAACAUAAAAAAUAAAAAAUAAUCUAUGGUAAACCGAUUUAUUAUAAUAUUCUCUAAUUAUUAUUAUUAUUUGUUUUUUAAUAUAUUCAUAGUUAAUGAAGAUUAUAGAGUUAAUUAUGCUUAUAAAUUUAAAUAAAUAAUUUAAUUUAUAUAUUUUCAAUUAAAAUUUAAUUACAUAAAUAAUUUAAUUAUAAAAUAAUUGAUAAGUGCAUAUUUUCCACAUAUUUUGCUUUUAAUUUCUCCAUCUUUUUCUUAUUUUGAUCUUAAAUAUUCUAGUUAUUUUAGUUAAUUUUUAAUUUAAUAGGGAAUUAAUUAAUAUACAUAUUUUAUUUUUUUAUAUAUUUGCUAGUUAUUUUUAUUUCUUAUUUUUAAUUCAUUGUAUUAUUUUAUUGAAUAGGAAAUUAAUUGGAGAUUGUGGAUAAUAAAAAGGCAUGAAGAAAUUCAAAUUGAGAAGGAAUGAAGAUUAAAUUGGAAGACAAAAAUCAAAGCAAUUAAUCCAAUUGAGAAAUGUUGAAUAAUUAAAAGAUUUAAUUUUUUCCAAUUGGCAAAUUGGAGUACACGUUCAUGGCAUUGCAAAAGUGGAAAGCAUUUAAACGGGCCCACAAUUGACUUUCAAAAGUUGGAAUUAAUGGCUUUGGGUGGCGUUAAAUUGGAAAAGGAUUUCAAUUAGAAUUGAAAAAGGAUUUCUUUGGAUUUGUUGGAGAAGAAUUCGGUCAACUAGCAUUAUAAAAAGAGAGCAGCUGCUGGACGGAAGAAAAAAAAAAGACAGGAGAGAGAGCAGGGGCUGAUCCAAUUCGGCAAGAAGAAGAAAAAAAUCAGCAGCCGGAAUUCAAUUGAAGAAAAACGCUGCCGCUUGAAUUAAUCUCCAUGAUUGGUUUUGUCAAUUCUCUUAUUCUCAAUUCAAUUAUGUUAGGCUAAAUUUUUAUUUGGUUGAGGGUGAAUUCAAAACCCUAAACAUGCUAUGCAAUUAAAUUUAAAUUCUAUCAUUCAAUUUAUUUAAUUGAGAUUGUCUAUAAUUAAUUUUCAUGGUUUAUUCUUGUUUUAUUUAAGUGGCCAAUUAGAUAGGACUUGAAUAAAUUUUAUUGCUAGAUUAAAAUUCUUGAUCCGUAAUUGUCUUGAUAUUUUAAUCAUUAGUAGCAGGUUGGAAUCAGUGAUUUCAAUUGAAGAACAUAACCUAGGUUAAAUAAUCCGAGCUUGUGUGUUUAUUGCCUAGAUCAACCUAAUAUCUUUCUCUGUUUAAUGCUUCCAUUAUCUUAAAUUUAAAGAGCUUGUUUUAAAUUAUUUAAUGGUUAGAGAUUAUGUGAAGAGCUUAUUUUGCCUAACGACACACUAAGGAAAGAUUGAGACUAACAGAGCUUAUUGUUGUCUACGGUUGAUAGUUUUAAUAUAAAUUGAUGGUAGAAUUGAUAUAUUAUGUGCAUGUUUGGUGGUGGCGAAUGAUCCUUUAACCAAAGUUUUCAUCAUUAUUAUUUCCUUCUCAUUUAAUUAGAGUUUUUAUUAAAUUCUUGUUCGUAGUUUUAAUUUCUUUAUUUCUUACUAUUUAGUUAAAAAUUCAUAAACCCCCAUUUUAUUUAUAAUUGGCAUUUUCUUUAGUUAGAUUAAUUUAUAUUAUUAUUACUAUUAUUAUUAUUACUAUUAUUUUAUUUUAAAUCUUGCUUUGGAGUUAAUAAUAAAUAUAACUAGCAUAGUCUCUGUGCGAUCGAUCCUUACUCGCUCUGUACUAAUUAUUUAUAUUAGUGGUAAGGUUUUAAAUUUGGUGCACCUUAACGACACUACCAAAUUUUUGGCGCCGUUGCCGGGGACUAGCGUCUAGUUUGUUUAUUAUCACUCGUUUUAUUUUUAUUUUUUUUUAUUUCUUUUCUCAUUUUAUUUAUUUAUUUUAUUUUAAUUAGUUAAUUUUUGUUCUAUAUUUAGAUUUUCAUGAGCAUAGAGGACAUUCGAUUGAAACUCGAACAACUUAGAGCAACCUCAUCAUAUUCAGAACUCGAUUUUGCCAUCCACAUUCCACUCCCGAAGACAGAACCAAGCAGCCCAGAACCCGAACCAAUGGCUCAGAAUAACAACCGAACACUUAAAGAGUUGGCAGCUCCUAACUUGGACCAGCAACCCUUAUGCAUUGAGAAUCCAAACCCUCAGGUAAACUUUGAACUCAAAUCUGGGAUGAUUCAUCUUCUUCCUACUUUUCAUGGUCUUGCAGGAGAGGAUCCAAAUAAGCACUUGAAGGAGUUCCAUGUGGUCUGCUCCACAAUGAAACCAGCCGGAGUUUCUGAAGAGCAAGUUAAGCUAAUGGCCUUCCCAUUCUCUUUGGCGGAUUCAGCCAAGGAAUGGUUGUACUAUCUUCCCUCCGGUACUAUCACUACAUGGAAUGAGAUGCGUCAGCUAUUUUUGGAGAAAUAUUUCCCAACAUCAAAAGCUGGCAGCAUUCGAAAAGAAAUUUGUGGAAUCCGACAGUAUAAUGGAGAGUCGCUCUACGACUAUUGGGAACGAUUCAAAAAGCUAUGUGCUAGUUGCCCUCACCAUCAGAUAAGUGAUCAACUUCUUAUUCAAUACUUUUAUGAGGGUCUACUACCUAUGGAUAGGAGUAUGAUUGAUGCCGCUAGUGGAGGAGCACUCGUGGAUAAGACACCAGAAGCAGCCCGAAAUCUCAUUGCUAACAUGGCUGCUAAUUCCCAACAGUUCAACACUAGGAACGAUCUACUGCCGCCACCUAAGCGAGUCAAUGAGGUAAGUACUACUUCUCUAGAAAAACAAGUUUCAAAUCUUACUUCUUUGGUGCAACAAUUAGCUCUAGGGCAACAAAUGAGACCGUGUGGCGUAUGUUCUAUGGUCGGGCAUGCAACUGAUAUGUGCCCUACUCUCCAAGAGGGUUCACAUGAGCAGACCAACGCAGUUGAGGGGUUCCUAGGCCAAUCAAGACAAAGGUAUAAUCCAUAUUCUAAUUUUUACAAUGAAGGGUGGAAGGAUCACCCUAAUUUUAGGUAUGGGAACCAACAACAAGGCAUUCCUAAUGUGGCACCAUCUCGACCACCGGGCUACCCCCAACAGCGGGUGCAACAACCUUAUCAAGAUCGGUCACCUCCACCUUCUCAAAAUCAAGGUACGUCUUUGGAAGAUCUUGUAAAAGCUCUCGCUACUAACUCUAUGCAAUUCCAACAGACUACCCAGACACAGCUCCAACAUUUAGAGAAUCAAAUUGGCCAAUUGGCCACAUCUAUGAGUAGGAUAGAGGCUAGAACUUCAGGAAAGCUACCUUCUCAACCAUAAAUUAAUCCAAAGGAGAAUGCUAGUGCUAUGUCUCUUAGGAGCGGAAAGCAAUUGGAACCAUUAUUAGCUAAGCCAUCAAAAGUGUCCACAACAUCAUCGCCCUCUGUGACAAUUCCUCCCCUGAGGCUCUUCCUUUAACAAGGAAAGACGAUUCCCACUCGGCAUUGCCAGUCGAUCCAUCUAGCCAGGUAAGUACCCCCUCACCUCGAAUUAAGACUCUUUCCAUUCCUCCACCAUUUCCUAGCAGAUUUAAACAAUCCAAGAAAGAGGAGCAAGAAAAAGAGAUCCUUGAGACCUUUCGUAAAGUAGAGGUAAAUAUUCCUCUACUUGAUGCUAUUAAACAAGUGCCACGUUAUGCAAAGUUUUUGAAGGAAUUAAGCAGCAACAAGCGAAAGUUGAGCGGUAACGAAAAAGUAAGUGUAGGAGAGAACAUUUCUGCUGUACUUCAAAGAAAACUUCCUCCUAAGUGCAAGGAUCCAGGUACUUUUACUAUCCCCUGCACUAUUGGCAAUACCAGAUUCGAAAGAUGUAUGCUAGAUUUAGGGGCCUCAAUUAAUGUUAUGCCAUAUUCGAUUUAUAACUCCUUGAAUUUAGGUCCAAUGGAAGAAACUGGUAUAAUUAUUCAAUUGGCUGAUAGAUCUAACGCUUACCCGAAGGGGGUUGUGGAAGAUGUUCUUGUGCAGGUCAAUGAAUUGGUCUUUCCAGCUGAUUUUUAUAUCCUUGAAAUGGACGAUGAAUCAUCGCCCAAUCCCACUCCUAUUCUGUUGGGGCGACCAUUCCUUAAGAUAGCCCGAACCAAGAUUGAUGUUCAUGAUGGAACCCUUACAAUGGAAUUUGAUGGUGAAGUGAUCCGCUUCAAUAUCUUUGAGGCAAUGAGGUAUCCUAGUGAUGUUCAUUCUGUUUUUGCCAUGGAUGAUAUUAAUACUUUGGUGCAAGAUUUCUUUGAAUUAUCCGGUAAUGACAGUUUUGAAAUUGCCAUAAGCAAAAAUCUUACGAAAGAUGAUUCUAAGGAACAUGCAAAUUUGAUAAAGUUGGAUGAUGAGGCACCUACCUUAGAACUUAAACCACUCCCAGAACACCUGCAAUAUAUUUACUUGGGUGAGAAUGAAACACUUCCAGUCAUAAUUGCUAAAACCCUCACCCCAGUUCAACAAGAAAAGUUAAUUAGGGUGCUUCGGGAUCACAAAACGGCGAUUGGCUGGACCAUUGCCGACAUUAAGGGAAUUAGUCCUUCCAUGUGCAUGCAUCGCAUUUUGCUAGAGGAAGGGUCUAAACCAACGAGAGAUGCACUUUGGGCAUGUAGGACCGCAUACAAAACUCCUAUUGGUAUGUCACCCUACAGGUUGGUAUAUGGUAAGCCUUGUCAUCUUCCAGUGGAACUUGAACAUAAAGCAUGGUGGGCUGUGAAACAAUGUAACAUGGAACUGGACGCCGCCGGCCAACACAGAAAGCUCCAAUUGCAAGAAUUAGAGGAAAUUCGAAAUGAUGCCUAUGAGAGUUCACGAAUCUAUAAGGAAAAGACUAAGGCUUUUCAUGAUAAGCAGAUCUUGAGAAAGAAUUUUGAAGUUGGACAGAAAGUUCUGCUAUUCCAUUCUCGCCUUAAGUUGUUUCCAGGUAAGUUAGGUUCUCGAUGGGUUGGGCCUUUUGUUGUUAUUAAUGUUUUUCAUCAUGGUGCAGUUGAGAUCAGGAGCUUAAAGACAGGUAAAGAGUUCAAAGUUAAUGGUCAUAGGUUGAAGCCUUACUAUGAAAAUUUUCAAACACUCAAUGUAGAGGAGGCUCCACUUUAUGAACCUGCGUACGUUGAUGAGUGAAACUUGAGAACCAGGUCAGGCUGAGGACAAUAAACCAAGCGCUUAUUGGGAGGCAACCCAAUGGUUGGAGAAAAGAAUUUGAGAGCACGCCAUAACAGAUUUGAUCUUUCUCCCUUUCAUUCUCAUUUACUUUAUCCACUAUGUUGAAUUUUGUUUGUUUCUGUUUGUGUGUCUCAUCUCCUUUCCCCAUGUUUAAUUCUUUUGUUAGUUUAGGCUUACAUUGAGGACAAUGUAAGAAUUAAGUGUGGGGGGGUGGAUUUCGAACUUAGUUUUUGUUGCUUUGUCUUUUUCUUUUUUAAAAAAAAAAAUUUGAAUAUUAGCCAGUGAUAAGAAUUUGAUUGACAAUAAAUAUGGUUCUUAGAAAGGGUUGAAUAUUACCUUAGUUUAUACUUGAUUCUUGUGUUGAUUUCCUCUUAAUUGAGAUUCUUUAAACCAUGAGCACUAAUAUCAAUUCUUUCAUAAUUUUGACUUAGAAUUUGAGAUUGACGCAGCCUGAGUUGAGAAUUUUAGAUUGAGUAAAUGACUGUUUGUCUUGAUUCUUAUCUCCACAAUACAGUGUAGUAUACACAGGCACCAUAGUCAGAAAUAGCUACCUAUAACCCUUAAGAGUGAAGCUAUCCUUGAGUAAUUUGGGCCUAUGUACCACCAGUAUGUAGAGGAUAAUCUACCAUGAGAAGAAGGCUACCUUAAGGGGUAGAGUGAAAGCUCCUGACUAAAAAAAAAAAAAAAAACCAAAAAAAAACCAAAAAAAAAAACAAAAAAAAAGAGAACUUCAAAAGAAAAUGCACACAAAUGCCUGUGAAAGAAAGAAAAUUUUUUUUUUGGAGAUCAAGAUGAUAAGAUUAGUUUGACCUACUCUUUUCUUUGUUCGAGGCAAAGGCUGUUGAUAUUGAAGAUUUUGGGAAUGGAUUUUAAUUGAAUUGAUUCACACACACACACAAUGAGAAUCAAAAGAGAGAUGUGAUUGAGUAUUGAAUUAAAGUUAGAACUUCGAUAAUAUUUGAAAUUUUCUUUGAGCUAUAUGAUUUAUGCAAUCUUUGAGGCUAGUUUUAUUUUAAAAUAAAAAAAAAAACAAAAAAAAAAAAAUUGCAAUGAUGUUUGUGGGUAUCAUCGUUGAAGCCCUCACGAGACUAUAACUCGUCCACUAGGGCCGCCUAGGGGUUUAAAGGCUUGUUGCAUACGCUAAAUGCAAUCGUGAUUUCCUACGAAAGUGGACUAGUUUAGGUUUUCUUUUUAUUUUUGUUCUAGGUUUACUCGAGGACGAGCAAAGGGUAAGUGUGGGGGAAUUUGAUAAGUGCAUAUUUUCCACAUAUUUUGCUUUUAAUUUCUCCAUCUUUUUCUUAUUUUGAUCUUAAAUAUUCUAGUUAUUUUAGUUAAUUUUUAAUUUAAUAGGGAAUUAAUUAAUAUACAUAUUUUAUUUUUUUAUAUAUUUGCUAGUUAUUUUUAUUUCUUAUUUUUAAUUCAUUGUAUUAUUUUAUUGAAUAGGAAAUUAAUUGGAGAUUGUGGAUAAUAAAAAGGCAUGAAGAAAUUCAAAUUGAGAAGGAAUGAAGAUUAAAUUGGAAGACAAAAAUCAAAGCAAUUAAUCCAAUUGAGAAAUGUUGAAUAAUUAAAAGAUUUAAUUUUUUCCAAUUGGCAAAUUGGAGUACACGUGCAUGGCAUUGCAAAAGUGGAAAGCAUUUAAACGGGCCCACAAUUGACUUUCAAAAGUUGGAAUUAAUGGCUUUGGGUGGCGUUAAAUUGGAAAAGGAUUUCAAUUAAAAUUGAAAAAGGAUUUCUUUGGAUUUGUUGGAGAAGAAUUCGGUCAACUAGCAUUAUAAAAAGAGAGCAGCUGCUGGACGGAAGAAAAAAAAAAAGACAGGAGAGAGAGCAGGGGCUGAUCCAAUUCGGCAAGAAGAAGAAAAAAAUCAGCAGCCGGAAUUCAAUUGAAGAAAAAGGCAGCCGCUUGAAUUAAUCUCCAUGAUUAGUUUUGUCAAUUCUCUUAUUCUCAAUUCAAUUAUGUUAGGCUAGAUUUUUAUUUGGUUGAGGGUGAAUUCAAAACCCUAAACAUGCUAUGCAAUUAAAUUUAAAUUCUAUCAUUCAAUUUAUUUAAUUGAGAUUGUUUAUGUUCUUCUAUAAUUAAUGUUCAUGGUUUAUUCUUGUUUUAUUUAAGUGGCCAAUUAGAUAGGACUUGAAUAAAUUUUAUUGCUAGAUUAAAAUUCUUAAUCCGUAAUUGUCUUGAUAUUUUAAUCAUUAGUAGCAGGUUGGAAUCAGUGAUUUCAAUUGAAGAACAUAACCUAGGUUAAAUAAUCCGAGCUUGUGUGUUUAUUGCCUAGAUCAACCUAAUAUCUUUCUCUGUUUAAUGCUUCCAUUAUCUUAAAUUUAAAGAGCUUGUUUUAAAUUAUUUAAUGGUUAGAGAUUAUGUGAAGAGCUUAUUUUGCCUAACGACACACUAAGGAAAGAUUGAGACUAACAGAGCUUAUUGUUGUCUACGGUUGAUAGUUUUAAUAUAAAUUGAUGGUAGAAUUGAUAUAUUAUGUGCAUGUUUGGUGGUGGCGAAUGAUCCUUUAACCAAAGUUUUCAUCAUUAUUAUUUCCUUCUCAUUUAAUUAGAGUUUUUAUUAAAUUCUUGUUCGUAGUUUUAAUUUCUUUAUUUCUUACUAUUUAGUUAAAAAUUCAUAAACCCCCAUUUUAUUUAUAAUUGGCAUUUUCUUUAGUUAGAUUAAUUUAUAUUAUUAUUACUAUUAUUAUUAUUACUAUUAUUUUAUUUUAAAUCUUGCUUUGGAGUUAAUAAUAAAUAUAACUAGCAUAGUCUCUGUGGGAUCGAUCCUUACUCGCUCUGUACUAAUUAUUUAUAUUAGUGGUAAGGUUUUAAAUUUGGUGCACCUUAACGACACUACCAAUAAUACAGAUCCGGAUAUCCGGUUUUCCGAAUGUAAGUGCAUCCGGAUCCGCAUGGAUCUUAAUUUUUAAGAUCCGGAUUCGCAUUUUUUAACGUACAGAUCUGAAUUUUUUGAAUUCGAAUCUUCUGAAUAUUUGCUGAUCCAGAGUUUAUUGCCAACCCUAAAUUGAUAAGGCUAUAGAAAAUUCAAUAUCCAGAUCGGAUAAGGAUCCAAUAAAUUAUAAAAUAUUGCGGCUCAAAGCCCAUAUGAUCAUGGGCCACCGCUUGCUCAUGCUUUGAAUCAAAAUUUUCUAAUGAAGUGAGGUUGGAAGCUAAAAGGGGCAAAUGAUGAAAUGGGGUUCAUCAUUUAUUGAGCCCAACGGGACAAGAUCAUCAUUUAAUUCCCUCCUCUUGUCGAUAGAUAUUUGCCGAAUUUUUUCAUUUAAAAAAUAUUAUAUUGGUUAAUAGAAUUUGAAGUUUUACAAAAUAUAAGUUUAAUUUUAGAAAAAAUUAUAUUUGUUAAUUUAAAAUUUUCAUUUGGUGGUUGUGUUUGAGAAAAAUUUUAGGUAUACUCGGAUAUACUCUCUUAUUAUUCAUUGAAUUUGGGCAUUUAAACAUACUAGUAUAGUAUGCAGUAUUUUUAGGUAAUUAGCGGAGAAGUAUACGUGACAAAAAUAUAACACGUGAAACAAUACACAAUGAAAUUAUCUACAAUUUUCCAUUGACUUAGUCAACUCUUCAUUAAUUUCAUUGACUUGAUCAACUCAUGAAUCAUGAUCUAACUUGACAACUUGAAAAUUAAAAUAUGCUAGUAAUUCCGUAAAAUUAAAAUUUAUCUCCCAAAAUUGAUAAAUACUGUGUCACUUUGUCAAAUUACUUAGGGUAAAAACUCUGUGGCUAAAAACUUUUAACAUUAGUUGUAUGCUAAUUGAGAAGGACAAGACACAAAAGAAUUCAAUGAAUGCGACAUCAUGUAACACUAACACUAUUUACUCUUAACAAAUUCUUACAAACGUGAUUCAUGAAAUUAACUUGACUUUUUGUCUAAAAAAGGCCUAAAGAAACAUGCCAAGCAACAAAUAAAGUAGUCCAAACGUGAUUCAUGAAACUUGAUAGGCACUAUCUAAAUAGUAUUAAUAUGGCAACCAAAAACAUCCGCGCAAAAUAGACUUUCUUGGACGAUCCAUGCCAAUCAACAAAUAAAGUAGUCCAAACGUGAUUCGUGAAACUUGACUUCUUGUCUAAAAAGGCCUAAAGAAACAAGACCAAAAUUUCCAUGCAAUAGCAAUAUGGUGGCCACAAUGCACUUUUUAAGCCAUUUUUCAAAACUAAGUUUCUUCGUAUCACAUGCACUAUUCAAGCAAUUUUUCAACAUUUUCUCCUUCCCCUAAAAGCUACAUGCAUGAAUCAUGUCCCAAUCAAUUUCUUGGCAAAAAUUGGAACGCAAGAACCGAUUGGAGCAUAAGGACAAUGUCACGAUUCAAGAUUCUCAGCAAGACCACGUCACAAUGCAUCACUUUUGGAAAGUAAUUUAGCAAUUUCCAAUGCCUUAGCUGAUUAAUGGCUUGAACAUGUCACGAUUGGUCCACAUUAUGCACAUGGCAAGAUCAAACAAAAUAUCACAGCUAGCUCGACGACUACUAGCCAAAAUAACAAGACAAUGACGGCCAGUUACAAACUCUUUACGAAGGAAAUACCGAAAUAUGAAUAUCCCUCCUAAUCACUUUCUUAUAUUAUAAUUAUUUUGUACAUAUAACAGAACACGUUCUCUCUUGUAAACAAGUCAAGAAAACGGUUUUAGUUUUCAUAUCAAUAAUGGAAUCCAAAAUCUUUCACAGCUUGCUUCUCCUUUGGACGCUUGAAAGACUUUCUUACCUGGCUAAGACUGAAAAUUGUUUGCGGUCAACUCGUGGCACCCUUAUUGACACGCAAAGAACUUACAUCGAGGAGUUGUUUGAUUUUAUGUUUCAAAUUAAGUACCAUAGCAUUACUACUUCUAUAAAUAACUCAUUUGAGCUUCCAGCCUGUUAUUUGUAUUUUACGUUUCUGUUUCUCUUCAUAAAUAUUUUUUUUUCCAUUCUCUUUUUCUUCCACUUUCCCGACUCCCAAACACCACCAGUCUUUGAUUUUCCUAGAGUAUUAACUGUCUGUUUACACGAACAUAGACCGACUGUUUGUCUAAUUACUGUCAAGAAACAGCAUACUCUGUCUCGGGGUCUCUUCGUUUAUUGACUUGUCACUUGUGAACGGGAUAAUUAAAGGGCAUUCCUUUCUUCAAGAAAGAUUGCCAAGAAAGUACCAUCCAUUAGACACGUUAAGAGUUAUUUUACAUUAAAAAUGAUAAUAAUCAUAAUAAUCGGUUUAGUGUUACCCCUUUAUUAGGUAAUGACUGUCCGAUUGUCUUCGCUUUCAUUGACUUCGCAACUGUGAAUUCUAAGCCGGGUUAAGGAUUGACAAAAUGUUAUAACCCAUAAAGCACGGAUAAUUAAUUAAUGGGCCACUGAUUUCUUCUUUAAAGGCUAAUUCUUGGUAAAGAUCAGAAAGUUCUCAAAUAAAAAUUCGGCUUUGUGGAAAUUAAAUUAAAAGCAAUUAAGCAUUAUAAAUUACUUAACAGCUUAAUCGAGUUUGGUUUUGAAAAAUAUAUCUUUAAAUCUCUUGUAAUUAAAGAUAAUUAUCAUAUUACCGUCUCAAAUGGACCGAUUUCAAUCAAAUGAAAUCUAGAAAAUUGAGCAGCUCAUUGAUGUAUUUGAUCGAACUUGUGUCAGAGUCUUCGUUUUAGAAGAGUGCACAGCAGCUGCCAGGUCCACUUGGCAGUUGGCACGCUAAAAAUUUUCUGUUGACCAAUAAUUUUGAAAGGGAUAUUAUUAAUUUACUAUCAAAUAUUUUCUAACACAUCACUUUACUAUCAAAAUUUUUUGACAAUAAUUUUUUGUCACUUAAUAUUUCAAUUUUUAUCAUUUUAUCAUCAAAAAAUAGUAAAUGCAUGCGUAGUGUCAGUUAUUCAUAAAAAUGGUUGUUGAAUUGUCCUGUUUCUCAUUUGGUUUAAUUUUCAUAAAUUCGACUCACACAAUUCAAUUAUGAGUGAAGAGUUUUUUUUUGGGAAAAAAUCUGGUCUUCCAUUUACUAGAAUCACGUCUGAAUGAUUUUGUUAUUUUUCUUUUGUUUGAAAUAUACGUGGAAAAUGUUGAACACUUUGUAGGAUUUAGAAGAAUUUGAAAGUUUGAAUGCAUAUAGUUUACUAUCCAUCAACUAGUGCAUAUUCUGUAUUUUAUGAAAUCAAAGCUGGUUGAUUGAGAAAUGGACCUUAUUACAUGUCAUAAGAUUUUACAGUGCUUUCUAAUGGAGCAAAAUAAAAUGAUUCUUACCUGCACAGAAAAUUAGAUGUUACACUUAAAUUUAUUAUCCAUCUCUAUUGUUUAUAUGACACUGAAGUAUUACCUAAAUUAGCCUUUCAAAACUUCAUUUUCAAAAAUCUAUGGUUGUGAUGCGUCUCUAUAAACUCACUCGUACAAAUUCUAUCUAAUGCCAAUCAUUUUAAACUCUGUUCUGAACAGAGCAUGAAAGGAUAUGUUCACUUAUCUAGUUAUGUUUUUUAUGCUUUCACUUCACUUGAUUCACCUUGUCCCUCUUUUAAAACAGCUGCAUAUGCUGGAGUGCCAAAUCCAUCACAAGGAUCAUAUUACAGAGUAUUUCGGGAUUCAAGACUGUAUGCCACGCUGGCAAGUGCGCUCUCACAGAUUGUGGAGAUGGCACCAAAGAUUGUAAACUAACUAGUACUGAAAAAUCCUAUUUGCACAUAAAAUUGCAUAAAAUAAAUAGACUGAGAAAUAAGAUUAAUAAAGUAAAUAAAUUUAUCUUUCUAGUGUUUUUGUGUACGUACAAGUAGCAUUACUCAUUAGCAAUUAGUCUAGAGUGUUCUGAUUUUUUCUAAUAAGUAGCUCACUUGAGCCUAGGACUUGUAACUAUGUUUUACGUUUCUGUAACUUUCUAAUAAAGAUUUUUUUUUUUUAAUUUUCAAUUUCUCUUCCAUUUUCCUGACUCCCAAACACCACCAAUCCUUGAUUUUCUAGAGUAUCAGCUAUCUAUUUCUACAAACACAAAACUACUAUUUACUUUCAAGAAACAACGUAUUCUGUGGUUUAUUGGCUUGUGCCUUGUGAACGGGGCUAAUGUUGGUCUAACUACUUUCACGAAACAACGUACUCCGUGGUUCAUUGACGCGCACGGGGCUAAUUGUCUCCUCUUCCAUUGACUCUGUCAAUUCAUGACUUUGACGCGCACGGUAGCUGCUAACUGCCUUCUCCAUUUGACGUGCAAAAAACUUUCUUGAGUCGGGUUAAAAUUAAUUGAUCAUUUUAUUUGGUGAUAAUGACUUAGUUGUCAAGUCAUGAGUUUGAUGAUGAAGAGGACGAAAAACAUUACUUUAUUAUUUAAAAUAAGACUAUCAAUUAAAUGGAAUCUUACGGAAUUAGAGUGCUUGACUUCUUUUUACAGAAUUAUGAAGUGAAAAAGGAAAUUAAGAAAUUAAAUACUUUUCAUGCGAGUGGAGAAGAUUGGGUAGCGAUUACAUGAAAUAAAAGAAAAAUAAUUUAAAAGUACAACACUUUAAUAAUCUCAUUCCCAAUCAUAUCGGUAUAAAAAUUAUGUAGAUUUAUUGAAUAACUAUUGAUUUUACUUUGGUAAUUUCUUUCUAAAAGUGAGGUAAACAUUUUUAUUUUCUUUGCAUUCGAGCUUUCUUUCUUUUGCGCUGGCCUUCACACUCUUGACCGUAUUUCAUGUAUUUAGUUUUUGUCAUCAUGACUGGUGAAAUAAAAAUAGUCCUCAUUUCAAGGAUUGACAAAAACGUUGUGCUCAUACCGAUUAAUGGGGAACUGAUUUCGUCUUCUUAAAAGAGAAUUAUUUGCAGCGCGGUAAUUAGAAGAUUUCUGUAUUAUAUAGCCAAACCUAAGUGAUAAGAAUUUCCAAAUGAGAUAUAAUUUGGAGGGAAACAAAAAACUAAUUCAAGUUAAAGACCAGCAAUUUCCAUAUGUGAUAUAUCCUUCACUCUUUGACGUAUCCCUGGGGCAAUGUAAGUUGACUUUAUAUUAAAACAAAACAUAAUUACAAUUAUCAUCACUGAUUUGUAUAAUUUUCAGGACUAGUAAAUUAUCUCAAUUUUUAAAAAACAUAAUUACAAUUAUCGAUCGAACACCACUAAUUCCAACAAUUCAUCCAAGUUUUUCAACUUUUUAGAUAUUUGAUAUAUGUCAUGUUUUAACUUAGUACGAGAAAAAAAUUAUAGAAUUUUUUUUUUUUCAAAUUAGUGGAAUUAUUUUACGAUAAAACUAUCACAAUCACAUUUAAAAAUAUUCUUUAAACUUUCACUAUUUCUACUGUUAUUCUUUAAACUUUUUUCUGAACAGAGCAUGGAGGGUCGCUUAUCUAAAUAUGUUUUCUGUGCUUUCACUUCACUUGAUUCAUCUUGUCCCUCUUUUAUAGCUUCUAUCUCGUGUGAGCUUAGAACCUGCAACUUGUAUUUUACGUUUCUGUUACUUUCUCUUUCAUUUUCCCGAUUCCCAAACACCAUCAGUCCUUGAUGUUAUAGAGUAUUAGCUGUCUAUUUGUUCAGACAUAGAGCUACUGUUCCCAGUCCCACUGUAGAUCUUCAGUGGUUAGCUCACUAUUGUUUGAAUAUUAAAAUUAAUUUGUUAAAUAAAUAAAGAAAACAAGAGACAAUUGCCAUAUAUAUUCCAUAUUAAUUAGUCACCGUCCGAUUGUCUCCACUUCCAUUGACUCUGUUGAUUCAUGCUUUCAUGAAGUGAAACGUUUAACACUCUGUUCUGAUCCGCAGGAGAGGAGGAAAAACAUAAUUUUAUUAUUUCAUUCCUGACACGCGCAAUGAGCUUUCUUAAUUGAUGAAUGUGACAUGAAGCUCUAUAAAUAGUUUAAUUUGUAAAAUUGUUAAAAUUUGUUAAAUUUCAUUUAAUUGAUGAAUGUGACAUGAAACUCUAUAAAUAGUUUAAUUUAUAAAAUUGUUAAAAAUUUAAAUUUCAAGUAAGGUAGAUAAAAUGAUUAACUUUUUUCAAUAUUUAGAUAAUUAACAUGUGUCAUGUAACUAUGAGUGAAUGAAUGAAAUUUUUGAAGUACGAAUCCAUUUACAAGUUACGACUUGUCUUGUUUCUCAUUUUACUUAAUUUUCAUAAAAUUGACUCAUGAUCAAUUAUGAGCGAAGAGUUUGUUGGUCUUCCAUUUAUUGUAAUCAGAUGAGUGUGAUUUAAUUAUUUUUUCCUUUUGCUUGAUGUCCCGAAAAUUAUGAAUGCUUUUGUAGGAUGCAGAAGAUUAAAAAUUUUAAUGCAUAUCUAUAGUCAAAACUGAGGAAACAGAACAUUAUUGCUUCUAUAAAUAGGUCAUUUCAGCUUAAAACUUGUUACUUGUAUUUUACAUUUUUGUUUUUUUAACUUUUUCUUCCAUUUUCCCAAACACCACCAAUCCUUGAUUCUUUUCCUAGAGUAUUAGCUGUCGAUUGUUACAAACAUAGACAUACUGUUUGUCUAAUUACUAUCAAGAAACAACAUACUCUAUCCUGGAGUCUCUUCGUUUAUUUAAUAUUUAGGUUUAUUAAUAUACUACAUUAUUAAUUAAAUUAAUUAAUAAUUUAAAUUAAUUAAAUAAUAAAAGUUAAAUGAUUAUAUUUAAAAUCCAAGUAGUAUUUUAAUGUAAUGAAACCUAAAUCCCACCUCUAUACCACAUUUGUUAUACAAUGUAAUGCAACUAUAAAUUAUAAUUAUAUGAAAAUAAUAUUUUAAUACAAUAUAAUACAAGUAUAAUAGUAUUACAAGUGUAAAGGCUGUAAUAUUAAUUAGCCUGUAUAAUAUUAUGCCGUGCUGGCAAGUGUGCUAUAACAGAUUGUCGAGCUGGCACCAGUUAUUUUAAACUAAUAUUAGUAAUUAGUCUAGAGUGUUCUGAUUUAUUCUAUAAAUAGCCCAUUUAAGCUUUUUUCUCUAUUCCUUUUUCUUUCACUUUCUCUUCCGUUUUCCCGACCCUCAAACACCGUCAAUCCUUGAUUUGAACUGCUGUUUGUUUGUCUAAUUACUUUCAAGAACAAUACCCUCCAUCCCGCGGUCUCUUCGUUUAUUGACUUGUGAAUAUCAAUAAAUUUUUAUUACAUUCAAGAUAAGGACUGACCAAAUUAUUAAAAUGUGAUGCCACGUGUGUGAGUAAUUGGAUUGGACUGACCAAUACUUUGACGUUCAUAUUGGUUUAGGACCAUUCAUAAUUAUGACUUAAAUAGUUUCCAUUAAUAUCGAUUUUUCUAGAUUCUAAUUUCUAAAUGGUUAGAAGUUUCAGCCACUUAAAGCAAAGGAAUAAUCGCCCUUCUUGCACGGAAGCACGGAUAUUCCAGGAUUAAAAUCCUAGCCUAACUCCAACGCCAGGGAUUGGCAUCUAUUCCUAAGACAAAUUAACUAAUUACAACCGCUUAAUAAUAAUAAUAAUAUAUUAUUGUUGAGAUGAUGCGCUGGCAAAUCAUACAGGUGUACGUCCUAACCAAUAUGCUACGUUUCCCCACAUUAUAUAUUGUUUGAGGGAAAUGCUUCGAUGAGACCAGAAGUGAUGAGCAGAUAUUUGGUGGCAGAGUUCUGCGAACAGGUGCGUCCUGUAAGAGCCUGGUAGCAGGGGAACAGGAGCAGGAAUAUUCUGCUCGUCCAAGAACAUGCCAUUCACGAGGACGAACUCCUGUUAGAGGCAUGAGGCCAUUCCUGCUAGGGGUCGAGGCAAGGAGGCCCGGUCAACGACAGUUGGUAAGGCGUGCAUUCCUCCCCGAGAAUCAAGGCGCGAAGUCCAUCUCCAUUUGCCCACAAUGGCGAUAAUGGGGCAUCCACAUCCGAGAGUGGGGAGAAUAACGGGCGUGGACUACAGAAGACUGGGAUUCAGAGGAAGCCUAUAAAAAGGUAGCCAACGAAGGUAAAAGGGUUGGACUUUUUGCUAUUAGAACUAAGAAAAGAAAACUCUAAGAACUGAGAUUGAAAAGACACCAUAGGAUUCGUGGCAAACAUUCCCAGAACCUUCAUAUCUGACUUGAGCGUCAGAUGGUUUACGCCGGGAAAACAACCGGCGUACUCUGACCUGCUUCUGUGUACGCAGGAACUUUUGGAGAAGAAACCUUACGAGGAGAGAUCCUGGUCGUGGUAGAGUUGAUCGAGCCGAGUUCCUGGUCUUGGUAGAGAAGGCAACCAGAAUCUCGCAUCAACAUUUUGGCGCCGUCUGUGGGGAGCUGAGAAAAAAGCUUCUGCUGAUAGCAAGAAGAGGAGUGAAGCAAGUGAAAAGCAAUGGAGACAGGAGGAAGUAGUGCACAAGGGGGUGAUAUAAGGCUUAAUGAUUCCGUGACGUUGAGGGAGAUAGCCAGUGAAGCGCGGGAAAAAGCCAUGUUCGACCGGAUGGAACGGAUGGAAAAGCAAAUGGAGACCCUGACAACCAUCCUGCAUGAGUUGCGGAGUGAACGAAGAGUAACCCAGGAGGAAAGGGUGAGAAGUGGUGGAGUGGCACCAGGUCCCGAUAGUACGAGGAGAAGUCGAACCACCGUGAGAUUUGGUGGUGAGAGAGGUAACAUACCUCUGCGGGGAGAAUUUCAUAGAGAGGAAGAGCAAUCCCCGGCGAGACAGAUUUUUGAGGAGGACGACGGGGUGGCGAAUGCAGAGGAAACAGAGUUGAGGCAACACUUGCAUGAUUUAGAGCAAGAGCGGGAUCAAGUUGCAGCACGUGACCCUGGUCGUGCAGUGCAGCUGGAGGAGGAAGUGCGCAGGCUAGCGCAGAUAAUUGACGACAUGCAAGGAAGGAGUAGAGCUCCUGGUUGGAGGAUAAUGCUGGACGGAGAAUCACCGCUCGCAGCAGAGAUCAUGAGGGCAGUUAUUCCGAGAGAUUUCCGCCUCCCAGAUCUUAGAUAUUCGGGACGAACUGAUCCGCUGGUGCACAUAGAGCGCUUCAAUGACAUAACUGGGGUACAAGGAUUAUCUCAAUCCCAAAGGUGCAGGGUGUUCCCACUAUCCCUUGAGGGACGUGCACGAGAGUGGUACAUGAAACUUCCUCGGGGGAGCAUUAAAACCUUCGAGCAGAUGUGCCAGGAAUUUGCAGAGCAGUUUCGUGGGGCAAUGGCACCAGAAGAUGACAUGAUGGAGUUGAAAAGCAUGAAGCAGAGGGAACAAGAAACACUUCGGGAAUUCAUCAAGAGGUUUCACCGUGCUGUCCUUGAUUUGGGAGCCUUCAACCAUCCUCAAGCAUUAAGGGGACUGAAAGAAGGGGUGAAGAUAGGAAGACUAUGGUACAAUUUGAGAAGCCCAGUUAUUCAGACGUAUACAGCCGCAUACGAGCAGGCUAAGAAGGACAUUGAGAUUGAAGAGGAAAAGACAGCACGAAUCAAGACAGACCAGUUAGAAGGGUUGGGGAAGAAAGAAAAGAAAGCAUUGCCAGGGAAUGGGCCGAUCAGGAGGAGGGACCACUAGGCCUCAGGUAGUGGAGCAGGAGGUCGGGUAACUACUUACCAGCCUCAUCAGAGGCCACCAUAAUAUCAGCGCAGCAGGGUGCAACCUCCUCGUUCCCCAGCUAGGGAACUUUGGAGAAGGCAUGACUCGGCAUAUGGUGGUCUUCAUCAACACUCCCACGGUAGUAGAGUGGGCAGACCAGAAGUGCUGCCACCGCCUCCAACUCAGAACGGAGCAAACAGAGAAAGGGCAGUGCACCUGAUCGACCAGAACCAAGACUAUGGGCGGUAUACUUCCUUGAAGAUGUCCCUGGACGAGGUGUACGAGGCCAUAAAGGAUCGAGGGUUGCUAUACCUCCUUGCCCCAAUAACAAAGCUACCCAGCAGGAGGGAUAAGGGACGCUAUUGUAAGUUCCAUGGCACUCAUGGCCACACCACAGUAGAUUGCAGGGAUCUCAAGACCCAGGUUGAAGAUUUGGUGAGAAAUCGGUACCUGCACGAGUUUAUAGAUGGGACCUUCCCAAUGGUAGCCUCGACAAGCGAAAGGGAGCAGAGUGACAGAAACUUGAGGCGCGAGCCGCCUGCAGUAAGGGUGAUAGCUGGGGGCCCAACAUUGGCUGGAGAUUCCAACAGGUCGAGGAAGAAUUAUGCUAGAUACGCCAUGACUAGCAAAGAUGUGUUCUUCAACACCCCAGCAGCCAAACGUGCAAGAGUCAGGCAAGUGCCAAUCAUGUGGACAGAUGAGGAUGAAGAAGGGAUUCUAUACCCCCACGAGGAUGCUUUGGUCAUCAAGGCCACUGUUGCCAGCAAGAAGUUUGACAGGAUACUGGUUGACAUAGGGAGCUCAGUUGAUGUGUUGUUUAAGUCAACCCUUGAGGAGAUGGGAAUAGCAGACCUGAAGUUGGAUUACACCAAUACCUCAUUGAAGGGGUUUGGAGGAGGAAAGUUGGUCCCUCUAGGCGUAGUCGAGCUGCCUAUCACGAUUGGGAGCUCCCCGACAGAAAGGACAAUGAUACUGGACUUUGUGGUAGUGGAUGAGGAAGGUCCUUACCAGAUGAUCCUAGGCCGGCCAUUUCUGAGGAUGAGCAAAGCGGUGCUGUCCAACCAUUAUCUAGCUCUCAAGUACCGGGUGAAUGGGGUAGUUGGACUGGUACGAGGAGACCAGAGGAUCGCAAGAAGCUGCUACUCCUCGGCAACAAGGGAAGCAAUGCAGAUAACAUCGCUUGAUACCCGAGUGGAAAACAAGAAUGGCAGACAAGAACCUGUGGAGGAUCUAGAGACAGUAAGCCUGGGACUAGAGAAUCCGGGAAAGACGAUCAGAAUCGGGUCGAAGCUUAAGGAAGAGCAAAAGCAGGAGUUGGUGAAAUGCUUACAGGCUCAUGCAGAUGUGUUUGCUUGGACACAUGAAGACAUGCCAGGGAUUAAUCCUGAGGUAGCAUGUCAUAAGCUGGCAAUAAAGAAAGGUGCUCGGGCAGUAAGGCAGAAGAGGAGGUGCUUUAACCAGGAGAGGUAUGAGGCUAUAAAUGGCGAGGUGGAAAAGCUCUUGAGAGCAGGAUUCAUUCGAGAAGUCAAUUAUCCCGAGUGGAUUUCGAAUGUGGUGUUGGUAAAGAAGGCAAAUGGCAAGUGGAGGAUGUGUGUGGAUUUUACAGAUCUCAAUAAAGCAUGCCCGAAAGACAGCUUCCCUUUGCCAAAAAUCGACCAGCUAGUAGAUUCAACAGCUGGGCACGGCCUGCUUAGCUUCAUGGACGCGUUCUCGGGAUAUAACCAAAUCCCCAUGUACGAGCAGGAUGAGGAGAGCACUGCUUUUAUCACUAACCAGGGUUUAUUCUGUUACAGGGUAAUGCCAUUUGGUCUCAAAAAUGCUGGGGCCACCUAUCAGAGGCUGGUGAAUAAAGUCUUUAAGCCGUUGAUCGGGAAAACCAUGGAGGUGUACGUGGAUGACAUGAUCACCAAGUCCAAAAUCCCGAAGGAACAUGUCGGACACCUCGAGGAGACAUUCGGGCUUUUGAGGAAGUAUAAAAUGAAGCUUAACCCGGAGAAGUGUGCUUUUGGGGUCAAGUCAGGGAAAUUCCUUGGAUUCAUUGUGAGCCAUAGGGGAAUUGAGGCAAAUCCCGAGAAGAUCCAGGCGAUCGUGCAGAUGAGGUCUCCUCAUAGCCUAAAGGAGAUGCAGAGCCUCACGGGGAGGUUGGCGACAUUGAGCAGAUUCAUAUCUAAGGCUACAGGUAAGUGUCAGCCGUUCUUUCAAGUGAUAAGGAGGGGAAAGAAAAUAGAAUGGACUCCAGAAUGCGAGGAAGCCUUCUAGAACUUGAAGCAAUACUUGCAGCAAGCACUUCUGCUGUCCACACCGAGGGUUGGGGACAAGUUAUUUCUGUAUUUGGCGGUAUCAGAUCGGGCCACAAGUUCUGUUCUGGUGAGAGAGGAAGAAAGGGUUCAAUAUCCGAUAUAUUACACUAGCAAGGCCCUGCUCGACGCUGAGACCAGAUACCCACCGUUGGAAAAAUGGGCACUUGCCCUUGUGGUUGCUGCUCGGAAGCUGAGACCAUACUUCCAAGCAUUCCCAGUCUCGGUAAUAACAAACCAGCCAUUGCGUCAAACUCUGCACAAGCCAGACGCCUCUGGUCGGCUCGUCAAGUGGGCUGUAGAGCUGAGCGAGUUCGACAUAGACUACAAACCCCGAGCAGCGAUAAAGGCUCAGGCAAUGGCCGAUUUCGUAGCAGAAUUCACAGAGCCCGAAGUAUGUUUGGACCAACGAGAGGUAGCUACAGACAGUGGCGAAGCCCAAGUAUGGCAAAUGUUUGUAGAUGGGUCAUCAGGGGAGCAGGGAUUGUCUUGGAAGGACCGGAGGGGGAGCAGAUCUCUUAUGCUGUAAAGUUAGAAUUCGCAGCCACAAAUAACCAGGCAGAGUAUGAAGCCUUGAUAGCAGGUUUGGAAUUGGCUAAGGCCGUGAAAGCAGACAGAGUGAAGAUCAGAACUGAUUCCCAGCUGGUUGCAAAUCAUGUCAGUGAAAGAUUUCAACCAAGAGAGGAGAAGAUGGAGCAGUACCUGAAGAUAGUCAGGCAGAUGAUGGGGAAAUUUGAAGCAGUGGAGGUGGUACAAAUCCCCAAGGAGCAGAAUAGUCAAGCAGAUAUUUGGCCAGGAUGGCAGCGGUAGCAGACCCAAAAAUGCCAAAGUCGAUCCCUCUGGAGGUGAAGUCCAGCCCGAGCAUCGAACAGAAUUUGGGGGUGCUACGGAUAGAACAAAAAUGCUCGUGGAUGGACCCAAUAAUUUCGUACCUUAGAGACGGGGUAUUACCACCAGAUAAACUGCGAGCUCGGAAGGUUAGAGCCCAGGCCUCGAGAUACACGAUGAUUGAUGGGGUACUGUAUCGGCGAGGAUAUACACUACCUUUCCUUCGAUGUUUGGAUGAGGACGACGCGGAUUACGUACUAAGAGAAGUACAUGAAGGGAUUUGCGGAAAUCAUUCUGGUGGGAGGUCCCUGGCCCACAAGGUUCUAAGACAGGGAUAUUUCUGGCCAACAAUGCACCAGGAUGCGCAAGGGAAGACCAGGAGCUGUGUAAGCUGCCAGAGUUUUGCAAGUUUCUCCAACCAACCACCAGAGAAGCUCACCUCUAUGGCCUCCCCAUGGCCAUUUGCUCAAUGGGGAAUUGAUCUGAUCGGCCCGUUGCCAAAGGGACGAGGAGCAGCAACGCAUGCAAUAGUUGCUAUAGACUACUUCACGAAGUGGAUAGAGGUAGAAGCCCUUAGCAGGAUCACAGAGAAGAAAACAACAGACUUUGUGUGGAGAAACCUGGUUUGUCGAUACGGGAUCCCUUAUGCCUUGAUAACGGAUAAUGGUAGGCAGUUCGAUAAUCACAGCUUCAGGGAUUUCUGCUAGAACCUCGGGAUAGAGUUGAAGUAUUGCUCGCCGGCUCACCCUCAAUCUAACGAACAAGUAGAAGCAACCAACAAGACAAUCAAGAGGCUUUUGAAAACCAGGCUUGGAGCAAAGAAGGGUGCUUGGGUUGAUGAGCUAUCAGGCGUACUAUGGGCAUACAGGACAACCCAUAAGACAGCAACGGGGGAGACACCGUUCGCCUUGGCUUUCGGACAUGAAGCGGUCAUACCAGCUGAGAUAGGAACCACCACAUACCGAACAGAUCAUUUCAACGAGCAGGACAACGACGAGCAGAUGUGUUUGAAUUUGGACUUGCUAACGGAAAAAAUGGAGCAAGCAACCGAGCGAUAAGUCAUUUACCAGCAGAGGGUUGCCCGAUAUUAUAACCAGAAGGUGAAUGUACGGCAGUUCAAGGUCAGAGAUUGGGUGUUAAAGAGAGUGAAUCAGAACACCAAAGACUCAACUCAAGGAGUGCUCGGACCGAAUUGGGAGGGGCCAUACAGGGUCAAGCAGCUAGUUGGACCAGGAGCUUACAAGUUGGUUCGCAUAGAUGGCCACGAGGUGAAGCGCCCAUGGAACGCAGCACAUCUCAAGAAAUAUUUCCAGUAAGAGUCGUUCAUAUUUUCAAGUUCUUUCUGUUCGUGUUCGUUGUUAUUUAUUUUAUGUCAAAACGAUCUCAUGUAAGCCGAAUUCAACAAUAAAGGGAUCAAUGAGGAAUUUCAGUCAGCUAUACUGUCAUCGAAGAAUUUUCUAAGGCAUGCAAAGGCUCAUCAAGUCUCAAAGCCUGUUUUAUGGCGAGACAGAAGCCAAGCGUGCCAGGGUUUGCUCGACCGCGCGAAGGUGAGCAGAACCCCCAAACAUCGAAAUAUUUUCUAAGGCAUGCAAAGGCUCACAAAGUCUCAAAGCCUGUUUAUGGCGAGACCAGAAGCAAGCGUGCCAGGAUCUGCUCGACCGCGCGAAGGCGAGCAGAAUCCCAAGCAUUGAAGAAUUUUCUAAGGCAUGCAAAGGCUCAUCAAGUCUCAAAGCCUGUCUAUGGCGAGACAGAAGCCAAGCGUGCCAGGGUCUGCUCGACCGCGCGAAGGUGAGCAGAACCCCCAAACAUCGAAAUAUUUUCUAAGGCAUGCAAAGGCUCACCAAGUCUCAAAGCCUGUUUAUGGCGAGACCAGAAGCAAGCGUGCCAGGAUCUGCUCGACCGCGCGAAGGCAAGCAGAAUCCCAAGCAUUGAAGAAUUUUCUAAGGCAUGCAAAAGGCUCACUAAGUCUCAAAGCCUGUCUAUGGCGAGACCGGAAGCCAAGCAUGCCACGAUUUGCUCGAUCGAGCAAAGGCGAGCAAAAUCCCAAGUCAUGUAGAAAGACCAUAUUCUAAGCCAAAGCCUGCUCGACCAAGUGAAGGCGAGCAAACCUUCAAAUGGAAAAAUAACUUGUAAAUACAAACGCAAGAAAGUAAUCAAAAACAGUUUUUAUUAAUUUAUCAAUAACCAACAAAGUUGUUCAUUACAACGCAAGAAAUAUGUUCAAGAAGAUGGCGGAUCAGUAAGCCGAGCAGCUUCGGUUGGCUGGACCUCCUCAGGUGCAGGGGGGUAUCACCAGUUGCGUCCGGUGGGGUGCUCGCCUCGCCAACAUCAGCAGGGAUUGUACGAGGAGGAGAGUUUUCCUCCUCAAUCACGAUUGGCUCCACCCCUUCGGCAUCUUCCUUGGCCGCCUCCUCGUCUAUAUGUUGAGCAACACCAGCUGCUAGGUCAUCCAUCUUCAUAUCAGGAUACUGCUUCCCGAGGACGGCCAUGAUGUAACGAUAGGAAUGCCGAAGUCCCUGGUCGUAUUGAUUGUCGGCCUCCUUCUCCAAGUUCUCGACCUGAACUCGGUGGGAAUCGCGGAGAGAUUCGAGCUGAGCCUCAUACAUAGCCUUCUGCCUUUGAAGAUCCUCCUUGACCUUGGUCAACUCCUCCUCGAGGGUAAUGGCUUUUGCUUGAGCAAGAGAUUCUUGCUCUAUCAGCUUCAGGUUCUCGACAUUCAGCUCCCCUGCUUUCUUCUCGGCAUGGUCAGCUCUGGUCAUCGCCGACUGAAUGUCCUCCUUCAUCUUCCUGUCAUAACGGCCAACCUUGGCCUUAUAGUAAGUGGUCAUGCAGUUGAGAUGGAAAGCGCUAUACUGCAUGGCUCCUACCAGCUCGCCCAGGGUGUAGCCAUCAAAGUCCUCCAGGUCCUUCUUGCUCACGAGUUUAGAUAACUCAUUGAGAUAGAGGACCAAGUGUUCUGCUCGGUUGUCAGGUAAGCGAGACCGAGGCCGACAGGAGGAGAAGAGGACGCAGGAUCUAUGGCUGCUCCACUAGUUUCCCCGACUUUGGCAGGAGCAGAAGGUAAAGUCUUCAAGGGAGAGACCUGCUGUACGAUGUUGGCCCGCUUUGCAGUAGGGGCGUCCUUGUUCUGGUCCGUCUUCGUGGUUUGAGGUCGAGAACGUUUCCUGUUCAGAGCCCCAAUCACAGCGUCCUCCAUCUUAUGGCCAGGGAGUAUCAAGCGAGACUCGAGCAAGUUGUAAGUAGUUAUCAGUUCUCGGCUCGAGCAGGAAUUGACUAGUACAGCCUCAACCCGUUUGAGCUGGUCAGGUUUGAGCGGGAAGUGAACACCCCACGAACCUGCAAUACAAACAGACACUUGGUUAGAGACAAACCAAUAAAGCGAGAACAAUUAUGGAUACAAGACAUCUAAAGCGAGCAGGCAACCUGGGACCGUGAAACGGGAUGGGACACGAUAAUCCUUCCCGUCCAUUUGUGCAACCUGACCCCAAGGACCCCCAGCAAAAAAGAAUUUUCUCUUCCAAGCCCCACCACCACCAGUUGGAAGAUCAGUUAUGGGUUUCAUGCUCUUGGUGCUAGAUUGGAAGUAGUACCAGCCGGCAUCUUUGGGGCUGCUCUUUAGUUGGUACAGAUGCUUAGUCAUCUGAAGUACAUGUUUUUAGGAGAUGAUGAGACACUUCCGGUGAUCAUCUCUUCAAAGCUUAGUACUUUAGAGGAAGAGAAACUUAUUAGAGUGCUAAAGGAUUACAAAAAGGCUAUUGGGUGGACAAUUGCAGAUAUUAAAGGGAUAAGUCCGUCCACGUGCAUGCAUAGAAUACUACUGGAGGAAGAUGCCAAACCUUCAAUUCAAGCUCAAUGCCGUUUGAAUCCACUCAUGAUGGAAGUAGUGAAGAAAGAAAUUCUAAAACUUCUUGAUGCAGGUAUAAUCUAUCCAAUUUCGGAUAGUAAAUGGGUAAGUCCGGUACAAGUGGUACCGAAGAAAACUGGUAUAACAAUUGUUGAGAAUUCUUAUGGUGAGUUAGUACCUACCCGAGUUCAGAAUGGGUGGAGGGUUUGUAUUGAUUUUAGAAAGCUUAAUUCACUCACUAGGAAUGAUCAUUUUCCUAUUCCUUUUAUUGAUCAGAUGCUCGAUAGGUUGGCAAGAAAAUCUCACUUGUGUUGUCUUGAUGGCUAUUCAGGUUUUCAUCAGAUACCAGUUGCGCCCGAGGAUCAGGAGAAGACUACCUUCACAUGUCCUUUUGGAACCUUUGUGUACCGACGUAUGCCAUUUGGUCUUUGUAAUGCUCCCGCCACUUUUCAGAGGUGCAUGGUCAGUAUUUUUUCAGACUAUGUAGAAAACACUAUAGAGGUAUUUAUGGACGAUUUUACGGUCUAUGCUGAUUCUUUCGAUGAUUGUCUCUAUAAUCUGAAGAAAGUGCUUGAAAGAUGCAUUGAAACAAACCUUGUCUUAAAUUAUGAAAAAUGUCAUUUUAUGGUAGAUCAAGGCAUUAUUUUGGGUCAUGUAGUCUCUGCUAGAGGAAUUGAGGUAGAUAAAGCUAAAAUAGAUGUUAUUAAAUCUUUACCUUAUCCCACAUGUGUGCGGGAAGUUCGUUCUUUCCUUGGUCAUGCAGGUUUCUAUAGACGAUUUAUCAAGGAUUUUUCGAAGAUAGCUCAGCCUUUAUGCAAGCUUCUUCAGAAAGAUGUGACAUUUGAUUUUAAUGAAGCAUGCAAGGUAGCAUUUGAUAAACUUAAGGAGUUAUUGACUUCAGCUCCAAUUAUACAGCCACCAAACUGGAGCCUCCCUUUUAAGAUAAUGUGCGACGCCAGUAAUUAUGCUGUUGGUGCUGUUCUCGGACAAAGGGUUGGAAAAGCUGCUCAUGUGAUAUAUUACGCAUCAAGGACACUUGAUAGUGCUUAGUACAAUUACUCAACAACGGAAAAAGAACUUUUAGCUAUUGUUUUUGCUUUAGAAAAAUUCCGUUCAUAUUUAUUGGGUACCAAAGUGAUUGUUUUUUCUGACCAUGCAGCUCUUAGAUAUUUGCUCGCCAAGAAGGAAGCGAAACUGAGACUUAUCCGCUGGAUCCUACUGCUUCAAGAAUUCAACUUGGAGAUCCGUGACAAGAAAGGAACAUAAAACUUAGUUGCAGACCACCUUAGUAGAUUGACCACGAGUGAAGAAGCAGCACUUUUGAAAGAUGAUUUUCCAGAUGAGCAUCUCUUUGUAACUCAAGGUAUGGUUCCUUGGUACGCUGACAAGGACACUACCUAGUGAUCUGACGAGGGCUCAAAAAGAUAAAAUUAAGAGCGAUGCUAAAUACUAUGUUUGGGAUGACCCUUACUUGUGGAAACAUUGCUCUGACCAAGUCAUCAGAAGGUGUGUAUCUGAGUUUGAAAUUCCUUCUAUUCUUCAAUUUUGUCACUCAUAUGCAUGUGGUGGUCAUUUUGGUCUCAAAAUGACAGCAUCCAAGGUGUUAGAAUGUGGUUUAUUUUGGCCUACUUUAUUUCGUGAUUCAUAUAUGUUUUGUAAGUCGUGUGAGAAUUGUCAAAAGACUGGUAAUUUAAGUCAUAGAAAUCAAAUGCCACUUACCCCUAUUCUUGUAUGUGAAAUAUUCGAUGUGUGGGGCAUUGGUUUUAUGGGACCUUUUCCCUAAUCUUUUGGCAAUGCUUACAUUCUUUUAGCAAUGGAUUACGUUUCUAAGUGGGUAGAGGCUAAGGCCACCCGGACUGACAAUGCUAAAGUUGUUGUAGAUUUUGUCAAGUCUAAUAUUUUUGCCAGGUUUGGUGUACCGAGAGCGAUGAUAAGUGAUAGAGGCACUCAUUUCUGUAAUCGAGUGGUGGAAGCUUUGUUCAAAAGAUAUCAUGUUACCCACCGAGUGUCUACCGCUUAUCAUCCACAGACAAGUGGACAAGCUGAGAUAUCAAACAGAGAAAUCAAGUCUAUUCUUGAAAAGACAGUUAGUCCAAAUCGAAAGGAUUGGAGUUUGCGAUUAGAUGAUGCAUUAUGGGCGUAUCGCACCGCUUACAAAACUCCCAUAGGUAUGUCUCCUUAUCGUUUGGUAUUUGGUAAGCCUUGCCAUUUACCUGUAGAACUUAAGCACAGAGCAUACUGGGCGGUUAAGCAAUGCAAUAUGCGGAUGGAUGAAGCGGGAAAGCAGAGGAAGUUGCAGCUGCAAGAGUUGGAGGAGAUUAGAAAUGAAUCCUACGAGAGUUCGUGAUUUUACAAGGAAAAGACGAAGACAUUUCAUGACAGAAUGAUUUUCAGAAAGGAGUUAUCUGUUGGUCAAAACGUUCUUCUUUUUCAUUCUAAACUUAAACUUUUUCCUUGUAAAUUACGUUCUCGUUGGGUAGGACCUUUUAUUGUUACUAAUGUUUUUCCUCAUGGUGCAGUUGAGAUUCGGAGUCCAACCUCUGAUAAAGCCUUUAAGGUAAAUGGUCAUCGUUUAAAACCUUUUUAUGAAGGUUUUUCGGUGAAUAUUGUAGAGGAAAUGGCUCUCGAGAGUCCUAUUUAUGGAGAUUGAUGCAUAAAUGUGUCUAGCCAAAGACAUAAAACAAAAGCGCUUUUUGGGAGGCAACCCAAAUGAUUUGUUUAUUUUGGUUUUUGUUUUAUCUUCUUUUAGUUUUGAUUCAGAUUUUUUUUAAAAUAAUGUGUUUGCUUAUUUUGGCCAGAAGAAAAUUUUUGAUAAGGCGUGCCCACGUUUUAACUAAUAAGUACUUCUGUAAUUUUUAAAGUAAAAUAGUUUUAAGGCGUGCCCACGUACUUAUUAGAAAAGUACUUCUGAAAUUUUUAGUUCUCAAAGUGAAAAAAAAAAAAAUUAAUGUGUUUGCUUAUUUUGGUCAGAAGAAAAUUUUUGAUAAGGCGUGCCCACGUCAUAACUAAUAAGUACUUCUGUGAUUUUUAAAGUAAAAUGGUUUAAAGGCGUGUCCACGUGCUUAUUAGAAAAGUACUUCUGAAAUUUUUAGAGUCUCAAAGUGAUUCAUUAAAAAAAUAUAUAUUUUUUAAAAAAAAUAAUUUUAUUUUAUUUUUUAAAAAACAAAAAAUGAAAAAAAGAGCUUUUCUUUUGUUCUUCUUUUAUAUAUUUAUUUAUUUAUUUAUAAUAAAAAAAUCAUCAUUGUUCAAAAAAAAAAAAUUUACUGUUCACAAAAUCCCUAAUUUUCCAGAUCUUGUUUUCUUCUCCAGCCGCUUGCAGCACACCAGCAGCAAACCAGCCCGCCGGAAAAUGCAAGCCCCGCAACGCAGCGCGAACCAGCAACGCAAACCACCAGAGCGCAACGCAAGCCCCCGCGCGCGCAGCACCAACAGCCCACGAAGCAGCCGCAGCAACACGAAGCAUCUCUCACGCACAACAGCCCCGCAGCGCAACGAACCAGCAACGCGAACCAGCUCUCGCGUGCAACAGUCCCGCAGCAACAAGCCGCCCCGCGCGCGCAACACAGCCACGCACCAGCAUCCCGCACGCAACCAGCAGUGCGCAACCAGCCCCAAGCUGCGCAGCAAGCUCAAGCCGAGCAGCAAUGCAACGCAACUAGCCUACGCCCUGUAUUCCAGCCGGGUAAAUUGAAAUCCGUGAGUGCAAUUAUUGUAACAAUGCCAAAGAGGAAAGCAUCUACUUCCAAGUCAUCGAAAAAGACACCCGUCGCAAAGAAAUCUAAGAUUGCCGCUCCCACUACGGUUCCAUGGAACACAAUUUCAUAUUCACGCCAAGCCGUGAGACAAAGAUCGAAACAUGGAAAAGGCAUGAGUGUUUUGCCACUUACGGAAUCCAAUCUCGGAGGGUGCCUCGCAUUCGCGACUCAACAAGAGAAAGAGAGGUACAAAGAUAUUUCCACGCGCAAAAUACUUCCAGCUAAGUAUAUUCAUUACCCGACUCUUGAAAAAUUGAAUGUUAAGGAUAAUUUUGAUUCUUUGAUAGAUAAGAUUGGGUUGCGUAAAUUUUUUGAUGUUGAUUGUUUGGGUUAUGUUGAGUUGAUUAGGGAGUUUUAUGCUACUUUUCAAUUUAAUAUGCCGAAUGAUUUUACUUUGCAUACCCUGGAUGUCAUUAAGUUUAGGUUAAUGGGAUGAAAUUUUUCACUCUAUCACGGAUUUUAACUAGCUUUAGGAUUCAUUGAUGAUGAUUAUUCUUCUAGUGAUGCAUAUUUAGGAACAACUUGUGACUUUAGCGAAAAUUUUGAGCCUUAUGGUCUUUGGCGUAAUUUAUCUGUUGAUCACAAUGCCUAUGACCCGAGCAAAUCAAAGAGUUCUUUCUAACGUGAUCCUGUUUUGAAAUGUGUGCAUCGAUUCUUAGCAUAUAAUUUUUUAGGCAAGAAAGAUCACUCAUGAGUUUUCUCUAAAACUGAAUUUUAUUUUAUCUGGUGCAUGUUAAAUGAUGUGAGGCCUAAUUUAGGUUUUUGGUUAGCGGAUCAAUUUCAAAGUGUGCUUAAACGGUAUAGGACUUUAUUUCUUGGUCCAUACAUUACUCUGUUAGCUAUAAACCUAUGUGUGCUUGAUCCCAAUAAUAAUGAUUUGCAUCCUGCUUGCAAAAAGGAAUUUUUUGAUAUGUCUGUGUUUGAAAGAACAGGUGUGGUCGAAUUCAAGGAGGGGAGAUUUCAAUUUACUGAACCAGGACCCACUCAAAUUCCAAAGAAGCUUUAUGCUAGGAGUGCUGCUACCUCUAAUGACGAGUUUGACGACGACACUGCUGCCCCGCCAACUAUUCCUUCUACAUCCGCACCACCUUUGAGCAUUCAGUUAGAGAAAAUGGAGCACAAGCUGAACAAGAUGGAGCAUAAUUUGGCCGCAUACUUCGAGAGUGUGGGAUUUACCCCACCAUUUCCGCCAAGCCCAUAAACGUUAUGUGGAUCAAAGCUCACAAUUCAGGGAAGUUUCUUUUUGCCUUUAAUCUUUUAUCCUUACGCUUUAAUUUUUAUGUGAGCUUUGAUUAUCUUACAUUAGGGACAAUGUAAGUUCUUGGUGUGGGGGAGGGAUUUUUGCAUUAUUGAUGUCUAGAAGUAGUAUUUUCACUCUACUCAUCCUUAAAUGAUUUUGGAGUUAGUAUGCUUCAUAUAUUAUUAUUUUUUUUCUUUUCUUUUCUUUCUCACUACUCUUUUCCCAUCUAUCUCAAAUUAUUUACAUCUAUUUUUAUUCUAUCAUGCUCUUUCAUCACUCACAUUUUAUCUUUCACUUUUCAUAUUACUACAUACAUCUUUCUCACUUCUUAUCAUUUUUACAUUUUUUUUUAUAUAUCACUCAUACCUUCUUCUCAUUCUACACCACUAUUGAUGGUUGAUUCAUUUGAAGAGUGUACAUGAUUUGAUGGCAAAUUUACCAACUUUGUGAGGAUUUGAGCCUAUGAGCAACCACUUUGCUCUAAUAUUUUUGUUAUGUGAAUAUCAAUCUUAGUUUGUUUAUUCUAGAACUUGCUUUGUUAUGCAUGUUGAAGCCGCAUUACGGGAUUUUAUGCAUUAAAAUGAUAAGGGCAAACCCUUUUCCAUUUUUCUAUUCUCGCAUUUUUUUUUUCUCUACCCGAAGACCUUUAUUUGCUAUCUUUGUUUGAGCCUUAACCAUUACCCAUCUAAUUUUCUCCGUCUACUUAACCAUUUUUCUUCUUUUUUAGCCUCAAUUUAAGGAGAUUUUUGGACUCAUUGUGUGGAUAUAUUUUGUUGCUUUUUCUACCUUGUAAUAAAGUUUCUCAAUUAGAUCAACAAGCAUUAUGCUUGAAUUAAAUUGUGCAAGGUUCGUUUCUUUUGUUUGAUUCAAAAACAACAAAAAAAAGAAAAAAAAUUGAAAAAAAAAGAGAAAAAAAAUGUUUACAUUCUUGGUGACUUGAGUAGAAAUAAGCAUUUUGAUAUCAUAAGUUCAUUCAAUGAGUUCAUUCUUCUCAUUUUGAUCUCUUUUUCUUUCGUAAACCUUUCUUUUUCAUUCAACCUAUUUAACCCCAUUACAACCCUUUUAAGACCCUUAGAUUUUUGCAUUUUAUUCAUGUUUUGUGGAUUGAGAUGUGAUAUAUGAGCAAGCUUAUGGUAAUAGCAUUCUUUGAUUUGAUUUGAGUGAAUAAAUGACACCUUAAACACUUUGAGUGCAUGGAGUGAAGUUAUUGAGAGGGCUAUUAAAUCUUGUUGCACUUGAAUUUUGAAUGGAUCUUCUUGGUGGUUGAAUGUUCUUAUUCUAUCUUAUGAAAUUCUAUGCUUUAAAAUCCUUGUCUCUCGAAUGUUGAUCGACUUAAUUUCUUGAGGUAUGCUUGCUUAAAAUUGUUUUUGGAUGAGUUGAGAUGAGAAUUGAGUGGAGAUUUGAGAUUAAUCUUGAGUUAUAUGCUUGAGGACAAGCAUCAUCUUGGUGUGGGGGAAUUUGUUAGAGUGCAAUUUAUGCACUAGUUUUGCAUUGUUUACUUCUUUUAAUAUCGAUGUUUUGCACUUAAUAAUAGUGAUUUACUUGUGUUUUACUUUUGUAGGUGCAAUUCUAUUGAUUAGUGAUAAAAUUGAGCUACAAGAUGAUGUUUAAGGAUGAUUGUUCUCUUGGAGAAAUUAUGAGCGGCAGAAGAACUUUGUUGAUAAGGCGUGGGCGCAUGCUGUCAACUGUAAACCUGCAGUUUUUAGUUUAACGUGUUUUGUAUUUUUGGUUAUUUUUGUAAUUACGGAUUUAAUAUUUCAGAUAUUAGUAUUUUAUUUUAAAUAGAAUUCUAGAGGAGAAGAGAGAGAGAGUAUUUAAGGGAGUAAUCUAUUGUGAAAAAGGGGGGAUUUUGAUUGGAGAAAAAGAAAGAAACCCUAGAUCUAAUUUUUCUCUUCUCUCUAUAAAGAACUAAACUUAUUUUUCUAGUUGAAGGUUAAUGAAGCUUUGAUUCAUCACUACUGUGAGAUCUUUCUUAUGCUUUAAUUAUUUUAUUACUUUUUGGGUAUUUGUUUAUUCUCUGAAUUAGUUUCAUGAUUAUGUUUGUUAAUUAGGUAAUUGGCCACUAUUUAAUUAUCAACUUAAUCUAUUGUCAAUUAAAGGAUUCAUCGUAUGAAGAUUUUAAUGUUUGUGACAAAUAACAUAGCAGAGAGUUGUGUUGUGAGAAUAAACAAUCUAAUUUAAAUGAAUCAUCAUAUGUGUUGAUUAGGAUUUGGGUCUCUCUGGUUUUUCAGGCUGUCAAUUGAUUAAUUCCUAUGAUCGUAUCUAGGGUUGUCUAUUGAUUAGGGAAAUAACCAACGGUCGUACCUUGGUUAUCGACUAGUUAAGGAGAGAUUGGCUAUUAGAGGGUCUCAAUAGCUAUAACCGGUCUAUUCAUAAGUAAUAAUAAUCUAUAUUUGAAUCAAUGAUCAGUAGUCGAAUCAAGCUGAGUUAAUUCCUUCAACCAGAGCUUUCUUCAAUUUGAAUUACAACUUUAAUUUGCAUUCUUGUUAUUUUAAUUUGAUUUUUAUUAUUGUCAACAAUUCCCCCAUUUUAUGUUUUGCGUUUCAAAAGGAUUUAAAUAAUUACCAAUCUCUGUGGACACGACCCUGCUCAAUCACUAUACACAAUUUAUUUAGAGUAGGAAUUUAUUUUUGUUGGCUUCAACAACCAUCAGGCAUUCCCUUCUUGAAGAAAGAAUGCAAAGAGCCCAAGAAAGCACUAUCCAUUAGACACGUUAAGAAUUAUUUUGCUUUUCAUUAAAAAUGAUAAUAAUUAUAAUAAAUUAGAUUGAAUUAAUAAUAUUUGCAUGUGGUAUAUAAAUAAUCAGUUUAGUCACUAAUUAGUCACUGUCCGAUUAUCUUCUCUUUCAUCGACUUCGAAACUGGGACUUCUGAGUUGGAUUAAGAAUUGAAAAAAAUGUUGCAACCCAUAAAGCGCGUAAAAUUAAUUAAAGGGCGCGUAAACUAAUUCUUCUUCUUAAAAGAAAAGUUUUGCAGGGAGAUUGAAAAAAGGCUAAUUCGUAUUGAAGAUCAUAAAUGAGUAUCUGUCACAAAUAGAUCCUUCUGGGCAAAAAUAUUAUUUUAUCAUCUAUCACUAUAAGAAUGAGAUGAAAAUUGUCCUCAUUUAAAGUAUUGACAACAAUGUUAUACUCAAUAUAAUGUAUAAAGCACGCAUAAUUUAAUAAUUGGGGCUGCUAAUAUCUUCCACGUAAUUGGAAGCUCAAAGAGUUUCCGUAUUAGCCGAAUCUAAGCGAUAAGUGUUUCCAUGUGAGCCAUAAUUUGGGAAAAAGACCAAUUCAAGUUAAAGAUCAUGGAAAGAGAUCCUUCUGUCUUUGGCGUAAUGCUUGGGCAACGUAAAUUGACUUUACAUUAAAACAAAACAAAACAAACACUGUCAACAAGCAUUAAUGUCAUUUGAUGCAUGAAAGACAAUUAGUCCCAUUUUUUGUCCUGUUUACUUGACUUGGGCAAUUUACCGUCAACUUUUCUCAUCUACGUCAGGUAAUGUGGCUUUUAUUUGGAAUGAAGAAGCCAAUACUUGGACCGAGUGUAGCAUCACUGAUUUGUAUAUUUUUCAGGACUAAGUAAAUUAUCUCAAUUUAAAAAAAUAUAUAAUUACAAUUAUCGAUCGAACACCACUGAUUCCAACAAUUUAUCCAAAACUAUCUUUGAGUUUUAAGGAAUGUAACAUUUAUGAUAGAAUGGUCAAGUCUUUCAACUUUUUAGAUAUUUGAUAUAUGCCAUGUUCUAACUUACAAUGAGAAUAAAAUUAUAGUAUAAUUUUUUUAAAUUAGUGGAAUUAUUUUACGAUAAAACUAUCACAACAACAUUUAAAUAUAAAGUUAUUCUUUAAUUUUUCACUACUUUUAGUGAUAUUCUUAAACUCUUUUCUGAAUGGAGCAUGAAAGGACUACUUAUCUAGAUACGUUUUUUAUGCUUUCACUUCGCUUGAGCCUAGAACUUACAACUCGUAUUUUACGUUUCUCUUACUUUCUCUUCCAUUUUCCCGACUCCCAAACACCAUCAAUCCUUGAUGUUGUAGAGUAUUGGCUGUCUAGUUCUACAAACAUAAUAAAGAAAACAAGAGACAGCUGCCAUAUAUAUUCCAUAUUAAUUAGUCACCGUCCGAUUGUUUCCACUCCCACUGACUCUGUCGAUUCAUGCUCUGAUGAAGUGAAACGCUUAACGCACUAUUGUGAUGCGGAGGAGAGGAGGAAAAACACAAUUUUAUUAUUGCAAUCCUGACACGCGCAAAGAGCUUUCUUACUCGGCUCGGCGGCUAAUUCUUUAUAAUUUGUUAAAACUCAUUUAAUUGAUGAAUGUGACAUGAAGCUCUAUAAAUAGUUUAAUUUGUAAAAUUGUUAAAAUUUUAAAUUUCAAGUAAAGUAGAUAAAAUUAUUAACGUUUUUCAAUAUUUAGAUAAUUGAUAUACGUCAUUUACUGUGAGCGAAUGGCUGAAAUUUUUCAUAGAAAACACAAUGCUUGUAUUAAAAAUUUUAAGUGCGAAUCCAUUUAUUGUAAUCAGAUGAUGUGAUUUAAUUAUUUUUUCCUUUUGCUUGAUGUCCUGAAAAUUAUGAAUGCUUUGCAGGAUGUGGAAUAUUAAAAUUUUUAAUGCAUAUUCAUAUUGAAAACUGAGUAAACAUAACAUUAUUGCUUCUAUAAAUAGAUCAUUUCAACUUAAAACCUGUUACUUGUAUUUUACAUUUCUGUUCCUUAUCAUAAAGUUUUUCUCUGUUUUUUUUUUUUUUGGGUUUCACUUUUUCUUCCACUUUCCCGACCCACAAACACCACCAAUCCUUGAUUCUUUUCCUAGAGUAUUAGCCGUCUAUUGUUACAAACAUAGACAUACUGUUUGUCUAAUUACUAUUAAGAAACAACAUACUCUGUUCUGGGGUCUCUUCGUUUACUGACUUAUGUGACACGUUAAGAAUUAUUUUGCUUUUCAUUAAAAAUGAUAAUGAAAGAAUGCAAAGAGCCCAAGAAAGUACUAUCCAUUAGACACGUUAAGAAUUAUUUUGCUUUUCACUAAAAAUGAUAAUAAUUUUAAUAAAUUGGAUUGAAUUAAUAAUAUUUGCCUGUGUGAUAUAAAUAAUCGCUUUAGUGUCGCCCCAUCAUUAAUGAGUGACUGUCCGAUUGUCUUCUCUUUCAUUGACUUUGAAACUGUGACUUCUGAGUUGGAUUAAGAAUUGACAAAAACUGUGACUUCUGAGUUGGAGAUCAAUAAUUUUGUAAACAAGCCACCGUCUACGACCGUGGGUUGAAAGGAAAGAGGAUUAUGUUUUCAUUGUUUUGUACUUUGUUUCUGUUAAAGUAAGGUAAACAUCUUUCUUUUGCUUUGGCCUUUACUCUUGACUGUAUUUCAUGGUCAUAUUCAAUCUCAAUCUUCUGUAGGUUUGUGGCUGUUUUAUGAGUUACGAUUUUUUAUAGGGUUGCAUGUAGAUGAUACAUUUAUAUACAUUUUUUCUUUUUUCUUUUCUUCUUCGGUGAAGAUACUAAAAUUUAGUUUUUGUUAUCAUGUGAAAUGAAAAUAGUCCUCAUUUCAAGGAUUAAUGGGCCACUAAUUUCGUCUUCUUAAAAGAAAAUUUUUUGCUGCGAGGUAAUUGGAAGCUCGAAGAUUUCUAUAUUACAUAGCCAAACCUAAGUGAUAAGAAUUUCCGUAUGAGAUAUAAUUUGGAGAAAAAAAAAAACCAAUUCAAGUUAAAGAUAAAAAAAUCUGUGUUCCUUAAAAAACAUAAUUCAAGCCACACAAUUUUUCUUGUUUUAUUUGAAAAAAAGAAAAUUGUGUUCCUCACAAAAACACUUUAACAUUUGUUGUCUCAUAGAGGGAAAUGUCCUUCACUCUUUGACGUGUCCCUGGGGCAAUGUAAACAUUAAAACAUUGUCAUGUAGUUAAAACAUUGUCCACAAACAUUGUCAUGUAGUUAAGAAAAAUUUAAAUUUGACAAGUGCAAGAGAUUGGUGGGACUCAUUUGAUUCAAGAAAAACAAUCAGUCUCAUUUGAUACGCAAAGGGCUUUUUUACUCUGCAGCCAAUAUUUUGAUGAAUGUCACAUUACUGGUUUGUAUAAUUUUUCGGACUAAUAUAUUAUCUCAAUUUUAAAAAAAAAAUGCAAUUGCGAUUAUCAAACACGACUAAUCCCAACAAUUUAUCCAAAAAUUUGAGUGUCAAGAAAUGUAGUAUUUAUGAUAGCAUGGCUAGUUUUUUCAAUCAAACUUUUUAGAUAAAUGAUAAAUCAAUAUAUGACAUGUUACUAUCUUACUAUAGGAAGAAAAUUAUGGAAUAAUUUUUUGAAUUAAUAGAAUUAUUUUACGACAAAACUUUCACAAUCUAUUUUUAAAAAUAAACUUAUUCUUUAAAUUUCUCGUUACUACUCCUACUUGUCCUGUUAUACUACUUAAUGGCACUGGUGAAGCCUUGAAUUAUCAAACAAAAAGCAAAAACACUUCAACAUCUGUUCCACUGAGCACUGUUAAAAUCAUACGAUAAAAUGAGUACUUAUGUUAAAAAAAAAAAAAAGAAAAACAAUCAGUCUCAUUGCGUCCUCUUUCAUUGACAUAGGCAAUUUGCGGUCAACUUGUGGUACCCUUAUUGACACAUAAAGAUCUUUCUUACACUACGGCCAACACUUACUUUCAGGACUGGUAAAUUUUUCAAAUGUAACAGAAAAAAAUACAGAAAUAUAAUUUCAAUUUAUCCAAAAAUUUGAGUUUCAAGGAAUAUAGCAUUUCUUAUGUGUCAUGUUAAUAUAGAGAAGAAAAUUUUAAAAUUUAUUUUUUGAUAAAAAAACUCACAAUCAUAUUUACAAAAAAAAAGUUUUAUUUAAAAAAAAUUCACUCCUCUUCCUACAUAAUUUAAGAAUUUAACAUUAUAAAUUAAGCUUUUUAAUCAAAGUAAUAAUCUCUCCUUCGGUGCGCAAAUGCUAAAAUUUAAUAUUAUAUCCGUUGACGAUAUUUGAUCCAAAUUCAGAGAAUAAAAAUUCUAACAGAAUUAUGAAAUUCGUUACUAGAAAUUUGUAUAAAAGUCACGAGAAUAGAAGGUUUGAUCAUAGGAAAUUAAUAUGUCCCUAUCCGAUGCAAAAAUGAUUAAAAAGAAAAACAAAAGUCAUGGGCUUAUUUAGAAAAAAGAAAAAAUUACAUUUCAGCUUAACGCAUGCCAGUCUUUUUCUCCUCUACUUUCUUAGAAAUUUUGGUUUCACUAUAAAUUCUUGGUAUAUAGCAAUCUUAAGAGUGUCUUGCAUUACCAAUCCAAUUAAGCACACACUUACAAUCUAAAAUACUCUCAUCUCAUGGAAAAGCGUCAUUCACUCAGCAUUAUGAGCAGAUUUCUCUUACUCCGUUGUUUGAUUCUUAUUUCCUUAUUUAUCGCAGCUGCAACAGCCAACACAAGUACUAUUACCACAGACCGAGAUGCUCUGCUUGCCCUGAAAGCUCACAUAACUCAUGAUCCAACCAAUUUCUUCGCCAAAAAUUGGAAUACAAGUACUCCGGUCUGCAACUGGACAGGCGUCACUUGUGAUGUCCAUAGCCAUAGAGUCACAGUUUUGAAUAUUUCUCGCUUAAAUCUCACCGGCACCAUCCCUUCUCAGCUUGGGAAUCUUUCUUCUCUGCAAUCACUCAAUCUCAGUUGUAACCGACUUUCUGGUUCCAUUCCCUCUGCCAUUUUCACCACGUACACACUGAAAUAUGUUAGUUUCCGUAAAAAUCAGCUCUCCGGCGCUUUUCCUUCUUUCGCCUUCAACACGUCCUCUUUACAAUAUCUUGAUUUUGGUUUCAAUACACUGUCUGGUGAAAUUCCUGCAAAUAUUUGCAGUAACCUUCCUUUUCUGGAAUACCUUGCUUUGUCCCAAAACAUGUUUCAUGGAGGAAUACCGUCCGCUCUAUCAAAUUGCGCAUAUUUGCAACGAUUAGGUUUGUCAAGCAAUGAUUUCUCGGGGGUCGUACCUAAAGAAAUCUGCAAUUUGACCAAACUUAAGGGAUUAUAUCUUGGCGGUAACAGACUCCAAGGUGAGAAUAAUCACGGAGUUUAAUUAUGAAAAUUGUUCCAUAAGUUGUGAUAUGAAUAAUGUUCCAUACGACAAUUUGCACGCGUUGAUUAAUUUGCAGGAGAAAUUCCUCGAGAGUCUGGCAAUCUUGCCGAAUUGGAGCUGAUGUCGUUAUCAGAAAACGAACUCCAAGGUAUGAUAAUGAACUUUUUGCAAUUUCAUUCUAGCCUCUGGUUGCUUCUGUAUUCAUUCGUUUGUUCGUCAAUUAUGCUCCAUGUUUUAUUGCUCAGUCUAGUGGAUAAUGUUCAGUCUCAGAAUUUAUAAUACCUUGAAGGUUAGUAGCUUUGAAAAUAAGAAACUGCUCAUCUGCUAAAAAGUUAACUUAGUAUUUAAGUUUUUGAAUUGAACAUUUUGAAAAAAGUCUUGAGAACUGGCCCUCCUUAGUAUUUCAGCUGAUAAAUAUGAAAAAUAGGCUAGAAGAAAUUAUUGCUGUGUGUGCUUAACUGCUUAUUCUACUUGGGCUUCUGGCUUGAUUACAUGGUCGAGCACUUACACCUGUUAUAAUAAUAGGCUUUUACUCUCACCACACGUUCGAUAAUUUCUUAACCUUCCCAAUUAGGUUAUAGCAAUUUAUAUAUAAAUAAUUAAAGCAUACUAAAGCUAGCAUACAAUACUCAUGACUUAGGCUUGCUGCGUUACCCAUUACACACGGUCGAACACUUACACCUGUUAUAAUAAUAAUAGCAUCCGCCGAUCGACUAUGAGUGAUCAAAUUGUUUGCACAUAUGUAAUUUGCAGGAGCAAUUCCACGGGAGUGGGGAAAUCUUACAGGAUUGGGGAUCUUACAGCUGUCUGAUAAUUUUUUAACCGGUAUCACUCCUUCAUCUAUCUACAAAUUGCUUUUCUCUAUUAAAUUUGGAACUGUCAUUUAAUAACUUAAUAGGUAACUUCCCUUACAACAUGUCUGUGUGACAUGUUUUGCUUCUCAAUUAAAAUAUUUCACUUCUCUCAUUAUAAAUUCUCAUAUGAGGAUGUGUUGUUAUUACUAUUUAACAUUAUCUCGUUUUUUAUUAGAAAUUAAUUUGUGUUUAUGCAAAAAAAAUUGAGCAUUUAAAAAAAGUAUAAAAACACGUGGAAUAAAUCGAAAAUCUUUCUUCAUUCGUGAAUUUGGAUUUCUAAAAAAUUAUCAUGACAGCUAUGUUAGUGUCUUACUAAUGAUAUGCAUGUGUGACAGCUUCAUAAAUUAUUUUACAUGGAAAAUAUGAAAAAUAGACUUGAAAAAAAAAUUAUUUUACUGAAAUAAUAGUUAAAAAGGGAGGAGAAGUACAGUACUCAUGAAUUAGGCUUGCUGUGUACUUAUUUUACUUGGGCUUCGGGCUUGAUUACACACGGUUGAAUAUUUACAUCCCCCGACAUAGGCUUUUAGGGAUGAGUGGCGUCAAAUGUGUAUCUGCUUUUAUGUAUUAUUAUUCUUUGAAACAAAUCUGAUUAUAAUUCUUUUAAAAUACAGAUUAAAUAGCACGUGAAAUCGGAAAAUAUUUUACUGCGAUAAGAAUUCAUAUAUUCAUUGUACUAGCACAUAUAAAAUAGACUAUAAAUUUAGUUCCAAAAUACAUUCUUAUCUUCAUAUAAAUUUUACAUUAUUAAUUUAAAUUAAUAUUAAAAUAUAUUGUUUCUUUCACUAUGUUAUUUUAUUUACACAAUGAUGUGACAAUUGGAAUGAAUAAUACUUAUAAUUAUUUUGUAAAAAUAUAAAUUUAAUACUUUGUUAACAUUUUAUCUACAUAUAAUAAUUAAACUGAAACUUGUAUUUAAAAAAUUCUAGUUACGCAUAUUCAUUUCAUGACAUAAAAGUGUAUAUUUAUGCUAAUUUACCAUUAUCAACAAAAUGCUUUGAGAGACAAAUAAUCUAAUUUAUAUUUUUAUAUUUAAAAUACUUGCAUUUAUUAUAUUUUGAAAAAAAUUUAUUUGCAAUUAUUUUAAACCGUUGGAUUCAAAUUUUCGUAGCUAUUAAAGUCAAAGGGUAUAAAUGUAUAAUAGUCAAAAACAGAUUUGUAUGAUCAUUUUUCAAUGUAUAAAUUUUCUUAGUUAGUAGGAAAAUUAGAAAUUGUUGAUUUACUCAUAAAUAAAUUUCAUGUUUAGCAUUUCAAUUUUGGAAAACUUGAGCUAAACGUUGAUAACUUCGAAUCGGUCGAGCCGAGUUUCGCUUCCUUGACCCACGGACCCAUUGAAAGUUCUAUUUGAAUUGAGUUUCCCGGUGCUUAUAAAAACCAUUUCUUUUCCUUGUCGCAGUAAUUUAUUCACAAAUGAGUUGAUUAGCAUCAAAGUUACCUGAGAGUCUGAGACCAUGCUAGUAGGAGAAAUUUGAAAAGAAAUUAUUUUACUAAAUUAAUUUAUUUUAUCUUGUUGUAACUGAAAUACUACUUUUUUUUUUGGGCUGUCACUUGGGCUUGAUUUACUUUAAUAGUAGCAGCCACCGACUUAGGCGUUUUUUACUUCUCACCACACAAUUUGAUCUUUUAAUUCGUUUUAACCACAUAAUCUAUCUAUUUCUCACCUAUUGCUUACUUAAAUCGCAUACAUAUUUUACCUACAAAUGUUUAUAAAUAUUAGUCAAAUAUAUUUUAUUACGUUUCUCUCGUAACUGCUCCAAAUGUGUACUAUUAAUACUUAACCCUCCCUUUUAAUUUACCGUGCAAUCUAUCUAUCACUUAAAUCACAUAUAUAUUUUACCUAUAUUUUACCCCAAAAAAUAUAAAAAUAAAAGAAAAAGAAUAUGUGUAGCAAUUUGCAUAUAACUAACAAAGCAUUGACGGUGUGUAGCCUUUCAAUACUUCACGAGUGGCUUUUCUUGUGUGUUAGUACUUGUAAUAAUUGUGUAGUGUAUAAAUGACAUUUUAUUAUUAAAGUGCGUCCAUUUUUAUAUAUUACUUAUUAUUUGAAAAAUAAUCUGAAUAUAAUUCUUUUAAAAUACAGGGGAGAUACCACUUGAAAUUGGUAAUCUCCAAAAUCUGGAGGAGUUGGAGCUUGGUCAAAACAAAUUAAUUGGUACUGUCCCAGUUGCAAUCUUUAAUGUGUCAACACUCAGAUUUCUUGAUUUUCAAGAUAAUUCUCUCUCGGGAAGUCUUUCGUCCAUCGCAGACGUCCGACUACUAAAUCUUCAAGAGCUUCUUUUGUGGGGUAAUAAGUUUAGUGGCACAAUUCCUCGUUUCAUCUUUAAUGCUUCUAAGCUCUCUAUACUAGAUUUGCAAGACAAUUCAUUCUCCAGUUUUAUUCCCAACACAUUUGGCAACUUAAGAAACCUUCAGCGGCUGAGAUUAUAUGAUAAUUAUUUGACAUCUUCAACUCCAGAAUUGAGCUUUCUAUCCUCGUUGUCAAAUUGCAAGUCUUUAACACAUCUUUCCUUAUCAAAUAAUCCACUAGAUGGCAUUCUUCAAAGGACGUCUGUUGGUAAUCUAUCUCAUUCUUUGAAAGAAUUUUACAUGUCCAAUUGUAAUGUUAGUGGCGGCAUCCCUGAAGAGAUCACCAACUUGACCAACUUGACAACCAUUUAUUUAGGGGGCAAUAAAUUGAAUGGAUCAAUUCCGAUUACUCUCGGCAAAUUACAGAAGCUUCAAGGUUUGGGUCUUGAAGAUAACAAAUUACAAGGAUCAAUCCCAGACAAUAUUUUUCGUUUGACUGAACUGUAUGAGUUGGAGUUGGGUGGCAAUAAGCUUUCUGGAUCAAUCCCUGCAUGCUUCAAUAAUCUGGCUUCUCUGAGGAUACUGUCGUUGGGUUCCAAUGAGUUAACUUCUAUUCCCUUAACUUUUUGGAACCUUAAGGAUAUCUUGCAACUCAACUGUUCAUCAAAUUUUUUGACUGGCCCACUCCCAUCGGAGAUUGGAAAUUUGAAGGUUUUGGUUAUAAUUGAUUUUUCGAUGAAUAAUUUUUCAGGCGUUAUCCCAACAGAAAUUGGAGGCCUAAAAAAUCUAGAAUAUCUCUUCUUAGGAUAUAACAGAUUGCAAGGAUCAAUUCCUAAUUCAUUUGGUGACUUGAUAAGUUUGAAAUCCUUGAAUUUGUCUAAUAAUAAUCUCUCUGGAGCUAUUCCUGCAUCUUUAGAGAAACUCUCAUAUCUUGAAGAUCUAAAUCUUUCUUUCAACAAGCUGGAAGGAGAAAUUCCUACGGGAGGAUCUUUUGGAAACUUCUCAGCUGAAUCAUUUGAGGGAAAUGAAUUAUUAUAUGGUACACCCAAUUUACAAGUCCCGCCAUGCAAAACUAGCAUCCACCGCACAUCAUGGAAAAAUUCUCUUCUCCUCAGGAUUGUCUUGCCAUUGAGUACUACAUUUAUGAUAGUAGUCAUUUUGUUGAUCCUAAGAUAUCGACAGAGAGGAAAACGGCCAUCGAAUGAUGCUAGUAUGCCACUAGUAGCAAUGUGGAGAACGUUUUCAUACCUAGAACUCUGUCGAGCAACAGACGAAUUCAGUGAAAACAAUCUAAUCGGCACAGGGGGUUUUGGCUCUGUUUAUAAGGCGAGACUUGGGGAUGGGAUGGAGGUUGCAGUGAAAGUUUUCAAUUUGCAAUGUGGAAGAGCGUUCAAGAGUUUCGAUGUUGAAUGUGAAAUGAUGAAAAGUAUUCGUCAUCGAAACCUUAUCAAAGUUAUUAGCAGUUGUUCAAAUGAAGAGUUUAAAGCGUUGGUAUUAGAAUACAUGCCUCAUGGAAGUUUGGAGAAGUAUCUGUAUUCAAGUAACUGCAUUUUGGAUAUUUUUCAAAGAUUGAACAUAAUGAUAGAUGUUGCAUCAGCUUUGGAAUAUCUGCACUUUGGUUAUUCAGCUCCAAUAAUUCAUUGUGACUUAAAGCCCAACAAUGUAUUAUUAGACGAUAAUAUGGUUGCUCAUUUGAGUGAUUUUAGCAUCGCAAAAUUGUUGGCUGGAGAAGAUCAAUCUAUGACUCAAACACAAACAUUUGCCACAAUAGGCUAUAUGGCACCAGGUUUGUCAAUAUAAAAAUUUUCUAUUUCUUGUAAACUUCCUAAUAAGUUAUUUACGUUUCAUGAUCUUCAUUAGAUGAGGAAAUUCUUAUUAAUGAUAUAUCUUACUAUGUAACUAUUGCAAUUCAUAGAGUAUGGAAGAGAAGGACGAGUAUCCGCAAAUGGAGAUGUUUAUAGCUUUGGGAUUAUGUUAAUGGAAACUUUUACUAGGAAGAAACCCACAGAUGAAAUUUUUAACGGAGAAAUGACAUUAAAGCAUUGGGUUAAUGAUUGGCUUCCCAUUUCCACUAUGGAAGUUGUUGAUGCUAAUUUACUAAGUCAGGAGGACAUACAUUUUGUCGCAAAAGAGCAAUGUGUGUCAUUUGUCUUCAAUUUGGCUAUGGCGUGCACUGGGGAAUCUCCUGAGCAGAGAAUCAAUGCAAAAGAAAUUGUGAAAAAGCUCUUAAAAAUUAGAGACUCAUUACUUAGAAAUGUUGGAGGCAGAUGUAUAAGACAAUCAAAUUUAAAUUGAUUUUGCCCCUCCUUCAUUGCUUGCUAUCCUUUUCAGAGACUUGAACGGUUAUCCUUCAUACAAGUUUUUUUGAUAUGUUUUGUUAUUGCUCUUGCUCAUGUUUAUUUCUCUCUUUCUUUAAUUUGCAUGCAUGUAUUUUUUCAUGCUCUUUUCUGUUUUUGUUGAUUUGUAUGUAGUUUGUUUUUAGGGGUAAGGUUGAUUAUGUCCUCCCCUAAUUAGACGUAUCCUUUUUUUUUUAUUCAAUAAAGCUUCUCUAAUACUAUCGAGGUUCAUCAAAAGACAAUUUUAAAUUAAUUUUCUUUUCUAUGUUAGAUAAUGAAAUUCUAAUCUUCUUAGUGAAUAACUUCAAUAAUAGAGUGUAAGAGUAUUAGUAGUUAUGGUAGUUUUCUGAACCUGGAGUCAAGACCAAUUUAACAGCAACAAACAAGUCUCUUGUAUUAUAGGCAAAAUUCUUUUCAUUAAUCUUAUUUGUCUACAUGUUCUCCUAUUUUCUCCAUUAAUCUUCGCUCAAGGUUUCAUGCUUCCUCUUUGAUAAAGGAAAAUAUUACUUGCGAAUAUUUCAAUUUGACAUAAGAGACUGUUUUGCCAACCAUUUGAUAAAAUGGAUAUGACUGGAGCUUUCAAUCAUUGCCUCCACCAAAAUCCUUACAACGCCACUUUUAAAUUUUAUUUUUUAAAAUACAUUCAGUUUAAUUUAUAAAAAAUAAAUCCAUUUGUUAAAAUUAAUCUUUUUCUCAUAAAUUUCAACCUAAAAAAUAUAUUUCUUUUAAAUUUUUAAUUAUAAAAUACAUACAAAUUCUAAAUUAUUUUAUUAUUUUCUUCCUAUUAUAUAGUUUAUAUCUCCAUAACUCUAAACUCCUAUAAUUUUUAAAAAAUAUUUUUUAAUUUAAAAUAUAAAUAUAAAAUAUAGAAUGGAGUGAGUAUAAAAAAACUUGUUAAAAGAAUAAUGCAUUUAAGUAUUUAACUGAAUUUUAAAUUAAAAUAAGAAAUAAAUUAAUUUAUUUUUAUUAGUUAAGUAAUUUUCAAUUGAAAAAGAGCUUUUAGUAACAUUAUUGAAAUAUGAUUAAAAUUCUAUGAAUUAAACAUUUUCGUAUAAGUACUAGUGAUAAUUACAGAGAAAGUACGAUGAAGUGAAAAAACUUAAAUAUAAAUACUCUAGUAUAAUUUUACACAUGCAACUUAUGAACCAGUGAUCUGUAGAGCAUCAUAAAAUUGUUUUAACACAAUUAAUUGGUUUGAAAAAUUGCCAAUAAUGUCUACAGUGGGAUUUAAAAGAUUAAACUACAUAUAUAAGACAUGAUAUCAUUUAAGACGGCUUACAGAUUAUGAGAAAUAUUUUGAUCUUCCAAAUAUUUAAUAUGUCAAUUAGACUGAGUCUAUACAAUGAAAAUUUCAAAUAAAAAAUAAACCCUUUAUUUUCUUUUAAUCAAAAGUGUGAUCUUAAUUAUUAAAGUCAUUUAAUGUCCAUUACUUAUUCAUUUUUUUAAUUACCUAAAUGACAUUGAAAACUCUACCCAAUAUUAAUUCAUUCAAAUGUUUUGUUUUAAGGUAAUCGGAAACUGCAAAUGAAACAAAUGCUUGAAAUCACAAACGGCCUAAAAUUAGAUUUUCAUUUUUCAAUGUUGCAGUGACUUUGAUCUUGAUAUUGAAAUUUUAUUUGUAACUUAUAUAAAGGCCUCAAUUUUAUCAUAAUUGGUUAGUAAGGCUACGUAGGGAGCAUCGAUAAAUUUUGGGAUUGGAUUAUAUUUUUGGAACUAAAAAAUUAAUUUCAUCCAAUGUUAUGUUUGGCUGUUAGGACUAGCAACUUAGUCUAAAAUUAUUGAAAUUAUUGAUGUUUUAUAUUAUAAUCUUUUCAUUACCACUUUAAACAUUAUUGGUAACUUAAAUCAUUUUUUAAAUUAAAUAUAAAUUUUAAUUUAAUUAAUUAUAAAAAUUAAUUUAAUUAAAUAUAAAAAUCAUUUAAAUUAAAUAUUAACAUUAAUUUCAUAAUUUUUUACCUAGAAUUUUAUAUUAUAUUAAAUACUAAAAUUCUAUUCGAUAAUGUACUAUCAUUUAUUUAAUAAAUGUUUAGUAUGUUAUAUUAUUAUUUAAAUUAAUUUUUUAUUUACAUAUAAACAUAAAUUAAUAUUUACUAAUUAAAGUUAUUAUAAUUUGUUAAAUAAUAAAAGCUAAAUGAUUAUAUUGAAAAUAUAAAUAGUAUUCUAAUGUAUUAUAGUCUAAAUCUUACCCCUAUGAGUUUAUUUUAUACACCUUUUAUUAUAUUAACCACAUUUAUAAUGCAGUGCAAUGUAACAAAAAAUUAUAACCAAAUAUGAGUUAGCAUGAAAAUAAUAUUUUAGUGCAAUAUAAUACAAUGUAAUGUAAGCUAACAAAUGGAUAUUUAAUGGAAGCAAAAAUUGCAUAUGACUUGUGGGUCUCUUAAAAGACAACAAAAAAACCAAUAUGAUACAUUGAUUCUGUCCUCUUUAAUGGUGUCUUUACUAAAUGGGAAUAAGAAUAAGUUAGAAUUGGAGUGAGCUUGAAUCGAAAUAAGGAAUUAUAAUCAAAAUAAGUUGUUUAUUUAAGUUGUAUGAAUUAGAAUCAAAAUAAAUUUUAUUCAAAUUGAUGUGUUUAUUUUCUAUUGAAAUUAGAAUGGACUAUUACAAGUUGCUAAAAAACCAUUUGGUAAUUGUUGUCUCUAGUAUUAUUUGUAUAUGUUAUAAUGGUAACAAUAAUAAGAAUAAAAAUAGUACUAAAAAUGAAAAUAAUAAUAAUAGUAGAGACAAUAAUAAUAAAAUUAAUAAAUUAUUAUUAUUAUUAUUAUUAUUAUUAUUAUUAUUACUACUACUACUACUACUACUACUACUACUACUACUACUACUACUACUACUACUACUACUACUACUACUACUACUACUACUACUACUACUACUACUACUACUACUACUACUGAAGAUCGCUCGGUGAAGAUUGGAUAGUGAAGAUGAAGACGACGAAGAUCCCGGCAACCAACUGCUGUUCCAAAGAUGAUGUGCCCAAAUGGAGACAACCAAUGAUGACUAGCCAACUAGAUCCCAAUCUCGAUGUUGUGAUCUCGUAUGACCACAGAUAAAGCUAUGUGUGAUGUUGGCGUUAUGAUUUCUUUUUUAUUUAUAUUUUUUAAUUUAUUAGUGGUAUUUUCAAAUUUUUGUAAUUUUAAUAUGGACAAAUUGGAUAGUCCAGUAAACAGGAGACUGAUUCGCAACCAUCCUAAGAAUUAGGGCCCGUUUGGUAUCAUUUUCAAGGGCUUAUUUUCAUUUUCGUUUUUGGAGUUUAAAUGUAAUACCCGUUUGGUACGCUGAAUUCAAAAAUAAACUGUAAAACAAAUAAUUCAGAUUUCCAUUUACAGUUAUAAAAUUGAGAACGUGUUUAACACGUUCUCAGUGAAUCACAAACCAAAUUUUAGAAUAAAUCGCAAAACAAAACCCGAUCAAAAUACACCUUUCUCUCAUCUCUCUCAUCCACAGCUCUCUUUCUCUUCGUGACAGUUCUCCAACCAAAAUCAGCUACUGUUACUGCGUCUCAGCUCCAUCUCGACUAGUGGUGGUGGUGGUGGUGCGUCUCUGCUCUGCUUCGGCCAUGGUGGAUCGACUGAUACUGCUGUAUCUCUGUUGAGGAUUGAUUGGUGCUGCUGCUGUUGCGUCUCGGCUCCGUCCCGACUGGUGGUGGUGCGGCCGUUGCUGCUGCAUCUCUGCUCUGCUUUAGGGAGGGCUUAAUUUCAUUUUCUGCUUAACCGAUCGAAUCUAUUUUUCGUUUUGAAUGAUUGCUCGAAGCAUGCCUUCGAUUUUGCAUUUAAUUGGGCAAACAAAACAAAAAAAAAAAUUUAUGGAUUCAUUCGUCAUUUUCACAUGGAUUGAGAUUGACCAUUACAUUUCUUAUUAUUUGUUGGCAGUACAUUAUAAUGAUGACACAUAUAUAAAUCAUAUAAUUAACAUUAUAUUAAUAAUAAAUUUAUACCUAAUAAUAAUAUUGAUACCAAUUAACAUUUUAUAUCAAUUUUUAAAAAUUUUAAAAUUAACAAUUUUUGGGCAAACUAACAAUUGUUAAAAAAAGAACAAAAAGUUACUGAUUAGAUAGAGUUGCUUAAUGCGCAUGGUGUGUUUGUGUAUGUAUUAGUUAAAUUUUUUAGUAAAAAUUAUUUCUGAAAAAAAUAUUACCAAACGCAUAUUUUCUGUUUUUAUCAUUUUCAAUUGUGUCUACCAAACGCAUAUUACUGUUUUCAAUUUUAAAAUAUAGGAUAUAGAAAAUGAUACCAAACGCAUAUUUAAAUUCGAAAUACAGUAACUGUUUCGUUUUUAUUCUCAGAAAAUACAGAUUCAAAAACAAUACCAAACAUGCCCUUAGUCUCUCAUUUUCUAUUUCUAAUUUGAUGUGAGUUCUACUAUUUCGAUUCCAAUUCUUACAUUUAUUUGUGAGACAAAACUAUGGUGCAACUGUAGACUGUAGUACCAUUGGAUCCAGCCACAAUAUCAUCAUGACUGGAUCUAAUGGCUGAAACCUGAAAGUAAUUGUGGUAUGGUACCACAGUUGCACCAUAGUUGAACCUUUAUUUGUGAAGUAAAAUGAUGUUAAUAAUUUCGAUUUUCAAUUCGAGAAGUAAACACAUCAUAAUAUUUUUUUAGAUGCUUCCAUGGCAUAAUCUCAUUGGUCCAUUUUUCUUCACGCCUUAGAUUCAACUUCAAGAUUCAAGAUUCAAUUUGAAGCAAACACAACUGCAAAACAAAUAUAAUAAGCGUUAAUAAGCCUGCGGCUGACUGGCUGUGGCCAAGCAAAUGUAACAUAUAGUGACCGAAUCAUAUCUUAUUAUCUUACGCCUGAAGCAAAACAAUGUUCCCAUUCCACGUGUCACUCUUUGACCAAUCCCCGAACUUUCUUCAUAUUUCCAAAGAAACCCUUACAAAGUCAAGAUAAUUACCUUCACUCUACUCAUCCUUACGGUCUUCAUUUAAAAGGAAAAAUUAUAAAAAAUUCUCCUCAUUCCUUAAAAAUCUAGGGUUUCUCAAGAAUCGCUAAACAUAUAUCCCAAUCAUUCAAAAUCUCAAUUUAACCUCUCUAGGGUUUUGAUUGUCGAGGAUUCGCUUGAAAAUUUAGUAUUUUUUAGUGGAUUUUGCUUGUCUCGUAUGCUUCAAUUGUUGUUCGGUUCUGAAAAUAAUUUGGAAUUUUAGGGAUUUUCAGAUUAUUUAGUUUUUUUUAGUGCAAUUUCCUCUAGUUACGGUUUCAGUUUGAAGGGUUAAGUGCAAUUUCGAAUUUUUUUAUAAAAUUAAAAUUAAAAUUCCUAAAACGAUUGGGCGCUUAAUAAUUAAUUGAUGGCUAGCGAUACUACAACUGCGGCCGCAGCUGCGGAAGAAGCAGAGGCGAUGGAGGAGUAUGAUAGCAAUCCAAAUGAAGUGAAACGCUCUCUUGUGAUGCGCAGAAGGGAUGCCAGCGAUGAGGAGGAGGCGGAGGAUGAGAGAGAUUCAGAGCUUCCAAUCGCUCAAAGUGUCUACAUUCCUGCGGGAGAAGCGGAGGCUGUGGAUGAGUAUGAGAGCGAUCCAGAUGAAGUGAAACACUCUCUCGUUAUGAGCAUAAGGGAAACAAGCGAUGAUGAGGAGGAGUGGACAGAAUUUGAGCGUCGAAUAAAUUGAAGGGUCCAGAUUCACUCUUACAUUGAAUCUGAUGGCCUAAGUGGUGCUCCAGCUGAGUAUGAUGAUGAUGAAGAGGACGAAGAGGAACAUGACAGAGAAUUAGAAGAAGAAGAUGAAGAAGGGGAUGUUUAUGAGUAUGAAGAGGAAGACGAGUUUUAUGAAGAAGUGGAGAGGAAUGACGAGGCGGUUAAAGUCAAAGAAACAGAGGGUAAUGAUGCAAGAGGAGUACAGAGGGCGCAGUGGAAGUGAGUAAAGGGAAUUAUGAUAAUGGCAAUGGUGCUAAAACAAUGAUGCAGCGAAGGAGGGAAUGGAGGAAGGGGAGAAGGAGAGUAAUGAGCCUUUUGCACAGCAGCCGGGGCUUUUUAUAUGGGACAAUGUUGCAGGUCGACACAGGUAUUAUUUGAUUUGAGUCAUCUAUAAAUAACUGAUAGCUGUACUUUCAUUAGGCUUGUCGAUUAGUCUAGUCUCGUUUUUUGGUGCUGUCUAAUGAUUGUUUGCUGGAAUCUGUGUAGAAGGCUUUUGGCGUAGUAGGUUGAAAGGAGAGAAAGUUCUCAAGUAAACAUCUGUGCUUUGUGGAAUAUAAUUAAUAGGGACAAAGUAUACUAAAUUACUUGAUAGAUAGAUGCCGAGCUAAUCAUGAGCUAUGAUAGCAUUAUCCGUGCUUUGUGUAUUUUUAUUAGGGCUUGUCUAUUUCAAAGCGUGGAGUAUAGAAUUUUUGGGUUAAGUUUGAGUGAUGAAGUGUUAGAUAGGUUUCUGUUUUGCAUAGUUAAGCCGUCAAUACGAGCUAUCGAAGCAAAUAUGGAGUAGGAUAUCUAGUUUUGGCUUUGGUCUUAGUUUGAAGAUGGCUACUGAUUAUGCAGCUAGGUACGUAUUAGUGUUUGUGGAUUUCUAAAUGCUUUCUUUUAAAUUUGACUAGAUUAUUACUAGAAGUGCAUGGAUCUUACACUUAAUUAAUUAUAUAUCCAUUUGUAAUGUUCAAAAUGAUAAUGUACUAUUGCUUGAAAUUAUGCUUUCAAGACAUCAUUUUGAAAAUCCAUGGUUAUAAUGUGUCUCUAAAUUCAGUAAUACAAGUUCUAUCAAUUGCUGUUGGAUGCAGUGACCUGAAUAGUUUAAUAUUCAUUUGCAGAAGAGUUGAGAAAGAAAACUAAAAAUUUCGGUGCGUUCUGCUGGAAAUUUAAUUAGCUUCAUUUGAGCAUUAAUUACCGGCAUGAUCUCUUAGACUUCUCAUUGCAUUGAAUGAAUGGAUGAGUGCUAAUCCAUGCAAAGACUUCCAUGCAUGCACAAUGAAUGCUACAUCAAAGGUAUGGGAAAAUGUCAGCAAGCUUGGCCCAAAUUAUCUAGCUGGUUUGGUGGCUGCUAGAUUUGUUCAUCCGGAUUUUGGACCAUUUUCCUUGACAAUGAGAAAAGCUCCAAGAUCUGUAAAUCAAAAACUCAUUGAAGUGCCAAAAGAGAGAUGGAAGUGAAUAACUAGAGAGUUAGUGAAAAGAGGGUGCAGUGAUUGUGUGGGAAUCUUUGGGUAUAAUUGGGGUUUGGAUGUGAGAUAAAAUAUUUUGAGAGUGAGGUUGUAACAAUUUUUCACGUAGGGAAAUUUUUUAUCUCGUUGUCCUUGGCAACUGUGGUUUUUUAUUUGGGUAAUAGAGUUUUUCAGGUAACUUUUUUGUUGUGUGAUCUGAGUAUUCUCUAUUGUAUUUCUUUUAUUUGUUAUUUAUUUGAUGUAUUGCUAGCAGAGAUCUUGGGUGGGAACCAAAAAUUCCCAACAAUUGUCAGUUGUUUUAAACGCUAUUCCGAACAGAGCAUGAAGGGAUUCACUUAUCUAAUUAUGUCAUUUAUGCUUUAACUUCACUUCAUUUCAUCUUGUCCGUCACCUUUACUAAAGUUGUGUAUGUUUGAGUAUUAGGUUCAUCACAAGGAUCAUAUUAUGUUUGAGUAUUUGGAUUCAAGACUGUUAUAAGGUUGUUACAGAUGCAAUGCUGUUGCUGUGUAACUGUAUGCCAUGCUCGCAAGUGCGCUGUAACAGAUUGCUCAGCUGGCACCGGAUAUUUUAAGCUAAUUUUGGUAAUUAGUCUAGAGUGUUCUGAUUUAUUCUAUAAAUAGCUCAUUUGAGCGUAGAACCUUUAAGGUGUAUCGUACAUCUCUGUUACUUCUAAUAAAGGAUUUCUUUAUUCCUUUUUCUUUCGCUUUCUCUUUCAUUUUCAUGAUCCCCAAACACCAUCAAACAUAGAAUUGCUGUUUUAAGAAACAAAGUACUCUAUCCUGUCACCCAGCGGUCUCCUCGUUUAUCGACUUGUGAACAGGGCUAAAUAAAGGGCAAAGAUAUUAGGCAAAUGGACAUAACGUGACAAGUUCUUGAAUUGAAUGGCUCCUCAUUUCUUCAUAAAUCUUUGCUUAAUUUUUUUUGUUCCCUCAACCUUUUUUGACCUUUUGCGCUAAAAUUCUUUUUUUUAUACAUUAUGCAAAAAUUGAUGAAAAUGAGUUACUUUAGAACAUCAAUAAAUUUUUAUUACAUGAUAAGACAAUAUCAAUAAAUUUUUAUUACAUGAUAAGACAAUUAUACUUAGAUUACUCUUAUUUAGUUGAAUUAUAUGUAAUAAAAUUAGUUUAACAAAAUUUAACCCGCAAAUAUUCCUCAUCAUAUGAUUAACGUACUUAAAAAAUCAUAACUGAUCGGCCGCUUGUUUUACUAUAAAAGAUUGGUGUGAUUUAAUUAUUUUUCUUUUUGCUUGGUGACUGUAAAAUUAUGAAUACUUUGGUAAAUAAGAUAAUUAUAAACACCAUUUUGAAAAUCCAUGGCCAUGGUUGUGAUGUGUCUUUAUCAAUCACGGAUACAAAAAUUAAUCAAAAUUAUCGAUUGUUUUAAAUUCUGUUUUUAACAGAGCAUGAAGAUGUCGCUUAUCUAGAUUUACUUUUUAUGCUUUGACUUCACUUAAUACAGCUUCUUCCUCCUUUAACUGUAUGCCAAAUGAUUACUACCAAAUUAAUUUCACAAAUUAAUAAGCUAACCUAAUUAAUUUGCAGCAAGGUAAUUGGAAGCUCAGAGAGUCUGUAUUAGCCGACUCUAAGCGAUAAGUGUUUCCAUGUGAGCCAUAAUUUGGGAAAAAGACCAAUUCAAGUUAAAGAUCAGAAAAGUCUGUCCCGCACGAAUACAAUAAUUCGAGCCACACAUUCAUCAAACGCUUGCAUUGCAAAUACACUUCAACAUGUUGUCUCAUAGGGAGAAAUCCUUCACUCUUUGACGUAAUGCUUGGGCAACGUAAAUUAGUCCCAUUUUUUGAUGCAUGAGAGAUAAUUAGUCCCAUUUUUGUCCUGUUUACUUGACUUGGGCUAUUUGCCGUCAACUCUUCUCAUCUACGUAGGUAAUGUGUCUUUUAUUUGGCAUGAAAAAGCCAAUACUUGCACGAGUGUAGCAUCACUGAUUUGUGUAAUUUUCAGGACUGGUAAAUUAUCUUAAUUUAAAAAAAAUAUAUAAUUACAAUUAUCGAUCGAACACCACUAAUUCCAACAAUUUAUCCAAAAAUAUCUUUGAGUUUCAAGGAAUUAAUGUAGCACGAAUGGCCAAGUUUUUCAACUUUUUCGAUAUUUGAUAUAUGUCAUGUUCUAACUUAGUACGAGAAGAAAAUUAUAGAAUAAACUUUUUAAAAAAUUAGUGGAAUUAUUUUUCGAUAAAAUUAUCACAAUCACAUUUAAAAAUAUUCUUUAGAUUUUCACUAUUUCUACUGUUAUUCUUUAAACUCUUUUCUGAACAGAGCAUGGAGGGUCACUUAUCUAAAUAUGUUUUGUGUGCUUUCACUUCACUUGAUUCAUCUUGUCCCUCUUUUAUAGCUUCUAUCUCGUGUGAGCUUUGAACCUGCAACUCGUAUUUUACGUUUCUAUUACUUUCUCUUUCAUUUUCCCGACUCCCAAACACCAUCAAUCCUUGAUGUUAUAGAGUAUUAGCUGUCUAUUUGUACAAACAUAGAGCUACUGUUCGUACUUUAGAUCUUCAGAUGGUUAGCUAACUAUUGUUUGAAUAUUAAAAUUAAUUUGUUAAAUAAAUGAAGAAAACAAGAGACAAUUACCAUUCAUAUUCCAUAUUAAUUAGUCACUGUCCGAUUGUCUCCGCUUCCAUUGAAUCUGUUGAUUCAUGCUUUCAUGAAGUGAAACGCUUAACACUCUGUUCUGAUCCGCAGGAGAGGAGGAAAAACACAAUUUUAUUAUUUCAUUCCUGACACGGGCAAAGAGCUUUCUUAGCCGGCUCGGCAGCUAAUUCCUUAAAAUUUGUUAAAUUUCAUUUAAUUGAUGAAUGUGACAUGAAGCUCUAUAAAUAGUUUAAUUUGUAGAAUUGUUAAAAAUUUAAAUUUCAAGUAAGGUAGAUAAAAUGAUUAAUGUUUUUCAAUAUUUAGUAAUGAACAUGUGUCGUGUUACUAUGAGUGAAUGAAUGAAAUUUUUGAUAGAAAAUACAAUGCUAGUAUUAAAAAUUUUAAGUGCGAAUCCAUUUAGUGUACGUUAUCCAUAAAAGCAAUUGCGAGUCUUGUUUCCCAUUUUGUUUAAUUUUCAUAAAUUUGACUCACGAUCAAUUACGAGUGAAGAGUUUGUUGGAAAAAUCUGGUCUUCCAUUUAUUGUAAUCAGAUGAGUGUGAUUUAAUUAUUUUUUUCUUUUACUUCAUGUUCUGAAAAUUAUGAAUGCUUUGUAGGAUGUAGGAGAUUAAAAAUUUUAAUGCAUAUUUAUAUUCAAAACUGAGUAAACGUAACAUUAUUGCUUCUAUAAAUAGGUCAUUUCAACUUAAAACCUGUUACUUGUAUUUUACGCCGUUUCUGUUUCUUAUCAUAAAGAUUUUCUAUGUUUUUUUUUUUUCACUUUUUCUUCCGUUUUCCCGACUCCCAAACUCCACCAAUCCUUGAUUCUUUUCCUAGAGUAUUAGCUCUCUAUUAUUACAAACAUACAGUCUGUCUAAUUACCAUCAAGAAACAACAUACCUUGUCCUGGGGUCUCUUCGAUUAUUGACUUGUGUGACUUGCGAACGGGGGGCAUUCCCUUCUUGAAGAAAGAAUGCAAAGAGCCCAAGAAAGUACUAUCCAUUAGACACGUUAAGAAUUAUUUUGCUUUUCAGUAAAAAUGAUAAUAAUUAUAAUAAAUUAGAUUGAAUUAAUAAUAUUUGCAUGUGGGAUAUAAAUAAUCAGUUUAGUCACUAAUGAGUGACUGUCCGCUUGUCUUCUCUUUCAUUGACUUUGAAACUGUGACUUCUGAGUUGGAUUAAGAAUUGAAAAAAAUGUUGCAACCCAUAAAGCGCGUAAAAUUAAUUAAUGGGCCACUAAUUCUUCUUCUUAAAAGAAAAGUUUUGCAGGGAGAUUGAAAAAAGGCUAAUUCGUGUUGAAGAUCAUAAAUGAGUAUCUGUCAUAAAUACAAGUCAAGCUACACAAUUGUUCUUGUCAUACUAUUUAUUGGCACUUGUGAUCCUUGAAUUAUCAAACGAAUAGCAACAACACUUCAACAUCUGUUGUCACAUGGAGGGAAAUCCGCUGCCUCUUUGAUGUAAUACUUGGCAAUAUACAUUGACUUUUCAUUAAAACAAGCAUUGGCAUAUUGUCAUUUUCAAAUUUUUAACGUCUUGUAAUUAAAGAUUCCUAUAUCACAUUAUAAUUUUCAAACAAAUCUAAGUGAGUCAAAUCAAAUUUAGAAAUUUGAGGUCUACUAUAGACUUUUGACAUAUUAAAUUUAAGACAAUUAAGUAAAUGCUAGACAAAAUCUAACUUGCAAAUAUACCUUACCACAUGAUGAACGUACUUAAAAAUCUUAAUUGAUUGCUCACCAAUUAAUUGUUGUUUUACAGUUUGGUUUGAAUGGUUAAGUUCAAGUUCGAAUUUUCUUUUUGUAAUUUAAAUUAAAAUUGAUAGAACAAAUGGGCUGAUCAGUAUGAUGAUGAAGAAGAAGAAGUAAAAGCUAUUAAGCAUUAUCCUAUCACCAUAUCAAAUGGACCGAAUUCAAUCAAAUGAAAUCUAGAAAAUAGAGCAGCUCAUAGAUGUACGUCGCUAAGUGGAGGUUCAUUUGGAAGUACUUGGUCGAAUUGCGACUUGCGCCGGAGGCUUCGUUUCGUUUUAGAAGAGUGCAGAGCAGCUGCCUUGUCCAUUAGGCACGCCAACGACUUUCUAUUGACCAAUAAUUUUGAAAGCGAUAUUAUUAAUUUACCGUCUAAUUUUUUUUAUAUUAUCAUUUCCCCAUCAAAAUUUUUUUAUAAUUAUUUUUUUCACUUUGUAUUUUGGUUUUUAUUAUUUUACUACCGAAAAAUAGUAAACACACCCGUAAGAUAGGUUAUCCACAAAAAUGAUUACCAAAUUGUCUUGUUUCUCCUUUUGUUUAAUUUUCACAAAUUCGACCCACGAUUUAAAUGUGAGUGAAGAGUUUUUUUUUGGGAAAAAAUAUGGUCUUCCAUUUACUAGAAUUAGGUAUUUGUGAUUUUAUUAUUUUUCUUUUGCUUAAUAUGUAUCUGGAAAAUUAUGAAUACUUUGCAGGAUUUAGAAUGAUUUGAAUGUUUGAACGCAUAUAGCUUUCUGUCCAUCAGCUAAUGCAUAUUCUGCAUUUUAUGAAUAUCAGAGCUGGUAGAUUGGAAGAUGGAUCUUAUUACAUGUCAUAAGAUACUUUGCUCAAAGCUGCAAUUGGGCAACGCCGUGCUGUUCUUAUCGGCCAAUGCAAGCCAUUUACUAUUCUUUCUAAUGGAGCAAAAUAAGAUGAUUCUUACCUGCAUAGAGAAUUAGAAAAGAAAAGGAGGAUUACUGAUCCACAGAGCUGUCAUUUGCUAGAGGCACAUAAAAUCUUACACUUAAUUCAUUAACCAUAUGUACGUUCUAAUGAUACUUAAGUAUUACCUAAAUUGGCCUUUCAAAAUUUCAAUUCGAAAAAAUCCAAGGUUGUGAUGUGUCUGUAUAAAUUCGCUAAUACAAGUUCUCUCUAUUCCCAAUUGUUUUAAACUCUGUUCUGAACAGAGCAUGAAAGGAUAUAUUUGUUUAUCUAGUUAUAUUUUUUAUGCUCUCACUUCACUUGAUUCACCUUCUCCAUCUUUUAAAACAGUUGUAUAUGUCGGAGUACAAGUUCAUCACAAGGAUCAUAUUAUGGCCUAAGGAAGGAGCACAGUUUAUUGUCUGCACUCAAGCUUAGCAGAGUAUUUUGGGAUUCAAGAGUGUUAGUAGGCUGUUGCUGUAAAACUAUAGGCCAUGCUGGCAAGCGUGCUAUGACUGAUUGCUAUUUGCACGUAAAAUUUACCCAAAACAAAUAGAAUGAGAAUACUUGUACAAAAGGACAAGAUUAAUAAAGUGAAUAAAUUUUAUCUUUUAGUGAAUGCUUCUUGUCUUUUCGAGUUUUAGUGCAUUUUCGUGUGUAAUUUUAUGUGCAAAUAGCAUUACUCGUUAGUAAUUAGUCUAGAGUGUUCUAAUUUCUUCUAAUAAGUAGCUCAUUUGAGCUUAAGACUUGCAUUUUAAGUUUUUAUUACUUUCUAAUAAAGAUUUUCUCUGUUCUUUUUUACUUUCACUUUCUCUUCCAUUUUCCCGACUCCCAAACACCACCAAUCCUUGAUUUUCUAGAGUAAAGCUAUGCAGUUCUACAAACACGAAACUACUGUUGGUCCAAUUACUUUCAAGAAACAACGUACUCUGUGGUUUAUUGACUUGUGACAUGGGCAAAUUAGUCACGGUCCGAUUGUCUCCUCUUCCACUGACUCUGUCAAUUCAUGACUUUGGCACACAGUAGACGCUGGCUGCCUGCUUCAUUUGACGUGCAAAAAACUUUCUUGAGUCGGGUUAAAAUCGAUUGAUUAGUUUGUUUGGUGAUGAUGAGUUAGUCGUCAAUUCAUGAGUUUGAUGCAGUGAAACGCUUAACGCUCUCUUGUGAUGCGCAGGAGAAAAGCCAGUGAUGAUGAAGAGGGCGAAAAACAUUAUUUUGUUAUUUACAAUAAGGCUAUCAAUUAUAUAAUCCAAAAUAAUUGGGUUUGGAUGGUCAUUUUGUUUUCUAAAAUAUCCAAAUGAAAACAGAAUUUAUAAAGUGGGAAAAUCAAGAAAUACUAUACUCUUCGUAUAGUGGAAGGAGAUUUGGUUGCCAUUAUACUAAAUAAAAGAAAAAUAAAAUAAAAUUACAAUACUUUAAUAAUCUCAUUCCCAAUCCUACUGGAAAUAAAAUUUUCUGUAUAUUUAUGAAAUAAUUACUGAUUUUACUUUAGUGAUUUUUUUUUAGGAUAAAACUGUAGUGCAACUGUGGUACCGUGCCACAGUUGCACCCAACCGUUGGAUUUCCACUUAUUCAAGUGGACCCAACUUAUUUGAGUGAAUCUAACGGCUAGUGCAACUGUGGCACAGUACCACAGUUGCACUGUAGCUUGACCUUUUUUUUUUUAAAGUAAGGUAAGCAGCUUUAUUUUCUUUGCAUACGAGCCUUCUUUCUUUUGCUUUUGCCUUUACUCUUGACUGUAUUUCAUGGUCAUAUUCAAUCUCAAUCUCCUGUAGGUUUGCGGCUGCUUUAUGAGUUACGAUUUUUUAUAAGGUUGCAGGUAGAUGAUACAUUUAUAUACAUUUUUUCUUUUUUCUUUUCUUCUUCGGUGAAGACACUAAAAUUUAGUUUUUGUUAUCAUGUGAAAUGAACAUAGUCCUCAUUUCAAGGAUUAAUGUGUUAGGAAUUUGGUGGGUGAAGCAGACACGCAGCUAAAGUAAAAUUAGAAGAAAAUAGAGAACAAACACAAAAGAGAAUACCAGAAAUUACGUGAUUCGGCUUUUAGCCUACGUCUACGAGCGAAGACAAAAGGAAAAUAUUAUACUAGUGAAAAUGAGUUACUAGUAUUGUAGUAUUUUAGAUCACUACCCAAAACCCCAAUACACCCAAACUCUCAAAUCACUAAGCACACAAAAUUCUUUACUCUGCAAGAAUUACUUCUCACAACUCUCAACUCUCUCUACAAAAUUGGAUGCUAAAUGAAAUGGGGAGCUCUCUCUUUUAUAGCCAAAAAAUGGCUAUUAAAUUAAUUUUUUUUCCUUUGGGCGGUACCAAAUUCUUCUUUUUCUUCUUUCUCUUUUGUUUCUUUCUUUGGGCAGCACCUCCCGACCAAGACUUUAACUCUUUCUUUGGGCGGCACCUCCCAACCAAAACUUUAACAUUCUCCCACUUGGAGAUUUGAUUGAGAAUCAAUCAAUCUCCACACCAUCCUUUCUGCUCCGUCAUUGUUAUGUUGCCUACGUUUCUGCUAGGCCACAAGAGGAUCUACUCCAGAAAAACUUAUCAGUAUUUAUCGGCUUGGUCAAAACAUCUGCUAGGUUCUCCUUCGUAUGGAUUUUCUAUAAAUCCACACUUCCGUCUUCCAAAACUUCUCGAAUGAAGUGAUACUGAACUCCUAUGUGCUUUGUCUUGGAAUGAAAAGCUGGACUCCUUGCAAUGUGCAAGGCACUCUGACUAUCACAAAACACAAAAAAUUUCUCUUAUUUGAGCCCGAGCUCCUCCAAUAAUCUUUGUAUCCAAAUAGCUUCCUUACAAGCUUGUGUAGCUGCCAUGUAUUCUGCUUCUGUUGUAGAUAAAGCCACAACGGUCUGCAGUUUCGAAACCUAGCUUACAGCUGCUCCCGCAAGUGUAAACAUAUAACCAGUAGUAGAUUUUCUUUUAUCAAGUUCUCCUGCAAAAUCUGAAUCCAUAUAGCCUCUGACAGUAAAUUCUGAUCCUCCAUAACAUAAUGCAACAUUUGAGGUUCCUUUGAUGUAUCUUAGAAUUCUCUUCACAACUAUCCACUGCUCUCCACCAGGAUUUGUCAUGUAUCGACUAACUGCUCCCACUGCUUGUGCAAUGUCUGGUCUUGUGUUGUGCAAAUUUUAAUGUACUCGCAAGCGCACGAAUCUAUUGUAGUGUAGAUCAAUGGUGACGAGUGUCGAUCCCACGAGGAGGAGGAUUUUAAUUGUGUAUAGAAUUAAUUUUGCAAAAUGGGUGGUUGGAAUUAUGGUGGAAGUGAUUUAAGUUAUCCCAAAAUUGGAAUUGAAAUUGCGAUAAUAAAUUCUAAAAUUGGAAUUGCAAUGGCGAGAAUAAGUUGAAGCGAAAUCUAUUGAAAUGACGUACUUGGGUAUCUGGAUCCGUAUCAACAUGCAUCAUGGGCUAAAUAAUCCGUAUUAAUGCCAAUUAAAUCAUGAGGGGGGAAUCCACACCUCAUGAACCACGCUCUAAUCAAUAUGGUGCUAAGGGCUUAUCGUGCCAAAUAAUAAUAACCUUAUACUAGAGAGCCGGUGUAACCAAGGCGGUAUCUAGACAAGAUCAGUAUUAUUUGUCGACGAUAAGUCAAAUCAUCCACAAAAACUAGAGGGGAAAAGAAAAUAAAUUUACCAAAUAAAGCCCAUGACACAUGUUGAGACUUCACCUUCAACCCAAGCUUGAAAGGAAAUUAGCUACUCAUAAUUGAACUAGGGGCAAAAUGGGAAUUUAUUAAAAUACAAAGAAAAUACAAGAUGGAGAGGGAAUUACAGAAAAUGGAUCCCAAAAAUGGAUUCAGAGCUAUCAAAUUAGGGGGGGGAGGCCCCCUUUUUAUAGAUACAUGGAGUAAAUCAUGGCCAUUGGAUUAAAAACAGUUUGGACGCUCAGGAUUGCGCCACGUCAUCAGUCAACAGUCCACUGUUUGACCACGCGGAUGAACAGUAAUGCGGUUUGACCCGGAUGAACAGUAACGCGGUUUGGUUGAAAAUAAUCCUGUGUGAUGCAUGCACCGUACGUGAGAUUUUUCGUCCACUGAUAUGCUGCCACGUCACCAUCAACAGUACAUAAGAAUUUUAGUCCAACAGGAUCGUGACACCUCAUCAGUCAAUGCCACAUCAUCGGUCAAUGCCACGUCAUCGAUUCGUUUAUGUGAACAGUGCCGUGAACAGUAACAUAUACAGUACCGUAUACGUGAAUAGUACCGUACAUGUGAAUAGUGCCAUUUUUCCUUUUAUGCUCCUCCUAAGGUUUUCGACCGUCCUGAGUUCAAAAGUGAUGUCCGUUUUGCCGUCUGAUCUCUCCUUUAUUGUGAAAUGACUAUAAUGCCCCUAAAAUACAUAAAAUACUUAAUUAAAAUAACACACGCGUAAUUACAUCACAAGAAGGUUAAAUACAUAAAAGUAAGAGUUGUUAGUAAGACUUGAAAUGUAAAAUGAUGGUUUUCUCCUUUAGAAAUAUAUAUUUUCUAACACUCAACAUCUUGUACAUAUCACAGCGAACAUCAAACUUUCCACUGCUGAUGCAUACGGUACUCAAGACAUCUCCUUCCUCUCUGCUUCAUUGCUAAGACAUAUACUUGAGGAUAAUUUGAAAUUAACAGGAAGUGGGGUAGAAAUUGACUUACAAUCUUGCAUGUUGAAGCGCCGUAAGAUUUUCUUCAAGUAAUUCUUCUGUGAAAGCCAAAUCUUCUUGUUAUUUCUGUCUCGAUGAAUUUGCAUCCCUAGAAUCUUGUUUGCUGGUCCCAAGUCCUUCAUUUCAAACUCCCUAGCCAAUUGUGCCUUCAAUUCUUGGACUCGAUCUUUGUUGGGGCUUGCUACCAACAUGUCAUCCACGUACAACAACAAAAUGAUGAAAUCAUUAUCUUCAAACCUCUUACAAUAUGCACAAUGGUCUGAACUGAGUCUGUUGUAUCCAAGGCUCAUGAUGAAGGAAUCAAAUCUCUUAUACCAACACAUUGGCGCCUGUUUGAGACCGUAUAGAGAUUUGUUCAACCUGCAAACCAAGUUCUCCUUUCCUGUUUCUACAAAACCUUUUGGUUGGAGCAUAAAUAUUUCUUCUUCAAGUUCUUCAUGAAGAAAUGCAGUUUUCACAUCUAACUGCUCUAGAUGUAGGUCAAAUGUAGCACACAUUGCCAAGACUAUUCUGAUUGUUGUGAGUCGAGCCACCGACGAAAAUAUCUCGUUGAAGUCAAUACCUUCUUUUUGAGCAUAUCCUUUCACCACCAAUCUGGCACGAUACCGCUUCACUUGGUCAUUGUCAUCACGUUUAAUCUUGUAGACCUAUUUGUUUCCAAUGGCUUUUCUUCCACAUAGUAGUGGUACAAGUUCCCAUGUCUUGUUCUUGUGUAGAGCUUCAAUUUCUUCCUGCAUUGCUGUCAUCCACAAAUCAACAUUUGAGCUUUCUAAAGCUUCAUAAAAAGUUGAUGGCUCUCCAUCCUCUAUUAGAAGACAGUACGCAACAUUGAUCUCUGUGACAUACUCUGAGUGCCACGCCGGCGGUUGUCUCUCAUGAGUUAACCAAUGAACUUCUGGAGCCUCAGACUCGACUGGUUCUUGUUCUUCGUGCUCUAGUGCUGCUUCAGAAGAAUCUGAAUCUUCUGGAUUAUUUUUGACAUAUACCGGCACAGUUUCUGACUUUUCUUUUACAGUGUCAUCAUCUCCAUCUUUCAUUUGCAGUUGAUCUUCUACAAAGAUAACAUCUCUGCUGAUGACAAUCUUGUGGGCAGUGGGGUCCCACAGACGAUACCCUUUACUCCAUCAACAUACCCCAAGAAGAUACACCUCCUAGAUUUUGGAUCUAACUUUGUUCUUUCUUGGGCAUUGUACAUUACGUACACAGGACAUCCAAAUGCAUGUAGGUAGGAAUAAUCAGCUGGCUUUUCAGUCCACAUCUCCAUCGCCGUCUUCAACCCAAUAGCUGUAGAUGGCGACCGAUUUACUAUAUAACAGGCAGUUUUGCCUGCUUCUGCCUAGAAUGAAUUGGGUAGACCAGCAGUCCUCAACAUAGCUCUUAUUCGUUAUUUAAGAGUUCUAUUCAUCCGCUCUGCCACUCCAUUUUGUUGAGGAGUGUAUGCCACCGUGAACUGCCUCUGAAUACCUUCUUGCUUACAGAAAGCAAGAAACUUGCCGUUUGUAUACUCUCCACCAUUAUCUGUCCUUAAGCACUUGAUCUUUUUACCAGAUUCAAGUUCCACCCGUGCUUUGUAUUCUUUAAACACUGGAAAUACAUCUGACUUUUUCUUAAUUAGAUACACCCAACAUCUUCUGGAAUAAUCAUCAAUGAAAGUCACCAUGUACUUUACACCUCCCAUGGAUAUAUCCGGUGAUUCCAAAACAUUAGAAUGAAUCAAGUUUAUAAUGUAUUAACUUCUAGCAAUAGAUCUACUGAAUUUUAAUCUAUACUGCUUACUUGUAACACAAUGCUCGCAAAAUGGUAAAUUUACCGAUUUAGGCCCUGGAAGCAAUUUUCGCUCAGAGAGAAUCUUCAAACCUUGUCUGACAUGUGGCCAAGUUUGAGAUGCCACAUCAUCGUUGACUCUUCUCUAUUUGAUGCGACACACGCAUCAACCUCCUGUAGUGUUUCUCCUUUAAGCAUGAAUAAAUUAGCACUGAUCUUUUCUGCUUUCAUCAAUACAAGCGCUCCUUUAACAAUCUUCAUAAUUUCAUUCUCCACAGGCGUUUUGCACCCAUGACUGUCUAUUUGUGCUAAAGACAAUAGAUUUUUCUUCAGGCCAUUAACAUGUCGUAACUCUCCAAUUGUGUGAAUUGUACCAUCAAAUAUUUUUAUUUUGAUAGUACCAAUACCAGCGAUCUCUAAGGCAUGAUCAUCUCCUAUAUAUACAGAUCCUCCUGAGAUAGGUUCAUAUGUGUGGAACCAUUCUCUCCGAGAGGUCAUGUGCCAGGUAGCUCCUGAGUCUAUAAACCAGACAUCAGAUAGUCAUUUUCUGCUUUCUGAAAUAGUUGUUGCCUCGCUGUAGAGAAUUUCGCCAUCAUCCGAGGUACUUGCUACACACCCCUGAGCAUUUGAUGACUCAGGUUCAUUACCCUCUCUUCUCUUUUGGUUACUCCAACACACUUUCUUGAUGUGCCCUUUCUUGCCAUAGUUGUAGCAUUUAACAUUUUUCUUACUUUUGAAUUUUGAUCUACCAUUAUUGUGACUCCCACUGGGGCCACGUUCCGUUGAUCUCCCUCUCGUCACCGAUAGCGCCUCCACUUGCUGCGAACUUGCUUGUCUGUUUUCCUUAUUUUUCCACCUGCUCUCCUCAUUUAAUACGGAGGCUGCAACAUCGUCGAAAACUAGACUGUCCACUGGAUUGUUGUUCGUCAGGUUAAUGAUGAGCUGAUUAUACGAAUCUGGUAGACUUUGAAGUAGAAGCUCUGCAUGUUCAUUUUCCUCUAUAUUAUGACCCAACGUUGUGAGUUGUGAAAAUAGAGUUUUCAAGGUGUUGAUAUGGUCGGUCACCAUUGUAGAUUCUGCCAUUCGAAGAGUAUAGAGUUUCCUCUUCAAAAAGAUUUUGUUGUGUAGUGACUUGGCCUCGUACAAUUUUGUGAGAGUAUCCCAUAUUUCCUUCGCUGUAUUUUUCUCUGCCACACUGGAUAAUACUCCAUCCGCAAGUGCCAAGUCUAGAUCAGAAAUGGCGUUGCCGUCUACCUCGUUCCACUUGUCAUCAGUUAUCUCCACGGGCCUUUCUCUAAUUGCUGCCAAACAAUUAUUUUUCCUCAAUACAGCUUUUAUCUUCAUUUUCCACAACGAAAAAUUAUUUCUAUUAAACUUCUCAAUUUCAUAUUUUACUGCCAUUUUGAUGAUAAAUACCGCACACAAGCUAGUGUACCACCUUGAAUAGUUGUGAGUAUGUGUAAGAAUACACACCAAGAAAGUUCCUAGUAAAGACUGGAGGGGUCACAAUGGUCCCACUUAAAACCCAGACUCCUUAAGCUCUUAUCGCCUUUGUAGCAGAACUUUCCUAUACAUGUACAAAACCACACAGUUGCUUUACUCACACCACUAUUCUGAAAUACAAGUAUGCAACCCAAGAUGGGGGUGAAUUGAGAUUCUAAAAAUUAUUCAAUUUAUAAAGAAAAACUUAAAACAAAUAUAAUCCAAAUUCAAAGCAAUAACAAUUAAGUUGAUCACAAUAUAAAAAGAUAAGGGAAGAGAAAUUCAAACACAGAGAUUUUUACGUGGUUCGGCCAACCUCGCCUACGUCCACGCCUCCAAGCUUUUCGGGCUUGAGGAUUCCACUAAACAAGCCUCCAAGGCUUCAAAUGCUUACACUUGACUUCCAAGGUGUCAAUAACCUUUACAACAAGAGAUUAUCCCAAUCUCUUUAACCCAAGUGAAUCCCAACACUUACAACCACUCAAAACAAAAGAUUUCAAAUUUGUUUUGCCUCUCACAAUAUAUAAGAUUACACAAUGAUGCCCAAUAUGUGAAUAGAUGAAGUAAGAAUGUGUUCUAAGCUAUAUGAAGAUUGUAUUCUCGAAUAUAAGCUCAAUAGUCGUGUUGUGAUCAAUCUUCUUUGAAUUUGAAUGAGCUUAUUUAUAUUUGGAGCUGAAAAACUAGCCGUUACAAACUAUCGGCCCUAAACGGUUUGCCGUUAACUAUUAACGGUUAACCGUUUAAGCUGGUCAAAAGUUACCGUUGGGCCAAAUUUUAAAUAAACGGUUUGCCGUUUUAUGAUUACCCUUUCGCCGUUAAAUUCCAGAGACCUGCAAGAUGAACAUCAGUUAUCCGUUUACAUUAAACGGUUAAGGAUUUGCAUGAAGUGACUUCUCUGGAUAUUAUCGGUUAACCAUUUGUAAUAAACGGUUCGCCGUUUGUUUUCAGUAACCUGCAAAACAAUUUAGGCUUAUUCGGUUUUGUUAAACAGUGCCAGAGGAGUACAACCUUCAAUUCUGGAUGUUAUCGGUUAACCGUUUCAAUAAACGGUUCACCGUUAAAUUCCAGUAGCUUUCCCAUCUUUUGUGUUUUCCGUUUUUCACAAACGGUUAGAGCUUAGGCAAUAUGUUGCUUUCUGGUAUUAAUCGGUUAACUAUUUAAAAGAAAACGGUUCACUGUUUAUUUUCAGAAUCACAUUUUAAACCAGUUUUUGCAGAGAAUCUUUUUCUAAUUUGAAAGUCCAUCUUUUAUGAAUAUGAAUGGAAUGAUUAUUAAGGCUUUCGUUUAUUAAGGAAUAGCUCCAACAUUUUUAUCAAAAACCAUUUAAAGUUUGUUAUCAUCAAAAUCAAUAUUAUUAAAAAAUUCAUGUUAACAAUCUCCCCUUUUUUUAUGAUGACAAACUUCAUUCAAUAUAUAGCUCCCCCUUAAUAUGUACUCCCCCUAAAUGUAUGGCCAAAUUAAGAAAUGUCCAAUAAAAAGAUUUUUGCUCAAGAAAACAUUUUUAAAUUCAUUUAAAUACAUUCUAAAUCUCCCCAUAAUUCUCUCCCCCUUCAUCAUCAAAAAGAAAAGAGAGAAAUAAAAAAAAAACAAAAAACGCAAGUCCGUUAAAGAAGUUACCCGGUUUUGGUGAGCGAAAAUUUUGGCAGAGUUUCCCUUUAAAAAUGAGCAAAACCACUAAUACAAAAUGAGAUUAAAACACUUCCAAAAUAUAUUAACAACAAUUCCAUCUUUCAACAAACCAACAACGCCAUGAACAAACAAACCAACACUUCAAUAUCCAAGAAACCAACAAUUUCAUCAACCAAUUACCAAGUCAUCCAACAUCAAGAACAUCACAAAAAUAUGUCAUCAAAAUCCAGAAAGAGCAUAUAGAGGUAACAGUGUGUAUAAAAAUAUAAAUGGAAACACGCAAACAACCAAAAUAUGAAAUGUAUGUGCGAAAAUAGAACUCAGAAACUAUGGAGGUGGAGAAGAUGUGCUCCCCGGAUCAUAGCCGAAAUAGCGGAGAAGAGUGCGCUGUCCAGCAAUAAGCUCAAGCUGCUGAUCAAUGCUCUGCUGCUGGAAGGUCUGAAAGUCAGAACGUAGCUGCUGGUGGGUGAGGCAGACAUGCAGCUAAAGUAAAAUUGGAAGAAAAUAAAAAACAAGAACAAAAGAGAAUACCAGAAAUUACGUGGUUCGGCUUUUAGCCUACGUCCAUGGGCGAAGACAGAAGGAAAAUAUUAUACUAGUGAAAAGGAGUUACAAAUAUUGUAGUAUUUUAGCUCACUACCCAAAACCCCAAUACACCCAAACUCUCAAAUCACUGAGCACACAAAAUUCUUUGCUCUACAAGAAUUACUUCUCACAACUCUCAACUCUCUCUGCAAAAUUGGAUGCUAAAUGAAAUGGGGAGCUCUCCCUUUUAUAGCCAAAAAAUGGCUAUUAAAUUAAAAAAAAAAUUUCCUUUGGGCGGUACUAAAUUCUUCUUUUUCUUCUUUCUCUUUUGUUUCUUUCUUUGAGUGGCACCUCCCAACCAAGACUUUAACUCUUUCUUUGGGCGGCACCUCCCAACCAAGAAUCUACAACUUCAGCCCCAGGAACAGAAUCGAUCCCACUUAAAAUUUCAAUUUUGCAAUGCAGCUGAGGGGCAUGUGCCCUGUAAGAAUUGAUCCUAAAAUUGCCAUUGACAUGGACCCCACGAAGCUUGAAGAUUUCUAUAUUACAUAGCCAAACCUAAGUGAUAAGAAUUUUCAUAUGAGAUAUAAUUUUGGGAAAAAAACCAAUUCAAGUUAAAGAUAAAAAAUCUGUGUUACUUAAAUUCAAGCCACACAAUUUUUCUUGUUUUAUUUGAAAAAAAGAAAAUUGUGUUCCUCACAAAAACACUUUAACAUUUGUUGUCUCAUAGAGGGAAAUGUCCUUCACUCUUUGACGUAUCCCUGGGGCAAUGUAAGUUGACUUUACAUUAAAACAAAACAAUUGAAACGUUGUCCACAAACAUUGUCAUGUAGUUAAGAAAAACUUAAUUUUGACAAGUGCAAGAGAUUGGUGGGACUCAUUUGAUUCAAGAAAAACAAUCAGUCUCAUUUGAUACGCAAAGAGCUUUUCUACUCUGCGGCCAAUAUUUUGAUGAAUGUGACAUUAUCUCAAUUUUACUUCUGUAGGUUUGUUGUUUGUAUAUUAUCUCAAUUUUUUAAAAAAUGUAAUUGCAAUUAUCAAACAUGACUAAUCCCAACAAUUUAUCCAAAAAAUUUUGUUUCAAGAAAUGUAGCAUUUAUGAUAGAAUGGCUAAUUUUUUCAAUCGACUUUCUGGAUAAAUGAUAAUUUUUUGAUAGAAAUGUUACUUACUUAUUACAAGAAGAAAAUUAUAGAAUAAUUUUUUGAAUUAAUAGUAUUACUUUACGAUAACACUAUCACAAUCUAAUUUUAAAAAGAAAUAAAGUUAUUCUUUAAAUUUCGCAUUACUAUUCCUACUUUUCUUGUUAUACUACUUAAUGGCACUGGUGAAGCCUCGAAUUAUCAACCAAAAAGCAAAAAUAGUUCAAUAUCUGCUGUCCCACUGAGCAUUGUUAAAUUCAUACGAUAAAAUGAGUACUUAUAUUAAAAAAACAAUCGGUCUCAUUGCGUGCUCUUUCAUUGACAUAGGCAAUUUGCUGUCAACUUGUGGCACUUUUACGAAUUUUCAAGACAGGUGAAUUUUUCAAAUUUAAAAGAAAAAAAUACAGAAAUGUAAUUUCAAUUUAUCCAAAAAUUUGAGUUUCAAGGAAUACGGCAUUUAUUAAAUGUCAUGUUAAUAUAGAGAAGAAAAUUUUAAAAACUUAUUUUUGGAUGAAUAAAAGUAUUUUCUGAUAAAAUAUUUCACAAUCAAAUUUAAAAAAUUUCACUCCUCUUGGUACAUAAUUUAAGAAUUUAACAUUAUAAAUUAAUCUUUCUAAUCAAAGUAAUAAUCUCUCCUCGGUCUGCAAAUGCUAAAAUUUAAAUAUUAUAUCCAUUGACAAUAUUUGCUCCAAAUUCACGAAAACAAAAUUUCAAACAGAAUUAUGAAAUUCGUUACUAGAAAUUUGUAUAAAAGUUGUGAGAAUAGAAGGUUUGAUCAUAGGAAAUUAAUAUAUCCCUAUCCGAUGCAAAAAUGAUUGUAAAGAAAAACAAAAGUCACGGGCUUAUUUAGAAAAAAAGAAAAAAUUACAUUCCAUUUUCCAGUUAUUAAAGUAAUUCUAAAAUCGCUAGGAUCACAAAGGAUAGGCUUUGGUUGACUGAGGUCAGCCUUAACGCAUGCCGGUCUUUUUCUCCUCUACAUUCUUAGAAAUUUUGGUUUCACUAUAAAUACUCGGUAUAUAGCAAACUUAUAAGUGUUCUUGCAUUACCAAUCCAACUAAGCACACGCUUACAAUAUAAAUACUCUCAUCUCGUGGAAAGAGUUCAUUCACUCAGGAUGAUGAGCAGAUUUCUCUUACUCCAUUGUUUGAUUCUUAUUUCCUUCUUUAUCGCGGCAGCAACAGCCAACACAAGUUCUACUAUCACAGACCGAGAUGCUCUGUUAGCCCUGAAAGCUCGCAUAACUCAUGAUCCGACCAAUUUCUUGGCCAAGAAUUGGAACACAAGUACUCAUGUUUGUAAUUGGACAGGCGUCGCUUGUGAUGUCCAUAGCCAUAGAGUCACAGUCUUGAAUAUUUCAAGCUUAAAUCUCACAGGCACCAUCCCUUCUCAACUUAGGAAUCUUUCUUCUCUGCAAUCACUCAAUCUCAGUUGUAACCGACUUUCUGGUUCCAUUCCCUCCGCCAUCUUCACCAUAUAUACACUGAAAUAUGUUAGUUUCCGUGAAAAUCAGCUCUCUGGCGCUUUCUCUUCUUUCAUCUUCAACAAGUCUUCUUUACAACAUCUUGAUUUUAGUCACAAUACACUGUCUGGUGAAAUUCCUGCAAAUAUUUGCAGUAGUCUUCCUUUUCUGGAUUUCCUUUCUUUGCAAGAAAACAUGUUGCAUGGAGGAAUACCGUCCACUCUAUCAAAUUGCACAUAUUUGCAAAAAUUAGGUUUGGUAUACAAUAAUUUCUCGGGGGCCAUACCUAAAGAAAUCGGCAAUUUGACCAAACUUAAGAUAUUAUAUCUUGGCGGUAACAGACUCCAAGGUGCGCAUGAUCACAGAGUUUAAUUAUGAAAGUUGUUCCAUAAGUUGUAAUAUGAAUAACGUUCCAUAAUACAGUUUACACACGUUGAUUAAUUUGCAGGAGAAAUUCCUCGAGAGUUUGGCAAUCUUGCCGACUUGGAACGGAUGUCGUUAUCAGAAAACAAUCUCCAAGGUAUGAUUUUAAACUUUUUGCAAUUUUAUUUUAGCGAUGCUUGCUUCUGUAUUCAUUCGCUUGUUCUUUGAUUAUGCGAUGAUUUAUUGUUUUUCUUUCAGAUAGAGAUAAAGCUCCAUGUCUCCCCUCACUCAUUUCAUUCUUUAAUUUAUGCAGAUAAAAAUAAAAAAAAUGUUUUCUAAUUUUCUUUUGUCAUAUUGCCACUUCCAUUUUGAAGCUCCCAAUUAAGUCGAUGAAAAUGAAUGAUGUUUCAUUCUUAUUCUUGUCAGCCUAAUUCUUAUAUAAUUGAAGAAUAAAUUGUUAUUACGAUAUUCGUCAGCCAAUAAAUUCUUCUUUUUUUUCCCCCCAAACAUGAGUGAUCAAAUUGUUUGCGCAUUUAUAAAUGUACUUAAUUUGCAGGAGGUAUUCCACGGGAAUUGGGGAAUCUUACAAAAUUGGAGAUAUUACAGCUGUUCCGGAAUAACUUGACCGGUAACUUUCUUUACAAUAUAUAUAGAGACAUCUUCCGCUUUUUAUUAGAAAUUAUAAAUUCAAGUUAAAUCUUAAUUAAAAGAUUUCAAGUCUCUCAUUAUAAAUUCUCAUAUGAGGAUGUGUCGUUACCACUAUCUAACAUUAUUCUGUUUUUUAUUAGAAAUUAGUUUGUGUUAAUUCAAAAUUCUGUAGCAUUUAAAAAAAUUAAAAACACGUGGAAUAAAUUGUUAAUCUUUCUUCUUUACUGAAUUUGGAUUUCUCAAAAAUAAUCUUGACAAGUAUGCUUCACUAAUGAUACGCAUGUGUGACAACUUCAUAAAAUAUUUUACAGGGAAUCACUAAUUAUGUUUAAAUAAUUAGAGAUGCCAGCAGUGAUACAUAAUUUCUUAACAAGCACCAUACCAAAAGAAAUCAACAAUUUUAUUAGUCUUAAAGAGUUACAUUUUCACUGCAAUUAUAACAUAAAUUUUUAGUCAUCAAUUGCAUAAUAUUUUAUCUUAACGGAUGAUGUUUAGUCUUGGAAUUUAUAAUAUCUUGAAGGUUAGUAGCUGUGAAAAUAAGAAAUUGUUCAUUUGCUAAAAAGUUAACUUAGUAUUUAAGUUUUUCAAUUGAAAAAUAGGCUUGAAGAAAUUAUUGUUGUGUGUGCUUAUUCUACUUGGGCUUUGGGCUUGAUUACACGGUCGAGCACUUACACCUGUCGUACUAAUAGGCUUUUACUUUGACCACACGUUUGAUAAUUUCUUAACCUUCCGAAUUAAAUCUGAUUAUAAUUCUUUUAAAAUACAGAUUAAAUAGCACGUGAAAUCGGAAAAUAUUUUACUGCGAUAAGAAUUCAUAUAUUCAUUACACACGGUCGAACACUUACACAUGUUAGAAUAAUAAUAGCAUCCGCCAAUCGACUAUGAGUGAUCAAAUUGUUUGCACAUAUGUAAUUUGCAGGAGCAAUUCCACGGGAGUUGGGAAAUCUUACAGGAUUGGGGGUCUUAGAGCUGUCUGAAAAUUUUUUGACCGGUAUCAUUCCUUCAUCUAUCUACAGAUUGCUUUUCUCUAUUAAAUUUGGAAUUGUCAUUUAAUAACUUAACAAGUAACUUCCCUUACAACAUGUCUGUGUGACAUGUUUUGCUUCUAAAUUUAAAGGUCUCACGUCUCUCAUUAUAAAUUCUUCUAGGAGAUGUAUUGUUACUACUAUUUAACAUUACCUCGUUUUUUAUUAAAAAUUAAUCUGUAUUUAUGCAAAAAAAAUUAUUAUCUAAAAAAGGUAUAAAAACACGUGGAAUAAAUCGCAAAUCUUUCUUCAUUACUGAAUAUGGAUUUCUCAAAAAUUAUCAUGAUAGCUAUGUUAGUGUCUUACUAAUGAUAUGCAUGUGUGACAGCUUCAUAAAUUAUUUUACAUGGAAAAUAUGAAAAAUAAACUUGAAAAAAAAUUAUUUUACUGAAAUAAUAGUUAAAAAGGGAGGAGAAGUACAAUACUCAUGACUUAGGCUUGCUGUGUACUUAUUUUACUUGGGAUUCGGGCUUGAUUACACACGGUCGAACACUUACAUCCCACGACAUAAGCUUUUAGGGAUGAGUGGCGUAAAUGUGUAUCUGCUCUUAUGUAUUAUUAUUCUUUGAAACAAAUCUGAUUAUAAUUCUUUUAAAAUACAGAUUAAAUAGCACGUGAAAUCGGAAAAUAUUUUACUGCGAUAAGAAUUCAUAUAUUCAUUGUUCUAGCACAUAUAAAAUAGACUAUAAAUUUAGUUCCAAAAUACAUUCUUAUCUUCAUAUAAAUUUUACAUUAUUAAUUUAAAUUAAUAUUAAAAUAUAUUGUUUCUUUCACUAUGUUAUUUUAUUUACACAAUGAUGUGACUAUUGGAAUGAUUAAUACUUAUAAUUAUUUUGUAAAAAUAUAAAUUUAAUACUUUGUUAACAUUUUAUCUACAUAUAAUAAUUAAACUGAAACUCGUAUUUAAAAAAUUCUAGUUACGCAUAUUCAUUUCAUGACAUAAAAGUGUAUAUUUAUGCUAAUUUACCAUUAUCAACAAAAUGCUUUGAGAGACAAGUAAUCUAAUUUAUAUUUUUAUAUUUAAAAUACUUCCAUUUAUUAUAUUUUGAAAAAAAUUUAUUUGCAAUUAUUUUAAACCCUGGAUUCAAAUUUUCGUAGUUAUUAAAGUCAAAGGGUAUAAAUGUAUAAUAGUCAAAAACAGAUUUGUAUGAUCAUGUAUAAAUUUUCUUAGUUAGUAGGAAAAUUAGAAAUUGUUGAUUUACUCAUAAAUAAAUUUAAUGUUUUGCAUUUCAAUUUUGGAAAACUUGAGCUAAACGUUGAUAACUUCGAAUUGGUCGAGCCGAGUUUCGCUUCCUCGACCCACGGACCCAUUGAAAGUUCUAUUAAAAUUGAGUUUCCCGGUGCUAAUAAAAAGCAUUUCUUUUCCUUGUCCCAGUAAUUUAUUCACAAAUGAGUUGAUUAGCAUCGAAGUUGCCUGAGAGUCUGAGACCAUACUAGUAGGAGAAAUUUGAAAAGAAAUUAUUUUAUUGAAUUAAUUUAUUUUAUCUUGUUGUAACUGAAAUACUACUUUUUUUUGGGAUGUCACUAGGUCUUGAUUUACUUUAAUAGUAGCAGCCACCGACUUAGGCUUUUUUUACUUCUCACUACACAAUUUGAUCUUUUAAUUCGUUUUAACCACAUAAUCUAUCUAUUUCUCACCUAUUGCUUACUUAAAUUGCAUACAUAUUUUACCUACUAAUUUUUAUAAAUAUUAGUCAAAUAUAUUUUAUUACGUUUCUCUCGUAAUUGCUCCAAAUGUGUACUAUUAAUACUUAACCCUCCCUUUUAAUUUACCGUGCAAUCUCUAUCACUUAAGUCACAUAUAUAUUUUACCUAUAUUUUACCCCAAAAAAUAUAAAAAUAAAAGAAAAAGAAUAUGUGUAGCAAUUUGUAUAUAACUAACAAAGCAUUGACAGCGUGUAGCCUUUCAAUACUUCACGAGUGGCUUUUUCUUGUGUGUUAGUACUUGUAAUAAUUGUGUAGCGUAUAAAUGACAUUUUAUUAUUAAAGUGCGUCCAUUUUUAGAUAUUACUUAUUAUUUGAAAAAUAAUCUGAAUAUAAUCUUUUAAAAUACAGGGGAGAUACCACUUGAAAUCGGUAAUCUCCAAAAUCUGGAGGAGUUGGAACUUGGUCAUAACAAAUUAAUUGGUACUGUCCCAGUUGCAAUCUUUAAUGUGUCAACAACACUCAAAUUACUUGGGCUUCAAGAUAAUUCUCUCUCUGGAGGUCUUUCGUCCAUCGCAAACGUCCGACUACCAAAUCUUGAAGAGCUUUAUUUGUGGGGUAAUAAUUUUAGUGGCACAAUUCCUCGUUUCAUCUUUAAUGCUUCUAAGCUCUCUAUACUAGAUUUGGACAAGAACUCAUUCUCCGGUUUUAUUCCCAACACAUUUGGCAACUUAAGAAACCUUGAGUACCUUGAUUUACAAUAUAAUUAUUUGACAUCUUUAACUCUAGAAUUGAGCUUUCUAUCCUCGUUGUCAAAUUGCAAGUCUUUAACACUUAUUGGCUUAUCAAAUAAUCCACUAGAUGGCAUUCUUCCAAGGACGUCUGUCGGUAAUCUUUCUCAUUCUUUGAAAUAUUUUAAAAUGCACAAUUGUAACAUUAGUGGCGGCAUCCCUGAAGAGAUCAGCAACUUGACCAACUUGAUGACCAUUGAUUUAGGAGGCAAUAAAUUGAAUGGAUCGAUUCCGAUUACUCUCGGCAAAUUACAAAAGCUUCAAUGGUUGAGUCUUGAUGAUAACAAAUUAGAAGGAUCAAUCCCAGAUGAUAUUUGUCGUUUGGCUGAACUGUAUUUAUUGGAGCUGGGCGGCAAUAAGCUUUAUGGAUUAAUCCCUGCAUGCUUCGGUAAUCUGGCUUCUCUGAGGAUACUGUCGUUGUGUUCCAAUGAGUUAACUUCUAUUCCCUUAACGUUUUGGAACCUUAAAGAUAUCUUGCACCUCUACUUUUCUUUAAAUUUUUUUACUGGCCCACUCCCAUUAGAGAUUGGAAAUUUGAAGGUUUUGAUUGGAAUUGAUUUUUCGAUGAAUAAUUUUUCAGGCGUUAUCCCAACAGAAAUUGGAGGCCUAAAAAAUCUAGAAUCUCUCUUCUUAGGAUAUAAUAGAUUACGAGGAUCGAUUCCUGAUUCAUUUGGUGAUUUGAUAAGUUUGAAAUUCUUGAAUUUGUCCAAUAAUAAUCUCUCUGGGGCUAUUCCUACAUCUUUAGAGAAACUCUCAUAUCUUGAAGAUCUAAAUCUUUCUUUCAACAAGCUAGAAGGAGAAAUUCCUAGGGGAGGAUCUUUUGGAAACUUCUUAGCUGAAUCAUUUGAGGGAAAUGAAUUAUUAUGUGGUUCACCCAAUUUACAAGUCCCGCCAUGCAAAACUAGCAUCCACCACACAUCAUGGAAAAAAUCUCUUCUCCUAGGGACUAUCUUGCCAUUGAGUACUACAUUUAUGAUAGUAGUCAUUUGGUUGAUCCUAAGAUAUCGACAGAGAGGAAAACGACCAUCGAAUGAUGCUAAUAUGCCACUAGUAGCAACGUGGAGAAUGUUUUCAUACCUAGAACUUUGUCGAGCAACAAGCGGAUUUAGUGAAAACAACCUAAUCGGCAGAGGAGGUUUUGGCUCUGUUUAUAAAGCAAGACUUGGGGACGGGAUGGAGGUUGCAGUGAAGGUUUUCAAUUUGCAAU
RNAcentral lists this long non-coding RNA (374677 nucleotides) under Citrus maxima (pomelo). RNAcentral's name for it is "long non-coding RNA (CMAX_LNC000186)". The stretch from base 246185 to 246291 matches the Rfam family "Plant small nucleolar RNA R71". The record is from RNAcentral. Lineage: Eukaryota; Viridiplantae; Streptophyta; Magnoliopsida; Sapindales; Rutaceae.